UGAACGUCCACAUGAUAGGUCCAUCAAUGACAUAACACUCUUAUUAUAGAAUUUCGCUUGAUGCCUCCAAAUCAAACCUCAAGUCAUUCCUUUACAUGUGACAUUUUGAUUAAUCAAGUGCAAACAAUAACAACAACACAAGAAACCUACACAUAAAAAGUCCCUGGUUUAAUCCCAGGACCUAAACUUUCAUUGAAAUAGGAAUUUGGAUUGCACCAUUAUCAGUUUUCCAAGUGCAAUUUCAGUACAUAAAUCAAACUAUUUACAAACAAUGGUUUGCCCUAAUCAAUAAAUAACAAUAGCCUCGUCAUCCUUUUUGUCAACAUAGACCACAAAAAGAAACAUCGGGCAUGCAAACCCCACAAUUUAUCCAAAGACCCCAUCACCAUUUUCAAGCACUUGUGACCAUUUUGAUGUCUUCUUCAGCAAGGAAAGAGCUUGUUGGGUACUUUUGGUCCUUCUUUGUUGGGUAAGAAGCCUCCAUUGCAAUCCCACACUUGCCAGUGUAUGUGGUAGCCACGUUUCUCUCUAUCUUAAAAUAUCCACUCUCACCCCAAUUGGUGCCCCAUGAGUUCCUUACAAGCCAAUAGUCUGUUCCAUUCUCCGUGCCAUACCCAACAGCAACCACACCAUGGUCCAAAGCUGACCCACAUUCACCAGUAAACACACCCUGCCAAUCACACGGCCGAAAUACAAUGAGUAAUUUACAGACAUGUUAUGUUGUUAAGACUGUUAUAUUUAAAUACGCGGUGUCAUAGGCAUGCAGGUGCUUACCGACUGGUAGAGUUGUAGAGCCAUGCCACCAGCUUCAAUAGCAACGCUAAUGGGCUGAUGUGCCACGGCUUUCUUCAAAGCGUUCUCAUCGUAAGCAGGAACAUCUUCGUAUCCGUCGAUGCUAACGACCUUAUUGUUCUCCUGCAAUUUAUGAUUCAAAAAAAAAAAAUUGUUUGUUAAGAAAAAAGAACGUUACCCUAAAAAGAUUAUUGUAAUUAGGUUAAUGGGGAUUGAAAAUUGGGGACUGACCAGAGCAACGUUACAUUGUUGGUCGUAUGCUUUGUAAGGGUAGUCUUUUUCAGUGUCCAUGCCACCGUUUUGGAUGAUGAACUCAAAGGCAUAGUCCAUGAGGCCUCCGUUGCAGCCUGCGUUGUACGACCUGUCGCAGUCAACAAGCUCUUGCUCUGAAAGGGAGACCAAUUCGCCUGUGACUAUUUGGUUUACGCCUUCCACUGCUGCCACUGUCGAAAAAGCCCAGCAACUUCCUGCACCCAACAAAUUUCAAGCUUUUUGUCAGAUUUGUUGGCCCAUGUAGGCCCAAUGGGCCUAAUGGUGGUCCUUAAAGGCCCAAACCAAACAUGGAAAGUUGACUCCUCUGCAACUGAUGAGAGAUACAAUUUUAUUUUUUUUAUAAAUACAAACGAUAAUUUAAAUUAAUAUAAUCAACAGCAUCUAUACGGCUGAUGAAGUCACCCAGCCCAAUAAUACCGUUUGUUAUAAACUGCGAGAAAAUAAAUAAAAGACUUUUAAAAACUUUUGUUUUUUAUUCCUUUCUUUACGAAUGAAAAAGUAAUAUUCUAAUUCUGCUUUCACGUGAGCUGUCAGGAAUCUCAACUUCCAACCGAAAGUCCAAACUACUAGCAAAGCCUUGUCUGCCUACCUUUCGGUGGAUCAAUAAAUUCAAUAGUGGAGUGUCACGCAGGGCAUCCAGUAUCGUUUACUUUUCCUUUGUGGACAGAAAAAUAAAUAAAAAAGUUGAAGCAUACUUUGUAACAAAGAAAUAAAAAUAAAAGUAGAAAGAGUUGGUGUUGAACACAAAUAAUCCGAUUUUAAUCCAACAAAUCUGUUUAAAUUAAAUUGUAUCGAGACUUGAGUCAUAGAUCAAUCCGAACACGACACGAUUAAACAACCAUCUUAGUACAAAGUACCACGUAAAUCAAGUUCCUUAAUCAACCAAACAACUUUUAAAAAAAGGUUACAUAAAAAAAUAAUUAUAAAUUUAAAAUUACUGACCGCAAUUUCCUUGAUUUUUGAUGGGGUUGACGGCGCCCUUGACCCUCCAAUCCACAGAUUCAGGCAACGCCUCACCGACACGAAAGGCAUACCUUUGGCUAGAGUUCUUGGCCUUCAUGACCCUACGCUUAGGGUCACUUCUGGUGCCCAGAAACUUGGCACGGUACUCUUGGUUGGUCAGGUCAGCAAAAGCGUUCAGGCCAACCUUGUAGGGACGGUCCUGGGAAUUGUGCUCAUCGAUGAACCUCAAGUUGUCCUUGAAGAUCUCGAACCUCCUGUCUUCCUCUCCAAUCCCGUUGUAGGUUUUCUGGUGCUUCACAAGCCAUUCUUGGUAGAUUUGUUUGACCUCGGCCUCGCUUCGAGAGCCGACGCCUGAGGCAUAGGAUGAAAGGGUGAAGGAGAGGAGGAGGAGAGUGAAGAUGGUUAGGGACAUGGUUGACGACAUGGUUUGGGAAAGAGGGUGUUGUUUGUGUUUCUCCAAAGAGAUGUGUGCAGAAAGGUUAGGGGUCCUUCGGGUUUAUAAAGGAAAAGUCAGGAGAGUUUAAUAUUCAAGAAUAUUGGUGUGUCAUAAAGGAUAAAUAAUGUUUUCGUGUGAAACUUGUUUUGUGAAAGGGGGAGGAUAAAUUUUUGUGUCCAACUAUAAGACCGUCACAUGUUAUAAUAUAAGUUGACCAUGAGUGUAUAUUUUAGGGUUAUGAUUUAUAACUGAAUACUUUAUAUUGUUAAAUUAUGAAUUUUAAUCGGUUCUUACCCGAAUCAACUUAAUCAAUAAUUCAGAUUUUAAAAUAAAUAAGUUAUGUUGUGAGUGUAAUAAUAAAAGAUAUUUGUAUGCCAUUAAUGUAAAUAAAUGGUAUUGGGAAAGGGAGACGAAAGAGGAUUGGAUGGAUUUCAAACUGCCACAGACACACCAUGUGAAUUUAGUCUGGUUUGGUCCAACAAUGUAUGAUGUAUGGACUGCGGAAGCUGCAAUCAAUAAUAAUAUUGGGGCUUGGGAACUUGGAAUUUGCCAAGUUGAAGGAACUCGUCUUCCCGUGCAGGCUGCAGGAAAUGGGUUUUUGCCACGUUGAAUCCACUUACUGGUUAACUUGGAGGUAAGGUUUGCUCCUUCCUCCAUCCACCAGUCAAAGUGCUCGAACAGUGUGCGAACGGGUUAAAGCAGCCUAAAGAAAAGAAAAAGGCCUAUCAUUUUCUUACCCAAAAAAUGGAAAAAGAAAAAGAACAAGUUUCUUCAUCAAGAAGAAGGAAGGAGCAUGAGACUGGAAAUAUAGUUAGAUUCAUUCAUCCAUUUUAUUAUUAAAUCCCCAACUACUUAAACGAGUUACAUUGAAUCAAAUGCGAAGAUGAUCUAAUGGUAUUCUUCAAAAAUUCAUAUAAAGUAUUGACAUUUAAUUCAUAUAAAUAAAAUAAAAAAUCUUCAUGGAUAAGUAAGAAUUACUUGUAUGAGAAGAUAAUAGAACGCUCCAGCCUCAUCAAAAUGAAUAUAUGUAUAUCUCAAACUAGCUCUUUUAUGAAUUUUCCAAAUUCUAUGGAUGGACCAUGGUAUGGAUGGCCCAACUUGAUUGUCUGUCUCUCUUUUACUUGCAAGUUGGAAGGUUGAGUCACGUUGUAUGGAUAUGUAUAUCCAACUAACAGUCACUGCCAUGAGGUGAGGAAAUCAAUCAAUCAAGCAACUACCCGUCACCCAUGACCAAUCAUAUACUGUAUACACUCUCUCUCUCUCUCUCCCUCUUCCCACCAUUCCUCUAAUAAUUACAGCACUCAUUAAUUCGGCCCAUCACACCCGUUAUGGAGGUUUUUCAGUUUAACUCCCAAAACGAACUCCUUUAUACCCAUACCUUAAUUCUAUAAACAUGCAUGAUGACGGAGAGAGAGAGAGAGAGAGAGAGGAGAGUCCUCAAUUGUGAAAGUAUGUACAUAGAUUCUAGUUUUUUUUUUUUUUUUUUUAAUUUAAUAAUUUUAACAAAUGAUCAAAUAAUUACAAGAUAUUUUUAUGAAUGCACACAUUACAAGACUACACUAUCACAAAUCAGAUAUCGAACUCAUAACAAAUAUAUUAUUCAUGUUAUUCCGUGAAUAUCAUAGACUGCAAAACCCCAUAUUUAUACAACACGUUAGAACAAUACAUAGAUCCUAAUUCGUAAUUUUAGAGGGUAAACUAAUGUCCAUCAAAUGGAGAAAUACUUGUCAACAUGCAACAAGUAUCUUACAUCCGCUUAUAUGCAAGACACCCUUUGUAUGCAAUAGGUAGGCAAGUUUUUCUCCUUCGGACAAGAGACGCCUACAGUUAGCGAGCGUUUUUGUUUUUGUUUUUUCCAAAAUUGGGCUUUUUCUUGGAACUUCCAAAGAAUGCUAUCAGUGAGCCUUUUAUUUUGUGACUUCUUAGCAAAAAAACUUGUAUGAAACGGGGAUAGUAUUAUUUUACUAUCUUCGGUCAAUCACAGACUGUCAUGUGAAAAAGUUAUCACACGUGAUAUACCGUGAUUGACCGGAGAUAACAAAAUAGUGUCAUCCCUAUUUCAUACAAGUAUUUCUCCUUCUUUAGGGCUUAAUAAAACAAAUGGGUCUAUCAAAUGGAUUUUUGUUUUUCUUUUGGGUGCGUACAAAACAAAGGGAUAAUGAAAUGUGCCCGAGCAAAGGUUUUGCUCUCAUUGUCUUUGGGCCAUUUAUGGACGUGUCACUCUCAGAAAGAAUUGCAGAUUACCAAGCUUUUGAAAUGAACGGAAAGGCAUUGCUCAGUCAUGUUGCUUCCAAGUAAAAUCACAAAGGCAUUGGCUUGAAAUGAAUGGAAAUUUUAUUACAUUUGGUGAUGUAUCGUUUCUACGAAAUCCAACUGAACACAACUCUAUAAUUCCUAUUUAGAAAAAUAUGUAUAAAAUUUUGAAUACAACUUCCUGCAAGGGAGCAGCAGAUCAGAUGCAGCACGACUCGGUUGAUGUACUUUUCUGCAAGAGGCCACAAUAUCAAGCACCCAAAUCCCCAAAAGAAACAAAGAAUUGUGAAACUACUCAAAUGCACAUAUCAACUGACUCCCUAUUACAGGUGCCUAACUGUACGUACCCACCGAGAACAUUUGCUUUUCUGCCACUUUCAACUAAAAUUACCGUGAUCCCUCUUCAAAUGAAUUUCGUCGAUGCUGAAGACCCAAAGAAGUCUCAAAUUCACACAACUGUAUAUUUUGAGCGUCAAUCGCAUGUGUUUCAGUUUUGUUCAGUAUGCCUUGCAGUAGCCUGCAUGUCGAUCAUUUUUGUCUCGCGCUUUCUCUUGCUUCGAGAACUUUUCUUCACUCUGGUUGUUCGAAUUUUUGUAGAAUGCUUCACUAUGCGCUCUUCAACUCCAGUUUCUACUUUUCCAUCAGAUGGGAGUUCAGGAGGAGCAUCAGGCCAUGGAGUACGUUUCGAUGGUACAGUAAUUUCCAAAGGAGGAUCAAUGGUCCAUCUGUACAAAACAAAAUUCAAACUAAUUACUCAAAUGGAUUGCAGAAUAAACAUGAUGAAAAGCUGACUACAAGGAGAAUCAAACAUAACUAUAGAUCAAACUAUGAUGGUUCAUGGAUGAAAAAUAUCACACAUUUCAAGUGAGAUAAAUUUCACUAUUGACUAUCAGAUCACUAGAGUUCAACAAAGAAAGAGGGACAGACCCAUGAUUUCAGAAUGGGGUGGGCUAGAUUUACUUAAGGGUGGAGGUUACAUUUUGGACUGGGCUAAACCUUAAACCUAUAUACUAACUAUACGGAUAAAAAGGAACAAAAAAUCUCACCUGGGCUUGCCUUGGGACCAUAAACCAUCAACAUCCUUACCCACAAUUAUCGAUUCUUGCUGGGACAAGGAAAUAACAAUAAUACUAAUGUCCUAUUAAAGCAUUAAAAAAACAUAAACUAAAUACUAGGUGCAAUUGCACAAAUUCAUAAAGGAGCGAGGUUCAAGUUUCCAAUCAGAAUUGCUCUCAUGCAACCAAUAACUAAACUACCAAUAGCUAGGUAAAUGGACAUCAAAUAUAAAUCCUAGUUUAUACGAAUAAAAUGUUAACACAAUUAUAUCUGUAAUACUCGAACCAUCACAUGUGGGCCUCCCCGACCACUGCAGAAUUUAAGCAGUAGAUUCAAAAGAAAUUAUAAUGUUGCAAUAGGAAAGAUUUUUGUUGGUAUCCACUGUAACAAGAAACUUAACAAUUAAGAUGUGGGACAACAAUUACAUAUACUCUGGCAUAUACACUACCAGCUAUGAAACAAAACUUUUCUGUCAAACUCAUACCACAACCACCACCAGCUAUGCAUAACCACAAUUUUCUCAAAUAUCAGACACCCCUUCAAAAUGUUAUGGCAUGUUUACUUAACUAAAACCGGGAUGAGAAUUAAUUUAAAUAAGAAGGAACUGGAAUAAGUCAUUAGUCAUUGCCAUUAGAAUAUUUAUCAAUUGUCUACAAUUAGAAUCAGAAUAAGACUGAUUACCACUGAGAUAUUUACUAAGUGCAAAACCAAAUGGGCUUGUGUUACCAAAAUACCUUUCUAUAAAAUAUUUUAUAUUUUCCUUACCUACUUACUAAUAAAAUAUUUCAAAUGCCAAAAUUUGCAUUUACUGAUAAUAAGACUAUCGGAAUACCUAAAAAAUACAAAAAACAGAUACGCCAUAUGUGCCUUGAAUCUAGGUAUGGGAUUCGAAUUUUGGACACAAGUAAAUCACCUAAAUUGGCUGGCAAAUAUCUACCUAUAUCCAUAAAAAACUUUCACAGAUUAUCAAGUAGUUUGCCAGCAUUGUAUAUGAUAGAUAACAUAUAAUAAGUUACUAAGGUAUACAUCACCCCAUUGGGAUUUAUAAGACAUAAAAGGCAAAAAGGGGAGCAUCUUUCAGUGUCACCCCCGAACCUAGCGUGCUGUUCAUCAGCAGAUCGAGAAAUCAUACAAGUUAUGUAGCACAUUCGUACAAAAGUUCAACAAUAGAGCAAGAGCAGCCUAAUAUGGACAAGUUUAAUACUUCCUAACAUUUUUUGAGUAUAUUUAACAUGAUUCAAUAAUAAUAAUGAACAGACCCAAGAUAAUUUGCACAAAUGAAUAAUAGGAGCAACAGAUGAAAGAAUAACCUGGGAGGAAAUUUACUAUCGAAACGGGCUUCAACGCGGAGCCACCAGAUCAAAACUUGCCGCCCACAACUUCCAAGUGGCUCAACCAUAGAUAGGUCCUUCAACAAGAAAAGAGGACUCCCUAUAUCCUCAUCUGCCCCACCUAUACUAUCUAGAUCCUUAACCCACUCUGGUUUAUCUUCAGCUCUAUUCCAAAGCAACCGGGAAUUCAACACAAACCCAGCCCACUCCAGCUUCCUGGGUAGUACGGGUGCUCUAUCAUCAAUGUAAUUUGCACUCUUUCCCACAUAGGGCAACGAAUUAAAGGUGUGCCAACCAACCAACUUAUUGGAGGAGUUACAAGCAGGACCUUGAACAGGCAUUGAUGGGUUCUCCCCAUCCUCCUUUUUAUGAAUCGUGGAGUCAGACAAGUCAUAUGCAUUCUCGGAAUGAGCAACUAUUCCAACCGAAACAGCACCAAACCAUUUCACGUUCUGCAUCUCAUCAAAAAGCUCCAUGCUGUGCAUAUUACUAUCAUCCGCAAACAUCACAAUCCCAUCCAGCUUCUGUUCUCUCACAAUUCUGCUCCAUCACACAAUCCCAAAAGUCAAAUUCAUAAACUAAACGCAACCCACAGUUUAUAACUAAAGAUAUCUUCAAUUGCUUCAUUCUCACAAAAACUAAUAAAAAUCCUCAGUCUAAUUAGAUUAUCCACAAUCAUUUGGUUAAGCUUUUAAGUUUUUUUCUUCCAUGAAAUUUAACAGCAAUCUUCUGAGAACAAUUAACAGAAGUAAAUAAACAGACAGCAAGCAACUGAGCUAAAAGCACUCGAGAUAAACAAAAUGAAGAUGAAAAAACUGAGAAUUCACCUCAAAGCAUGAAGUCGCAUCCGAGCCUCCAACAGGUGACGACCUUCCCAAGUAUUGGGCAUUCGCUGAUCGAACCCAACGUGGAUGAUCCGAAGCCCCGACUUGGAAACAAUCGAGGUCGUCUCAUUGGUAACCCCACCGGCCUCGACGACGAUCCAAACGACGUCGUACGGGACCAGCAUAAGCGAAUGCAUUACGCCAGUCAAAUGUAGAGCUUGGAAGGUCCGAGCGUAAGUGGGAGUGACGGCGAUGACCGUUUUGGGGUUGUUGACUCCGAACUGUCUCCGCUGCUCCCUCUGAACCGUCUCAAUUAUCCGAUGCGCCUUCAUCGUCUCGGUCGGGUUCGGAUGGGGCCAGGGUCUGAUUCGGAUCCCGUGCCGCCCGACGACGACCCGGCUACUGGAGCUCGCGGUGGUGGUAUUCCUGUUGAGAGUGAACUCGAGGUUCGUGAUCGGGUUGGCGGGGAGGUCUAGGGUUCCGGCGAGCUCAGAAGCCGACCGGAAAGGCACCGGAUAGAGAUUCGAAGAGGAGGUGGAGAAGAGGAAGAAGAAAACAAGUCGAGAGAAGCGGAAGCCGAGGACGAGACUGAUGAGGCAGCAGAGGCCAUGGAGCACGAGCCAGAACACGGUCGCAGGAGACUUAAUCACGCCGUCCGACGACGAAUCCAACGGCCCUGAUCCUCUGAAGCUGUUGCUCCGUCUGUUGAGGUAGCUCUGCUGCAACGUCGAGAGCUUCAUCCCUCUCUCUCCCUCCUUGGAAUCCUAGAGAGAGAAAGCAGAGCUAGAAUUUGAAGUGUGGUGGUAUGGUGUUUGCUGUGUGGUCGUCUUGACUAUAUCAUUUGAGUUCCUUUGAAGUUAGUUAAGCGUGCAGACAGGAGGUUGGGGAUGGUGGCGAUGAUGGUGAUUUAAUCUUUGAUUAAUUAGCUAAAUUAAUCAGAGAUUUCUUCGAAUUCACGAAUGAAUAUUGAGGUGGUUAGAUUUGCUUUGCUUUCAAUUUCUUCUGUAUUUCUUGUCUGCUUUCAGACACAAAGCAACGAGAGAGAAAGAGGAGAGAAAAAGAGAGGAGAGAGAGAGAGGCCCAAAAUUGUGGGCCCAGGUGGGCUUUGGUUAAGUUCGGACAGCGAGGGUUUUGUUUUGGGUCUGAGACAGGGAUAGUUUGGUUGGCGAUUUUUUGGUAAGAGGAUUUUCUUUGCUUAAUUACACGCUUUUAAUGCAAGCAACGAUUUUCUUUUAUUCUUUUUUUUUUUUUUAAUAAUCAAUUAAUUUUUUAUUUAAUUGUAUGGGGUUUUUUUUCUCUCAAAGUUAAGAAGGAGAGGGAGGAAAACUCACACACAAAUAUCAUAGAGGUUUGAAAUCAUGAUCAUUUAGGAGCACAUCAAAAGUCUGGACCAAUCCAACUAAUACUUCAUUGAUAUUUAAUUGUAUAGAUUUGCUUCUAUUAGUUGAUGAGAGUGUGACAUUUUAUUAUUAUUUGGUCAACUAAAUGGUUGGUGGAGUGAGACCUAAGGAGUGAGGAGAGUGAUAGAGAUUGACCAACUUUGGAUUAAUUUGGGGAUGGAAAAUUGGAAAAUAAGGGUUUCCAAUUUCAACAAUCAAUUGCUGAUUUGAAGAAGUUGUUAAUGAGAAAUUAGGCUAUGGGAGUUAUUGACUGGUUUGAAAAACAGUUUGUGGGGAAUCUAAUUUGUGGUUUAUAUUUGGGUCUAAUUAAAUGCUAGCCUAUUUUGUAAGAUAUGAAACCUAUUAGGAUGCAUAAUUAGCAAGAUUGACCCAUAACAGGGUGGGGUUGUAACCUGACCCAGGUUAGAUUGGUCCCACUCCCAAAAAGUUUAACUCUAUAUCCGAAUUAAACCAACUUAACUUUGUUGUUUUUGGUUGACCAAAAACACAGUCCUGAACCUGAUGAUCAAAGUUUCGUUAAAAAAAACACACACACACACACACCUGAUGUUCAAAGUGCUACAAGCCCAAAUCCCUCAGGAGGCUAGGGACAGCAGCAAACGAAGAGAAAGGCCCAAAAGCUGAAAAAGGGAUGCCCAACAAUUAAACACAAAUAGACGCAGAAGGAAAAAAAACGGAAACCAAACAUGUCAAAACACACAAAUCUUCAUGAUGAACCCUAGCAAUUAACAAAUCUCAAUCUCCUAACUUGACUUACAAACAGACCUAAGCCAACCACUAAUUUAAAACAUCGAAUAGUUCAUAAGUCAGUAUGAGAAACGUUGAUUCGAAUCAUGUGUGAUUUUAGUACAAAGUCGAGCCAUGACUUUGAAAAAUCGAAUCAAACUAGGACAACACAUAAGAUUUUGAGUCUUAGAGCUCUAGUCUAUUACAUUUUUGGCUUUUUUAUUGCAAAUUGCAAAUUGCAAUGAUGUGCAUAUUAUUUGCAACAAAAAAAAGGGUUCAAAAAGAAGUUGAAGCAAGUGGUAUUUUCCAAAUUGGUGCUAUUACAAUUUUGGGAAAUGAAAGUGAUGUUUUUUUUUUGUCUAAAGGGAAAUGAAAGUGAUUGGGACACAGUAUGAAUGGUAGGAUAUGGGGUUGUUGGGUGGUUAUAAUUAAGUUGAUUAGCUCCACAACACCCUGCAUUGUUUUGUUUGCUUGAGACUGAGGCAAGCAGUCUCUCUCAGCCUUAAAAUAAGAAGAAGAAAAAAGAAGCAAGUAUGAGGAAAUCAAAUAUCAACUGUAAGUAGUUAAUAGCAGUUAUCCUUACAUUUGAAGUGAAGUCAUAUUUUCAAAUCAUCCUCCAAUAUUACUUCUGUCGGAAAAAUAAUGUGUGUAUUUGUGAUUUAGUCAUAUAAAGGCACCAAAACAACUUGAAUUUGAUUAAGAUAAAAUCUCAUUGCUAAAAAUUGAGAAUGAUUUUUGCUUAAAUUUAUGGGAACAAAUAAGAGUCGGUAAGCCCAGCCAAAAAAAAAUCAAGUCGGUGCACGUUUUAUAUAUGGAUCAAUAAUUUUCUUUGUUUUUUCCUUUCUUUUUUUAAAUUCAAAAUUGUAAACCAGUUAUGAAAAUGCUUGGGCCUGGUUUAAACCGUGGGCCACAUCUCACAUUUGCCCAACAUAAUAACCCAGCCCAAGUGAGAAUAGUGGACCUAGGAUAGGGAUGGCAAAAAUCCCUGCGGGGGCGGGUCCCUGUCGAGUCCCAGACUCUAAUGAGAGGAGAUUUCGGGGUCAAAUAGAUAUCGGGUACAGGGAUCCCCGAACUUAAAAAAUCCCCGACGGGUAUGGGGAGGGGAUGGUAUUGGCGUCCCCAUCCCCGAAUCCGACCCGAAAAUAUAUAUGUUUAUAUUUAAAUAAAUAAAUAUAUAAUUAUAAUAUUUAUGUUUAACCCUAAGUUAAUCUCUCUCUCCUAAUUCUUCCUAAUCUUUUCUAGAAUUUCAUAUUGAUGUGAUUUUGAAUAGUUGAGUUGAACUUUAUAGUUAAUUUGGAUGUGUUGAAUGAUAAUUUAAUAUGAAACUUAAUGUUAAAAUAUAUGAUAAAUAUUUUUUGUGCAAAAAAAAUUGGGGAUUCGAGGCGGGUAUGGGGGAUAGUCCCCCGACAGGAACGGGGACGGGAAUUCCCCGAAACCUAUUAAACGAAGAUAGGUUCGGGGAUGAAGAGCGGGGACGGAGAUGGUAUUGUCAUACCCGGCCCGUUGCCAUCCCUAACCUGGGACUUGACUAGCUUCACAUUAUAAUAUUUGUUUGAAUUUAGUACUACUUCUCAUAAUGUUGCAAAAGAAAAACUACCAGACCAAGCGUUAGUAAGAGCAUUUAUAAUAGGCUCUCUAAAUCACAUUUUUAGACAAAGUUUGAGGAGGAAUUAGAAAAAUACAAUCCAACAUGCUCCCUAUCCACCUCCUAAAAUAGGAAGACCUCUAGAAGCUCCUAAAUCUGAGGAGAGAGAAAGUAGUCAUAGUGGCUCCCUAUAAUUUAAUGCUGCUUUAUUUAAUGAGUAUUUCAAACCUUUAAUUAAUGCUAAUUAUUUUUAUAUUAUUUUUAAAUAGAGAUGGACCAAUUAAAAAAGAAUUAUAGCAUUUAUCACUCCCUAAACUAGAGAGCAUGAUUGAAGUUUAAAUUUUAUAAAGAGCUCCUAAGAUAACUUUUAUAUGUUUUUAGCUAAAAUUUAACUAAAAAAUAGAAAGCAUGAUUGUGGAUGCUCUAAGUAGAUGAGUAAAAGCAUCUCCAACAAUAGUAGCAAACAAAAUCUUUAAAUUAAAGUUUGUUGACCUACUUGGCAAUUUGAAAAGCCUUAUUUGCUACUUGAAUAAUUUUUGCUCCAACAAAUUCUUCAAUUCAAUUAAUGCAAUAUCAUUAAAAAAUAAAUUAAAAAAAUGAAGAAAAAAAUUGUUUUAAAUGUCUAUGUAUUUAUUAUAUGAAGAGAAAAAAUUGCAUGUUUUUAACAUUUUCAAGGAAGGUUUUAUUUUUUUCAAAGCAAAUGUUUGAAGAGCUAAAGUCAACUUACCAAUCAUGAAGAGAAAGAAAGAGGUUGCAACUUUGAUAAAUGGUUGUUAAAGAUAAUUUUUCUAAUGUGACUCACUUGUUUUAAAAUUUUAAAACUGUUGAAAAAGCUAUUAUUGGUGCUCAUCAAAUUCUAACUUACCCAUUGAAGUCGGUUGACUAAUUUUGGACGUGAAUAAUUUUUGUUAGCUUAUUCAUACAAAGUAUGUUGGGUUGGAAUUCCAAAACAUCAUUAUUUCCUUCAACACCAAGGUUUCUCAUAAGAGUCACAACUAGGCUCCACCAGUGAGAGAAAAACCAACUUAUCUUUCGUGUAGUUAUUGUUUAUGCAAGAAUUUAACUAUGUAUAGCUUUGACUAUCUUCCCUUGCCUUUUCCCAUGCUGAAGACUAAACUAGAAGCUCAAGAAUAUAAAGUGGACCUCAAAACACAAGUUUCAUUAUUAUUAUUUGAACGUGUGGUUUAAAUUCAAGAAACAAUAUAAGUCUGGUAAAAUAACAUUACUCGUAAUUUGAGUCUCGUCCACCGUCCCAUGAGUCAAAAAGGAACAAAUGAAUAAGAAACGAAAGAUAGGAGGGGAUGGUUGAUGGUUGUGGAGUUGGUGAAUAAAUCCAUUCGAAUUCAAACGCCAUAUAUUAGAGGUUUGUCCAUAUACAUUUGAAAUGGAUAUGGGAUGAUGGGAGUGUGUUGGAUGAUUAGAUCAAUAAUGUAAUAACAAGACACAUGCAUGUGAGUUGUGACUGGCUUACAUCGUCCCAUAGUGGUUAUCAAUAAAAUUCUCCCUUACCUACCCGAUCACAAUUCACAAUCAAAUUUUAUUCUCUUUUAAGAAACCACAUGCAUGCUUCUUUGUUCUUCUAUGGAAACCAAAAAGCAAUGCUCGACUUUGGAUUUAUAUUCCUAAUCCCUCAUCAUGAUAGAGAUCCUCUUCACGUAAUGAGUGUUAUAGACAUAAAUAUAUAUGCCUAGCUUUAAACAUAGUUUAUCUAACUCAAAAUAUUUAUAUGAUCCGUGGAUAUAUUAUAUAUGCAAGCACAUUUUAUUUUAUUUUCAACUACCAUGCUAGAUAUUGUCUCCUCUUCCUCUACUUAAUCAAUUUUAUGAAAACCAAUUAAUAACAAGAUCCUCUUCCUUCAAAUGGAUUAAGAAACUCAGACCCCAAGUUAGCCAAUGUGAAAGCUUAAUAUAGAAUCCGUAGGCUUCUGGUUUAAUUUACUUUGUGCCUCUUUCAAGUUGUGUAUUUCCAAUAUAUAUAUAUAUAUAUAUAUAUUUUAGUUGAUUUAUACUAUUCUUUGGUUUAUAAUCUAAAAAAUUAUGGAUGUUACGUCGGUAUUUAAUAUUAAUUUUAAACAGAGCUUAAGCAUUAUUUAAGGAUGAAUUAUGGAUGUUACGUCGGUACUUAUGGCUAUUGGCCGCCCCUGUAAAUUACUGACUUUUAGGUGUGAAGUCAAAAUUUAGGCAGCCAACUUCAACACGUUUGUUUUUCCCUCUUCUUAUAAUUCAUAAAUAUCACCAUUUAGUCAAUUUCCUGCAGCUUUCCGGCCAUUGACUUUUGUACCAAACUAGUCAAUCAUAAAUAGCCUAUCAGCCUCACACGUGCCUAUUGCACGGGUCCAAAUAUAUAUAUAUAUAUAUAUAUAUAUAUAUGUAGGGGGCGGAUCCGUGGCACCAUAUUUUAUACAUAAGUUUUGACAUAAUUUUUGGACCAUUAGAUUACUUCACUUUUAAUGGCUGAGAUUAAACCUAACAUGGCAAGACAAUAUAUAUUUUUUAAUUAAUAUUUAUAUAUUGGAAUUAAAAUUCUGAUACUAUAUUAAUUAAGAAAUCAUUCUCUCUCAUGUCAUUAAUUAUCUUUAAUUAAUUCAUUCUCUCUCUUCCUUCUGAAGAGAAUUGAUAAUAAAGGCACUCUACCAAUUUUGCUUUGCCUAGAUUUGAACAGUCUAGGUUAAGCAUAUUUCUUCCAUUAAUAUAUUCUACCAAAGAAUAUGCUUUUUUCUUCUUCUGUUUUCCUUGUCCACGUAAUUGGUAACUGCUAAGAGGUUUGUUCUUUUUCUUUUCUUGACAGAUGAGGAUUCAAAUGGCGCAAUCGAUCAAGAAGAGAUGAAAAAAUGUUUUUAUAAACUGGAAGUCUGUUUUACAGAUGAGGAAAUCAGUGAUCUCUUUGAGGCAUGUGAUAUUAAUGAGGACAUGGGUAUCAAGUUUAAUGAGUUCAUUGUUCUUAUUUGCCUAGUCUAUCUUCUCAAGGAUGACAGUAAUGACGUUCACACUGUAUCCGAAACACAAAACUUUUAUUCUACAUAUUCUUUUUUAGCUACCAUUUGUUGCUUUUAAACAAUUCAUAAUAUCAGCACGACUGGAUCAAAACUUAACACUCUCACCAGAGGAGGAGGCGAGAGAGAGAAAAAAGGAGCAGAGGCAGAAGAGGAGGCGUCAAUUCUCUUUAGAAGAAAGAGAGAGAGAGUGAAUUAAUUAAAGAUAAUUAAUGAUAUGAGAGAGAAUGAAUUCUUAACUAAUAUGGUAUCAGAAUUUUAAUCACAAUAUAUAAAUAUUAAUUAAAGAAAAAAUAUUGUUUUGUCAUGUCAGGUUUAAUCUCAACCAUUAAAAGUGAAGUAAUCUAAUGGCCCAAAAAUUGUGUCAAAACUUGUGUCAAAAAUAUGGUGCCACGGAUCCGUCCCCAUAUAUGUAUAUAUAUAUUUGUUUAUGUUAUAAAAUGAACUGGUAUAUAUGCGAAUAUUGAGCUGCACGUAAAGUAGAUGAGACACAGUAUUUAACGAGGUUCGGCUAUGCCUACAUCCCCGGAGAGCAGCAGCAGUAACUUUUUCACUAUGUAAAAUAAUAGGGCUACAACUUUGUGUUUACAAUAUGUAUGGCUCACUCAAUUUUCUCUCUUGGAGAAUUUCUCUCUUGCUUUCUUUCUUCUCAACUCACUCACCCUCAUUCUUCCUUCUCUUCCUCUUCUAUAUGUGUGUACUUCUCUUGAUGGAGGUAUCUAUUUAUAGGCCUAAGACAUUGGUUGUUCACCUCACAAUAUAAUUGGUAGACAACAUCAUUAAUAUUCUUCAAUCAACAACAUCAUUAAUAUUCUCCAAUCAACAACAUCAUUAAUAUUUUUCAAUCAACAACAUCAUUAAUAUUCUCCAAUCAACAACAUCAUUAAUAUUCUUCAAUCAACAACAUCAUUAAUAGUGGGUGUUAGUUGGCUAUGUGGGCUUCACCUAUUCUUCUUUACUUAUUCUUCUUUACAACACUCCCCCUUGGAGACCACAUGUCCCUAGAUUGGUUGCCUCAUUAAAACCUUGCUUGGAGAAAAAUCCAGUGAGGUAGAAAACUGAUGGAAGGAAGAAAAAAGAGUACAGCAAUCUGUAUAGCAUACUUCUGGAUGCUCCCCCUGAUUAAUAUCUCCCCCUGAUGUCUUCAUGACUAUCUUUUGGAGUGAGAAUCUUUCGGAGUGAGUGGAGGAUAUAGCCAUUAAUAAUUCUCGUAGUUGAGUAAGUAAAUAUAUUUCCAGUGAGCUAUCUCUAUGUAAAUCAUAGAAAUUUUCAGAGUCCGCGUUUCUAACAAAACUUGGGCUAUUUGUAAGUUCACUUGAAAGAAUAUGCCCGUACAUGGUGUUAUGCGGAGAUAGCAUCAAAUAUACCUCAGAUCAUCCCAAAAUGAUGGUGAUGGAGUUGAGCCCUAUCUGGAAAAUAUGAUGUCCGGUCCAAUAUACUUCCGGAAAAUCAUUAAAGUGUCCAACUGAUAAUCCUCAUAAAAAUGUUUCAAUACUUUCUUAGUAUAAGCAAGAAUCUCGUUGGCAUAAUGCUCGAUCCUUAAGUCGAGACAAAUAUUUCGUGAAUUCUGCAGAAGCUUUAAUGUGUUGCAAUCACAUUAUAAUCAAUGUACUCACUGAGGUAAUUUAUGCAUAUUAAUAUUGAGUACAAAUUUUGUGCUUCAAGCACAUGUCCUUUAGGGACUUGCUUUAUGCAAUGUCAAUCCUCUCAACGGAUUUUGUUUAAAAGAGAUUAAACUUUAUGACACAUUAUAUAGCUUUAACCCAGCUAUUUAUACAUCUUCAGGAAAUCGCUUCUGGCGAUAUGCUCCGUGCAUUUAAUAACCCUUAAAGAUAAUAUGUUGGUCUCCGUAAUUGUGUAAUAAGGGGGGGCACAAUUGAAUCUGUAAAUAUGGAGAAAAAUCCAACAUUCCUUGUUUCUGCCAGAAACAGUGUGUCAUACAAAGCAGGUAUAUUCUCUUUUAUUCCGAACACCCAAGUAUAAAUUUCAGUAUUAACAUCUUUUGGGGUUCGUACUGUGAGUUUGUUCUUUCACGUUCAUUCUCAUCUAUAAUGGAAUUACCUCAUUCCAUUUUGGCCAAUAAUAUUGUCGACAUUUAAUAAUUGAACGUGAUUCCAAUCAACACAGCCCAUUGAUGAUUUGAGUAGCUACUCCAAAAUAAAAAAAAUUGUCAUUCAUCAAUUCAUGAUCCCACCAUUCUCAUGUGCAUGUGCAUGCAUCAAUUAUAAGCAUUUAUUUGCCUUUGGGUACCCAAGCCACUUCAUGGGGCUUUUAUUAUGUGAGAAUGUGGAUUAUAACCUCCAUUGGAGCGUUAUUUAGCAGUAGGGCGUGGAUAAUCUCCAUUUAGGGAGUUGGAACAUUUAGAACCCAUAUAUCUGUCAUGCUGAAGGCAUGCCACAGAUUAAUACAUUCAUGUCAAUUAAUUGCUGGGACCUUAACCCAUAUUAUGGGACUUUAACCCAUAUAAUUUACUACGCAUUAGGCGUGCAUAAUAUCAAUAUUGACAUGUCAAAGGAUUGUCCUUUCGGGACUUCAAUCCACAUCAUUUGCUACGCAACAGGCGUGCAUCAUAUUGAUCACUGCUAUACCCAUAUUCUGUUCUUAUGAGACUUUAAUCUGUGCAGUGUAUUAUCAAUGUAUCCAACUUGCAAUCUGUAAAAUUUGCAUUAAUAAUUCAUGGAUACAUACAAGCCAUUCUUUUGGAACAGACUUAUCUCCCCAUUUGGUUACCUUUCAAGAUAAAAUAUCAAAUAAGUAUAUAAGCAUAUAAUAACACAAAUACUGCUUACAUCCUUAGGUGGGAGAAACUUUUCUCAAGUAUCAUUCAAGCUCGUAUCGGCCCAGUAAAUAUAAUGUAGCGCUUGAUGAUCUAGUUAUAUCCUGCAAGAGCAAAAUCACAACUCUUUUCUCUGUCAAAAACAAAUAAUCCUCAGAGAAUUACAAAAAGAGAAAAAAUGCAAAAAAAAUUGUGAUAUUGAUUGCAAGAGAAGGUAAGCAAUCAGGGAAGGAAGCUGGUGGGAGCAGACAACAAGCUCAGCAAUCAAGGAAGGAAGCUGGUGGGAGCAAACAACAAGCUCUCAUUUCUUCUAGUUUAGAAGAACUUCCGGAAAUUAGAGUAUAAGGUUGCAUUCACAGUUCCCUGAUGUGGCGGAAACGUGAUCAGGGAUAAUCUCGCUUCCUGAAUGGAUGAUCAGAGAUAGUCUUGCUUCUCGGGCAUAUUGAGUGCUCACUGAUAAGAAAAAUAAGUAGAUAUCGCAUCACUAGGUAUGGAGAAAACUGGAUGUCUUCUGCAAAGAAAAUUUCGUUAGUAACACAUUUAUACACAAAUACAAUGAAUAGAUAGAACCGGUGAAUUUCAAAUUAACCAUAGGAAAAUUGCGAGAUUCUCGGGAUACUUUUGAAAAAGUAGCUCCGUGAAAUCCGUAAAGCAAGAUCGGCUUUUGACGAAAAUAAUACUUUGAAAACGCCGAAAGUGCCGACAAACAUUAAUGGAGGCCACGUGAAGUUUUGGAAUCUGAGAAAGAAAAAGAUAAUAUGGGGAUCCGAAAAGAUAUUGGGAUCCUGAAAAACUGUAGCCAUAUUUCCUCCUAUAGAUAUUGCCUUUGCAAAACUUGAUUGGAGCAACUGCGUUUCAACUUAACUUCCUUCAUUUUCUGAAACUUUAGUUUUCUUAAGGCUUUCUUCGAAACCUUCUUAAAAAUGACUUCCUCUUCUUCCUGCCCAAAUUAUUUCAAUUUAAAUGAUACUCCCACAACAACCAGUGACGCCCAAGUUUGGCGUCCAUCCUUUGUAUCCAAAAAUCGUCAUCUCACAGUUAAUGAUUCUGUGAUGAUGAAUGAUGCUACUGCUGUCAUAGUAGCUAGGAAUUGCAUUACUCCAAUGGAUGAAAUGUUGUUGACAGGGAGAUCAGAGGAAGAGGCUAUUGAUGACUCAAUGGCCUUUAGCAUUCAGAGUGCUGUUUCUAUUUCUAACAUGGCUGAUCGUUUGCGUGCCAGAGCAAACGAGGUUGAGAGGUUAGCUACUGAAAAUUCGUCUCUCCAAAGAAUGCUUCAUGAGUCUCAACAGGAGGUUGAGAAACUUAAAGGAGAGAAUAAUGCCUUGUUGAAACUGGUGAGUUCAUACUCUGUUGAUACACUGAGAAGGCUAGACAUGCUGCAGGGUCUCCAAUGAAAGAAUUUUGGGAGACCAUGAGAGGCUCAUGGCUAAGCUUAAGAGGCGUCGUCCUCUUCCUUCAGAGGCUUCCGGAACAUAAUGUAUUUUUAUAGAUUUUACAGGGCCUGCACCUUCAUUGCAGGAAAAAAUCUAUCUGUUGUAUGUUCCUGUUAUAAUAAUUGCGCACAUUCUUAAACUUGCACUUGUGGUUUUUACGUCUUUUCAAAAUGACGGUUUGGAACCUUGUGCCUUAUAGGUUCAAAUAACCACAUCGACUCUCCCAAAUUUCAUAUUUCAACGUAUGGAACUUUUGGCCUGGGCUAAACGCAAAACUCAGAAUUUAUUCACCCUUUUCAAAUGGACAUGAAAUAUGAAUUGAGUAAAAGCCACGCUAAUAUCUUAUAUAUUUGGGUUCAUGAGCUUCCGGCCCAGAUAUAACAAAAUGUGAGGGGAGCCUCAAUUCAUCAUUCUCUUAUGCCAAAGAAAUAUGUGGCGUACCACAAUUUGCAAUAAUACCUCAAGGGUUGUCCAUUUAAUUGUUGGAACUUCAGGUUCUCAACACUGUUAGAUUUUGAACCUCAAGCCAAAAUCACAUGUUCUCAUGGUAUGGACAUUCAAUCCCCUUAGAUUUUGAACUUCGGGCCAAAAUCACAUAUUCUCAUGGUGUGGACAUUUUUACAAUUUUCUGUACAUAUUUCUGGACUUCAAGCCCUUACAUAAUUGUCCAUGUUUUGAGGAACUUCUGGCAUCUCAUUUAAUUGCUCAUCCAUGAGUUUAAGGAACUGCAGGUUCCCUUUUUUUUUGAAUAGUGAUGGUUUACCCAAAAUGAUUAAUAUUUAUGUAUACGUCACUAUUCAUAUAUCCGAUACUAUUCAUCAAGUCAUGAAUACGUAUCUAUUCAUGUGUACAAUACAUUUGCCAGUACAGUUAUCAUCCAUGUGUACGGCAUUAUGAACCAAUACGGUACUGUUACAUCAUUAAGGAACCCCAGGUCCUUAUUUACAUGUCAGGGAUCAAGGACCCUCAAGUCCAAUUACAUGUUUACAAAUAUAGUACCGGAGAGACUGCCAGCUCUCAUAUUAACAUCAUCAUCAAGGAUCUUCAAGUCCUGAUAUAAUUGUAUGAUGAGGAUCAAGGAACUUCUGGUCCUGAUCUGCAUACUGUAAAAAACUCAUCAUACAACACAUUUAAUCCAUAAAAUAAAUUGCUGGUAAAUAAAUUACUGGUAAAUAAAUUACUGGUAUGGACGAUAAACCCGCACCACACUUUAAAUAAAUGUAAAUGUGCGGUAAAUUAAAUUCAUAAAGUUAAGGUGCUUGUAUGGGCAUUAAUUCUGCUCCAUACAUUUAAAUAAAAGUAAAGGCGUGGACGAUAAACCCGCACCACCCUUUUAAAUAAAUGUAAAUGUGCGGUAAAUUAAAUUCAUAAAUUAAAUUACUUGCUGUAUGAACGUUAAUCCCGCACCAUACCUUAAAUAAAAUUAAAUGUGCGGUAAAGUAAAUUGUGCUUGUAUGGGCACUAAUUCUGCUCCAUACAUUUAAAUAAAAGUAAAGGCGUGGACGAUAAACCCGCACCACCCUUUUAAAUAAAUACUGUUGUAUGGGUAAUAAACCUACACCAUACAGUAAAUAUAAUAUAUUAUAUUACUUUAAGUAAAAGUAAAUUUACAGUAAAGUAAACGUGCUUGUAUGGGCACUAAUUCUGCUCCAUACAUUUAAAUAAAAUAAAUGUGGGGAUAAAAACCACCACAAAAAAUAUAGAAGGUGAAACUGUCCAUAUAAUUACCAUAUAUAAGGAUAAAGUAAAGACAAUUAUUUGUGCAUUCAUAUCAACACCACAAUCAAAUAAUAUGAUAUUAUUAUACUAAUAUAUUAGUGGAAAGCUAGACAUAUCAUGUUGGCUUUUCUUCUUUUCACUUGCAAUUAAGUUGAACUUGUUGUGUAGAGAGAUAAUAAAAUAAUAGAAAAAGUAAGAGGCAUAGAGCUUAUCCUUACAGUUGGUUUGCUCGUAUAUCUCUCUUGCAGACCACAGCUCCUCCACUACUUUUCUUCCUUACAUCAACAUAAGGGUUAGUAGUAUAGAUAAUAGUGCAACACAAAAAUUAUACCUGAGAGCUUCUUGUGCUGAUAACGUGUUAUAAAAUGAACUGGUAUAUAUGCGAAUAUUGAGCUGCACGUAAAGUAGAUGAGACACAGUAUUUAACGAGGUUCGGCUAUGCCUACAUCCCCGGAGAGCAGCAGCAGUAACUUUUUCACUAUGUAAAAUAAUAGGGCUACAACUUUGUGUUUACAAUAUGUAUGGCUCACUCAAUUUUCUCUCUUGGAGAAUUUCUCUCUUGCUCUCUUUCUUCUCAACUCACUCACCCUCAUUCUUCCUUCUCUUCCUCUUCUAUAUGUGUGUACUUCUCUUGAUGGAGGUAUCUAUUUAUAGGCCUAAGACAUUGGUUGUUCACCUCACAAUAUAAUUGGUAGACAACAUCAUUAAUAUUCUUCAAUCAACAACAUCAUUAAUAUUCUCCAAUCAACAACAUCAUUAAUAUUCUUCAAUCAACAACAUCAUUAAUAUUCUUCAAUCAAUUGGGUAGUGGUUUGGUUUGGUGGGUGUGUGGUUAGGUUUAGUGGGUGUUAGUUGGCUAUGUGGGCUUCACCUAUUCUUCUUUACUUAUUCUUCUUUACAACAGUUUAUUUGUUUUGUCCCUUCUUUUGGACGAAAUUUGUUUUGUCGUUAAUUUUUGAAAACAUGACCUUUGGUUACGGAGGAACUAGUGCUGCUAUUUUCACUCCGUCAUAUUCUCUUACUCACCUUAUAAAUUUGAAAAAUAUCAUCUUAUCUUUGAACCACUAUUAUUCCUAAACUACCUUUAAAUUAAUUCAACCAAAUUCUCUUUCCCAAUCAAACUUCCACUCCAUCUCUCUCUCUCUCUCUCUUUUUAUUUUGGUCAAAUCUGAUUUCAUUAAACCACCAGAAGGGGAACGAAACAGGAGCAAGGUCAGCAACAACAGCUAAACCCGCUAAAGACAACGAGACCAAUACAGGAUCAAGAAAGAGAAGAUAAAAAACUAAUCCAAACCAGGAAUAGUAAGUAACGCAGAACUUCUCCACCUAAACCAAAUUAAAACGCAUCACCCAUCGGAGGACAAGGUAAUCCAUCCGAGGUCAGAACAUGAACAAAGGACGCCAGUGGCUUGUUGGCCAAACUCUCUGGUUCCACCGCCCCAAAGCCAAGAGAGAGAGAGAGAGAGAGAGAGAGAGAGAGAGAGAGUGUGUGAUUUUGGGUCAGUAAGGAGAGGGUGGGUGGGUGGGCGGCGAUGAGAAGAUGGUGGGGUGCUAGGGUUUGGGGAAGAGGAUGAGGGCUGUUGGGGAUGGGUGGGUUCUUUCGAAGAGAGAGAUGGGAGAAGAGUUGAAUUUUUAAUUUUAAAGUUUUUUUUAAUAUUUACAUUUUACAUUUUACAUUUAAGGGUAAGGUAAAUGGGAAAAUAGGGGUAGAAAAAAGAGCACUCUACACUAUUGCUGCGUCUGAUUUGAUUGAGUAUAAUUUCAACGCGGAAAACAAACAACACAUGGGCAGGCGCAAGCCUAUACCUAGAAGCAACAUAUUUCUUCACCAUUUUGCUGAUUUUGUUGCUAGUUUUGCGGCCAAUUAUAAAGCUCUCAAACUAUCAUCAACCAUAUCCCAUUCUAAUGCAAUUUCUCAUCAAUCCUAUGCUUUUGUUUACUCAAAUUUUUUGAGGGCGCUACACAAUGCGUUCGAUACUAACAAAUAAAUGUAAGAUUCAGGUAAAAUUUAUAAAUCACACAAAAUUCUGUAUUAGUAACCAUGCCCAAACUAACAAAAUCAUGUGAAAGAUCAUUAUAUAUUGAUCAUCAACCUUACAAGAUGGUGUAUUAAUACUUGGCACAAUAAGUAUAUGAAUACAAAAUUCAUUCUCACGUGUUACUCAUUCUGUCAAUAUCACGUGAACGAAAAGUUCCCACACAAGUUUGUCAUGUCCAUACUCAUCACAUUGGUAUGCCCUUUUAAAAUAUUUGUAUACACAACUAACUCUUAAAUAAAAAAAAGUCUUAAGUUCGAAUUUGCAUGACCAAUUCUCCUUUGAUGGGUUUGGGUCAAAUUUGCGAUGGUUUUGGAGUGUUGUAGAGAGUAGCCUGCAAAGCCUGCACAAAAUGGCAAAUGGUUGAUCAAGGAAACUCCUAGUGUCUCCAUUGCACAUGAAGUCACUCAAGAACCACGUCCGUGGUCGUCUUCCAUUCCAAACUAUAAAAAAGAAAUCAACCCAAAAGGCAUUUCUUAAACAACAAUUUUAACCCUAAACCAUAUUAACAAAUAAAUUUGUAUCACAGCUCAACUUCUUUGGCUCCAUCCAUCCAAAUCCAAUCCCCCACCCAACUCAGUAAGCCACUGUCACAUGACACAAUGAAGAAAAAUUAUGGACGUCUUCAUGAAAGUUGCCCAGAGACAAAGUCAACUCUAUCAUGCUGCCAGACAGCAACUCUUGUCUUUUUCACUCAAAAUUAUUUCCAUUUGGUCACACUCGGCCUCUCUCUCCUCACACAGAUUAUCAGAUCAUCCACAUCACUCUUCAAUCCUACGGCUUGGGCACCAGCUUUGACCAAAUUGAAACUCUGAUAAGACUAAAGCAGAGCAGGUCAAUGUUAAUCCGACACCAAGCAUCAAACCCUCAUUAGUUUAACAAUUUAAACAGCAAAAAAGAAGAAAAACAAAUUGUAAAUAUUCGUGCACUGCCAAAAGCAAAGCUGCUGCUGCUGUUUCAAUUGUGUGGUGUGGUUGGAUCUUAUUCGCACCUACAUCUUGACGGCAAGUGCUAGUGGGCCACCGGAUAUAGAUGCCAUCAUUUUGACCGUAGACGCAUUACAACAAACACUUCAUAGGCAACCCUUUAUCAACACCCCUUCUUCAACUUCUUUUACGCUUUUCUUUCUGCUUUGGCUUUCUCUCUCUCUCUCUCUCUCUCUCUCUCUAUUAGCUUUUUUCUCUUUGGUUCUCUGUUUGGGCUCUUUUUUUCUUGUUAUGCUGAAGAGGGUCAGAGAUGGCUGUAGAUUUUAUGGGUUAUAGGAACAGCAGCUUCUCUGCGAAAUUGGAAGAGAACGCGGUGCAAGAAGCAGCUUCUGGGCUCGAGAGCGUUGAGAAGCUUAUUAGACUCUUGUCUCAGGCUCAGCAGAACCAGCACCAAGAUAAGUACCCUUCCAUGGUUAUGGACAUGGAUUGUAGAGCCGUCGCGGACGUCGCCGUUUCCAAGUUCAAGAAGGUCAUUUCUCUUCUGGGUCGUACCCGGACCGGCCAUGCCCGCUUCCGGCGAGCACCUUUGACUUUGACUUCUGGGUCUUCUUCUUCUCAAAACCAAGCCCAAACCCAAGAGACCUUCGUCAAGCAAGCUCCUUUAGAGUCCACCAAGGUUUACCAUGCGACCCCGAUCCAGCAGAUCCCGCCUCCUCUGCAUCAUCACAGUACUGUGCUUGAGAGCACCAAGGACUCCUCCACCACAAUAAAUUUCUCCUAUUCAGCUACGACGUCGUUUAUGUCGUCGUUGACUGGAGACUCCGACAGCAAGCAGCCAUUGUCGUCUUCGGCUUUUCAAAUUACCAACAUGUCCCAGGUGUCUUCAGUUGGAAAGCCACCGCUUUCGUCAGCUUCGUUGAAGAGGAAGUGCAGUUCUGAUAAUUUGGGCUCUGGCAAGUGCGGUGCUGGGUCCUCCGGCCGCUGCCAUUGCUCUAAGAAGAGGUGGGUCCCUCUCUCUCUCUCUCUCUCUCUCUCUUAAUCAAUGUCUACGUUCUAAUUAAUUCGAUUUAGUUGUUGGUCGAUUUUAACUUGUUGACAAAAAUGAAAUUUUGGGUUGUGGGGUUUGUUGCAGAAAGCUGAGAUUGAAAAGGGUUGUGAGAGUUCCAGCUAUAAGCUUAAAGAUGGCUGAUAUUCCACCUGAUGAUUACUCUUGGAGAAAGUAUGGACAGAAACCCAUUAAGGGAUCUCCACAUCCAAGGUAUAAUCUUGGAAAGUUUUGACCUUUCAAGUUCAAUUAGUUCAAUUUCACACCGUUCUCUGCCUAAAACUGUGAAAUAGCAACCCUUUCAGGCUUCCAGGCUUUGAGAUGUUUUGGUCUUGUUUUAAUCGUGUUUUGGUGGUUGUUUUCUAUGAAACAGGGGAUACUAUAAGUGCAGCAGUGUCAGAGGGUGCCCAGCUCGAAAACAUGUAGAGAGAGCUCUCGAUGAUCCAGCAAUGCUUGUAGUGACCUAUGAAGGCGAGCACAAUCACUCUCUCUCAGUUGCAGAGACCUCCAAUCUCAUUCUAGAAUCGUCUUAGAUCAUCAAAAAUCAGAAACAAUGGUGCAAGAAAAAGCCUUUGUAUGUUCAUCUUUUUCUAGAGAGAAAAAUUAAUGUGUAGCAGAGCAGUGCUAGUAGUGACAGUAGUUACAGUUCCGGCUGGACUCGGACUCGGACUCCGACUCAGUAAGACUCAGUUCCAUCUCGAAGGAGAUGAGAGUGAGUUAAAUUAGUUCAUUUUGCUGUACAAUAUGGGGUUCCUUUUUCUCUCUUCAAACACUGUGAAUUAAUCUUAUUCUUAUUUAAACCAGAAAGAAAUGAGGAUGGUGGAUUUGGUAUUAUUUAGUGAUUAGUCUAGUUGGUUUCUUUCCCAUUGGAAAAAAGAAAAAAAAAAUGGAAAUGGGAAAGUGGGUGUUGUUGGGUUCUUCUUCCUCCCUGGUAGAUAAUUUUUAUUUUUAAUUUUCUGGAUUGAUUGAUUGCUUGCUUUUACUUUGGUUCUUGUCUUGGAUGCCUACCUUCUACUUUUCCAUCCAUCACCCCAAAGUUUUCUACUUUUUCUUUUGAUUUGAUUCAAUACAAACAGUGAAAGGAGAGAAAUUUAAAGAAAUGAAAGGGACUGGGUCAAAGAAUUGUAAACAAGUGGACCAACAUGUCGUAUUUGUGACGGUUGACCAAAGGAACUUGUGGGGUUGGCAGUUGGCCAGUUGGAAACGGCUAAUUUACUGAAGGUGGGUAUCGGGUGAUUGAUGACCUUUUUUUCCAAUGCAAUUUUGUUGGUUCUUCUUUGGUCUCUUGGGAGAAAGAAAAAAAAAUUAAAGGUUGGCUGAAUUUGGAGGGAAUUGAAAGACAAGAAGAGAUAGUUGGCCUACAAAAGUCUUUGGAGGCAAAGGUGUGGAAGCCUUUGAUAUGGUAGGGAAAUUAAUGCCCAAGUCAAAGUUUGUGGGUGGGCAAUAAUUUUUUUUUUUCUUUCUUGUUUGCUUUGCUACUUCCUUUGCCUCAAAGCCAGAUCUAGUAGGAAAAUUAAUGCUCAAGUCAAAUUUUGUGGGUGCGCAAUUCAUCAUUUUGACCAAUUAUGGGGCCCUUUCAUGGCUGUGCACCAAUUUGUUCUUGUUCGCCUUUGGCCGAAAAAUCAAACCUUGGUCUGUAAGUAUGGUCCCCAAGGUGCGCUAUCCCUAUCAAAAUUCAUCAUUCACAUGUGGCUUCCUCAAUGCACAAAGUUCAAUCCCAUAAAAAACAAAUACACGUUCAUUGGUAUUGAACUUAUCAUGAUAAGACGGAAAUGAUGUUGCUUACUUCUCUUUUUUAUGAAUCACAGUUUCACAAGUAUACAAAAUAAUUCAUUAAAAAUAUAAAAAUAAAAUUUUUUGCACACGUCACACUGUUAUUAGUAAGAAUGUAAGAACUCUUGCUUACAUGGUAAGGAGGGAGCUCCAAAAUAAAGUAAAUAUAAUCAUAACAAAUUUUCUUUUUUCGUACAACCAAAAUUAAUAGAGAAUAAACUCGACACAAUACCUCGAAUGUAUUGAUUAAUGUUCUUAAUCACUUAAGCCGUGAGUUGCUUGCUACAACUAAGGAUAAAACUAUUUAGCAGAGAUUGUAGAAUUGUUUUCAUUGCUUUUUUAUAUAUAUGAAGUUUAGGUCAAUAAGGAUUGCUUAAACAUAACGUUCUUGUUAAUGCCAUAUUUAAGGAAAAACAAUGACUUUCGACGUAAGGGUAAGAAUUACUUAAGUUGUUCUGCUAUUUGUAUAAGGUCUUAGACUUGACUUCCCCGACAAUGGGGAAUUUAUCCACUUGAAAAGUCGAAUAUGAGGAAAGUAAUGCGGAACUUGUACAAAACUUGCAUCGAUAGUGUGUGAUUAUUGCAUCUUUACGGAAGUCGAGCCUUGGUCUCUUCAAACCCCAUACUUUUCUAAUCAUAGUUAUUUCACGAUACUCAUUAUUUGGUUUUGUGGUACUAGGUCUAUACUCAUCCAAAUGAAUUCAUAAUUCAACAUAUUCUGUUCUAUUGCGAAAAAUAAAAUAAACUGACAUUGGAAUGACCUCACUCGGAAUUUACUGAAAAGUAAAUAAGACUCCAGAAAAGGAUUUCGUAUUUUAUAUUUUUAUACAAGCGAUACUGGAGAAGUGCCACCUCAUCUUCCUCAUUGUUUAAUCUUAAAAUUAUUUAUUGUUCAUGGUAGAAAUUGUGCAAAGGGGUAUCAAAGUGGCAGCCCAAAUUAAGGCCCAAGUUGGUAACUAGAAUGGGCUUUGAUGGGCUUAACUCACCAAAACGCCAUGUCGUACAGCCCUAGCUUGUUUGUUUUUUUUUGGGGUCAACCGUACAGCCCUAGCUUUAAGCCUCCGCGUGCGAACAAUUCGAACCCGUACGCAAUUCACAGUGUCCUCUACUGAGUAGCGUAGCGUAUCGUCGUCCCAUCUACAACCAAAGGCGGUGAUGGGCUGCUUCUCCUCCAUCCCCAUCGUCCGCUCAUGAGAUUCAAAAUUCCCAAACUGCCCCUCAUCUCUUCCAAAACCCUAAAUCCUCUCACACCCAAGCCUCACAUGGCCUCCCUUCUCACCGCACCCGAAGCCCAAGCCCGGACUCUCCAUUCGGACCCACCGCAAGACCUCGACGACGUCCUCUGCUCCGACCAACACCAGCAACAAGAAGAACAACAGCAGAAUUUUGCCGAUACGGCUCUGUCUCGCUGCUUGAGCGGCGAGUCGCGUAUCGAGCGAGCAUGGGCUCAUUGGUCGAAGCUGGGCCGGCCCAAAUUGAUUGUGGCUCCAAUGGUGGACAACUCGGAGCUCCCGUUUCGGAUGCUCUGCCGCAAGUACGGCGCCGACGCUGCGUACACGCCCAUGCUGCACUCUCGCAUUUUUACUGAGAGUGAGAAGUAUAGAGACCAGGAAUUUACCACUUGCAAGGUAACAGUGUUUGAAUUUGGUGAUGAAGAUAGCAAUGUUUCAUUGGUUGGUGGGUUUGAUUUUUUAUAGUGUUGCAGGAGGACCGUCCUUUAUUUGUUCAAUUCUGUGCUAAUGAUCCUGAAGUUUUGUUGGAGGCUGCGAAGAGAGUGGAGCCGUAUUGUGAUUAUGUUGACAUUAAUUUGGGGUAAUUCUUUGUUUAAUAUCUUUUAUUUAUGAAGUUAGCAUCUUUGUUCAAAUGGGACUGUAUUACUAUUAAACUUGUGCUUUAAAUUUAGUGUUAGUGGGUAGCAAACAAACUGGGAAAUGUUCAAAUGCUGAAGUGAAUUCUUGUUUGCAUGUGCCAAACUAGCUCGAGAACAUUGCACACUAACACCUAUUUCAAAUUUUUGAAUACCCUUUGAUUUAUUGUGGGGUUUAUGGAUUGAAAGCCUCAAAUCAUUGAGUUAGUGUGAAUUUUUGUUCAGGUGUCCUCAGCGUAUUGCUAGGCGGGGGAAUUAUGGAGCUUUCCUAAUGGAUAACCUUCCUCUUAUAAAAUCUCUAGUAGAAAACUUGGUUCAAAACCUUCGUGUCCCCGUUUCUUGCAAAGUCCGUAUAUUUCCGGAUUUACAAGAUACAAUCAAGUAUGCUAGGAUGUUAGAGGAUGCUGGUUGCUCACUUUUAGCCGUCCAUGGCCGGACAAGAGAUGAGAAAGACCAGAAGAAAGUCCGGGCGAACUGGGAUGCCAUCAAGGCUGUCAAAAGUUCUCUCAGAAUCCCCGUCCUUGCCAAUGGAAACAUCAGGCACAUGGAUGACGUUCACGACUGUUUGGAAGCGACUGGUGCUGAUGGGGUGCUUUCUGCGGAAUCUCUUCUUGAGAAUCCAGCUCUUUUUGCUGGAUUUCGAACUGCUGAAUGGGUACCAGGGAAUGAAGAAAGCAAGAAAGAUGGGAAACUGGACCAGGCAGAUCUUUUGGUGGAGUAUUUGAAGCUUUGUGAGCAAUACCCUGUGCCUUGGCGUAUGAUCCGUGCUCAUGUGCACAAGAUGCUGGGACAGUGGUUUCGAAUACAUCCACAUAUAAGAGAAGAUCUCAAUGCACAAUCCAUACUUACUUUUGAAUUUCUCUAUAGUAUCGUAGAUCGGCUUAGAGAGCUUGGGGCAGGCAUUCCACUUCAUCUUAAAGAGACUAAUGCUGCAACUAUUUGUGCGAAUGGUUUGGCUACUUGAACUUUGUGAUACUGGUUGAAUGAGGUGCUGUUCCAGAUAUAGGAGUCUUGCCAAAAUCAGAAUUAAGAAUCAGGUUUUCCGUUAGGUUUUUGUUAUCAUUUUCGAGUUUUGUAAUGUUAGGUUUCGUGGCUCUUAUUUAAUUUAAUUCAACUGAUAUAAACUUACAUAGGAGGAGAAGACCGCCUAUUUAUUUACCAUACUACAUUCUUUUGUGGUGAUGAUUUAGUGUAUUUGAGUCUAUGGCCCCUAAAAAGAAAGGGAGAAACCUCAAUUGUAUUAACAUCCCAUUGUGGGAGAAUGGUAUUGAUUCUCUGUAUUUCGACUCAAUUUGCGGAAUGCCUUGUAUGAUUGUUGUAAUCUGUACUCUUUUUCACUUUGGCUUCUGGGUUUGUUUAUAUGUUGUAUUUAGUGUAUGAUCAAGUUCAAGGGACCAAAUUGAAGACUUGUUCAAUUCAAUCCCUACCAACUAGAAUGCCACAAUCCAUGCGGGUACCAUCCCCAUUCAACGUUAACAAUUUCAAAACUAGUUUCGCUGCGAAUGACCAUUUGGUCUAGUGUCAUUUCGUUGUCCGGUUUGUUUGAGUAGGUAUUAAGUUCAAAUCUCAUGACAACAAAUAUGAACCCAAAGAAUAUUUUCUUAAAAGAAAAAAGAGAAGAAAACUAGUUUCACCAAAUUACCAGAGUUCAUUGACUCGAUACAGUAAUGACUUAUUGUUUUAUACACUAAAUUUCAACUAAUAAACGAAGUUUGUUUGGACUUUUUUAACCAAAUGUUCUCCGUAAACAGCUCUUUCAAAUUUCUUAGCUCCAGUUGUCCUCUCUUUACAAAUAUCCAGAGGCUCCACUGCUGUAUCGAAAUUUGUCUGUUCACGCAACAAAAGCAUUUGUAAAACACAAUACAAGAAGGAAGAAGAGGAAAGGACGAGUGAAUAAAUAAACGGGCAAUCUUCACACCUCAUAGAAAUAUGCCACACAGACCCGAUAUUUUGGGGAGGAGUUGAUAACUUGAUGCAAAGUAGACUCAUAUAAACCAUUUGAGUAAAUCUGCACUUAUUUCAGAGAUGAGAAUGACUUGGUUGGUACUAAAUCCGGGUGAUGGCACCGAAAUUAGGAAGAAUUAAUUGCACAGAUUAAUAUUACCUUUAACAUGUCUCCGAUAUUGCAGACAAAUGUUCCCGGAACAGGAGGAGCUGAUAUCCACUCGCCCGAAUGGUUUCUCACCUUCAACAAGUCAUUCAAAUCAACUGUUGUGGAAACUAGAGUAGAAGGAUACAAACAGAACAUAGUCUAGAAAUGGAAAUUUCUCUUUGCUUUGUAAAGAAAACUUCGCACAAAGACUGCGUCUUUUACUUGGCCUCAAACCAUUGCUUACUGAUACAUAAAUGAAACGGAGUUUUAAUCAGAUUUUACCUGAAGUGCAGUUAUAUCGUCAUCCUGAUUAACCAAUGUCAACAAACCUGCAAUGGAACAACAUUAGAUGUUAUUGAUUUAUUGAUUUUCUACACUUUGCAUUAUCUAAGGGUGAAGAAACUUUACCAUAAUCAGUGUGAGCUCCACUGGAAAUGUUCAGCCAAAGGAACAAAAGGAGAGCAACAGGGAAAAGAAAAAGAAAGAACAUCACUUUAUGUACCCAAAUGUUAAGGGAAAAGUGCAAGCACAAAAGGCAGAAAUAUUGCCUUACCAUCCAAUGUCCUUCUUUGGAAUGUUUGAGCCAUUAGCAGAGUGUACACCUGGGUAACCAAUGAGCCGCAUCACCCAAAAUGCAUUUCCAGCUCUUUCACCUUCAAAUUCAUAUGGUGAACCACCCAAUGCUAAAGCGAUUCCACGCAUUAUAUUUCUUGAAAGUUCUGAAAGCAACAAGAAACAAAAGUUAUAUCUAGAAGAGUAUGAAAGGGUAAACAAGGGAAGAAAGCUUGGUUGCCAUGGAAAGCAUGCCUGUGCAGAGGCUAACAUAUUCCUCCAUCAGCAUCUUGAAGUUUGUGGGCUUAAUUGGCCUGCAAAAAGGAUCAUAAGACAAAACAAACAAAUCCAGUAACAUCAGGUAAGCAUAUCAUAAAAAAUCCUAUAACAAGCUUGAAACAAGUAGCAAAGGGGACCAAAGAUGCUUAAUAUGAUAGUCACAAUCUAAUGCCCAAAUUAUUAUCAACUUAAUUAUGUAUUCUGCAAUCAAGUCAAAAGUAGCAGUGUGGAAUAGCCAAGGUAUGGAACUGCGGUUUAGAGAAUACUUUUAUACACAAAUGAUGUUCAAAACUUCGACAUUAAUUAGCAGUUUACAAUACCAAGGUCAUGAAAUAAAAAAUAAUAAUGAAUUUGUUCAAUGGCUCUCAGGAUGACUGUGCGUUCCAUGCCUCCAAAUGGAGAGCUUGGAUAGAAGCCCUUAACCUAGAGGCCAGAGCUAGAAUUGUACUACACUAAGUAAACAAUGGCAGGAUAACUAUCAGUUCAGUCAUGAUGUUAGAUCAGCCCAAGAAUUAUCAUAUUACAGAGACGAUCUUUUAGCCAUCAAGAUAAGUACAGACUGUAAAGUUGAUUGAUACGAAUCUCGAAUGCAUUCUUGCCUACUUAAUCUGUAAUGGAAGAUUUAGAAAAGGCCUUAAUUUGUGCAUACCAUUGGUUACAUCCUUCCAUAGGUUUUCCAAGAUCUCCAUACAUCCCUGGUUUCAGUUCUUUAUAGCACUGUUAGAGGUGAAACAAAAUGAUAAUGAUUUUGACAGUAGACAAAAGGUUAAAAAGAACAGGUCCAAUAAAUUAUCCAGAAAUAUAAAACUACAUGAUGUCUUACUUCGUAGGCUACAGAAACACCUAUAAAUCAUAAAGCAACAAACAAGACCUACAUCAAUGGCUUCAUGCAUGUCAGGUACACCUUUGGUUAUGUUCUCCCCAAUUCUCUGAUAUCCCCUGCAUGAAAAAUUCAGCCAUCUGUUAAUUCAAAGCAUACGGAUGCUAAUCAUUCAUAAAAAAUAAAAAUAAAAAUUGAUCCUCAUUUACGAAUUGCAUAUAUACGAAGCCAUUCCAACUAACCUGUAUCCACUAUCUGCAGUCAUCUUGAUUUUGAGUUUUUCUUCAUAUGGAAGCUCAAAAAACUUGCGUGUCAGAUUCUUGACUUGUUUGAGUAGAGUCUCAGGAAUACCAUGACCUUUCUGGUCAAUUACAAAGCACCAAACCAUAACACUCAAAAAAAUUAUGAAACAGAAAAUGAAAAAUCUUUCUAUCUUUCAUUGGUUCAAAUUGAAAGAAGAGAAUUCGAAGUACCACAUAGAAAAAGCCAGCCUCUUUACAAGCUUGAUCUAAUUGUUUGACAACUUGAGCAACACCAGAGUCUUGACCCAUUUUGGGAUCAUCACACUUGGCCAAAAGGGGACCAAUAUCUGCAUUAAGAUACCAAAGUGCAGAAAACACAAUACACAAUCAAAUCAAUCAAAAAUGGUAUCUUUGGCUUUUGGGUAGCAUGUGAGGUGAAAGUGAGCUAGGUGGAUGAGUAGGUUUUACCGAUUAUGGGUAUGGACUUGAAGUCUGUUGCCAUGGCGGUGAAGAAACUAGUCUCUCUCUCACUCUCACCCUCUCUCUCUUUCUCUUUCUAUCGCAGACUCAGUUCCAGAACUUGAACAAGAAUACACAUCUGUAUAUUCAAAAGCGAAUCAUGAAUUAUAAUGUUGGGCUAAUUGAUUAAUAGACAUGUGGGUGGAUGAUGUGUUGUAGUUUGUCUUGUUUGCCGCGGGUUUUAUCGUUAUUUGCCAUGGCGUUUUUUUUUUCGAAAACAGAAAGAUCCUGUGGGAUCUUUAAGAUCAUACAAAUUAAAAUAAACUUUAGUAACAAACAUCAAUAGGAAAAUUACUAAACUAUGAAUGAUUACAACUGUGCCCAUUUGCUAGCUGAUCCGCAGCCAUGUUUGCCUCUCGGAAACUCUGGGAAAUUUUACUUUAGAUAACUUGUCCAAGAGCUUCCAUAUGUCUUAUGCAAUUGAUUGGAUACUCCAAGGUAAUUGAGUUUUGUUUGUAAUGAUUGGUAUAAGUAUUUUAGAAUCUCUUUCUAUUUUCACCUUCGAAAAUUUCAUGCGGCUAGCCCAAAUUAAAGCUUGCUUUAAGACCAUUGCUUCAGCUUGUAAAACAGAGGUGUAUUCUUGUGGCUGUGAUCGUGGAAUAAUAACUGGUUUCAUGUCUGAAUUUCGAAUGAUAAAACCUACAGCAGAAUUGUCAUUAGCUAUAAUUGCCAUGGCCUUGUUGAUUGCAUCCAUUAUUUUUAGCUUAUUUACAUAAAACCUCAAGUCCAUUUUAAAUUAAACAUGAUCUUCAAUAAACUUACCAACCCACCGGUGAGUUUGUAGGUUUUUUAGGAGUUUGUGUAUAAACUUUUACGGGUUAAUUGGCCUCUUUUGUCCUGAGAUGCGUCCGCCCUACCCUUCCCAAUGUCUACAAGCUUAAAUGGGCCAGGCUCAAGGCCAGUCCAAGCCCAAUUUAUCCUAUCGAGUUAAAAGAUGGAGUCAUUCUAUAGUGAUAAGGCUCUUGGAACAUCCACAAUGGGUUCCCUAAACUACAUUUUUUUUUACCAAAAAAAAAAAAAAAACCCACAUCUUUAGACAAAUUUUAGGGAGGAAUUGGAAAACUACAACUCCAACCAUGCUCCCUCUUUAGACCCAAAAAAAAAAAAAAAAAAACCAGCUCCUUAUUCGCCUUAUAAAAUAGGGAGACUUUUAGGAGCUCAUAAAUAUGAGGAGAGAGAAAAGACUCUUAAUGGCUCUUUAAAAUUUAAUGCUGCUUUGUUUUAUGCAUAUGGUAAACUUUUAAUUAAUACUAACUAUUUUUAUAUUUUUUUUUUAUAGAAAUGGACCAAGUAUAUUGAAUCAAAAAAUAAUUAUAGUAUUUAUGACUUACCAAACUAGGGAAUAUGAUUGUAGUUCAAAUUUUAUAGAGAGCUCCUACAAUAACUUUUGUGUGUUUUUAGCUAUAUUUUAACUAAAAAAUAGAAAGCAUGAUUGUAGAUGCUCUUAGAUGAGGUCUUAUCUCUUAACUGUUAAAUCAAACUAACCAAUUUAAUCAAACGACUAACCGAUUUAAUCCAGCAUCUAACUAAUUUGAUCUAAUUAUUAAAAGAUAGAGUCUCAUCUAAAGGCUAAGACCCUCGUUAUAAAACACUUGUCCAAAGGUGACCCCUUCGGAAAUCUGUAAUGGACUGGACAUGGCAUGUUCUUAUUUUUUGUUUUUUUUUGGGAAGCGAAUGGUCUUUUUAAGUGUUAGGGGGCGGAUUUACUGACUUAACCCACAAAUUAAAAUAGGAAGCGAAGAAAAAGGAAAAAUGGUUGUAACUGGAACUUAUAUUUUGAUUUUAGUGCAAAAAUUACAUUUUGCACUUGCCGAAAAAAGAAGAAUUAUUUUCACAUGACCCACCCACAGAAAACAAAAAGAAAAAGAAGAAAAAGACAAAAGAAUCUAAAAAGGAGAGCAAAAAUCAUAAAUAUACACCCAAACCCAACCCAGGUUUACCUCCUUCAUGCCAUAUCCCAAUAACACUCUGAUGAAUCUUUCACCAUGAUGACGUUAAACGAUUAUUACUAUGAAUUCCAAACACCACCCACAACAACCACUAAGAUGCUGCUGAUAAUGAAGAAUUUGACGAUGGACGGCUGCGACAGAACUGGAAGCUACUCUCCUCCAUCCUCUCGACCACAUAAUGCCCCAGCGUCUCACUCGCCUCCACCAAAUUCUCCCUGCACAAAAACUCCUCCCCGCAGACCCUCUGCACCUCCCCGCCAAAAUCAUGCACGAACACGUGCGUCUUCCCGUUCCCGCCCUUUUUGCUCCUCGCCAGCACCCCCGACGUGAAUAUCGGCAUCACCCGCCCGGGCGCGUCCGGCCAGUCGCCACGUGGCCCGUCCACCAAGAUGACGUCCCAAUCAACCUCGUACACGUGGUUCGGCAGGUCGUUGAUCCCGAGCUUGCACUCCGAGAACAGCAGGUUCUGCACCGGCCUGCACUCGUUCCGUAUUUGCUCUUUUGCCACCGCCACCAGCUCCUUGAGCUCUUUCGAUUUUGUUGUGUACUGCACGUCGUACGCGUCGAUUUCCGGGUGCUUCUCCUCCAUGUAGGCGGCGAAGUAGCGGUUUUCAUCGAUGAAGACGGUGCGGCCGUUGUUGUUGAGGGCCUUCCAGAGGAGGGUCUCGUGGGUGAGGCCGAAGAUGAGGAAGUUGCAGGGGGUUGAGCAUUUCCGGAGGGCGUCCGAGAUGGGCUUGAUGUCGGCGUACGACAUUUUGAAUGUGUCGUUGGAUUUGGCGGAGUAGUAGAGGAGGGUGUUGAUGACGGUGGUGGGGAGCUGGGGGACGGCGGUGGAGGCGGUUGUUGUGGUGGUUAUUGUGGCGGCGGAGAUGGUGGUUGUUGUGGUUGAUGAGUAUGCGUACAAGCCGCUUGUGUAAAUGAUUGUGAGAAGGAAGGCGAGUGUGAAGAUGGACAUGAAGGCUAGAAGCCAGAGGCGGUUGGAGGUUCCUUGUUUCUGGAUGUAGGGGUGGAGAAGGAUCAGCUUUGUGUUGCUGAUGUUCUUCAUCUCAACUGGAUUGAGAGAUCAAAACAGAGAAAGAGAGAGACACUUUGAUCAGAGUGUGGCUUGUGUUACAAUGGAAGGUGAGUCUCUCUCUCUUCUAUAUCUCUGUUUCUCUGUUUUCUGUUUUGAGAAUAUUGGAGAGGGUAAGAUUUAAAGAUUGUGUUGAAUAAGCAAGCAGAAAACUGAAGCAAUGUGGGAUGAAGAAACUGAAGGUGACCUUGACCUUACAAUCACCCUCUAAGCAUUCUAGAAAUCAAAUUAUUUUAAAUUUUUUGAGAAUGAAUUGUUUUAUUGUUAUUAGUUAUAACUGCUCUUUAGUUGGUGGUUUGUUUCCAUACAAUCUUUUAUUUGUUUAUGUUCUGUUCAGUAUGUAUGUGUAUGUAUGUAUUUCAGUGCUUGUGAAGUGGGAGUGGGAGGAGAAAACAAUGGGGGUAGUUGGUGAGAGAGAAGGUAGAUGGGUUAUGGGUAUAGGUGUUUUUUUUGUUGUAGUACUAGUGACCCCAUAACUAAUUACAAGCCUCAAGUCGCUUUACCUUGUUCAAUUGAGCUUCACAUCUCAAGUAACCUCUUUAAAUAUGCAAUUCCUCAAGUAAGUAGCUGCCUUUGAAGAUGACAACUUACCUGAUUCAGAUUGUCUGAUCCAUUCCCCCAUUGAAUAAACAUGUUUUAUUAGAAUAUGCAGUUGGGUUUGUUUAUGUUUACCAAAUACAUGAGUGAGACUUUGGAACUCAUUAUGAAGAUGACAACAUUAACAGGUAGCCCCCUACAAACAAAGAUACAAAUUGCCCAAUGUUGUUGUAUAGUUAUUUAGUAUUGUACUAAAUAUUGGUGGCUUGUCUUCCUCUGUUUUGGAAACAAUAAAUUGGCAAUGAUUGUUAGACAAAAAUAUAUUAUUGAAAUUAUUAGACUGAAUUUCUAGUAUUAAAUUAAUUCCUUGUUCUUAGUAUAUGUAUAUGCAUUUUCAGCUGUUUUCCCUUGAACUUUUCCUACCAGUGUGCCUCAUAAUAUUGUGUGCUAAGCUUGUAGCAUCAGCAAUAAAAUGUUUGCUUCAAGCCUUGAAGUAGGUGGAAUAUGACACAAAACACACCAGUAUGGGCAUUACACUAUAUAACAAAAGUUAACUUUAGAGAUACCCUUUGCCUUUCAGAAACCAACUCCAAUUCCUAUCCUCCUCCUAUCUCCCCACCUCACCUUAGAAAUUGUUGAAGGAACCAAGUCCAGGAUUCAUUAUCCCUAGCUGCCCCCCCUAACAAUACUUUAGUGCCAUUCCUAGGAAAGAUAAACUUCUCUCUUGUCCAAAUCUUCUUCUAUGCAUAAGGUGAUCCAUGGCUAUAAUGCAAUAGUAACAGAGUGGAUUCUAUUCUAACCAUAACAGAGUAUUUGUUGUGGAUUGAGCCACAAACUACUAUGAUGAAAAUUGUUGUUAUGUGGAUUGGACCACUUUUACUUGCUACUUUAUUAACUACCUCUCUAUCAAAGUGGGAUCCACAUAGGCGGAAACCUACCUAUGCACAUAGUAUUAUUUCAGGUGCUGGUGCUAUGACCUUAAAGGCAGAAGAUCCUCCCCUGGUUCUAACCACCCUGAAUGAAAGAGUGGGCGAGGUUCGAAACGGUGAAUUGAGGUAGAGUAGACUUAUGCUCCUGUAGUCAUUUGGGACUCUCGAGGCCCUAAAAAGCGUAGAGAGAGUCCGACUUAAGUAAAGGACGGAAUCAUAAAUUUUUAUAGGAGUGGGCUAUUAUUUCUUAUAUAAGUAAGAAUCUAAAUAAAAUUAUAUUCAUUUUUUAAAAGGGUAAAAAUUGAAGCUAACUCGAGAUCUGUUUGAAUCAAGUAGAGUGAUUUUUGCUUGUAAAUUUCUUUUUCCCAAACUUUGCACUAAGCUAGAACCCACCCUAGCCAUAGUGUAGCUCUGCCCCCAAGAUGCUAUGUGUGUAUAGUAUAAAUUUGUGGCUCGAUUAGCUAUGAAAUUAUUUGUUGCAUGUUUGAAAAGAAGAAAAAAUCAUUAGCUUUGUUGUGUUUGAAAUGGCGCAAAGGAAAAAGAAAGCACAACAACCCUUUCUUUUGACAAGGAUGACACAUAUUUCAAGCCCGUGAGAUCAUGAGAAAGAUGAGGCAGAUGAACGACCCUUUCCGAAAAAAGAAGCACGAAAAGAAGAUGCUUGCUUAUCUUAGCUACAAUGAUCAAGAACCAUUGUGUCCCCACAACACAAGGGAUUUUUGACUUCAAACUUUCCCCACAAGAAUUAAGGCACUACAAAGAGGCAAUGGCUUUUGUUGCCCCGACACAAAGAGGGUACUUUUUAUUGCUUAGAGUUGUGUUUGGAUGAGUUGAUUAUACAUAUAGAAUUGUGUUUGGAUUAGUCGCUCACUCGUUUGCUAACAAGCCCUAAUCUUAAUAUAUUUUGAACUCCAUAACAUAAUAUAAUAAACGAUUAACGUUAGCAUUUCUCUAUGAACAAUUAAGGUUAGCAUUUCGAACAAUUAAGGUUAGCAUUUCUGUCGAAAUGAGAAUUGUGGAACAAUUUGUCCAACACCAAAAAUAUACCAAAAGAACAUGCAAAUGCUGAGCAACAAAAUAAAAAAACCACAAAACAUUAAAAAUGCCAGGAUGGAUAGUCUGACUUAUUGACGGCAUUAAUAAGAAUCAAAGGGGUCAAAUAGUAUUCUCCAGUCCAGUCCAGUCCAACUAUAUAUUAUUAUACGAAGAGUGAUCUCUACACAACGGAAGGUACGCACCAUACAUCGCGUGUGUUGUAAUCUCCGUCGCUGUGCCUAUGAGGUUACGAUAAUAAUGUACAAAUUUGGCAUGGUGGAAUGGAAAGCAACGAAUCAGCUAACGAUGAGUAAGGUUUAUCUAAAUAUCUAAUUACCACCAAACAAAUGAUUGCCCAUUGCUUACCAAGUUUUAACUUUUUUUACCAUGAAGGGAGAGAAAUUAUUGUGUUUAACGUGAGUCAGUGAUGAAUUCAAAAUUUUAUUUUUAUUUUUCAAAGGGAGGAUACUUGCUUGUUCAACCUGUGUGUGGCAUUUUAACGACUUUUCCCCCUCACAUUUCUUACUUCAUGCCUUAGCCCAGUAAUUGGACAGAUCUAUGGGUGUGACAUGAAUGCUAUGCAACAUGACAUACUGAUAAUUUUAAAAGUACACACAAAUUGUAAGGAGUGUUCUAAGUUUAAAAUUUAUCAUUUCGAAAUUAUAAGCGAUAGUUUAAACUAUGAAUAAAAUAGAGUUUCUUGCAUGCACAAUACGACGGUGUUAUAGAGGUUUGAACUUGUGACUAUGACUAUUAUGCAAAUCAAUAUCAUUUUUCAUUGAACUAGACCCCGUUAACAAUAACUCACAACAACUUGUACUAACAUAUUUUUAAAUAUUAAUAAGUAUACACAAAUUAGAAUUGAAGUAAACCUAAUAGUACAACAUCAUCAUGCUAAUGCUACGUGACGAAGUUUACAAUAACACUUACUUAACAAACAAAUGAUUACUCAUUGCGUAGCUUAGUUUUAAACCUUUUCACAGUAAUGAAAAACACGUAAGUUGACGCGCCAAAUAGAAGCAAAGCCCGAGAAAUCUGAGGCCUAGAAAACAGUUCCCUACAGAAACCAACACCAACAAUUUUUCCCACUCCCUUCCCCUAUCCCCCACCUUCACGUGACCCCCACACAGACUCCACCAACGCUACUCGACACAACCACCCAGCUGCUUCCCACUUCAAACUCUAUACUACACAAACCCACCAUGAACAUGAACCCCCCCCUCCUCACUCCAUAAACCCACUAUGUUUCCACUCCUCCCCCUCCUCCUCCUUCUCAUCACCACCGUCCAAUCUCAGCCCUCCAUUUCUCCUCCCUCUCCACCGCCGCCCAACCUCCUCCUCCCCUCCUCCGACGCCGUCGCCCUCCUCUCCUUCAAGUCAGGAGCCGACCUCAACAACAAGCUCCUCUACACCCUAAACGAGCGUUUCGACUACUGCCAAUGGCAGGGCGUCAAAUGCGCCCAGGGCCGCGUCGUCCGUUUCGUUCUGCAAUCAUAUUCCCUCCGCGGCGAGUUUCCGCCCGACACUCUCACUCGCCUCGACCAGCUCCGAGUCCUGAGUCUCCACAACAACUCGCUCUCCGGCCCAAUCCCCGACAUCUCCCAUCUCCAGAACCUCAAGUCCCUCUUCUUGAACCGCAACGACUUCUCCGGCGCCUUGCCGCCUUCCAUUCUCUCCCUCCACCGCCUCUCCGUUCUCGAUCUUUCCUUCAACAACUUCUCCGGUCCCAUUCCGCUGAGGCUGUCCGCUCUGGACCGGCUCACCUCCCUCCAACUCCAGUCUAACCGGUUCAACGGCACCCUCCCCGCUUUGAACCAGUCUUUCCUUUUCGUCUUCAACGUUUCGGGGAACGACUUGACCGGGCCGGUCCCACCGACUCUGUCCCGGUUCGACGCGUCGGCGUUCCAGCUGAACCCGGGCCUCUGCGGCGAGAUUGUGAACAGGGCGUGCAGCUCACGUGCUCCCUUCUUCGAAUCUCGCAAUGCGAGUGCUACCUCUCCGGCAUCGGAGCCGUUAGUGGAGAGUGCGCAGUCGCAAGGAGUGGUUCUGUCGAAACCUUCCCCAAAAAAUCACAAGAAAACUGGUCUCAUUCUCGGGCUCGCGAUUGGGGUUGCGCUCCUCAUUGCCGGUCUCUUAUGCCUCUUUGCAGUGGCCAGAAACCGAACAAAGACUAUCACUCAUGAAGCCACGAAACCAUCCUCCAUCAAUGAAGGUAUUGAUCACAUUCACACGAAUCCAAAUCCGAACGCUUUUAGAAACGAAACCCAAGUGACAGAACAGAGGGGGAUGCAGUAUCCCAGUAAGGUGAAAACAGUUGAUGAAUUUGAACAAGCUCAACCGAGAGCGAUUCCGAGAAGUGGGAACUUGGUGUUUUGUUAUGGGGAGGCCCAGCUGUACAGUUUGGAGCAGCUGAUGAGAGCCUCGGCGGAGUUGCUUGGGAGGGGUACGAUUGGAACUACGUACAAGGCGGUGCUGGAUAACCAGCUGAUUGUGACGGUGAAGAGAUUGGAUGCGGGUAAGACUGCGAUUACGAGCAGAGAAGCGUUUGAUGAACAUAUGGAUGCGGUGGGUGGAUUGAGGCAUCCGUAUUUGGUUCCGGUGAGAGCUUAUUUUCAGGCCAAGGGAGAGCGGCUGGUGAUCUAUGAUUACCAACCCAAUGGCAGUCUCUUCAAUCUCAUUCACGGUAAGUGUGGUAAAAACGCUGAAACUAUUGCAUGCUUUUUGUUUGUUAAAAUGUCUCUGUGGUUUUACUGGGUUUUGCUUUUCAGUCAUAUAUCACUUCUGUCUUAAUACCGACAAUUACGGGUUGGCCCCUUGGUGCUCAUGGUUCAAAGUUUGACCCCAUAUUGUAUUAUUUUUAUCAUGACAUCAUUCAAACACUUGUAUGGAUCAUAUUACACUCGUAUUACUUCAUGAGCAUGAGACGGUAAAUUCAGACGUUUUAGUUUUGAAUUUACAUACGCAAACACUUUCGAGUUUACCUAGGAGGUGAUUUGCGAGUGAUUGCACGUAUCAGAGCCUCGUAACCAAUUAGGAAGUGUUCGUAUAGAUUUUCCCUGUUAGUGAAAAAGUAGGAGGAAUAAAAGAAAAUAAGCUAGUAGUUGAUUUUUUGCACUUCAAGCCAUUGUUUAUAAGCUGUUGCUAACAAAUUGCAAUUAUGUAUGAACAGGUUCUAAAUCAACUAGAGCAAAGCCUCUUCAUUGGACAUCAUGCUUGAAGAUAGCGGAAGAUGUGGCUCAAGGCCUUGCUUACAUUCACCAAUCAUCAACCUUAAUCCAUGGCAAUCUCAAGUCCUCCAAUGUUCUUCUUGGAGGCGACUUUGAGGCCUGUCUCACGGACUACAGCCUUACCUUCUUUGCAGACACUUCUGCAAAUGAAGAUCCUGACUCUGCAGGCUAUAAGGCCCCUGAGAUACGCAAGUCCAGCCGUCGAGCCACUUCUAAAUCCGAUGUCUAUGCCUUUGGCAUCCUCUUGCUUGAACUUUUGACGGGUAAACAUCCGUCCCAACAUCCGCUUCUGGUGCCCACGGACGUGCCCGAUUGGGUCAGAGCAAUGAGGGAUGAUGAUGUUGGGGACGAUAAUCAACUUGGAAUGCUUGCUGAGGUUGCUUGUAUAUCUAGUUUGACAUCUCCGGAACAGAGGCCGGCAAUGUGGCAAGUGCUGAAGAUGAUACAGGAGAUUAAAGAGAGUGUGAUGACAGAGGAUAAUGCAGGUGUUGGAUUUUCAAAGCAGUAGUCUCAAUUUUACAAAUAUUGGAUUCAAAGAAGGAAAUGAAGGCAGGAGCUAGUGUCAAUACGUGUAUCUCUCAGAGGGUUUCCUGAGAAAAAGUUCUAAUGGUAAAUUUAUGGGGCUAAGGUUGAACGACUCAUUUAUAGGCGAAGCUUGAAGGCAUUUUUGUAAUUGCAGGCACACGACCAGCCAAUGUAAUCUGUUAAAUGGCAGAUGUAUAAUGAUUUUAUAAAUGCUUAUGAUUCGAGGCUUUGGUAUUUACAGCAGUUCUCACCAUACGAACUGUACAAUGUUGGGGGAGUUAAUGUGGCUUUUGGUGCAAGGUAGUGUCUGAAAAUGCCAAUAAAGACGUAAGGGCUUUGGUAGGCAUAUGCUGGUGGUUGGUGAUUUUGGUAAUGUUAGUGCCAGCAGAGACGGGAGUGCGGGUUGUUGUUGUUGGGGGGACCUAUGCAAUUUAAGGCCAAUUGCUCACUCUGGAGUGGGCAAUUUUUGUCUAGCCGUUGAUACAAUGUGGGCCCUAUAGUUUCGGGGUCACCCAAUUUUCUGCUGCAGCUUGAAUAACGAGUUUUCUGUUGUCUUUUAUACAAGCGACAAUGUCCUAAGCGACUAGGGAAGGGGAAUCAAACUUGAGUGUUAAGGAGUGGGUAUAUUGUCCUGACCAAACUCGAGUGCAAGGAGUGGGUACAUUGUCUUGACCAAGUGACAUAAUCCAGGUCUGCAUGAGUUUGUUGUUUGCUAAGGUGGAAAACCUAUCCCUAUUGAAUGAAAGGUAGCUGGGAUGAAGUGAUAAGAUGACAGAUUGAUCCUCUUAUUUUUUCUGUGUGUUGAAUGGGGUAUGGGUUCAGAAAGGUUGCUGUAUUUUGAUAAACAUCCAUAGAUCCAUUUAUUCAUUAAAAAAAUCAUCCAUAUCUUUUGCAAGACUGAAUUGCUAUGGCUAAAUUAUGAGCUCUGAUUUCUAGGGCAACUGUGCUUUAACUUUCAUGUUGAAUUUUAUUAUCAGCCAAGUGUAAUUUGAAGUAAAAAAAGUGUAUGAAGUCUAUGUUCAUUUGACUUGAAAAAUUUGUCUGAGUAAAACUGUCACAUAAUAAAAGAGAAAAUAAGUACAAAAACAAAAGAUCACAUGCCAAAGCCAAAUUCUGACAAACUAAGUGGUAUGCCUAUGUAUCUAAUGGACGAUGUACAGAAAAGGAAAAGGGAAAACAAAUCAACACCAGAUGUUAGCAUCAUAAACCACCUAUUUCUUGCAUGACCGUGUCUUCUUCCACCAGAUGCAACAGCACUCCAAUUUGGCCGUCUUAUGCAAGUUUCGUGAGACUGCUUGCAUGACAAGUUGGUUAGUCGAACCUGCCAUCUUCCUGCCAAUUUACAACACCCCUGCAUCCUGCAUGCAGGCAACAAAGAAUGCAGUCUCAAAUUAUUUCAAGAAUGAAGCUUUUUGUGCUUCUAUUUUAUAACAGGAGGAGAAUGAUUACCAGCAGUUACAGUUGUUUUCACCAAGCCAUAUGUUGGAUCAUAUAUGGCAGUCAAGAUGUAUGUACAAGUACAACAUGGAAGGAAGCUGAUGAAAAUGAAGUUAUCACAUAAUAUCUAUCUGAGCCUGUGGGCGAGGCCUCGAUCUAAUUAUUGUCUCAUCACUGUGCUUGAUCCAUUCUGAGAGUCUCCAAGGCUUCUGCCACUUCCAUUUAAACUGUAGCAGCCACUGAUGAUGGCUUCUCUUCCACCUCCAAAGUUUCCCUCCUUGACCCACCGUUGCUAGUUUCUUCAUAGACAAUUGCCCAAUUGGUACCAUCUGCACUCACCAUGAUGCAAUGAUGACUAUUUUCUUAAGCAAGGACGAGAAUUACAACACUAAAGAUAGCCUGAAAGCAAAUGAAUUACCUUUCGUGUCUGGUUCAGAAAUGUUGCCGACUCUUGAAUUGACCCACUAACUAUUCCAGGUGUGAAUUUGAGCUGCUUUGGUGCCGGAAGUGACCUUGGAGAUAAACGACCACUCAUAUCAUCGACGAAGUGCUUUAAUGAAGUGCGUGAAUUCCCCUGUUGAGUCCCAUCCCAUUUAAGUAGUAGUAAGAACAAUUCAAAAAUUGACAGAGAGGUAUAAAUUUGAGACAGAAAAUGUGGAGUAAAAUAUGAGCUUACUAAAUAAUGCUUUAUCAGAUAUAAGGAUGUUAGGCCUUAAAAUAACCAUUUAAAUCAUGGUAGAUAUGCAUAUUGAUCUUAAAAACAAGGGUUUCCAAAUAAAUUUCCCAAGCUAAGGAUGAGAAGAAGUUAUAAUGCAAGAAAUGUUGAAAACCAUGACAUGUUUAGCAGGUGGUCUCACCAAAGCGGAUGUACUUGAGGCAACAGCAACAGCUUGUUCUGUCACUUUUUGUUCCUUCACGAGCUCUUUUCUCUGUGCUUCACUUUUUCGCAGUAGAGUUACAAGCUCAUUCAGUUGAUCUUGCAUGUCCUUAAUUUCCAUAUUCUUCUCCCACAACUGGCACCUGUUGAAACAGGAACAAGUUAUUAACUUCACACAUUGUAAUCACAACUUAUGGACUAUUCAUUGUUAAUUUUCUUAUUUGCUGUUGCGAAGAGGUAAUAUUUACUCAGACAAAAACUAUACCUAAAAAUAUGUGACCAAACAUCAUAUACUAUUCUAAAAAAAUCUUAAACAGUUCACUGAGCAUCAAAGAAUGUGUACUCGAUAGUUGAAAUAAAGUAAUCCUCGAGAAUGCAAUAUAGCUUCCAUCAGAUUCUAUGUAGGUUGUAUAAGCACCUUGCUUCUGCAGCAGCAUUAAAUAUAUAUUGAAGCAAGUUCUUAGCAUCACCCAUUGAACGCAACUGAUUCCAACGCCCACGACCACUUAAGCUCCGCUCCCUUUCUUCUGCCUCUGACAGUUGUGAAGCCAUCACCACGAGAACGUUUGAAGACAUGCCAAGCAUGUUCUCAAGUGAAGCUAUUCUUGCCAUUCUUGCAUCCAGUGACAUGGAUAACACUCUGAUUGGUUGAAAAUACAAAAAUGUCAAAAUGGAGAUAGUAUCAUACUAACAAAACAUGGCAAUUGUAUUGCAUUGCAUAUCAACUUGCAUGUGUAGCCAUUGUCUGUUUAAAUCUGCAUAUUUAUGUAUACAUACAUCAAAAAAUUUAGCAGACAUACCUGGAAUAUCCACUCUUUCCUCUUUGGGUACUCUGCCCUUCAGAAGAAAGCUGAUCUGCUUGUUUAAGUAAGGCCAAUUCUUUUUCCAGUGCAGCUCGCCUACAAUACUUUCUCAUUAAUCCCAGUCUAAACACAUUCAUUGCAAUAUACAGAAAGUAUCAGAAAAAUAGAAGUACAUACACUUGCUUUUGCUUCUCAUAUUCGAAACGAACUUCAUACAUAUGCACCAUGACUUCCAGCUCAUGAUCAAGCCACCGUUGUAAAGAUCUUUCAUUGCUCUGGAGAUGCAACUCAUAUUGAAAUUGUUUGACAUAAAAUUAUAGCAGAGAUAAUAGAACAAAUCUCUUUUAGGGUUUUCCAGGCUGGGUUUAAAAGAACCACAAGCUUAACGAUCGAUUAGAGUAAAUACAAACCAACAAGCGAUGCUAAUAAUAAUAAGCAUACUUUUGGCUAUACAUGAAUUUCUUUCCAGAUAUGAAAAGGGAUGAGUCAUUGUGAGCGUAAGCUGUCCAACCUAUAAACAUGUUGCUGGAUUUGACAGACGGAUGUUCCCAACAUUAAAUUUAAAAAUUGCACUAAGAUGAAAAGUACAGAUCUUUACCUGGCUGGCUGAAGUAUGCCUGUUGGGGUUAACUGAUGGAGACAACACUAAAUUAGGAAAUGAGAUUAUGUAACAAAAGAAUACUUCCAAAAGAAUAAAAAAAAGAAUUACCUGAGUUGUCACGUACAGCAGAUUUGCGAGCUUCUAACAACUCCUUAAGCCGCUUGGUAGCAGUUGCUGCCACUUCUGUCUUUCUUUGAAGAACCUGCAAGAUCGAUUAAAAUGAUUGGCAACAUUCAAUAAAUUUUUUAAUAUCAAUGAGAAAAAGUAAUUUACCCCAUACUCCCAACAUAGCAUAUAUCUUGUUUAAAACCUUUUUAAAGUCUACCAAUUUAGCAAGCAUGGUGAAGCAGACAUAGAUGCACAGAGAGAAGGGAAUUUUUAUUUUUUAUUUAGGGUCGAAAUGAGAGAAGGGAAGGUUAACCGUCAGCAUGCAUUUCCAAAUAUAAAUAUUUACCGUUUUCUGGCGCUGAUUCAGAGCUUCAAGCUUGUGCCGUUCAUACUCAUUUCUCCUCCCUUCCUUCCUUAGCUGCUUGUGAUAAAAUCAUAAUCAAACUUCAAAACCAGCACUAAAUAAUACAAGAAUAGAAAGCAAUGACAUAACAAGAAUUAGCACGACUAAAAUAAAAUGGCCUUUACAAGGAAACCCCAAAAAGAUUACAAGGCCUACUUUUGGCAACCAAUUCCAAAAUAUCAGGAGCACUUUGAGACAUUAAAAAAUGUGUGAUACGAUACAAAAUGAUAGGUGAAGCCCAUUAGACCAAACCGUCCACGGAGUAAGGUAACACAACAACAUGAUACCAAAAGAAAGCAUUGUUGCACUUCAUAUUUAAGAAAAAAAUUAUUGGCUUCAAGACACAGAUUUAUAACAGUAGAUUAAGUUUGUAAUUAUUGAAAUGUCUUCAUAUUCUGUUUCAGUUCUCUCAAACAUGAUGAUAUAUCUUUAUUUAACGGGAAUGUCAUAACAUAAAUUUCUGAAUUUCCACAGUGCAUGCAACAAACAUUACAGCUCUUAACCCCUCCUGAAGAAGUAAAGAUAUCCAGUUGCUUAAAUGCUCUAUUAUCCAAUUGUAAUAUAUACAUAUAUAUAUAUAUAUAUAUAUAUCAAGGAAAUAACAAAAUCUUUACUAGGAACCCACCAGCCAUGAAUUUGGAGAUAUUAAAGAUGACCAGAUUACAUAUUUUUAUGGAAGGUAAAGCACCUGUAGCAAUUCCUUUUCACGAGAAGCCUUCCAUUGUCGAAAUUGUUCUGCCUCUUGCUUUAUUUUAUGCUGCAACUGAACCUGCAUAUGAAGAACAACCAGGUAACAAAGACCCAAAAGUUACAAAAAAAUUAUACAAUUCACAUCAUUGUUUACAGAACUGUCUGAAAUACGGAGAAAAGAGAACCAACCUUCUGAGCUUUGAUAUAUUGUAUUUCAGCUUGCAGCCGCUUUGCUGCUUCCUCACUUUUUUGUUUUGCCUUUAAAAGGUGGACCUGGUUUUCUUGUUUCUUCUUAAGAUCUAAAAUCUGUGGUUCAUAAUUGGAACAUUCAACCAUCAGCACAAAUAUAGGCGACCAGAAUGAUGGUAUCUAAAUAUUUCACAGCAUCACCUGUGUUUCGAGAAACUUUAAUUUUUGCGCAUGCACAUCUUGCAUUUUUUGUCCUUGUAUGUCAGAGUUAGUAGCAAGGCUCUCAACUUCAGCCAAUAAGCGGUCCCUCUCUCGCUGUGAUUGUUACGAAUAUCAGCCAUAAAAUAUGGGAAUAUUAAACAAUCAAAAUUCAAAUAUAUUUUAGCAAAAUAAAAAGAGUCAAACAUGUUCUAUUUGACCUGCACAAUUCUUUUCUCUUCUUCGAGUUCCAAAACUUUCUUUCCAAAGUGCUGCUUCAGUGCCUCAGUGUCAAUCCCUCCAAAAAGUCUCAUUUCAGACUGCAAAAAAGUGGAAGCUAUGACUUUGGGGUAGCGCAGAGGUAAGGUUAUCAUUCCAUUCCAUUAUAUAAAUAAAAACAUGCCAAAAAGAUUAAUGAAGGUUGAUUGGGACACUGACCGCCAGCUCAGUUAAUUCAGAAAUAAUUAAGGUACUGAAAGUGAAAAUGACUUCACGUCACACCAAAUUAAAUUUGCUUGGAGAUUGUCAGGCACGUCUACUCAAGAAUCAAGAUUAUACUUGUACAUAUUCACUACACAGUUUUUUUUUUUUUAAUUUAAUUUAAUUUAUUUUUAAAACUUACAGAAGUAAAAGUCUAAGAACAGUCCAGAUUGAUAUUGCAUCCCAAAAAAAUUUCUGUUCUUUUUUUUAGCAUUCCUGAGCCAUGUAUUCAUUUGUCUGAUAUAUAAAAUAUCAGAAAGAUUACAAUCAUAACAAAGAAGGACUAUCUGCAGACUGCGGAAUUGAAAAAUUAGGAACCUAGCAUGUUAUAAUGAAAUACUAUACAGAAAUUUCACCCCAAAAAAUAAAGAAGAUAAAGAAAUACUAUACUAACCAUAUUUACUCAUAUUUUGCAACCAUUAGAUCAGUUAUGCAUGUAUGAUAUGAAAUCAUUUAAAGAACUUAUAAACAUAGUACAUAUAUUAGUUGGAUUAUAAGUAUUUUUCUUCAAGUUCAAUGCCAUGGAUAACUUGCAUAUGGAAACAUAGAUGAAAGUAAAACCUCUUUUUGCUCCAAGCGUUUGUUCAACUCAUUCAACUCUAUAUCCAUAGUGUUUUGCAAAAGUUGAUGCUCCCACUCUUUUUUUACUUCAUCAAUUUCCUUAGAAUUUUCGCCUGCAAAAUUUGGCAAUUUAAUUCCGAAAAAGUGAAGGCCAAACUACCAAGAAAAAGAUGAUAUAUGUAUCAUAAUAAGCAUUUCAUAAAUCAACCCCAACCAAAAUUGGCCUGCUAACAACAUUAUUCUAAAUUUCCUUAUUUAAAGAAAAUUAAAAGAAAAAACAUCAUUCUUUUAAAUUGGUCAAAAUUAUGAACGGAAUGAGUGUUUACCUGAUGUAAUUUCCACCAUCUGAUAAUCAGAUGAGUCCAUACUCUGGAAGCCCCUCUUAAGUCCAUCACUUUUUGGGAAACAAACAGGGCCUUCCUGAGAGGUGGAAAAAUAUCAACAUGAAGAUCAUCCAGCAAUUAAAUUGUAAAUUGUUAUAUAAAUUUGAAUAUGAUGUCAAACUACAACCUUAAUAUACCUAGUUAGUGACAUCUAGGAAAACUUUUUUCAAUUAAAUAAGUAAAAGAUAUGUUGAAGUUGGAAAAUCAAACACAAAACCAAUUAGCAAUGGGUAGAAGAAGCUCAAGACUUAAUAUACUGAGAUUUACACCUAAGCCUUAGAAUGCUCCUUGCGGAAAUUUUAAAUUCCCGACAGCCCCUUACGUGUGGCUGCAUUGAGCCAAACACAUGUAUCAAUUACAUUGGGUGACAAUGUGAUCUGAAAGCAUGUGUGGUAUAUUGGGCCAACAUGUGGAUGAAUUGCCCACUCUAAUACCAUGUUAGAGUUGGAGCAUCCAACCCAAAACCCCGUUAACAAUGAUUGUAUAAGCUCAAGAUUUUAUAUAUUAAGAUAUAAGGCUUAACUACCAACAUGAGAUUUUUAAAUUCUCAACCAGCUAAAUAUCACUUAUGAAAGACAUAAACAGUAAAAUUCCGUUGACAUACUUGCACAUCUGUUUCACACUGCUGCACAACAGCGCAUCUGCUGCGGUAUCCAUGAAGUUCUCGACAAAGAUUCUCAUUGGUAGCCUCAAGCCAAGCAAUCCUUUCCUUAAGAACCUAUGCAACCAAUUUCUUUUUGUGUCCAUAAAAAGAUGCAUAAAAUUAAUUUAAAAUAAAUGAAAAAUCUAUUUUAUGCAAAAUACCAGCACUUCAUCUGAUGGAGCUCCACCACGAGCGCAUAGCUCUGCCUGCAAUAAUUUUAGCUGCUCUUGCAUCUUUUGCAUCUCAUUGGAUAUCACAUCUCUAUUAACCUGUACCCAAAAACAAGAAUGUUUCACGUUGGUCCAAAUUCAUGGAAUAUGAAACACCGUACUCAUCAACUAACACAGUGUGUAAAGGGAAUUUUAGCAAACCUAGUCAUAAGAAAGUCAUCUGACAAACUUACAAUAGGCUUGUUCUGGAUAUUACGAGCACGAUUUGCAUAUUUCAGAGUGUUAAGACUUUCCUCGGCAUUGAUAUCAGCAGGACUGAUGCAAGCUGGAAGCAUAGCAAAUUUCACCAAAAGUAAGAAGCAUGAAAGGCAUCCAUCUUCAAUCAAAGAGGAGAAAAAUUCCAGACUAUCUUGUUGAAAAGUACACAAAUGAUCCAAGAUUAUUUCUUCCAAUAAAAAAUUAUUUCCAUAUUGGAAAACACAUCACUCGGUUCAAUGAAAUAGUUGAGCAAGGGAAGUAUGAAUAAAUGUCACACUAUAUUCUUAGCGGCACUGGACCAAAGCACACAUCAUCGUAACAAGCUCGUAAGGGUUACCUAUCAUUACAGUUUUGCUGUUUCCACCAAGUGAGUCCUGCCAAAUUGCACAAGUGAACCCAGAUCAGAACAGGAAAAAAAUAAAGCAAGCCAAUACAGAAACUUCAUCCCCUUGAAAUUAUAUCUCAGGCAUAGCAGGCAGAACAGUCAUGUUUAUCUAACCUGCAAAAGUCGAGUCAGUUUACUGUCUCGGUAAGGGACAUGCACACCCUCUUUUCGCUUUUUCUCAUCCCCCAAUGCACUGAUGACAUUACCAAGUGCAAGAAGUCCCUUGUUAAUAUGUAUACCUAUUCAUAAGUUAAUAUUUACACGUCUCAUUACUUUAUGAUUGAAAGUUACAUUACAAUUACAUUCAGAAACAGUUUACCAACCUUCUUUUAACCGAAGACCAUCGGAACCUGUUCUCUUUGCUCGUUCGGAUCCAGCAAGAUCUACCAAAUGGAGCUUUGCGCAAAAAUACUCUUCACCUAUAUCCUCAUCUGGAGUGUCAUUCCCAGGAAAAGCUGAACGGAUUUUUCGCAUCUGUUCUAAUGUGAUUGUGAAGAUGGCAUGUGAUCGACUGGUACCACCAUAAAAAUUGGAACCAUAUGCCAUUAAAUUAUGGGCAUUCACUCUUAAACUGUAAGUGUAAUAAGAUUUUCUAGCACUUCAAUUGUUACACUAAUGCAUCCUUGCAAAUGAUUUUUUUUUAAAUCUCGGAAACAGUAAUACCAUAAACAAAAUUAUUUGAAUUCAAGGACUCUAUCAAUAAGUCCCAGGCUGAAGAUAUCUAUAAAGAACCAAGUUCCUCCCAAUUUUAUUUAUAAACCUUCAUAUUUCACAAAAUUUAGAGUUUUUCAUGCUAAAAGUUGAACAGUAAUGAGUGCAUUGGAUAUACUUAAAAACUGAAUAUUUCUGACCAUUAUGACAAACAGACCUUACCCAACAAGAUUGCAUGGUUGGGGGGUCAGAACCCAAAAAAAAAAAAACAUUGAAACUGACCUUGUCAGUCAGCAAAAAGGGAAUUUGCAUGGCAAAGAAAAUUUGACAUUCAAGGUUUACCUAGAUUGGUUGUUCAUGUUUGUACUCCCCGUUGCUCUGUUUAAUGAUCCUUGAUCCAGGCAAGUGGCCAUUUCUUGUAACGAAUUUACAGCAACUUCAGUUAAUCCUGCUAGUGUUAUAGCUCCAUUUGACUUUUCACGAAUUUGUAUCGGAUGCCUUCCAACUUUUGUGGCAUGUCCAUUUGUAGUCUCAAUUUUCAUUGAUAGAGAAUCCAACAAGUCACACACUUCUUCGUUCAGAAUCUGAAAAUUUAAACCCUCUAAUUAAUUCUGUUAUUAUGGAAAAAACAAUUGGCGAGAGAUUGUGCUAUGAAAAGUAAUAGAUAACUAGCCAUUGUAGAAAGACUUGCUGAUACUAUCAUUGUUUUGAGUUGGACCCCUCUCCAGAAGAAGGUCCCUUUUCGAGUCGCCUUAAAAAAUUAGAGAUAUUUUGGGAUCUAUCAUCUGUAAUACAGGCAAUCAAGAUUGCUUAUAAUAUUUUCCACUUCUCUUUCGUUUUGCCUUUUCCUUUUGGUCAUUGCAUAUGGUUUACAAGUUUUUCGAAGCACAUGACUGAGGACAUAUCUAUGAAAAAGUAGGAAGAUGAACAAUCUAAGGAAUGCACCUCAAUAUAGGAAACUUGCAUUUGGAAUUCUGUUUGAUCCUUCAAUAUUUCAAUCUUGUUGAACAAUGCAUUCAUAACUUGAGGAAUCAGCCCCGUCUGGCAGCCAUCUCCAGAGCCAGUUCCCAUGGUAUAUGUCUUUCCAGAUCCUGUCUGCAGCAUAUUUAUAUUUCAACUGUUAAAGUAACAGGAGACCAGAUGCAUGGUCUUGUUCAACCAUAAGGCACAUUUUGUACAGGACAGACAUUACCUGACCGUAAGCAAGUACAGUAGCAUUGUAUCCUUGGAAUAAACCAUGAAUAAGUGGAGAAAUGCAAUCUUCAAAUAUGGCAGGUGAUGGACCUCCACCACUGCCAUAGACAUGAUCAAAUGUAAAAGAAUGUGGGCCAAUUUUUAUCUGCACCAUGGUCAACAAAGAUCAUACUAUCAGCAACUAAGACAGCAAGUGAAAAAAUUGCAAACACAAACAUAGCCACCUAAUAUGAAAAAAGGUAUUAUGCCAAAUGCUUAACUUUCCUAAAUUUAUCACCUUCUACCUUAACUUUCCUAAAUCUAGAUGACUCAGUAGAAACAGAAAAUAUCCGAAAAGAAAAAUGUAACGGACUAUGAUUUAACACUUACCAAAUGAGAAGCCGGAUUUAUAUCACACACCACCGCAUAGGGUUGUUACCAAAUUUCAGAUUGUGAAAAAACGAAACUAGUUAAGUCCUAUGAACCAUAAGUAACAUAAACAAAGGAGAGAAUGGCUUCUAAUUCUUCAUGCUUUAUGCCCACUUCCAAAAACAGAGACACAUAACAGAUGAAACACAAAAUUACAAAACUCCAUUAAUUCGACAGAGGUACAAUCUGGAAACACCAACAAUUCAUUUAACUAUGCACCAAAAAGACGAACUAAACCUUACAUUAAUCUUUAACUUAAAAAACAACCAAGAUAUCCAAAUAUAGUAACACCAACAAUUUCAAUCUCAAGAAACCCACUUCCUUAUUGCAAAACAGAAAGCAGAGUACCUGAGGCUUUCCGGGUGUGACAGUAACACAUUCCUUACAACCCUGAAGGCGUUCAUCAUCAAUAAGCGGUCUAAUAUGAAGGGCUACCUUGACACAGCAAUUCUCUGAUGCCUCCAUUGAAUUACUAUCACAAAUAAAGAGAGUGAAUUGAAAAAGGGAAGAGUGAAAAAAGAGAGAAAAAGGGCAUGCAAAUAGAUGGGUUAUACAGAAAGAGAUAAAAUUUGUUAGAAUCUUGAUCUCAUUUUCUAAUCAGUUGGAGUUAGAAUGAAGAAAAUGAUGCAACAACAAGUGGGUUUUCAACAGACACAGAGAGAGAGAGAGAGAGAGACAGAGACAGAGAGAGACAGAGAGAGACAGAGAGAGUUGUGGUUGGAAAAAAGGGGAGGGCGGGGUUUAGGAUUGGUUUGAAAAGAAGACUAGCAGAAGGCAAAGGCCUGCAAGGAGGCAGAGAUAACUACUACAACAACAACAGAAGCAAUACAAUUAUAGAAAUACUUGGUGUAAAUAUACGUUACUAUCAAAUCAUUUUCCUUGUUCUUGACUGCUCAAUCACUGACCGAGUCACCCAAAAGCCAAACCAAGCUGAAGACUGUUUGCUUGGUUGCUGCUGCUGUGUGUGUAUAUCUUUGCUUUCCUAAAUUGCCCACCAGUUCCCAGUCAGUGUGCUGUGCUUCCACUUGCCUACUGUUCAGAAAGGCCAAAACUUUAAGGCCAGCCAACCUCCAGUCUUCAACCGUACACUUGGUUUCGAGGUAUUUCCAACUGUCGAGAGUACUUGGUUUCUUGCAAAAGAACAAAAAUAAAAAAAUACAGAGAUACCUUGAAACAAAUAUAUAUAAUUAUCUUUUUUCUUCGGAAACACAAAAGAAGGAGAAAAAAUAAUGUGCCUCCUCUCAGUUACCAAGAUGCCAAAACCAUAAAAUAUUAUUCUAAAAUUGCAGUGAUAUUACUGGGCAUGAAGCUGAGAAAUCUCCCACUGUUAGUUAACCUAUGCUUGAUAACGGUAUUAUAUAUAUAUAUAUAUUUUUUUUUUCUUCUUUUUAAUAUUUGUUUAUAUUACAUAUUAGAAAAUUCUACGCAUACCAAUUUUUUCUCCCACACCAGAUUAUCACAUUAAAAGGACAGCACUAGAAUAGAACUCAAUUGGAUGCGAGACGAACUUAGGAUUUUUAGAUUGGCUGUUAAAAUUCGAUACUUCACUGUAAGAGUUGUUAUACACUGCUCCUUACCUAUUUUGGCUAUAACAAGGGAAAGCCUUAGCUCUAGGUCUAGCAGCUUCUUUAUUCUAUAAUCACGCCUAACUUUGGCUCAUAAUAGCUUUUUAACUAUUUUAAUUAAAAUUUAAAGACUUUCCUGAAAAUGCUUUAGAGGGAGUUGUAAAAUAGGUGGAGGGCAAAGCCAAUUCAAGCCUGACUUUGGCUACGCCCUUAAUGUGAAAAUAACAUAUAAGUUGGGAAAAAUGGUUGGGCUCAACUCUACUCUUCUGUUUAGGGAACUAUAAACUUAUGCUUGACAUUUGAAAGAAAAAAACAAAAAACAAAAAACAAAAAACAAAAAAACAAAAGUCUUUUUUUUUGGUAAUUAAUGAAUUGUAGAAAGAAAAAGCAAUAGAGAUAGAGAAAUGUCUUUAAUCAUAUGAUGAUAAAAGCAAUAACCACCGCCUCUUUCUUUGUAAAUACAUAGCUUGGAUAUGAAUGUGGUAAAAGACAAUUGAAGCAUUAAGCUAGCUCACCCAAAUGUUGUUGUUAUAAGGUUUGUUCAAAAUGUCCUUUCUCCUAAAGAAAUGAAGAAUGACCGAAAAAAAAAAGGGGGUAUAAAAAAGACAAAGAUUUCAACUUCAAAAGAGAAAAGUUCAAGUUUUCUAGUCUAUGCACCUAACCCUUCGAAACCUUCAUCCAUCGGAUUCUCCCCAAAACGAGCCAAGUAUCCGGAAUGAGGCCCCAUCAAAUGAUAUCAAAUAGUCCUAUUGGUUUUGGAUAUGGACUGGUUUUGUUUUAAGACAUUGAUGUUAUCAUAAUCUUCUUGUUUAUAUAUAUAUAUAUAUAUAUAUAUAUAUAUAUUAGGUAAUACGGACUGCAGCGACAAGAGUUUUACCAACCUAAAUAGUCUAAAAAUGACAUGAUUAAGUAAGAGAGGUUAGAGUUUAGACUUCCUUAAACUAUUUUUAAAAAAUUAAUUGAAUUGUAAGCCACUUCCUUUGUUUUCGUAAUAAGGUGACAAGUCAUACUCAAUAGGGUCUACAUCGAAAAGGUUUGCUUUGUAAUUGUAGAAAAAUGAUGGUCAUUUGUGCAAAAUUUUUACUCUAAGAUUGCAUAUUAAAGAAUGCUAGUUCUAACAUAAGUGACCAAAAAAAAAAAGAAAAAAAAAAGGAGAGAUUGGUUAGGUUGCACAUCUAUACAGGACAUUGACAGCUAAAAUCAGUACAAAGACACAUUUUAUGUACCACAAUAUGCGUAAGUAAUUAUAACGUGUACAUUCAAGGGCAGAAUUACGGCUUUUUCUGUGGGUGGGCUAGCUUAAAAUCUUACCUUUGUAGUUUGAAUCCAUCAAAAUUUAUUGACAUCAACCGAAUAAGCUUCACAAAUGCAAAGUGCAAAAAUAUAAAUAAUUAAGUUUCACAUAUGUAUUAGUUGUAAACACAAGAACAAUAGAAUUAGGUUAACAUUUCGUUUUUUAAAGCCUCUUCCCACUUGUUAAUUUCAAUUACUUACUACGUCUGCAAUUGUGGGUUGAAGGGCUUGUGUGAAUUUUUAUUGAGUCCAACGUUAAAAGCUUUCCCUAUUUUUUUGGGGGUAAAAAAAGAAUAUUUCAUUAAACACUGUCAAAAGAAACAAAGAAUACAAAUAAACUUAAGAAAAUAAUAUUUCCCUGAUGUGUUGUAGUUGAUGGUGGCCAUAUAGGUUUUUUUUUUGUUCUUCAAAAACCUUCACCAAGGCAGCAGAUUUUGCAAACAAAAAACCAAAAGGCACCAUACUUCUUGUGGUGAGUUGUGUACAUGAUGUGUGAAUGUGUUGGUUGUAUAUAUCAUUUGUCACAUCAUUUGAUAUGUAAUUAAUUUUUCUUCUUCUUUUCUUUAGAACUUAACAGGACUGAUGAAAAGAAUAACGUGAGCAUGUUGAAACUUGAAGGUGUUAAUAGAAGCAUUCUUAUGCAAAAUGGUGCUUCAUAUAUGGGAAGUAAUUGUAAACAAAUGAAUAAUUAAGCUUAAGCAUGGUUUGAAAAUCUUGCGAACCUUUUUUUAAAGUUCAACUUUUUAUUCUUCUGGACUGUUGUAAAGUUUAGCCUCAAUCGAUCACAAUGAUCAAAAGGAAUUGAUUCAUGUUACAUAGGAUUUGUUUACAUCAAGAAAUUCCUCUACCUUUAAGUUUUGGCCAUUUCCCUAUGACUUUGUUUACAGAAGAUUGGAGCUCCUGCUCUUAUUCCAUUUUUCUUUUUACUUUUCGUUCUUUGUACUUUGUGCUGUCUGCCCUGCCCUCGUGGGCCUUUCGUUCGAUGCUCCCUUAUCAUCCCCUAUGCAAACUUUCUAUGAUUUCUAAAAUGAUUCUCCCCCACAAACACAAAAUACCAACAAUAUAUAUCAGCACAAAAUCUACCAGAAAUUAAUUGUUAAUAACUCAUGGUGUGGAUUAACCUAGACUCAAUACACUACACGUGUUAUAAUUUGAGUAAAUUUAUAACAUCACGUCGGUAUGUUAGGUCGGAUUACAAAAACGUACAAAAAGUUCUUCCUCAAGGGGUAGUUCAAUUGAGUAUAUGCAACGUCGAAUAGUAAGUGUAUAAAGAUGAUUUCUUUCUAUACAACUACAGCUGUGAUCAUGUGGUGUGGUCCUCCAGAACCAGAUGUUUCAAAGUGUCCCAGUUACAAAUUCCUUGCUUUUAGUAAAUCAUGCCCUGUCUUGCUCAGUUAAGGUGCAAUGGCUCUAAAGUCUAAAGCUUUAUCUCCCUUCUUUCCAGGUCAAGCUUCAUGCACUUGUCAACAUAUCCAUGUGCACCACUGCAAGUUUCUUUUUCCUUUCAAGAUGUGUUUUAGAAUAACAUGAUAUCUAGCUUCCUUUGACAUCAAUAUCAACCAGAAAUUACUUAAACCAUUAUUAUUAUUAUUAUUAUCUUAGGUACAAUAGAUUAACCGCAGCAAGAUUGAGUAAUAAUAGUACAUGUAAAUGUGGUUUCAUUCGUUGCAAUAAAACACUUUCAUGACUUUCAAACGAGAUCUUUUUAUUAUAGGCUUAUAACUUCAAUGGCGUAGUAUUUUUCUCUCGUCUUAUGAUGAAAACUCGAUUGUCGUCAUUCGCUCUCUAAAUUUAAACAAAUGUGUAUAUUCGAGUUGUAUGAUAAAAAGAACUAUUCAUUGUAUUUUGCUAAGUGUCUUUAUCAUUGAUUGAGGUCCUGUAAACUAAAAAUGUGGUUGGGAAAGUUAGCCACAAAGGUACUUAACGUUAUCCAAAUAUGAUUGUUGAAAUUUUGUUAAACAUACUUGGCCAUUGGCCAUGGACAACACAUAAUGAUGGCGAUUAAUCCUUAAAUUUUAAGCCUUUUGCAUCUUUGCUAUUAUAUAAUUUAGUCUAGAUAGCAUUGAUCUAAAUGAUUAAAGCAAAUUGUAACCUCUGAAAACCUAAUUCUUUGGUUGGCAGGUCUCAACUGCAAUUAUGUUUUUGUCAAAUUUGAAUGUGGUUGUAUACUAGUGAAGGCUUCAUCUCCUUCCAUCAUCCCUUCCCUGAUUUGAUUUAUUUAUAGAAAGAAAAAAAAAAAAAAAAAAAAAACACUAACAUCACGUGUAUUUAACUGCAAUUAUGUUUUUGUCAAAAUUGAAUGUGGUUGCAUACUUCUUAGGUGCAAAAUAUAACUAACAUAAAAAAGUUAGAGAUUAAACCCAGUAUAAAAAUACAUCACGUGUAUUUUGCACCUCAGAAGUAUGAUCCAAAUUUCAAAUAGCACCCUAACCUAUAAAAUCUUUCAAUGUCAAACCUAAUGUCUCCGGAAAAAAAAAAAUUGUUGGUAAAAUUGUCAGCAAAUAAUUUGAAUGUUGUGCCAUGCGUGACCUAGAUGGUCCAUUUUUACUUUUUCACCUACAUAACUUAGGUGGUUCUCAAUUCUUUAGUGACGUGUAAACACGUGGACGCACACGUACACAUUUGGGAAAAGGAAAUAUUUUUACUCACCAAUUUAACACAAGAUCUAUGCUCACCACUCUUCUUAAUACUUGACAUAUGUCCAUAGGUAUAACUAGGCCUGGGCACGGAUCGGUUCGGAAAGAUAGAAGGCUCUUCCGUUAACCAAACCAAAGACUUCGUUAGACCAUUUUCUCUUCCGUUAAUCAAACCAAAGACUUAGGUAGACUUCAGAUCGGUUAACCUAAUAUUCGGUUCGAAUUUGUUGGUACACCGUUAGUACCAUAAUAAAAACACAAUUUAUAAUACUUUCACAUAUCAAAAGUUCUUGAACAAAUACACCAAAUUAUCCUUGUAAAAUAUAAAAAUUUAAUAGUCUAAUUCAUCCAAGUAUGAAAUCAAAUAACUUAGUCACUAUAUCAUUCAAUAUGUACUCAAGAUGUACUAGGAGCCACUUGUGUUUGUUGUUUGAACCUUUGAGUGUUCUUUUUAUUGAAUUCUCUAUAUGUAUGUAAAUGAUUUUGACAUUUGUUCUGCGAUGGGUUCUUUAGUUUUUCAUGCUGAAUCCAACCAUAUAAAGAACAUAAAAUUUGGAUCAAUAAUUGAAAAGUUACAGGUAAAAAAGGGACAAAGGUCGAAACUGAAAAACAUAGGAAGUUCAUAAAUUCCUCUCUGACCAAAAAGUGCUACAGUACUCCCGGGUAAGUGAUACAAUAGUGAUAAAGAAGUGAUACAGUGAUGAUAAAGCAGUGAUAAAAUUGUGAUAAAGCAGUGAUACAAUGGUGAAAAAGAAGUGAUACAGUAGUGAUAAAGGAGUGAUACAAAAUGUUGAUUAUAUUUACCUUUGGUUUCUUGUUUUGUAUUUAAAUAAUAAAAUAAGUAUAAAUAUCGGAUCGGUACGGGUUUCUGUCGGAUUAGGAAUUUUGUUUCCGUUAACCAAACCAAAUAUUUCGGUAUGGAUCGGAUCAGAAUAAUUAAAAUUAAAAAAUAACUAUUUAACCAAACCAAACCGAACCAUUAGUACGGUAUAGUCGGUAUGCGGAUAAUUCGGAUGAGAUGCCCACCCCUAGGUAUAACCAUAGCUAACUUUUUACCUUGAUUUAUGUAACCAUGGUUAUGUUUAUGAAUAUGUGUCAAGUAUUAAGAAAAGUGGUGAGCAUACACUUUGGAUUAAAGUGGUGAGUAAAAAUGCUUACUUUGAAAAAAUACCUAAAGGCUUUUGGGUAGGUCCCAUAAAAAGUUCCCGCCCAAUUACUCAAGACCCAUUCAUAAAGCCCAUGAAAGAUCAUAGAACAAUGGGCUUAAUGGGCCUUAAAAUAGGGUCCAUCCCAUUACAAUUGGAACCUCUGGUUACGGCAUCAACGCCCACAGUCUCGUACAAUCAAUGUAGCUCAUUAAUAAGCAGUCACUUCAAGCAUGGUGGGGUGGGUCACGUGAACUACUUACAGUGGCGUGGUUCUCACGCCAGAAUUUAACAAAAUUAAAAAUUAGCAAUUUCAUUGACUUUUACGGAAGCAGCGCUUUUUAUAAUCAAUUGAUUCGAAGCCGCAUAAAAGCGAGAAUCGCCCCCAUCCAUCUGCUGUUUCGCACCACCAGCCACCAAAACCGAAAGUCGCUGCCUUCAAUUUUCUUUCUUUAAAAAAUCCCCCAAACCAGAGAGAAACUCAAACCCGACCCACCCACCCACAAACAACGCCAUGUCUGGAGGCAUAGCUCGUGGUCGUCUUGCCGAGGAGCGGAAGGCCUGGCGGAAGAACCACCCUCAUGUCCGUACAUCUACCCAUAUCUUUGUUUCACCGAAUUACUGCGAAUUUUUUUGUUUUGGGUUUUUAUUUUUUUAGUUUUUUGGGUUGUAGGGUUUUGUUGCGAAGCCGGAGACUUUAUCUGAUGGGACGGUGAAUUUGAUGGUGUGGCAUUGCACGAUUCCUGGCAAGACCGGUGUAAGCUCUCAAACUUAUUGGGACUUUGAAUUUUACUGUUUUUUGGGUCUUUUUAUUUUUCUGGUGAAUUGUUUGGUUUUCUUAAUUCCAAUAGAGUAUUUGGUAAAGGGAGUUACUCCAUUUGAGAUGGGUUUUUCUCAUUCUUGUUCAAAGGUUACUAAUUUUCUUAUGGAGAAGACAGGAAAACUUGCCAUAACACAAUCAAGGAAAAAUUCUAGUGCAAAGUACCUUUUCUUAAUUGACCAAAUGACUGAAAAAGUUUUUUUCAUUGCAGAAAGCUUCUCCUAGAACGCCUUAAGUUAUUCAUUAUACUUACCUAUUUGUUGUUUGUUUUGCCGCAUAGUUUGGUACGAGUUGUCUCUCAGUACCAUUGAUGAGGUGAAUCCAUGUUUGAAUGUGUGGUUUCAAUGCAUAACAUACUAAACUCUCUGACAAAAGAAGAGCGUUGCUAUAUUUAUUGUUGAGAAUACAUGUGUGCAACAUGAUGUGUUAGUGUUACUUGCAUGAUUGAGAUGGGAUUUAGUUGGAUUGAGCACUUUCAUCAAUUGUCGGGUUCAUGGAUUGUAAUGAAAGGUUGAAUGAGUUAUCUUUUUAUAACUCUAUUUGUGAGCCAGUCUGGUCUUGACGUUUUCAAGGGUAUCCAUGUUUUGUGCUGAUCUGGUCCGUGGAGAGUGAUUCAUAUGUUAACUUUAAAAUAAAUAAAUAAACAGAGCCAUUUCAUACUCGAAAGUUUGUUAUUACAUAUCAUACCUCAGCUUUUGGAAUGAGGCUUUUUUUAUCUAGAGAGAUGGAAUAAUUUUGUAUUUUUUUGGUGUAUGUAGCUUCUGACAUUUUGUACCAUAAUGCAGAAGCUUGUGUUGAUUUUAGUGGAAGACUCAGCAGGAAUGGCCUUCUUUUGGGGGGUUUUUUCUAUUAUCUGUAGUGUCUUUAUCUCCUUCUGUCGUAGUUUUUGCUUUUCAAAUUUAUGCGUUUAGGUUAUUGUUUUCAUGUCCAUUCCACAUCAUUUGUGUUAAUUAUGUAUAUGGGGGUAUUUAUUUGAAGGGUUUGUACUUCAGGGAAAUUUACCCAAAAAAAAAAAAAGAUUUUUAUAUCAGGCAAUGUGAGCAUUAUAUGGUUAUUUAUCAACAGCAGCAUGGCUUUACUAUAUUUAGAGUGGAGAAUGUACAUUAAAUUAGAAGAAAUCAAGAUGUUUUCAUUCAAUGUAAUGUUUUCUAUUGGCAUUAACAUUUCUUACUAAUAUUAUGUUGCAGACUGACUGGGAGGGGGGGUUUUUCCCACUUACCCUUCACUUCAGUGAAGACUACCCUAGCAAGCCUCCAAAGUGUAAAUUCCCACCAGGUUUCUUCCACCCAAAUGUAUAUCCAUCUGGAACUGUUUGUCUAUCAAUUCUUAAUGAGGACAGUGUGAGUACCUUCUGUUUGUUUGAGUUUUCUACAUAUAGCAACUUCUUUGACAUGGAGAAUUAAUGAGCUUUUUAUCCCAUGAUACUUAGCAUUCGUUGUCUUAUAUGUAGGGUUGGAGACCAGCAAUAACCGUGAAGCAAAUUCUUGUGGGCAUUCAGGAUUUACUGGAUCAGCCAAAUCCUGCUGAUCCUGCACAGACAGAAGGGUAUCACCUCUUCAUUCAGGUAUGUUGCUCCUUAGCAACUUUUUGUUUCCCCAUUGCUCUGCAAAAUUUGGAGGGAAGGCUCCGUUGUUUCUUUAAUGAAUGUAAAGCUAGUAUAAUGCAGUAUACAUCUUGCAAACUCUGAAGGUUGCAUUCCCACAUUUUCUGAGGUGAUGGCAUAUUAUUGGGACGUCCAGUAAAGUCUCAUCUAACGUCAUUAAUCCUGGCAGUGGCAAUUAGCAUCAGAACUCACCCUGAGUGACUGCAACUUUAGGGUGCCAUUGCUGUGCUAUCUGUUGGUGGCUAUACAUAUGAGAAUAGGAUUAAGUGUGGCGAAGUGACCACCUCUUAUGAGUUAAACAGGAAUUAAUUUACCUUUGCUUUGCUUGAGUUUUUGCUCUUACACUCUGCAAUUCGACUUUAUGCAGGAUGCCACGGAGUACAAGAAAAGGGUUCGGCAGCAGGCCAAGCAAUACCCACCUCUAGUUUAACGCAAAGCUGGCUUUCUAGUCCAAGAAAAUGCUGGUACUCUGGUAACCGUCGGUUGUUGCCUUUUGUUUAGUGUUAAAACUGCUCAUGUAAGAAAUUGUUGUUUGCAAGUUUUAGUUGACUCCUGUGUAGAACUACUUGCUUGAAUUAUUUUUCCUCUUAUCAUUUGGAUUAAAUUCUGCUAGUGAAUGACACACUAGCGAGUGAUCCAGUCAUACUCUGUGUCAAUGAGAAACACAAUCUUUCGUGUUGGGAGGACUAUGUCAAUUGUGUUAAUUUAUGAGUUUCUCGUUCCUGGUUGUGAGGAAGGCUAAUGCAAGCACCAAAAUAGUCUCAAACACAAUUAGGUACCAUUUGAUUUGAUUUCAAGGUAUUGUGUUUAUUCGUAUUCAGUUUCACUUUGAAUCUCUUUUGUUUCUAGUAAUUAAGGUAUUGCAAAAAUGAAAAUUGCAGACUUUGAGAUACGUGGAUCAAAAUAAUCAGGUCCAUUAACCUUUGGCAGAAAAUCUUAAGGCGGAGAAUCGUUCAGGAAUUAUUUCCAUGUGUUUUUUCAUGAAGUGCAAAAUUUCAAUGUUCUAAAUAGAAAGCAGUUGUGAGUAGAUGAGCUUCCUCUUAAAAUGGGUCACUUGAAUAAAUCACCCAAACUUUUUCUUACAGCAUUAAUGGUUGACAUGAUUCACUUAGCCCAUGAUUAAAGAUUUACUUGGAUGUUUCCUCCUAUUUCCAUUGUCAUAAUGGUGACACUGUUUUUUUUGGUUUUUGAGGACUUUUUGUAUUGAAAGGAGGCGGUAAUAUAUUAAAUUUACACACACCACGAAUGUUAGGACUCGGACUCAGGACUUUGUUUGAGCGAGUAAAUACUCCAAAUCAUUACACUAGUGGGUUCUUUGCAUAAUGGUGACACUUUAGUUUAUCUCAACUAGGGAAAAAUUGAUUUUCACUUGCAAAUAAACUAAAUAUUACAGCCAACGGGUCUAAUCUAGUGAAAAAUGCUUUGAUCUCGAAUUCGAAAAUAUGAGAUUUUGAAACAAAAAGAAAGGUAGGAUUUUGAUAAAAUAAAAUAAAAUACACGCAGCUCCAACUUUCCCGGCCCAGCCCAUCUGCGGCACUGCGGCACUGCUGAUGCACGUAUCAUAAAACAAAAAACCCGAAACCCAGAAUCAUCUUCUGCUAGGGCUCCAAAAUGGACGACAUGGCUGCCUAUUACCCGCCACCGCCUCCACCACCAGGCUCCGUCCACUACCCAUACUACCAACAACCGCCACCACCGCAACCGCCUCCGUCGGUGGCGCCACCGUUACAGCACCACCUGGUUCAGCCCUACUUCCCUCAACACCCACCGCCUUUCUCUUCCUACGCGCCCGCUCUCGUCCCCCAACCCUCACACGACGAGGUCCGGACCCUAUUUGUCGCGGGUCUUCCCGAAGAUGUCAAGCCCCGAGAAAUCUACAACCUCUUUCGCGAGUUUCCGGGUUACGAGUCCUCCCACCUCCGGACCCCAACCGAGAAGUCUCAGGUAUUGCUGACAAUUGAAAUUAAAUUAUAUUAAUGCUUGAUUUUGAGUGAUUUUGGUUAUCAGCUUACUGUAGCGGUCAAAAAGUUUGGAUCUUUGCAAUUGGGUUGGAAUAUAUAUUGGUUUUUUGUCACUGAAGUUGUUGUGGGCUGACAUGGUCUUUUGGUGAUGUAGCCUUUUGCUUUUGCGGUGUUCUUGGAUCAGCAGUCUGCGAUCGGGGCAAUGCAUGCUCUGAAUGUGAGUAGACCUUGCAUUGUUUUUGUGACAUUAAUAGUUGGGUAUCUGUAUAUAAACGCUGUAAUAUACAAUGCUGUCUCAACUAUACAGUAGAGGAAAUUAGGAUAGUAUUGGUUGGUAUUUCACAGUUUAUAGUUAUCUUCGGGACUAUCACCCAACUUAUAAGUCUGUUGCAAAUUGUUUGAAUUGAAGAGCCUCGCUCAGGGUAAAAUAGCUUAUGCCUAUUCAUGCGUGGAGAAUGGCAGAUCUUUAGUACUAGCAGUUGGCUUUUGUGUUGUUUGUUUGUAUGGGUUUUAUUAUUAUUCACUGUGUUGGUGAGUUUUACACUAUAUGUAAAAUUUAGGUGAAAAUUUUAACUAAGAGCUCUUGAUUCCGAACUGUGUUUGCAGGGGAUGGUGUUUGAUCUUGAGAAAGGGUCAACAUUAUAUAUUGAUCUAGCAAAAUCUAAUUCUAGGUCAAAACGCUCAAGAACAGGUCUAUUUCUAUUCACUUUCUUUGUCCUUUGUUUGUUCUCUUCCACAUCUUAACUGACUUGAACUGCAAUCUGUGCUAUUGUUGAUCGUUGUAUGUAGAUGAUGAAAGAUCUGGCUCAGAUAAGAAAGCUAGAGGUUCAUCGUAUUCAAGGGGCGCUCCUGAUUCUGGUAAGAGGAUUGCCUCUAACUGCUUGUGUAAGGAAGUUAGCUUGCACGAAUUUCUUGUCUGCAAUUUUUUUGUUGCUAAUUAUCCUGUUGUACUUUAUGAUCUCACUGUGCUUUAUAAUUGCUUUUCUUUACCAUAUCUAUUUGAUGAUUGACUGGUCUACAAGAUCAGAAACUAUUACUUAGUCACAUGGAGGACACAUUCUUCUAAAAGCUCACAUUGCACAUGUUUUGCACGCUUGGGCACUAGCAGGUGUUGGCAGCAUUCACAUGCCUGGAAUGGGUAAUUCUGCUUACAACAUCAUUGGUUAUCCAUCUGCACCAAGGUCAUCUGCACUGCUUGAGCACACGUUUUGUUUUGUUUACAUGAAAGUGACUACUUGUAGCUCAAUAAUCAGCACAUAUUUAUUUUAAAAUAUAUUACUACGCUGAAAGGCCAAGGGAUUAGUAAAAGCAGUUUCUGGACGCCCUGGUCCAUGAAGUUGGAGUAUAGUAUUUUCCUUUUUGAAAUAGUCACUUUAAUAAAUCUACGGAAUUCCUUGUACUCAUUUAUUUUUUUUCUUCACUCUUCAGUCAUGGAAACUUCAAUGGCAUACCUGUACAUGAGACAAUUGCCGGAAACGUGGUAUCUUAUCUCUUCACUACUUGCACUCUUUUAUUUUUUCAGGGUAGUUUCAUUUUCAAGUCGAUGUUCAUCUCUUGUUAGAUAAUGGAUUCCUAAGCUUGCCUUUUGCAGAUCUAUUUGUAUUUUUCUCCUAUUUAUAUAUUUUCUUCUGGAAUCUCACUUUUUAUUUAAAUUAAAUGUUAGAUAAUAUGUAUGUGAAAUGUCAUCUGAGUGUUAUUGGCCUUUAUACAUUGGCAGAAUAAUUCUGCAGCACAACAUUUUCCACAAAAUAAUACUCCAUGCCCAACUAUUUUCGUGGCUAACUUGGGGCCAACUUGUACGGAGCAAGAGCUGAUUCAAGUAUUUUCAAGGUUAGUAGCUAUACUUUAUUUAUUGUAGAUUCAUUUGUAUAGUCCGCAAUACUGUGAUGUCAUUUUCUAACUGUUUUUAUUAGGUGCCCUGGGUUCAUAAAAUUGAAGAUGCAGAGCACAUAUGGAGCUCCAGUUGCAUUUGUUGAUUUUCAGGUGCCCAUGUCUGUUAGGUUCUAUCAUCCGUCUUAAAUAUAACCAUAAAACACGGCCUUUCUGAGAGGGAGCCUAAUAAGAUGUAAAUAACACUGAUAUAAUUCUGGUUUAAUUUUAACAGGGUUGAACCUUGUUGUGAAAACUGACAUAGUUCUCAUUUAUUUUGAACGGUUGAACCUUGUUUUAAAUUGGAUAUGGAAUGUUCUAUUUGUAGAUAGCAUUUGAAAAUUGGAAGUAAAAUUCCGUAAUCCUUAUCCAGUUGCAUUUUGUAAAUUCUUUGAUUUUAUUGUGAAAAGUGUACAGGAGAAGCCUCUAGUUAUCGGUAUAAUUUCCAAUCUCCUGAUCCGAACGCCUCUAGAGCUGCUUUGCAAUUCUAAUUAUAUUCUUUCCCAUAUCUGAAGGAUACUGCCUGCUCAACUGGAGCGCUGAGUCAUCUGCAAGGCACAAUUCUCUACUCGUCAACAACGGGCGAAGGCAUGAGAUUGGAGUAUCCUUUAAUAGAUCACCUCCUAAGUUUUUCUGCCCUUGGCUUUUGUUGAUUUCUCUGUCACAAGUUUUGCUUAACAAGAAUCUCAGGUAUGCCAAAUCACGAAUGGGAAUGCGGAAGAAGCCAAAGUAAUGUGAAGAAAAUAACAAGAUGUAUGCUUUUUGCUCGUUUCCAUGCCCACACAAGCGGAUCCACAUCUUACAUUAAGCUUGUACCAAGAAUAGGUAGACUUUAGUAUCAGGGUUAACUGUUAUGAUGAUUUAUUUUCAUUUUCUCAAUAAUGGAAAUGUUUUUUUGUUUCCAUUCCCAUUGUGAAUUCGUGAUGCUAUGGUUUUAUAUCUUCAAAUUCAGAAUGGAAAGCGAUCCCUGUAUUUUUGUGGUGAUAGAGUGGAAGUGUAAAUGGUAAAAAAAUACGGACCAGAACUUAGUUGAACAAAACAAAACAAAAAAGAUUUGUAAAAUCUGGCCGAAGAUCCUCAAGAUUUAACUAUUUUAUCGCUACAAGGGUCCAAGAUUUAAUCAAAACUGCAUAUUUUCAACUGAUCACGGAUGAAGAAGCAUUGAUUGAAGCAGCUGUUUGAAGUUUGUGAUGUUUGGGGCUCCUCUGUCCUUAUCUGGGAAAAAAUCUUUGCAUAAAACAAAAUUUUUAUAAAGUUCUUUAAUCAAGUAAAAUCACGUGGCGGUACAAUUCAUUAAUGUUAUAACACGUAUUUUAUUUCGAUGUUAAGCUCGUCGGCACAUAUUAUAAUAUGUGGAUUGUAUCACUUUGAACUAAAAAACCUUGUAGAUUUGCAUUAAUGUAAAUAUUGACUAACAUAACUAUACUAAAAGUAGUUCAACGUAAGUGGACUGAUAAUUAAAAUAAACUAAAUAAUUAAGAACCCAUCUAGCCUUCCCUCUCAUUCAUUCAUGCAGGGCGGCACAGACGCACGUAACAUAAACAUCCAUCGUUAAUUACUAAGUCAGUGUGUAUGCUUUGUGACAUCUUCCAAACAAAAUAAAUAUAUAUAAAAAAAUGUCAAAGACAAAGACACCGCAUUUUCCACACAUGUGACUUUCUCUUAUUAUUUUCUUUUUCUUUUUCUUUUUCUUUUUCUUUUUUCUGCGGACACACACACGACCUCAACCUCAAAUCAUCAAAUAACAUAAAUGAAUAAUAAUUAUAGUACACAACACAGUUAGAGACAUGUGCAACCGUGCACGCAUCAAUUGACAUGUAAUUUUUAUUUUGGAUUUAUAGAAAAAGGUCAACAUGGUGCAUCCUAAACUAUUCCUAUGUCGAUGCACUAACUUCCCUCGGAUUUGUCACACUCUGUCAUUCAUACUGCAUGCCAUGUCAUCAUGGCAUGAAUGAAGGAGGAUGAUGAUUUUCAAUGUUCUCAUCCUUUGCAUGAAUUAUUGGUCUUCCUCCUCCGACCUUAUACAAGAUCAUGCUGCCCCCAAUUAAUGUCUUUGACCCAAACAGUAAUUGAAAAAGAGGGCAAUUGAAUUUGCAACAUGGAUUAGCUUAGCUUAAUCGUGAUUAGAUUGAUAAAUGCAGCUUAAUUACUUCCUCAUCCUUUUCUUUGGAGAUUAAAAAGGUCAACAAGAUUGGAUAAGCUCUCCACUUUUGGGGACAACAACCCUAACCAAAAAAUAUAUAUAUAGAUUUAUUUCAACCAUCAAUCACAAUUAGCAUUCUUGUUUGUUUUCAACCCAGCUGAAAGUCCCCGGAAAGAGCAAAUUACCAAACACAUGGAGACUGGCCUCAUGAUAAGACAUAGCAUAUGCCAUACACCUACAAUUUUUCUACCCCCACUCUAUCUAGCUUUGAAACCUAGGGUUUCCAAAUUUGACCCAUUUGGUAUCAUAAACCAAAGCUAUACCUAGCUUACUUAAAACCCUUCAAAAUAAAAAUAAAAAAAUUUAAAAUAAACAACAACAACAACAACCCUCCUCAUUGUUUUCUAAAUCUUCCAACCUACCAACGAACUUGCUUCAAAAUUUAUCCAUCACAAAUCACAACACAAGAAAACAUUGAAAGAGGGCCUUUCUUUUGUUGUAAUGAUUAUUUGGCUACGUAUACUAAAAUACAAUACAAGUAGCCAUCCAAGCUGUAAAUGUCGCUGAAAAAUCAAUCCAUGAUACGUAUAUUCAUUUAUUUAUAGGUCCCCCAGGAGACAAGCCAUAGUGGUUAAAGUUCUAGGUUGAGCAGUGUAGACGUAUACACUCGAACUAGCCAAAAAUUGAAAAAAGUGUAUGUGCGAUGGUCGGUGGUGCUUUUUAAAUGUUUGCAUGUAGUGGCAGCUCUUAAUGAUGUACAGCUUCUUGUCUGAUUGUCGUGGGUUUCUUCUGAGCCGCGCAUCAAGUUGGGAACUACAUACAAAACGCACAGAUGUAACCACUGUUCUUCAAUGCCUUAUGGGCAACUUUUAAUGCCCGGAAAAACUUGGGCAGGGAUGGAUUUAUGAUUUCAAAAUAGGAUGGGUUAAAUUUAUUUUGCGUAUAAAUUUAUUAAGUUCAUCCCUAAUACUAGAUAACUCAAACCCAAAAUUUCCGUCUCUAAAAUAGAAUAAUUCAUGUAUAUCUCAUACUCAAAUAAUUUUUUAAAAUUCUUUUUAAUGUUAAUUUUAAAAUAUUAAACAAAAAAAUUAUUACAAUUUUAAAGCUAAGGAAUGGGGUGUGGUUUUAAUUUAAACAAAAAUUUAAUGAGUAAGUGUGGUUUUUAAUGUUAAUUGUUUAUGUAUGUGAAGAUUUAAAAUAUAUAUAUAUUUAUGUGAAGAGUUAAAUGUUAAUAAAAUUUGGGAAGUGUGGUGAAAUAUGUGGUGGACUAAAGAAAGGAGGUGUCUCACACACAACUCCACCAAGUCAAUGCAUUAAAUCUGUCAGUUGGGGUCCAUUUACGUGGGUUGAUUGGAACUUGGGGGAGUGAACUCAAGUGUGCUAGGUUUGCUAUUUUAGACUAGAAAAAAAAAAAUUUGUUUGGGCUAUAACUCAGGUUAGUCAUAGGGACAAUCCGUCUUGACAGCGGUGUUGUUCGUCACGUAUCUAAUUUAUAAGUAAAUCUAAUUAAACACGUGUUAUUUUUGUUUAAUUAGAUUAUUAUGUCACUCAACACUGUCGUAUGGCAUGAACAAUUUCACUAAAGAUUUUUUCUUUUUGACCACACACACACCAAAAAAAUAUAUAUAAAAAAAAAUUCUUGUUAGAAUCCAAGUUAUUUCCAGAAUGGAAUGCAAAUUGCAAAGAUAUGAGAAACCAACCAGAUCAUAAAUUAUUGUUAUUUUAUAUAAAUAUAUAUACAAUAAGGUCCAUACAAAUCCAUGAAUGAUUGAGAUUCGUUUAUUGGUCAUAAUAACCCUUAUUGUAGGUAACAUACAAUGAAAACAAAAUGUGGACGGGGACAAGCACAUAAGAUAAUUCCUUGUAGUAUUUAAAUGGAAGAUUUACUUGAACCACAUGUUUGUGUGGGUCGUAUGAUGCGUUAAAAAACGAUGAAUCCUAGGUGUGUAUGUGAUUGUGGAAUAUUAUUAUGUAUAAUGUAUGUAUUGUUGACAAGGGACAAGUGCUAUAUAAUAAACCUACCAUAAUUAUCUUUUAAUUAAAUUUUUAUAUGCAUUAACGACACAAAAUCAUCUACACGUGCGUGAACGAGUGUUGUCAUAAAAUCUCCACACGCUCUAUUUUGAGAAGUGUAGAAGGUUUUUCUUCUUUUUUAACAGUUGUCUAGUUUUCUACCUAUACUGGGAAAGACAAGAUCCUUCAACUUUACAGUGUCUAAUCCUCCAACCUCAUUGUUUGUCCUACUAAUGUUUAUGACUUGUUACAAAGGAAAGGAAGUGUGAUUUUAUUCGACCGCCACAAAAGUAAGUCUCUCUCAAUCACUUUGUCGUGUGUGGGGCGGUAAAUUCAGGGAAUCAAACUCAAAACACACAAACAAUCAGAUUGUAACCUUUUUAUGCAUAAAAUAAUGAGGCCGGCCCAAUCAGAUCAUCAACAGGUUUUUUCCAUUUUUACUUGGUGGGGUCAUUACGAUUUUUAAAUAACCAUAUUAUCCCCACCCUGCCGCCACCUGUCACAGGUAGGGGAGGAGAGAAUCGUCUUAUCUCUUGAGAUCGUUAUUGCGUGGAGGGAAAAGUCAAUUCCUAACGGUAUUAAAAAAUUAAAAUAAUAAAAUAUUUUUUUAUUUAUUUACAUUGCCCAAAAAAAAAACACUUGGAAAUAACUGAAAUAUUCUUUUCAUGGUGUCUGGUUGAAUUCAAUAUUCUUUUUUUCUGCAUUAUAAUUUUUAUAAAAAGAGAAAAGAGAAAUGUUUUUCACGACCUUUGAAUUCCACUCCAGUUGCCCACAACACAAACAGACAGCUCUCCCAUCACUACCUCCACCACCACCCAGUAGAUAUUUUAUUUAUUUAUACAUUCUGAAUUGUAUAAAUAAAUCCCAUCUCAUUUUGGUCCAUUUGGAAACGCAAAACAAAAAGAAAAGAAAAUAGAAAGAAGAAGAAAAGAUUAUUAGAGCUCUCAGACUCAGACCCAGACUCAGAGAUGCAAAGAUAAAGCAAAGAGAAAACAGAGCAUCUCCAUCUUCUUCUACUCGGCCAAGUACCCUGUUUUUGUAAGACAGGGUCCUCUGAGUCUGCCUAAAACCACUGCUAAUAAGGCAAAACUCAAAACCCAAAAACCCAAAAAAGAAAAAAGAAAAAAAGAAAAAACGGGGGAAUUGUGUCGGUGAAUUUGGAUUUAUUUUGGGAUUAAAUUUUUUGUUUGCUUUUGUUGGGUUUCAGAGACGUGGAGGCUUACCCAGAUGGCAAGCUUAGUGGCCAAGUAGCAUGCAAACCCUCUACCCCCCAAAAAGCAGCCCACUCGUUUUGCAUUCUCACACCCACAAAAACCCAAACACCAAACCCCACAACAAUUGAAGAACCAAAAGAAGAUGGACGGUGGAGGAGGUGCGGCAGAAACUAAUAGGAAGCGAGGGGUUGAGAACGACAAGCCGUACAAGGGGAUAAGGAUGAGGAAGUGGGGCAAGUGGGUGGCUGAGAUUCGAGAACCCAACAAGCGCUCCAGAAUUUGGCUCGGCUCCUACUCCACCCCCAUCGCCGCCGCUCGGGCCUACGACACGGCCGUUUUUUACCUGCGGGGCCCGUCGGCGCGCCUCAAUUUUCCCGAGGCUCUGCCGGUCGAAGGCGGCGGCGUAGGCUGCGGAUGCGGCGAUAUGUCGGCGGCUUUGAUACGCAAGCGGGCCACCGAGGUCGGCGCCCGAGUCGACGCCGUCGAGACGGCUAUGCGCCACCACCGUGGUGGCACCGCGGCGCCAAACGGAGGUGCCGCUGAGAUUAAGCCCUGCGUGGGUGGAUUCGUGGAUCGGGUCGACCUGAAUAAGAUGCCCGACCCGGAGAAUUCGGACGGUGACUGCGAGUGGGAGACGAAUUAGUGAGAGAGAGAGAGAGAGAGAGAGAUAGAGAGACUAUGUUAAUCUUCAUCUCUUUGUUUCUGAAAUUGAGGGGUGGCUUUGCUAACAUGCGCAGGGGAGGUAUGUGACGGCUGAAGCAAUGAUGAAGCUUUCGUCCUGGUCCUGGAUUAGAGAAUUAGAAUUAGCCUACUGUAUCCGUUUUUUUCCUAUCCUUUUUCUUUUCUUUUCUUUUUUGUUCAGAAAGAUUUUUGCAUUUUGAUGGAGAAAUUUUGGCCCUUACGAAAACGUGAUAUAAGAUGUAAAUUAUGCUAGAAAAUUAGCUAAUUUUCCCCUUUUGCUGUGUAUUUAUUCCUUUGUUUUAAUUUUAAUUUGUUCCUCCUAGUUGGAACUUGGUGGGUGAGAGAUGUAACUUCCAAGUGGUAUUUUGGUAGGGAACUGGUAAUGGGAAUUUUGAUGGAACAGAGCAAAAAUGGAAUUGAGAGAGAGAGAGAGAGAGAGAGAGAGAGAGAGAGAGGUUGAGAAGAGGGGAGCAGAAAGGGCCUACAGGGAGGGGGAGACAAAGGGGGCCAGGGCUAACCACUAAAGCUAUAACUACUACUGGAGAAAAAAGCAAUUCAGAUUUGAGAGUUAGGUAUUUCCUGGUUCUCACCACUGUAGCUGAUUCAUUGAUUGUGAAUUAUAUGGGUGGGAUUAUCGAUUUCAAUUAUAUGGGAUUGGUAUGGGUGGUGGUGCACUGGCGGUGGUGAUGUGGUAGGGUUUUGGUUUUGGUGGGAUGGAGGGGGAAGGGCAAAUUGGGUGCGUCAUCGUGAUUUGAUGGUUGUGCAUAGUGUGCCCUUUAUCGAUUUUGUCCCCCUAGCUAAUGCCUCUCUCAUCAUCAGUCUCAGAUUCUAUUUCUGGUCAAAUGACACUAUUGCCAUGUCUUGCUCUAUCCGUCUGUGCUCCUGGACAAGGACAAUUACAUUAGCAAUGGCUGCAUAGAUUUUAAGAGCACACACUGAUUUUGGCUGGUGCAAAUUAUGGAUUAGCUGUAACCCAUGUUUUUGGUUUAAUUUAACCAUUUGCAUGCUACUUUCCACUAAACGGCAACGAUUAAUCCACGAUUAGCGGAGAAUCGGGUAUAUCUUACUAUGCUAAUGUGAUUUGUUAAUUAUUUUUUAAAAAGUUGCUCAUAUCUCAAUGAUGUAGAUGUUCUAGGUUAGCUAAAUCUACAUGCACCGUAGUUCAAAUUUUCUCCAAUGGAUGACCUUGUUGAUUGUUACUUCCAAGGAAAAGAAAUAUACACUUUCUCUAACACCUCAAAGAUUUGAUUGAUUGUAGUUCCACAUGUUCUUUUCAUCAUGCGUAUCAAAGGGAAAAUCUUUUAAAUCCAAUGAGGCAAUCAUUUUGACUAUCGUACAUUUUCUAUUCUUUUUUAUACGCACAAAUGCGCAACAAUAAUAGAAGUCCAAUAAAGAAAGAUAAAGUCUACAACCUCCCCAAUUCAACCAUUUGUUCAACAACUAGUGCGGAAAAUUUGGCAAUCAUGAAACCAAUCCAAUGGCCGCUUCAGUUCAACAAACGCAGGACAGCAUCUAGACUAUAGAGAAAUGAUAUACAUGUGCGCAUUGUGUGUGGUUGUCAACGGGUUUCGAGACGAAUUUCCAUCAACAGCUAACCACUCAAACUGUUUCUUUUCCUGUCCCUUCUCAGGGACAAGCAAGGAUGGUCCAUAAACCCUUAAUCCUGGUAGGGUUCUGUGUUAUUCAUAAUUAAUACAACCUCAUUGCUGUUUUACACAACCACGUUGUCAAAAUUGCGCCUAUAAAGAAGACCAGCUCCUCCAACAUCUUCUAUAAUUGCACCAUAAACAUCUGGAACGAAAGUUGAUCCUUAUGUGUUUGGCUGUUAUGUUUUUGAUUCACUAGCAUGUUUUAUUUGAAGGGCUGCUCUUAUGAUGUUUCCUCUUGUAAUAAUUCCUACCUUUGUAGCGAAAACAGUGGCAUAUCAGAGAUACAGAGAGUAUUAUGGUGACAGCGAAAGAGAGAUCAAGAGAAAAUAAUGCAUCUCUUAUCUUACCAGCUUACCGCUGUCAUCUACAACUGGAAGUCUGCGAUAUUUUGUCUCGAGCAAUAAUCUGACAUCAGAUAACAAAAAUUAAUCCUUUCCGGCUAGACGGAUAAUAGGAUGCAGAAAUGGGAAAAAGUAGAGCAGGAAAACAAAACCUAGCAACAUCCUCAAGAUUAGUGGUUUCACUAACGACGACUGGGGCUGGUGUCAUCAAAUCGCCGACCACCUGCCCAUUGGUUUUACUGAGCAAGUUCUGUACCUCGUUGAAAGUCUGCAACCAUAUCAAUUAAAGAAGCAUUUUUGUAAGGCAAAAUAUUUGUUGCAGAAAUGGGAAAGUACUGGUCAGACUUCAUUGAAGCUAUCUUCGCAGGGAAGUAAUUUCAAAUGCUAUGGAGCCAAAAGCAUUAUGCCUCUCUUGGGAUAUACGAGAAAAAUAAAAGUGUAAUAAAACUCUUAAACCACCCUCCAAUUUACCCCCAUUACUGAGAUCUUUUGUUAAGUAGAAUAAAAACAAUAUAAACAGAUGCAGACAAACAUCAAGAACAGUAAAAGAUGAAAAUAUUUAAAGAAAAUUUGUCACAUACUUUCCAAGAGCUGUCCACUUCUGGAAACAUGCUGUUGUCGGUUCUUCCUUGACCUAUCAGGUAAAAUAUUUGGACGGCUGUAUUAUGUAAGAGAUGACCAUCUUGAUCAUUGUGCACAGAAAAUCAUACAGUUCUGUUUGAGAUCAUAGCACCUCACCAUACAGAAAGGAGUAAUCCAUAGCCAAACACGUCAUUUGUAACCAAUUCUAUCUAUAUUGCAAUUAAAUAAACUUAAAAUGAACUGAUUUCCAAUUCAUUUCAUUUGUUUGAAACUUAACAGAAUAACUGAGUUGAAUUCACUGAUACCGAACAAAACAAUAGAAGAAACAAAUGAAUAUGGCCCUAAUAAAAUUACACUUCUUUAACCAGAUAACUGUUACGCACUGGCACAGUUGUAAUAUGCAAAAGUUGCAGAGACUGGAAGUAAUUGAUUUACGUCUCCAAACAGAAUUAACAAAUAUUAAAACAAACAAAAAUUUAAAAAUAGUUUUUUUAAUAUUUUUUUAUUUAUUUAUAUAUAUAUAUUUGAAAAAGAACAUGAUAGUCCAUCAAACGAAGUCCCAACAUCACUAGCCCAAAAAGGAGAAUACAGACAGACAUCAGGGUCAUCCAUUCGAAAUUCGUAUGCCACACCAAGAGAAAUAGGAGGAUAGUGAUUGAAUGACUGAAGACCAAUCUGGUGUUCUCUUAUGUCUUUAACAUAUGCAUUAAUGUGAGUUAAAACCAUUUGGUUUCGAUGAGAAAAAUGGGUAGAUGAGUGAUUGAAGGCCAGAGAGAGAGAGAGAGAGGGGGGGACAGAGAUCUCUUUGAAUAAUGAAAAAACUGGGAGGGCAGCAGUGGAGAGACUAGAAGGGGAUGCAGGGAUCUCGUUAGAAUGAGAAAAAGGAUCACAACAGAUGAAUGGAACCAUGAGAAAAUCCAAUCUACUUUGGUCAGACUGGAACCUGUAUGGAAAUCUGAAUAUUUCCCCACCAAAAAAAUUCGAAUUCUAAGGGCAUACCUAUAUAACUCAGUUGCAACUGAACUGAAGCAGUGAAUUCCUUAUUCUGCAGAGGUUCCAAACAGGAUGUGAAAGAAAUUCAACUAUUCCAGACAAUCAUACUUAUAAAACUCCUCAAACUACACGGCCCAUUUUAUGUAGUUUAUAGGGAAACAAUAACAUUUUGACCUUUUUGUAAGGGAUGUGAAUUACUAUGUGAUCCUUGCCCGACACUUUGACACCUCUUUUUUCUCAAUGAUAAAACUAAAUACUCUGCUAGCCAAAGUGAGUACACCAUGAUUUGCGCUUAUGUUUCUUUAUGUUAAGCUUAGCUGUAACCCAAGGUUUCACACAGGAAUUUUCAAAUUCCAUUUAAUAUUAAUCCUAUAAAGAGCUAUAUCCUUCACUAAAUCUCUUGUGGACAUAUCCUUCCUAAUCAAUUCCACCAAUGCCAUUCUUGGUAUCCAUCUACUGUUCAAUUCUCCUCCUUGCCUUAUUCUUUCACAGAGUGCAUUUGUAUCUUCACAUUGUAUAUGACCAGAAAAUCAUAAAUUCCCUCAUUUUAUCAUCAAUCGAAGCCACCCCUACCUCAGAAUGAAUAUCCACAUCCACCUCAACGUCCUCAUCUACUUUAAUUGGAUGUAAAAUAAUGUCAAUAAUGUCAAAUGUAUACAAAAAAUAAAAUAAUGUAUACUAUCAUGCAUAUCAGCCAAAAUAAUGCAUGUCAAACAAACUUAGCUUACAAGAUUCAGAUCACCCUUUUUCAAGUGGUGGCCUAACUAUCAAGUAAAUGAUACAUAGAUAUGAUCAUAAAUCAAAUGAAGAUGAAAAUGAGAGAAAACACCAUGAAAUCUAUUAGAGAUAACUUGAAUGAAAAGGCAAAAUUUGAUAAACCAAAAAAUAAAUAAAUCUAAGAUAUAAUUUUACAUAUUAAAUUACCUGAUAUGGUGUCCAAUGCUAAUAAGUCAUAAUCUGAAACAAGACCGACCUGCAUCAAAAAAAGUACCACUGUAUAUUAGUUGCUCAAUCAUAUAAGCACAAAUCAAGAAACAGAUACUGACUAAACAAUGAGGAUGGUCACAACUUCUCAGAAAAAGAAAGACGUUUUUGUUUCUAUAACAUUAACAUGAGAAAACGCAGGAAAUUCCAUUGGGGUUGCGAAAUAGACAUAUGUGUGUUUGCUUGAAUGCAGGCCGCAUGCAUACACUAUUAUGCUGAGCAUAUUGCAGAUAUGUUUCAAAACGAACAAAGCAGGUGUGUGAAUUCUUGAUGCUUGAGGUCAUAACAAAAUCCUGAACCAACCAGGGGGAGGAGAGCAAUGCUCCACGAGAAAAAAAUUCCUGGUCCAUUCACCGUUCCAAUGUGAAUACCUAAUCCUCACUUACAAUCAGAAUUACAUAAUGUACCUUAAGUAAGACAAUACUUUUUUCUUCUUCUUUUUGGUUUACAAGUAAGACAAGACUUUGAUAUAUAAGUUCAAACAUCGCAAAUUGGAAAUCAUUUGAAAGUCUGGUACUGAAAUUUGAAAGAGAAUACAUGGAAACACAAAGUGUUGGAGAAAGAAGGGAGAUGAAAAGUGAAGACCUACCAAUUUCCAGUCGUCGUCGAUCACUGGAAAACCAGUGAUUCUGUUUUCUACAAGAAGUUCUAUAGCUGUAGGCAUAAAAGCUAAUUCCAUCAGAAAAUGAAAAAUCUACAAAACUGCACUAAUAAGCUUCACCUCAUACAACAAAUAGUACCUUCAUCUACAGUAGUUGUGGGCUUAACCACACGCAAAUCCUUUCUAGGCGUCAUAAAAUCGCCAACUACAUGAAUUCCAUUCUUUUCCUGCACAUUAUCAGGUAAACCAGACGCAAUUCUGCCCAUCACAACAAGUGAUCCAAUUCUAGCCAAAGACACAAAUUAAGCUACAUUUUCAAAAUUUCAACCGUUUGAAUUCGAUUUGAUCAAACACCUUCAAUUACAAAUUCUAAUCAAAAUUACUCAGAUGAAAUUCGGAGAACGGAGUGGAUCAGAAAAAAAUACCGGUACGGAAUUAGACGUCAAGGCGGCGCUGGCGGUGACAUUGAAGGACCUCCGGAGCCCCAAAGCGCGACACGUGGCGACGGAGAUUGAGAAUAGGCGUCGGUCUGGACGGCAUAGCAGCAGGCACGGCAGCCGAUUAGCCGGAGAAGAAACGGAAGCUGUGGAAUUAGGCAGGAGUGAAGGUUCUGGAACGAAAAUCGAGGCCAUGGCUGUGUCUAGUGGUGCUGGCAAGCAAUUGUGUUUUGGUUUUGUUUAUCAGCUGCGCGGCCUGCAGAGUAACCGCCCUGGGAUCGAGACCGCGCUAGCUGUUAAAUAGUAACGGAUUUAAAAACUAAUUUGACUGAGCUGACUAGGUUGCUACGUGGCACUCUCCGGUUUCAGGGUGGGCCAGAGAGGCGAUCUGACGGUGGAAAUUGCGUUAUCAGUUGUGAUUGGGUUUGGCAUCACUCAUAGGGAGAAAUUAUACAAUAGUACAGAUAUACCACGUCAAUUUAUAGUACUCCCACUCAAAUAUUGUUAUAUGUUCAUUUUUAAAAUUUAAUUAUUUUCUUUUUUACGGUUGGGCUUCUUAAUUUUUAUAUUUUGAAAUAGAAAAAAAAAAAUUAAAGACUUGAUAAUAAAUUUAUAUAUUAAACCCAACAGUCCUCUUCUAUUAAGGGAUUCCUCAAAUAAUUUUAUUUGAGGGACGCCCUUUAGGGUAUUCUACAAUUUUUUUCUCAAUAAUUCAAACCAUCUAUUUUUUAGUUAUUCAUUCAUAGAUCAUCCUUACAAAAAAUUAGACAAAUUGGAAACCUUUUUGACAUCCAAUUGUGUCUUACAAAAUCAAUGAACACGGUGUUUUAAGAAAGUACUAAAAUUUCAAUAACUCAAUUGAGUGGUCAAAUGAUAUCGGAUUCAAGUGAUUUUUUGUAGAGAUGAUCUUUCAAUGAGUAUCUACAAAAUAAACGGUUUGGAUUAGUGAAAUACAAUUCGGAGUGGGGCCUACAAGGGGUAUCCCUCAAAUUUAAGGGAUCCCUCAAUAAAAGCUCUCUGUUAAACCCAAUAUAUAUAUAUAAAAGAGUAUUGCCCCAACCGCAGCACCACUCCAACCCAACGAACCUAAUCCCUAGUACCUGCCAUGAUCAAAGGGACUCUUGAUUUGGAGUUAACACUUUGUCCUCAGUCCACUCCCGCCCGCCUAACCAAAUACUCUAACGCCGAUUGGGCCGGUUGCCCCGACUCUUGCCGCUCCACCACCGGCUACUUGAUAUACUUGGGUAGCAAUCUGAUCUCCUGGUGUUCCAAAAAGUAGCCCACAGUAUCCCACUCCAACACAUAAUCUGAAUACUGGUCCUUAGCCCAUGCGUGUGUCGAGAAAACCUAGUUGUCUUAUCUGCUCGUCGAACUUGGUGUUCAUCUCCAAUUUCCAAUUUCUCAGCACUGCGACAAUCUCUCUGCCACAUACUUGGCAGCCAAUCCCCUUUUUCACACUCGUACUCGUCAUAUCGAGCUCGAUUAUCACUUUGUGCGAGAAAAGGUCUCCUUAGGCAGCCACUGAGUCUGUUUCAUCCCUUCCAUUGAUCAACUUACCGAUCUUCUCACCAAACCUUUUCACAAACCGUGUCAUCAUCUCCUUCGUUCCAAACUCGUCCGGCCUUGCCCGUCCAGUUUGCGGGGGGUGUUAGUGCAGCAAUCAAGCCCAGUCAACUCUCCUCCAAUUCCUCUACAAGAUCUUCUCCUUCAUUGCCUUGAUCAGAUAAUAGCUGUCACUGAUUCUAAUUACUGAUUAAUUGUAAUUGAUUGUAUUUCAUAUUUCUUACCUUUUGUAUAUCUACUAAAGUGUGUAUAUAAGCUGUAUCAAUGCUAAUGAAAUAUUGAUCGGGAAAUUCUCCUUUACAGUAAUCUAGCUUAUGCACUUAUUUUAUUUCAAGUUUUAAUCUAAAGACUCUAAUGGAAAGUCAAGCACAAACAUGACUAGCAUAUAAUCGCUUUUUAAAAUCCCAUCUUUUUAAAAUUACUCUAAACUAAUCUAAUCACUCAACAAAGAGACCUGAACUACUUUAACAAGCCCAACAAUUGCGUCAUAGGAAGAACAAUGGAUAAAGCCUAGGAAGAACAAUGGACCCCCGCAGUUCAUCAUAUUACUCUUUUGUUUGGUUAUACAACUCAUUUGCUCGUAUGAAUCAAGUAGGGAGGGCCAAAGGUGCAAAUCUUGAAUCAUACGCUUACAAAUUUUAACUAAAAAUAACAAAAUAAAUAAAAAAGCAUCUAGACUUAAAACUAAGAAUGCCAAUAAUGCCCAUGUGAAAAAAGCCUCUUUUAGCUUCACGACAAACACUCUUCUUCAGUGUUCACGGCCCCACUUAAUAUUUCCCCUUUCACUUUUUCAUAACAAGAAUGAUCAUAUAAAACAAGCAACCCCAAGCUAAAAUCUCUGGCUUUUCUCUAUUGUUGAGAUGGGAGGUUGUUUGUUGCCCCUGUCUGUACAAAAUCCCUGCCAUUUGAUAUACAUGUAUAUUACAAGUGAUAUUGAGAAAGGGUUUUUUUUUUAUACAAGUGAUUAUUAUUUUUUUGGCACACCAUGAAGAUUCGAAUAUGAAACUACUAAUCCGUAAGAAAAUACACUUUUUUACUGGACUAUACCCCGUUGGCAUUCUGCAAUUUAAUUAGUUGAGUUUCACAUAUCAAAGUUUAUUUCUAAUCACAAAAUAUUUUCAGCAUGCUAAUGUAAUGGUUUCAAGGUUUUGGUAAAUUGAGGCCACACUUUUUUGAACUUUGUAUUUGGGCUGCAAAAAAGUCCCCCCAAGAAUACUCCUUUUUGUUAGACAACUGAGAGAUUGAGCCCAAAUAGAAACUUAUAGCAUAUGGUAUGUUGUAAUUGGACAAAACAUGUUACUCAUUGUGUCACGUGACAAGUUAAUCUCUAUUGAAGUAGUAAACUAGUAGUGCAUGCGUUAGACGUAUUGUAAGAUCAUAUUAAAUAUUUCCAAGAUAGAUAAUUAUGCAAGAGAUGAUUGUCCUAAUUACCCCAUCAAAUCCGAAUUUUCAUUCUCACAUUAAAUCUUAAGCCUUCUAGCACGUGCAUCACGGAUGCCAAUUAGGGGUGGACAUGAGUUGAAUUAAGUCGGUUUUGGUCCCAAUUCAUAUAUAGUUGUUUAUGAUUUAUUGGACUCAAAAUCCGCUUAUUAUUAAGCUAACCCAACCCUUUUGUGAUCGGGUUGGGCGGAUCGGUCGAGUUAACUCAAAAUUAAGUUACUUUUAAGUUUUGGUUCCAACUCGUGAGCGGUUUAUGAUUUCUUAGACCUAAUACUAGCUUAUUAUUAGACCAAUUCAACCCAACCCAAUCAUCUAAUGAUUGAGUUGACCCAAAAUUGCGUCCACGCCUAAUCCCAAUUGGCUUUUUAUUUAUUGAGAAAUUAUAUUUUCAUAAAUUGUUUUAUUUCUUAACAUUUUGAUUAAUUAAUGGUAUUAUUGAGAUUAUAUAUAGAUGACAUAAUAUCCUUCAACUAGUUAUCAAAUCAAUUCACCCAUAGUUUUUUGGAAUAAAAUGCACUUUUAACCGGAUGAAAUAUGCAUGGUAAAUGUACAAUGUAAAAAGAAAAGGCAAUAAUUUCAUCAACAAAAAAAGAAGAAGAAAAUGCAAUAAACUGAAAUACAUCCUCGAACUCUCCAAGCAACUUCUAUGUAAAAGGAAGAAGAAAAAAUUACAUAGAAUCUCCAAAUCGUUACAGUUAAUGGUGUUAAUAAUACUUCUUGCGACCUAAAUCUAAAUGGCAUACUCGUUCGAUAUUUACAGCAACAUUUUUUUUAAAACUUCGGGUAAGAUGAUGCACUGAUUUCAUAUACCCGUCAACGUUUUGGUCAUGUAAAGGUUGAUGAUGAAAUUGGAUGCACUCAUUUCUGUUGUGUCUCAGCCUCAAAUUUAAACAAGCAUUCUUUUCUUCUAAUCCUCUGAUCCUUUUUAAAUUGCAAGCCAUGCUCUUCUCAAGAGAAGCAAGACGACAAUGCAGCCGGUCUAUCACAAAGGCAAGCAAUAGAGACAACACAAUGAGAGUGGUUUCAAGACUCAAAUGGCCCAUCAUCCCACGCUUCUGAAUCAUCACGAGAAAGAUGAUAUUCCCCACGACUAUCAGCAUAGCGGUCCCAUAGCAGCUGCGGUUGAUCUCAUUGAGGCUCGAUAUCUUCGUCUUUUUUAAAGGCGCCUCGAGCAAAACUAAGAGCAUGAGAACCAUAUCAAUUAAAAUCGUGAGUAGUACUACCGGAACCAUAGUGGAGUUGGAAGGUUUAGAGUGUAUGUGUUUAGGUAUAUUUAUAUGUUGAAGUUACGUACAUAUUUUUAUACAUAGGUUGUAUUUAUAGAAGAAACUCUAUCCUAGAGUUAUUAGGAGACCUAUUUUUGUAAGGAAUUUAAAUGGGCCGGGUCAAUACUAUCAAAAAUUUAUGGUGGUUUGUGAAUUGGAUCAACCAACGGGCCCAAGCCCACUCUCUCACUUUCCAUCUCUGUCUCUCAACGUUGUUUGGCAGAUCGAUGGGAAUCUCUUCGGAGAUUUUGUCCCCCCCCAAAAAAAAAAACAAAGAGAGAUCCCAUUAUCUCAUUGGAGAUCUUUGGAGGUUUCAGAAAAGAUUUAAAUAUGUUUUUCCUAUUUGAGGGAAGUACACGAAGGCCUACCGCAAAUCUGUCUCUUGGUUUUCCACUCCACAUGCGUCCAUAAACAGACAUGGUGCAAUUUGAUGUACCUUUGUUGUUUCUCAUGUGCAGCUUUUAUGCAAAAUAAUAUUUUGAUCAAAGAUAACGGUUGCAUAAGUUAGAGCUAUGACAUUCUUUUGUCCUCCUUUUGUCUUUCCUGGUGAGGCAAUGAACCAUGUCAUGUAUUUGGACGUUGUUAUUAGCAUCAAAUUCAAAUAAGUACGUUGAUAUCAUAUAUUUUAAUUUUAGGGGUUAAAAUAAUCCAAACUUUGUACGUACAAUACUAUAAAUAUUAUAGUUCUCGUCAUAAAGAAAAAGGCUGGAAUGUAGAAAUGGUGUUGGUUGACGUAAACUUAUGUCAAGUUUAGUUAUACUUAAGGCACCUUAAAUUUCAUUAAAAUUAUUUAUUACUUUAAUUAGUUUUUUACUAAAUGUACAUUGAAGUUUGAUGGCAAUGGCAUCUCUAAUAAAUAUGAUCUUUAACAACCUUAUGCAUAUAUGGGCAUACCUGUACCUGUAAUCUUGCUCUCAUUGGCAUUCUCUUCACCUUACAUCUAUCUCUGUGGUUUGUUUAUUUAAGUAAGCCCAAGAUUAGCUUAAAAAUCAAGCUUGUGAGUUCCUUUCCUUCUUUGAUAAUCCAAAAUUAAUACAAUGUUUAAGUUUAGUAGGUUACUUAGUGUGACAUUUAAAGAAGGCCAUGUUCUACAUGAGGAAAAGGGUACCCAAAUUCGGCAUGCUUUUGAAGAAUAGAGUAAAAUUUGUGAGCCAGUUGGUAAAUCCACAAUUGGGCAUGGAAAUUUGCUUUGUAGGAAUUGUGGUGGGUGGUGGGUGGUAGUAUCAUUCUGUUUUGUUUUGGUUACCAAGACAAAAGACAAAAUGAGAUAACACCAUGCUUGUCUACUAGCAGUCUUUUUUUUUUUUUUUGUUGGUAUGCACAACAAACAAUUAUGAAAAAUUGUCAUGUGGACUCAUUUCAACAUAUGCCAACCACCCAAUUUCGCAAAAUUAAAGUUGUGAUUAGACCUUGGCAAUCAAAAGGAAAAAUGUUGGACGAUCCAAUGAUGCACAAUGCGAGUACCGAAAAAAGAAAAAAAAAGAAAGAAAGGGAUCCGACAAAAAUGGAAAUUUUUAUCUAUGACGGUAUUAUAGUUUUUAACGCUGUUAACUCAGUCUCAUUAUUAUAGAGUGCUGUUAAACGAAUCUUAAAAUUAAUUGAGUACACCAUACUACCAAACCAUUUAUUGAAUUACUAAUUUACCCUGAUAUAAAAUGACCAAAAAAUAUAUAUUGAAUUGUGAAACAAAUAAAAUUUUAAUAAGUACACCUUACUCACUAUAUUCAUCCCUUAUCAUACGUAAAAAAGUCUUUGUAUUGCUUGGUGCUCACGAAUAACGCAGAGAGUAUUAGUUUAGUUUAGGAUUGGUAUUACGAAAUUAAAGAUUUGGAUGAAACCCAAAAUCUGAAAAGAGGGCACAAAUUCAUGUAAAAAGAGAAACUUGGUUUAUGAUUGGUAUUAAAGUGUUGUAUCAUAGCUAUUUUUGGUAGUUAAAUAGGGUGUACUUAGUUAAUUUUACAUUUUGAUUAAAAUAUUAGAGUUAACUUAGAUUACAGGAUGUACCCAGUUAAUUUUAAGGUCCGUUUAACAGCACUCUUAUUAUAUCAUGUGUAGUAUCAAAUAUAUCACGGUAUUAGUGUUAUCAUCUCCAAUCCAAUAUAAUCCAACGCGAUAUGAUCCAAAUCUAUCUCGUAAUCGAGUUGAAUCUCAAUCAGUAAACACCACCUUUAGUACCAUCAUUUAACGAAUUUUACACAUGCUAAGACUGUGUGGCGGUAUUACGAUGACAAGGAUAAAAUUGAGGAGGGUAGGUUUGAAACAAAGGAAAGAGGUUAAGGAUCAUAAAGGGUGUGGGCCUAGAGGUUUCGAUAUAUUAUGAAGAGGAGAGUGAUAGGUGGGCCUGGGCUAGACAUAAUUGAAUGGUGGAGGCCCACUUUGGAAGGUAGUAGUACUGUUUCCACUUGGGGAAAACAACCUCUUUUGAAGCAUAGCCACGUCCCACUUCCAUUAUUAGAAGGUUUUUAUUUGGCAAUGCCAACCAUUUGCUCUCCCACUCAUUGUCUUAAGAAAAUAAAUCCUUCUUUCAUGAGGAGAGAUUAGACGUGUAGAGCCAGAUUUCGUAUAAAUUGCUAUUGGGUUGGGUUGGGGCUUGUUGGGAAUUUUGUCUGGUGCUUUGUGACGUCACCAUCCUUUUUCACCUCUCCUCUCUCUUGGGCCCCCACCCUCUCAGACAAUAUUUGUUUCCCUCUCUGACACAACACCCCCUUCUCAUAAUUAUAAAAAAAAUGUAGAUAUUUUUUUGGGUAAACAAAACUACAAAAACUUAAUUACCAGAAUUAAAUGUAAGUUUUUCUAACUGUUACUAUAUUGGGUUUGACUGAAUUAAACUGUACAUAGAACCCGUUUGAGACUGUUUCUAUAUGAAAUACUUUCUAUUCGAUUAAGGUAUACUAGUCUUUUGUAAUUCUGGAUGGAGGAAUACUUUAUUGUCUAGUUAGAUGUUGUUGAUGUAUUCCUGAUUGUAUUUAUACUUCUACUCAUAAGCACUUUUCAUGCGACAAAUGUAUUCUAGUUUUUUACAACUCUAGUUGACGGAAUAUCUUAUUGUCUAGACAAUUAAUAUGAUUAUAAUUUUUUUUUUGAGAGUAAAUUUAUAAAAUGUGGUGCGUAGACUGUCGGCACUCAUUUUCUUUAUAUUAGAAGAAGACAGCCAAAAUUUGCAAUUAUAUAUGUAAAAAUUCAUAACCUUUUUUGUACAGAAUAGUCGACAUCUAGAAUAUUGACUAAAAACACAAAACUAAAGAAUUGUAAAAUCUUUUCCUAUUCCACUCCUUUUAAAUUUUUUUCUCUUUAAAUUUGUUUUGGCUUGUCUUGCUUGUUCCUAUUCUCUCUCCUCUAAAAACAAAUGUAUUUUUCCUGAAUAUUUUAAUACCAAAUAUUAUUUUAUUCACUGAAAAUAUCUUUGUUUAACAUAAAGCAAAUAGAGAGUUUAGUGUUGAUGAUGUCAAGCAUGAUGUUAUCUCUUAAUCUACGAAUCUAUCUGCCAAUCUAUCCAGGCUUUGAGUUGGCUUCCAGCAUUCAAGUUAGAACUUAGACCCACACGCGCGUCUAUAGACUGCUUAUCACGCUCCUAUUCCUAUUUUUUCUAUAAACGUAUCGCAAUUAUUUUUCUUUUUAUGUCAUUUACCAAACCAUGAAAACAUAUCCUAAGAAAAUGACUUAAGCAACUUUGAUUAAACCCGACUGAAUAUGAAACAAGUAUUAAGAUUAAGUUUGAUCAAUAAUAAAUAAUAUUUCUUGGUUGAAAUUUACAUGUAAAACAUAUGUCUCAAAACAUUACAAUCUUAAACCAUCUUAUAGCGGGUACCAUCGAAAACGUCAUUCACGAACUGAUAAAGAAGGCCUCUUACGAUGAAGCAAAUGAGAUUGUUGAAAUUCAGCAUCAUAAUUCUUUGCACAUAUAAGACUUCUCUCAACAUGUGCUGGUUCAAAACCGAAAAAUACUACAAUCCUUGCAUUCCAUAAUAGCCGCAAACCAACACGGGGCACACACAACAGCAACUCGUCAACGACCACCAAACCCAUAAAGUAUCCAGGACAUUAGAUUUGCCAAAACGCCCAUCCUUUGAGGCAAAAUCCAAGGAGAGGAGAACCACACAUAUCCAAAGUAGAUAUGAAAACUCCAAUAUGCUAAUAAAAAACACUAAACCAAACCAACAAAGCAAAGAGAGAGGGGAGGGACGGGGAAAGGAGGUGGCAACUAUAAUUCCAUAGGCUAGGAUUUUUAUUUUUUAUUUUCCUUUUGCUCUCAUUUCAAGAGGACCCCUGAGUUUCAUGAAUUUUUUUAGCUUUCAUUUUCAUUUACAAAGGGUGUUUUCAUGAUUUAGUGUGCCUAUAUAAAACCUGCUAGUCAUGCACCAACCCACCCUAACACAUGGAUUCAUAAAAGAUAUUAAGAAAACUUGGGUAUUUAGGGAUGACCAUGCUACCAUUCUAUCAAUUCCAGUUGCAACUUAAUGUGAAUACAAGAUUAUGCUUAUGCAUUCUUAAGCUAUAAGAACAAAAAUAGAAACCCUAACAAACUAGAGUUACUAAAUUUGUAAUUCGGCCUAAAGUAUGGUUUUAGUUCUUUUAUUGCAAGUUUGGCAGUUUAAUUAUUUUGUGUUGGAUCAUAGUGUUGAACUAGAUUGACCAUAUUACAAUCUCGAUAACAAAUCAUUAAAGUAUGAUGAUGAUAAUGUCAACACUUGAUGUUUAUAAAACAGUCAAUUCCCAUAAAAUCUAGUAUUUGACUUGUGGCUGUAUUUUCACAGGGCAUAUGUAAACUUACAAAUUCUCUUAAAUUGUAAUACACGUAUUAUUCAAUGAAACCAGAAGUUCUAAAUUACGGGACUACUAACCCUACACAUGUUACAAUUCUUGAAUACUUGUAACACCCUGUUAACAUAGUCGGACUAAACUAUUCAAGUGAAGGAAGGACCACACAUGGUAUGAAAAGGAAUAUAGUAUGAAUGAAGAAGAAGUAAUCUUGUCAUUUGUAAAAAAUUGUUUAAGCAUUAACAAGGGGAAAAGAUGAAGUUGAAAGAGAAAAGAAAGGAAGAAGAGAAGUAGAAGUGUAGGAGACGCGGGAAAGGAAGAGAGUGAGGAGAGGAGGGGGGGAGAGAAGGGCCACAACAAUACGAGGUACAGCAAAUAGGAAGGGGCAUUGGUCGCUAGAAGAACGAAAGAGGCAAAGGUGGCCCUCUUCCCGUACUCUUGGAUUGGACUUUUUUGGAAAGACCUUCCUUUUCCUACCAUUAUUCCCAUUUCCUUUUUCUGAUACCAAACCAAACCCAGUAAUAACAACCCAGUCACCACUCACCACCUCUCUCCUUCGAGAGAGAGGUCCUUGAUUUGAUAAUUACACCCUUUUUUUCUUUCCCAAAAUGCCCCGGUUGUCCACCCACUAUUUACUGCCCUUCUUCCUUAUGGUAAAAACCAGGUGAAACACACAAGAUACCUGAAUAUGUGAAAAAAAGUGAAAUCAAAUAUUUUUGUAUCAAUAUUUUAUUGAUUUUGUUGACUUGUGAUGUGAACGUUGAAAUAAUUAAGUUGCUAAUAAAGGCAAUAGAGUAAUUAGCCAUCUAUUUUAGUGUUUGGGCUGUCUAUUUCCAUUAGUGGGUAAAUAGAAUAGAGAGAGAGAGAGAGAGAGAGAGAGAGAGAGAGAAGAAUGCUUUUCGAUUUGGUUAACGUGGGAAAGUUGUGUAAGAAAGAGAUGGUUCUUUCUUUUCUCUCCCCAUUACCCCAUCUGAUCCAUGCUCCUUUGAACCCACCAAUAACCUCAAAAAAAGAGGAAAAAAAAAGAAGAAAAAAAGAAACAGAGAAAGAGAAAGAGAGACAACAGUAAAGUUGAACUGUACACAACAAGUUUAAAGCCCAAAAACUUCAAGUUUAAUCUUUAUUUAAUAUAGAUGCCAAAAAUGCAUACUACAAUAUUUUAUAAAAUUGAGUGAUUGCACAAAAUAAAAAGUAAAGAGAGAGAGAGAGAGAGAGAGAGAGAGAGAGAAUUAUGAGUCAUUGAAAGGAAAAGGAAGCAAGUGGUUAGAGAGGGAGAGAGAGAGGGGGGUAUUAAGGGUGGGGUGAGAAAGCUUGAGGCUAAGGCUUUACUGAAACUGGCCUCGUCUAUGCUGUAUUGGGCAGUUUUAGGCGCCAUAUACAAGCACAAGAUCUUGGAGUCCAUAGCUCCAUAGCUUCAUAGCUCCAUAGCUCUCUCUUUCUCUCUGUCUCUCUCUUAACCCUCCUCCUCCUCUUGCCUUUUUGCAAAGACACAAAACCUGCAACAUUACCCACCUCUCUCUUUUCUCUCUUUAACUUUUCCUUUUCGUGUUUCUUGUUGAGGCCUUUUUUUUUUUUUUGCCACGCUGAAUUCUGGGUUUGAUGUAAAAAAAUAAAACUGAACACCGAGCAAACAGCUGGUAGACAAACCCAACAAAGAGACAGAGAGAAAAAAAAUGUGGGAUCUCAAUGACUCGCCUGAUCAGCGUCCACGUGGCGAUGAAUCGGAGAGAUGCUCAUCCCAGAAGACCUCGGCCGACGGAGACGAGGAAAAGGGCAAACGGGUCGGAUCCGUGUCCAAUUCAAGCUCCUCGGCCGUGGUCGUCGAGGACGACGGAUCAGACGAGGAAGAAGACGACGACGGCCCCGCCAAGCUCGCCAAGACGCGGGGAGGAGGAGGGGGCAAGAUAUUCGGGUUCUCCAUGGCCCACGAGGAGUCCAUGGAUGGUGAUCCGCCCGUGACCGUGACCGUGACCCGACAGUUCUUUCCGGUGGAGCUAGACUCCACCACUGAAAUAAUGGGGCCCACACGGGGUGCCGUCCCGCCUGCAGCUCCUCCUUCUUCGUCGUCGUCGUCGUUUCCCAGGGCCCACUGGGUCGGGGUCAAUUUCGGGCAGUCGGAUUCGGGCAGCCCCGGGAAGCCGCCGGCCGCGGUGGAGGCAGCCCACCAGCCCAUGAAGAAGAGCCGGCGUGGGCCUCGCUCCAGGAGCUCUCAGUACCGCGGCGUGACGUUUUACCGGAGGACUGGCCGAUGGGAGUCUCAUAUUUGGUCAGUUAUUAGUUAGUUAAUUUCACUUCACAUAAUUAGUAACUAAUUUUUUUCAGUUACUAUUCCUAUGUUUCAAACAAUUUAUAUAUAUAUAUUUCUAUAUUUCUAUAUUUAAUUUAUUUUGUACUUUGGCACAGGGAUUGUGGGAAGCAAGUUUAUCUUGGUAAGACUCUGACAAAAAUGAUGCCUUUGUGUUUUGGCUUGCAAUUUUAAUUUUAUUUUAUGGUAUUUUUACUGAUGGGACUUUUUUUUCUUUCUCCAUAAUACGAUUAAUAGGUGGAUUUGACACAGCACAUGCAGCUGCACGGUGAGCUCUUUUCCUAAUUCGUCAUCUCGAAAAAACCAAGGUUUAAUUUUGUGGGGGAAAAUGUGGGGGCUGGAAAAAAUAUGAGAAUUUAUUUUGUGUUAUGCAGUGCUUACGAUCGAGCGGCCAUCAAGUUCCGGGGAGUGGAGGCUGACAUAAAUUUUAGCAUAGAGGAUUAUGAAGAAGACUUGAAACAGGUGAGAGAGAGUGUACGGUCCCCGAAAUAAAGAGAAAGGGCUUUGAACUUAUCUUCAACAGUUUUAUUUAUUUAUUUUAAUACCUUAUCUUCAACAGUUGCAGAAAAUAAAUAAAUAAAUUUCUUUUUUUCUUUUUUUUAUAAAUUUUAUUUUUGAGUUUUGGUUUGUUAUAAUUUUCUUGGGAUGUUUGCAUGAAAUGAAACACAGAUGACCAAUUUAACAAAGGAAGAAUUUGUGCAUGUACUUCGCCGACAAAGCACCGGGUUCCCCAGAGGUAGCUCCAAAUAUAGAGGGGUCACCUUGCACAAGUGUGGGAGAUGGGAGGCCAGGAUGGGCCAAUUUUUAGGCAAAAAGUAAUCAACCUCUCUCUCUCUCUCUCUCUCUCUCUCUCUCUCUCUCUAGCUUUACCCUUCAAUUCUCAUUUCACCAUUUUUCUUCUACUACUUCCUUGCUUCAUGAAUUGCUCAAUGAUUUUCAUAGGUACGUGUAUUUGGGCUUGUUUGAUACCGAGAUUGAUGCUGCAAGGUACAUAUAUAUACAUGAUAUCGUACUACGGAUCUGCUCUCUAUAUAUAAAUAUGUAUAUCUCGUAAUGUUGAGUUCAUUUACGGUUAGAAUGUUCUUAAAAAUUUGAGUUUUUUUUGGGGGUUAAUUUUAUGCUACUUCAAUUCUUGUAGGGCCUAUGACAAAGCAGCAAUCAAGUGCAAUGGCAAGGAAGCUGUCACUAAUUUUGAUCCCAGCAUCUACGAGAACGAGCUCAACCCCUCCUCUGGUAAUUCAAAUUGUAAUAACAUUAUUAAUGCAUUGUAAUUAAUCUGAUCAUUUGGAUAUACGUGUUUGCGUAGAAUCAUCCGGCGUUAAUGCUGCAGAACACAAUCUCGAUUUGAGUUUGGGCAGUUCAAACUCGAAGAAAAACAAUCAAGCUUUUGGGAGUAGUGAUCAUGGCCAAAAUGCUGCAAUGGAAGUUCAACAUUCUGCCUCAAUGCAACUCGAAGCCGAUUGGCGGAAUCAAGGGUUUCGACAAAAGGUUUCGUAACAAAUUAUUUUUAUUUAAUUACAUUAAUUCUUGUCUGAACGUGUGAUUCAUACAUAUUUAUAUCAUAUAUCCGUCUAAUUAUUUUUGUUUCUUACAUUUAAUAGCUUAACCUACAAAGGGAUCGAUCUAGAGAGGAGACUGAUGCACACAGAAGAGAUGGAUACUUAGAGACAGAAGCCAUGCAGCUUCUACUCAGAACCAACCUUCAUUCUCCAGCCCCCAAUGAAAUGCAUAAAUAUGGGCAGUUUAGUAGGAGGCCUACCGUUGGAGACACCCAAAUGCCUCACACUUUCCCACCACAUUUCAACUCACCAAACAAUUACCACCAUGUAAGCACAAUUAAAUAAUUUUCAACUCAUGAUUUGCUGCGUUGAUGAUGAAUUUGCUUAAAAUUAUUGUGAUUAUUUUUCCUUUUGUCACAGGUUCAGUUUCCAAGCAGCAGCGAAGGAGGCCGCAUCGGCAGUGAUCUUUCACUCUCGAUGAGUGACCACCCACACCAACAACAAUGGCAAUCCGGCACGCCGACUUCCGAUAUAUUUGCAACUGCUGCAGCAUCAUCAGGAUUCCCACCUCAAAUCAGACCGUCCGCGCAAAAUUGCUGGCUGCAGAAAAGUGGUUUCCACUCUCUCACAAGACGCUAGCUAUAGCUCUUCUCUUGACCAUUGAGCCAUGACCCUCCCUCUGCCUAAUUUCCACCAUGUCCCAUUUCAUCUAAUUAUUCACCAAGCCCUCUUGAUAUGUUUGUGUUUGUAAGCCUUUUGAUUUGAUCCCCAACUCCAAUUUUUUCAGAGUGCCAAAAAGAGAAACUAGUCAAGAAGAGGAAGAGAACACAAAACGAAAGAGAAAGGAAGGAAAGUCUCCUGUUUUGUAGGAAAUGUAUGGUCAUUGGUCAAACUAACAAGUGGAAAAAAUCCAUCUUCAACUAGAUAUUCUGAGUUCUGACAACAAUAUAUAUCUGAUUUAAUUUUAAUAGUUGUUUUAUUAUUUUAUAUGUAAUUCAAGACCAUGUGUUACUGACUUAUUGCGCCCUAGCUGCUAGAUUAAGUUAUGAUAUUUUGGAUCCAAAGGUUGUCAUCUUUCUAUUUUUAUAAUUCAACUUUUUUGGCCUUAAAAGUGGGGUUGAGGUUGAGGUGAGAAAACAAAGAGGAAGAAAAUCUAAGCUUCAAAGAUGGGGUGGAGACUCAGAGAAAUUCAGGCAUACGUAAACAGGUAUUUUGUAUUGUCUUGGAAAUAUCACCCGAUGGUGAUGAAUAGUCCCCAUCAUCGGUGUCCUUUGAAUCAGUUCUUUCUCCAAAAGCAAUAGUCAGACACUGCUAUUAUGACGAGAGGGACCUUUCAUAUAUUUUCAAAGGACAUAAAAAAUUAAAAGAUAGAGACCAAUGGGGUUAGGGUUCUACUUGGGAUUUAAAAUUUAGUCAUAUCAGUUUGGAGAGGGAGAUUCGAACUUGCGACCGAAUGAUCUUAAACAACUCACCUAAUUCUCGUAUGUUUAGUCCUGUCUGUUUUAAUUACAAAGCAAACACAAAAGACACUUUAGAAAAAUGGAGCGAAGUUAGACCUAGAACAUGCGACAAUACGAAGAACAUAUUUUUAUUAUUAUAUUUAUUUGUUAUUUUUAAUAAAAUAGUAAAAUAGUAUAUUAAUUAGAUAUUGUAAGUUAGGCAGAUGCGAAUAAAAUACAAGAGCUGCUUUCAUCAUCAUGCGCGUCACACCAAGAUUUUUCUGAGGCGCAUACAAAUUAUAUUCUCUCUCUCUCACUGAGCCAUUUCUUGAAGUCUGCAUUAUAUUAUAAAUAUAUGUAAAUGCAUGCCUAAGUUAAGGUACAUUGUAUAUACCUCUGGGUGAAAACUUAGCUAAAGCUGGCUCGACAUUCUUGUGCAUCUUUGAUUGAAGUUUGAAAUUUGCACAAAACAAAGCAAACAUCUGUAAGCUCAUUGUACUUUCAUUUUUAACAAGGAAAAUGUAGAUUAAUUAAAUAUUUUAAUGACCAAUUAAACUUUUAAUUAGCUAGGCAAGGAGGAAUAAUGCAAAUCUAAAAGUUGCUAACAAAAGAGCCAGAGAUUCUGUCCCUUGCAUGUGAAAGCAGCGAACUUGGGUUUUGAAGCAAAGAAUCCUUCGUACCCCUCUGAUUUUCACUGCCACUUUACCUCAUUGUUAUUUUGACCUAGACUAGAAGCAAGCAAUACAUACAUACGCUUAUGUUUUACUUUGAUUUUAUUAUUUUUUUAAAUACAAGCGAUACAAAGAGUAAGAGAGUUUCUCACACAUACAAAUAAUGUGCAAGUACUUAGCUAGAUCCCAUUAGUUAUUUUACUUUGAUUUUUAAACAAGGAAGAUAAAUAUGUUUUUUAAUUUUUUAAAUUUUAGAAUAAUACCAAAACUUUUGUGUGCCGUAGAUUUCUUCAUAAGUGAUCCCUGAAGUGGUCCAAAGCACUAACGCUGCCACGCGGCUUUAUAUGAUUUGGGUGUGAAUUGAAUGGAGGAAAAACUCCAAUUUUCCAAAAGAGAACAAAGCGACAUUGUCCUGUAGUAGCUUAAAGCCCCUUGCCUAAGAUCCUUUCCUUUGCAUCGGAUCUACGAAGCACUGCUAUAACUCAGACAAACAGAUUUUAUCCCACUCUCUCUCUCUCUCUCUCUCUCUCUCUCUCUCUCUCUCUCUCUCUCAUAUGCUUUUUACCAUUAAUUAUUAUGGUGGAAAAAAGAACCAAAAAAGAAGAAAAGAAAAAAAAAGGGGAGAGGCUAUAAUUGAUAACACAGCUAUGUUGCAUGUGUGUUGAAGUGUACUAGGUCUGUACAAGACAACCCUUGUUGAGCAAUGUGGGGACCAAAGGAAGGAAAAUUAAACAGAAAACUAUGAAGAAGGAGGACGAUAGAUAGAUUGGGUAUAUACAUGGGUAUGUUGUCUUGUCAACAUUCUUGCAACUUGCAACAUAACGUGAUGUCAUUUAUCAUGUGGAUUAGUUCUUGUUUGAAUACACUUAUCGUAUUGAUAAGCUGAUAAUAACAUGUCGGAGAGUUAAUUACGUGCUAACAAACCAUGUAGGCUGUUUAGAUUUUCACUUUCAUCCUCAUAGUUUUGAUUUUGACAAUAAUAUAUGUCCUCGUAAUUAACUAAUGUUGAAAUAUAUGAACAGUUGUAGGGUUCUAUCUAUUCUUUAAAGUUAUAUGAAUCAUGUUUUGUGUGAGAGGUUUUUCGUGUUAUUUUGAAUGAUUAAGGUAGUUAUUAUAGUCGAUAUCCUUUUGAGUGAUUAGAAUAAAGUAUGUAAAAUUGGUCGUUCAAUUACAAUAUCAAGUAAGUAUAGGGAUAAAAAUGAAAACCCUAGUCAAGUAUAAGGACCAAAAGAAAUGUCAUUUGGCCUAGAAGGUAUUUAUAACACAAACAAGGGUUGCCUUGGGAUAAUUAAAUUUUUGCUUUUUUUAAAAAAAAUAUUUUUUUUUUUCCAUAAAUGUGAUUGCUUUGCUUGAAUGGUUGGAAAUGGUUUUGGAGAGGUUGUUUUCUUUAUUUGGUUUCAUUAUUGGUGAGAGUGGUGCGUGUAGCGUUUGUCCUUUCACUUUUGUUUUCUGUCCAAAACCAUAUACGUAUUUCUGAUGAAUGUGACUGUGACUCUGUGAAGGACUCAGACUGGGACUUGACUGUGAAGGGUGUAUAAUUAUAAUAUAUUAUGUAUUUUCAUAUAUGUAGAUGCUGUGCACAGUGCAGUGUGUGUGUUAGAUCGCUUUCAUCAUUCACUGAGACAAACUACUUCUUUGGUUUCCCUUUCUGGGACGCGCUUAAGCUUUCCACUCACUCUCUCUCUCUCUUUAAAACACCCAUCAAUUCUUUUGCUUUAUCUCUCUCUGACUUACUCUCUUUGCAUCCAUAUAUUUCCAUUUUUGGGCAUUGUUAUUAUGUCCACAAAAUUCACACCCCAUCUGCUCCCUCACACCUUCCCUUGCACGGACCUCUUUAACAAUAUCAUUCAAAAUUUAACAUCUCUUGUCCCACCUGCCCUUCAACAAGAAGCCUACUUGAGAGAGAAAGAGAGAGAGUGAGCGCUUUAGCAGCCCUUUUCUGUUAGAAGCAUGUAAAACUUUCAUUAAGGAUCGAAAUAUUUCUAAAAGAUAGUUCAGAGGUUCUCAAAAAGUACAAUUGUUUAUUUUGAUCAUACUGUACUGUACUAGUAUUAGAAACAGUUUGAUUAUCUGAAAAUAUGUUUGACACGUAUAUGAAGAAUACUUAUAACACAAAUUUUCGUUGUUUGAGAGAUAAGAACCUUAUUGAUGUAUAAUUGUGUGGUUUCAAAGUGUGUAGGCGUGACAUUGUCCUUCUCUUUUUGAAUUUUUUAUUCAAGAGCUUUAUGUACGGAACAUAACCUUAAUUAAGGACUAACCAUGUCACAAAAAAAACAUAAAGGAUCAAAGACGAUUAUUCCGCAAAUCUCAGGAACUAUUUGUAAUAAAAAAACCUAUAUUAAUAAAGAUAGUUUAGAAGUUCUCAAAAAGUACAAAUUUUUAUUUUGAUCAUACUGUACUAGUAUUAGAAACGGUUUGAUUAUAUGAAAAUACGUUUGACACGUAUGAAGAAUAUUUCAAACACAAACUUAUGUUGUUUAAGAGAUAAAAACCUUAUUAACGCAUGAGUGUGUGGUUUAAAAGUGCGUGGGCGUGACAUUAUCCUUCUCCUUUUGAGUAGAGCUUAAUCAUAAAGCAUGGCACCUUUGCAUAUGGAAAGGAUCCCCCCACUAAGGAAAGAGCCUGCAUUCAAAGGAUUGGGACGAAACUAGCCUAAAUAUGUAGAAUCAUAGAUGGAGCCAACUUAGGCGAUAGCUAUAGCUGCAUGAACGUGUCUGAAACUUUGCUAACAAAAGCAAAAAUAACUUGUCCUCAGGCUAACCCUACCAGCCGAUUCCAUUCUAAUAGGUUAAGAAAAAUGGACAAGGCAUGUUUUGUAGGUAAGGGCUAAUCUAGGCUAUUCACUAGCCAAACUGUUGAAAACCCAGUUGGGUGGAAUUGGGAUAUAACUUAUAAGUGGGAAAGGUUUUUAAAAGUAUCAUUUAGAUGCCUCAAGAAAAUAAUAAAUAACAUGAUAUAUAUGCAUGGCCUAGACUUUAUCAAUUACUCUGCAAAUUAUAAUUCAGGAAAUAUUAACAGAUUUGCUUGGUCCAUUUGGGGGAAGGGGAAUCAAAAGUUUCCUUUCCUAGAGGGCCUCUUCCUGCCUCAAAAUGCUAAGCAAAACCCUAGUCUCUGAAUAACAUGAACUCCAAUUAUGGUAUCAUGGGAGUUCAGUGAGACGGUGGGUGAGGACAUCAAUUUCCUGUAACAACAGUCCAACAAUUUUAUUUAUGGUUGAAAACGAAAAACAAAGGAGAAAGUUGUUGCCUAGGAAUCAAAGAACCCACAGAAUUGUUUGUGACAAUAUAUAUAUAUAUAUAUCCUCAGAUGUCUAAUUUUCUCAUCCACAAGUUUCAUAAAUCGCAAAAGAUAAUGAGCUGUUCUGUUGUGAAUUCUCCAUUGGUGUCCCAUUUAGCAAUUGGAUUGGACCACCAGACCAAAAGUACUGUUUGUGAAUGCUACAGCUACAGAUAAAGUCGAUUCAUGGUCCCCCUUUCAGAAAGAGUUUUGUUGCAAAGGGGAUGCUCUUAAAAGUUAAAACAUUAUCUCUAUUUAUUUAUUUUAUUUACAUGUAUGAUGCAUACAUUCGAAGGCAGUAAAAUAAAUAGACAAACAUAAUAUUUUCGAUAAACUACUUAGUUGAUUAUUUUAGUACAAAUGAUAUUUGAAGAAAAAAAAAAAAAAAAGGGAUGGUUCGGACCGUAUUAAAUUACACGGUGGUUUAAUGAGGUCUGUACAAUUGGAUGCAUAAACCAAAAACUUUAUAAGAAUCCUCUUCAUUUUGUCAUAGAAGAUGUAUGGAGGUAGAAGGAGCUGGAGUUUGCCCGGUAGCAGCAAGCAGCUACCAGCUAGCUUUUGUCCACCCUCUGUCUUCAAUACAACAAACGAAACCCAAUCAUAAAGGAACUGUGCUGGUAUUGUACCAUACAUCUGUUUAAUUUCUGAGCAUUAAUUAUUAAGAAGUUUGGGUGAAUAGCAAUGCUUCACCCACCAUAAAAUAUAAUAUAAUAUAAUAUAAAAUAAUUAUUGAAAAUUCCCAAGUACGUACCUUCUUCUCUUUUUAUACUUCCAAAUUCCAAUCCAUGGACACAAUUACAGUAUCGUUUUUUCUGAAAUUCUUUUUCAUGGUUUAAGGUGCAAAAUAACAUUUUUGAAACGCAACAAGACUAUAUUAUAUAAAUGCAAUGAGAUGCUCUACCUAUGAUCUUAGACUUAGGUGAGAUACGGUUGGCGAUGAAUUACGAAUAACGGUAAGCUUGCAUUGAUCUCUUAUUCAGAAUCAAAAAAAGUAUUGCUAUUUAUAUCACAUUGCUGAUUACCUUUCUAAUACACUCGAACUUAAAGUAGCUUUUAUUUCUAUUCCUACUCUAAUCCCAUUAAUUUUGACCCUCAUGAUCUUGAAUGAAAAUACUGCGUUUUUCUUUGCCUUCACUUCACCGAGGACUGCCGUUCUGCAAACUGCACAGUGCACACCGACCGAGUUUAAAUAAAAAAAAUUAAAUUUUCCGACGAAGUAAAUUUUUACAUUACAUUCUAUACCUUCACAUGCACGUGGUAUAUAUUAUUGCACACAUACAAAUUACAAUACAAUAAAAUUGACCCAUCCUAACAUAUAUAACACUCACGCACUUUGCACAUGAGUGAAAGUUACCCUUAGAAAUUAGACACAAAAAUUAUUAAUAGCAAGUGGAACCCAGAUGACAGAGAUGAGAGUGAGAAAAACCCAAAAGAGAUAGGCCUCUUUAUCUCUCUACCUUAAUCUAUAAUUGGAAUUGAUUUUGAGUGGUUUCCAAAAAUAGAAAAGAUUGUCGACAAGAAAAACAAAAACUCGGUGGGGUUGCAAAAGCGGCCACGAAAAGCCAUUCAUCUGUGGCCAUUCGUUCCCUCUGAGGUGGUAUUAAUGUAAAAUCGAAUUAUUGGGGUUGGAUUUUAAAAGGUUGCUUGCAUGUUAGGUGUGCAUCCCCCACCUUCACACUUUCCUCUCAUAAAGAAAGUGGUGGGGUGUGUGAAGGUUAAGCUAGCAACUAGACUCAAUGACAAUGAGCACACACAUGUUGCUAGGAUGUGAAAGAUGAUAUCACAUCGGAAAGUUAAGAAACCUUCAAAAAGUUUAUAUCUAUCUAUUAUUAAUUAAUUUUUAAAUUAAAAACUUUAAGUUUCUUUAUGAUAUUCGAACCGGACGACUACACUUGCCCCAUGUGACCCCAGUUAAAUAUUUCCUCUAAUUUUUAGGUUUGCUUCUAAUUAAUUAUGACCAUGGCUUGGAUAUUUCCAUUUUUAUGAAAGCAUCAUCUUGCAUAUGUGAUGUUCCUGAAAAGUGUGAUGAGUUGGCUUAGUAGAGGGAGAAAUAGGCUAGUGUGGGAUCUAGAAAAAGAAUGCACACAUAUAUAGUAUUUCAUUGUGGUAUGUUUUCUCAUGAAAGUUCGUACGUAUAAUAGUAAGUAACGCGAAAAAUUGAAUAAUUUUCAAGUACAAAGGACUCAUGUUUGGUUGGUUGGUGCUGUCUCUUCCGCUAUUGUCAUCAUAACCAAAUGCAGUUUUGGUCUUUUUCAUCAUUGAUGGGGUUCUGGGUAAGAUGGCCAGGAACAGCUAACUAAACGAUUCAAUUAAAGUUGUAUUUUUCAUAUCACCUUGAUGUUUUGUUGACAGCAAUCAUGAAAAUAACAGUUCCAUUUAUCAUCUCAAUAUGUUCAUCUAUAUAUGUAAAAAGGGAGAAGGCGAGUUUGGUGAAACUUUCAAACUUAUGUUCUCUAUUACUUAUCAUUAUAGAAUGAGAACAUUUGGUGAGAAAUUUCUCGCCACAUUGGAACAAGGUGAGUGAUAAGCAUUGUUCGGUAAAACACUAAUUAUAUACGAGCCAAAUAAUUUGAAUUAUAACCCUAAUUUUUUAAAAUUCACAUGUCAUGAAGUAAAAUUCACAAUUACAAAUCUCAUUAUUGAUAAAAUUACCCUAAUUUUUAAUUAAUCUACCUUUUAUAUUCUUAAAUUCAAGCAUUCAUGUAGCCCAACAAUGAGAAAGGAAAAAGGAAAAAGACAAUCGAGUGAGAUUGGUGGGAAAGAAAUAGAAAAAUUGAGUGACAAACAGCCACAUUACUAUAAAUAUCUGACAAGGCUUGGAUAUCACUCAAGAAAAUUGUGAUAAAAGGGAAUGCAUAUGUCAACAAAGACAAGCAUACAACAGUUGCUCAUCACGGUUCUUGUCAAAAUGUCAAAGUUUGCUGAUUAAUUAGUAGCAUGAAGAAAAUGAAUAAGUUUCCAUUUUAACGUAUGAGCAAUUUGGUUACGAGUUUCCAAUUUCCAAUUUGGGAAAGACGACUCUCUGUCUCGCGUCUCAAACAAAAAGCCAUCACAAAAAACAAAGGUUGGAUGUCUCGUCAUAUUCAAAAUUAGCAAAAACGGGAAUUGAUAAAGUUGUUUGAAUUCCCAAUUUAGGGUUUUCUUUUUUUUCGUGAUUGAUUUUGAGGCAUGUCGUUUCAUAUGGACUUUGGGGCUGCACUCUGCACUCACUCUCUCUUCCCUUUAAAUGGAAGUUGCUUGGUUUUUAAAGCAACCUUUUCCUGUCACCUACCCUCCAAUUGUAGUCUUUUCUAUUUUAUAAGCCAAGAUGCCUUUAUUCUCACACAUGUUUGUGGGUUUGCUUGCAACUUUGAAAGACUGAAAAAUAAUUUACCCCAAAAAAAAUAAGUUUGAAAGUGGAAAUGGCUUGAUAUGUACUUUUUGUUGCAAUUUUGAAGUUUGUGAUGAGAGGUUUCUAACAGUUUGCCAGAGCUGGUUGUUGAAACUCCAAUUAUAGUCUACAAAACAAAGCAACCAGCCCAAAUUUUGAGGGUUUAGGGUAGCUAGGUUUCAGGCCUCCCCCUACCUAUCUUUUUGUCCUUGAUCAUUUGGACCAGGCUAGGUCUAUAUAGGCUUCAGCUGCAAGAAGAGGAUGACCCAAUUAGGUAGAUUGGUCUAUGUAUGACCACAACAAUAGGGGUUGGCAUGAAAUUAAAACAACCUAACAAGAAUUACCAAAGGGGGCCAAAGAAAAAUUAUUCUUGUUUAAAAUUGUGCAUUGAUAGAUAAUUGUAGGCUUGUAGCUACAAACAAGUAGCUUCUUUCUUCAAAUGAGCUAAGUUUCUUAAAUGGGCCUUGGGAUGUUUUAAAGAUUUGUUGGUCCUAAAGUUAAACAAGGCUUGGGCUUUUAGACAAAGUUUGUUGUUUGACUGGCUUGAUUGGUUUGAUAAAACCCAUCUCCUUCCUUCUUCAAAAGUUGAUUGCAACCUUUCCACAUAAGGAAGCAGUAAUACAUGUAAAUCAACCCUAACCUCAAUCAGAAUCUAAGAAAUAGGUUGUUUUCUUGGAGUCUGGGGCAAAGACUGCAAACUGUUUGAUAAAAUGCCUCAAAGAAAGCUAAGGCUAGGCUCCAUUAGUCAUUGCAUGCAAGGCCAGACUUUACAAGAUAUUUUCUCAAGAAAGAAAAUUCAUGGACCCCCUAGUGCAUCACAUGGUGGGAUCAGACUACACAUAUGACUGGCCACCUUAAGAAAAUCAAGAAAGACGUCUAUUCUCAUAUAGCAUCUCUGUGUGACCUGAAAACUCAGUUUUUAAUCUCAUGCACAGUCGUAAGUUUGGUCAAAUUGGGGAGAGUAAAUACUUAUUCAUCACACCCAGCUAAUAUACGUAGCUAUAAAUGUGGGCUACCUAGAGAACAGCUUGCAAAGGGAAGCAUCAAAGAGUUGUAAAUGUAGUGCCACAGUGCCAGUAGAUCCAUUUACUAUUUGCUAAAAUUGAGUCAAAUCUCAGUCCACCAACCAGCCGACUUUAAAUUAUUGUUGCCGCUUUUGCAAGGAGAAGAGGCCAUAGAUGUGACCUCAAACCUAUUCACAUAAUUCAGGGGAGUGAAAAAGACGAAAAAGAAGAAACACAAAAUCUAGCUAAGAUGUGACGAAAGAACAACCAACACUAAGCGUCUAGUCUGACUCUAGUGCUCCCUAUACUUGGCAAAGUGGGCCUUCAAUCUUCUAAAUCUUUGCAGCUCUCUUUCCAUUUUACUUUAGCCACAGAGAGAGAUCUAUAUAUAUAUAUAUAUAUAUAUAUAUGGCAUCUGGCAACAGUAAGGAAUUAAAACAUGACAUUUGACAAAGCCAAGUGCCAUUUUUGGAUGAAAGGAUCAGUGGAGAACCUUGCCACACAACUUGAUUAGGCAAAGCAUCAAUUCAACCCCAUUUUGCACAGGUUUAGGUUUUCACUGUUGAUACUGUACUUACUAUCAAAGCAAUAUCAUUGCAUAUAAUACUAUGUAAUUAUAUUUUAGUGUACGUUUCGAAUACGUACUAAAUUCCAAAUUAACGCUUAAUCUUAAACCCUAAGACGAGGAAGAUCGGUUAGAACUUUAGUUAAACUUGAUUAUUAGGAGUUCAUGCAUGAACCAUGUAAAGUUCUUUGGUCCAAGUCAUGACGAUAUCAUCACACAUCAUGCCUUGUACGUUAUUAACGUAAAGUAACUAGCAUCCGUUUUCACCAACUUUGUCCAACAUAUAUAAUAGUUACUUGCCACCUUAAAUUAAAAGGCCGAUAUAUAUAUAUUUAUAAAUAAUAAUCCUCAGCAGUAGUAUUGUAAAUAUCACGUGUGGUUGUUUGUGGUUUGUAGACACGGAGCAAUACAAUACAAAAUUACAUGUAAAUUAAUAUAUAAAUUGUCCAAGAAAGAAUCAACCAAGAAGAGUGUAACGCAAAUAAAGGGCUGGCUAGAAUAUGGGGCAUCUCUUUUUUUAUAAUUUGUUGUGGGUGGCAACGGCAUUCAACGGAGGGACCGCAGGUCAGCUAUAUCAUCAUGAUGAUAUCAGUUUUAUAUAUAUAAAAUAUUACGUUUAUAUUAUUAAUCAUUUUUAUAUUUAGCAUGCAUCUUGUUUUUAUGUGAGAUCGAUCCGGACAAUAAGCAUCAUGCUGUCUUUUUACCCUUUUCCCUUUAGAAACAAAAAUUUACACAAGUUUGCCAUUGAAUGUACAUAUGGUUUUUCAGGAAUCUCUUGUGAAAACCCUGGUUUAUUUUUUCCCAAAAAAUACUUUAGAGUCGUUUUUAUUUUGAGGGGGAAGAAAGCCGUGUUCUUUCUCCCCUCCCCGCUUCUCUCUUCCUCCAUUCUCCUAUCUUCCCCCAUUUCAAUAGAUAAAAAGUUUCUCCUAUUUGUCUUCAUUUUGUUAUGAUUUUUCUCAACUUAAUUAUCACAGGCAAAUACAUCUCGGUGUUAGAUCUCUACUUGCGUUUCGGUGUUGGAUCUCUAACACCAUCAUUUUUGCAGUUUCUUUAUGUUUGGAAUCGAUUUUUUGUGUAGUUUUGACAUCUCCUGUUGUGAGAGGCUUUCACCUCUCAUUCAUGAGAGCUUUCCACCUCUCUUAUGUGAGAGUUUUAUUUGUAUUGUUAUGGCUUGAUUUUUUCAAGCUUUAUAUUUUUUUAGUUGUUAUGAGUUUGCACUCUUAGUUGGAAUGACUAUGUCAAAGUUUCUUCGAUCGUGCGUGAUUGUUAAUGGAGGAGCCCCAUAAUAUCUUAAUCUUGAUGUUAGAUCGUUUCGUUAUUGUAAUGACCUUUGUGGUUAAUUUAUAUUGGUCCUUUGUAGUUAAUAACUUUUUUUAAUUAAAUUAUAAAUGCAAUUCCAAAAUUAUUAUUAUUUAAAAAAAAAAUGUCAAACCACUUCCUCUUGCACCUUUUUUCUUAUAAAAUCAAUAUCUUAUUCUAUUGUCAUUUAUUACCACCUACAUAUAGAUAGAUAUAUUCAGAAGCUUCACCGACUCUAAAUUUUUUUUUUGUAGAUUUCUGACAAAGAAAUAAGAUAUGAGUUUGUGUGUGUGUGAUUAAUAAUGAGUAUGAAUCUCAUAAUGCGAGUUAAAUUUAUAGACAAUUAAUCUUCAACGACUUUUCUGAGCUUUACUCAAUAUAAUUUAUUUUUUAAUAGAAAUUUGAGUAAUCUAUAGGCGUCAAGCAGACUGAUGGCUUCAAAAUUUAAUUUCUAAUUAGCUUUCACUUUGAAAAAAUUAAUAAUAGAAUUAAGCUCGAAAUAUGUGAUAAAUGUCAUCAUAUAAAUUAUAAUCACAUUGACUAAAUCGACAUUUUGUGACUCUUAAGUUGAUAACAAUGUGUUACUAGGUCUAGGUAGUAGUAGGUACAAAUUUUAUUCUCUUUUUCCCACACAAGUAUCAAAUCUGUUGAAGACUCUUGUCAACGAAGACAGAGACUUCCGCUCUUCCGGUCCGUUAGAUGAACGCAAAAACGACCUUGAAAAAAAACAUACCCAACGACUGUUGUCCCUCAAAAUAAAUAUUACUAAGAUCAACGGCUCCCAUUGCCACACGUACGAUUCGGCUCUCGGGUCAGAACCCAGAUCCAAAUCCAAGGCCCCCCUCCCCCGGUAUCUUCCUCCAUACUCUCUCUACAUUUUCCCACUCUUACUUUUCUCUCGUUUCACUUUUCCGGGUUACCAAACACACACUCUCUCCAGUACUCUCUCUCUCUCUAGAAAAGCUAAAGCUUUGGUGGUUGGUUUUCUUUCUAUAUCGUUAUCAUCUUCUCCCACCUUUGAGUCAUCUCUCUGCAAACAAAUCUCUGUGUCGGUGGUGGGAUCGCUAUCAUUCACAUUGAUGAUGUUCUCUGCCUGAUUCGUUUUUUUGUUCUUCAUUUCUCAUUAUUGCAUUUCCUAUAGAGAAAGUUCAAUUCUUUUUGCAUUCUCUGCUCUUGGAAUGUGGAUCAUCAUCCAUGCAAUGCUCACCUGGUUGGUACUUCAUUUGUUGAUUUAUUAAUUUAUUUUUAAUUUUUGGCAUUUGGGUUAGGCUGUUUGCAUGCUCUGCUUGUUCUGAUUGGAUUGACUGUUUGGCUUUUAGAGAAGAAGCAAGUGUAUUUCAGUGGUUGGUGAAUGAAUCAUGGACCACAAGCCAUGGCUUUGGAGGAAGAAAUCAACAGAAAAGCCCAAUGUUGGAGCAGCAGCAGCAGCAGAAGACAAAGUCAACGUCUUGGGCAAAGGAAAUGAAGAUGAGGUAACUAUGAAUUCAUAGCUUUAGUGAAAUCCAUGAUUGUAUAUUCUAAUUUACAUUACCUAUAAAUGUAUAUGGUUUGUCUUGUGUUAUGCUACUUUCCCCUUUAGGCACACUUUUGGAGGCCCAAGCUAGAGCUUUACUUUAACUUCCCAGUCCCCAGAGGGUUGUUCUUGUACAAUCCAUAGUUGAAAGUGCUCCAUCCUCAAUGCUUCACUUGAAGAUACUUAAAAUCAAAUAAUUUUUGCUCUGCUAUUUUUUUCUUUCUAUAUUGGCUCAAGGAAAGCCAGGUUUUAUGAAGAAAAUUGGUUAUGCGUUUAAUAAUUGCAUGGAGAGAUUCUUUUUUGUUUUCUAUAUAUAUCUUAUUGGAUUCUGAUGAUUAGAGAUUUUACUAGGGAGGUGGGUCAGUCUAGACAAGUACAAUUUUCUAUUUGGAUACGUUUAAGCCUUCAAACUUGAGAUCAAUAUUUAGAUCAGUCAGAAGUUUUCACCAGCAAGACUUGUGUUAUAUCUAAAAGUUGAUACUAGUGUUGAAUUUCGGUAUGAAUAACUACUGCCAUCAAAUUAUUCACUUCUUUGAUCACAUUUUGUUGAUAUACUGAAUCACGCAAAAUAAACAGGCCCUUCAGAUGUCUAUACACUCGUGUGAGAGAGACCUCUUUCUAGCACUUCCAAUUUGUGAUACCAUACCAAGAUGCAAUUCCGAAUCUGGACUAAUUGGUCUAAUAAAAUUUUAAAUUACAAUUUGAAGGCAAUUUCACGUUUUUGUCUUUACGACAUCAUACCAUAUUUGUCCUAAAUUCUCAAAGUUUUCCUUUGUCAAAAAUUAGCAGUAAAGAGAGACACUAAAUUUGAUCAAGAUUUUCUAUUCCACAAACCAAGAUCUGAUUGGGGCUACAAUAAUAAAUAUGUCAAUCGAAAAGACAUACUGCUUAGAGUAAAUUUCCUAGGGAUGACAGAUAUAGCUCCCCUGUGUGGCUGUGGGGAUUCUGAAACCAGUUUUAAAAUUUUGGCGACCAUAAUCAGUCAAGUGCUGUCAAAUAGUUGUGUAAUGUGGACAAAAGAACUGAAAGAUCGAAUUCCGAAGGGAGUAUGUUAAUUAGUUAUCAUCAUUUAAGAAUUUUUAAUGAUGCCUGUUGUUUUAGGUUGCUGUAUAUGUCUUAUUAGGAAUUUUGUUUUUCAUUUAGGAACUGUUUAGUAUAUUUUGUUUUUCAUUUAGGAACUGUUUAGUAUACUUUGAGGCGUUAAUGGUACUAUUUUUCACUUUACUCUGUUUUCUUUUUCUUUAGAUAGAGGCAAUUCGGGCUGAGAAGGCAGAGCUGGAGAACAAUCUGAAAACUUUAAGUGAUAAGCUUGCUUCAGCUCUCUCUGAAUGUAACAGCAAAGAUGAACUUGUGAAGAAACAUGCCAAAAUGGCACAGGAGGCUGUUCAAGGUAAUUCAUUAGUUUAAGAGUUGUGUUGGAAUAUAUCAAUAACCUGUGCAGUGAGUUAAUAUAUUGUCUCAUUUUUCAUAUGAGUGUUUUAUGCAGGCUGGGAGAAGGUAGAAGCAGAUGCGGGGUUUCUAAAGCAAGAACUGGAUAAAGCUUUACAAAUCAGAGCAGCUCGUGAAGAAAGAAUAGCUCAAUUGGAUGCAGCCCUCAAGGAAUGUAUGCAGCAGCUACGAUUUGUUCGAGAAGAACAGGAGCAAAGGGUUCAUGAUGCUAUGAUGAAGACAUCAAGAGAAUUUGAGAAAUCCCAGAUGGUGUUAGAGGAGAAAUUAGCAGAGACCACUAAAAGGCUUUCUAAAAUAGGUGCUGAAAACACCCAUCUUAGUAAUGCUCUUUCAGUGAAGGAAAACUUGAUAGGAGAUUUAAGAAAACAAUUGACUCAGGUGGAAGCUGAUUUCAAUGCACUCACGAGUAGAUUAGAAUCCACUGAGAAAGAUAAUGCAUCUUUGAAAUAUGAGGUUCGAGUGCUUGAGAAAGAGCUUGAGAUCCGGAAUGAGGAGAGAGAAUUCAACCGUCGAACUGCUGAUGCAUCACACAAGCAAAACCUGGAGGGUGCAAAGAAAAUUGCUAAGUUAGAAUCAGAAUGUCAGAGGUUGCGUCUCCUGGUCCGGAAGCGGUUGCCAGGUCCUGCUGCCUUGGCAAAAAUGAAAACUGAAGUUGAAAUGCUAGGACGGGAUUCUGUUGACAUGAGGAGGAGAAAGUUGAAUCCAAAUGGUUUAAUGUAUGACUCUACUGUUGAUAACUUUCCUGAGACUCCCAGCAAAAGGGUUAACAUUCUGACUGACCAGUUAUAUGCUAUGGAAGAAGAAAACCAGACUCUCAAGGAAGCACUCAAUAAAAAGAUGAAUGAACUCCAGUUCUCUAGAAACAUGUAUGCUCGUAUAGCUUCAAAAUUAUCACAAGUUGAAACACCGCUUGAAGAAUCAUCAAGAGGCCAGACAACCAUGGAGCCAAUGAGGAGUAGUCUUAUGUCUCGUGAAGUCUCUGUAGCAUCUAUGUCUGAUAUUGGCAGCGAUGAUAAGGUUAGUUGUGCUGAUUCAUGGGCUUCUGCCUUGAUUACGGAACUGGAGCACUUUAGAAAUGAAAAACAAAAGGGAUCACUAACAAGCAAAACUGUCGGAGCUUCUGACAUAAAUCUGAUGGAUGACUUUGUUGAAAUGGAAAAGCUAGCAGUGGUUUCUGCUGAUAAACUAAGUGUAGGUUCUCCUGUUUCUUCAGCUAACGCAUUUGUUGGCACCUUGGAAACUGAGUAUUCCUCAGCACUUGUGGGUAGCGAGAUGGUUCCUGUUUCUGACAGUGAGUCAGGCUUCAAUAUGUCAAACAGGGAGACCAGAUUUAAAAAUAUUCCUGAUGGUAAAGCUCCCAAUUGGAUUCAGGAUAUGGUGAAACUGGUGUUGGAGCACAACCGUGGUGCAGGAAGAAAUCCUGAACAGAUACUUGAGGAUAUAAGAUUAGCUCUGGCAUCCACAGAAAAUCAAAAGCCUGGUGAGUUGGUUAAUGCAAGGACAAAUGGAAACCAUUUUGAUGCAUCCAAUCCUUCCUCUGUUAAAAGCUGCAUCUCAUGGAAAGGUUCAGAUAGAUCUCUAGUAACUGAUUCACCCAGUGGAGUAAGUGAUGUGGACAUCUCAAGCCCAAAGAGGAGUAAUCAGCAGUUCCAGCCAGAUCUGAGUAAAUCAUUAUGUAAAAUAAUUGAGCUUAUUGAGGGAAUCAGUGUGCCAUCUCCAGAUUAUAACCCAGAGAAUGGGACCAGGAAGGAUGGGAACUUGUCCACAUAUAAGAAUUCAGAAUACACAGGCUACAUGGUUCGUGUUUUCCAGUGGAAAACUUCUGAACUUGGUGAUCUUCUACAACAAUUUGUUCAUGCUUGUUAUGAUCUGUUGAAUGGAAAGGCUGGUCUUGACAAGUUUGCCCAAGAGCUCACUACUGCUUUGGACUGGAUUUUAAACCAUUGCUUUUCACUUCAAGAUGUUUCAAGCAUGAAAGAUGCAAUUAAGAAACAGUUUGAUUGGGAUGAUACACGAAGUGAAAGCGAAGCAGAAGCUGGAGUGGUUGGUCACUUUUUAGAUACAGACAAAUUACGUGUUCGACGAGAACAGUUAUCAUGUGUGCCCACAUCUACUUCUUCAAAUGGCCAUAGCAUCCAAAUAGAAGGGCUGCAGGCCAAUCUGGUCAAUGAAAACAGAAAAUUAAAGGAUGAAUUGGUGAAUGUAGAAUCUGCAAAGAGAGAGUUGGAAGGGAGAUUUCAGUCAGCUUGUGAUAAGAGUGAAUACCUGAUGAAUCAGCUUAAGGAAUCAGAAAAGGCUAUAGCCAGUUUGAGAACAGAGUUACAAAGUUUAAGAGACUCAAAAGGAAUCAUUGAGGACCAAAUUAAAAAUCACAAGGUGAUGAAUGAAGAUCUUGACACUCAGCUUACAGUGGCCAGAGUUGAAUUAAGUGAAGCUCGCCAAAAGUUUUCAUCCCUUGAAGUUGAACUGGAGAAUAAAUACAACUGCUGCGAAGAAUUGGAGGCUACAUGCCUGGAACUACAGCUUCAGCUUGAAAGGUACAGAUGCAUACCACCAAAGAUAGUAUACCUACAUAUUAAAGCUUUUACUUAUUUAAAAAUAUUGACUAAUGUAAUAAAAUAAUUGAGGAGUCUUAUGCAUCUGAUAUAUGUUUCUUUUGGCAGUGUGAAGAAGAAAAGCCCAAAUUCCGAUCCUAAUCCAGACGAAAGGCAAGCCCAAAAUGUAAGUUAAUGUCUUCUUGUUACACCUACAUUUUACCAAUUUGUCUGAGAAUUCUUAAUUUCUGUUUCCAGUUGCACUAACAUAUUCCAAACAAAAACCAUAUACCUGAUGAAAGAAUUUAUCUUCUUUUACAAAUAAGAAAAUUUUUCAUUGCCUAGGAAAUGAUAUGUGAAUAGUAGCUCUUUUCUUGUUCAAGGAUGAGUCACUUGACAACUGUAGCAUUUCAGAUUCAACUUAUAUUCAUAUUUCAAGAUUUAGUGGUCUACUUUACCUACUAAUUCUGCUCCGAAACAGUACAGUCCCAUAAGAAACACCAUUGAAAGUGAUCAGCUUAAAUGUGAACUCUCUCUCUCUCUCUCUCUCUCUUAUGGUAAAAGGAGAAUUCAUCUUGAAACAAAACAAUUCAAUCCAAAAAGGAUACUAUUGUGCUUUGUUGGCAACUUGUCAUUCAGAUGCAAUAUUGCAUGAUGUGCCUUACCGUUCUUAUAAAUUCAAAAGAAUUCCAAUUCUUUACUUGUUGCUGCUUAAAUUGAUGGUAAAUAAUGUUUGAUCAAUUUUUCAGGAUUGGGAGAUAACAGCUGCUUCAGAAAAAUUGGCCGAAUGCCAAGAGACAAUACUUAACCUCGGGAAGCAGUUGAAGGCAAUGGCUGCACCAAGGAAGCAGCCCUUUUUGACAAGUCAUCACUAAUCCCACUGAUAUAAAUACCCUCAAAGCCAAAGCCACAUGCCCAACCCCACAGAAGAAACUGAACCCAACGAUCCUCUCUACUAGAUCAAAUGUUAGCAGAAGAUGGUGCUGGCAUCAAGAAUUUAAUGUCUCCAAAGACAAAAGAGGUCGACAGUAAUUCAACUUCCACGUACAGUCCUAAUAGGGUGACAGAGCCCCUCGAGAAUAUCCUUGUUCUAAAUGGUAAAUACCAGGAUGACAGUGCUACUGUUGGUUCCUUAGCUAUAGUGCCUGGCAAGAAAAGGGGAGGGGGGAGUUUAUGGAAAAAGCUGUUAUGGAGAAAGAAGGGUAGCAGCAAAAAAGCACCCCUUCCGAUCGCUUCAUGAUCAAUCUCUAUCGUAUGAUAAGUUGAUUACAAUGUUGGUGUUCCUUGCUCUGUUUUGAUGGCAGUUUGGUUUGUCACACGCCUGUAAUGCAAAAUAAUAAAGGCUAUAGGUCUGUUGGUCAUUCUCAUUCGAGAGAUACUGGAGAAUGCGUGAGUGAGGGUUUUGUUUUUGUUUUUGCAUACGUUAUGUAUUGCUCCUGUAUAUAUGUAUCGUUCUAGGCAACUGAGAAUUUGCAACAAUGUCAGCAGAGAAGUCGACAUUUGUGUACCAUUAACCCAAAAAAGGAAAUGAGGGUGAAAAAAAGAGAAUAUGUAGUUAUGCCGUAUACACCAUGUAAUUCCCUGUUUUGUACACGUGUAAAUUUUCCCAUGAAUAAAAUAUGGUUUUUUAUUAUUAUAAAUAUCCUGGUGUUUCAGAUCAAAUCAUUACCACAUGGAUGAACAACUUGGCGGCUGUCUAAAGUAUUGAAGUCGGGAUAUAACAAAAUUUUCAAAAAAGAAACUCCUGCAUGACCGUUUUAACAUCAUGCAUUAACACCACUCUCUCCUUCAUCAGAAGAGGGAUCACAGCAGACUAAGCAAAUUCACACUUCCUUUUCAUUUCUCUUUCUAUAAUGGGCCAAUGCCUCAGCAAUCUCAGCUGGAAAUCAACCAGCCUUCACAAGAAAAAUAAUAAAAAGUGAUAUGUUAUGUACCAACAAUGAGUCAACAAAUUAGGUAACAGAGAAAAAUCCGGAAAGACGGUGCACAUAUUAAUCACUCGGCAGAAAAAUUCUCUCCGGUCAUGAAGCUGGUUCUGCGACCCCGUAUAUUCGGUGCGACAUAAAUCUCUUUAUCUUCAUUAUCAAUCUCUGUAUUGUACAAAUCGUGCAAAAUCAGUGAGGCCAGCCUCUCUGUAACGAUCAGCAACCUGCUCCACAUGGUCAUCCCAAGUCCCUUCAAUAGAAGCUAGAUCCAACAAAAAAGCUGCUUCAUCCAAUGCAACCUGCAAAUGAUGGAACUGCGAUGAUAAGAAAUCAUUUUAACAAAUUGUUUUUGGGAGUUCAUAAGCAAUAAUGAUUUGAAAACCUGAGCUGGGGCCUUUCCCUUUUUAAGAUCUGCUUGCCUUCCCUCGUCGGUCACCUUCUCCUUAAUGUACUCAAUUUGCUCGUCCUCCCAUUGUGCUAUAUCAGCAACUUCCUGAAUUAUAAGUAUUCAACUGCAUAAUGUCAUAAAAGGAACUCUUGCAGAGAAAAGUUGGCUGGGACAAUCUAGGAAUGAUCAAGGAAAGUAGAAACCUGGUAGCUGCAACCCAGAGUCCACCAUGGUGAUUUAAGAGCUCCCCUAGCAGCAUCUUUUGCUUCAACAGUACGCCCAACCCUGUAAAAUUUACACAUGGGCUCCUUAGAAGAUGGAACUUAAGUGAUUCAACUGACUAAAUCACAACAAACGUUUAGUAGAAAGUAACUGGAAAAGUUUCCUACGAACUUCAGCAAAACCUCAGCAUUGAAUACAUAAGGCCGUGCAAAUCCAGGAAAAUGCUCCUUCUUUGUAUAGAAUUCUCCCGUCACCAAAGCCGAUACCUUUCAAAAGCACAUACUGUAAUUAGACUGUCAAAUACACACUAACAAAAUGAUGAUUAGAGGAAGUAAGCAAAGUCAGGUGAUGAAUCUUACAUGGUCCCCUUCCUCAAAAUGCCACUUCACUUUGCGCUCCAAGACAUCUGGAAAUAAACCAACCUGAAAAUGAACCAUUUGUAACCGCUUCAUUUUUUAAAAAAAAUUUGAAAAGAAAGGAAACAAAGGAGGAAUGGGAGGCUAAACAAAGAAGAAAUCUCUUUCGUACUUUUCUUAAAAGGUAAAUAUCUAGUUUUGAAAUCUGCGACUUGGCAAAGUCACCCUUUUUAUAAAGUUUCUCCCCAACAUCAGCAGAAGCACGAAAUAGCUCAUCAUUGCUUUCUCCAGAGUUUUUAGCAUCUUCUUCAACUAGGAUUCUGUGAAUUAAUUGGUCCACCUGUGGAUGAAAGAUAGGACGACUGCCCUGAGAAUAGUUGUAUAACCAGUACAAAAAUGCAUUUACAAUGAAAUUUUGGCCAUGUAUGUGGAACACUGGCAUGUUUUACUCACAUUCUUGGCUAAAAGCCACACCCCAUGUUUCCUGACCUCAACCACUGGCAUGUCCAUACUGCAGGCAUUGGACUAGAUGAAUCAAGCUUUAAAAGAAGGAACAAAAUUGUUCAGGCCAAACACUUACCCUGAAGGAGCUGUAGGCCACCGAAGAAGUGCAGUUACAGCACCUAUUGGCAAAGAAAUAUUUACAAAAUUAGAACAGCUUGAACUACAAGUCAAUUCUCGGGGAUUCGUCAAUUCCAAAUAUAUUCAAAGCUUUUCCAUACCUGAGCUAUUUUUUGCUAGUGGUAUGGCAAGGGGGAUUAGCCCUUCCUUGGCUCCUGGAGAAAUAAUAGAUUCACCUGUUACAUAAAUGUAUGUGAGAAUUUACUUAAAACUUCAACUAUUUCAAAGAUGAGCAGACAUAAAAAAAAAAGAAAAAAGCAUGGAUCAAGUAUGAUAACUGCAAAUUAUACAUCAAAAGUUCAUCCAUUUUCUUCCAAUGCCAUACCAUUCAACACAAAGGCACCACAACCCAGCAACUAUAAUCUUGAGAUUGAGAAUGUAGCUAGGCGAGAUUUGUAGAACAAAUCAUUGCCUUUUAAAGAUUACAUUGUCACAUUGUUCUCUCUGAACAACCAACAUGGAAACAUUGAAGAAAACAACCAACACAUGCAAAUCCCAAAACACAAGAAUUGAAAUAUGGAAAUAUGAAUCUUGAACAGAGGUUUAAGCAAUGACCCACCUUUUGUCUUGAGCAUUGUCAGCAACUGGCUCAAAUGCUGUGGAGGCUGAGUUGCUGCCACCUCCUUAAUGAAAGACACAUGGUCUGUAAAUUGCAAUUUUCACCACAAUCAGUUCACAAAUCUUUUAAAACAGUUAUAUCAGUAGGCACUUCCAAAAUUCAAAGCUAAACAGAGCCCUAAGUUACCAGGAGUGGCAGAGGAGUAAGAGCAGCGUGGUCCAGCUCUACUGUGCCGAAGAAGAACAGAGGGCAGAGCGGUGGCUCGAGGUCCUCCGUACACCAAUUCGCUGCCAACUUUCAUUUUUGUGUUAAUGGAGUCUGCUGCUCUGCUUCGUCGUCGUUUAUCUUUUCAUCUUUGUAUAGAAAUUCUCAGCCACAAUAGAUUGGGCCUCAAAACUUCUAAAUUGACCACCCAACCCGACACCAAGAGCCUCAGACCCAUUACCGUUGGGCCUUAGUGCUGGACAAUUGAGGAGAGGAGCAUUCGAAAACACUUAAAAAUUCGACCACAUUCGCAAGAGAAUUAUAGCUCAAAUGCUGAAGAGUAAAUAUCUUUAUACUCAAAGUUAUGUAUUGGAUUCUUCCCUUUUUCAUUAUCGCUCGUAUCAAACCACAUGAUUUGCCGACUUGGUGUAAGUAAUCGAGUUUAUAAUAAGGGUAGUAAAUGUACAUAACAAAUUAAUUGGAAACCAAUGACUUGCUUCGACAAUAAAGUUGUGCUUUUGAAGCAUUUUCAUCCACUUGCGUUAUGUACUAGUUAGUACCUGCAAAAAGUGCGAAGCACUCCAAUUAACCGAAUUAAGUAAAAUAAACGACUAAUAUAGCUUAGAGAUAAUCCAUGGUUUGUUUGGACUCUUAGGCUUGUUUGGUAGCUAGAAUUCAAUUGGAUUAGGAGGUAGAAUUGGAUUGCAUUGGAUUACAUUGGAUUGGAAAUGAUGUAUCCUUCAUUGAUACUAGUGUCCCAAAUUUUUGUGUUGCGACUCUCAAAUCUUGAGUUCAAGGUCAAGGGGUUAGAGUAGUGAGAUUAUGUAUCCCACCUUCUUGGUAGGAUAAGUUAUCCUACAAAACUAAACAUAAGGGGUUUAUAGUGAGAUUAUCUUUUAUCCUAUCUACAAUCAUAUUUUAGCUCCAAACAUGGUAAUGGAUUAAACAAAUCUAAUUAUGUUACUUAUCCUACCCACCAAACGAGACCUUAGGGAUGCAAUACAAUUAACGUGCUGUGAGAAUAUAUCAAGCGGAAGAAAUUGCAAGUUGAAGAGAAUAUUGAGACAGUAAAUUUAAAUUCGAACUGCGGAUAUAGUAAUUUGAUUGGUGGUUGUUUCUGGGUAAUCAUAAGGCUUGGGUUGGCAAAAGCGUAUCACUUGUAAGUUGUGUGAGAACUGGUGCGUAGACGCACUGAUCACUGACCACGUGAUCUAAACGACGGGGCACGUGGGAAUUGAGAUUUGAGGCAAUAUAUCAUAUGAGAAUACGCACAGAAUGUGCUCAUGCAGAGAGCGUGACCAUGGUGUUUCAUCACGUGGCCAUUUACCACUAUUCAGCUCGGGACCACGGGCCACACCCUCCAGUCUCCUCCUCCACAGCGCACUCAUCUCAUUUGACACUACACAGCUCCCUCAACUUUUUUGUUUCACCUACAACAAGUUCAAAGGGUUUGGCUUGCCGUAGUUUUCACAUUUUCAACAUUUUUUCACCCUCGGGAGCCUCUUUCUUUUUUCAUCUAUAAAAAGAAAAGUGAAAUUACAUUGCAAAAGUCAUAAAUUAUUGUUUGGUUGCCACUCACUCACGUCCGUUGGUUGAUUGCUAACUCUGCCCUGGAUUGAGACACUACAAUGACCCAAAAAUAAAGAGAGACCAGAACAAAACAUAAGGCACAAAAGGCAACCGAAAGCGGCUAGAUGUGAAUUAUGGUGAUGAUGGAGGAGGAAGGGCCACCAGGGAGUAAAAAAAUAUGCUCUCAAGUUAUGGAUGACGAUGGUGGGUCAUGUUGGCAGCUUGGCUAAAUGCAAAACUGAGCCAAGAGGAUAAAAAAAAAUCAACUCUCAAGUUGACAAAAUAUCCAGUUUAGCGCAGCACCAAGCCUAGCAUCACAAAAGAAUACCAAGUAGAUCUUCCCUUUAAAAGUGACAUCUAAGCUGUAGCUCACUCGCUCAAGUAUUGUAUUAUAUUUGAAUCAUGGACCCAAAAGAACCAUCUCAUAAUAGGGGUAAAAGAAUGCAGCAACCUUGAACCAUUUCACAAGGAAUAAAAAAACAACUUGAGAAUCAUGAUAUUUUCCCAAUGCAACUGACCAUACUUGACAAUUUUGAUGUGUCAUUGACAACUUUCAAUAAUGUCUGCACCUACUUUCAGUGCAUGCACAUCAUCAACAAAUUGCUGUUUUUUAAUUGUCAACAGCAAUAGACUGAAAAUGGGAGAAAAAGGUACUCUGCAAAUUUCCUCACUUACCUUCUGUAACUUCAAAUUCAAGUCUUAACAGUGACCAACUUUUCCUCUUCUACUUCCUCAAAGUCGAAAACCCAAAUGUUAAAUAGGCAAUAGCACCAUUUACUGGGAGACUUGUAUUACUAGAUUGUAAAGAUGCAAACAAAGAAAAAGAAAUGAGUUUUCUCACCGCAGUAGCAUUCAUAACUGAACAAGAACUGCAAUUAUAAAACCAAAAUCAUUCCAUGUUCCACCAUGCGAAUUUCUUACAGUGGCUUAAUGACAAUGAACACCAGUAAGGAUUCAAACCAAAUAUUUCUAGACUUGACCUUUUAUACAGUGGCAGUGGGUUUUUGAUGGCCAUAAAUGAUGCUGGGGGAUGGAAAGGCCAAAUCACAGUGGAAGAUAUGGAACUUGCACUUAGGGCUAGCCUAAAGAGUUGGAAAUUUGUCUUUGUGGCGAACUCUGGGGAAUUUAGCAAUAAGCACAUCGUCUGACCUCCUAAUUUUUUCUGCCUGAAAUAAUCUUUUCUAAAUUUUAACUUAUCAAUUCCUCCCACACCACCCUCUUCCUUUAUUGUUGGGUCAAAGGAACCCCCAAGUACUUCAAAGCAUAUUGAUACAACAAUACCGAUGAUCAUCCGGCCCAGAAAAUCUCUUUAGGAAAAUGACUACAGAAAUCAUUCUCUCUGAAAUGAGCAAUUUCAAAUUUCUCUUAAAGAGCAAAUAUAGACCAGUCCAAGUUAAAACAAAAUGACUGAGUUUAGAAACUGAUUAUCUUAAAAGAAAGAUCACAUGGUACCUUCACAAUUCUGCAGAGUGUCAAUCUGUAAGAGACUUCAUGUCAUCUGCAUCUUUCUUCUUCGUGAGGAAGACACACGGGGUCGCAUUCUUCUUCUACUACAUUGUUAUACCAGCAAGUGUUUUUAGUUCCAGAAAUGCAACUCACGAAGCCGAUUUCCAUUUGCAUCCUAGCAACCACUGCCAUUCUAAACACAAUCUGCACUCCAAGAUAGCAGAAAUUCUUUCACAUAAACACAAAGUUCUCUUCAUUUUCUUGUCUUUCUAAAAUUUGAAUUUAGAGAAAAUCCCUUUGUAUGAUGCAGUCCCUUCAUCUUGUUGUAUUCUGGGUAGUAUUCAAGAAUGUCAUGUCCAUCCAUCAAACCAAAGUAGCAAUCAUGUGACUCCUAGAGUCGAAUCGUGCUAAUGGAUGUGUUGUGACUGAGAAGCUUGUAAAUACCAUGAUGCAAAAAAGUAAUGUCAAUGCAUCGAAGAAACCAGUUUCGAAUUGGUGAAAAAUAAAACGUAGCAAACCAAAAAGCAGCAAAUAUGCACUCUUUUCAACCAGGGACAGCACUCAAACCAAAAAUUUACCGGAAAUGAAGGGGCUAAGAAAACCUUACAUAAGUACAAACAAGACAAAUUUAUCUUUCAUGUCCAUUACAAAAUAGUUCAAGCACAAUAUCAGUUGUCAAAAUAUCACAUGUUCUCAUUAACUAUCAAAGAAGGUUUCGAUCAGCAGCACACAAGUCAGGUAAGAUCUUGGACAGCAUUGCUAAAAGGUUAACUAUCGCUAUUAGUCUUGUCUAAGGUCAUCUUGAAACAGGAUCCAUGUAUUGGAGCUGAUAAUAGGAAUGGUUAUGCCGUAUUGAGCUAUCUACAACUUGCUAUUUUGGAAAGAUCAUUUGUUUGUACUUCUCAUAAGAUUGGGCUAAUUUUCAUAACGUCUUAGUAUGGUUUCAAAUGAACAUGAAAAGGCUACAGAACAAGCAAAUUAAUAAACAGAACAGUAGACAAAUGGUUGCACAAGCUUUACUGAGAUCAAUAAGACAAAUAUCAGUAAUUUCAUUCAUAUUUUGACCAAAAAAUUGUGUAAGCACAUAACUGGGGGACAAUAAUGAGCUGAACCUACCUAUAAAAAAUAAAACAAAUAGAGUACAACCUCUAAAUAAUCAAUUCUUAUCACUCUAGUUCAUCAAGUUUGAUCUCAUGUUGUUCACCGGAAGAAAGGAUUUUCACACCCACCAUACCCCUUUGCCACUCUGAAUCUCCCACCAAUAUCAACCUAUUAGCAUUUAUUCUUGCUGCACGCUUGAAUACCCUGACACAGAUCAAAUUCAACCCAUGGAAAUAUAACAUAUUAGAAACAGAAUGAUUGAAAUAGAAAUUUGCAAGCGCCUAAUAAGAUGGUGGCAAAUACCAUUUCAGCGGUUUGUUCUCCAAGACUAAAUCAACACUUUGACCUUUUCCCCUGAGUAUGGUGGCAACUGUGGCAGCGGCUCCUUGAAGUCCAGGAUCUAGAGCACACACAAUGUUUUCUACUUGCAGGCUGAGUUCUGGCAGAAGACCCUUCUCCUUUAGCAACUGUAACCCCAAAACCAAAAUGUCAAAUAAACGAUAAACCAAACGAAAAUUCUAGGAGCCAAGAAUGAAGUAUAUUUAAGUACUAGGAGUAUUUAUCCCAACCAUAAGCACAUAUUGUGCUUCAACAAGAAAACUUAAAUGUAAUAGAAAGUGGCUUCAUAAAGAAAGGAAUAGGAAAUAUAAGCUGAAACUCACUUCCACUAUGACAGCAUCACCAAAUCCAAAGCCACAAGCAGGAAUGUCAUCACCACCAAAAGUAGAAAGCAAGCGGUCAUAUCGCCCGCCACCACAAAUGGCUCGCAACUUUCCUCCUCUAUCAAAACCCUGAGAAUAAAAUUGAUCAUUUAGGGGCUGUGUUCAACAGUGAAGAAACCAGCAGCAAUUUUCUUUACACGCAAGGGAGAUCUAAUAUUCAUGAACAGAUUAAGUAAUCAUGCACAGCCAAAAGCUGUUGCCGUUUUUUUUCUAUCUACAGCACAAACUUUGUUCUUCCAAGUAGACACAUUAGUGCAGAAUUGAAAGCAUUUUCUACAUCUGAAAUUUUAGUGGCACAAGUUUUCACAUGACACGGGUAUGUCACAUGCCAGUUGUUUCAUGCAUAAGGGAUGAAAGCAUCAUAACCAACUUACAGAACACCUAAAAUACUCUACUGCAAUAUCUAAUAACAAUGCUACUAACGUUUUGCUCACAGGCCAUGCCUCAGCUCAGUACUUCCAAAAUCUAUAAUUGUAUAGACUUACAGGAAGAUAAUAUCUAUAAAUUACAUCCUCAUGGCUAGAGUGAUGCCUGAAAUAGAAGCGUGGUAACAAAUAUGAUACCCAGCCCCAGGACAUUAUUUAAACUCGUAAAGGUAUGUACCAGACUAUACAGGAAAGUCAUCAGUCCCCAAGAGCAACAGAACAACUAAAUAAAAUGGAAAAAAAUGUUUUAACUCGACUCUAUUAGUAUGACUGAUAUCUGCAAUUAAAAAGUAUAGGGGGGAAAGCAACAUGGAAUAUCUAACCUCGAAGACAAUACCAGUAUAGUAGGCAAGGCCACGAACAAUAGAAGCAUCAAACUGAAUCCAUUCAGAAUAACCAAAUUUCUCAGCAAGAGAGAAUAGCUGCUUCAGAUCAGCAACUGCUUCACCGGCAUCUCCAAGUAUCUCUACAUAAGAAAAACAUGGAAUGCAUACGAUUACUAAGUAAGAGUUACAUCAUCUCUCACUGCAAAAAAAAUUUUUUUUUUUUUUUUCGGUUACACAAUAAAUAGAACCUUUAAACCAGCAUUAACGAACGAUUACCAAAAGCACCUUCCUCCUCAACAAAUUUUUGAAACAAAUAUGAAAACUAAUUUAUUUUUGUCACCGCAACUUAUAUAAACUAAAAAUUUGAACCCACCUCCUCUAACUGUACCUUACCACUUUCAAGUUUGAACUUUAGUUUACUUUUCUCUGUUCUACAAAUAACUACCAACUUUUGAUCUUAACAUCACCAUUCCACAACAUAAUUGUCUAUUUAUUUUUUCACUCUUCUUCAAUUCCUACAUAGGCAACCCAUUAAUUAAGUUUUCCUUGUUUGGUCACCUAUUGGUAUUUCUCCACCUUUUUCUACAUACAAAGGCCUAGCUAAGCCUUUACCAUGUUCAAGCUAUCUGUAUUACCUCACAUUAUCUUAUCACCCUUCAUCUUUUGCUAAGAUACAAAAGCCUAGCUAAGCUUUUAUCAUGUUCAAGCUAUCUGUUUUACCUCACAUUAUCUUAUCACCCUUCACAUUAUGUUCCUCAACCAUCAAGAGAUCUAGUAUCAAGACGCAUUUUAACUCAUCCAUGCUCAUGUAACUUGUAUAGCCAAAAAAUAUAUUAUCUAAAUAGCUUCUGAAUCAAUAACGAUAAGACCAACCUUCCAACUUUGUCAAAGACUUUAUGGAAAGAACUUGCAAUAACUGCUCAAUAGCCUCUUCCGAUACACCAGCAGAUUUCAACUCGUUUUUUAUAUCAUCCACUGGAAUCUUCUCUAUCUGUUCAUAAUUAAAUCCCAGAAAAAGGAUUAGAAACCUAUAAACAAAAUCUACAUUCUCAUUACCGUAUAUGGUUAUGUAUAAGAAAAUGUGAAAAUAUAAUAUUCACUGUGCUAUCAGACACAUAAGAGCAAGGUUAGAUUCUAAAUCCAAAAUGCAUACAAAGUUCAAGGACCAUGACCAUAGCAGAUGCAUAGCAGACGCACAUACAGAAGACAUGGAAUAUAAGUAGAAUAUCUUGCUACAACUAAUGCAUGUCAAAAGAACUUCAACGAAUCAACAAGAACUAUAAAAAAUGUCCUACUAAAAAAAGUUACUAGCAAUGAACUGAUUUGUUAAGUUUACAUGUGGGAAACCUAGAAUCAAUUGAAUAAAGAAUUUCUACUUUAAAAGAAUCUAACAAACUAAAUAACAUGAUUGUAAUCUAAUUAUUUUUCAACAAUAAAUUAUUAAACCAAACUACAAUACUGGUCAUAAUGGCAUUCACAUCUGAUAUUUUUUCAAGAACAAUAAAGUAGAAAACCACAACAGAUUCAGAUGCAAUCCAAAACUUGCAACCUUGAACAAUUUACCUUGUCUAUGAUGAUGCAAACCUUGCCAAAUAAAGCUUCAGGUAUGGAGUAAUGCCUCAAUACUUCUUGCAAAACCUGUAAUGUAAGAAAAGUAGAAGAAUCAUCUGCCCUGGUUUCCAAAAAUCAAUAAUAAAACAAAAGUUCUAAUGUGAGGAUGAGUGUGGAUCAAAUGUCUCUUAAAACUAAAAAGAUUAACAAGGUAGACUAGUAGUCAUAAACUAUAGCCAAAAAAAAAAAAAAAAAAUCCUCAAAACUCAUUUUAAUGAAACAGACAGUGGCAAAGCUUUUUUAUUUUUAUUUUUUGUGUGGCUUCUGGCAACUAUUGUGAGUAUAUCAUAAUAUCCCAGAAUAUUAUAUUGUUCAAAUUAAUUGGGAUGUAUAAGUUAUUUUCAUUUUCUAUCUUGAAAAGCAACUUGAGAAGCAUGUGGCAAUACAAAGCCUUUGGAAACAGACCUCCCACAGAUAGACGAACAAUAUCGGAAAGACAAAUGUUAUGAAGACCUUUGAAUCUGAUUGUCUAAGUUCAUGCAAGGAAAAACCAUCCACACCUUUCGACUUGAAACCUUAAAUCCAACAUCUGAUGCGGUAAUUCCUAAUCGCUUGAAGAAAGUGACAAUUGAAGAAAUAAGUUCUGCUUCAGCCUAGAACAUGGAGAGAAAAAAAAAAUCCAAGCUUGUUAGGGAAAUGCAUAUAACAACAUAAUACAAUCAAAUACAACAAUGUGCCAUGCAUCAUGUGGAACAGAUGGAGAUUUCAAUCAAUGCAAGAGUGUUGGGCAAAAUCAUAAAUAAAUAAAUAAAAAAAUUCAGAAUCAUAUAAGCAUGCAAUACUAGUUAGCAUGGAUAAUCUUUUCCCGUACCAAAAAUUUCAGUAUCAAAUAUAGUAGUAUUGAAUGGAUUAUCAAAAAUUUCAGCUCUAUACCGAAACUUCAUGUACACCAAUAAUGUCCAUAUUCCAUUGGUAAUGCUCCCUACGCCGCCCCCUCGUCAUCCUCUCAUACCGCCAACACUGCCCCACGGCAAACCAUUUCACUGGAAGGGAUAGAGAUUUUCUGGACAGAAAAAAACACGGGAAUCAAAAUUUCUGGCAUCUGUACCUGGAUAUAAAAAAAUCACGAGUAAACAUACAGAUAUACAUUAUACAGCCAAGUCUUUAAUUAGCAACAAGAACAUGAAAAUGCUCAGCAGAAUCAGAAUUUCAGUACCCUUUCUGUAUCACCAGUCUUGCCAAAGAAGGAGUGAGCUCAGGCCUCAAUGCAACUCGACGAUUACCCCGGUCUUCGAAGCAAUAUAGCUGCACAAGACAGCACAUUGCAAUGUAAGUACAUGUACGUAAUUACAAUUGACGCAAUGCGAGUAAAAGAAGAGCUAUAAAAACCUGGUCUCGAAUUUCCUCUCCUGCUUUUCUAAUAUACAGAGCCUCGGACUCGAGAACUGGAAAGUCGACCUCUUCGAAGCCAAACAACCGCGAGACCUCUCUGAAAUGGUAGAAAAGCCAGUUGCGGAGCCGCAUAUCUUCGGGGGGGAAGUCCCUGGUGCCCUUGGGAGGGUUGACGUCGAUCUUCUGGAGGUCUUCGGUGAUCGGCGCCGGAGAUAGAGCUCCGGCGCGACCGCCGGCGCCGACUGCAUUGGGGGUGAGAGCAGAAGCGGCGGGUGAGAGAGAAGAGAGGGGUCUAGGGUUUGGAGAGAGAGGGAGUUUGGGGAUGGGGAAUCUGAUAACGCGAGCAAAGGGCUUGUGUAAGAUAAGGAGGGAAGAAGAGACCGCGGAGGAGAGCAUGGUGAUGCCAACAAGGGCUCGAUGGUCUUUUCGGUUACAGUGGGGUUUUUGCUUAUUUUUGCUGAACGCAGAGGAAGAGGAAGAGGUUGAAGUUGAAAGGCGAAGGAAGCUCGACGUUGGAGUUUUCAGACCAACGUACUGAUUUGGCGGGGGCCCAAUUUGAAUAGUGAAGACCCAAACAGAUUGAAAGGUUGAGACUAUUUGUUGAGCUCUUGUUGUGAGUCCAUAAAUGCGUCACGUAUGAACCCAUGGGCCGUGUUUUGGCCCAAUAGGAAAACCCGGCCGUAAUCACCGCGCUUACCAAAACUACAUAUGCAAUUUUCUUGAUACUUGAAGCCAGAGGCGACAAACAAGUCCCGUUCCGUCAUGGUCAUGUAGAGCCACCUUAUGCGAAGGGUCACAUGCCUUCUCUGACUCAAGGUGGCUUCGCAAAUUUUUUCAUGUAAUACAUGAAAAGAAAAAUAUUAUGUAAUGUUUGUAAGGGUAGUAGUGCUCUUUAAUUUACAUGUUUAUCGCCUGACAACAUUAUACAAUGUUCAUAAAUUGAGCAUAAAUAAUUGCUAGAAAAUCAUGAACACUUUGAAAAGUUUAAAAGGUUUAUAAAAUUGAAUCAACGUCUUUUUCAAGAUUAGUCAUGUCAAAACCUUCAUGAUUGUCCGACAAAUGGUGGGUUAUCCUUUUAAUCCCAUAUGAUGCGAAAGUGAUCACCAAUACAAGUUUACUCAAAAGAAGCAACACACCAUCCAUUUCUAAGCAAAUAUAUUUCAUGGCUGAUGAGAUUAGUAGUGCCCACAACAAGUACAAAUAUUCCUAUCUUCCACAGAAACACAUUUAUUAAAGUUUCCUUUUGCUGGUUUUGAAUAGUUUUUCUGAUGGAUAUUUUUAGAAUUUAUGAACAUGAACUAUAUUAAUACUUAUCUCUACUUAUUAUUUUGAGCCUACCCAGAUGUAUAUAAAAUUUCGAAAGUUCAUGUUUAUCACGCAUCUGUUUUUUAUGUUUUUUUUUUUUUCGGUUUUCUGGACCGCACAUGUGCAUCCAAAUUUAUCCAACUGAAUACAUAUGCACUGACCCAUUUGUUGAUAAUAUUUUAAUUAAUUUUUGACGUUUCCUCAUGAAUAAUGGCACUCAUCACAAUUGCCUCCUGAGUCCUGCCGCCAUGCUUACAAAUAAAAUACCAUUUCUUCAAUUCUUUGAAAAGGAAAUUAGCAUGACCCAAUUAGAGGAACAAAUCCUGUUUUAUAUUUUUGUGUUAUUUCAUGUGUAGUUUACUCAAAUUAAACCUUGUGAAUUUAAGCACUAAACUCACGUUCACUAGCAAUAAAUUGAGGUAUUUUUUUCGGUUCUUUCAUGUGGAAAUUUAUAAUUCUAUCCUGAAAGAUUAAAGACAAGAUGACUACUACUUGCCGCGUACAACACAAUAUUUUUAUCGUUAUGUGCAUGUUUCUUCAUGCUCUUGUUUCAAGAUCUCUCUCUCUCUCUCUAUAUAUCAUUCCAAAUUUCCAAUUAGGUCUGAUGUCUCAAAGAGGCUUCGCUUUCUUUGGUAUUGGCGCACGUAUUGGUGUCCCCAUUGCUUUUCCUCACAGCUAGCAGAAGAUGCCAACAUAUUUCCCACCGCUUCAAACCCCUACACGAUAAACACACAUACACAAGAGCCAAAACUUUUAACGUCUCCCCAGCUCACAAUGCCUAACCUGCCUUCCCCAUCAAAGAUAUUUGAACAAUUUUAAUGACCUUUUCGGAUAUCUUGAAUUUGAAGAACAUAAAUUUUUAACAUCAUUGCUUUCGACAUCUCCCCAACUCGCAAUGCCUAACCUUCCUCAUCAAGUUUCCAUUCCAAAAUGUCCCCAGGAUAUUUGAACAAUUUUUUUUUAUACCCUUUUUGGAUGUUUCGAAUUUGAAACCUAUAAUUUGUUACAUCAUUGCUUAGCUAACUUUGUUGGCAUCCACACAAAGUCAAAACCCAUCUCCCUUUGCCAAUUUCUCACUAUGCUUUUAAGGGUAUUGCUUUUGUGGGGUUUCGGUUAGCACUUAGAAACCCUUAUACAUAAUUGGGGCAUUGCCGUUUUGAUGUUGAUGUUGGAGCCGAAACCAAAUGCGACCCUAAUACGCAAUUGGAGCAUCAAUCGAUCGAUUAGGGUUUGGUCAAUACAUGCAUAAUUGCAUAUGAUGCUGAAAAAGAUUAGUUUCAACCCUAGUUUGGAUUUUAUUCGUUAGAAGUGAUGGGAUUCAAAAGCUGUACAGUAAAGGUGCACUCAAAUGGAAUUCUAAUGGCCAUUGAGUUGUCAAAUCUGCCUAAACUUUCAACUGUGAAAAUAGUAUGCGUGUGUGAGCCUUCCCCCGUGACAACAUUACAUUCGUCAUAAAAUAUUUUGAAGCGAAUUCAAUAACAGGACCAUAUAGUAAAGAUAAGAAAAAACGUGAGGAUGCUGAGACCUGCACAUCUUGGGCAAUUCCAUGCCUUGAAAAUUGAGCGAUGAUCAUUCAACGCAGCCUUUUCUGAUUGAAACUCCCUAUACUAGUAGUAGUAGUAGUAUUUAUUUUUAAAAUAAACAAAUAAGUGGCUACCCAAUAGGAGGUGCUCUAUCUAACAUACACCACUCAAAUUGGUGUUUGCAAAGACUACUCUACAGUUGGGGUAAUUGGCAAUGUCAACAACCAACCUAUAAUGCAUAUUUGAGUUAUAUCAAUUUGGCAGAACAGUGUUUUAGUUAGCUCUCACACAAGUUCAAAUUCCCCUUCUCAUUUAAAAUGAAAAACGAACCUUAAUAACAACUGUCCAAAAAGGAUUUUUAUCAUAUUGUCCCUCAUUAUGAAUACAAAAUUGUUUAGUGGAGGUUUUUAUAUAUAUAAAAAAAAUAGGGAUUUUUGUAGAAAUGUCACAUGAACUUAUACUUUAGUUUUAAUUUGUCACAUUAAAGAAAAAUUUAAGAGAAAUAUCACCUUAAUUUUUAAAAAUCCAUGAUUUGUCAUCUUACUUUAACAUCAUCCAAUUUUUCAUCUAUUUUAAAGGGUAUUUUAGUCUUCAAUUUUCAAAGAAAACAAACAUAUAAAAAAUAAACCUCUCUCUCUCUCCCUUUCUCCCCCAUCCAAAACCUCUCUCUCUAUUUGGGUGGGCUGACUGAAGGUAUUUGUGUGUGGGGGGUAGUUCUUCCAUAGUAGAGAGAGAAGGAGGAAAGGAAAGAGGAAAGUGGGAAUGGAAGAAGAGGCAACUUGGGCAGGGUUGGUUGGAGCUACCGGUGGCACACAGAGGAUGGGGGAAUGUGAGAUUUUUUUAAAUACAAUUUUUGUAUAAUGAUUUUUUCAUUUUAAAAGUACCUUUAAAAAUGUAAAGACUAAAAUACUGUUGAAAAUUGAUGGUAUUAAAGUCAGAUGACAAAUCAUGAAUUUUGAAAAAUUAAUGUGACAUUUCUCUUAAAAAAAAUUUAAGGUAACAAAUUAAAACUAAGGUGCAAAUUCAUGUGACAUUUUUAUAAAAAAUCCUUUUAAAUAUAUACAAACAAUACUACACGAUAGGGAAUUUGAACAUAAAAUAUUGGGUGAAACUCUUAAUCAUUUGAGUUAGAAACCUUACGGAUAAUGAAACUAUCAAUUCACCAUAUUUCUGGUAGAAAAACUAUUAAUUCACCCUUCUUCACCAUAUUUAUAUUUUCAUUUAAUUAAUUCAGCAAGAAAUAGGAAGGAGGUUGAUUAAGACACGUCAGGGUCUAGUCACAAUUAGCUGACUUGUCCGGAUGCCGUCGUUUCCGACACCCAUUAGUCCAACGCGGCGGCAAUCUCCGAAGCCCGUAGUGCCACAGCCCAUCUGUGCUGACUACACCCCCCAAUGCCCCCACCCCUACCAUUAAAACAAAUUAAAUACACCCAACGGCAGAAACGAGAAACCAAAUAAGUAUACGGUAUACGGUAUACGGUAUACGGUAUACCCAUCACAACACAUACAUAACAUAAAUCAUCACCCAUACAUACAUAACCAUCCAUAAAUAAUUUUGGAAAUUCCACGUCAGCUUCAACAAACCCACCUCUCCCUAUAUAUCUCCCCACCUCACCUCCUCAUUCUUAAUUCUUCAUUUCAGCAAUUUACCAACCCAAAAAAAAAGAAACCAAAAAGAAAAGCUCUUCAUAUUCAUUUCUUGUAAACCAACACCAACACCAUGGGUGAGGUGAGUAAAAACCAAAAUUUGUACAUUCUUCUUCGUGGCUAAAAAUUAUUUCCGGCCAAGUUCUCUGUUUUAACGACUGUUUAUUUGUUGUCGCAGAAAAAGGAAGGCGCAAAGAAUGAGGGCGAGAAGAAGCCCGCCGCAGCCGACGCCGGAGCCAAGAAGGACGACGGCUCGCUCACAGUCGUUUUGAAGACCGACAUGCAUUGCGAGGGGUGCGCCAAGAAAAUCAAACGAGCUGUUAAGAAUUUCCAAGGUACAGCUUCACCAAUUUCAUAUCAAAUUUCAAUCACAUGAGAAUUCUGGGCUUCUGGGUUUUUCCGAUUUUCGCUUUUUUCAAUUGGGUUUUGUUUUUCGGAUUUUACGAAGUUCACCGGAAUCAAAUCCGCAUUCAAUGGUCCGGCUCAGAAAUUUUUACCGUUGAAAUUUGGGGACCCAAAAAAGGGUCCAAAAUUAUAGGAUGGGAAUUGGGAAGGGGUAGCUAAGUCUAUGUGUUGACCAUUAAUAUCUACUAAUCUAUUAAAUUUGGAUUAGAUUUAGGGCUUUUGGGUGCGGAAGCAAGCAAACAGUUUAGAAUUUUGACUUCAAUUGAGUUCAUGCAUUUUCCGUCGUGUAGUUUAAGCUUGAUUAGUUGGGCCAAAACAAUCUUAACGUACAAAACACGGUUCCUUUUAAUUGUUGGCUAAUUAGGUCGAUCUUUUUGUGAAUUAAAUUAGGCGUUGAACAAGUGAAGACGGAGUGUGCAGCCAACAAAGUGACUGUGACCGGGAAAGUGGACCCCGCCGGGCUGAGAGAGAAACUGGAACAGAAGAUCAAGAAGAAGGUAGAUCUCAUUUCUCCUCAGCCCAAAAAAGAUGGCGGUGGAGAUAAAAAGCCAGCUGCUGCAGAGGAAAAGGCUGAGAAGAAGCCAGAAGAGAAAAAGCCGGCUGAGAAGAAGACAGAAGAGAAAAAGCCCAAAGAGGCACCCAAAGAGGUAAACCUCACCCUCAUGUAUAAUUUGCGAUGCAUAUUAGCUGAUUGGUACUUGUUUAGUAAAAUUUGUUUGUAUUAUAAUAUCAGCGAAUAUUUAUUUAAAAGCAGAAUAUAUCAACUCGUGGCUCACCCGUAUUAUAAUACACAGAUUGUACAUCUGUAUUUCGAGCUUAAUUUGGUUGUAUUUUCGUUGCUAAUUCUUUUCUUUUGUUGGGUGGUUUCAGAGCACUGUGGUCAUGAAGAUGAGAUUGCAUUGCGAGGGGUGCAUGCAGAAGAUGAAGAGUAAAAUCUCCAAGUUCAAAGGUGAGAGGCGAUCUCAAUUCUCGAAACUUCUCAAGACUUUAUUAAUAAUAUAUAUAUUUAAUUUGGAUUAAAUUAAUUAAUCAAGGAUGAUGCAAGCACCCCACCGGCACCACGCUCUUAAACCUUAAUUAAUAUUUUAAUAAAUUGCAUAAAAAGACAAAGUUAGUCAAAAUUAAUAGAAAAAUAAAGCCGUACGUAUAUAUUCGCUCAGUAAAAAUUAAGUUCACAUGUGUAUUUCCAAGUGGUAAUUUUGUCAUUUUAAUAUCUAAAGAAGUGCAUUUUGUUGUUGGCAGGGGUCAAUACGGUGAGUUUUGACGCACCCAAAGACAUUGUAACGGUCAAGGGCUUCAUGGACGCUCAAGAACUCGUCCCCUACCUCAGAGAGAAGUUCAGGAGGUCCGUCGAAGUGGUCCCACCCAAGAAAGAUGACGGUGCCGCCGCCAAGCCAAAAGACGCCGCAGCCGGAGGUGAGAAGAAGGAGAAAGACGGCGGCGGUGAGAAGAAAGAUAAAGAAGCUGCCGCCGGUGGAGGCGAGAAGAAAGAAGUUGUCGCCGCAGCACCCGGCGGCGGAGCCCCCAAGGUAGAAGUGAACAAGAUGGAGUAUUCUGGGUACCCUUACCCUCCUCCCAGUUACUAUUGGUACGACGAAGGACACGUAUACAACCACAACAAGUUCGUCAUGGAGGCCCAAGCGCACCAGGCGCAUGUUAGCCAAGGCUCUUCGAGCCAUGGCUACGCUGUGCCGACGGAACACUACCCUGCUCCCCAAAUGUUCAGCGACGAGAAUCCAAAUGGUUGUUCGGUGAUGUAGAGUGCUGAACCGAUCGAACGGUGGUUGGCUGACGAGACGAAGAUAAAAUUAAAAUUUAAGUUUUACGUUAAAUAGAGGGGUAAAAUCGGAAUUACAAAAAAAUUGUAAAUAAUAAGGGGCAAAGGUUAUAAGAGAAGUAAAUAUAAUUACGAGUAGGUAGGUAUGGAAUUUUGGUUUUAUUAUGGGUUUAGUUUUAAUUAGGGGAUGUAAUAGAGAUAGACCGACCGGCCGGCCCCGCCAGCUGGUGGAGCCGUUUCAGAUGUUGGUUUGAUAUGAAUAUGAUGGUGGUUCAAUAUGAUUAAAGUUUCUGCUAAUUAAUUUUUUAUUUGGUAUUUUUAAAACGUUUACGUUUAUAUUAAUGAUGAUAUUAAAUCUUCACUUUGUAUUGCAAAAUAUAUUUUACUUUGUGGCACAGACGAGGCCACUUGGUUCGAUUGUUGAUUUCUUCGGUUUAAUUAAUAUGGGAUUUAUAUCCGAAUCUGAAUUACAUUUAAUUGCACAACAUCAGCACGUUUACUACCUGAGGUUUUUUUUAUAGAGUUGCUUUUGGCAUUUCAAGAAAAAUAUUCAUUCACUUUUCUUUUUUUUUUCAACACAUUUCCUCGUAUUUUUAUGUAACGAUAAUCUAUUUUAAUAUAAUUUAAAUUAUGUGAAUGAAUUUGAACUCGAAUACAGAAUAAGAGCAUAUUCUCUCUAGCGAACUGAAUUAAGGCCAUGAUGAUAUUUUUUGGAUGUUAUUGAAAGCUUUCUUUCUCAAUCAUUCACAAUCUAAUAUCUAUAUAGUUUACAAUAGGAAUUAGGACUGUAGCAAAAAAACAAAAAACAAAAGGACCGACAUUAAAAGUGAUAUGAGGAUACAAGCAUAUGACUCCGUAAUUAAAAUGUGGGGCUUUGGUGGUGGGGGACUCUUAUUAAUUACAAAAAUAUUUCAUUUUUGCAUUUACGAUUUUGAAAUGCUUGCUGUUCUGAGAGAGAAAGGGCUUGGCUGGUGUUUUAAAAGAAAAAAAAGGCCUUGGCUGGUAAAAUUAGGGAAAUGCACAACUUAUUGUAUGGUGUAGAUUGAUCCUCUAAUAAUACUUUUUGGUCAAUAAAAUGACAUCUAUAUAUUCAUUAUUUUCUCUCAUAUUUCUGUAGGAAAUGUCGUGACGAUAAAGAAAAAGUUGUAGAAAGUAUGCGUCCAAUUUAGAAAAACCAUUAGACUUUACAUCAUUUCGAAUGGGAUUAACUUUUCUUUUUGCUAGCAUGCAAAAAUGAAUCAACCAAAAAGGUACGUAAGUCAAUUAUUUAUCCCUAAACUUUUCCCUUUUUGCGUCACGUAUUCACAACAUUAAGUGGGAUUAGUUGGAAGCUAGGGCCAAAAACCAUAGAGAAGAUUAUCAAACUGUGUGUUGUCUAUAUGCUUAGUCUAGUUUAAAUGUGUUUAGCUUAGAUGUUUUUGAGUGAUUUGAAGUCCGUUUGAUAUGAUUAAAGACGUUCUUAUUGAGAUGAUCAUACUUGAAAUCAGGUGUUAAGUCCCCUUCGUCAUUUUUGUAGUAUUUAAGAAAUUCUUUCAUCAUACCACCGAAAUUCUCUAAAAAAUUGUGUUUGUCUAUUGAAAGAGAGAGUAAGGCGUUCUAGCAGGUUCCAUAUCUAAUUAACGUCAAAAUGUAACUUAAUUUUCCAUAACCCUUCUUAUUAAUUAAUUAGCGACGUCAUUAGAUCAGAUUAUUAUAUUGGUUAAUUAAUUAACAUCUUAUUUGACCUUUUUAUUUUAGCCGACCUUUUAGACUUCCAACAGCUAAAUAUAUAAGGGGUUCUUAUUAGAUUUAACGGCUGAUUCCAAGUGAAAGGACUGUGGCAUUGCCUUUUCAAUGCAAUGAAGGCUAAUCGACCAUAUCUAACGAAUAUUUCAAGCAUUAAUUCAUUAUAGUCAAACGUCUCAUGUUGGGCGUGCUGAAAUUUGGUUCACAAAGAUAAGAUCGACAGUGAUGAACAAAAAUAUGAUAUUGGUGUACUUUCGGCUAAAAAUAUUUCAAUUAUUAUUGUCAACUGGGGUGUAGUUCAAUGAAAAAAGAUCUUGACUUGUAGACAGGAGGUCUCAUGUGCUAAUCCCAUGACAUCUUUUUUUUUAUGAUAAUCCCAUGACAUCUUAAUUAUGUAUAUGUGUGAGAAAUUUCUCUCACUUUUAAUUUAGACCAUCAUUUGUGUUAAAAAAAUCAUAAUUAACACCCUAAUACAAUUUUAAUAUCUUAAACAUUCUCAAUAUGAACACCUCUUUUUUUGGCACCCCGCGUGUUGUUUAUUUAUAUUAGUAAAUGUUGAAAUUGAACAUAAAAAUUUGCGCACCACAUACACUCACACGCGAAAAUGAAAGAACUCAUAUGUUAUAAUCGAAGCAACAAAAAGGAAUCAGAAUCCGUGGGAAUUUGGAACAUCAUAUCCUUAAGUUACAGAUUAGAAUACAAUAGUUGUAUAAACUUUUAGCGCCAGCUACUUCUACUUCCAAAUUUGAAUCACUAAAAACCAAAGCUUAAUGAGUCGAAAGUGCGUGGCAUACCCUAGCACGGUGCCUUGGAUUUUAGCGUAAGGAAAACUGUAUUCUAUAAAAUAUGAACUCUAAAUCCUAAAUUCUAAACUUCAAGCUCAUAUGAACCGGAUUUGAAUGAUAAUUUGUUCAUAUUGACUCGUGUGACACCCACCAAAAAAAAAUUAAUACGUUAUUUCUAUCAUUGUCCUUGCUAGCUCAUGACAAGUAUUGAUUUAUACCUGAAUAAUAAAUGUAAAGGAAUUUGAGAACUAACAUUGCUUUUAUGUUGUCUUCUUUUGCGAUGGUAGGGAAUAAUGAGUCAAGGACUUUGUCACCAUGGGGCUUGACAAGACUAUCAUGCCAACAAAAGCCAUCAAGCCACGAUUGAGGCCUUUAUUAUUAGAGACAUUUCUUAAAGCUUAGAAAAGUAAUCCUCUCUCACACCUUUCAUUCUGACAUGAAGGCGUUUUAAAAAGCACCCCAAAUCAUUUUCUGGUUGAUUGUAACCCGUGGGUGAUUGAAAUGAAAUAAUAUGCAGAUAAAGUAAAGCUGACAAAAUAAAAUUUAUAUAAAAUUUAGAAAAAUCUAUAGGAGACGUGAAGUUGGGUGUAUAUACUUAUUUUCUUAGUUGAAUGAGGACGAGAGAGCAGCCAAUCAUGCUGAGGAUAAGCAUCAGCAUGCAUGCUUGUUGCCAGGGACCCCAAUUGCGCCAUUAAAAGUUUAAGAUAGGGACAAUUAAUUGGUGAAAAUUAAACAUGAAUAUCGCAUACGAAACCGCCUUUGCAUUUAUAUAUUUCAUCUACACCAUCUACAUUGUAGUAUAUCAUUACUUUAAAUUUAUAUGUGUAUGUAUGUAUGUAUUUUUUUCUUCUUUUUUAUCGAAAAGAAGUAAAUUUUAUUAACCAGAAGUAUUGGUUACAAUAAGGUUAUCAAAAAUACAAUUCAUUAGCCACACAGGGCCUUCUUAUAACCAAUAAUAAGAACCUUGUUUAUGUAAAGCAAAACGGGCAAUAGCAUGAGUCACUUUGUUACACUCACGAGGUCGAAAUUGGACUUCCUUUACAGAAAACUGCAUGAGCAAGUCUCUCACAUCAUCCACAAUGUUGCCGAUAAUAGCCCAAAUAGUCUCCCUUGAAUUAUCAUCCACAAUGUAUGUAUAUAUUUAUCUAUCUAUGUACUCCAAGUCUUAAUUAUAAACUCUUUUUUUUUUUUCGUUGAUUGAAAUAUGCAUUCACAGCUAAUUGUGAGAUGUAUGAAAUAUGAUGGUGCUGGUGGCCGCGACGCAAUGAUACAUACAGCGACAACAAUAUCGAUAAUAAUGACAACGAGGAUAAAGAGGUGGCCGCAGUGAUAAACAUCUUCGUCUAAUUCUACCUCAUAUCAUUGAUUAAUGAGUUCUUAAGAGGAAGGCCCAUAGAACUAAUAUAUUCUUGAUAGAAAUUCAACCAUUUUUUUCCUUCCAACGAAAAUUCAAAUUUAAAAUAAGUUGUUAUGUAAGAUAUUAUUUGUCUUAAUAUUACACACUAAAUUACAAUCUAUGCCACAUGCACUGUGCACAUUCAAGUUUUGUAAACGAAUGUUACUUGUUUUUCAUAAUAACAGUUCUAAUUUCUAGCAUUUUCCUAUCCGAUAAUGCUAUUUUUUGACUUUAACAUCUAAAAAUUAUAUCCUCAAUUUUAAUGAUUGUUUCUAACAAAUCAAAUCCUAGUUAAUUUCAGUUCUCGCCCACCCAUGCAUGCCCAUGUAACGUUUAACCUAAUAAUGUACAUCAUGGAAAAUGUAUUCACUAUUUCUCAAAAAAAAAACAAGAAGAAAACAUAUUCAAUUUAAAUAUACGAUGUGGGUGGUAUUUUGUAUCAAUUUGGCAUGUACAAACGUGCCUACAUUCUCAGUAAACUAUAAUUUACCAAUCUUUUUAAGUAAACUAUUUUCAGGUACCUAUAUUUUCCAGGUUAUUUAUUUUUAGGUAAAUUAAUUUUCAGGUUAUUUAUUUUUUGAUGAAUUAUUUUUCCAUGCAUGUACAAUACUUUACCUAUCUUUGUAGGUAAGCUAUUUUUUAGGUACCUAUAUUUUCCAGGUAAAUUUUUUUUUUUCAGGUAAAUUAUAUUUUAGGUACUUAUAUUUUUUGUCAAUAUAAAUAUAUGGGAUAGGUAAAACAUCUUUUAGGUACCUAUAUUUUUCAGGUCCCUAAUUUACCUAAUAUUAUACAAGUAAACUAUUUAUCUAUCGUUUUUUCUUUUUUGGUUAAGGACUAUAUGAAUAUGAAGUUACCUAUAUCUGACAAAAUUUGCAACUCAAUGUGUCUUUUUCGACUUACCUAUAAUUCGUUAUUUUUUUACCAAGAUAACGUACCUACAAAAUUUGCUUCAAUUUAAUGCUUCCAAAAAAAAGGAAAAAAAAAAGGAGACUUAUUUUAAGUUGAAUAAUUAUUUCCUCACUUUUAGGGAUUAUGUGUCCCAAUGGAUUAUAUAUGUGUUAAAUAAUUUGAAAUUUAAAACAAUCAGGAGAAUUAAAAUGUCAAUAGAUAAAUUUGUAAUAAAUUAAGGAAAACAACACUUAAUACGAGGGCUGGGCAUUCAAACCGGUAACCCAGUUAAACCGCCCAAAUCAAACCAAUGGUUUGAGUUGGUUUGGUUUUUUUUUCUCAAUCUUUUUUUGGUCAUCGGUUUGAAUCCUAAUCAAAUCGAAAUAUAUGGUUCGUUGUACGGUUUGCAAUAUUUAAAAUCACGGUUUAACCAAACCAAACCGAUGGUAUUAAAAAAAUAUUAUAUAUAAUAUUAUUAUAAAAAAUAUAUAUAUAUAAUACAUAGUUUCAAUAUUUUCUUUUUCUUCUCUCUCCAUGAGUCACUUUUUUUGUUCUCUCUCAUUCUUCUUACGUUUGUCUUCACUCCCUCUUUUUUUCCUUCUUCUUCUUCUUCUCCAUCUCUCCCUCUCUCCAUCGCUUUAUUUCUUCUUCUUCUCCUCUCUUUCUCUCUCUCUCUCUCUCUCUCUCUCUCUCUCUCUCUCUCUCUCUCUCUCUCUCUCUCUCUCUCUCUCUCUUUGAGAAAGCCAAAAAAUCCAAAUUGAACCAAACCAACCCACCAAGUCUGGUUAAUUGAAGUGGUCGGUUUUCAUCAAUUAUGCUUUGGUUUCGGUUUUGGUUUUCAAAAUAGCCAAAUUGAGGCCUACAGUUCAGUGUUCGGGUUGAGCCUAAAACCGAACCAACCCAGGCGGAGCCCACCCCUCCCCCCCCACAUAAUACUGAAAUUGUAAUUAAGGGUACUUUUGGAAUGCGAAAAGGAAAAUCAAUAAGGUUUUAAGCUUAAUUCGGUAACUUGUUUCCUAGUCAUUAGGUUUUACUUAGACAAAUAGGAUUUUAGUUGUAGAAAAAUAAAGGGAUGAGUUGCAAAUAAGGAAAUAUGAGUUUGAAGGGGGAUAGCAAAAUUUACUAUAUAUUGAUUAAUUAAUUGCUAUAAUUAUCAUUACCAUAAUUGUUUUUCAUUUUUCCAGACACAUGUUUUAACCAAAACUUCUUUUUGUUGGUUGUGGAAAAUGAUAUGUUUCAAAAAUGCACUUUUCCUUGCAAUGUUUUGCUUCAAAUUAAACAAGAGAAGCCUUGGUUAGAAGAAGGGCUUCGACCAGGAAGAAUCCAACACAUUUUUGCUACAAACAGAUUAUUCUGAUUGAUCAAGACAAAUCAUCAGAAUUAUUUAAAUAAAAAUAUAUAAUUCCCUUGUGUUUGCUUAGUCAAAUCUCAGUUCAAACCUUCUAUCCAAUUUAUCCUCACUUAAAAUCAAUAUACGCAUCACCUGUAGGGGUAAAAAAGUCCUUGUAAGGAUCGAACAUGCUUCUAUGAUUUGAAAAGGACAUUUUUACCUUUAUAUGAGACGCACGCAUAAACAUCACAUAGAAUUUAGAUUUAAAAAAUUAAUUUGAUUUAAACUGAGAUCGGAUAUUAUUAAUAAUUUUUUCACCACAUCAACUCACAUUGACAUAUAGCACACUCCAAAUGCAUGAUUCUUGCGAUUAGGCCAAAAAUGAUAGUAUAUAUAGUUGGAGCUAGCUGCCUAAUGGGAACUAUACAAAUUACAAGAAGAUCAGUUUUAUAAAUCUUUGUUUGUAUAUUAAACAUUAAGAACAUCAAUUUAACUCAUACAUAGUCGUUUUGCAAAACACCACACUCCCCUUGUCGCUUUGAUAUGCUUUAUUCGGCCACUCGAUACUCCAUUCUAUUGGUUCUCACGUUGUUAUCAUAGAAAUGCAUCAAGUGCAACGCCAUUUUAAUUUUUUUUUCGUUUUCAACUCUACCCUUACAACAAUUCCCCUAAUUAUUUUUUUAUAUCACGACUUUUGGAUUUUGCAUAUGUUCUGUUUCGCCAAGGGUUUAGACUUUAGAAGAAAAUAAAAUAAAAGUCAAAUUAGUAUAUUCUAUAAUGAUGAUCUAGGUUGAAACAUGAUUCCUCCUUAGUAGCAGUCCUAAUUCACAAUAUGACAGUAUAUGAUGGCAACUUCUAACACUAAUUACAGAUUAUAUAUCUAGGAAGCUUCAGAGGGUGAUUUACAUUGUUUGAAAGAAAUAAGAAUCGCGGGCCCGGCUCUGUAUUUAUAAUUCAGGGAUCGACACUGUCUAUUUUUAACUCAGCGAACUGCAGUUCAAAAGUUUUGCAAAAAAAUUUAGUUAAAUUAGAAACUAUUAAAACAUCUAAUUGUGAACAAAGAUAAUUCUUCUAUUAAACAUAGAGAUUUCAUUAUGGUAAUCAAAUGGUAAAAUUCUAUUAUAAAAUUAUAUUGGGUCCAAUUUCAACACCAGAAAACCACCUAUAUAUUUUCAUGGCGGUUGACACUUCUCGAAGCCAAUUUCUUUUCUUCGAUUACUGUGGCGGCCUGCUGAUUUAUAAAAACCACUAAAAAUGACUAACUAAAGAUUCAUUUAUAUAGUAAACCGUAAGUGUGGUGGUUGGAUUAGUCAAAGUAACACCCUACAUCAUAACCCACGUUAUAACUUUAUACAGAUAAUUCAUUAACAAAUUAUCUAACCAAUGGCCGAGAAUGUGAAUAAAAUAAUAAUAAUCCCACGUUCAAGAACGACAAUCUAACAACAUAUAUAACAUAUUAAAAUAUUUAUCAAGAAAAUAUUUUCCUCAUAUAUGCACGCACACUCACAUGUAUAUAUUAGACUAAUUAGAAUUAGGUAUUCAUUAACUAUAAAAUGCAUGAGUGAACCAUAAGAAAGCACGCAUAAUAAAUGUGCCGUUAAUAAUGAACGGCACAUUUAUUAUAUAAUUAUGAUAUAUUAAGUCAUUAAUCAUUGUUCGCAGUAUAACACGAUACAUUAAAAUUGUCUAAAAACUCAACAUGCAAAAUCUUUCGACAAAAAGAACAUUACAUUUACUAGUAUAGCAUGCUUUGUCUAAUAAGGCUCAUAAUGUUUAUAAUAUUCAGUUUACAAGUAUUUAAAUUUUUCACCAAAAAAAAAAAUUAUAAUGCUUAAAACUUGAAACCAUGGUUCACAUGUCACAUAGUUGAAGGUGUGCCAAAUUUUUAUCUUGGUUGAGGAGGUGGCAAGCUCCCUCCACUAGUGACACCAUGGUCACACCAAAAAAUUCAAAUAUUAAAUUAGUUUUGUGAUUUUACCUAAUUUAGCAAUAAUAGAAGAUAAUGAAAUUUAAUUGAGAAUGGGAUUUGUCAUUUGUCUGCAAUAUCAUCACCAUAUCAGCACAAAGACAAAUUGGGAAAAAGAAAAGAAACAUCCAGCGAGACGGAGGAAGGUGAGUCAUGAAUGAGGUCCUAAACUCUGACUCAGCCAUGACUAUGACUCAAAACUAUAGCUGGCCUGGCCAUUUCUAGAUGCUAACGUUGCGUGGCAUGACAUGGAUGCAUGUAUGCAUGGUGGGUAUGGCCAUGGCAUCCAUCCAUAACAUGGCAUGCAUGAAAUAAGACCUGUGGGGGUCAUGAAAAGGGUUUUGGGUUUUAGGAAGUGGUGGGCUUGGUUUUGACUCAUCAUCCGAAAUGCUGUUAGCCCCCGGACAAGAAGGGACCCUAGGUCCCACUCCACGUCAGAUGCCCCAUGGCGCCGUGUUGGAGUUUGAAUUUGCACGCCAAGAGGCAAACAAAGGGGUUCGCUUUGCCCCAUUCAAAUACGUCUCUUCCAUGUUCUCAAAAAACCAUAGUCUUUGUUCUUAGCAUGAGAAGAUUUUGUUGACCAUCUUCAGAUUCCCAAUUCCUCCAUUAAAUUCUGAGUUUAGGACUUUUUAAAAAUUGAUAACAUAAUUAAAACAAAUUUAAAACCACAUCAAUUUUGAUAUAAAUAUAAUAUUACCAUACGAAAUACGAGUAGUCCGUCAAAACAGUAAUCUUAUAAAAUCAAAAUUGAUAAUAUAAUUAAAACAAAUUUAAAAUCACAUCAAUUUUGAUAUAAAUAUAAUAUUAUUAUACGAAAUACAAGUAGUCCGUCCGAACAGUAAUCUUAUAAAAUCAAAAUGUAUGACUUCUCUUGUUUGUUUAACCCGCAAACUAUAUUUUCUAUUAGCAGUCAUCGAAAGUUUCAACUUUCAACCAAGUAGACAACCUCUAGUCUCUAGACUAUUAGACCAGACAUUAAUUUUUUCGUAUGACUUUGUUGGCAUCAUUAGACUUCCCUUAUCAUGCUUUAAUGAAAGAGUGAAAGAAAAACAUUGUUUUGUUUUGUUUUGUUUGUCUCAGCAGCCUUAGUCUCGCCAGAUACGUUGUUUCAGUCAUGUGUUUGAAGCUAAGAAUUCUUCCCUGCUUGUAAAUAUAAAUGUUUGAAAUUGAAAGCGACAAUUGACCUAGCUGCACCAGCCGGCAUGACUUGUCUUAUUCUACACUACACGUGAGAUAUGUUUGAGAAAAAGAAAAAUAAGUUACACACACACACAAACAAACGAGAAAGUUAGUUUGAUUUUUGAGUACAUAUGACUGUAGAACCGUAACAUGGGGAUACACCGACGUGCGUAUACUUCAGCUGUUUUUGACAUUUGAAUCGUGGAUAAUGUUUUUUACUUAUUUUAUAGAGGAAAACAAUAGUAAAGAGAUAAGGGUUGAGGCUUUUGUUCAUGAAUGUCAUGAUUAUGGUGUGUAUUGUUUGCGAAUAAUAUCUCUUUUUUACUUUUUUAAGUGUGAAGUAAGUUUUCAUCUCCAUCAUGAAAAGAUUGCGACACUGUUUUUGCUUUUCCCUUUUCUUUUUUGCCAAGCAUGAAAGACGUUUACCAACCAUUUCUCUAGAGGGGAAAAAAAAACAAAAGAGAAAGAAAAAAAGACUUUUACCAACCUGGUAUAUAUGCACGUUUGCAUGUAUAAUUAGAGAGAGCUUGUAGCAUGUUUAAUGCUUUCUGCCGUUAAAGUCAAAUGUAAGUGUGCUUAAUGCAUGUAGUCAUGUAAGUGUGCUUAAUAUUCGUCCAUAAUCAUCCUCAAAACAAAGACGGGUAGCAAAGAUUUGCUAAAUGCAAUAAAAACUUAAAGCUGUGCUAUGUGCGCGGCUGACCUUAGCAAAAUCCUAAAACUUACGAGCAAACUAUGAUUUUGUAAUUGUUUGUUUAGCAACUAUAACAAAAGAAUGCCAAUUCACUCUCUCUUUUGGGUAGCCACAUUUUGUGUGUGUGGAGAUAGCUGAGAAAUUGGGCCGGAAGUUGGCAUAAAUUCUGUAUGGAAGUCAAAAUCAAAGCCUAGUAUGGGAACUUGUUGGGUUUAAAGCUUCAAAAUAUUAAACUAUAUGGGCCUGAUAGAUAAAAUCUGCUGCAAUAGAAACCAAGCACCUGAUUCUAGAAAGUAAGGCGAAGGAAGGAAGGACGGCUAGGAAUUAAUCAGAAACCUCCUGAAGAAACCACUGAUAAGAGUCUCCACCUCUCCUCUUGCAUUUUAUGAUUUCAUUCUCUGUGAUGGAAGGUUGCAGCUUCCAACUUACAAACGUCCAUAUAAUUAGCACACUUUGAGAGCAAAACUUCAAUAUGCAAUCAACCCAUAUAAGCAAAGAUGAAUUGAAAUCUCUACAUUUUAGUAUUACAUAUCAAUUCCAACAAACAAGCAUUAAAAUUUGUAGUUUAUUCUUGUAAUAUAUAUGGAGAUCAUGCAAAUGGUUGGUUAAUAGGUAAAACAUAUCGGAUUUUAUGCAAGAUUAGAGAAGAGAAUGAUAGAGACAAGAUGAACUCAUCAGAGGUCUAAAACUCAGACUUGAUUCAAUAACUUGAGGUUUGUCCUUGUGCAUGCAUGAUGCAUGAGAUUAGGUAUUAACUUUGGACCAGUUUCCACAGAGGAGCAUCAACUGAUAUUCAUACAGUACAGAUGGAUAGAAAAUUACCCCAAAUUCUUAACUUAUUUUUGGGAGUGAUAUGAACCAAAAAUUUAUUCCAAAUAAAGAUACUGAAUCCCCUUGCACGCAUUAGACCCUGAAGCUUAUACCUGUAGCAAACCGAAAUCUCGAGCACAAACAGAUCUGUGGUGUUACCAUCCGAGAUUUUGUUGGCCACGUCAUCGGCCACGUAAGCGUCGAGCGUGGAGAGUUUGAAACUAACUAGUGUUUGGUUGGUGGUGGUUAGAAGCAAAGGACGCAACGACGUUGCGGCGAGCAGCACACGUUGGUACGUUUGAUCUAGCUCCGUAAUAUGUUGGUAGACGGGACUGUAGUAGAAGAGCGAGGCCUGGAGGCUGUCACAGUAGAUGUCCCACUUCUUGUUGGGGUUCAUGGCUAGGAGCGUCAGGUUCCACAUGACGGUAAACUCGGAGGGGGUAUUGUUGCGUGGGUAUUGCAGGGCCGCUGAGUGGACUAGGAACUCAGGGUCAUACCCUCUUGGAAGCGUCAAGAACAAGGUGAGGACCGAUGGGGCUAGAAUGAAAUAGGGGACCACGAUACUGUACACAUGAUGCAAAAAAACGUUCCCUCACAGUCGAAGAAGGGUUGCCGUAUGGGCUGAUCAUUAGAAGCGGAAGCCGAGAUUAAGAUGUUGGUGGAAAACUUUGAAGAAGGAAAAUCAGAAUCCGUUAAAGGAGAAACUGUAGAAAAUGAACAGAUUAAUGCGAUGAAAUUUAUCAAUAUUAUAGAUAGGGUGAUUGCACAAAAAUGGUAUGCAAUGAUAACUGUUGUGCCAUCAACUGUGAGCCGAGCCCCUCAGAAGAAACCAUACGACGCUAGAUGCUAACACCUUCAUACAAAUACUGAGCCGAGCAUGUACAGAGUACCCUCGGUCUCAAAAAGUAAAGCUUCAUGGGAGAGGCAUGGCUAUUCAAGGGUUAGACCUAUGGUCGGGUAGACAGACCCACCCGACCACUAUGGCACCAUGGCCAACUAAAAGGUGCAUUUAAUGUAGCCUGAAAGGUCGGUUUUGACAAACAUCCUAUUCUUAAAACAGGUGUCGCCUACGCUUUGGUCUCCAAAUAAACAGGCUGGCAAUGGAAAGGGAUCAUUUAAUCCACCUCCCAUCCAGGUCCACCUGUCACUUCGCGACCUAAUUCCUGUCAGAAAAUAGGAUGAUUAGAAACAGAGCAAUAAAUGUAAAACUCAACUCAAGGGGAUAGGAAGAAAGAUCUCUUCCAUAAAAUAUCUUAGGUCCUCAUUCCCCCUUAUAAAUACUCCCCACCUAUCUCUGGACAAAGGUAAUAACUACUCUCAUUGUAAAAACCCUACAUCCAUUCUCUCUCCAACUCAAGUUAGUUUCUGACUUAACCAUCGGAGAGGGUUAGGCUGAAUCAGCCUUAGUCCGCCCUAAUUCUGAUAUCAUUCGAAGUGUGUAGAUCUUCUUUUGGAGAUUAUUCAUACUCAAAGGUCAAGUACGGGCCUAGACCAUCUAUACGAGAAGGAUGCGUGGUUAACAUUUGGUGCCGUCUGUGAAAAUUCUUUUUAUCACGAAUAGAAGCUGCAUCCCCUCAUCCAUCUGAGCAUUGAUACAAGGUGAACCAAGCCAUGCUGAGAAAUCAGCACCUUAGGAAAGGAGCUUCUUCGGGUACGACAGGGAGAAACGCCCAGAGAAAAGAAAGGCUGAGGUUGGAUCAUUUGAAAGGUUUGGAGGAGAAGAUGAGCCGAAUUUUAAAGGGCGUAAAGGACGUACAGAAUCUCAACAAUAGCCUUUGUGCGCAAAACGAGAUACUACAGGAGAACCAAGCCUAACUGGUAGGCCAAGUGCAUGGACAAAGAGAGCCCGAGCUGACCAACACCAAAAGUACCUGUGGAGCCUCGUCCUCGUCAACAGCAGCUGAAACACCGAGACGGAACGUGGUCGACGCCAGAAACAUCCUGAAGGAGAAGAAAGCAUGGCGGGAGCGCAACAAACGCCUAGUAAGGAACCUUUGCAAAGGGAAAAAUAGGGUCGGCUUGGAGAAGAGCGAAGAAGAAGUCGACGGCAUCACCUCUCAACUCAGAGACUUGGUAUUAGGAACACCCUUCAUUAAUAUGCUUUAUCCAUUUUCUGUUUCUGAACAAGGCAUAGAAACAAAGGUAGAAGGUCAGCCUAUUAUCUUUAGGUUCUCCCAACCUCCAAAGCAUAAGUAUAUUAAUGAUAUACAAGAAAAAAAUUAAGAGAAAAGAAGGUUGUCUUUGUCACCUGAAAGAAGAAUUGCAAUUUAAAAGAAUAGAUGAACAACUGCAAUCUAAGAUGAUAAAAGAAAAGAUUGAGUCAAUCCAAAAGGAGUAUGAGCAACAAGUCUGUGCUGAAAUCCCAAACGCCUUUUGGAAUAGAAAGAAACACAUUGUUGAAUUGCCUUAUGAGCCAGCUUUUGAAGAAAAGAAAAUUCCAACUAAAGCUAGGCCAAUUAAGAUGAAUGCAAGACGUAUGGAAAUAUGUAAAGCUGAAAUACAAGAAUUAUUAACUAAAGGUUUAAUCAGAAAGAGUUCAUCGCCUUGGAGUUGUGCUGCUUUCUAUGUAGAAAUGGCAGCUGAGUUAGAAAAAGGAGUACCAAGAUUGGUGAUAAAUUAUAAACCUCUUAAUAAAUUUUUGAGAUGGAUUCGAUAUUCGAUCCCCAACAAGAAAGAUCUACUUGAUAGAUAAAAUAAAGCGGUUAUCUUCUCAAAGUUUGAUAUGAAAUCAGGAUACUGGCUAAGGAUGGCAGAAAUCCCCACAAGGGCCGGUUCCCGACCCUAAUGAGGAUUUCGAGACAAAACGAGUAUCGGGUAUGGGGAUCCCCGAACUUGAAAAAUCCCUGAUAGGUAUGGGGCGGGGAUGUUAUUGGCGUCCUCGUCCUGGAGCCCAACCUGAAAAUAUAUAAUUAUAAUAUUUAUGUUUAACUCUAAGUUAACCUCCCUCUCCUAAUUCUUCCUAAUCUUCUCUGGGAUUUCAUAUUGAUGUGAUUUUAAAUAGUUGAAUUGAACUUUAUAGUUAAUUUGGAUGUGUUGAAUGAUAAUUUAAUAUAAAACUUAAUGUUAAAAUGUAUGAUAAAUAUUUUUUUUAUGUAUAACUGAUUUUUCCUAUUUUCACCAUCUCUCUCCCAAUAAGAAUUCCCCUAACUCUGCCCCUAAGCUUGCCCCUAAGCUUAGGGGUGGGCACUCAAACCGGCGAACCGGGAAUCCAAACCGAACCACAUCGAACCAAACCGAAAAAAAAUCGAGUUGACCAAAAAGUCAAAAACCGGUCAAAAACUGAACCGGACCGGUUUGGACCGGUUCCGGGUUCGGUUCCAUGUCUUCAAAAAUCGAACCGGGCCGAACCGAACCGGUGAAACUAAAAAAAUAUAUAAUUUCAAUAUAUAUUUAUAUUUAAUGCUAUAUUUUUAAUUUCACUAAAAAAAACCUAAUAUUUAUCCAAGUUCAAUGUCAAAAUAUCUCUCUUUUCUCACUUUAAUAUUUAUUUUUUAUAUGAAAUUGAAUAAUUUGUUAAUUUUCAAGUAAAAAAAUAAUAUUUUAGUUGAGAAUUGUAUUAAAAAAUAAAUUUUAUAAUCCGGUUCAAAAUCGAACCGAAACCGGAACCGGACCGAAACCAGUUCAAACCGAACCGGACGGUUUUUGAAAUUUUUUUUAUUAAAACUGAACCGAAUCAAACCGAAUGAAUAGUAUCGAAUCGGUUCUAAUUUGAGGUAAAAACCGGUCCAAACCGAACCGUGCCCACCCCUACCUAAGCUUGCUAUAAUUGUAAUUGGGUUUGGUUGCAUGUAUGUGGACCCUUGUGUCAAUUUCCUUAUUAUUUGGUUAAGUGAUAGGCUUAUCACUCAUUUGAAUCAUAGGAUUUUUGCUAAUGUCAAAAAAAUUGAACGUACAUCAUCAAUAUUGUCCUUUGUUCUUGCUAUGAUUGUGGGAGUGAUGGGUAAUUGCUUUAUCGAAGGCUACUCUUUUACCGAUGGCCUUUACCUCUGAUUUGGCUCUCACAUUGGUGGGUUAUGGCGAUUUACACUUUAAAACAACCGGUGGCAAAUAUUUUGCCAUCUUUUGGUUGGCUUGGAGUACCCCUAUUGUGAAGAGGGCGAUUGACAUUAUGCAUCGCCACUCUGACUCGUGGAGGUAUAGGUUUCAGCCUUUUGUUGUUGCUGUUUACUUUCACCAAUUUAAACAACAAUAACGCUACGAGUACCAACUUGUUUAUCAACUUUUGGAUACCAACACAUGCGGCACAUGACAUGACAACCUAUGUUAUCUAUUUUAAUUACAUAAUUUGUUAUAUAAAUAAAAGAAUUUCUCAUUGAAAAAAGAUAUAAUUAAAAAAAAAACCCAUUUAAUAUUUAGGUCCCUUCCGUCUUCCUCCUUGCCCCUCCCCCCUUCUUGAAAAACCCUAGAAAUUCAACAGUCCUUCAUGUAAAAAAAACCCAUUUGUUACUGCUGGAACAUAUUGGUUUUCCAGUACCCAGGCUUCAAAUUGACUGUCCAAACCGACAUUAACAAUUUCUUUAGACUGCUCAUUAAUGAGAGAUGGCCCAUAUAUAGGCUUGGUGCUUUGAAUUUGAGAAGUUUCAACUGGUGGCGGUUGAAAGGAAGGAGCUGAAUGCUUUGAUUGGAAUUGUUCACCCAACUAUAGUUACAAUAUGAAAAACCCACAUCCACGACACUUGCACCUAGAUUAUCUUGCAAACAUAUAUUUUGACUUGAAUUUUGACUUUGAUUCCCAUACUGAUACCCACCUUAGAAAUAUUGGCUAUCAUGAAGGACUGUUGAAUUUCUAGGGUUUUUCAAGAAGGGGGGGAGGGGCAAGGACGAAGACGGAAGGGACCUAAAUAUUAAAUGGGGGUUAUUUAUUUAUUUAUUUAAAAUUAUAUCUUUUUUCGAUGAAAAAUUCUUUUAUUUAUAUAACAAAUUAUGUAAUUAAAAUAGAUGAGAUGGCAGAUGACAUGGGUUGCCAUGUCAUGUGCCACAUGUGUUGGUAUCCAAAAGUUAAUAAACAAGUUGGUGUCCGUAGCGUUAUUGUUUAAACAAACUAAAACAAAUAGACACACAAACACAUAUAUAUUAAAACUAAAAUUAUUACAGUUGUGGUUCAUUAGGCGCAAAUAACUUGAGUUUAAUUAAUUAGCACCACAAUAAAUAAGUCGAUAAUCUGAAGCCACCAUAAUACCAGGUUCACAUGAUGCCUUAAAUCUUAAACCUAAAAAUUGGUUAGAAUAUUACCCAGGAAAAGUUUUAUGUGCGACAGAUAGUGCAACAAUACUGGUUCCACCUUCAGUUUUUGAAGCUGACCAGUAAAGAAAAUACAUCAACAUGUUUUGCACGUUGUCUAAUAAGUUUCAUAAUGUUAAUUCUCUCUCGUUUGUUUAGCAUAGCAACUAUGACAAAAGAAUGCCAAUUCUCUCUCUUUUGGUUAGCCACAUUUAUUUUCUUUGCACAGAUAGUUGAGAAAUCGGGCCGGAAGUUGGCAUAAAUUCUGCACGGAAGACAACAUCAAAGCCUAGUAUGGGAAACUUCUUGGGCUUAAAAGCUUCAAAAGAUUAAACCAUAUGGGCCUCAUAGAUAAAAUCUGCUGCAAUAGAACCCAAGCACUUGAUUGUAGAAAGUAUGGUGAAGGAAGAAGGGACGGCUAGGAAUUAUUCAGAAACCUCCUGAAGAAACCCACUGUAUAAAGACAAACCAAAAUCAAAAGUCAAAAGAGAAUUGAAUGGCAUCAGCAGCAAUCUCAGUGAGGCCACUGAUAUCAGCUCGACACAAAGCAAACGCAGCAACCAGAUUCCUCACAUCUCGGAGCAAUACCCAUCCACCAACAUCACUAGAUAAAUGGACCCUAAACGACACCGCAAGCAAUGCUGCUAGUUCUGCUCUUAGACUCGUCCCCCAUCUCCAUAAUCCUCGCCAUCAUCUUCUUCAUCCUCCUCUUUCGAUUUGCCGUCUUCUUCUUCUUCCUCGCCCUCCUCUUUCUCCUCUGCUCAGACCUCGUCCACCUCUUCUUCGACAUUAUCUGCCCCUGAUGACCACUCCCCAUGCCACCUCUGAUUCGGCCCAUUCCUCCUCAGCCUCCUGCAAAACGGUGCGUACGUUUCCGUUCUCCAACUCUCCUCUUGCAAUUUAUGAUCAGUUUAGAGUAAUGGGUUUCUCUUAAUUUAUUCUUCUCAAUCUAAAAAUUUCGACCUUUAGCAUUUUUGUUCAGUUUGCAGUGAUGGGUCUCUCUUAAUUUACUUUUAUAAAGUGUAUAAAAAAUCGGUCGGAAUUUUUUUUUCCUGACUUCAAAGAAAACCUAGGCACGCUGUCGCCCCCUUCUCUCUCUCUCUCUCUCUCUCUCUCUCACGAAUCGACCACCACCACCAGGCCGCGACGACCCCUUGCCCACCCGCGACCCCCUCGAAAACACCCGCGACCCUUUCUCUCUCCGUAAUUAUCUUUUGCUGCUGUACAUGCUUUAUUUAUUCCUUUAUCAAUGUAAAAUUUUGAUCUUUAGCAUUUGUUGUUCAGUUUAAACCAAUGGGUCUCUGUUAAUUCCUUUAUCAAUGUAAAAUUUUGAUCUCUAUCUUAGUUUUAUUGUUCUCAAUGUUAAAUUCUGAUCUUUUGCAUAUAUAUAUAUAUAUAUAUAUAUUUUUUAUCGGUUUUAAAGUAAUGGGUCCCUGUUAAUUUCUUUUUCUCAAUGUAAUGUUUUUGGUUUUGGGUGUUUAGGUGAGGCUUGUGGUAAAGGGGAGGGUGCAGGGUGUGUUUUACAGGAACUGGACAAUUGAGAACGCAACCCAAUUGGGCUUGAAAGGUUGGGUUCGGAACAGAAGAGAUGGGUCUGUGGAGACUCUGCUUUCUGGGAACCCUGAUGCGGUUCAAGAGAUGGAGCAGAGGUGUCGACGAGGUCCUCCAUCUGCUGUGGUCACUGGGCUCGAGGUCUUUCCCAGCACUGAGGACCCUGGGGAUGGAUUUGAGCGCAAACAAACGGUCUGAUUCAUUAUCCAUUUCCUGUGUUAGCUAGAAUGUAAUAUGUAUAGUCUUAUUCAACUCUAUACUAUAGAUUGUCGUUCCAAGUUCUGAAUAAGAGGACACAUGUGCAAUGUGGUUCUUGUUUAAAUAAUAUACCACCCAAUGACUUCAUAUCAUACAUUGGUUUCUACUUUCUGUUUUGUGUUGGUAUUUGUUAAGUGGAUGAGUAUUUUGCUUUUGAAACUUUAAAAGAAGCUCGAUGGAUGCAGCGACAAUCACUGCAUUUUUAAGCUAAACCAUUAUAGACAUUCAUGUAAGGUUGACAGAGUACAGAUCAUGGCCACUUGAGCGUUGAGGCUUAAAAUUGUUUGGUAAAGUAGAGAAAGUUGCUUGCUAGAGGCAUAUGAUGAGUUACACCACUUUCAUGCAUCUUUGGGUUGUUUUGCACCCUUUUAACGCUAGCAGAAAGUUGGUCUUCAUUCUUGUUAGGCUGAUCCUAGAAAACAAAAUUUCCGAACUUAUUAGAUUAGAAAGUUUUCUUAACUUAUUGGCUGCCUUUAAAAUUAUAUGGUUGGGUAGAAGAGUAAGAUAGAUAUUCACCAAGGUUGAGUAGACUGAUCCUCCCUUAAGCUUUGAACUGCUCCCUGGUUUGCUUGGUUGACAAUCCACUGGUUUUUGUUCCGUGGUUUGGAGAAGUCUUCGGCGUUAAGGGGUCAUUUAGCUGUCCUAAGUCUUUAGUCAAGGAAGGUACGGUUUUCACUGGUAUAUCUUGGGCAUGCAAUACUCAAUAAUAAAAUAUGUAAUAUGAUAGAUUGUUAAGGAUGCAGGUUAGGACUUCAAAUCAGAUUGGUAAAUCACCAUACAUAAUGUAAAAGAACACAAGUUGAUGCAUGAAUGGAUAAAAUGUGGAUGGACUCAACAAUCUAAUAUAGGAAUGAGAUGUAGCUCUGUGAGCAGCUCAUAUUGUGUUUUUUAAGGAUUCUCCCAAACCUGAGGGUGUUUAUACAUGUUCCGAACUCCUUUAGCGGAAAGCAAUUGCUAUCCUUUAGCGGAAAGCAAUUGCUACUCACAUGAAUUAAGAUUAUCAGCGACCCCUGGAGAAGACUUUUGCUUCAAUAAGGUAGAGCGUCCCGAUGUCCGUUAUAGCAAUGUUCUGGACAAAAUGUACCAGAUCUUUCUUCAAAUCAGCUGGUAUAUUAAGCUUGUUUGUUGUGGUUUCUUCAAUGACAGUUGUAAGCAUGCUCUGAUAAGAUGUAUGUUAUUAUCUUAACCCCACCUGGUGCUCUUACUAGUUGAUUAUGGACUGUCACGAUAAGAGUUUUGUGGUAUGCUAUGGUGAUGAGCAAAUUAUGUUUUGAGUUCUAACCACCACCUACUGAGAUAAAAACAGCGACGUUGAUGCAAGGAGCUUAGCACUACACAUGCGCAUGUCUGAGUUGCACUUUUUUGAAGUUUGUCGAUUCAUUUUCUUUCCCCAAGGUCUCCCUUCAUUAUUUAGAGUGGAUAUGCAACCUGGAAGUUUUCUCUGUAAGCUAAUGUCAGUUCUGCUUGAGUGGAGAUGGCUAGAAUGGGAGGCGGUCUUGUAAUGCCGAGGCUUGUUAGGACUUGGGUGGAUGUUUCCUCAGCUUACGAAGAAAAUCAAGUUCGAUUCUCGCAGGAAUUGCUGCUGGUGGUGGUGAUUUGGGUCCAUCGUUUCGUUUAUAAUUUUUAGAGACAGACUUGAGUGAUUAAGACUAGUUUAUGGUAUGACCUUGACACUAUCAACAUCGAACCCUUUUCUAGUUGUAAUAAUUCACCUGCCUCAGGAUUGAAUACCAACUUUACGGCAGCCCAUUUCAAUAAGUGAUAGAAUAAAGAGAGAUAACAGCGUUAGCCGGUGGGGGACCCGGUUGGAUCUCCUCCGUCUGGCGGUCGUUCACGGUUGAAUUGAACCCAUGCCAUCCUUUUUGUCUUGGAAAUAUCCUUCAUGUACUGGCUCUCAUUACUCUCAUUUCCCUUUCUUCUCGUCAUAUCAACGCAGUCACCAAACCCCUCACUGGGUUUGAGGAAUACCUUACAGUUGUAGUUCGAGAAAUACCUUACCGUGGAGAUGUUGUCAAUGUACCUCUUCCCUGUAUUGGUGCUUGUGACUAGUAAUAUUUUUGAUAGAAACAAAAAACAAACCCCCCAAAAAGAAAACCUCAGUGAACAUUUUAUCACAACUUGCACAUGGCUGUGUUGCUUUAGUUCCAGUGGAAUAAUCGAUCCCCGAUCAGAUAUGCAAUGGCUGGAUAAAGAACACUAGGCCUUCUUUCUGAGAGGUACUUUUUGUCCUAUCAUUCGUAUAAAGUGCUUCUAGGACCCCAAUUAUAAGUUAUAAGGUACAUCAAAGAUCCCACUAAAUUGGACCCAGAAAAAGAUAAAAGUGGUGUACUGACAUUGAUAAGUCGAUUAAAUUACACAUGCAUCCGUCCCAUCUUAACUUGGCUUUUAGGAUUUGGAGACAAUGUUGAUGGUGAAUGAGUCAUGGUAAGUGGGUUGGUGACAAGUAUAACCUGGCAAUGUUUUCUUGCCACAUCAUACUGUUAAUUUAAAUCACACAUAAUAAAAUAUAAAUUAAUUUGAUCAAUAAUUUAGAUUUAUAUUCUUCGAUCUUUGAUAUCAUAUAAAAUAUGAAUAUGAUUUGAAUAUUUUAGAUUUAUUUUAUUAGGAGUAGAAUCAUUUAUUAUAUGAGACAUGUAGUUAAGUUAGGAACAAUAUCGAUGUUGCUAGUAAUAGACCAAGAGUCCUCCCUUUGAAAUCUUAACAUAUGCAUACACUAUUCUUAAAUUGAUUGAUUGGUAAAGGAAUAUUUUCAAAAUGAAUUAUGCUAGCCGUUAUACACGUGACUGACAUUAACACAACUCUUAUUUAUGUGAAUGCGUACACAAGAGUAAGUCCAUGUACAUAUAUUUGCCGCCAUACCAGGAGUGAUUUGUAGUUGCCAUCAGCGCAGAGGUUGAAGAGGGAAAUAUGAAGGAGCAGCCAAAUGAUGAGAUAAAGCAGCACCAUGGAAUGACCCCUUCCCAUCCCUUUUGAUUAGAAACGUGACCAUCUUCCCCUGCCCAUUAGGCAGAUCCAGAUACAUUAUAGGUCAUCCAAAGUAAUGCCUUUAUGAUUUUUUAACGCAUUCAAUUGUAAGAUGCAGAGCUGAUUAUGUAUUUUCAUACUGAAUCCAAUGAUAAAGAGUUUCUUCUUUUAACAAUUCUACAAUUUAGAGAAGCAUAACAAAAACUCAACUUCAACUAUGCUUCAUAUUCAACUCCUAAAAUAGUAUGACCUCGAGAUGCUCCUAAAUUUGAGAAGAGAAAAACGGAUUCUAAUCGCUCAUAUUCAUUGUUAAAUCAAAAUUAAGUUAAAAAAGAACUAAAAUAUUUGACUCCUUAAAUUAUGAUAAAAUUUGUGUGAGGAGAGAGAGAGAGAGAGAGAGAGAGAGAUAGAUAGAUACAUAAGGCGCAGUCUCCAGUUAGAGCUAGCGCUUGUUCUAAAAAAGUCAUGGGUUCCACACCUCCAAACCCCACAUCCCUUAAUUAUUUGUUGAACUUGAAUUGUAUGAGUUUGCUUAUCUUUAUCCAUCACGUGGAAAAUGAAACCGUAAUUGAAUACGGUGUUAUUUUGAUAUACAUUGUCAGUCAAUUUCCUAUAACAAUUGACCAUUUUGAGUUUAUUAGUUUCCUAAAAGAUUCAGAUGCUUCUUUUUCAUCAAAUAUUUCUGUUGAAGCAGUAAUUUGAGCUUAAUAUUACAUGUUUAGCAAAUGUAGAGAGGCAUUUUGUUUUGCAAGUUUCUGCUGCUUCUUCCUGAAUUAAUAAUAUUGAUUUCCCAAAUAUGUGUACCACAGACGUCAUGGCCUACUCAUCCAAUCACUGGCAAUAGUCAAAUAAAUAUAAAAUAAAGUGGAUGGUGGUUGGUCGUAUGAACAUCGCUUUUACUGCUGCUUGUCUCUAAGACUAAGACUAAGACUAACUAAGAAACACCAAUUCUCUUCUCGCCGACACACCAAGAAACUUUUUACUUCCAAACACCACAGUAACUAUACAGAAACAAGUGGGUAAAAAAAUAAUGCAGGCUCCCGCAGCACUAAUUUUACCGUAAAUUAGGAAAGUAAGUCUCGUGUAUUCGUAAUGCUCCUAUGUAAACUUGUCUUGCACUCCAAGACAUUUGGAUUUUCUUGUGUACCAAGUAGUGUAGAGAAAGUUUGGUAUACAUGUUAUGUAAUUGUUUAAUGAAAGAUCGGCUUAGUGGCUCGGCACAUGCUUUUCUCUCGUUCUCCUUAUUCUUUCAUGUCUCCUUCUCAUUAUUCUUCAAUAUAUCUAAGAAUUAUUCAUUCGGGACUCAGUAUAUUAUUAUAUCUAAUAGUGCAAGAUAAUUAUCUGCUUAACUAUUUUGUAUCAAUCAAUGUAAAUUUAUGUAAAUUUCAUGCCAACUCUAUGGUAGUACGAUUUUCUAAUCUUUAUUAGAUUGACAUACGGAUUCAUUUUUCUCAUGGUAUAGUACUUUAGAUUUGUAAAUCACCGUUAGACUUAUUCAUUUUAAAUACAAAUCUCAAUUUUAUGUCAAAAUGUAAUAUGAUAAAAUAAAAAAAUAAAAAAUCCGUGUGAAUUUCGUGUUAAUAUUUUGUGAAGUUUUGAAUCACUGUACAAAAUUUUACCGUAAGAUCGAAGUCCCAAUUCCCAUCACAAACUCACAAAUCAUUAAACAAACUCAUCAUCAUCAUGAGUGAUGAGAUGAGAAGAGUUCCGCGUGAGGACAUUUGGAUGCGAUGUUGACUCAUCAAAACGUUUGCAUUAAAUGACAUGUCGUCCAUGGCACCUACAUUUGAUGCAAAUGGCUCCACAAUGAAACAGAAGUUUCCUUCUUUUCCCACUCUGGCUUCCUUCUCAUAAAAACCCACUAUAAAACACACCCUCCACAGAAAAUCACCAUCACCCAUCAAAAUAAACAAAGCAAGCAAGCUCUUGAGUCCAAGUCCUCAACACACAAUAAUAUGUCUACACUGAAAAUCCGAUCAAAGAAACCAGACGACAUUCGAGGUCUCGUGAUGCUGAGGCUGCUCAUUCGGAAGCUUGUGCAGAAGGGUCUCUCCAUUUUAUCAGCCAGAGGCCUUCAUCACCACAAUGAUUUUGAUGAAGCCACAGUGGUGCCAGAAGAUGUUAAAGAAGGGCAUUUUGCUGUUUUUGCAGUGAAGGGCAAGGAGGCAGAGAGGUUUGUGGUGAAAUUAGAGUCCUUGCAAAACCCUGAGUUUUUGAGGUUGCUAGAAGAAGCUGAGGAAGAAUAUGGAUUUGAACAGAAGGGGGCUCUUGCUGUUCCUUGCAGGCCAGAGGAGUUGCAUAAGAUUUUAGAAAACAGGAGGGAGAAGAAUAGCAGUAAUAAUAAUAAUAUUAAUCUUAGAGUUAUACCAGGAUGCUAGCUAAGCUAGCUACCCGAAUGAGCCCAUUUUCAUGUAUGAUUUAUUAGCCAUGUAAAUUUCUCUGUCUAAUUAUUUCCUCUGUUAUAUGUGCUCUUUUUGCACUGGAUGUAGACAGAUUUCUGCACGGAAAAAAUAUAAGAAAAAUUCAUUCUUAUAUCUUAUAUCAUUUCUUCCUUCUGAGGUAAGCAGAGUGGGUUGGGGAAUGGGAUGACAACAAUUAAGUGUGAUCUGAAAAUUAUCAUAUUAGAAAGCAAGAGCUAUGCCUAUCCAAACUUCCACUACUUUCAGUUUUUAAUUUUUCUGUGCCUGUAUGUUGAACCAAUACUAGAACUUUUUUCAACAAUGACAAAGUUUAAUUUAAAUUUAAAUGCUAGAGUUUGAGGCCGCAACGGGGUUUGAGAGGCGGUAGUUUACCCUGUGGCGGAUGUCAACAGUUUAAGUCUGUUUAUCUUCACUUCAAAGCAAAGUAUUGCUAUAUUUUUCUCUUUUUUCUGUCGCAUUAAUGAUCAAAUCCAUAAGCGUUAGCACUUCUAUUUUCUAGAAAAAUGUUUUCGCAUUUAUUUUAGACUCAUAUGUCUUGUAGUAUGUCAUUCUCAAAUGCGGGAUGUGAGAGAAUGUUUAAACACUCAUGAUUUAUAGUGUUAGAACAUUCAUCAUAAGUAUCAGAACCCUCACUCUGGCCCGCAUUAAAGAAUUCUUGAUUAUACUAAUACAAAAGGAGAGGUGCUCCUGGAAAAUACUACACCUGUAAACCGAGUGGAAUAUUAUUGAUUCGGGCAGAACACCGAUUCUUGCCGUGUUUGGCCAGGUAGUACCAACACGUUUGGUGCUUUUUUUCCUUUUCUGAAAAGAGAUAGUUGGCAAUGGACUAAUGAUCUGAUCAUGAGACUUACGACGGUGGCAACCAACCAACUCCUCCGUUAGCAGUUGUUUUCUUUUUUCAUAAUUAUUUCUUUAUUAGACAAGGUAUAUUCCAAUUGUGUUCAUAUUAUUUCUUCUUUAUUAGUACUUGGUUAAUUUUAUAUUCACAAUUAGGUCUUGGUGGACCCUAUCUAUUUGGACCUUGAAAGAACUUGCAUUUUGGUGCAUAUUAUGAAGUCCAUGGUCCUUCCCUUGACUUUACAUGCCACCUCCACCAACUCAAGAGGCUCAACUUUUGAGAUCAACCCAUGUGAAAAUAUUAUACUAGUGAGUAGAGACAUGUGGAAAUAAUGGAAUUAAUAUCACGCGCGAUUGAUGCUAGCAUCUUUUAUAUUUCAUACUUGUAUUGUAUGUAUAGUCAUUGUAAGCAAAGUCUUGAGGCACCAAAACAAUGAUGAUUGAUGACAACCCAAUUUGAAAGACAUCGAAUAAUUUAAAAGAUUAGAUGGACUGAAAGUCAUUUUUAUUGUCAGCCCAAAGUGCAGGAUUGCUUCCAAAACUUUGAAGCUAUAGCAAACUAAGCUACAAUUGAGCUUCAAUUUGAGAUCUCUUGUGAGAACAAUAUGGUGAAAUAUGGUCAUAUGAAUUAGUACGUACACAUUAUAAUUAAGCACAUCUGCUUGCCCUUUAUAUUAUCAACACAUUUUCCAACUAUGCAAGCGAUAUUGUAUAUUUUUUCUUAAAACAAACCCUUGAGAAAAACACACGGUUAUAAGCGUGCUCAAUUUGCUUGCCUCCCACACAGUUCCAAUGAAGAUGGGCAAUUCUGGCAAAAAAAAUGAAUAUGGGCAACUCAAGCCAUAAUAUGGGCCCGACCCGUUUAGAUUGAGCAUGUUAGGAUCUAUGCUAUGUUGGGCCGGGUAUAACAAUACGUUCGGCAUUGAAAGAAAAUUUUAACAAAAUUGAUGCUAUUUUUUUUCUUUGAUACAAGCAAUAGGUGAGGGUAUUUGAACAGAGAAACUCAGGUGCACGGAUAACUAUUCUUAACCAUUUGAGUUACAAACCCUUUGCAAAAUUCAUAGUAUUGAUAAGAUUAUGGAAUGAACAUUAUUCUGAUUUUCACCACAAGAAUAGUCACUGAGAAGUUGCUCAUUUAGAACAAGCAAUUUAGCAUUUUGUUAACCAAUGUCAUACAAAUCUCAACAACAUUUACAAAAUGGACAGGGUGCAAAUGAAGGAGCAGUUGUUAAGUAAUCACUGUAUUAUUUUACCUCAGAGCAAUUAUCUGAGCCUACAGGUUCUUUCAAACAGCUAGAUAUUGCCACUACUGCAGCUUCAAUCGCUCCGUCUUCUCCCUGUUCCAUUCCAUCCAGCAGAUACAAGUUACAACCAUACUCUUUUUCUUCAGAAAAUCUUGUGCAAUGCAAACAACCUCAUUACAAACAUAGAUAUAUCCGAGCAAUGAGGGAACUUCACCUUCUCUUUCCAGUAGAACAUAUUUCCAUAUUUCCCGGCCAAACGGCUCCAAAAGCUACGUGGAACAUCAAGAUCAACGGAAGCCCCCACGUUGAAGUUCAGUAUAUUGCCUGCUCAAAGAGAGCAAGAGACCCAUCAAUACAAAUAAUCUAUGGUAGAGGUAGUACAAAGAAAAGAAGAAAAAAUUCAUACAAUAUAAGUUAUAACACAAGAUUGGUAUGUAUGAAUACAUUACCAAAGGUGGGAUCAGCAACAAAGACAAUAGUUCUAUCAUCCACUUGCCAGAAAUCUUUAAUUGCCAAACCUGCAAAGCAUGGAAAUAUUGCAAAACCAGGGUUAAUUUUAUCUUCUCACACAUUCAGAUUGGCCUCUUAACAAUAAUUCUAAUUUACAAUUUGGCAACAUAAACAUGUUAGACUGUGUGACAAGAGAGCAUUUGCUUGCAAAACCCUAAACAAAUAUAUAGAAAUUUAAAAAAAUAAAAGAAAACACUCUGAAUGCCAAAGUCGUACAGAAUAUUAGGCACACCUGGUGUAUCAGGAUAGUUCUGUGCAAGAACCCUCAACUUGAAUCCAGUAUCUUUCUCUAUGUCAUCAAUCUCUUGGGCUAGUCUUUUCUCCUGAAAAUUACCAUACAUAAUUAUAAGCACAUCAGCUUAAUUCUUAGAUUUCAAUUUUGAUGUCAAGUUCAAAAGACACCACUACGGUAUUAUCAAUGUCCCAUAUAAUAGAUGCAAUGCAAGUUUUCGAUUUUCAAUUUCAACCCAACCCAAGAAUCCAGGAAAACCAUAUAAAACCAACAAAUAGGCAAUAAAUAAGAAAACACACCUGACCAUCAGAGAGGAAGCCAGCUACAUCAAUUACAGGACUGAACUCUUUGGGAAGCAAUUCUGGCUUGUUCACCCCAACUUUUGCCUCCACAGGUCCUACUCCUGCAGAAAUUUAAAGGCUUUUUCACAUUAUCAGCAUGUUAAUCUUUUAUGCAAUUGCAGAAAAUGAGAGUACUUGCCUGAGAGAGAGAAUCCGAGCGUGAGAGCCCCUGAGAACACUAAAUUUAAAGACUUGGACCGAAACUCCGAGACCCAGUUGCUCAAUUGUGUUGGCUUUUGGGUUGAAGAGAGAUGAGAGGACGCAGUGAUCAGUGGCGUGAAUGGAAGACGUGAGGUUGUUUGGGAAGUGGGAGAUGAACAAUGGAGAAACGCCAUUGUUUAUUCAGCUAGGACCGUGGCAGCUGCAAAGGCUUUUAGGAUAAUGGAAGCCGUGGGCUAUUUUCUAUUUCUGUUCUUUUUUGGGGGGUUUUUAAAAUUUUCACCAGGGAUUCUUUAAAAAUCUCCAAAAUUCGGCUGUUUUUCAUUACUUUAUUUUCUAAAUUAUCCGGUUGUUAAAAGAAGUCCCAAAUUCCCAAAUGAUAAUUUUAUAAAAAAUUUAACCCGCAUGGAAAAAAAUACAUGUAAAAAUUCAUACAUCCUAAUUUACCUAAUUUGUUUGACUUACACAUGAUUGCACGUAUUCGAAGUUUAGGCUAAACUCGUAAAGGAAGUAAGUCGUAAACAUUUUCUUCACAACUCAGCAAAUGGAACUAUAGAUUUUUAGAUUCCAUUUUCUUUUGGGGUACUACGGCUUAAUUGUAUUUUGGUGACAAAUUCCGUGGGAGAGGAUUGGUUUCUUCAGACAAUGAGGUCUCUCUUUGAACCAGACUGCCUGAAAACAAUUGUGACUUAAAAUGAGAAAGCUCAAAGCCUCAAGCCUGCUAUAUUAAAGCUUUUAUCACAAUCUGCGGAAAGCAAUUCUAGUUCCCUUUCCACUCAAUAAACUUGUGUUUGGGAGUUGUUUCACUAACUAUAGCUGCGGGCUUAAACAACAUUAGGAAAAUAACCCUUUUUCGAAACAGCAAUUUGAACAACAGCUUCUCAAGACUUCCACUGUCAAGCAGAAAGAGAUGCUGCAUCAUGUAGCAACUCAGCUAGCAUUAUCCAUUAUCCACCAUUUAUCAAAUUGUUCAUCAUCUGCACCUCAAAUUCUCAAUUGCUUAAAUUUCAAAUUAUCCUUGCAAUCGAAAAAACCAACCAUUUGCCGAAGAAGGAAAAAUGAUCAUAUGACACAACUCACUGCAAUUCAAAAAGGCAUGAAGCCUGAUACUGAUAAAGGAGAAGAUUCUGCUUUUAGCCUUCAAUACAAUACAUAAUAGACAUUAUAUCCUUCAUGCUAUGAGAGUUUCAGCUCAGUAAAACUUAAACAAGGCCAAUUGAAACAAACAAGUUUACAACUAAGGGAAAUAAACAGGCCAGUUGAAAUAGUAGGAAUCUCUGAGAUCCUUGUCCAUGUACUGGUUCCACUGCAACAAGAACAAAAAAAAAAACCCACGUUUCAUCAACAAAAGAACAAUAUCAAAACCCACAAUAUCUCCUAAAUGGGUUCUCAUUAGAAUCAGAGAAAUUCUUGAAAUUUCAGCUUGCCCAACAUUUGAGACACAACCCAACAUACCUUAAAUUUGUAGGGCUCCCCUUUCUUCAUGGCCUUCUUCCAGUGAUACUGCUCAAAGCACAUUGCUUUGUCAUGCCAGCUGCAACAAUUUUCAAAUUGUGAAGAAAAAAAAACAGAAUUAACAAACAGAAACAAAAAAUAGCAACAAAUUCACAAACUGGGUAAUUAUCAAAACUAAAAAAAGAUGACCUACUUGAACUGAUUGGAGAGCUGCCACAUGUAGGGGUUGACCCAAGUGAGCGCAGAGAAGGCAGCGGACCCGAUCCAUAUGUUCACAAAGCGUUCCGGGUCGGCAUGUGGGACCCCCGGGUCUCCUCUGUACGCGUUCCCAAAAUACUUCUCCAUUUCUGUCUCUCUCUCUCUCUCUCUCUGUGGUUUCUUAUCCUUGAUCUCCGAUGAGCACAAAGAACAUAUUUAUACUAGUGGGUUUUUAAUUUGGGCUGGGCCGGGUACACUAAAAGGCCCAAAAAGAAGCCCACUAAAGGCCCAGAUGCCUCUUAGUUUAGUGGUAGAAUUCUAUAAAAGUAAACCCAAGACCCCCCCAAUUAUCUUCAUCGAUCUCACUCUUCUCUCUCUCUCUCUCUCUCUCUCUCUUCGUUCCCAAAUCUCCCUUCCGUUUGAAUUUUGAUACCAACAUUGCCAAAGGGGUCUUACCAGGGAUUUAUCAAUUUCUAUUUUUUUUUCAAAUUCAUAAAUUCCCUCCAUAUCCUCAACCUUCUUCACUCUCUCAAACCCUAACCCUACUUGCCUCUCCUUCCUCCUCUAAGGUUUCGCGAUAUUUCGCUCAAUCUGAUUCCAAACUCUGCUCGUUUACUUCUGAUUCGUGUUCCGGAGUCUUCGAAUCGCUGCAAGGCUCCGAGAAUUGCGUUUAUUUCACUCCAAUUUCUAACUACCUCUCGCUGCUUCUCUUUCUGGGUUUUUUCUAGGGUUUCUCAGUGUCAGCUGGGUAGAGUCCUAAUUUCUUUCGCUUUUAUAUGUUUUUGUUUGACUGCCGAGAAAACGGGGGAAAGGGAGGGAAGAUGCGCGGGUUUUUGGGGGAACAGGCUCGUGGGUCGAAUGAUUUGAGGGUUCGAGAAAAAGCUGAGUGAUAUGAGGGUUUGAAUAUGAGCCUUGAAUAUGAGCCAUGGAGAAGCGGACAGUAGCAGCAGAGUGAAUGAACCCAGUAGCGAAGCGCCGAGAAGAGGAGGAGGAGGAGGAGGAGCCGAUGAGUUUGGCCGAGCCAUAUCUACGGUUGCGGUGGCGCAGAUAUGCGAGAGCGUUGGGUUUCAGAGCUUCAAGGAGUCUGCUCUGGACGCUCUCGCCGACAUUGCCAUCAGAUACCUCCGUGACUUAGGGAAGAUGUCGAGCUUUUAUGCUAACUUGGCUGGCAGAACCGAAUGCAAUGUGUUUGAUAUUAUUAGAGGGUCGGAGGAUUUGGAGUCACUGCAAGGGUUCUUGGGUGCUGCUGAGGUCAGUCAAUGUCUUGCAGGGUCUGGGAUAGUGAGAGGCAUUGUUGAGUAUGUGGGUUCGGCUGAGGAGAUCCCAUUUGCACAGCCAUUGCCUCGGUUUCCGGUGAUCAAGCAGCGGAGAUUAAUUCCGAGUUUCGAGCAAAUGGGGGAGGCGCCACAGAGUAAACAUUUGCCCAAUUGGUUGCCCGCUUUCCCUGAUCCACACACUUACAUUCAAACACCAAUGUGGAAUGAGAGGAAGACCGAUCCCCGAGAAGAUAAAAUCGAGCAGGCUAGACAGAGGAGGAAGGCUGAGAGGUCUUUGUUGAGUCUGCAGCAGAGGUUGUUGUGCAACGGUGAGGCAUCUGGUUCAGGAGGAGUCUCUGUUGCAGUACCAUUGGUUAGUGGUGGUGGUAAUGAUGGAAAGGGAUUAUUAUUACAAGGGAGUGAGAGUAAUCCGAGUAAUCCGAGUAAUCCAAGUAAUCCAAUUAAUCCAUUCCUUGAACCGCCUAUCCAGCCGGGAGAGAAAGAUGUAUCAGUGUCCGAAGUUGUCUUGCCAUCCAAGUUUUUGGAUGAAGUGGGGCAAGGGAAGAAUGGCGGUUCUUCGGUUUUGGAUGCGUUUACGCCCGCCAUUGAAGCAGUGAAAAAUGGGGUGUGGAGUGACGGAGAUGAUGAGAGGAAGCAGCUUCUUCCAGAUACGAGGCCUGCGAUUAAUUUCAAGUUCAGAAGUGGGAAGAAGUUUCUGGGAGAAUCUUCGGAUGUGAGGCUGCAAAAGAAGGGUUCUGUGAGACCAGCUUAUUGGUUUGGGCGAGAUGAGGAGAGGGAUGACAAGAAGAGAAGAGCUGAGUUUAUUCUUAGACAAUCUAUGGAAAACCCACAGGAACUCACUCAGUUGUAGAUUAAUUUUAUUGACUGGUUUUCUUCAUGGGAAGCUCUUAGCACCUAGGGAUUUAGCAGUGGGCUAUGGAGGCUCAAAGUAGAGGCUGUACUUGUUGUUCUAGUAUACUCUAGUUUUAGUCCCACUCUUACAAAUUUUUUUAGAGGUAUGUGAAUGUUUUCUUUCAAUUCCAUGUUUACCCUUUUUCUCUGUGAACCAUUCUUCUAGGAUGAAGAUUUUAUUUUGUUUGCCCCACCAGCUGAUAUUUUGUAUCAACACAUUGAAUUCUAAUAUUGAGAUCUCCUUUUUAGCUUGUCCAUUUUCUCAACUUCUAUUCAAAGAAAAGCCAAAAGGACAACCAAAAAGUAUGAAUGGAUUAUAGAGUUUUGAGUCAUGAUCACAUGCUGCUUCCGUGAAUUGGAAGGGAUUAAAUAUAUACGAAAACAGCACAAAACAAUUCGGACAAUUUUCUCAGCCAAAAAGAAAGGAAAAAGCAACAAUUUUGCAUCCCAUAUAACUAGACGGUUUUCAUUUUCUAUGACAUUGAUGGGAGAAGUGGUCGACUUGAAGACAAAAUGAUGAGCUGGGAUCAUCAGCUGUAACUGCAUCGUCCGCUUAGGUAUGGGGGAGGCUAAGUUAUCUGUAAAUUUAUUACUACAUUUCACAAGCACAAGCAGGCCUAGCUGCUAUCAUGGGUCCACUGGAAUUAUAAAUAGAAAGCUCUCAAUCACCUCAAAGUUUCAAAUGGCUAGGCCAGGGCAACAACAAAGUCAGCAGCUAUCUGGUCAAGGAGCUACAUAUGUGAAGAGAAAAUACAACAUAAUCCAAGAAAACUAAAACAUGUAUAGAAACAGAGAAUUCAUGAUUUGCCAAAUGCAGAAACAGCAGUGAUCUGCCAAAUGCUGCCGCUCUCACUAGAGGCCAGAAAAAAAACUGAAAUCAAUGCCCCGCUUGAAUACACCUACUUCACUUGAUUGAAAAGACCUCAAUGUUUCAAGUUCAAAUCCAUCUCCACGGGGAACACUCUGGCACGAUGGUUGAAGAUCAUAAAGUCAAGGUUGGCUGGUAGAGAAACAAUCCUGCAUUCCAAAAUAAACUGGAUGUCAAUAAUCCAAUCAAGCAUCUCGCAUAUAACAUUUUUAAAGUCAAAAGAGCUAUUGUUCCACACUUCUGAAUUUCAAGCGCAUAGACCAUAGAGUAAAUAGCAACAGUAUCUCACUCAUACAAUUUCCUCUUACAAGGUUUAUACUUAAAAGGAGCACAGAUAGCUGGCCAUUGCCAUGAUGAAGAGUACACAUUAGUCUUCUGACUUGUCUCUAUGAAUAUGCAACAAAACUUGGCCCUCUUUUAGUCUUAAUAACAUUACAAAUUUAUUUUAUGCAAGGAUGACUUAGCUUGAGAACUGAUGGAGACAAAAUAAGGACAAUCCAUAUCUGAAAGUAACCUUCUACUUCUACAGUAUCUUGCUGUGCAGAGAGGAUUACAAUAUAUUUUCCAAUUAAUAAACAAACCCAGAUAGCCUAAGAAGGUAAGUCCCAUAUCAUGCUCAUUUGUAGGUUGCACACUUCUAUUUUUUCGUUAAAUUUUUAUUUUUGAUACGAAACAGAGUCCCAUUACUAAAGAGGGCAGCUAAAGAUUAUAGAAAGACAAAAAAUAUUUUGCUUUCUCCUGCUUUAUGGUCUCUAAACUCAAGAAUGCUAACUCCUAUUGUUUCUAUCUUCUUACGAAUUUCCCUCCCUUAAUCCCAUUACGCUUACUUCUACUCAGCUUUCUCUCAAUAAUUUGAUAUUUUGUCUCUUUGCAGAUAACCCCCAUUUGAAUACUCAUAACAUGUUUCAGUUCUAUAACAUAAUGAAGCAUGUCAGUGAACAUUACACUAGCAUUCAACAACUUUAGACAGUAGAAUGAGAUACUAAGUACUGCAUCUUUGCCUACAGAAUAUUCCAUUUACUUUGUAAAAGAAAAGGUUCCCUUUUCAAUCUGUAAGGACCUUUAUUCAGAAGGGCAUGUGAACAACUAAUAAUCUUAUCAACAACCCCCACUACAAGGAGAUAUACAAUUCAACUCUUAACCUAUGUUUAGAACCCAAUAAUAGAGAAAGAAAAGAAUUACACUCUUUAUCUUUUCAUUGUUUGGUUAUUGAUGAAAAUAAAGAGGAAAGGAAAACAACUCCAUGUUUUCCUUCUCAAGCUCUCUCUUCAAAUGGCGUAUAAUUUGAAGACAAAGUUGGCUCAUAGGAAACUUUACCAUAACUAUAUAUUCUUCUCUUUAUUUACCCUUAACCAAACAGAAGAAAACAAAAACUUCCGGAUUUUUUUUAUCUUCUCUAUUUUCUCUAGCUGAAAGAGAACCAAACAUAGGGUUAGAAUAGAAGUUGCAACUAGCAAUGUGCAAAUUAGGUAUUGACAUGGCAGUAACAUCUAUUCUAUCAUCAGUCUUUGCCAAUUCAAACAAUAAAAAAAGAGUUCGAAUCAAAAGCAUAACAAAAUUGAGAUUGUAGAAGGCACUGCAAAGCUCAAGUACACAAGCAUAACAGAAGUUACUAUAAAUUUGUUUCAACUUUCAAUUGAAAGGGAUUGAAAAGAAAUCCAAUCACACCAUGAACAAAACAAAUCAGGCCUUGAAGAGACAAAAUGCACACAUACCUAUUCUCUUCAGAAUGGGGAUGUAUUGAAAGAAACGUGCCGGGGACAGUAAGAGCUGCCCACAUACAUAACACUAACCCUAGAAGCAAUUCAACAACCACCUGCAAUUUCAGUUACCCGUUUAAUCACCGAAACACCUAAACAAAAUAAUACCCAUUGUUAGAAUUUGCCGUGUUAAAUCUUACAUUCAAUGGAGGUCCUGAAAACUCUUCCUCCAUAAUCUUCAACAAUCCCCUGUCUGCAACCAAAUCAAAUCAACCAAUCUAAAAAAGGAUCCAAUUUCAAUCACCAAAAACCCUAAAGUUGUUGACUUUCAAAUCCAAAUAGAUACCUAACUACGUAUAUACUAAUUAUCUGGGCUUACAUUGAACGGUUGAAUAAGCGGCAUGGGAGAGAAUUACAACUCCAAGGAUGCCAACCACGAAUCCCAAAUUCAAAGCCAUUUUAGGUCCGAUCUCCGUCAGGCUAUGGCUUCUGUAUCGGCUUCUACGACGUCGUUUGCGAUGCACGCACGAAUUGUCGUGAUUGGGUAUUCGACAGUCCAGACUGAGCUUUUCCCUUCGCUUUGUUGAAGAAGCUGUAAUUAAAACUUCAAAAGACUCCAAAGCGGUGUCGUUUAAGUAGUUUUAUUUUUAUUUUUUGGUGAAAGUUUCAUAGUAUUACAAGGACACUAUUUCCUGACACGACAUGUCGUUACUUCUUUGUCAUCUCCUCCGCUUUAAGCGGCCACAGCCAGACGCUUCAUAGCAGAAGCAGAGUUGGGUGUUGGAGCUCUGAACUCUAAUACUUAAACGCAAUCACAUAACAUGGGUCACCUUGUGAAUCUACUUCAACUUCAAACAACUCUGUUUUUCAGCAACUCUCCCACAUGUUCAAGUAUUGCUCUCAAGCCUCACACUUUCGAAUAUCUCAAAGCAAAUGUCUUAACAUCCAAGUGUAAGGUAAGGCACUAGCCCACUAGCUAAAUUUCAGUUCUUUCUUGUUUUGUGUUACUUUUUUUAAAUUGGGUUUUGCUCAUUUAGGCCUUUGGAGGAGGAGAAAUGGAUGCCUUGCCACACUUGCAGACUCUUAGAAAGUUUCCAAGGGAGGAGCUUGUUGCAAAAGUUGUACUGGUCAGAUUUGACUCUACCCUUUUGCUUCGGGAACAAGGGGAGGAACAGCGAUUUCAACCCAAUGCACUCUUCACCAUUAAGUAUUUGCACCAGUCUGGGGCUAAAGUAGUUCUUGUUAGUGAUUGGAGUGUUAAAACUAAUCCUAGACUGUUUGUCGCGCAGUCUGUUGCAGGUAUAUAAUGCUUCACACUAAUGUUAGUUUUUUCGCUAGCAUUUUUGCCAUUAUGAUGCUUCAUGACAGUGAAAAAAAAAAAGGCAGAGUUAUUUAAGCAUGAAACAUGGGGCUAUGAUAUGACAAUUCGACAUGUUGAAUUGCUGAUCAUUGUUUAUUGCUUGAUGGUCUCCACAUGUCAGAGUUCUUGUCAUCUCUUCUUGAGUACAAAGUUGUUCCAGUACAAUGCAUUUCUCAAAACGUGGUAUCAAAGAGGGAAGGCUUUGAGAAAGGAGAUAUUCUUCUUCUUGAGAAUCUUUCUGCGUUUAGAGGGGAAGUUGCCAAUUGUUCAAAAUUUUCUCAAGCAUUGUCAUCAGGAGUGGAUAUUUUUGUUAAUGAUUACUUUUCCCGGUCUCAUAAGAUUCUUGCAUCCACCUGCGGAGUCACUCGCUUCUGCUAUGCCAACUUAGCUGGUUUUCACUUUGAGGAGAGCCUAUCUCAACUUAGAAGGGCUACAGAAAGCAACACAAAACCACAUGUAGCAAUUGUAUGCCUCCACUGCUAGUAUAUUAGUUCCAUUAUUUGUGUCUGGUUCCAGUCAAACUGAAAACUUAUGGACUCUUAACCUUAUUAUCUUUGGCAGUGCAGAUUGGAGGGGGUAAUCUCUUUGAUAAAGCAGCUGCUUUGCAUUCCUUAACUUCCCGAUGUGAUGGGUUAGUCUUUGUUGGAAUGAUGUCAUUUCAAAUAAUGCAUGCCUUAGGGCUACCUGUUCCCUUGAAUUUGGUGGAACAUGGGGUACUUAAAGAAGCUCUAGAUAUAGUCCAGGUUGCACACAUUAGAAAUGUACAGAUCCUAUAUCCAAAAGACUUUUGGUGCAAGAAUGAUCAUCUUCCAAAGCAAUUGGAAAUAUUUCGUGCUCAUCGUAUUCUGGAUGGUGAGCCUGCUUUUGGUUUACCAAAAAUAUGAUGCCCUUUGACUCCUUUUCUUUUCAUGAAUGAUUAGAACAUGUGUGAAUUCACUAGUCCUUUUGACUGCUUUUGUUGACAAUAAUAUCAUUAUUUUUCAGUUUCCUAUGUUGCAACUGUGUAAUCUGAGUGUCAUAUAAUAAAUUUUGUGAAAUUGGGUUCUCAAAGUCUUUUCCCUAUUUUAGGGUGGGUGCCUGUUGAUAUUGGGCCUGCAUCAUUUGUCGAAAUGAAGUUCAUGCUUUCAAGGUGCAAGGUAAAUAAAAAUACUUAUGAAGUAAGGCAGAAGAAUUGUCUUUUGGUUUUCAAAUACUAUUUUGAAUUAAAUUUGAGGUGCAGUAUCAAUUCUUAAGUCUCUAUCUUGGUAUGUAGGCAAUGCAUCUUUUGACCGAUAGAUUUUAGCAUAAGAGUGUUAUGAUACUUUAUCUAAGGACUAAAUUUAGCAUGCUUAAUGUAGCCCUCGAAAAGUUUGUUUCAUUUUCAACUUUCAACUUUCCAAUUUUAGGCUCCAUAUUCAUUAUUCUGUUCUUUCACAUAUUUAUGGUCCUUUAUAAUUAUACAGUGUUUUUAAGGUAUAUUGUAAAGUUUCAAAGUUAAAUUUGGUGAGUAUAGUGGUGUAGAUGCACUUUGUCUGGUAUAACCACUAGGAUUAAAUUCCACCUUGAUGUCAUAUGUAUUUUCUUUCUUGAUCGCAGUCUGUUCUCUUUUGUGUUUUCAAGUACGCAUUAUUGCUGGCCUUGUGUGGACUCAUUGUCAGACCUCCCUGAUUUGAAUUGCAGAAAGUCACUUGGAUUGGUCCAGUGAAAUUCCGUACGAGUAACUGCACAAAAGGAGAUUCUGAACUGGCUCAAAUGCUUAAUCAACUAAGUCAAAGCAACUGCAACAUAACUGUUGUUGGGAAUAAGGCAUGUGAAGCAAUGGUGAAGGAAUCAAAUUUCACCUUUAAUUUCACUAUGAUUAAGGAUGCUUCAGUUGUGUGGGAGUUUCUCAAAGGACGAAAACUUCCGGGGGUCAUGGCCUUAGAUAGGGUACGAUUCAUAUCUUCUUUCAUAAUGUGGAUUGAUGCAUCAAUCUGACUUCAAAAUGUAAAUAUUUUCCAGCAUUUCAUAGCACUAUUUUAAAAAAUAUUUUCAAACUUCUUAAAGUAGUUAUCUAGUGCAGGCAUACCCUUUUGAUAUUGAUUGGAGUGAUGCCUAUUCUGAUCCAGCUCAACCUUUGGUAGUUGAUAUUGGAAGUGGUAUUGUCUUUCAUCUUCUUCUCCCUUCCUAUGGAUUUCUUUUUCCACUUUUAGGUUUCAGUUUGUUACCUUAUUGUUGUUCUCCAUGUAUAAGCUAGAUAUUAAAGAGAGAGAGAGAGAGAGAGAGAGAGAGAGAGAGAGAGAGAGAGAGAGAGAGAGAGAGAGAGACAUAAGGAUUAGGUUCUAAAAGAAGCUAAAUUUGAUGCAACUGACAAAUUUCUGAUUGGAAUAAAUAAAUAACAAGGCUUGUUGAGUUGAAACAGUUGUAUAAUUUCAACAUGCCCUUUAUGAUUUGGUCAUGAGAUAGUCAUAGCAGUUAUUUACUGACUCUGAAUAAUACAUGGCAGGUAAUGGAAUGUUUCUUUUGGGGAUGGCCAAAACAAGGAAGUAUUUGAAUUUUCUUGGUUUGGAGAUUAAUAAAAAGGUUUCCAGGAUGUGGAAAUUUUGUAUUCUUUUUGCCUAUUCUUAUCCUCUAUUACUGACAGUUUUACAGCUUUUUUCAGCUUGUAAAACGCUGCCUGGACUCUGUUCACUGGCGUGGGAUAAGAAAUGGGUAAGGGUUGUAGCCUUGGUGCUGCACAAAAAUUAUGGCCUUGUGAAUUUGCUUGUCUAACUGACUUUUGCUUGAACUUUAAUGACCUGUGUCUGCAAUGUGCAUGUCUGGGUUGCUUUUGCCACAUAAAAUUGUGUGUUUAAUGUUGUAAGUUAAAACUUGAAUGGAUCUAGUCUGUAUGUGUGUAUGCUCGCUCGUGUGUGUUUGAAUUUGGGGUUGGAGGAUAGGAAACUAUGAUGUUUCCAUUUAUAGAAUUUGGUGUGUUUAACAUUAUAGGUCCAGCUUCAUCAUCUUACCUAUAUUUGUCUUGCUUUUGUCUACUUUAGGUACUUCAUCGCAACAAAUGCUACUUCAACAUUCCGAUCCAUUAUUUCUAGUUACCCCGGAAAGCUAGUGCUUGUUUCAAUACAGGUUGGGAUUGCAACUCUAUGUCUCUUUUCAACUUGAAACAUCUGCUUCUUUUAUCAAGUGACUAUCCAUGUCAAUGUGCGUGUUAGAGUUAGCAAUAUAUAAUCUGUUAAACUUUAAGAACCUACAAAAUGAUAGCCCUUUAUGCAUUAUGAAAGACAUGCUAAACCGAACUUUUUUCAUUUCGUCCUUUCUUUAAAGGAAUGUUAUAUGUGAUUCAUAUGUUUCAUUAUCUUCUCUAAAAUUAUUUGAUAACUUCUAAGUAAUUGCCUUGUAUAGAACAACCUGAUGCCACAUUUUCUCAUUAUAAGUUGAGAAAGAUAUGGUUCUCUGUUAAAAAAAAAAGAGGGUACUGUGUUAAGUUCUCUAUCACUUUACUUGAAAAUGACAUGCAAAGUAGGGCAGUAUAUUUGAUGUAAUGGAAAAUUAAAUGCAUUUUCUUGUCCUUAUAGUUUCAUCAGUCUUGCAUUCAAUGCUUAGGUUUAUUUUUAUCAAUAAUUAAUUGGGAUUUUUUUCCCCAUUUAGUGCCCGAAUCCUGAUUUCAACGAACCAGAUCAUAGAUGGAGUAUGCUGCAAAGGUCAUUAGUCGAAGCAGUUGCUGAUCUGCUUACAGCUAAUGGAAGGGUAAAACUAUUUUGCAGCUCCACUUCCAUAAGGAGCUCCAUUUUAACUCUGUAGUUAACUUUCUUUCCUCCCUUCUUCACCUUUAUUUCCAUCACUGAGUAAUGACACCAUAUACUCCAUGAUUUAUACUUAAACUUAAGACUGCACAACUAGAAAAUCAAUGUAGGUCAGCUGCACCUGCAUGACAGUGAUUUGUCAGUUUAUUUGCUAAUUUCUGUUAUAUUUACUAGGUCUUUCUGCAAUCUGACAUAGAGGCCGUCUCUCUGAGAAUGAAAGAACAGUUUCAGAGAUAUGGCAAGGGUAAACUUACUGUGGUGCAUGAACAAAGUUUUGCCAUAACUAAUAGUGGGUGGCUUAAGGACAACCCGUUUGGAGUUCGAUCAGACUGGGAACAACAUGUCUUAGCUCGUGGGGACCCUAUGUACAGAUUACUGCUUUGUAAAUCAACCACUACUGAAUGAAGUUGUUGCAGUCGCCGGUGGAAGUAAAUGGGACAUCUCACUUUGCAGUGGUCCAGGGUCCUUUCUUGGUUCUGUUUCUCCAAGCAAAAUAUGCUUCAGUGGUGAUUGAUGCGGGCUGCUGCAUUUAUGAUCUUACCAAAUUAUAAAUUGGUAGCACUAGUUCCAGAUGGAUGGAAAUCUUUACUUAUGGUGGUAUGUCAGCAACAUAUAGUGCAACUGCUCUAAAACAAAGGAUGGUGGUGGGAUGAAUGGAUACAAUGUGUAGCACAUACAGUAUCGAAAGAAUGAGAGGAACAGAAUAUGUUUUGAGAACAUUACAAAAGGUUAUGAUCGAUAUCCUCCCUGGUGUCUGUAAAACAAAGGAACCAUAGAACAAGCUUCUACUGUAGCCAUCUGAAGUUUCUGUGUGUAUCAUUUUGAUCCUUAUUACUACCGUUGUAUUCAUUGUCACUUGUUUGUAACAAUUUUGGAUGUAAAUUCUGUUUUUACCAUAUAAAUGCGCUAGUUUCAGGAAAACAUUGUUUCUCUUGACGUAACCAUUCAAUUACCUCGUGUUGCUGUUCUACUGCCUCAGAAGGGACCGGCUUUAAACUUAUAAGAAGAUGAGAGGCCCCCUUGGCAAGGUUCUCUUAAACAAGGCCAAAUGGCUAAUGGAGCCCUGUUUGACAUAAUUGUAGCCUGGCCUUUUCUUUAGUGUGAGAUUAUUCCCUUUGUCUCUUUGGCUCUCUUUUUCUUUUGACAUUUCCUGUUCUCUACUCUAAAUCUAAUUCGCACACAUGGUUGAAAAGGUCUUUAAAAGUAAAUUAUGCUUCCUUCUUUCUGCGAUGCUGCCAUGAUUGAUCACCUGCAUUGCAUGCAUGUGGAAAAGUCCACUGUUGGACUUCUUUAUUGUUUGGUCUUUAGGGUUGCGUUCAUGAUGGAGAGUUAAUUAAUCACUUCGUCAAAAUAUGCAUUGGUUCAUAAAGUUGUAUAGGUAUAGUGUUUUUUUUUUUUUUUUUUCAAUGUUGGAAGAAGUUUUAGUCUUAAUAAUUUAAAGUAUGGGACAUAUAUGCCAAAUUAGGUUCCUUUGUGUCUUUGUGAUGAGGAAUAUUGUAUAAUGAUAAUACUGCGACAACAGUAAUAGUAAAUAAUUUUUCUUUUACAUACCCUAUUGAAAAUAUAGGCUUUGCGUUAGCAUUGGAAAGUUUGGGAAUAAGACGUCAAUUCAAAUUCAUCACAUGCUAUUCACAGUGAAUGCAAAGUUUGGGAAAUGAGACUUCAAAUCGAAUUCAUCACACAUGUUCAAAGUGAAUGGUUGAUUGUUAGAAGGGAAAGAAAAAUAUUAAUGGCAUAUCAUUCAUGAUUAUGAUAUAUUGGGGGCAAAGAAUCCAAAUUGAACAUUGACAUGUAUUUCAUCCAUGAGAUUGAUCUAUGCUAGGUGUAAGAGUAAUAUUUUGUACAUUGAUUGUAUCAGUAUUAUUUGUGUCAGAAGUAUUAUUUACAUUGUAUUUCAGCUCAUCAUUUACGGCCGAUAUAACUUUCUCAUAAACUAUAGCUCAAAUGACAUAAAAUCAAAUCCUAGGUUAGUUGGAUGUUUGAUAACAACCUCAAUCAUAUCAUUAUCAUAACAACCGUGUCAAUCAUUGAUAUCAUAACGAUCGUUGUUUAUGUUUUAUCGUAUCUAAUAUCUAUAUGAUCGAUUAGAUCGUUAAAAUAAAAAAAAUAACUUUUUUUUUUCCUUUUUUGAUUAGAAGUAAUAAAAGCAUCAACAAAAUUAGUCUACCUUCUACUAUUCCUAAAAAUUUAGGUCUUCAUAGAAUCACUUGAAAAGUUGUAAAAAAUUAGGUCAUGUUGAGUAACCUCUAUGUCCAAGUCCUUGCAAAAUAAGAAAAAAAACCCGUUCCCUUUGUGAUAUGAUCCCAAUAUGCCAAUAAUCCUUAUUUUUCGUCCUUUCCAGUGAAUUAACUAAUAACGCUUUUUUUCUCAAAGUAAAAUUCGUUCCUUUUUCGAACUGUAGACGUCUGUCGGAAGAUUCUAUCCGGUUUUUGUUCGCAUUUCUUCAAUCUCAGAAGCUCGUCCGUUCGAUUUUAGGGUUUUCUGGGUUCUUCGAAAUUUCUAUCAGGUAAUUUAUGAGUGCGAAUUCUCCAGAUUCAUUGAUUUAUGUGGUUGACAGAGCAUAAGUUGAUUGAUUAUUUGCUUGUGUAGUUGGAAACCCUAGCCGUCGUUUGGCUGCUGGGAAAGUUAAGAAAUUACAAUUAGGGUUUUUUUUUCAAUAUUUCUUUUGUACUUCUGUGGAUUUUUUUGAUAUGAAAAGGCUAAUUUUAACUCUACAUAUCGAGGAAAAAAAAAAGUUUUCUGAGGUAGAGUUCAGUUGAGGAGUUGUGAUUUGGAUCUAAAUUCUUGAAGAGUAUAUUCUCCAUGUCUAUUGUUGUUUUCUUGCAUUUUUUUAGCUACUGAUUACAGUUCUCUUUUAUUUUUUAUUUUGAUUACUGGAGUUCAAUUUCUUGCUUAACUUUUACUGAAUUAGAUUGUUUUUUCUGUAAGCCAAUGUAGGCUCUGUUUGCCAAACUGGAUGCUAAAAUGAUAAAGGAUUUGUUAGCAUGAGCAUGAUUUGAUAUUACUAUUUGCCCGGUUUGGAGUGCUAGAUACACUUCGGGUCUUCUAAUACAAAUUCCUUAUUCAUGUGAAUAGUUUGAUUACAUUUGUGAGCUUCAGUGCUUGUUUGAUGGAGUGCUUUUUUGUGAACUUACUUUCCAAUCAUUCUCAUGUAAAAUUUUACCCAAUCAAGGGAAAUUUGAAAAUUUAGAUCUGUUAUGUAAAUGAACUCCAAAAUGCAAUCAUUUAACAUUAUGAAGUAUCUGGAGAACCUGAAUUUGGGGUGCAUGAAUGCGCAUCUUUUGGUGCAUUUGAAUGUGUGAACACACUGAUUUGGUUGUUGCCUCCUACUAAUUUAACUUUGUGUCAAUCUACUGCAUUGCUUUUUCCAUGCUAAGCUUAAAUCCUCUUGUUACAAUUAACAGUCCGGUUUGCACCAAGUUAGAGGUCAAACAAAGUAUUGCUUGAAACCCGGAAGCUGAGAGCAUGAGCAUAUAGGUUAUGCAUUCAACAUGCAGAUAGGGUCAACAGUGAUCGUGAACUCCGAGGCACAUCCUCAUCAGGGGGGUUUCUUUGUUCAGGAUGGAGGUCCAGGUUUAGCUCCAUCCACCUCAAAUCACGUUGCACUGCAGCAGCCUGGUAUACUUUAUGCGAUCAAUUCAUAUGUCACUUACUUAUUAUGGGCUUUCUUCUGAUUAUUUUACCUUCCAAAGUACAAAUUUCCACCUUCUAAUUGUUGUGAAUUUGCAGUGAAAAAACCAACCAGGCAAUGGGCUGCUUGGACACACCAAGAGGAGGAAAGUUUCUUUGCUGCUUUACGACAAGUUGGCAAGGCAUGCUCCUGUCCUUGGUUUUUUUGGUAAUUAAAUAUUUUACACAUAAAAAUCCCUAACUGUGCUAUACUUUGCAGAAUUUUGAAAAGAUAACUUGUCGUGUUCAAAGUAAAAACAAGGAUCAGGUAUUUUCUAGAACAAUUACUUUUGGCUCUUUCCAUUCAGUGGUUGAUUGAUUCUCCUGUCAACAUCUUGAUUUUGAUUUUCUUUCUCUUUUCCCUUCAUGGUUUCCAGGUCAGACAUUAUUAUUAUCGUCUUGUGAGGCGUAUGAACAAGCUGCUGGGUCCAGGAUUAUAUUUGGAUUCCAAAAAUUCUAAAGAUACUAAUGCUGCUAUGCUUCGAUGGUAAGAUUAAUUAUCAAUCAGUUUUGUCAUUUUUCUUACCUUUGGAGAUCCUCUAAAAAGAUUGCAGCCUGGAGUUGGAUCUUAGUUUUUAACAGUUACUGUUGGGAGCAUUUGACCCAAUAUCUUUUGUAGAGAAUCUGUUGUUGAUAAUAUGGCUUAAAGACGUCAUGAUUUUUUUGUCCAAAUUGUCUUGUUAAAUAGAAAUACAAAUGCGCAGAGAAUUAUACGUUUUGUGUGACUUUUGCAGGUGGUCGUUGCUGGAAAAGUAUAGCUGCAAAGCAUCAAAGCUUCACUUGAAGCCCCGAAGAUUUAAGAUCUUUAUAGAAGCAUUGGUUAGUAAAAACAUUAAUUUUAAUCCAGGACUAUGUUCCAUUAUGUGUGUGUGUGUGUGUAUAAUAUAUAUAUAUAUAUAUUUGUUGGAUAAAGCAAGAUUUUUCAUUUAUUUGAUAGAGUAGAAUUUUACUGACCACCAAUAGCCAUGAUACACCAUUGCCUCUCAACUCAUCACUUGCCAUGUGUUAUGCUUGGGGUGGUAAAGGUGCACCAUGGUUAAUGUAGUUGAGCAAAAGUGCACUAUGUCUGAUAUUGAUAUAUUACACUGGUCUUGGACUUACUGUCAUGUUUUUUGCAUAAAGGAACACCAACUCCUGAAAGACCGGAAGAAGAGUGUUAGGAAACGGCCUUCUCAGGGGGAAAACUGCCCUCCUAAUGCUCCAAGCACAGUUUCCAAUCAGAAUAGACCAUCAGGACAUGAUAAUCGCACAGUUAAACUGGUUCUUGUUGACAGUCACAAUAUUCAGAAAUUAGGACCUGGAAAAGCGUCAUUAAAGCGCAAUGUAAAUAUAGGUGUUAAUCGUAGCAACAAAGGAGACUCAAGUACCAUGAAACCUGCUAGACAACGACGAAAACCAGGUGAUUCUUUUUGUUAGUCUAGCCACUUUUGCAUAGUCUAUCCUUUACAGAAGCUAGGGUAUGUGGUCCUUUAAUUCUAAUUUCAUCCCAUUGACAAUCUUCUCAUGUAAAGUUUAGAAUUUAAUUGCUAGUUGCUGAUUUGUCUCAGCUGUGCAAAUUGGCUUCUAAGUUCAGUGUGCUUUUCUUCUUUAUAUAUAUGCUUUAAGUGAACUGGUGUAAGAAUGAGCAUAGAUAUCUGAUGUCAGAUUUGCAUGAUUCUAGCAACCACUUAAUACAGCUGGGAAUAUUUCAAUGCAUUUGGACUUCAGAGUUUCACCCUGAUUAAAUUUUUAUAUAACUUGCUUGAAUCUUUGGAUGGUUGAAAUUACUCUAGGUUUAUUAACUUUAAGUUUUUCAAACCUAACUUGCGCCUUCGUGAAGUCACAUUGCUGUUCUUGCCUCCUUCAAACAUAGCCUCUGAUUUUAUUCUUCGCGUUUUCUUUUCCCGUGACUAAAUUGUGUUACUUGUCUUCCUAAUAAAUAAAAUAAAUUAUUUGAAGGUUUAACUUAAUUUGUUUUUUCCUGUGUUGGCUAUGGUGAACUAUCGCUUCUCAUUCCAGGUACAAUUGGUGGCAUCAGCUGCAUUUUGGUAGAUUACUUAUGAAAAUAAGCAGUACCUGAUUUUCAAAAGAAACUAGUCAACAUAUUGACAAGGAUGAAAAUAUCGGCCAAUACAUCCCUUUUUUAGGUGUCGAUACAGAUACAGGGGGGGUAAGCCUAUUUCUUCCUCCUUAUCGGUGAUAUAUCUCCGAUAACCCCCGAUACCAGACAGAUAACCCAGAAAUUUGUCUUUAGUUUUGAAAGUAAUCAUAGGUCCCAGCCACUGAAUCAAUGUCAAAAACCAAGCUCGAAUACUUAGUAGCUUCUCCUUUCUUCUCUUCCCUGUCAUUUCGGCAAUCUUUGGCUCUUCCUCCCCUCUCUCUGGUUGCUCGGUUUUUUGUGUGUUUGAUUUUAUUUUUCACCUAAUCUUCUGUCUCUCAUUUCCUUAAUCAUUAAGUCUGAUUCUUGUAAUAUAAUGUUGGGUUGGGUUAUGUUUGAAUAAUGUUGUCUUUGUUGUGUUAAGUUCUGUAUUUAUUUUCAGGAUUUUCAUCGCGCAUUAUAUACACGUACAUUUCAUCAUAUGCAUAUCUUAUACUUAGUACAUUUUGAAUUUUAUUAGUUCUAUACAGUCAUUGAUAAUGUGCUUAAUAUCUAUGAAAGUUUCACUUCAAAAUUCCGUGUUUUAAAGCCAUUAUCUGUCUUUUUUGUUGAUUUUCCCCGAUACCUAAAACGACAUCGAUAUGUCCCCCGAAACAUCCGUAAAUUGAAGGCCCGAUAAUAUCUGUAAAUCGCCGAUAUUUUCAUCCUUGAAUUCACAUAUUCUCAAUGCUAGUGCCCCUUUCAGGAAAUUUGGUAUUGGUCUGGUUACUAAUGUAUUAUUAGCAGGUGCAAUCUCGUCAGCAGCGUAUAAAAAGUGGGAAAAGGCUGCAAUUGCUGGGGUUUCUUUGGUUGCUGAUGCUGCUGAGCACCUAGAGCGGGCAAUAACUGAUAAAGAAGUUGAGCAAGACAGAAGUGCUGCAGGUGAAUCAUGUCCUUGCCAGUUCUUGGUUAUUUUUUCUUGAGUGGAUUAGACUCAAGCCAGUUGGGGAAAAUUUAUUAAUGCCAUGGUUCUUUCCAUUUUAAUUUUCAGGGCAAAGUAGCGCUGUUCCUGUUGGAAAAGUUCUGCCGCCUAUGCCCGCUUUUGUACAAAAUAUUGAUGCAGAGAGUGGCACAAACAAUUGUAUGAAACUUAAGCUCCAGUUGUUCCCAAUUGACGAUGGUACUAGAAGAGCCUUGGAAAAUGUGAGCAUUGUCGUAACUUAUAUUUUCAAAUUUGUUUUGAAAUAAAAUUUUAUCACCUGAACACUUUUCAGAGUGAUCAAAAUUUGGGUUAUUAUGGUUUCACAGGAUAAACAUAAUCCAUACUUGGAACUCACUCUUAGUACUCGGAAAAAGAUAUCAUCAGUUUUGGAUCAUCUAAAUCGCAAAUGGGGAAAUUCGAAUGUAGCAUCAGGAGAGCUAACCCUGUUCCAUUACAGUGUCCAGAGGGAUAACCUGAUGGGCUAUCCUAGAUGGACACAAGACUCAAUUGUCAGCGCGGCAGAUGUAUAUGCAACGAUUGGAUGCCCUCCAGUUUUCCGUUUAAGGUUCCUACUUAUUUUCAACUCAAAUAUAAUGUCACACACUAUAUUACUAAAUAUCAUAAAACGAGUCGCAAUAUUUCCUUGCAGGUAUGGUUGGUUCUCCAAUACUGAGCUUGGGUCUGUUGGAUUGCAAACACCUGUAGCAUCUUGCAGCAAUCAAGGUGAGCAUGAUAUUAAUGAAGAGAAGAGGAAGGAGCAGAUUGUGGAUUCAGCGCCUGUAUCUCCUCUUUCAACUGAUAAUCAGUCUGCCGAUAUCCAUAAGGAUCACUUAACUUCAACGAACAAUAGUUGUGUUCUCUCUGCACUGGCUUAUCAACAUUCUCAACCCCAACUACCCGAACGUGGUAAACCACGGUACAACCAUUCUCUUGGUUUGACUUCAGAUGAAGAGCCCAAUGAGAUAAAUGGCUACAUCUGCGCAAGUCCAAACGAUAACUUUGUGGGGGACCCUACGGAAAUAACGUCAUGGCAUAAAAAGGAGGCUGGUGAUCAGAAUACCUCAAGACAUCGGGGAGAGGUGGUAAAUGUCCUUUCUCUGCUCCAUGCUUUUAAUGUUAUUAAACUGUCAGCCCACAGGUAUGAAUGUUUGCAUAUUUUUAACUAGGGCCCAACAGAGGAACUUGCAAUUUGCUUUCUGUACUAACUGUUCCAAUCACAUAGCAUUGUCUUAUCUACCCAUCUUACUUGUACAUUAGAUGUUUCUCAAUAUGACUGUCUCCUGUUGUUUCUUGGAUAAAGCAAGAUAUAUAUAUUUUUUUUGGUUGUGUAUUAAAAUCAAUGCUUACCCUUUUUGUCCUCCUCGACUUACAUUUUCUUUCUGUAAUCUUUUGAAUGUGACAAUUGCCUUGUUCCUUAGUUUAAGAAUUUUUUACAGCUUGGCUAAAUUAGUCUUAUGAACAGAGAAUGUUUUACUUGCAUAACAAUCUGCUUUAUGCCAUCCCCACCCCCGUGGAAAAUAAUAAUAAAAGAAACUUUUUACCGUCAUGGCAACUAAUCAGAUCUCGACUGUGUUCAUAAGAAAGAUGUGAAUAACUUUACCUCUAUUUUUCAAGAACAAUUGCAAAAUGGAAGGAAUAAUGUGUGGAUGUCUUUCUUUUUGUACUUGUAUUAGUGGGAAUCUUAUUUUCUAACCCAUGGAGGAAAUUGUGCUGUAAAUGCUUUACAUAUUUUCUGGGUUACUAUCGUGCUAUUUCUCUGAACAUUAAUUUGUGUGUAUAAUAAUAGGAUGACCUGAGAUCAAUUACUGGCACUGCACUAUCAGCCGGGGUGUGGGCGGAUAGCCUAACCAACAUAAGCAUGGGAGAUCUACUUUCAGGAGUAUCUCAUGAUUUAGAUACUAACUGCAUCGAUCCACCCGUUGCUGAAGGCUCCCAAUGCCUUCAGCAGAUCCCAUUUAGCUGUGAUUCGUUUGAUGCUGUAAUUGCUGCUCAUAUUUCUAGACAGAACAAGACGGGAUGCCAACCUACUAUGGAAUGUCAUGUAUCUUCCAUCUGGGAUGCUGAAGAAACAUGUGAUGCUUUCUCAUUUCAAAAGAAUUCUGUUUUCUGUCAAGAGGUUUCCAGUUUAUCUGCUGUUGCUCCUCCAGGGGCCUGCAAACAAACAGCUGUUGCAAGCUCAGCGGGCUCUGAUUGCAUGGUUGAGGUAUCAUUUCACAAUGUAUAAUUUUUUUUAUUGAAGCACUCAUGUGACUGAGAAAUAGGAAUAGUUGCUUGCAUUGUCAAAAUGCUUGUAAUAAUAUAAGUUUCCUGCAGGAGAUACCUGUAGUAGAGAGGCCCAUUGAUGAUCCCCCUCGAGGUCCUAUAGAUGAAUGUCAGUCUGAUCCACGUAUCCUUGAGAGUUCAGUAAAAGAUUUCAAUGCGUUAACAGAUAUAUACUGGGUAUGUUUCUUUUUCAGCAUUUUAUGUCUUGAAAGUUGAAUCUCCAUGACCCUCAUAUUUCUUGCUGGGUCCUGCUGAAAUCUGCUCCUGUUGUUUCAUCUAUGAAGCAGAGUCAUUUAAACUUUUAUGUAACAAGUUCGUUUAUAGGUUCCUUGACAUCCUUUUUAAUGGAGCUAAUGGAAUUAUAAAUAUAUUUUUGUAUAACAAGGAAUUAUAAAUCUUUUUAAAUGGGAAUUGUGUGUUAACAAUAUAUUUGUUUAUUUUCAGCAAUUUUUUGUGGAUACUUCUGAUUUUUAUUUUCCUUUCUUUGCAGCCUGAAUCUUUAGGACCAUUAGAUUUGGAGAUGCCAUCUUCUAAAUACCAUAGUGAAGAUUUUGUUCUGAGUGAUAGUCUUAGUGGGUUGAACCGCCUUAUUGCCAGCAGUCUCGAUGCAUUUCAAAAUUGCUCCUUUUUUGGGGCGAACAAGAGAGAACCAACAGCAUCAGUUGAAGCUCGAGAAACGGCAUCCUUUUCAGAUUUUAAAAUUGGCAAUGGUGUUUGAGAUCUGCCAAAUGUUGGGGCUUCAAUUGUAGUACAGUGACUAUAACAUUUUCCUAAUGGCGGGGCUUCAAUGGGAGUUCAGUGACUAUAACAUUUUCUCAGUUUAGCUCUGACGUGAGGAUUGCAUGCCAAAGGUGCCCCUGCGAGCCCAAACGGAAUUCGAGCUUUCGUGUGUACAAUUCUCUGAUCAAAGGUUUUAAUUUGUACAAAUGUAGACAAAUUGUAUUUCGGCUUUUUAUUUGUUACUUCUUUUGUAAAUUGUGUAUUCCAGCUGAUGUAUGACCUCUACAACCUGACCGCAUAAAUCGGGUUUCAGAUACCCUGAUGUUGUCGAGUUAUUUGUACAUUCUUUCUUCCUCAAUGUUUAUUCCGUUUAUGCUGUCGAUUUUGUUGGCUGUCAAUUUGUGUUUCUUGACCAAACCAAGAAAAAUGGUCACAUUGGAUUCUAUGAUAAUUUGGAUUAUUUUUUAAUUGAGACUUGAGAGGUUUUAAAUGUCCUGACUAGUUGAAAAAUAACAUGACUAAAGUCACAGGGAGAUGAAGUGCUACAGCAUAAUGGAAUUGUGGAAGCAUGAAGACCCUAAUGUGCUAAUGCAUAAGAGAAAAAGAAAGUAUUAUUGGAAAAUAAGUACGUGUAUAAUAUUAGUAUUAAAUGAGAAAAUGUUAAAUUCUUUAUACGAAUAAUAACUUUGGAAAAUUAAAAAAACAAAAGGGGACAAUAGAGACUCCGGUAAUGGCCUAAUAGUAAUUAAUAAUGCUUUAAACUUCUUUUAUCAAUAAACGAAAAUCAGGGGGAAAAAAAUGAAAAAAGGACUAGCCGCGCGGCUAUACUAUUAAUUUAAAAAAAGUACAUAAAAAAAAAAAAGACCCGCCUAGCAAUUGAGCGCCCGAAUCUUCUUUUUUCCCUAGCGUAAUACCAAGGCCUCUUUCUAUCUACAGAUCUAUCUUGUUCUACUCCAAGGAUUUUGAUAUUCUCAAGUCCUAGGUACACUGAAAUCAUCUUCAUUGUAUAGUUUAAUAAUUUUUAAUAUAAAUUUUUUUAUUCAAUAAUAUGUAAAAAUUAUGUGUAUAUUAUUUGAAUUUUGUGUGUAUUAUUCUAAAUUUUGUAAAAACGCAUGUAUUAAACAUGAAAAAUACGUACGUACGUGUACAAUAUGUGUAUUGUACAUUUGCUUUUUAAAAAACGUGUCUUCUACAGAAUCUUUAAGACGUGUAUGGAAAAUGAAAGUAUCAUCGAAAAUUAUGUAUUUGUAUAAUACGAGUAUUGACUAUAAGAAAAAACCUUUUCUGUGACCAACGCAACUUCGGUCACCCAAUAGUGUUAUUAGCGAGGACAUUUUGUAAUUUUAUCGCCAAAAGUUUUGUGAGAUUUAGGCAUGGGUUAAGACUUCAACCAACCAACCACAAGGUGUGGUGCGGUUGAUAAACUGCCACCUCCAGCUCUGGCGAGCUAUUGGUUUUAGUGUAAAAUACGAUUUAGGCUAAAAAUGAUGGGUCAUUAAGUCAAUAUAUACUUCAUACUAAAAUCCUAUAAAAUCAAGUUUUCUUAAUUGAUGUGUAAGGAAUAAAAGCCGAAAAAAAAUUAUCUUGAGAAAAUGAUUAUUCCGAAAAAUCAUUUUUCUUACUUAGUCAACAUUUUUACACAAAAUAUUUUUUCAUGUAUGAUAUGAAUGCAUUAAGGGACCUAAGGUUUUUUUUAAUUUGUGAAAUUUUGAUUUUUUUUUUCUUUCUAUUGGGUUUAAUGGGGGAAAAAGCUUUAAAGAUAUUUGCUAAAUCGCUACUCUUUGUCUAUCUCUUGCAAUUUUUCUUGCUUAGAAUGUAUUUGUCUAUCCCUUUGUCGAGGACAAUUAUGAUUGCAACCAAUAAGCAAUAUAAUUCUUGAUAAGUGAUAUAUAUAUAUAUACACACUAUUUUUCGUAUGUAUUGUGAAUUCGAAUUUUUGAUUCUUUAUAAUUUGUAAGUGCCCCCCACACACAUGAAAUCUUGACUUCGCCACUAGCAGGGGUUAGAAACCAGUUGGAAGCAUUUUGUGGCCAUGGGCAAGCCGAGCCCCUGGGGACACCUCGUGGUAUUUACCACCAAAAAAAAAAAAAAGACUUCAACCAACUGAUUGGCGACAAAAUCUUUUCGAAGGGUGAAAAAAAUAUUUCGACGUUGUUUAAUGAAUUUGCGACCAAAUGCAAUUUUGGUAGCCCCAUUUUCAAUUUUGUUAGGGGUAGUUUAGUCACUUUUUGUUUAGAAAAGAUUUUGGGGAAUUGAGAAGCACCAUUGAGUAGAGCUCGUUGAAAAAAAUUCGUAGACUGGCGGUCAAUUUAAAACAGAGGAGUUAUGAUCUACGGAAGUGCAGUGGCACAAUUGUAAUUUUUACAAAGUUAAAUUUUUAAAAAACUGAUCAGUGUUGUAAACUAAAUAGAUUAUGGAGAGAAUUGAGAUGGAGAGAAGGCAUAGAAGCCUAAUAUUUUCAUUGAAUGUUUUCUCUGUACAUUACAAGUGAGGAUGAAGUCUUAUUUUAUAGGCAACAAAAUCUGGUAGUGUUAUUGCCUCCUGUGGAUAUGUGAUUGGCUCUCAAGCGAUGAUGGCAAACAAGCUUCAUCAUUUCUCUUCAAUCAAUUAGGUAGUGGGCUCUACCAUUUUGGGAUCCAUCCUUGACUUUACAACACUCCCCCUUGGAGACCACAAAUGGUAUGGAAUAUGCCUCGUUAAAAAACCCUGCCAGUAAAAACCCAGUGGGACAAAAACUGGUCGAAGAGAAAAAGAGUACAUAACCAUGUGUAACAUAAAAUUCUGUGCAUAUUGACACGCGUGCGACACUGCCUCGUUAAAACCUUGCCAGAAAAAAUCCAAUGGGAUAAAAACCUAGACGAAGGAAAAAGAGUACAGUGUGUGAAGAUCUUUAUUGACAGCACGCUCCCCCUGAUGCUUGGCAAAAUAUCUUUAAGCCAUACUGUUGAUCAUCUUUCUUAAUAUCAGAGUUGACACUGCUUCUGUGAGUCAAUCUUGAGCGACACUGCCUCGUCAAAACUUUACCAAGAAAAAUCAAGUGGGAUAAAAAACUGGAUGAAGGAAAAAGAGUACAGUGUGUGAAGGUCUUUAUUAAUACCACGCUCCCUCUGAUGAAUAUCUCCCCCUAAAAACUUCAUGAUUAGCUUUUCCAGUAAGCGACCAUAGAAAUUUCCAGAGUCCGCAUAUCUAAUUACACUUGGGCUAUUUGUAAGUUCACUCAAAAAUAUGCUCGUAUAUGGUGUUAUGCUGAGAUAGCAUCAAAUAUGCCUCACAUCAUCCCAAAAUGAUGGUGAUGAAGUUGAGCUCUAUCUGGAAAAUACGAUGUCCGGUCCAAUAUACUUCCAGAAAAUCCUUAAAGUGUCCAACGAAUAAUCCUCAUAAAAAUGCUUCAAUACUUUCUUCGUAUAAGCAAGAAUCUCGUUGGCAUAAUGCUCGAUUUUUAAGUCGAGACAAAUAUUUUUUGAACUCUUCAAAAGCUUUAAUGUGUUGCAAACACAUUAUAAUCAAUAUACUUACUGAGGCAAUUUAUGCACAUUAACAUUGAGUACAAAUUUUGUGCUUCAGGCACAUGUCCUUCAGGGACUUGCUUCAUGCAAUUUCAUCCUUUCAAGGAUUUUGUUUAAAGGGAUUAAACUUUAUGACACAUUAUAUAGCUUUAAUCCAGCUAUUUAUACAUCUUUAGGGAAUCGCUUAUGGCGAUAGCUUUAACCCUUAAAGAUAAUAUGUUGGUCUCCGUAAUUGUGCGGUAAGGGGGCACAAUUGAAUUUGUAAAUAUGGAAAAACCCAAUAUUCCUUGUUUAUGCCAGAGACAUUAUGUCAUACAAAAUAGGUAUAUUCCCUUUUAUUCCGAACACCCAAGUAUAACUUUCAGUAUUAACAUCUUUUGGGGUUCGUACUGUGGGUUUGUUCUUUCACGUUCAUUCUCAUCUAUAAUGGAAUUACCUCAUUCCAUUUUGGCCAAUGAUAUUGUCGACAUUUAAUAAUUGAACGUGGUUCCAAUCAACACAGCCCAUUGAUGAUUUGAGUAGCUACUCUAAAAUCAAAAAUUGUCAUUCAUCAAUUCAUGAUCUCAUUAUUCUCAUUUGCAUGCGCACGCAUCAAUUAUAAGUAUUUCUUUGCUUUUGGGUACCCAAGCCACUUCAAGGGGCUUUUAUUAUGUGAGAAUGUGGAUUAUAACCUCCAAUGGAGCGUUAUUUUACAGUAGGGCAUGGAUAAUCUCUAUUUAGGGAGUUGGAACAUUUAGAACCCAUAUAUCUGUCAUGUUGCAGGCAUGCCACAGAUUAAUACAUACAUGUCAAUUAAUUUCUGGGACUUUAACCCAUACAAUUUGCUACACAUUAGGCGUGCACAAUAUCAAUAUUGACAUGUCAAAGGUGUUGGCGUGACUUGUGGAUAUUGGCUUACUUUCCUUACACACAAAAAAUUCCUAUUAUAAUUGUAAUUGAUUUACUUUAAUUCCUGAUUUCCUACUGUAAAUAGAUUUAGGAAUUUAUUAUUUACUUGCCCAUUCAGAUUUCGUUGUAUUAUAAAUAUGACCUCCUACAAGGAGAAGAAUACACAGAAAAUUCCCACAAACAAAUAUUCUAUUAUAGUUUUCAUAUUUUAGCAUGGUAUCAGAGCUGCGAUCUUGGAAUUGCUGACUCUAGUUUCAAACUCCCGCCGCCGCUAUGGGGGUUGAUGAUUUUUUCAACCCUCGUGGAGGUAGCACCACCGACUCCUUCUCUCAUUCUCAAUCAACCAUCGUUGAGUUGAGUGCUCAGAUGGCUUCGCCCCUAUAGAUGUAGACUUUGACCCCGAACUCGAUCCAGAAUCAGGAUCCUCUUUUGACGACCCCGACCUCGACCCCGACUAUGACGACGACGACCCCGACCUCGAAUCCGGAUACGACCGCGACCCCCACUCCGAUCAUGACCCCAACCCCGAAUUUGUCUAUGAUUCAGACCCCGAUCCCGAUUUCGACUCCGACUCCAGCCCCGACUCAGGCUCAGAUUCUGAUCCAAAUUCCUACUCAACCUGUAUCCUGUGCAUCUUCCGCUGCACAGAUUAUGACUUCUAGACUAACGACCCAGACACAUGGACCAAAUUGCGCAUAUUAUGGUGAUCCGAGACACACUUGUGAGACUUGUUUUAAAUCGCAUGGCUACCCCGAUUGGUGGGCUAGUCUUACAGAUCGAGGACAAUGCAAUAUGACCAGUAAUGGUACUGGUUAUGGAUUUCAUACUUCCGAUAAGAUUGAUUCCAAGAGCUGGAUAAUUGAUUCUGGUGCAACUGAUCAUAUGACGUUUGACCCUGAUGAUUUUUUGAAUACUACACAACCUCGACGAACCUGUAUUGCAAAUGCCAAUGGUGUUACUUAUCCUGUGACAGGGGCUGGCACUGUUGCACUCUCAUCCUAUCUCACCCUGUCUAAUACUUUACUUGUUCCAUCUUUAUCCACUAAAUUGUUGUCAGUUAGUCAGCUUACUGAACAAUUGAAUUGUUGUGUACUCAUUUACCCGAGUUUUUGUUUGCUUCAGGAUAUUCACACUAAGGAGAUUCUUGGUCGUGGUACUAAGAGAGGGGGGCUAUAUUAUGUUGAUGACUUCAGUCUCGGCGUGGCUAACAGUGUGACACAUCCCUUGGAUAGCAAACAAAAGCAAAUCUGGUUGUGGCAUCGUCGAUUGGGACAUCCGUCUUUUAGUUAUAUGAAGCAUCUUAUACCAGAUUUAUUCUCAGGUUUCAAAGACUCCGACUUCACAUGUGAUACUUGUAUUUUGGCCAAGAGUCACCGUGUGCCCUACCCGUUGAGUACGAACAAGUGUACUACUCCAUUUACGUUAAUUCACUCUAAUGUCUGGGGACCUUCGCCUAUCACUACUCCUUCUGGUGUUCGAUGGUUUGUCACAUUCAUCGAUAAUUGUACACGGAUGACAUGGCUUUAUUUGCUGAAGAAUAAAAACGAAGUGUUUUUCCGUUUUCAGUCCUUCCACAAACAGAUGAAAACUCCGUUUAAUGCUCAAAUCCAGAUUCUUCGCUCAGACAAUGGUGGAGAAUUUGUCAAUCAUGACUUUCAGACUUACUUCCAACAACAUGGAAUUAUCCAUGAGACGACUUGUCCUGAGACACCACAACAAAAUGGUGUGGCUAAACGAAAGAAUUGACAUCUUCUUGAAACCGCCCGAGCACUUUUGAUUGGCGCUCAUGUUCCUUGCCAUCACUGGGAUGAUGCUAUUGUCACUGCAGUUCACCUGAUUAACCGCAUGCCUUCUGGUGUAUUGACCUUUAAAACUCCCUUACAGGUGCUUGCGCAACACAGACCUCUGCCCUCUGUUUUGGUACUCACACCCCGAAUCUUUGGAUGUGUGGCUUUCGUUCAUCUCCACAAAAAUCAACGUAGCAAACUUGAUCCCUGUGCGCUUCGUUGUGUUUUUGUGGGUUAUGCCACUCAUCAGAAAGGUUACCGUUGUUAUCACCCUCCUACCCAACGAACCUAUGUCACUUUGGAUGUGACCUUUCUGGAAUCUGAGCUGUUCUUUCAUUACCCAUCAUCCAAUUCUGCGCUUCAGAGGGAGAUACGAAGUGAAGAGCAGAAUUGGAGCAACUUGGAAAACAAAGAAAUUCUCCUAUGUACAGAAAUGAUUGAUCAUCCCGAGUCUGGAGCACGAGAUUACUCUCUGUUGAAAAGCGACCAAUCGCCCAUUCAUAGCGAUCAAUUGCCUGACCCACCUGAUCCAUGCGAAGAUAUUUCUGAUCCAAGUCUCAUACCUGCAGACAAUACAAAACAACAAGAUGAAGACCCCAUUCUAACUCAACGUACCAACAGACCAAUCUCCUGAGAAUAUCCUUGAGGUAACUACUCCUACUAGACUUGUGCAUUUAGAUGAUAAAACUAUUGGAUAUCAAUUACCUUUCAGGCAAAAUCGUGGGAAGCCACCAAACCGUUAUUCACCUGAUAUUGGCAAGACAUCCAAGUAUCCAAUUGCAAAUCAUGUAUCCACUGAGAAGCUGUCUGAACCACUCAAGGCUUUUGUGCAUCAGUUGUCUGCUAUCCAUAUUCCAACCAAGGUUUCUGAAGCAUUGAAAGAUCCUAAGUGGGUUCAAGCUAUAAAAGAGGAGAUGAAAGCUCUUGAGAAAAAUCAGACUUGGACAUUGGAGACUAUACCACGAGGAAAAAAGACUAUCAGAUGUAGAUGGGUGUUUACUAUAAAACACAAUGCAGAUGGAUCUAUCGAGUGAUACAAGGCAAGACUUGUGGCAAAAGGGUACACACAGACCUAUGGUAUAGACUAUGAAGAAACUUUUGCACCAGUUGCAAAGUUAAACACCGUCAGAGUCUUAUUGUCCCUUGCAGCUAAUUUGGAUUGGCCACUACACCAGUUUGAUGUAAAAAAUGCUUUUCUACAUGGCGAACUCACGGAGGAGGUGUACAUGGACAUUCCUCCUGGAUAUAAUACUAUUCAGACUGGAACAGUUUGCAGGUUACGAAAAGCAUUGUAUGGAUUGAAACAGUCACCACGUGCAUGGUUUGGACGGUUCAUCAUGGCAAUGAAGAACAAUGGUUUCAAACAGUGCAACUCAGAUCAUACUCUGUUCUUGAAACAUCGAAAAGGGAAGGUAACAGCAUUAAUAAUCUAUGUUGAUGAUAUGAUUAUUACUGGGAAUGAUAAACAGGAAAUAUCACAGCUACAAGACUAUCUGGCUACGGAGUUUGAGAUGAAGAAUCUAGGUGGACUCAAGUAUUUCUUGGGAAUUGAGGUGGCUCGAUCGCAGCAAGGCAUAUUUCUCUCUCAAAGGAAAUAUGUCUUGGACUUGUUGACAGACACAGGAAUGCUAGAUUGUAAACCUGCGGACACUCCUAUUGUUCAGAAUCAUCAUCUUGGAGAAUAUCUGGAUCAAAUUCCAACUAACAAAGAAAGAUACCAAAGGUUAGUGGGAAGAUUGAUCUAUUUGUCACAUACUCGACCAGACAUUGCUUAUGCGGUGAGCGUUGUCAGUCAAUUUAUGCACUCUCCAAGUGAAGACCACAUGAAUGCAGUUCUUCGGAUACUUAGAUAUUUGAAAUCUGCACCUAGAAAAGGACUUAUGUUCUCAAAGCAUGGUCAUCUAAAUAUUGAUGGUUAUUCAGAUGCAGAUUGGGCAGGUAAUGUAACAGAUAGAAAAUCCACAUCGGGUUACUUCACAUUCGUGGGAGGUAAUUUGGUGACAUGGAGGAGCAAGAAACAGAAUGUAGUAGCUUUAUCCAGUGCAGAAGCCGAGUUCAGAGGCAUGACUAAAGGGAUUUGUGAACUUCUUUGGUUAAGAAAGUUGCUUAUUGAACUCGGGUAUAAACCUACAUCCACAAUGAAUCUCUUUUGUGACAACAAGGCUGCUAUAGCUAUUGCACAGAAUCCGAUUCAGCAUGAUCGUACUAAACAUGUUGAGGUGGAUCGACACUUCAUCAAACAGAAGCUUGAGGCUAAAGUGUUUCAGUUUCCUUUUGUGAAAUCCGAGGAUCAAUUGGCAGAUAUUUGACAAAGGCGAUUUCCAGUAAAGCAUUCCACAAUUCACUGGAUCAGUUGGGCAUUGGCGACAUCUAUUACACACCAAAAAUUCCUAUUAUAAUUGUAAUUGAUUUACUUUAAUUCCUGAUUUCCUACUGUAAAUAGAUUUAGGAAUUUAUUAUUUACUUGCCCAUUCAGGUUUCGUUGUAUUAUAAAUAUGACCUCCUACAAGGAGAAGAAUACACAGAAAAUUCCCACAAACAAAUAUUCUAUUAUAGUUUUCAUAUUUUAGUAAAAGGAUUGUCCUUUCGGGACUUCAAUCCACAUCAUUUGCUACGCAACAGGCGUGCAUCAUAUUGAUCACUGCUAUACCCAUAUUCUGUUCUUAUGGGACUUUAAUCUGUGCAGUGUAUUAUCAAUGUAUCCAACUUGCAAUCUGUGAAAUUUGCAUUAAUAAUUCACGGAUACAUACAAGCCAUUCUUUUAGAACGGACUUAUCUCCCCAUUUGGUUACCUUUCAAGAUAAAAUAUCAAAUAAGUAUAAUAGCAUAAAAUAACACAAGUAUUGCUUACAUCCUUAGGGGGGAGAAACUUUUCUCAAGUAUCAUUCAAGCUCGUAUCGGCCCAGUAAAUAUAAUGUAGCUCUUGAUGAUCUAGUUAUAUCCUGCAAGAGCAAAAAUCACAAUUCUUCUCUCUGUCAAAAACAAAUAACCCUCAGAGUUAGGAUCACUACAUGGAUUCUUUCUUCGGAUGUUCGUUCUAAAGAAAUAAAAUCCCUUAUGAACAGAUAGUUAUAAAAAGAAAGAAAAGAUACAAAAAUUGUGAUAUUGAUUGCAAGGUAAGGUAAGCAAUCAGGUGAGGAAGCUGAUGAGAGCAGACAACAAACUCUCAUUUCUCCUAGUCUAGAAGAACUUCAGGAGAUUAGAGCAUGUGGUCGCCUUCACAGUUCCCCGAUGUAGCAGAAACGUGAUCAGGGAUAGUCUUGCUUCCUGAAUAGAUGAUCAGAGAUAGUCUUGCUUCUUAAGCACAUUGAGUGCUCGCUGAUAUGAAAAAUAAGUGGAUAUCGCAUCUCUCGAUCUGCAAAGAAAAUUUCGUUAGCAACACAUUUAUAUACAAAUACAAGGAAUAGGUAGAACCGGUGAAUUUCAAAUUAACUAUAGGAAAAUUACGAGAUUCUCGGGGUACUUUUGAAAAAGUAGCUCCGUGAAAUCCAUAAAGCAAGAUCGGCUUUGACGAAAAUAAUACUUGAAAAGGCCGAAAGUGCCGACAAACAUUAAUGGAGGCCGCGUGAAGUUUUGGAAUCUGGAAAAGAAAAAGAGAAUAUGGGGAUCUGAGAUAAUAUUGGGAUCCUGGAAACUGUAGCCAUAUUUCCUCCUAUAGAUAUUGCCUUUGCAAAACUUGAUUGGAGCAACUGCGUUUCAACUCAACUUCCUUCAUUUUCUGAAACUUUAGUUUUUUCUAAGACUUUCUUCUAAACCUUCUUAAAAUGGCUUCCUCUUCUUCCUGCCCAAAUUAUUUCAAUUUAAAUGAUGCUCCCACACCAACCAGUGACGCCAAAGUUUGGCGUCCAUCCUUUGUAUCCCAAAAUCGUCAUCCCACAGUUAAUAAUUCUGUGAUGAUGAAUGAUGCUACUGCUGUCAUAGUAGCUAGGAAUUUCAUUACUCCAAUGGAUGAAAUACUGUUAACAGGGAGGUCUGAGGAAGAGGCUAUUGAUGACUCAAUGACUUCUAGCAUUCAGAGUGCUGCUUCUGUUUCUAACAUGGCUGAUCGUUUGCGUGCCAGAGCAAACGAGGUUCAGAAGCUAACAACUGAAAAUUCGUCUUUUCAAAGAAUGCUUCAUGAGUCUCAACAGGAGGUUGAGAAACUUAAAAGAGAGAAUAAUGCCUUGUUGAAACUGGUGAGUUCGUACUCCGUUGAUACACUGAGAAGGCUAGACAUGCUGCAGGUCUCCAAUGAAAGAAUUUUGGGAGACCACGAGAGUCUUAUGGCUAAGCUUAAGAGGCGCCGUCCUCUUCCUUCAGAGGCUUCCAGAACAUGAUGUAAUUUUAUAGAUUUUACAGGGCCUGCACCUUCAUUGCAGGUGGAAAAAAUUUAUCUGUUGUAUGCUCCUUUCCUGUUAUAAUUAUUGCGCACAUUCUUAAACUUACACCUGUGGUUUUUACGUCUUUUCAAAAUGACGGUUUGGAACCUUGUGUCUUAUAGGUUCAAGUAACCACAUCAAAUCUCUCAAAUUACAUAUUUUCAUGCAUUUGAGCUCGGAACUUUUGGUCUGGGUUAAACACAAACUCAUAAUUUAUUCGCCCUUUUCAAAUGGACAUGAAAUAUGGAUUGAGUAAAAGCCAUGAUAAUAUCGCAAUAUAGUAGUGAAGAGCAUUAACUACUAUAUACCCACAACCUCCAGUUCGGGAUCUCUCAUAUAUCUGGAUCCAUGGGCUUCCAGCCCAGAUAUAACAAAAUAUGUGGGGAGCCUCAAUUCAUCAUUUGAGGUUUAUACUGAUAUUAUCCAUUUCACGGUGUAUUCUUAACAACCGGAAUUCACAAAAUAUAUUUCUUCCUUGAGGUGUCGAUUAUAACAUAAUCGAACUUUAUUAAAUUCAUCAUUCUCUUAUGCCAAAGAAAUAUAUGGUGUACCAUAAUUUGCAAUAAUACCUCAAGGGUUGUUCAUUUAACUGUUGGAACUUUAGGUUCUCAACACUGUUAGAUUUUGAACUUCAGGCCAAAAUCACAUAUUCUCAUGGUAUGGACAUUUUAAAAAUUUUCUAUACAUAUUUCGGGACUUCAUGCCCUUACAUAAUUGUCCAUAUUUUGAGGAACUUCUAGCAUCUCAUUUAAUUGCUCAUUCAUGAGUUUAAGGAACUGCAGGUUCCCUUUUGUAUAUAGUGACGGUUUACCCAAAAUGGUUAAUAUUUAUGCAUACGUCACUAUUCAUGUAUCCGAUACUAUUCAUCAAGUCAUAAAUACGUAUCUAUUCAUGUGUACAGUACAUUUGUCAGUACAGUUAUUAUCCAUGUGUACGGCACUAUUAACCAAUACGGUACUGUUACAUCAUUAAGGAACCCCAGGUCCUUACUUACAUGUCAAGGAUCAAGGACCCUCAAGUCCAAUCACAUGUUUUCAAAUAUAGUACCAGAGAGACUGUCAGCUCUCAUACCAAUAUCAUCAUCAAGGAUCUUCAAGUCCUGAUGUAAUUGUAUGAUGAGGAUCAAGGAACUUCUGGUCAUGAUCUGUAUACUGAAAAAACUCAUCAUACCACACAAUUAAUCCAUAAAAUAAAUUGCUUAUAAAUAAAUUACUGGUAUGGACGAUAAACCCGCACCAUACUUUAAAUAAAUGUAAAUGUGCGGUAAAAUAAAUUCAUAAAGUAUGAGGGUUAAUUCCACAUCAUACUUUAAGUAAAAGUAAAUUUGCGAUAAAGUAAACGUGCUUGUAUGGGCACUAAUUCUGCUCUAUACAUUUAAAUAAAAGUAAAGGCAUGGACGAUAAACUCACGCUACCCUUUUAAAUAGAUACUGUUGUAUGGGUAAUAAACCUACUUCAUACCAUAAAUAAAAUAAAUGUGAAAAUAAAAUCGCCACUAAAAAUAUAGGAGGUGAAACCAUCCAUAAUAUUAUAUAUAUUAUUAUACUAUAUGUUCUUAUACUAAUAUAUAAUAAGAAAAAUAAGGAAAGUGAUUAGUGGAAUAUCACGCAUGCUCCAGGCUUUCAAAUCAGUUGCUUUUAUCCUGUCCCAAAGCCAAUUACUUUCUUAUUAUUAUAAUAUAUUAAACCAAAGUAGCUUUCCAACGUAGUUUUGUGCUGGUUUGAAUCCAUGCCCCUCAUUUUCCACUGCCACCACUGUACCUGCACCAAUUGGCUUAUUAAAUACUGUAGAGAAAUAAUAAAGUAAUAGAAAGCAUAAGGGGCAGAGGGCUUAUUGGAUUUUUAUUUAUUUUUCUUUCUUUCGGUGGGUUUGCUGUUCUCAAAACAGGCUUUAGCACUUCUCCUUUCUGAUAUGGUGCUGCUCUGGGAUCUCCAUAGACAUGGGCUCGAAGCCUCUUGUGCACCCAUACUCAAUUAUAGUGGCUUAUUGCUAGCUCACGUGGUGUUCUUUUUGCCAUUCUGUUUCCACACCCAUCAAUAUCUGGAGAAAUUAAACUGAUUGGUUGCUCUAAUGUGCUAGGAGCUGGAGCCGCUGAUACAAACUUGGGUGUUGCCGACAUAGGCAAAAGCGCAGCUACCGGAAUAUUCCUCUGGUUCCGGACCCUCACGGCCCAAACAAUGUACGGAUCAGCAAUUAUGGUGCUCACCGGCGUCCACGAACCCAGAAAAUUCUUUUGCUCGGACGAGCUCGGAGUAGCGUGGCAAGUCGGAUGUUGUCAGGUUUCGGGUCGGAUCCGAUGAAGCCGUACCACUCCUUGGUGGCAACGAAGGUGAUGAGGGGUGUGUUGUCGGGUUUCUUUGAGGAUAGGAGUUUGCAGAGGUUCAUCAUGGGAUUGAUGUGGCCUCUGCCGGAAUAGGGUAGCGCCACCACGUGACAGACUGAGAUCAGUUCAUGAUGAUGAUGGGGAAGAAGAAAAAAGGAAUAAGAGAUCUGGGUUUCAUCAGGGAAUUCAGCUGGUAUAUUUGAGAGCGAAUUCGUGCUGAUAAUGUGUUGUAAACUAAAUAGAUUAUGGAGAGAAUUGAGAUGGAGAGAAGGCAUAGAAGCCUAAUAUUUUCAUUGAAUGUUUUCUCUGUACAUUACAAGUGAGGAUGAAGUCUUAUUUUAUAGGCAAUAAAAUCUGGUAGUGUUGUUGUCUCCUGUGGAUAUGUGGUUGGCUCUCAAGCGAUGAUGGCAAACAAGCUUCAUCAUUUCUCUUCAAUCAAUUAGGUAAUGGGCUCUACCAUUUUGGGAUCCAUCCUUGACUUUACAACAAUCAGCUCCUUUCUCUCUUAUUUUUUUUCUCUCCUCUCCCGACUCUUGUUUCUCUCUCUUCGUGCAAACCGGCUAACCACUUUGGCUAGUGAUUUCUGUCAACUCCGGUGACCGUUUCAGGCGAGACUGGUCCCAAAAUCUUCAUCUUGAUGUCCUUUUCGAAGCUAAAAAACCCAAGAAUUUUGGAUUGGAACAACGUCAAGUUUCGGCUGAAACUUCCAUCGUCGCCAUCAACAUUUCUGGCCGCCUCAGCUGCGCCUCCACCUGGAUCGGGUUCGUCUCCUCUCCCUCUUGCUUUCCUAGAGGUUUCGCAACCUCAUGGUUGGGCAUAGAGGCUGGCCUGAGCUCAAGAAAAAUGCCACUUUUUGCCCGUGAUUCACCUAGUUCCGGCCACUUUUCGGCCAGGGUCCGAAAACAAAAAACGAUCCCCUAGGUGUGCUGGUUCUAUGGUAGAAAGAUUGGUCGAUAGUUUGAAGAUUUUCCGUCGCCGAAAAAUCUCUCAAUCCACCCAUCGCUGUCGACCUGCACGGCCCAUAAAAUUUCGGCUCGUCGAGUAAAAACCCAGCUUGCAUGUCAUAGCCCUGCCCAUAAACUAAAGUCUCCUGCGUGAAUACCCAUUAAACGGGAAAAUGCUAAAUUCUUUAUACAGGUAAUAACUUUAGAAAAGUAAAAAAAAUUAAAAGGGGACAAUAGAGACUGGGGUAAUUGCCUAAUAAUAAUGGAUAAUGCUCUAAACUACUUUUAUCAAUAAACGAAAAUCAGGGAAAAAAAUAAAAAUAAUGAAAAAGGGGCCCAAGUAUAGCCGCAUGGCAAUACUGUUUAAAUAUAAUAUUCAGAGAGUAUAGCCGUGCGGUGGUACUAUUUAAAUAUAUUAUUCAUAGAGUAUGGCGUGCGGCUAUACUAUUUAAAUAUAAUAUUUAACGAUUAUAGCCUUGCGGCUAUACUAUUUCUUUGGAAAAAAAGAUUAUAUCAAAAAGGGAACCUCCUAGUUAUUGGGCGCCCGAAUCUUCUCUUUUCCCUAGCGUAAUUCCAAGGACUCUUUCCAUCUACAAAUCCAUCUUUUUCUACACCAAGGAAUUUUGAUAUUCUCAAGUCCCAGGUACACUGACAUCAUCUUCAUCGUACAGUUUAAUAAUUUUUAAUAUAUUUAAAUAAUUUUUUAAUAAUAUGUGAAAAUUUUGUUAAAAACACAUAUAUUAAACAUGAAAAAUGCAUACAUACGUGUACAAUAUGUAUAUUGUACGUUUGCUUUUUUUAAAAACGUGUAUUUUAUCGAGUCUUUAAGAUGUGUAUGGAAAAUGGAAGUAUUAUUGAAAAAUGCAUACAUGUAUAAUAUAAGUAUUAAACGGGAAAAAUGCAAAAAUCUUUAUAUGGAUAAUAACUUUGAAAAAGUAAAAAAUCAAAAGGGGACAAUAGAUACUCGGGUAAUGGCCUAAUAGUAAUGGAUAAUACUCUAAACUACUCUUAUCAAUAAACGAAAAUCAGGAAAAAAUUUUAAUAAAAAUGAAAAAUGGACCAUAGUAUAGCCAGGCGGCUAUACUAUUUAAAUAUAAUAUUUAAAGAGUAUAGUCACGCAGUUGUACUAUUUAAAUAUAAUAUUCAUAGCGUAUAGCCGCGCAGCUGUAAAAUUUAAAUAGAAUAUUUAAUGAGUAUAGCCGCACUAUUUAAAUAUAAUAUUUAACAAGAUUAUAAAAAAGAAAAAGGACCCUCCUAGCGAUUGGGUGCCCGAAUCUUCUCUUUUCCCUAGCGUAAUUCCAAGGGCUCUUUCCAUCUACAAAUCUAUCUUGUUCUACACCAAGAAAUUUUGAUAUUCUCAAGUCCCAGAUACACUGACAUCAUCUUCAUACUACAAUUUAAUAAUUUUUAAUAUAUAUAAUUUUUGAUUAACUACAGUAAACCCCCCAAAUUAUAGGGGUAAUUACAAAAUCAUACCCAACAUUUAUUGACCCGUUUGACCAGUACAAAAACUUCAUGGGACCUUUCAAAAGACACCCACUAUUAGGAAAACCGUUAAAAAUUAUGUUAACUGCUGACGUGUGUACAUGUACAAUACGAGUAUUGUACGUUUACUUUUUAAAAAACUUGAAUGUUACCAAGUCUUUAAAACGUGUUCAGAACAUGGAUGUAUUAUUGAAAAAUAUGUACGUACGCGUAUAAUAGAGUGUUACACAUGAAAGUGCGAAAUUCUUUAUACGGGUAAUGACUCUGGAAAAGUAAAAAAUUAAAAGGGGACAAUAGAAACUCGAGUAAUGGCCUAAUACACGUGUCAAAAAGCGUAUAGCAGUGCGGCUAUACUGUUUAUUUUAAAAAAAAAGAGGAUCGUCUAUCGAUUAGGUGCCCACGUGUCAAAAUAAGUAUAGCCAACCGGCCAGAUUAUUAUUUUUUUUCAAUUUAAAAAACUGAGUAUAGUCAUGCGACUAUCCUUUUUAAAACUAAAAUAAGAGGGCUCCCUAGCGAUUAGGCGCCCAUGUGUCAAAAUCGGUAUAGCCGCACGGCUAUACGAUUUCUUUUUUAAAAAAUUGUGGUAUAGCCGCGCGGCUAUACGACUAGACUGUUUAACUACAUUAUAUUUAAAAGGUAUAGCCGCCCGGCUAUACUAUUUAAUUACCCAAAAAAAAAAAAAAAAAAAAAAAAAAAGGGGACCCUCCUAGUUGUUAGCAAAGAAAGGAUCGGCUAAACGAAAACAAAUUUUUAAAUCCAAAAAAAAAAAAGAAAAAAAAAAGAGAGAUAAAUUGCCGAUUGAUUAUAUGUUUAAACAUUGGGAAAUAUGAUAGAAAUAUUGUUCUAUAGCUUAGAUUAUCCAAGGACCCUCCUUGUUGGAUUAGUUUAUACUUUAUAGAUAUUAAUUUGCUAUUUUCAACAUAUCAAAAGCAGAUAUUAAUCGCCCACUAUAUAAUAUUUUUAAUAUAUAUUAUUUUAUUCAAUAAUAUGCGAGAAUUAUUUGUAUACUACUUUAAUUUUUUUUUUUUGUCUUAUUGAAAAUUUAAUAUGAAAACUACGUAUAUUAAACAUGAGAAAUACGUACGUACAUGUACAAUACGAGUAUUGUAUGUUUGCUUUUUUAAAAACGUGAAUUUUACUAGUCUUUAAGACGUGUACAGAACAUGGAUGUAUUAUUAAAAAAAUAUAUAUACAUACGUGUAUAAUAGAGUAUUAAACGUGAAAGUGCAUAUAUAAAGCGUAUAGCCGAUUUAUCAAAAAAAAAAUUUAACAAAAAAAACGCAGUAAAGCCGGUCGGCUAUACUAUUUUUUAAAAAAAAUUAGAAAAAAAGUCGAGUAUAGCCGCCCGGCUGUACUAUUAUGAAAAAAUAUAUCAGAGUAGCCGCAUAGCGCCUAGUUGCCCACGUGAAAAAAGAAAUCGCCUCACGGCUAUACUUUUUUUUUGGAAACAUGAAUUUAAAAAAGUAUAGCCGCGCGGCUAUACGUUUAAUUUUUUUUAAUUUAAAAGACCCGUUUAGCGAUUAGGGGCCCAUGUGUCAAAAAGACCCUUUUAGCGUUAGGGGCCCAUGUGGCAAAACUAGUAUAGCCGCGCAGCUAUACUAUUUCUUUUUUAAGACAUGUGGUAUAGCCGCUCGGCUAUACUAUUUUUUAAAAUUGAAGAAAAAAGGACCCUCCUAGUUGUUAGCAAAGAAUGGAUAAGCUAAACGAAAACAAAAUUUAAAAUUUUUUUUAAAAAAAAAAACAAGUAAAGAAAAAUGGCCGGUUGAUUAUAUGUUCUGUUUGGUUCACGAGAAACGCUGGGAAAUAUGAUAGAAAUAUUGUUCUAUAGCUUAGAUUAUUCGAGUUUUCUUCAGAAACCAGGGUAUUAAAAUGCAGUUUGAUAGUCCUUGUCUCAAGCAAAAAUAAUUCCAUGGAGCUCUGCUACUCGCUCCGACUCUGAUGUUUCAUUUGAGUUGAGUAUGCUAGAUUGGCCAUGAAAAAGAAGCGGUGCCGAUGUGCCCUUUCACUUGGUCACUUUGUGCUUGCUGGAUUGGGAGAGCCAAAAUUGUUAAGAAAGAACCUUUCAUAAAAAAUUGGAAGAAAGCAACGUAAGUGUUUUAUUCGGCCUAAUUUUAACAGGAUACAACUGAAAAGUUCGGCCACUAGAAUUACAAUGGAAACUUCCAUGCUAUGUUGCUGCAUUAAUAAGAACCAAUCUUUAAUGAGAUGUGUGACCAAAAAAAGUCUUUAAUGAGAUGAUGAAGCAGAACUACUUAGUGGCAGUGGCAAUAUGAAAAAUCAAAUUCGUGUUUGAAUUUUGGCCUUUACAUCACUAAUGAAUUGACAUAAGUUCUUCUGUGAUGACCCAUUUACAGCCAAGCCAUCCUCCAAUUUUUGCCUCAUCUUCUUGAUCUCCUUCUGCAAUCCAUCACCCAACCUUCCACUCAUCAGACGGUUGAUCUUCUCUGCUACCUCCAUCCUUGUAAUGGGUUUAAUCCUGUCACAAAGAUUGAGUCCAAUCCCCCAAUCAUCAACUACAAGUUUCCUAUUGGUGGUUUGGUCAGUCAAUAUAGGAUAACACAACAUUGGAACACCACACCACAUACUUUCCAGUAUGGAAUUCCAUCCACAAUGAGUCAAGAACCCUCCUAUUGCUGGAUUUGAAAGCACCUCAAUCUGAGAGCACCAUGGCACAAUCAGCCCUCUAUCUUUAAUCUCAUCUUCAAAUCCGACAGGUAGGAUCGAGGUUUCAAGUUCACCAUGACUUAUAGUAUCAGGGCGUAGCACCCAAAUGAAACUCACUCUACUAAGCAAAAGCCCAUGAGCUAUUUCUUCUACCACAUUCUUAGUAACUUGAGCGUAGCUUCCAAAUGAAAUAUACAGAACUGAACCAGGAGGCUUGGCAUUGAGCCAUUCUGUACAGUCAAACUCGGAGAUGAGGUUGGUUGCCACCACCACACUCUUGGUGGCUUUACUGGGGAAGACAGGGCCAAUUGCAUAUGCGGGUUGCUUCUCUUGCAAGGCUAGAAGGGACUGGGAUUCGAGUUCUUGCACUGUGUUACACAAAAUAAAAUUUGCAUUUAUAACUUGUUGGAAGGCCUUGUAUAGGAUUCUGUGAGCUGCUGUUGAUGUAUUAGUAGCUUGGAGGUGUGAUACCAAGUCCUUUGGUUCAAUAGCCUGCACACCAGGUAUGUAAUCGAUCGUGUCCUCGCGAUUAUCUAAUAAAUCAACCAGGAAAAUUAGAUAUACAUAAUCAAAAAAUCUUCUCUUGUCUUUUUUAUCGACAAUCUGAUAGCAUAACAUGUUGGAUAUGAGAAGGUUAUUACUUACCAUGAGAACCAAAAUGACCAUUUUUUCUGAGGAGGUCCAUGUGAUAGUAGAUGCACAAGACGAAAGCUGUUUCAGUCCAGAAGGAAAUGUGGACAAGGUUAUACUUGUUGGCUAUGGUUGCUGGCCAGGUGUGGAAGGUAUCAGCAAUCAAGCAAGUGAUUGAAGGGUCAGAUUGGACUAAAUUUCCAACAAGUUCAUCAACAUGUGCAGGGAAGACAUGCAAUAGACCCUCAAGAUAUUGAUCAAGAUUCUGAGACCGGUUGAAGGCUAGUGGAAAACCAUCACUCACUGUUCUGUAGCGAAUGUCUAGACCGGACUUACGCGCUGCAGCAAAGAUGUCUUCUUGACCUUCACUGCCAUUGGAUUCGGAUUUGGUUAUCUGGUGGUGAAUAAUUUGGGUGUUGACAAAAGUGAUGGUGAAACCAUUUGAGGCAAGCUUCAAGGCCAGAUGGGUAAAUGGGAUAACAUGGCCUUGGCGAGGGAGAGGCACCAUGAUUGCAUGAGGCUUUGAAUGCUUGUCCUCCAUGGCUCCCUCUGUGUCUGUUUCUCUCUCUGUUUGUGAGUUUGUGGCUCUGUGUGCUUAUACAAAUGCACACAAAGUUUUGUUUUCUUUCUUAGGAUAAGGGGUGGUGGGGCAGAAGUCUAAUUUUCCACAAACUGUUUUUAAACUAUAAACAAAACAGUGUCUUUCUAAACCAAUAAAAUGAAUCACACUUUGGAUUCUUGUGGACAAAAAUCAAAAGAUUCACCGACAAUAUUCUCAAAGUAGUGGAAAGACUUAUUAUAAUUUGGUUUUGUGCUAAUUUAGAGGGUGCGCUAAUGACAAAGAUGACAAAGAAAUGAGGAAGCAGCACAGAACCACAUAGUAGCAAUGUGAAAGUCACACUCGUUUUUGAAUUUCAGCCUUUACAUCACCAAUGAAUUGAGAUAAAUUCUUUUGUGAUGAUCCAUUUACAGCUAAUGCAUCCUCCAAUGUUUGCUUAACCUUCUUGCUCUGCUUCUGCAAUCCAUCACCCAAUUUUCCACUCAUCAGACGGUUGAUCUUCUCUGCUACCUCCACCCUUGUGAUGGGUUUCACCCUAUCACAGAGAUUUAAUCCAAUCCCCCAAUCAUCAACGACUAGUUUCCUAUUGGUCACUUGAUCAGUCCACAGAGGGAAGCACAGCAUGGGAACACCACACCACAUACUUUCAAGUAUUGAGUUCCAUCCACAAUGAGUCAAGAACCCUCCUGUUGCUGGAUGUGAAAGCACCUCAAUCUGAGAGCACCAUGGCACCAUCAACCCUCUAUCUUUAAUCUCAUUCUCAAAUCCAACAGGUAGGAUAUAGGUUUCAUCAUAACUUGUAGUAUUAGGGCGAAGUACCCAGAUGAAACUCACUUUACUAAGCAAGAGCCCAUGAGCUAUUUCUUCAAUAUCAUUUUUAGUAACUAGAACAUAGCUACCAAAUGAAACAAACAAAACUGAACCAUUAGGCUUGGUGUUGAGCCAUUCUGUGCAGUCAAACUCUGACAUCAGAUUGGUGGCCACAAUACUUUUUGUGGGAUUAUUGGGGGAAACAGGGCCAAUUGCAUAUGUGUGUUGCUUCUCUUGCAAGGCUGAAAGGGUGUUUGAUUCAAGUUCUUGUACUGUAUUACACAAAAUAAAAUCUGCCCUUUGCACUUCAUGGAAUGCCUUGUGUAGGGCUCGGUGCAUCGGUGUUGAUAUAUCAGCUUCUUGGAGGUGUGACAUCAAGUCCUUUGGUUCAAUAGCCUGCACCCCCGGUAUAUAAUCAACGGUGUCCUCUCGAUUAUCUAAUAAAUCAACCAAAAAAAUUGAGAUUCGUAAUAGGAUGUUUUCUCUUGUCAAAAUGUCAAUAUGAAGUAUUGAUCAGUGAAUUCUUUUAAAACUUGUGAUUCUAAUUGACAAUCUAGCAGCAUAACAUGUAAGACGUGAGAACAAGACCGCCAUGUAAGAAUGUAAUGUUAUCAAAGCUCAAGCGAAUUUAUGUGAAAGUUAUUACAUACCAUGUGAACCAUAAUGACCACGUUCUCUGAGGAGGUCCAAGUGAUAGUAGAUGCUUAAGACUAGAGCUGGUUCAGUCCAGAAGGAAAUAUUGACAAGGUUGUAUUUGUUGGCUAUGGUUGCUGACCAUGGGUGGAAGGUAUCAACAAUCAAGCAAGUGACCGAGGGGUCAGAUUGGACUAAAUUUCCAACAAGUUCAUCAACAUGGGCAGGGAAGACAUACAAUAGGCCCUCAACAGCUUGGUUGUGGUUCUGAAAUCGGUUGAAGGCUAGUGGAAAACCAUCACUCACGGUCUUGUAGCGUAUGUCUAGGCCGGACUUGCGUGCUGUGGCAAAGAUGUCAUCUUGAUCUUCAGUGUCAUUGGGUUGGGAUUUGGAUAUCUGGUGGUGAAUGUGUUGGGUGUUGACAAAAGUGAUGGUGAAACCAUUUGAUGCAAGCUUCAUGGCCAGAUGGGUAUGUGGGAGAAGAUGGCCUUGGAGAGGCAUAGGCACCAUGAUAGCAUGAGGCUGUGAAUGCUUGUCCUCCACGGCUCUCUCAGUGUGUGCAUGCAUCUCUCUAUGUCUGCGAGUAUGUGGUCAUUUAUCGGCGCGAGAGAGAGGGUAAGUGCUGAAAUCACAAAAGCUAAUGGACUGAUGAAAGAGAAAGCACAUCUUUUGCAAUGUGUGGUCAGAUGAGGUGAACUGCUUUUAGCACAUGGUGUGGGGCUAAUGUUCCAACUUCCCACAAACUAUUUUUAGAAUUUAAACAAACAGUAUCUUCUUUCAUCAGAGACUGGAACUCAGCUCAAUAAUAUUGAUUUAAAACAUGAUAAUAGAUCCUCAGAUAUGCCGCAUUCUUGUGUAUUUUGGAUUUUACAUUGCUAGUGAAGCGUUUUAUGCUAAUGAUGAUCUAAUGACAAUGAGAUGAUGAAGCAGAAGCACAAGAUUGUGGCAAUGCGGAAGUCAGUUUCGUGUCUGAACUUUGGUCUUUACAUCACUUAUGAAUUGAAAGAAAUUCUUCUGUGAUGACCCAUUUAAAGCCAAUGCACCCUCCAUUGUUUGCCUUACAUUUCUUAUCUCCUUCUGCAAACCAUGGCCCAAUUUUCCACUCAUCACAUGGUUGAUCUUCUCUGCCACCUCCACUCUUGUGAUGGGUUUUACCCCAUCACAAAUAUUCAGUCCAAUGCCCCAAUCAUCAACUACUAGUUUCCUAUUAGUGAUUUGGUCAGUCCAUAGAGGAAAACACAGCAUGGGAACACCACACCACAUACUUUCAAGUAUGGAAUUCCAUCCACAAUGCGUUAAGAACCCUCCUACUGCCGGAUGUGAAAGCACCUUAACCUGAGAGCACCAUGGCACUAUCAUCCCGCUGUCUUUAAUCUCAUCGUCAAAUCCAACAGGUAGGAUAUUGGAUUCUUCAUAACUUGUAGUGUCAGGACGAAGUACCCAGAUGAAGCUCACUUUACUAAGCAAAAGUCCAUGAGCUAUUUCCUCAAUAUCUUUUGUAGUAACUUGAGCAUAACUACCAAAUGAAAUAAACAAAACUGAACCAUGAGGCUUGGCAUUGAGCCAUUGAGUACAGUCAAACUCAGACAUCAGAUUGGUAGCCACAAUACUCUUAGUAGUUUUACUGGGGAAGACAGGGCCAAUUGCAUAUGUGGGCUGCUUCUCAUGCAAGGCUGAAAGGGUCUCAGAUUCAAGUUCUUGCACUGUAUUAAUCAAAAUAAAAUCUGCUCUUUUAAUUUCAUGGAAUGCCUUGUAAAUGAUUCUGAGCAUUGGGGAUAAUAAAUCAGUAGCUUGGAGAUGUGACAUCAAGUCUUUUGGUUCAAUUGCCUGCACACCCGGUAUGUAAUCGAUGAUGUCCUCACAUUUAUCUAAGAAGUCAACCCAAAAAAACACAGAUACAUGUAGUUAUAUAACUUUGCUAAUGUUCAUGUUUAAUGGCUUAGAUUGACAAUAUGAGACUUCACGUUCUCAAAUCAAAUCAAAAUUUCGACCAAAAAAAUAUUUCAACUAGAAAUCAUUCCAUAUGUAACUUAAGAAAAAGUUGUUGAGAUUUAUGAGAGGGUGCAUACCAUGAGAACCAAAAUGACCAUUUUGUCUGAGGAGGUCCAAGUGAUAGUAGAUGCUUAGGACUAAAGCUGGUUCAGUCCAAAAGGAAAUGUUGACAAGGUUGUACUUGUUGGCUAUGGUUUCUGGCCAGGUGUGGAAGGUAUCAGCAAUAAAGCAAGUGAUUGAGGGGUCAGAUUGGACUAAAUCUCCAACCAGUUCAUCAACAUGGGCAGGGUAGACAUGUAAAUGACCCUCAAGAAAUUGGUCAAGGUUCUGAAAUCGGUUGAAGGCUAGUGGAAAACCAUCACUCACUGUUUUAUAGCGUAUGUCAAGUCCGGACUUGCGCGCCGCGGCAAAGAUGUCAUCUUGUUUAGUUUUGUUGUUGGGUUGGGAUUUGGUUAUCUGGUGGUGAAUAUAUUGAGUGUUGACAAAAGUGAUGGUGAAACCAUUUGAAGCAAGCUUCAUUGCCAGAUUGGUAAAUGGGAUAACAUGGCCUUGGAGAGGGAGAGGUACCAAGAUUGCAUGAGGCUUUGUGCAUUGAUUGUCCUCCUCCAUGGCUCUGUUUCUGUGUCUGCUUGAGGAAGUAGGCAAGCUCUAAAAUCACAAAAAUCUGAUAUGUAGCCAGAUGACUCCCAUUCAGUCAAGUCAACUAUUUUUAGCAGAUAACAUGAAGUGGUGUAUUAUUUUUUAUUUCUAUAUGGUAAGACAAUAUUCCAAAUUUCUUGUAACCUCCGGUUUGCUCCAUAAUUCAACAAGUUGCCUCACCUCACCUCCUUUUAUUCUCUUUUUUGAAUAAACAACCCAAUAAACAAUUCAGUGGGAGACAAACUUGGACCGCUCUUUCACAAGGUUCACUAACCACCAAGGCAACUACAAAAAGAACCCAACAAAGACUUCAUAUAUAUAUCCAUUUAACUCCCUCAUCACACAUGGAACCCAUCAAGAUAACCCUUUUCAUAUGCCACUUACGUGCUAAUUUGAAACACAAUUUCUUUUCAAGUUACAGAUUUUUUACACCUAUAAAUUGAAACACAAUUUAUUUUCAAGUUCAUGUGGUUGUUUCCAUCUUUCUAAAACUAAAGUGACCAUGAUGAGGAAGUCAUAUUCGUGUCUUUUGUAAUUUUCCAAUCAUCAGAUUGGUUGGUAGGCAGUACAAUCAUGGAUUCUGUAAUUAGUAUAAUCAGCCACUUGUAGCUAAUGAUAUCCUCUUUACACGUACGUCUUAAAUUAUUAAAACUUGACAUCUCAUAUCUGUAAUUAGGCCAAAGUACGAUUUUAAUCCGUGUAGUUUGAUUGAAACUUCACUCUAAUCUAUAUAGUUUCAAAUUUCAAUUGUUGUGAUUUUAAUUCAAAACGGAAUUCAAGAACAAUGACUUAUCUGGUGAAUUAUUUCGACAUAAUUACCACGCAUCACUUUUCCAUUGCAAAAGGGAGGGACUUGUGUUGCACCAAAAUCAUACUUUGGCAAUCUCAUUGAUGAAGUUAAGGGGUGAUUCACUUUGUUUCAGAAGAUUUGUCUUUCUUAUAUUCCUAGAUGUUGUAAUAUUGUAGCUCACAAACUUGCUGCUCAUGCUAUUCUGCACUGGAUGAACCCCCUUGAAUUUACUCAAUGGAAAUAUUAUCCUAUUUUUCACCCCGAAAAAACAAUAUUCAUACUUCCGCCUAAUAAUUAUGCAGUAAAACUCCAAAAGUAAAAUAUAUAUGUAAGAUUCCUUUUGUCUGGUUAUAUCAUCGAUGGGUCCCUUGUCAUCACUGUGACUAUUAUUAGACAUAGUAAUAAUUCAAGCACAUCACCUAAGCUGUAUAGGGAUCUGGUUGCUAUAUAGAGCUGUUGGCUAAUCUUGAUGCUUCAUGCCCUGCUCUGAGCUCCAAAGUGUUUGGGAAAAAUCCUUUUAAUCUCUUCUUUUUCUUUUCUUUUCUUUUCUCUUUGGUUUGAACCUUCUCCCAAGUUUGAGCUGCAGAUAUCUUGCACUUAUAGGUCAUCUCUCUCUUUCUCUCGCUCUCUCACUCACACCCACAGAUGGAAAACAAUACAUCAAAACAUCCUCAUGCUGUCAUAUUUCCCUACCCUCUACAAGGCCAUGUAAUCCCAGCCGUCCAUCUUGCCAUAAAGCUUGCAUCAAAAGGCAUCACAGUCACCUUUGUCAACACUCAAGCAGUUCACCACCAGAUAGUAAAGUCCCACGCCAUGGAAGAUGAUAAUAUUUUCAAUGGGGUUCGUCAAUCUGGCCUAGACAUACAUUAUGUAACAAUCAAUGAUGGCUUCCCGGUCGACUUCGAUCGAUCUCUCAACCACGACCAGUUUUGGGAGAGUGUUCUACAUGAUUUCCCGGCUCAUGUUGACGAGCUUCUAGCAAAACUAGUCCUCUCCAACCCACCAGUCAAUUGCUUGAUAUCAGAUACUUUCUUUGUGUGGCCAACAAUCAUAGCCAAAAAGUAUAACCUAGUCACUGUCUCAUUCUGGACCGAACCAGCUCUGAUCUUCAACCUCUACUAUCACGUAGACCUCCUCAACAAAAAUGGUCAUGGUCAUUUUACUUCUCAUGGUAAGUACCCUUUUCUCCAAGUAACUCUCUCAUACAUAACUAUCUCUUAUAUCCGACAAUACAAUAAUACUAGCUAAUCAUCACUGUUAUUAAGGAUCACUGACUACAAUAUUGUGGUCCAGAUUGACAGUAUAUCAACAUAACAUAUAUAUCAAAUAUCUAGCAUGACAACAUUAUUUCGUAUUGAUGUAUAUUUUGUGUGUGUAAUAUUAGCUAAUCCUCGCCAAGACACCAUCGAUUACAUACCGGGUGUGCGUGCAAUUGAACCAAAGGACUUGUCAUCGUACCUUCAACCUAGUGAUUACACUUCACCAGUACACCGCAUCAUAGUCAAGGCCUUUGAGAAAAUUAAAACCGCAGAUUUCAUUCUUUGUAACACAGUCCAAGAGCUUGAAUCUGAGACCGUUUCAGCCUUGCAAGAAAAGCAACAAAUAUAUUCAAUUGGACCAAUAUUUCCCACCGGGUUCACCAAGAGCCGUGUGGCCACAAGCCUGUGGUCCGAGUCAGAUUGCAUCCAAUGGCUCAGCACUAGGUCACGUGGCUCAGUUUUGUACGUGUCAUUUGGUAGCUAUGCUCAUGCUAGCAAAAGAGAAAUCGAGGAAAUAGCCAAUGGGCUUUUGCUCAGCAAAGUUGGUUUUAUUUGGGUACUUCGUCCUGAUAUAGUCAGCUCUGACGAACCCGAAAUCCUACCCUUUGGAUUUGAAGAUGAGAUAAAAGAUCAAGAGCAAGGGUUGAUUGUGCCAUGGUGCUCUCAGAUUGAGGUGAUCUCACACCCUGCAAUUGGAGGCUUCAUAACACAUUGUGGAUGGAAUUCAAUAUUGGAAAGCAUAUGGUGCAAUCUUCCCUUGUUGUGUUUUCCUUUGUUGACUGACCAAUUCACUAAUAGGAAAUUAGUGGUUGAUGAUUGGAGGGUUGGGCUUAAUCUUUGUGACCAAAAACCAAUCACAAAGGAGGAAGUGGCAGAGAAGAUCAGCCAUUUGAUGAGUGGAAAAUCAGCUGAUGAAUUGAGGAGGAAUGUCAAGGAGGUCAGAAAAGCAUUGGAGGGUGCAUUGGCUAUUGGUGGGUCAUCACACAGAAAUCUUGAUCAGUUCAUAGAUGGUGUGAAGGCUAAAGUCCAAGAGAAAACUGGGUUUGGCUUCAACAACACUGAAGUUUCCUAGUUUUUCAAAAAUUCCAAAUACUAUAUUUUGUCGAUUGGAUUUGAUCAAAUUAUAAAUAUAAAAAAUUGUAAGAACAUGGUCUCUAGGUUUUUGUGAAGAAAGUAGUUUUGGUUUGUUUUAUCGAUAAAUUAUGGCCUACUGUGCCUCUUACGUAAACUGUUUGUCCAUCCCAUCCCAUGAAUGGAAAGAUUGCACUCGGUGUGUCGCUUUGUGGUUGCCUUCAGUCACAUUUCCGUUUUAAUAUUGAAAAAUCUCAACUUAUUGAUUUCAUCAUAACUUGUAGUAUUAGGGCGAAGUACCCAGAUGAAACUCACUUUGCUAAGCAAGAGCCCAUGAGCUAUUUCUUCAAUAUCAUUUUUAGUAACUAGAACAUAGGUACCAAAUGAAACAAACAAAACUGAACCAUUAGGCUUGGUGUUGAGCCAUUCUGUGCAGUCAAAACUCUGACAUCAGAUUGGUAGCCACAGUACUUUUUGUGGGGUUAUUGGGGGAAACAGAGCCAACUGCAUAUGUGGGUUGCUUCUCUUGCAAGGCUGAAAGGGUGUUUGAUUCAAGUUCUUGUACUGUAUUACACAAAAUAAAAUCUGCCCUUUGGACUUCAUGGAAUGCCUUGUGUAGGGCUCGGUGCAUCGGUGUUGACAUAUCAGCUUCUUGGAGGAGUGACAUCAAGUCCUUUGGUUCUAUAGCCUGCACCCCGGUAUAUAAUCGAUGGUGUCCUCUCAAUUAUCUAAUACAUCAACCAAAAAAAUUGAGAUUCGUAAUAGGAUGUUUUCUCUUGUCAGAAUGUCAAUAUGAAGUAUUGAUCAGUGAAUUCUUUUAAAACUUGUGAUUCUAAUUGACAAUCUAGCAACAUAACAUGUAAGACGUGAGAAUAUGUUGGGUGUUGACAAAAGUGAUGGUGAAACCAUUUGAUGCAAGCUUCAUGGCCAGAUGGGUAUGUGGGAGAAGAUGGCCUUGGAGAGGCAGGCACCAUGAUAGCAUGAGGCUGUGAAUGCUUGUCCUCCAUGGCUCUCUUUGUGUGUGCAUCUCUCUAUGUCUGCGAGUAUGUGGUCAUUUAUCGGCGCGAGAGAGAGGGCAAGUGCCGAAAUCACAAAAGCUAAUGGACUGAUGAAAGCGAAAGCACAUCUUUUGCAAUGUGUGAUCAGAUGAGGUGAACUGCUUUUAGCACAUGGUGUAGGGCUAAUGUUCCAACUUCCCACAAACUAUUUUUAGAAUUUAAACAAACAGUAUCUUCUUUCAUCAGAGACUGGAACACAACUCAAUAAUAUUGAUUUAAAACAUGAUAAUAGAUCCUCAGAUAUGCCACAUUCAUGUGUAUUUUGGAUUUCACAUUGCUAAUGAAGCGUUUUAUGCUAAUGAUGAUCUAAUGACAAUGAGAUGAUGAAGCAGAAGCACAAGAUUGUGGCAAUGCGGAAGUCAGUUUCGUGUCUGAACUUUGGUCUUUACAUCAAUUAUGAAUUGAAAGAAAUUCUUCUGUGAUGACCCAUUUAAAGCCAAUGCAUCCUCCAUUGUUUGCCUUACAUUUCUUAUCUCCUUCUGCAAACCAUCGCCCAAUUUUCCACUCAUCACAUGGUUGAUCUUCUCUGCCACCUCCACUCUUGUGAUGGGUUUUACCCCAUCACAAAUAUUCAGUCCAAUGCCCCAGUCAUCAACUACUAGUUUCCUAUUAGUGAUUUGGUCAGUCCAUAGAGGAAAACACAGCAUGGGAACACCACACCACAUACUUUCAAGUAUGGAAUUCCAUCCACAAUGCGUUAAGAACCCUCCUACUGCCGGAUGUGAAAGCACCUUAACCUGAGAGCACCAUGGCACUAUCAUCCCUCUGUCUUUAAUCUCAUCGUCAAAUCCAACAGGUAGGAUAUUGGUUUCUUCAUAACUUGUAGUGUCGGGACGAAGUACCCAGAUGAAGCUCACUUUACUAAGCAAAAGUCCAUGGGCUAUUUCCUCAAUAUCUUUUGUAGUAACUUGAGCAUAACUACCAAAUGAAAUAAACAAAACUGAACCAUGAGGCUUGGCAUUGAGCCAUUGAGUACAGUCAAACUCAGACAUCAGAUUGGUAGCCACAAUACUCUUAGUAGUUUUACUGGGGAAGACAGGGCCAAUUGCAUAAGUGGGCUGCUUCUCAUGCAAGGCUGAAAGGGUCUCAGAUUCAAGUUCUUGCACUGUAUUAAUCAAAAUAAAAUCUGCUCUUUUAACUUCAUGGAAUGCCUUGUAAAUGAUUCUGUGCAUUGGGGAUAAUAAAUCAGUAGCUUGGAGAUGUGACAUCAAGUCUUUUGGUUCAAUUGCCUGCACACCCGGUAUGUAAUCGAUGAUGUCCUCACGUUUAUCUAAUAAGUCAAUCCAAAAAAACACAGAUACAUGUAGUUAUAUAACUUUGCUAAUGUUCAUGUCAUCAUGCUGUGAAUCUAGUAGACUAAACAUUCGAACAAGACUCCACGCGAUCAGAUGGUUUAAACUUUAGAUUGACAAUAUGAGAUUUCAUGUCGUCAAAUUAACUAGAAACCAUUCCAUGUAUGAGUUAAGCAAAAGUUUGGGAGAUUUAUGAGAGGCUGCAUACCAUGAAAACCAAAAUGACCAUUUUGUCUGAGGAGGUCCAAGUGAUAGUAGAUGCUUAGGACUAAAGCUGGUUCAGUCCAAAAGGAAACAUUGACAAGGUUGUACUUGUUGGCUAUGGUUUCUGGCCAGGUGUGGAAGGUAUCAGCAAUAAAGCAAGUGAUUGAGGGGUCAGAUUGGACUAAAUCUCCAACCAGUUCAUCAACAUGGGCAGGGUAGACAUGUAAAUGACCCUCAAGACAUUGGUCAAGGUUCUGAAAUCGGUUGAAGGCUAGUGGAAAACCAUCACUCACUGUUUUGUAGCGUAUGUCCAGUCCGGACUUGCGCGCUGCGGCAAAGAUGUCAUCUUGUUCAGUUUUGUUGUUGGGUUGGGAUUUGGUUAUCUGGUGGUGAAUAUAUUGAGUGUUGACAAAAGUGAUGGUGAAACCAUUUGAAGCAAGCUUCAUUGCCAGAUUGGUAAAUGGGAUAACAUGGCCUUGGAGAGGGAGAGGUACCAAGAUUGCAUGAGGCUUUGUGCAUUGAUUGUCCUCCUCCAUGGCUCUGUUUCUGUGUCUGCUUGAGGAAGUAGGCAAGUUCUGAAAUCACAAAAAUCUGAUAUGUGGCCAGAUGACUCCCAUUCAGGCAAGCAACUAUUUUUAGCAGAUAACAUAAAGGGGUGUAUUAUCUUUUAUUUCUAUAUGGUAAGACAAUAUUCCAAAUUUCUUGUAACCUCUGGUCUGCUCCAUAAUUCAACAAGUUGCCCCACCACCUCACCUCCUUUUAUUAUCUUUUUUUGAAUAAACAAUUCAGUGAGAGAAACUUGGACCACUCUUUCACAAGGUUCACUAACCAACAAGGCAACUACUAAAAGAACUCGACAAAGGCUUCUUCACACAUGAUUGAUGGAACCCAUCAAGAUAAACCCUUUUCAUAUGGUUCACUGACCAACAAGACAAACUACAAAAGGAACCCAACUCUGACCAAAAAAAUACUUUAUUUAAUAUAUUCGGACAGAAAAAAAGGACUCAACAGAUGAAGUAAUCUUGGAUUUCCUUCAGUUAAAUCAAUUCAUUAGAUAAUCGAUGCUGUCCUCACGAUUAACUAAUAAAUCAACCAGUAAAAACAUAAGCAUGUAAAUAGUAUCAAUAAGUUAUUGUCGUCAGACUGUCAAUCUAAACUAAAAAAGUCGAGCAAGACUCAACAGAAUCAAGACUUAAGGAGAUUUAAAUAGGGAUAGGUACCAUGAUUGCAUGAGGCUUUGAAUUGUCCAAGCCAAAUUAUGUUUUCGGUCCAUCUAGGAUGGGCAAAGUUUUAUUUUGGUACAUGUAAUUUUAAUUUUUGCAAUUGUUGGAAUGCAAAUUGAAAGACAUUUGGUUAUUUUCAUCAUAUUUCAACGGAAUUAGCAAGUAUAUGAGGUUUUUUACACCUCUAAAAGUCUAAUUUAUCCUAACAUAUGCAACUUACGUGCUAAUUUGAAACACAAUUUCUUUUCAAGUUAUAGAUUUUUUACACCUAUAAAUUGAAACACAAUUUCUUUUCAAGUUCAUGUGGUUGUUUCCAUCUUUCUAAAACUAAAGUGCGUGCUAGUAUUGGCAUCAUAGAGUUGCUGGGUUGAAAGGCCACCACCGUCUCUUCAGGGAGUGUCGGAAGCGGAUGGUCUUCCAGGACCACCAAACUAUUAAACUAAUGUUCUUAUCUAUAUUUUGUACUAAGUUAGCCUCUCCACUUGCUUGCUUUGGCUGAGUGUGUGCUGGCUUAAGGAAGUUCCUUUUCGUCCCAAAAAAAAAAGUGACCGUGAUGAGGAAGUCAUAUUCAUGUCUUUUGUAAUUUUCCAAUUAUCGGAUUGGUUGGUAGGCAGUACAAUCAUGUCUUUGGUGGGAGAAAGACUUUAAUGCAAUGGGAAUAUCCUUUUUUGCUAUUCCAGUCAAUGACGCAAUGAUACGUGAGAUAACUUUUUCACGUGUCAUUGUGUUUUUGGCCAAGGAUAGCAAAACAGUGAUAUCUCUUAUGCAAGUAAAUUUUUUUGCUUUGGUGGGGUUUAUUGGUGAAGUGACAUGCCUUGAAUUCUCGACUAUCCCCACUAGAAUCAUCCAUCCAAUGAAAUAAAAAGGGUUAAUUAGUAUAAUUACACAUCAUACUUUGGCAAUCUCAUUGAUGAAGUUAAGGUGAUUCACUUUGUUUCAGAACAUUUUCAUCUCUUAUAUUCCUAGAUGUUGUAAUAUUGUAGCUCACAAACUUGCUGCUCAUGCUAUUAAAUAUUAGGAUGUUGUAAUAUGGGAUGAAGACGUCCUCCUUGGUUGGAAUUUUCUGCACUGGAUGAAUCCCCUUGAAUUUACUCAAUGAAAAUAUUAUCCUAUUUUUCACCCCGAAAAAAAAUUCAUACUUUGGCCUAAUAAUUAUGCAGUAAAACUAUAUUUAUGUAUGUAAGUUUCCUUUUGUCUGGUUAUAUCAUUGAUGGGUCCUUCCUUAUCAUCACUGUGACUAUUCUUAGGCAUAGAUAGUGACAAUUCAAGCACAUCACCUGAGCUGUAUAGGGAUCUGGUUGCUAUAUAGAGCUUGGCUAAUCUUGAUGCCUCAUGCCCUGCUCUGAGCUCCAAAGUGUUUGGGAAAAAUCCUUUUUCUUUCUUAUUUUUCUUUUCUUUUCUUUUCUUUUCUUUUCUUUUUUCUUUGAACCUUCUCCCAAGUUUGAGCUGCAGAUAUCUUGCACUUAUAGGUCAUCUCUCUCUCUUUCUCUCGCUCUCUCACUCACUCCCACAGAUGGAAAACAAUACUUCAAAACAUCCUCACGUUGUCCUGUUUGCCUACCCUCUGCAAGGCCAUGUAAUCCCAGCCGUCCAUCUUGCCAUAAAGCUUGCAUCAAAGGGCAUCACAGUCACCUUUGUCAACACUGAAGCAGUUCACCACCAGACAGUCAAGUCCCACGCCAUGGAAGAUGAUAAUAUUUUCAAGGGGGUUCUUCAAUCUGGGCUAGACAUACGUUAUGUAACAAUCAACGAUGGCUUCCCGGUCGAAUUCGAUCGAUCUCUCAACCACGACCAGUUUUGGGAGAGUGUUAUACAUGAUUUCCCAGCUCAAGUUGAUGAGCUUCUAGCAAAACUAGUCCUCUCCAACCCACCAGUCAAUUGCUUGAUAUCAGAUACUUUCUUUGAGUGGACAACAAACAUAGCCAAAAAGUAUAACCUAGUCACUGUCUCAUUCUGGACCGAACCAGCUCUGGUCUUCAACCUCUACUAUCACCUAGACCUACUCAACAAAAAUGGUCAUGGUCAUUUUACUUCUCAUGGUAAGUAUCCUUUUGUCCAAGUAACUCUCUCAUACGUAACUAUCUCUUAUAUCCGAUAAUACAAUAAUACAAGCUAAUCAUCACUAUUAAUAUGGAUCACUGAUUACAAUAUUGUGAUCCAAAUUGAUAGUAUAUCAACAUAACAUAUCAAAUAUCUAGCAUGACAACAAUAUUUUGUAUUCAUGUAUAGCUUGUGUGUGUAAUAUUAGCUAAUCCUCGCCAAGACACGAUCAAUUACAUACCAGGUGUACGCGCAAUUGAACCAAAGGACUUGUCAUCAUACCUUCAACCUAGUGAUUACACUUCACCAAUACACCGGAUCAUAGUCAAGGCCUUUGAGAAAAUUAAAACCGCAGAUUUCAUUCUUUGUAACACAGUCCAAGAGCUUGAAUCUGAGACCAUUUCAGCCUUGCAAGAAAAGCAACAAAUAUAUUCAAUUGGACCAAUAUUUCCCACCGGGUUCACCAAGAGCCGUGUGGCCACAAGCCUGUGGUCCGAGUCAGAUUGCAUCCAAUGGCUCAGCACUAGGUCACGUGGCUCAGUUUUGUACGUGUCAUUUGGUAGCUAUGCUCAUGCUAGCAAAAGAGAAAUCGAGGAAAUAGCCAAUGGGCUUUUGCUCAGCAAAGUUGGUUUUAUUUGGGUACUUCGUCCUGAUAUAGUCAGCUCUGACGAACCCGAAAUCCUACCCUUUGGAUUUGAAGAUGAGAUAAAAGAUCAAGAGCAAGGGUUGAUUGUGCCAUGGUGCUCUCAGAUUGAGGUGAUCUCACACCCUGCAAUUGGAGGCUUCAUAACACAUUGUGGAUGGAAUUCAAUAUUGGAAAGCAUAUGGUGCAAUCUUCCCUUGUUGUGUUUUCCUUUGUUGACUGACCAAUUCACUAAUAGGAAAUUAGUGGUGGAUGAUUGGAGGGUUGGGCUUAAUCUUUGUGACCAAAAACCAAUCACAAAGGAGGAAGUGGCAGAGAAGAUCAGCCAUUUGAUGAGUGGAAAAUCAGCUGAUGAAUUGAGGAGGAAUGUCAAGGAGGUCAGAAAAGCAUUGGAGGGUGCAUUGGCUAUUGGUGGUUCAUCACACAGAAAUCUUGAUCAGUUCAUAGAUGGUGUGAAGGCUAAAGUCCAAGAGAAAACUGGGUUUGGCUUCAACAACACUGAAGUUUCCUAGUUUUUCAAAAAUUCCAAAUACUAUAUUUUGUCGAUUGGAUUUGAUCAAAUUAUAAAUAUAAAAAAUUGUAAGAACAUGGUCUCUAGGUUUUUGUGAAGAAAGUAGUUUUGGUUUGUUUUAUCGAUAAAUUAUGGCCUACUGUGCCUCUUACGUAAACUGUUUGUCCAUCCCAUCCCAUGAAUGGAAAGAUUGCAUUCGGUUUGUCGCUUUGUGGUUGCCUUCCGUCACAUUUCCGUUUUAAUAUUGAAUUGAUUUUUGAGUUGUGUUAGAAUCAAUCGCUCACGCCGCACGCAAGAAAUAUUUUUGAUAUUUAUUAUAAGUGGGGUAACAUUUGGUCGUAUUAGGCUACUAUGGGUGAGGAAGUCGAACACAACCCCUUGAAUAAAUAAAUAUUUUUACUAUUCAAUUGAAAUUUUAAAAGAUUAUUUUAGAAUAAAUAAGUCUUAUAGUAUUAAAUUAAGAUUUUUAAAUAAUCUAAACAAGUCUUAUGAUAUUUCAUUAAGACUAUUAUAAAUUUUAAAUGAGAGUGUCGAAAUCUAGUGGUAUUCAAUCAAGACUUUAAAUAAGUAAUAAAAAGUUUUAUGUUAUUCAAAAAUUUGCUAAUUUCGACAAAUUUUUUUAAAUAUGAGAUUGUGUGAGAUUUUUUAAUGAAAUAUAUGAAUACCAAGCCCUAUCUCAAAUCCCACCCUAAGCAAUCGGAUUUUUCAUGUGGGAUUUUUUUUUUUCUCUCUCUCUCUACCUGCUGAAGAAGAUGAACAACAAAGCAAGCAGCAAGCAGCAAGCCCAAGCCGAGCUUUUCCCAGACACCCACCAACUUCAUAUGCUAAAAAUAACAUCAAGGAAUUGUUAAACUCCUUGGCGCCAAGCCAAAGCACAUGUUUCCCCGCCAAGAAACCCAAAAAACCCAAUAUUCCAACAAAUAUCAGAAACAGAAAAGAGCAAGCAGACAUUUGACCCGAAAAUCUGGCAUGGUAGGUGUUUGUGAUUAUGUCCCAAUGACCCAGGUUCCUUGAAUUUUGAAUAGUGCUUCCUUUUUGGUUGUGUUCGAUCAUGAUUCAUGAAAAGAGAGCAAAUGUAUUUUUGGAAUGUAAUUAAUAGGUGCAUUCUUUGCUCUGUGUCUGGUAGAGCAAGCAACAUAGAAAACUAUUCCAGUCAGCUUUGCUAUUAGUGAACCUGCAAGCUGCAGCUACCUAGUUUGCUUUGUAUAUAUCUUAUGUAUGCUCAACCGAUUUCAAGGCAAGUUAUUUUUUUCUCAUUAUUAUUUGACGAUUUCUUAAUGCUGCGUAUUAUUGUUCAAAUCAAAUGGUGAUUGUAUGGGGUUUGGAGGAAGGAAUGAAAAACAGAAAACACAAUGACUAGGGAAAGGGUGAUGAUAAAUUUAAAAAAAAUAUGAAUAAUGAAUGGUUUCUUGAUAUACAACUUGGCUAGAUGACUUACAGUUUGCCAACUUGGUUAGUAAGUCGUCCUAUAAGUCAAAUAUAUGAGGGCGCAUGUGAUGUUAUUGUUGACCUUUCUACACAUACCAAUAAGGCUUCAAACCUAUCUUCCUUCUCAAAUGCAAGUUUUUUUGUAAAAGAAAAUGAAACUAACGAAAUAAACAACUGCUUGCACAUGAGAUCUGCACUGGACUAGGCGGAGGAUGUUUAUUUUGAGUAAUCUGAUUCCGAUUCUGAAGGGACCUGGUGCUAGAUAGUAAAAAAUUUCAAUUGAAUACACCCCCUAAGUUACCAACUAUUUAUUACUCUUUUUAAGCCGUAUUUGGAAUUAUGCAAAUUCCAGCAUUUACUUUUUUAAACAAUAAUUAAAAGAUAGAACUUGAUCCAUCUUCUUAAAUGAUGGAUAAUUGAGGGUUCAUUUGGAUUAAUCGCUAAUACGAAUUCAAUGUUUUAUUGAUAUUAAAAUGGAUUUGGUAAUUAGUAAGAUUACUUUUACAAUUUUAGAAUCGAUGUCAAUCGGUUGGGUUGAUAUAAAUUGAAUCAAAUUAUAGUUGUUAGUUAAGCAUUCGUUCGCAUCGACGGCUGUGAUUGUAUUUAAUACAAGAAGAUGAUGAGAAGUUGGCCAUAUUUACGAGGUGUCGUCAGCACCUGGGUCACUGAUCGGCCUGUCGUUUCCGAUGUGAAACCAAAAAGCCCAAUAACUUCACCGCCAAAUUACAAUAAAGAAAAGGGCUCUUUAGACCCAAUAGCCAACCAGCCUGUAAUUCUAGAAGAAAAAAGAAGACAAAUAGUAUGAGCCCAAUUUGGUUGGACUAAGGUUUUGUUUUGUCAGAGUCCACCUUAAGACUCAGAUGAAAACAAGAACUUGGAAUAGAAGAUUCUAGAAAUUUUAAAAAUAUGCCCAUUAAUUUUUAAGUAUUAAGAUUUAUUAGUUAUCUUUAAGGUAAUGAAUGAUUAAUCCAAAAAAGAGAAUAAUUAGAGUUUCUCUCUAUAUCCUCUUGAUUGAUUUCUCCUCAUCCACAUGUAUUUUUGUCCUCUAAUUACGUUGUGGGUAUUCAUGGUAAAAUACUUAUAUUUAUUCUUGUUGUAUUUUUAUUUGUCAUAUAAACAAAAACCAAAAAAAACCAAUUAUGUUAACACAUAUAUGUGUGCUCCUCGUGCUGUAUCCGAAUUUGAGCUCCUUCUCAAUAUUAGAGUAGUUAGAAUAUCAUUUUGUAAAAACAAAAACUAUUCGAAAAACCCCUUCAUAUUGUAUAAGGAUUUAUGAUAUGCAAAUGCAUAUAGAACUUCUGUAUAGAGAAUUGCCUAUCCCUUUUUUGAAAAUCCAUUUUUAUUAUUGACCUUGCAAUUAAAUAUUGCAAAAGAAAUAAAUUCCUAGCAAAAAAAUUAAAGGGAAAAGAAAAUAUUUGUAGGUAUACAAAAAGAAAUAGAAUUUCCAUUCCAAAAAUAACAAUGAGAGAAAAAAAGAAAGAAAGUAGAAGCCAGAGUUUGAAUAAUAUUCCUGAACUAAAAAGGAAGUAAACCAAAACCAAAACAUUUCUUUCCUAACAAGAAAAGGAGUUACCUUCGCUUAUAAAUAUCCCAACCCCCCAUCUCUCACCAAAUUGCUUUUAGCUACUCUUCCGCUCUCUCUCUCUUCGAACUCUUCAAUCGACAAAACAAUCUCAGACUCUCUCUCUUCGUCUACUUGGGUCUUCUCUGCUCCAUCUUCACGAUGACUGACAAGGCUGAAUCUUCAGACUCGUAAGUACCCAGAUCCCUGUUUAAUUCAACUGGGUUCUACUCUGUGUUUCGAUUGAAUUUAAGUUAUUUUCUUUUGGGAUUUUCUGGGUUUUGAUGCGAUUUUGCUUUUCUUGUUUGUUUGUUGCAGUAAGGGAACGAAAAGGGACUUCAGCACGGCGAUCCUUGAGCGCAAGAAGGCUGCGAAUCGGCUUGUUGUGGAUGAUGCUAUCAACGAUGACAACUCGGUCGUCGCGCUCCAUCCAGAUACCAUGGAGAAGCUCCAGCUCUUUCGUGGUGACACAAUCUUGAUCAAGGUUCGAUUUUUACAUCAUGUUAUAUAUAUGCGAAAGAUGAAAUGUUGAUAGAAUUUUGCUUACAAGGGUUUUCUAGUUAGGGCUAAUAGGAAUUACGGUUUUGGGUAGUGAGUGAAUGCUGUAAUUGUAUCUGGGUUGGCAGGUUUUCUGUAUUUUAUUUGGGAUCUGGGAACUGGGUGUGUUCUGGUGUCUGAAGUGUUGGGAUUCAUGUAUCGAAAUUCUGGGUUUAGAUGGUUACUCCUUACUUUUCUACUGAUGUAGAACUCUACUAUUAAAAACAAUUUUAUUGUAUUUAUUUACAUGUUGGAAUUGGCUUUUUCACAAGGUUCCAAAAUUAGGCAUUUAGAGAAGGGGUGUUGUGAUUUAAUAGGGAUGUCUUUCUUUCUAUCCUCUUCUUUUGAAACUGUGCAUGCGAUGUUGUGGUUUGGUUGGCUUAGUAUUGUCAUUGGCUGUUCAGGUCUUGGGCUUUGGUAUUAAUAGCAUGAACUCUCCCUAAACUUUAUUGUUCUGCAUGUGCUUGGGAUUAUAAAGAUAAACAGCAACUAACUUUUCGUGUUUAUAUAUUUUUAUUGGUGUUUAGGGAAAGAAAAGGAAAGAUACAAUCUGCAUUGCCCUGGCUGAUGAUACAUGUGAGGAACCAAAGAUAAGGAUGAACAAGGUUGUCAGGAGCAACCUAAGGGUUAGGCUGGGGGAUGUUGUUUCUGUUCACCAAUGUGCUGAUGUCAAGUAUGGAAAGCGUGUCCACAUUCUUCCUGUGGAUGACACUAUUGAAGGGGUCACUGGAAAUCUGUUUGAUGCAUACUUGAAACGUGAGUUUCUAACCCUUGUUAUUCUCAGGUGCAACUGGAGCUAAAAUUUGUAGCACAUCAUGAAUUUAAAAAAAGUUUGCUUUUGUUUGAAACUCUAUCUUUCCUAGUAAGCUAUGUCAAUAUCAAUAUCAAUUGCAACCCCAACUCUCGAAAGUUUCUGUUCAGUAAUAUCUGUAUGCACAGGGUAAUUAUAAUUGCACAAAUGGAGAGAGUGUUUGAUCGUAUUAUUACUUCAUAGAUGCUUGCAUGCUGAGAAAUUUGAUGCUUUUUCUUUAAAGAGUUGAAUCAAUUUAUAGUGUCCAAGUUGAAGAGGAUGUUACAACUCUUAAUUUAAUUGGCGGUGUUCAGAUUUAAAGAGUAUAUGAUUAGGGGAAAAUGGUUUAGCAAUAUAUCCUUGUUGUGUCACACCUACUGUAUAUAGAGAUUCAGUAUAUUGUUACCAUUGAUUUUGGAUUUAUAUUCGAUUAUAAGUUUCUGUUUAAAAUAUAUUUUAGCUAUUACUGAUAGUUAUGAGAACUAAAAUGGUUUUACCAAUAAGUUCUUGUUUAAUUCUUUGCAGCAUGCAUUUUUACCAAAUCUCUUGUCUACUUUUGCAGCUUAUUUCCUGGAGGCCUACCGUCCAGUGAGGAAGGGUGAUCUCUUCCUUGUGAGAGGAGGAAUGAGGAGUGUAGAAUUUAAGGUUAUUGAAACUGACCCUCCUGAGUACUGUGUGGUCGCUCCCGACACUGAAAUCUUCUGUGAGGGGGAGCCUGUGAAAAGGGAGGAUGAGGAGAGAUUAAAUGAGGUUGGCUAUGAUGAUGUUGGUGGAGUUAGGAAACAGAUGGCUCAGAUUCGUGAAUUAGUGGAGCUGCCACUGAGGCAUCCUCAACUAUUUAAAUCGAUUGGUGUGAAGCCACCAAAGGGUAUUCUGCUGUAUGGACCUCCUGGAUCGGGUAAGACUCUAAUUGCCCGAGCUGUGGCUAAUGAAACUGGGGCAUUCUUUUUCUGCAUCAAUGGACCUGAAAUCAUGUCAAAAUUGGCUGGGGAGAGUGAAAGCAAUCUCAGGAAAGCUUUUGAGGAAGCAGAGAAGAAUGCACCAUCAAUUAUCUUUAUUGAUGAAAUUGAUUCAAUUGCUCCCAAGAGAGAGAAGACACAUGGAGAAGUUGAGAGGAGGAUUGUUUCCCAGCUCUUGACGCUCAUGGAUGGACUAAAGUCUCGUGCACAUGUAAUUGUUAUGGGGGCUACAAAUCGGCCAAACAGUAUUGAUCCAGCUCUCAGAAGGUUUGGAAGAUUUGAUAGGGAAAUAGAUAUUGGUGUACCAGAUGAAGUUGGGCGUCUCGAGGUUGUCCGUAUUCAUACAAAGAACAUGAAGCUUGCUGAAGAUGUAAUAUCAAAUACAAUCUUUUUCUUUUUCAACCUUUUUUUCCCAUAUUUCAGAAAGUUCUUACAUAAUGUUUUGGACUUUUAUUGCACAGGUUGAUUUGGAAAAGAUAGCUAAGGACACACACGGUUAUGUUGGUGCUGAUCUAGCUGCUUUGUGUACUGAGGCUGCUCUUCAAUGCAUCAGAGAGAAGAUGGAUGUGAUUGACUUAGAAGAUGAGGAAAUAGAUGCUGAGAUUCUGAAUUCAAUGGCAGUGACAAAUGAGCACUUCAAGACUGCUCUUGGCACAAGCAACCCAUCUGCUCUUCGUGAAACAGUAAGUAUUUACAUUUUGUUUCAAGUGACAGUUUUGUUUUGAUUAUUAGACGCCUUGUGUGCAUUGGAGGAAACUCAUAAUUUCAUGUUUUUGAUUGGCCAGGUUGUUGAAGUGCCCAAUGUUAGCUGGGAAGAUAUUGGAGGUCUUGACAAUGUUAAGCGAGAACUUCAAGAGGUAAUUGAGUUUACUACAAUGGGUUGAUCUUACAAAACAUUUAUCUCAUUUUUCUUUGUUACUUAUAAUAUCUAUUCCUGUAUUAUCUCGUCAUGCAGACUGUUCAGUAUCCUGUUGAGCAUCCUGAGAAAUUUGAGAAAUUUGGAAUGUCACCUUCAAAGGGAGUUCUUUUCUAUGGUCCUCCUGGAUGUGGUAAAACUCUUCUCGCCAAAGCUAUUGCCAAUGAGUGUCAAGCAAACUUCAUCAGUGUCAAGGGACCUGAAUUGCUAACGAUGUGGUUUGGAGAGAGUGAGGCCAAUGUGAGGGAAAUUUUCGACAAGGCCCGUGGGUCUGCUCCAUGUGUCCUGUUCUUUGAUGAACUCGAUUCCAUUGCUACUCAGGUUUGAACCACUCUUUAUGUAAAAUCAUUUCUUGUUACUGAUGCCUGGUUACUAAUUUGCAUAUCGCAAUUAACAAUAAGUUUUAUUUGGAAAUAUAAAAAAGGUUUGCACCAUAAUUUAACAAUGACUAAAUAGGAGAAAACUUAGCAUUCUGUUACAGAGACAACAGUAGGUUUAAUUUGGAAAAAGAAAAAAGCUUUGCACCAUAAUUUAGCAAUGAGUAAAUAGGAAAAAACUUGGCAUUCUUUGGCAGAAACUUGAAAUGUUAGUUCUGUUUCAUAGAUUAUCUGGACUUCUAAUUUUUACUGUGGGGCUCUGCAACUAUUGGCACAGCCUCAGCAGAAAAGCUCUGUGACAAAAGAAUUUCUGCAGUAUUUUCCUUUGGGCCCUCAUCUGAUGUGUUUAUCCAUCUAUGUGCUUAUUACUUUCGUUUCUACAACUUGCAGAGAGGUAGUAGCGUAGGUGAUGCUGGGGGUGCAGCUGACAGGGUUUUGAACCAACUCCUUACAGAAAUGGACGGAAUGACUGCUAAGAAAACUGUUUUCAUUAUUGGGGCUACCAACAGACCUGACAUUAUAGACCCUGCACUUCUACGUCCAGGACGUCUGGAUCAGUUAAUUUACAUCCCUCUCCCUGAUGAGGAAUCUCGCUUUCAAAUAUUCAAAUCUUGCUUGAGGAAAUCUCCAGUUUCCAAAGAUGUGGACAUCAGAGCACUUGCCAAGUACACCCAAGGAUUCAGUGGUGCUGAUAUAACUGAAAUAUGCCAGCGUGCUUGCAAAUAUGCCAUUAGAGAGAAUAUUGAGAAGGUAUGAUAUUGCAGUGUUCAUAGAUACUUGGAUCAACUUUUUGUCACUUUGGAGGAAUGUAAAGACUUCUUUCUCUGGAUCCAUUUCUGAAUAAUCGUUGUUUUCUAAUCUUGCAGGAUAUCGAGAGGGAGAGGAGGAGAAGCGAGAAUCCUGAGGCAAUGGAGGAGGAUGUUGAUGACGAAGUAGCAGAGAUCAGGGCAGCUCAUUUUGAGGAGUCGAUGAAGUAUGCUCGUAGGAGUGUUAGUGACGCUGAUAUCCGCAAAUACCAGGCAUUUGCGCAGACAUUGCAGCAGUCAAGAGGGUUUGGAACCGAGUUCAGGUUCGCAGACAAUCCUUCUGGCACAGCCGCUGGAUCCGACCCUUUUGCAACUGUUGCUGCUGGGGCUGAUGAAGAUGACCUUUACAACUAGGAUAGUCUCUCAUUACGCGUCUUUUUCAUAUUUGAAUUUCAACUUUGCAUUUUGUAUUCCAUUGAUGAUGUGGUAGAACCGUGAAAGUGCCCAUUUAAUCACAUUAUUGUAUCCAGAAAGUCCUCGGGGUUUCCAGCCAUUGGGUGACCCCUGGAUACUACGAAGUUUAAAACAGUGUUAAUUAUUUUCUUUUCAGAUUAUAAUGGAUAAUUAAAAAACACAGCAGGUUUUACUUCAGGUGUUGUGAACAGUGUUUGAUGUUAUAUGCUAAUUUUUCACCUUGAGUUUUACUUUUAUAUUUUAAUCCCUAUUGUUACUUUUAUAUUUUAAUCCCUUCCCUGUUCGAUUUUGAUGCCUGAUUGUGAGAAGUCUUUACAAGUUUUUCCUUUUCUCGGUUAUUAUGAAUUCGGAGUAGAAUAGGAGAAAUUGGAUAAGAACUUUGGUAAAAGAUGAAGUAGCUGAUUUUGGUAGAGAUCUCUACCAAAGAAGAAUCCUGCUAUUGGAUUUGGAAUCAUCAAUAAUUUUUAGCUUUUCAACUUUCAAAAACCAUCAUUAGUUGAAGUAGGUACCACCAAUUACCUUUUGUUUUAAAACAAAAACAAAAACAGAGAAAUUCUCAAACAGAGAAAUUCUUCUUCCUCUCAAAUCUCACACUCUUGUUCUCUUAACAACUGCAUGCAGCAGCAUACUCAAACCUGAGAUUAACUUGACAUCUUAAAACUGACCAGCUCCUCCUUAAAAGUAAGGUGGGUUUGACAUGGCAAAAUUGACAAACUUGUAACAGAAAAAAAAAACUGCAUUAGUUAUAAAAAUGAGCCCCUCUUCGAUUUUACGUAGCCAAAACUUUUUCCUUGAUUCUAAGGAUACAUGCAUACUCGCCCUGCUUUUUCUGUCUGGCAAAAUGUGCAAAGUAUGAGUUCAAAUAUUAGAUUUCAACCGUUAAUAAUAAUAAUAUCAACUUGGCUCUAAUAUCGUAUUGAAUUCUCUCUCUCUCUCUCUCUCUCUCUCUCUCUCUCUCUUGUUUUAUAGCAUUUGGAAACUGAGCACAAUAUGGAUUUAAACAUAUCCACAACUGUAUAUACUCGUUUGAAAUCCUGAUCGAAUGAACUUUUAAAAAGAGAGCUAAUUUUCCCACUCUUCUUUUCUUUUCGUCACUUACACUCUCCUUUGCUUUUUAAUAUUUUUUAAUUAAUUUUGUUGUUUCUCUUUCCUAUUCUAUUUUUACCCUACAUUAAUUUCUUUUUUACUUCACUUUUAUAUUAUUUCUUUUUCUUUCUACUUAAUUUUUCAACUUACACUCCAUUUUUAGUAUUAAAGGGGGAAAAAAAUUCUUACUCGAUUAAAGGGAAAAAAAACUUAAUUUCUUACUUGAUUAAAGGAAAAUAAAAUAAAAAUUAAUUUCUUACUCGAUUAAAGGGAAAAAAACUUAAUUUCUUACUUGAUUAAAUAAAAAAAAUAUUGAAAAUGGAGUGCAAGUUAGAAAAUUAAGUAUAAAGAAAAAAAACUAAUAUAAAAGUGAAGUAAAAAGAAAUUAAUGUAGGGUAAGGGUAGAAUAGGAAAGAGAAAGAACAAAAUUGAUUAAAAAGUAUUAAAAAGCAAAAGAGAGUGUAAGUGGAGAAAAGAGGAGUGGGAAAAUCAUAUCCCUUUAAAAAUCCAUUAAAACCUCAAUAAAAUAUCAAGAGCGAGACAAGCAUAGCAGAUUAAGUUGACUUAGAGCACUUCCACCAUUGCAGUUUGGCUCGAGCAAAGGGGGCCCAAGCCCCAUAUCGCGCUUCCAAUGAGCUUCAACAGUCUGAGUAGGAGGUGGAUCCCAGCAAAUCGGGCAAGCUCAAAGGCAAAACGAGCCCAAGCUCGUGCCUUGGGGUUGCUGACAUCAGUAAUGAAAUUUUUAAAAAAAGAAUUUACCAACCAUAUUCUUCACUUCUCACACUAAAACUCUAUACAAAUUUCUCUUCUCAUAUCUCAUGUGAAUAAUGAUUGCCCUUGAAUUGUCAUGACAAUAAUUAAAAACAUAACAAGUCUUUUACAAGAGCUAUUACUAUUUACAUAAAUAGUAACAGAGAUUGCCUUGUCUUCGCCUUUUGUUAUGUCAAAUGAAUGGAAGUGUUGUAAGGAAUGCAGGGCAAUGGGAGUCAGGCCGAUUAAUUGUCCUUAAUAAAGCAGGCAUAAAACAAAGAAGAAAAGGUGGAGAGAGAGAGAGAGAGAGAGUAGUGAUUAGACCAUGCAUGGGGAAACAAGAAAUUAGUGGCACUGGCUCCUCAGUCCUCAUUUGUAAUGUCCUUGUGUCACGAUCCAUUGUUUUCUUCACUUUUUAGCUCUCUUUCUUUCUUGUCUUCGCCUUUUACAAUCUAAAAAGCACUCCACACCUUUAAAAUCGUACACAUAAUUAUUUGAUUUGAAUUUUUUUGUAAAAUUUAAAACUUUACACGUCUCUUUUAAACUUGGUUGUUUCAAUGUCUUUAAAAAAAUUAUUAUAAAGGGAAUCUAGAUCUUAUCUUUCAUGUGACAAGUGCAAAACUUUCCUGAAACAACCCCAAAAAAUUUCUGAUAUAUAUGACAGGAACAUGGUUAGUUGGCAAUCCUCUCAUACGGUAUUAAAAAAAAAACAUCAAAUCAUAUCAUAUACCAUUCAUAAUAAUGGUGUGAAAGAAGAAGCAACACCCCAUCUUCGACCUAGCUAGAUCGCAAUUAUGUCUCUUGACAAGCCCUUCUACCCCACCACAUUUCUCAUCUUGCUUCAUUUUUUCCUCCCAUCUUCGUAAGGGUUGCCCUACACCCCUGCACCCUACACAAAAGGGUCAUAUACCCUAACGUUAUGUGACUCAGCCAACACUUCACUCACCUAAAUUCAGACACAUAUGUUUCAUCUCUUAUGCCAGAUUCCUAAAUUCAAACAUCUUAAAUUCGAAAUUCUCUCAACAUAAAAACAACUGAGUGUUAAGUAAAUUGUCGGAGUUUUUUUAUUUUAAAAAGAAUAAAAUUUUGAGAUGGGCAUAGAUGGAAACUUCAAACUUGGUGAUCCGUGAUAGCUAUUUGGUAGUUGAUAGAAUUUGGCAAGAAAAUGAAUCAUGGGACAACUGAAAUGGUUGGAGAAGAUAACCUAAAAAGGGGUAAAGAGUAGUAGGGUUCUUCUUCACUGGCUGGCUGCGUGCUCCAGCUCUGCAGUACUUUUUGUUACAACUUUACACACACGUGCGGCUCCACGUGGUAGGUUGUGAAUGGUUGUUGCACGUCAAAUAUUGUGGCUUUUGCCAGAUGUAAACUCUGUAACAUCAAAUUUUCAACCAUGUCAGGAAUGCACGUGCAAUUAGCCCCCAACCAGGCCCCACACGUAAGCAUUUUGUUCUUGACUUUUACAUGUACAUCUUUAUGUUUUGUCAUUCCACCAGCCUAAUGUGAAGAGACAUGGUCUUUUGUUGUCUGAAUGAUAUUUUGAUCUCUUAUGUGUAUGUAAUACUAUGUAUAUAUAUAUACAAUCCCGAUUUCUUGAACCACAUGAGUCUAAGAGAUUGUGGUCACCUAUCUUUGGAUAUUAAUCCAAUGGUUCAAAAAAGUUUCUUAAAAGAAGUGCAAGAGUUAGUAAACCGUUGAAUUUAUAUCCAACGGUGAGCGACCACAAAUCUUUUGAACUCCUGUGGUCCAAGAGAUCGGGAUUGAUUACAAACUAAUGAUAAUUUGACACGUAUUGACUUGUUAAAGAGAAUCACUCAUUGAAAGAAAAAAAAAACGAGAAAUUAAACGAGCAUAAUGAAUUGUAAAUAAAUACAAUAAAGAAUGAUUUCUCACAUCUUAAGAGCUAAAUAGGAAUACUUAAAAAUAUAAUUUGAUGUACGCACAUAGGGUUUUGUGAACUAACUAAUUUGCGAUACCGCGCUGUCUCUUAUCAAUAUCUAUAUUUAUAGAGAAUUAAAGACAAACUUUUCUUGAAUUUUAAAAAGAAUUCUAAAAGCCUUGAAGUUUUAAGUUAGUAAGAAAAUGUGAUGACAACUUCAUGUGCAAAAACUUUGAAACCAAACCCACAAGCUAUAUUCCCAGCUAACUUGAGCAUCGAAUUAUUCACAUAUAUUAAAUAAAUCAUAGACGACACAUUUACAAUCACAAAAUGUGAUUUCUGAGUAUAAAAAAAAGUGAUGAAAUAUGUGUUUUAUAAAUAAAUAAAUAAAUAAAAACCUUAUGUAAUAUAUAUAUAUAUGUUUUUAAACCAACUAGAUGGUCGAUUAUAUGUGAAAGGAAAUGUCCCUAUCUAAAUUCAAACUCCAAAGCAUCGAUUUGAUUGAACUAAGGUCCUAUUUGGUUUAUUUUGGAAUGAAUUUGAGGGGAAAUCAUUUCUCAUGUCAUUCCCCAAUGAAUGGGAAUAGAAAAUUCCUUUCCCACAUUUGGUAAUACUGGAAAAGUAACAGGGAAAUAUCACUUUAUUUCAUUUUCCAUGUUUGUUUUGAGUAGGAAUGGAAAACAAAGUUUGUAUAAAUUUUCAAUUAUAUCCAUAUUAAAUCAAAUAAAAAAAGAAUGCAUUUAAUGAUAUAUUGUAAUUCUAAAUUGUAUAAAAAAUAUAUAUUUAAUGUUAGCUCAUUUUCUCAAACUUUCUAAUGAGGAGGGAAAACAAAACUCAAGUUAGUAGGAUGACUUCACUUUCCCCAUACUUUCCUAUGAGCCAAACAACAAUUUCCCAUAUCUAGACUUACUAAACAUGAUAAAACAAUUAAUUUCCUAUUCCCAAAUCUCUUUUUUUAUAAACCAAAAUGGGACCUAAGUAUGUGAAUAGACGGUAAAAACAUUAUGCCGGGCGAAGUUAGGUCGGUGAAGAAGACAGCGGACAGUAAUUUACCAAUAAUCUGAAGGUCAAAAUUGGGUGGGACCCAUCCAAACGUACCUACAGGGACAAGAGAAGGCCGCACGAGGGGGUGGGGUGGGAGGGGCACUUUUCAGCCACAGGGGAUCGUACCUCCUCCCUCCUAUCUCACUUUGCUAUCAAUGAUUCUCGCUGUCUGCUGUGCUGACCUACGUAGUGGGCCCCAGCUCUACAUCCAUCGCCAUCGGCCCAUACAGUCUCUUUAUAAUAUUCACAAAUAAUAAUAAUUAUUUUUUUUUUCAUAUAUUUUUAUUUUCACUUCUUAAUUCUUAUGUUACUUUUCUUUUUAAUGUGAAUCAAAUGCGUGAUGAGAUGAUUUAUGAGAUCAAUCCAUAGGGUAGUCAAAGUGAGGUUCAUUCAUCUUUGAAAAUGACUGUAUUUAUGAGUGUCUCAAGUUCAAGGGCAAAUUCAUGAAUUUUUCAAGAAGUUGGCCAAAAAAAAAUCUAUAUUUGGAGAGAUCUUUUAUAACUAGGAAUUUUUGGGCUAAUUAAUAUUAUAUGGUAGGAUUAUAUAAUUUUUUUUUUUAUAGAAAAUAUGGUAGGAUUUCAGUGGGUAGAAGAAAAUAAAAUCUAAUUUGGGUGGCUAGGAUAGAUUGAAUUUUAAAAGAUAAUUGAGUUAAUAUUUAAUUGUAGUGGAACGGACUAAAGCUCAGUUAAGCCCCUUUGUAGGUCCGUCCUUGCCCAAAUUUGACUAUAAGACGGUCACAUGUAGAAAAAAUAACAAAUUUUCAUUUUACCUUAAUGUUAGCUUAGCACAAGGAAUUCUUAAAUUUUUCGACAAAAAAAGAAGAAGGACUUCUUAAUUCUAAAUAAUGCUUUUGGGAUGCGCAUAUUAUGAUAUUAUUAUAACAUUAUAUGGUAGCUUACCAAAAAGUCUAAAAUGAUAUGUUAUAUGUUAGUAUAAAGGGUACUUUGAUCAUUAUGUAAUUGUGUGUCUCUUCGAUCAUUAUGUCUUUAUAUCUUAAUUCAUAAAGUCUAAUAUGAGAGAGUAUAAAAUUUUAUAAAAUAAGUUGUAAUGUAAUUGUGUGUCACUUUGAUCAUUAUGUCAAAGUACCUUUGGUUUUCCUUCAAAACUUAAGGGUACAAAUGUCCAUCCAUGUUGUAUAUACUUCUCUAACCUCACGCUUCUCAUAUUUUAUUUAUAUAGGUAAUAAAAUAUGGUGUGAGUAGAUAUUUAUGCUCUUAAAAAUGAUAGAAAAAUUAAUAAAUUACGACGAAAGGAUCAAAAUGAUAUAACAUUAAAAGUGUGAAUCGAGGAAUAGUUGAAAGACCAUAACAGUGAGUAAUUCAAAUUGAAAAUCUAAGUUAGGUUUGACAUUUUGAUAAGUAAGCAUUUCUAAUGCACAAGUUUUACACUCUCUCUCUCUCUCUGCGGGAGCAAUCACAUUUUGACAUGAAAAACUUGCGUGAAAUAUUUUUUAUUCACUUUAAAGUCGCCAUGUUGGCAUGUCUAUUUCUUGUUUGUGAUGUAUAGUAAAAAGUUCUAUGUUUACAUCCAUAUUACAUCAUCUUCAUCUCUCAACACUAUUAUUAUUAUACGACUCUAAUGAGUUUAUAAGUUAAUAUGAUGUCAACUUCUCGUUUGAGGCCCCUCUUACAAAAUCGUCUACUUUUUAAGUGAGCAAGUAUCGCCAAAUUAGCAAUUGCUUUUGUUAUUAUAGGAAAUGUAUGUGGUCUUACUUCUAUUAUUGACAAGUAAGAGUGAUCUGCAUAUGCAAUUGCAUGCUUCGUCCGGACCAUAAAUUCUUGUUGCAUGCCAAGGAACAUUAAAAAGAAAUGAUGAUGGGCUUUGAGGACACACAUGACCCUAAAAACCUAACUAACAAUUUAGAAUAUAGUCCAAAGAAAAUAAUUAUCCACUUGUUUCCUUGCUCCUGUCUGGUGUUCCCUAACCAGGAGGCCUCUUAUUGGGAUUAGACUGUCCGAAUUGACAAAUCAAUUAGGAUAUUGUGGGUAUUCGCUGGAAUGAUUAUAAAUGCAUUAAACUAUAAAUUAUUCCCCUUUGUCCAUUUUUGGAAAAGUAAUUCAUAUUUGCAUGCAUUAUACCAAUAUUCUGAAAAUAAUACUAUUUUUAUUUGUAAAUUUUUUUCUUAUAAAAAAAAAAAAAGCCAAAAAGCCAAAAAGCGAUGACGAAUUAAGAACUGGAAUAACAAGCUUGAGUAAAAGAAUAUAGCAGAACGCUGAGAAACAAAAAAGGACCUGUAUAUAUGGAAAUUCAUAAAAUAAAACUAACAGAGAAUUUGGUUGAAAAUCAAAUCAUGAUGUAUAUAAACCUGAAUUGAUUUGUACGCCAUCAUAAUAUCCCUAUGAACCCACCAAAAAAAAAAAGGAUUAUGCAUUAUUAAUUCAGACCUGGUUUUUUUAUGAUUAAAUAUCUAAAUAUCAUAAAUCCAUUCAGUUUUUAAUAUAAUUAGGAGUUUAUAUAGUUCAUACAAUACAAUGAAUAUAAAUGGAUGAUGAUAAUUACACAAACCAAGAGAAACUGAUCACCUUGAGAUCAUAAUUAGCACCAUUAAAAAAAAAUUGUAGAAGAGAGAGAAGAAGAGGAAGAAGAAAAGUGAGAGAAAAACCAAUAUAAAAAAGCUAUGAUAAAAUAAAAAUACAGUGGACAGAUCUUAUUGGCUCCAUCAAAUUGGAAACAAAGUUCAUGAACAGCCUUCAAAUAUACUUCUAUACAUAUAUAUAUUUAAGCAGAUUAAUAAUACUAGAAAGAGAAAAAGAAAAUUAAUUAAGAAAAAUGAACUAACAAGCUAGGUAGGUAGGUAGGUGUGCCUUGCUAUUAUAUCAGGGUUCAUUACGUUCGUGCCAGCAGAGGAGCAUUGCUAUGCAGCGCCGGAGGAUGUAGAAUUUAGUCCGCUGCUUCUUCAACAGGUGACGGCACUUUUUCCCGAACGGCGGCCUCUGGCAGCCGGAUUCACACUCUCCGUUCAUCAUGUUCAUCUGCGCAUUUUGAUUGAAGCUUGUAGUUGUACUAGUAGUAGUGUUACUUUCGCUUUCCUCCACCGCCAGUGCCAUAUUGACGAAGACUUGAAAUUCAAAGGUCUGAUCACUCUCACCAGCUUCUGCUGCACUGCUUCUAGAUUUGUCACUACUAGUCCCACUGAGCAGUAAAUAUAUACACAUGUGAAAAGGUAAUACAUGUAUCUGUCUCAUGAUUCAAACUGUUUACUUUUACGUCAUUGUUGAAGCAUUUAAUUAUCUACGUGUGACUUAAUGAAUAAAUGAAACAUAAUAUUUCUGAUAAUCAAGUGACUAAACAAUCCUGACUUGGAUGAAAUUUUAAAAGGAAGAUAAUCUUUGAAUGAGGAACUAAACAUUGAAUUGUUUGGAUUAUAAAAUUAUAUUGUGAAAUAUGCACAUUUAUUCAUCAAAUAAGGUGACAAUUUUUUCUUCUUUUAUUUAAAUAUGAACUCAUUCAUUCAGAAUCUCUUUUAAUUCUAGUAGAUAACUUACAGGUGCAACCUUAGUGAAUAAAUUUGAUGGCUCUACAAUAUAAUUAAUUUUUAUUAUUGGAGAUUGCGGGGCCUGGGGUUAGAUUAAGUAGAAGAAAUGAUGGGAGCCAUUGGUGCAGGCAGAAGAGAAAUUUUUAAUAUGGGUUGGAUAUGAACUGUGAACACUGCAAACCCACCAGCUGUCAGGAGGAUAACAUAGCAUAUGAAACAUAGAAUGGGCCAAGUUUCCUGCCAUUUUUGUUACCUGAUAUGUUUUCAAUUAAAAAUUCACCUUGACCCCCUCCAAAGUCCUCCACAGAUCAAGUGUCUCAGUACUGCAAAUAUAUAUAGUAAUUCUCUACACAUUAUUAUCGUAUGGAUAUUAUAGUAAAUAAAAAAAAAAUAGAAAGGGGUAAUAAAAAAUAUAUGACGUCCGUACGAUACUAACAUCUAAAUAUCCGCACAAGAAAAUUUAUGUACAUAUAUAUACAUAUUAUUUAGGGUUAACUGCCCCCUACUUCUACUACCAGUAAAAAAAUUUCAAGUGAAAGAAUAUAACAUCAUGCUUUAAGUUUUCAGGUAACUUGAAGUUUAAAUAGGAGACUAGUACAGUGUUACAUUAUUUUGGUCAAAGAAUUGCAAUAGAAUCCUUGACCCCCACCCGACACCCAUAAAUGCCCUCAACUCUAGAGACUGCUGUAUAUAUGUGUCACUUUCGUUUCAUUUUAUAUUUAUUCUUUUUGACACAGUUAGAAAGGAGGAGGGAUAUUCAUACACGUAAACACGGUGUCAUACGGAAUUUAACUGUAGAUCACUAGUCUGUAUGUCAACAAUUCUACCAUUAAUUAAAAUCCUAUUGACCACGUGUGCAAAUAUUUUAAUAAAUAAUUUUUGCAUAUAUGUCAAAUUCCGAUUUGCAGAAAGAGGACAAAAAGUGUCUCUAAAUUGAAAACCAGAGGGGGGGCAAAACAAAUUGUGGAACGAUCUCCUCCGCAUAUAUAGUCGUUCUUGGCAUUAGUACCACAGGCAAGUAAUGGAUAUCAUAGUUCAUUAGGGUUAAGAAAAGUGAAGCUCGGAAGUUUUUAAGAAAAUGCAGGCAAUCAGUGGCCAAGAUACCUCAGCUUAUCUGUACGACUGUGAAUUGUCCUGAUGACGUUGAUUUUGUUUUGUGAUGCCUUCUGCUGACCAAGCAAAUUUAAUUAAAGGCUCAAGAGCAUGUACAUGGGUCCAGCCAUGUGCUAAGCCAGAGGGUUUUUUAAAUUAUAUAUAUAUAUAUUUAUUUAUUUAUCUAUUUUUUAAAGGCUUUGAGCUAAUAAGUGUUCUUGGGCCAGCUACAAUCUGCUUUGUGUAUUUAUGUAGAUCACAGUUUUACAGUUACCUAGCCACAGAGUGCAAUAGGUUAAAUUGGCUAAAUAGGUAAGGUAAUAGGCUAAACUAGUCAAUAAAUUAAUGAUGUCAUAUAAUUAUUUGAUUCUGCAGCUAGCAGCUAUGCUACUCUUCCUUUACAUUAAAUAGAAGAAAAAUUUUCAUGUAGCUGAUGCCACACUACAAUCACGUGUUGAAAAAGCACGUGGCAGUGUGUGAUUUGCCAAAUGGCAUCCCAAGUAAGGAUGAGCAUCAAGAUCAGAAAACUGGAACAUUGAGGCGCACUGGCAGAAAAAAAUCGUGUUAACUAAAAAGUCAACAAAAUAGCACCAAAUCGAUUCCAAUGCUAAUUUCACAUCUUACAAAAUUGGACCGGACUAAACUGGCUGUGUAUUUUUUUAAAAAUAUUUUUAAAAAUUAUUUAAAUCCAAUGCUAAAUUUAUAAUCCCGUAACUAAUAUUUCUCCAAGCACAACUUCAAAGCCCAUAAUCUUUCUUUGCAUGAAAUUGGGUCAUUUAUAAAUUUUUAAGUCCACAAAAAUAAAAUUUUAGUUGAAAUUGUAAAAAUAUAUAUAAAAAAUCCAGUCCAAAACCGAACCCGAUUUAAAAUGGAACGAUCAAUUUUAUAAAUGUUCUUCACCAAAAUUGGAUUGAACCGCACCGAUUGAAUUGUAUCGAUUCCAGUAUUAAGUGGAAACCAAACUGAACUGGACUGCGCCCUCCCUAUUCCCAAGUGCAAAGAAGUUCCUCUCCUAUCUCAUAAGGACUUGGACACAGUUUAAUGAAUAAGAUUUAUUAGAAACCUCUCAAGCAUGCCUAGAAAGUGAUUUUUCCAUAACAAUUCUUGACUAUGGCUCUCUAAUUACAUGCAAACUAAAUUUCUUCUUACAAAUCAAUUACAAUUUGAUGCGGUGUGUGGACUCAUCAAGUUGAAUUACUCAUUAAGAAAAGAAAAAGAAAAAACACAUGACAAAAUAAGAGGGAAAAAAAACACACUUCAAAUUGUAAUUGGUUCGUAAAGAGAGAAAAAAAAGAAAAGGAAAACACAAAAAAGGAGUGCUAAGCAUCAAAAUAAUUAAUGAUGGGUAGGUACAUGAGAUUUCUGUUGCACCUAAAAAAUGUGACUAGAGAGAGAGGAACACCCUUUAACAUGAAUUUUACAUAUUUAAAUCACAGCAAAUUAAAUCUUCAAAAAAGACUUUUUGUAAACUUGAAGUGAGAGAAGUGUUUGGUGGGUUAUUUUGUGGCCAUGGUUCUCAUAAUAAUUACAGGAGGGCAAGUCACCCCUGAGAUUGAAACACCACAUUCUGCAACAAUUCUUGAUGUGAAGAGGGGGAUUGAGGAGCGUUUGAAUGUUGAGGUGAAGAGGCAGACCCUGUGGCUAGACGAAAUAAUGCUGCAGGAUGAGGACAGAGUUGGAAAUUACUUCCCCCAACGAUAUGGUGUUUUAAGACUCAGUGUGACACCUUGGCCUGGAGACCCAAAAUGCAUUAUUUGGGUGAGGAAUAAAAACGAACAUUUAGGGUUUGUGAGAAUUAGAGAAACAGUCAUGGUGGCUGAUCUGAGAAGCAAAAUUGAGAGGCGUUGGGGGAUUCUGAGUGGCGUGACUAUGUUCCAUCUUGAUACGGAAAUGAUCGAUGACCGUCCUCUUUCUGCAUAUUAUAUAACUGACAAUUCUGUAGUUGAAAUUAAAAUUGAGAUUGAAACUCGUUAAUUGAGGUAUUUAAAGAUAAUAUGGUGAUAGUUAACAAUAAGUCUUUGGUUUUUUGGUUAGAAGGAAGCUUGAUAUAAUAUGGAAAAGUUCAAAAAUAGAUGAAAUCAUAUCAUAUGGAGAACUUAUAUAUCUAUCCCCUAUUAUAACAUAUUUGUAUGAGAUUAUAAUAUCAUAUCAACAUGUUAUGUGGUGUUACAAUUUGAUAAAAUAUGAAUUACAAAUAGAGAUAUUUAGUCAUAUACCCAUUCUUAGCACUAGUAAUAUAGAUAAACCCUACAUCAUUUAAUUUCUAAUUUUGAUUAUUAAAUCACUUUGAUGUCCUAUUGAGUGUUUUGAGUUUUUUUAUGAGGUUUUGAGAUUGAGUUUGUUUUAAGAAAUCAAUGGUAGUUUUGUAAUUUAUAAGAAGUUAAAAACCUCAUUGUUAUGUGUAAAUGAGGUUUUGGUGUGUUUUGAAAGUCCAUUUCAUAUAAAUUUUUUAAUAAUUUGAGCUCCUAUAUUGGGUAUAAUAGUAAAUAUCUCUUAAAAAUAUUCAUAUUUGACUAAUUACAUAAUUUUGAACCGGACCAUAUAAAAAUCCGACCUAUUGACUAGGGAUAACGGGUCAAAAAAUAGAAGAAGAUGAACGGCCACGAUCGUCUGAUCGGUUUGAUCAAUGCAACCACAUUUAUACCCGCUAAAAUUGACCCCUUUCUAAACAGAUCUUCUAAGCAAAUCGAGCUUUAGACUAAACAGAGCUUCUUCUUCUUCUUUGCUUUGACAAACAAUGUCUUCUCAGAAAACCUUCAAAACCCUGAAGAAACUCUUCCCAACAGACCCCACAUUGAUAUCCAACCAAGAAAUUGCUAAGAAGAUUUCUAAAACCCUAAUCAAUUCAGGCCUUCAACCCCUCAAAUCCACCCCAUCUCUGCUCUUCAAUCUCAACCCCCACAUAACCAACCUUGUCCUCUCAAACCCACUCGUCCCGCCCCUUUCUUGCUUGAGCUUAUUCAACUUUCUCCAAACAAACCCAUCUCUCACUUCCCACAAGCCCAAUCUUCAAGCCCAUGUAGCAAUCAUUUGCAGGCUCUAUCAAGCUAAGAAAUUUGCCCAAAUGAAAAUUGUAUUGAAUGGUAUUGUCUCCAAUGAUAUUCUUCGAUGCCCUGUUUCUGAAAUUGUCUCUUUGGCUGAGGAUGAGCGUAAAGGAGUGAAAUUUGUUGAGACAUUGUGUGAUAUGCUGUUCAGGGUUUAUGCAGAUAACAAAAUGUUUGAGGAGGCUGUUGGGGUUUUUGACUAUGCGGAGAAGAAGGGGUUUGAGAUUGAAGAAAGGUCCUGCUUUGUGCUUUUGCUUGCCUUGAAGAAAUGUGGUCAGGUGGAUUUAUGUUUGAGGUUCUUUGAUCAAAUGGUUGAAAAGGGUGUUCAAAUCACUGUUCAUUCAUUGACGCUUGUGAUGAAUGAGCUUUGUAAGAGAGGGGAGGUGAAAAAGGCAAAGGCUUUGAUGGGUGAAAUGGCUGGUAGACAAGUUAAGCCUAAUGUUGUUACAUAUAACACACUUCUGAAAGCAUACAUUGAAAGGAAGGAUUUUGAGGGUGUUAAUGAGGCCUUGAGCUUGAUGGAGAAGGAUAGUGUGGGUUAUAAUGCGGCAACAUGCACGCUUUUGAUUGAUUGGUUUGGUAGCUGUGAAAAGAUUGAAGAUGCUGAAAAGGUGUUUGAGGAAAUCCAUGAGAGAGGGAUAGAACCAGAUGUGUAUCUUUAUACUUCGAUUAUUAAUUGGAAUGGUAGAGUGGGAAAUAUGAAAAGGGCGUUGUUUCUGUUCGACGAAUUAACUCAAAGAGGCCUUGUCCCGAAUGUUCACACUUACGGGGCAUUGAUUAAUGGUGCGUGCAAGGGUGGACAGAUGAAGAUGGCAGACAUCUUGGUGAAUGAGAUGCAAAGUAAAGGCAUUGACGUAAACCAAGUUGUGUUUAAUACGCUGAUUGACGGGUACUGCAGAAAAGGGAUGAUGGACGAAGCUCUAAGGCUGCAGGAUUUCAUGGAAGGGAAAGGCUUUCAGACUGAUGUGUUUACUUACAGCACUAUAGCUAGUGGAUUGUGUAAAUUGAAUAGGAAUGAGGAGGCAAAGAGUUUGUUGUUCACAAUGGAAGAAAGAGGUGUGGCUCCAAAUGUAGUGUGUUUCACUACUCUAAUUGACAUAUUCUGCAAGGAAGGAAACUUUGUCGAGGCAAAGCAGGUAAUUCAAGAGAUGGAAAGGAAGGGAGAGAGACCUAACACUGUAACAUACAAUGCUCUAAUUGAUGGGUACAUCAAGAAAGGUAAGAUGAAGGAAGCUCACAAGCUAAAGAAGGAGAUGGAAGACAAGGGGUUGAUGCCAGAUACGUAUACGUAUUCAUCGCUUAUACAUGGCGAAUGUAUUGAUGGCAAGGUGGAUGAGGCACUGAAAUUAUUUCAUGAAAUGUAUCAGCGGAAUUUAACUCGUAACGUCGUCACGUAUACAGCAAUGAUUUCAGGUUUGUCUAAGGAUGGGAGAACAGACGAAGCUUUUAAGUUGUAUGAUGAGAUGAAAAGAGAAGGCCUCACACCUGAUGAUAGAGUAUAUCAUUCACUUGUAGGCAGCCUUCAUACAGCCAAGUCUUAACUCUAUGCACUCAUAUAAUUUUUUUUUUAUGUGACUAUCCUCUCUCUACCUGAAAAAAUUCAAACUUUCUUUGCCUAGUAGAGUAAGUUGCUUGAAUUUGAAAGAAGGAUUUAAAAUAUAUGAACUAUAAAGAAUGGAUGAAAUAACUUUGGAUUGGUAAAAUAUACACAAAUAGGUUUGCCUAAGAUUGUAAAUUCGAAAUGCGCAGUUCAAGGAAGUCCUUGAGCAAAAUUUGAUCAGUUGGCUUCUGCUGAAUGACACAAGAAGCGCCCACCCCUCAAUUAGGAGUGCUAGCUUUGAAUAAAAAUGUGAGAAAUAUACAAUAACUUACAGUAUAGAGUUUCAACUCUUCUACAGUAGAGCAAAGAAAGCCAAUAUUACAACUUUGGAGCAUUGAAACCUAGCCUCCGCUAAGCUCCAAUGUUUUUGACCCUAAAGCCUAAGUUGUUCAUUUUGGACGUUCUCUAUAUUCCAAGCCUCAGCUUGCUGUACAAUCAGCUCCAAAAACUGGGAGCUCAACAGCUGAACUCCAGAUUUCCUUAAAAGAUACCAGAAAUCGAACCGACGGAGUAGAUACCAUAGCCUUGUGCUGCAUUUUUAAACAAGUAAAGGACCAUAAGCCCCAAGCCCUUGGCUUCCAAGGGACUGCCUGAGCUUCAAGAAUGCUCGGCUCUCCAGCUGCCGCACCCGCUCCUUGGACAAUCCAAACAUGCCACCAAUCUCUGAUAGUGAUCUCUGCUUGCCAUCUUCAAUGCCAUACCUCAGCCUGAUUAUCUCUCUCUCUCUUAAAUUGAGGAUGCUUAGGAGGUGGCGCACAUGUUGCCUCAUCAGCUGCUUUGCUACACUCACAUCUGGGAUCUCAACCCCAGUGUCAGCAGUUACCUCCUGUAAUUGUGAAAGAAAAAAAUGUUUGCUUCUUAAACCAUUGGAGAAACCAUGCUCAAUAUAGUCCAACAAAUUACAUCACGUUCAAAAUUGAGGUUGUAUACAGCCAAAUCAUAUACCAGAAAAGUAUGAGAGAGAGAGAGAGAGAGAGAGAGAGAGAGAGAGAGAGAGAGAGAGAGGUAUAUAAGAAAAUCGAGACAAGAAGAAUCUUUACCUGAAAGGUAGUAUCUUGGUCAGCCCAGACUGGUUGUUGCAUUGAAAGUGGCAUUCUUGUAGCAUAUAGCAACUUUUCCAACUUUUCAACUGUAAUACCAACCCGUCUCGCUAGUUCUUCUUUGUUUGGGUUGUGAUUUCCUUCCUGAAUGCAUGAUUUCUUUGCCUCCAAUACUUUGCCAAGGAGGCUGUACACAUUCUCCUGUGAAUAACUGUCAUAUUCAGUAAAGUUCUUUUUGCUUUGCACACGCUACGAAAUAGUUAACUUUUGAGUAUUCAGACAUGGGCGAGGAUUUAGUAUAUUAGCAAGGUAACACUGUAGAUUUUCCACUAUAGCGAAAAGUGGUGACGAAACUAAGAAUUCAAGGUACAGAUUUCAAUGGCAACAGUACUUUUCCUCAUCAUCUGGAUUAACCAAUUCAAUAAUUUUCAUUCUGUUGCAAAAUCCUAUGGAGACAACAGAAAUUUUUCAGAACAGGAUACAAUCAGUUGACACAAAAGAUAGAUACUUAAAGAAGAAUCUCAUUGCAAAGUAGAUGGAGACAUGGUAAUUUUUUCAUUACCGGCAAGCGGAUGGUCCUGGAAUGUUGAAAUAUGGCCUUCCUAACUGUUUGCCUUAUCCACCAGUAUGCAUAAGUAGCAAAUCGGCAACCAGCUUGGGGCUUGAACUUCUCAACACUCUUCAUAAGACCCAUACUUCCCUCCUACAAAAGUGUCAGAUAAACAUAGAAAAGCAAUUUAAUUCUCAAGUCCAGGCCUUAUUAUAAAAUCAAAAUACUGCUCUUUGGUUGCAAUGAAGUUUUCUGAAAAGAAUUCUUGUUUAACCUCCAAUACAACCUAACCAAACAAUCAGAUAGAGCAUGUGUAUAAUAUAUGCCAUCCUAGGAGGUGCUGACAUUGCCGAGAUGAAUGCAAUAAUAUCCAUUAUCUGAUCAUGAAGGAUACAGACGAACAAUAGUUGAUCCGAACAGAUGGCACAAAUUUAAAAUUUCAAUCUGGCAUGUAGGAGUUCCGAAUGCAAUUUCAUGAUCUAAUACAAUGCUUUACUGUAUUCAAGUAAGCAAAAAAGAAAAAACUUUGGCGUAGAAGUCAAAAUUUUGUCGGUAAGAUGUGGUCUGUGUAACAAAAACCGUCAAGUCUUAGCCCUAAGGACUACAUAUAAGAAAGCAUGUCCCAAUGAAAUUACCUGCAUUAAGUCCUGGAGGCCAAGACCUCUCCCUUGAUAUUGUUUAGCAAUGUGAACCACCAUACGUAAGUUAGCAUAAAUCAGCUUUUCACGGCUGCUGGUACCAGAGCGAAGCUGUGAUUUCAAGAUCUGACAACUAAUUCCAACAGCUUCAGCCCAUUCAAUCAAAGUUGGUUCACGGCCAAACUGUGUUUGAAGUCUACUCUUCACUUCUUCUAACUUGAAUAAAUCCUGUUACAUAAUUCGACACAUGAAUGCAGUAUCAGACCCUAUAUAAACAAGUAAUCCAAAAAUCAGCAGACAAACAUUACUUAGAUAUACACCUGAACUCGGGCAAUCAAUUCUGCCUCCUCUUUAGCAGUCAAAAGUUGUCUUGUUUCAGGACCCCACAAGAACAACCGCAGGGGAUCAUUUGGAUUAAAUCCUUCACUUAUCUUUUUCCGCACAUCUGAACCUGUAAAACUGUUUGACUCGUGACCUAUAACUUUUGACUUAGGCACCUUCCUUGUCUUAAUUCGCUUGCGCCGCCUCUCUAGAAUCCGGGUUGACCUUACAGUUUUCUCCUCCUCAACUAUCCAGUUGGCCAAACUUGUAUACCCCAAACUAGACAAAAAUUCUUGACUUCAGUUCCAAAGGAAUUUGAUAGGGAAAUCAUAAUGAAACAAGGAAGUAACACAAAACUGACCCCAGAGAAAGAGACUCGUCAAAAUCAGCUCCCAUUGAUUGGGAGUCUUCAGCUAAUGAGGCUGCUUCUCUGGAGGCUGACAAAGCUUUCUUAGCCAGGGCAACUACGUUACAUGGUUCCACAUCCAUAUGCUUAUUGGAAGCAGUGGUCAAAGACUCCAGAGUCAAAGGUGUGGAUGGCUUUGCUCCUGUUUGUAAGGAUGAAAAUCUGCAAGGCAGAGAUACAACAUGAGCAUCACAUAAGGAUGCAAUUUGGUAAUAAAAUUGCAAUCACCUGAAAAAAGAAAAAAAAGAAAAAAAAAGGAAGAGGAGUUUUAUUCAUCUUACACAUCUAAAAUAUCAUGGUUAAGCAAUUGGGGCUUAGAGCUGUUCACCAACGGGUAAAAGUCAUCAAUGUCUAAAUCUUCAUGGACAGAGGCCCCAGUCUCUAUCUGCAUCCUAUCUAACGCAGCCUAAUUAAAAAACAGAAAAUGGAAAUUAAUUAGGAGUUUCCCAGGAGAGAAAUAGAGACAGCGUAUGAGUCAAUUUCUAAGAAGUAAGGAAUACCAAGUAGGUGUGUGAAAUGGUAAAUGUGUAAGAAAGAAGAAGCCUCUCAAAAUCUUGAAUUAUACAAAUCAAUGGUGGCAUUUUAAAAAUGAAAAUUAUUAUCAUCAACAGGCAUAAUUUCAAAUGAGGGAAAACAGAAGUUUGAGUAAGGAGUUUUACGCCAUUGAGGAUUAUUCAAUUUAUACGCAGUACACGUCUAAAGCGCACAUCUGAUCUAACUUAUAUGCAGAGCAUUUCUACAACAGAAGUCUAACCUCAGAUGUUUUAUCUUCUUUCAGUACAUGCAAUAGAGGCUUGAACUCAUCACGCUGCUCUUGUAAAAGAACCGAGGUAGGAAAAUGGCGAGCUACAGAUGUAAUCGGCACAGAAGUAACUGCAGGAACUGCUUGCUCAUGAAGCAUCAACACUGAAAAAUUAGGAGAACCAACAAGCCUGACGUUAACCAACAAUCGACAAUAGGGGGGGUAAACCAUCCCUUACUCAAACAUUUUUGUAGACAAUUACUAUCAGCAUAAUAAUCUGCAUCUCUUCAUGAACUCCAAUAGUAUCAGACUCUAAAGAAUUAACUUAAGUAACUCAGCAUCUCAAUUCUCAUUCUAGAACCUUUUAUCCUAGAGGGAUAAACACACAAUCAUUCACACUCCUAUGCAAGUAAGCGCAGGAAAAUAAUCUUUUUUGAGAACUGUUUCAACAGGAAAUAGAAUAUAAAAAAUAUCCGCUACUUCCAAAUGUAGCUCUUGCAUUAGUAUUUUACGUUGAAAAGAUUUAUGCUAAUAGUCUUUGUUCAACAAUUUAGCGCAUCAAUUCAAGUUUAAGGAAUAAAAAUCAAACACAACAAUUAAAUAUGUAAAACCCAUCUCAGAAACACAAAAGCUCAACAUACACAGUUGCUGUAUUGGGAUUAAACACAAAGACCAAUCAUUCCCAACUUAUGUUUAAGCACCUAUGGCUGAAUUCCACAAACUAUAAACUUUCCCAGUAAAUUAUCAGCAAGCAAACAGAAUAAAUGAGAAAACGGAAAUAUUAAAGUAGUGAACUUUUUUUACCUGAAGUAGAGGGAGAAGAAGAAGGAAGAGGAUGCCUGAGGUGGGUUGUUGAAGGAAAGGCUGAAGAUGAAGAAAGAAAGUGUCUUCCAGCCUCCAUUGGAAGGACAAAAUAGUUAUUUAUCAGUGUAGCUAAGCUAGCCGUAUAUUCAAGUAAAGCGGUGUAUAUUCUGCCCUGCUGCUGUGUGUACCUUGCAUUGGCUUCCUGUGUUUUGCAGAUAAUGCAGCAGGGGAGGUUCUGCUCCUGCUUUCAGAGACUAUUUCACACCUCAAAAUCAUUUACUUUGUUUUCUUUCAAAUGGAUCAGGUUGGGCAAUUUUUCAUUUUUUUUUUUGUUCUUCAGUUUUGAAUGAAAAGAAAUCAAUAUCUUGGGCUUGACCGAAUAACACAGGCCUUGUUAAUGUAGGCCUAUUCUUUGGGAAGUUCCUGCCCAAGUUUGAGCAUAAGGGGCUUGAGCCAGAAUGGCUGACGGACCUCUAGUCUAAACCUGGGCCAUGAAAAGACUUAUCAGCUCAAGGCUUUUCUUGUAACCCAACCCGUAGUUGAUUGUCCAUCUCUUUUUCUCUGUGUCAUUUCUACAUGUGUGAAUUGUUGUUAGUCGUUGAUGCUGUGUGAGAUUCAAUUGCAUUAACAUCCGGUAUACAACUAACCACAUGUGAAUGACUGUCGCAAGCAUAUGACCUUUUUCUUUUGUAAUAUUAGUGGUGAUGUUUGGUUUAAUAGAAGGAAAAGGAAUGGAAUUCUUAUAGAAUGGACCCAAAAUUAAGAUCCAGAACAAGAUAUUGAGUCCGAGCCCACACCCCAAAACCCAUAUCCGAAACAAGGGUUGAAAUUUGAACUUAAAAUUUAAAACUAACAAACAAACAAGUCAUAAAAUGUUCUUAACAAACAAAAAUAUAAAUGCACUAACAACGAUCGCAAGAGAAUUAGGUAACAAAACUAUAAAUUCUCUUAUGACGGUAAGUUGGAAAAUUACUGAGAGAGAAGUCAUGCCAACACAAUGUUGUGCUGUAACCCACGAGCGAGUGGAUUUGGAAUUGGAUAGGAGGGGCCUUUGUGACAUUUCAGUCUCAGUGUCCGACAUUGGUCAAACUGUCAGAAACUAAACCACCAAACAAAAACCUGAAACACUGGUUACAAGCGCGUGACACGACAGAGAAAGAGGGGCCUGCAUCAGGCGCUUUUUCUGCUGAUAAAAAGACAAAAAAUAUCACACAGUAUUUUCGUUUUGUUUUUAUUUUUGUAUAAAUUAUUAUCUAUUCAUAAUUUAACAUAACAAAUUUUAUCAAAUUAAGAAAAUAUAUUUGUAUACUCCUUUUCUCUUUAAUACUUUUUUUUUUGGGUUAACUUUAAACAAUUAAAAAGAGAUGAAACAUAUUGAGUAUUUUUCAAAAAGACUGUGACCACUAAUUCUUAAAAAGGUGUGCUUAUAUUGAUACAACUCAGUAGGCUGAUUACAGAGUCAUGAUAAUAAAGUAAAGGUUAAGACGACACCUCACAUAUGAGUAGCAUGAGGGCAUUUUAAGUUCCGAAGAUGUAGAGUUAUCACGAACGACAGUCGUAAAUUUCAUGUACUUGAAAAAGUAUUAUUAUCAUUUUCCAUAUUUAAAUUAUUAUUUUCGUACAAGCCUAAUUGACAAAUAAAUAAAUAAAUAAAUAAAGAAGGAAAAUAGUGAGAGAGAAAUGAAGUGGGGAGUGGAAAAGGAAAGAGUCCAAGAAAAGACCACCGAAGCAAAACUAAUUCAUGCAUUUAUUCAAUGUAAGCUCUCUCUCUCUCUCUCUCUCUCUCUCUCUCUCAUCAGGUACCUGCUGCUCUCUUCAAACCAGCGCGUGUACCCCUUUUCCCAAAACAAGUUCAAAAACCAUGCAAAUCAAAACAAACCAAAACUCACUCUCUCUCUCUUCACUAGGACCCACCGAGCCCCGACGGGGGCCCACCAUCAACCCGCUCUCGCUGCCUUAUCCCCACAUUUCUCACUCACACGAGAAAUAAAAAGGGCCCCUCUCUCUGUGUGGGGUCAAUCGAAUUCCCCCACCCUCUCAAAGCCCUAAUUUCCCCUCUCUCUGAGCGCCCAAACCCUAAAACCACCACCACAACCACCACCCAUGGGCUCAGAGAUGGCCCUUGCCCCUCUACGCAACCACGAAGACCCGACCCUCAUCCCCACUGCCGUUUUGUCCUCCGCCGCCCUAGAAACGGCGUCGUCCCGUCAGCACUCCCAGCAAUCCAUACAAUCUCUACAGCCCAAGACACAUAACCAGCUCUCUCAGACCCGAAAGUCCGCGUCUUCCAGGGACCGCCACACCAAAGUCAAUGGCCGGGGACGGCGAGUCCGGAUGCCGGCCAUGUGCGCCGCCCGGAUCUUUCAGCUGACCCGGGAGCUCGGCCACCGCUCCGACGGGGAGACCAUCGAAUGGCUCCUCCGCCACGCCGAGUCCUCCAUCGUCGCCGCCACCGGUACCGGCACUCUCCCGGCCGAGCCGAUUUCGACCUCCGCCCCCUCCGUCUCCUCCCAAGUGCCCUCCCUCGCUUGCCGGGCCCACCCGCUCAGCUCCCUCAACGGCGGCGGGCAGUUCAUGUACCCGCUAGUGUCGUCGGCUCAUCAGGCUCAACCGAAUCAGCCGCAUCAGCAGCCGAGCAUUCGGCUGGACUUGUGCCAGCCGGCGGGGUUGGACUACACCGAGUACAGGCAGCACAUGCCGUUCACGUCGUUGCUGCUGCAUCCGGCGGAGAAUGAGGAGGAGGAGGAUGGGCAGCAGGAGGAGGCUCUGUGUCUUGAGGAUGGAUAGAUAAAGAAAAUGCGUGGGUGUGUGUGUAUAUCAAAGUAGAUAAAGCAAAUAGGAAGCAAGCAAUAGAGGGUGGGGUUGGUUGGGUACAAAAGGUGUAAGGUAUGUGAGUGUUGUGUGUGUUUUGGGGUUUUACGUUAAGAAGAAGAGGAGAGAAUAGGUUUUGGGUUUUUGGGUAGUUUAGACAAAGGCCCUUGCCUUUCUUUUAUGAUGUUGUUCAUCAAUGGUUUCUUCUGUGUAGUAAGUAGCAAGCAGUCUUGGUCUAGAAUGGGGGAGGAAAGAUUGGGGCUUUAGAGUUUGGCUCUUUAAUCUGUAAAUGUUCUUCUUCAAGGCGUCAUCAAAUCAAAUUUAAUAAAAUGAGAGUCUGUUUUGGCUUAAAAAUUUGGAUGAAUUUGUGUACUUUUGACUUCUCACUCAUGGAGGAGGAAGGAGAGGUGGACCAUGGUUAGAUUUGGACCCACCAUUGUUGUACUUUAUAAAAUUCAUUGACGCAAGCUGAGAGCUGUAUGUCUCAGUCUAAUCUUGUAAACCAACCUCAGGGAUAAUAAGAAACCAAAAAGCAGAAAAUCUAUGUUCUUGUGCUGUUGCCAAGAAAGCAGAGAAGCGCUUUUAUUCUAAGCUACAAUGAAACCUGAACUGUUGGCUUGGUUGCCAUUGAAACCAGAAGCAAAUGGUUGAUAAAUCUUUUGAGCUGCUCCUAAUACUCUGCAUUGCCCUGAAUUCAAAUGUGCACUUCAACGGCCAAGCAAGUAUACCACCACUCUGCACUGAAACGUAUACUUCACCAAUGGCCAAGAAGCAAGUGCAUGAUUUAUUAUGAAGCACAAAAAUGACAUAAUCAAUGGCGGAGCUUUCCGAUUUAGUUGGAAGUCACCGGCGGCAAUUCAUUGAAGAUUUGUAGAAUUUUAUUCUACAAUCACACGUUUAAACCGGGAAACUAAGAGCAUGAAACUGUACAAAUGAGGGUACGAUUAUUAAUAAAAGCAGAGUAUCAUUGGAUACAAAGAACCGCAUAUGUGGCUUUAGCAAUAGAUUGAUUCAACAGGAAUUACUUUGGUCCAAUCAAUCCCACUUCUGCUAUGGUCAGCAAAACAUUCAGAAAACAAUCCACACAAAGAAAAGUUAUUCAUCAACCAGUUUCAAGGAUAGCCUGAAACAAUUUGUAUCCUUCGAAUCUCUGUAUGCGUACUCAAGCAAGUGCAUAUAUUUCACUAUUGACCAAACAAACGAAUCAACUGUUCGAGAUAAAUGACUGAAAGGUUAUCAAAACCUUAGUUCCCCUCUCUAUAUCUCCAACAAAAAUCCUGAAUUUAACCAUAUACUAUAUGUCAAUAUACAGCGCCACAAUAUUUCCGCAAAAUUAUCGUGCUUUCCGUUUAUGACACCUGCCAAUUAUACACAAUUUUUGCAUAGACCAUGAAGCAUAUAUUUCACUUUUGUGUUCCUAUAAAAGCAUACCUGUACUAUGGAAUGCUUUCCAUGAUACUAAUGCAUUCAUUUUGGGUAUUUUUUUUUUUUUUUUUUGGGAAAGAAUUCAUUUCAAUUAUUUGAAAUAUCUUUGUACAUUCCAAAUCUACUGAACCGACCAAGCUACACGUGAAGAAAACAAUAAGCCGAAGGCCGAGGAAGAUUCAAUGAAACCCUUUCAACUCUGUUUUCUGAAAAUGUAUAAAUUCAUAAUCAUAUUGUAACUGGUUUGUUCCAAAAAUAUCAGAUGGUACUAGCAUGCGACUACAAAAUUCACACAUGCAAGCAACCAAAAUAAUAGAAAUUUAGAAACGAAAAAAUGGAAAAAGAAACUAACUUACUCUUACAAUGAGAUAAUCCAGCCUGGACGAACAUUGGAAGUGCAAAAAUAUGAGAUCUGAGCAGGUCCUGAACCACGAAUCUACAUGGUUUAAGCAACAUCAGCAACAACAGGAGGAGAAAUGUGCCUAAUGCCAUCCAAACAUUCCUAAUGUUUAUUCCCAAAUAUCCGCCACUUUUUCUUCUUUUUGUACUCACUUGAGGGCGAACCUGAAAUAAAACCAAAACCAUAAGUCAUGCGUUACAUUUAGAGGGAUAAUGUAAAAUCCUAAAGCAUGCAUGAUGGCAUUAGCGUCAGACAACUAAACCUAUCCAGACUUAGAUAUAUAACAAGUCAAUAUGGAAAGGGCUAGUGGAAGCUAGUUGCAUCUGAUUGCCCACAAAAGAUUCUUUACAGAAAAUCACACUUGAAAGUUCUCAGAUCGGAUAAAGAGCCUAUUAUGGUGUUGCGACUUCCCCCUCCCCGUCUUAUAGUUGGUAUUACACAUACACACCCCAAAGGAAAGGAGACUGUCAGUUAAUGUUCAGUCAAAGACUGUUGGCUAAUGAUACAGUGUUAUUGCUCCAACUGGUUGAGUUCAGCUGAACAAGUUAUCCAAAAUCCAAGUUUCAUUUUACUCCUUAUCCCUUUGCAUUCUACAGAUGUACAUGAAGAAGAUAAAAACAAUUACCUCCUUGAGGAUAAAUUGAGUUGUAAUGCACCUCUGCCCAGAAACUCAAAUAAAUAACUGCACAAGACAUAAGAGCUUUCUGUAAAGCUUAAUGGACGACAGAUAACUAAUAUUUAAGGAUAUCACAAUAAUUUUUAAUUGUUUAGCAAAAAUUCCAUGGGAUCUGUUCAUCAGAAGUAUAUGAUUAGGCUAACACGUGGAUUCAAUGAGAUAGUAAUAAAUUUGCUCAUUGUAAGAGAAAUGGAUUUAGAAACAAGACAAUAACAUGUGGAAUAUGGAAAUCUGAAUCAAUAACAGAUCUAGAAACUAUAUCACAUUUUAACAUACAGAUAACUGAUUACUUCAUAAAUCCAACUGUCUAUGCCCACAACAAAAACUAAGAGCGCAACGAGCUUACCUUGUUUUGAAGUUUGGAUAUUAGGAAGAAUCUCUAUGCAACAGUUAUCCUUAAAAGAAGUCAAGACAAAAAUUUUCACCCCAUACUGCAAAAAAUUAAUCACAAGAAUCAGUCAUUAUAUUAAUUACCACAAGUAUCAGCCAUUGUAAAAGAUCUUUCAUACCGAAUCAGCAGCUGCCUGCAAUGAAACAUGGUCACCCCACUCACCAUUCCUGGAUUCAUUCAGAUUGAUGGUUAUUAAUUUAGCCCAAAAGAUUAAUGACAGGAAAACAAGGAAACACUAUGAGUUCGAUUAAUACGUGGACAUCUUCUCCAAAUAGUCAUCAUAUGCCAUGGGAACAUAUCCCUCGUAAAUCUCCGGAUGAGACUUCAGCUGGUAACAGUAAACCAUCAAAGGAUAAACCAGAAUCCAUGGAAGAUACAAAAUUUCAUGGUCCUAAAGUUCAGUUGAAAGAAUUAGUAGAAUAUUUCCAAGAGAGCAAACCUGAUUUACGACUUGGCUUCUCACGUACUUGUGGUGGUCAGGUGUGUGAUACAAUUGGUCUGAUAAAGCAUGGAACUGGAAAAUUAAAGCAAAACAUGAGAUAAACAUGUGUAACCCUGAAAGAUGCUAAGAUCAAUAUACAGGAAUAAAAAUAAAACUGAUAGGUCCAAAUGAGAGCUACAAACUUGCUUUAAGGAAAUAAACAACAGAAACAGACAAAGGUACAGCAUGACUAACCUGGCAGUUUCCAUCUCCUUCAACCUUGCGUUCAAGGAAGCCAAAUAUCUGCAGUCUACAUUAAAAACGCAAGAAAAUAUUACAACAACAAAAAAAAGGACAAAACAAAUAAAAUGGAUUCUACUAACUAGGCAUUAUUGAAAUACAUACUACUAUAUUUAUAGAAAGGAAAAGGGCAGGUAUUACCUGUCAAGCAGCCUUUGAUGAUCUGAAGUCGCUUCAUCAAAUGAAGGAAUUUCUCCAUUAAUUCUAGGAAUAUGCUAAACCAUAUGAAGGACAAAGUUAAUACUGGUGUCAACAUUUGCAAAUCACGCCAUAUGUUGGCAGAAAAGUAGCAAUCCAAAUAUACAAUUAGUACUCAUGAAUUUGCAAAAUGUAUAAGUUUCUUUUGGGUAGGGGUGGCGGGGGAGUGGGCAGGUGGGAGGAAAUUCACAUGAUCAACCAAAAUGCUAUUGAAAUAUCUACGUAAAUUCCCAUGUACAUUCCCUUCUCAACGUCAGAUUGUCAGCUAAACUUUAUAAAUUGAUAUAGAAUGGCUAACAUUUCCUAAAAGGCCAAUGAUGACUCUUUAAAACUGUUUAAUAACAAAAACAUGAUGAAGCAUUUGAGAUUACAACAUGGUGAAAAAUCUGGACAGCAUAAACUUACAGGAACGGGAUUCAAGCUCCAGUCUACUUCACCAUCAAGUGCACAUUCAUCAGUUAGCUCCAAAUGAUUACCAGGGCUAGAACAUAAACUAGAAGCUUCUUCCUGGCCAUAAUCAUGGUCUGCAUGGUGCCAAAAAAAAAAGGCCUAUGAAGAUAACUACAUGGCAUAGGUUACCUUAAUAUGUAUGAAAAGAAGGCACAGGCAGCAGGUUUCCAGAUACCUGAACAAUAAUUCCUUGUAGAUACACCAUGCCACUCAUCUGCAAGAACGGAUGCUUGUGCUUGCGCUUCUCCUGCAUGUGAGUAUUCAGAGGCUUCUGUUACAGAUAGUCCUGAAAAUUCCUCUUGAAGAGUUCGUGCAAUGAUCUCAUCAUUCUCCACAUGGUUUGAUUCUGUAUCAUAAUGACUUCUGAAAUACUCUUCAUGGUAGAUAUCAUUAGCAUUGUGUUGUAUCAUGUCACCGUAGUAGUAUGAAGAAUUAUAAACUGGAUCACCAUCAAGUAGACGAAGACCCCACUGAAUAAUAUCUGAAUCAUGCUCAUGGGAAGCCAUCUCCUUAAAAAUGCAUAUGUCGAAUAAGAAAGCUUAAUCUUCUUCUAAGAGCAAUGACGGAAUCCCCAAGAAGUUCAAGUAAUAGAGUAAUCUCUGCCCAAAAGCUACCAAGUAUGUUUAAAAAAAAUUAAAAAACCUCCAAUGCUUUGAGGUUCUUUAACCACAACUUUAAUUUAAAUUACAAUAUCCAUCAGCACAAAUCUAAAUUAAAUCACAGCAAGAAAUAAUUUUAUUAAAUUAAGUAUAGUGCUACCAAUUUUAACAUAAAUCCUUAUUAUAAUAAAGCAGUUGACUUUUUCAAAUAAUACUGGACAAGUAUACAAUAGAAGAUUUAGCUGCAAUUGAUUGGACAUCUAACAGAGGAUAUAAUAAACAUAUUUGUGAAAAUGAUGCCUGCUGUGUGAUCAUAAUUACAAACUUUGCUAAGUUCCAAGUAUGUUUAUUAUUAACUUUAAUAAACAGUCCCAUGUAUACUAAAAUUGUGCUGAGAUCAGCAAAAGACUUCAACCCACCAUCAAAAAACUGGGAAAAAAACAGAUAAUUGCUGGUCUAGAAUGACCGGCUGGAGACUUUGAUUAUCCUCAAAACAUCAUAAAGUGACAGACAAACCUGUUAACCUAACAACGCGUGCUCACACAUUCUCAGUAUUUCUGAAUAAAAUAUCGCACAGAGAGAUAAUGACCUAAGGCAGCCUACUUUCCCAAUAUUAAACUAGCUGCAUGACAACAAACACAUAACUCCCGGCAAAGAAAUAAGGAUCAACGUUAACUCGGAGAGCUAAAAACACCUAGUGCUUAACCAUUUACCUCACAUGUUUAGGGGAAAAAAUCCAAAAAAUGAAGUAAACUUUAACUAGCACAACAUUUAAUCUUUACUUCAAAUAAAAUUUCAUAGGACCCUUGAUAUACAUACGAAAACUAAAAGAUCGACUUUGCAAACAAAGAAAUUUAUUUAAAUAAUAUCCAAAACAAACUACAAUUACUCUCCAUAACAUUCAUAUUACUAUAUAUUCAACCCAACAUCAGAUUUUGUUGAUGAGUUCAAGACUAGACCUAUAUCUCUUUUUAUUUAUAAGAAACUAGAUCUAUAUCUUUUAUUUUCUUUCUCCAAUCUAAACGAAAUCGGUUCACCCCACAAGAACACAACAAACCAUCUGAACAACACAACUGCUACAUGCAUAUCCUUUAUCAAAAUCAUAAUAUUAAAAACCACACCGCCUUGAACUACACCACUCUCCAUGCUAUUCAUCAUCAACAUACUCUCUCUCUCUCUCUCUCUCUCUCUCUCUCUCUCUCUCUCUCUCUCAACACAACACAAAUCAAACAAGCACCAAAACAGAACACCAAAACUACCCAGAAAACAAAUAGUCCCCACUAAAACAACAACAAAAAUCUCAAUCUCAAUCAGCAAUAAAAUCCCACAUAAUAAUCCACAAAAAGAAAAACCCCAAUUAUAAAUAAAUAAAUAAAGGAACACUAAACAAUUUCUUCACCAAUCAAUAUAACAAUCCAACAAGAUAACAGAGUUUAAAACAGCAAAAUCAUUAGAUUAAGAACUCACCCAAUCAGCUUUCGACUUAGAGCCAAUAAAAGAGCUUUGAAAGCUGUCGUUUGCAAAAGGAAAACUUAGGGUGAAAGGUAGAGAGAGUUGAGUUGGAAACAAGGCCCUUCUUAUUAAUAGGACGGUACGAAUGCAUUGGCUGAUGAUGAAGCAUUGAAAAAUUGAGCAGAAAAUGGAAAUGGGGUGUAAGUGCACCCCAUUAUAUACAGUUUGCCAGGCUGUUAAAGGUCGAGCAACUUUUUCAUCGUACGGAUGCUACGGAGACUACAUUUUCUUAAGUAGACGUUAGACGGUUGUGAUUUAAGCGGCAAUUCCUUGAACGGUUUCUGAUUGCCUCCGUCCAAAAAAUUGACUAAAUUAUGAUUUUAGUCGUUAUAUUUGAGCGAAGUUUUUUUUUUAAUUUUUGGUUUUCACAAUUUUACCGGUCAGAGAGUUCGUCCUCUUGCACCAAGUUCGAUUCCCUCUCAACAUAAGUGGAGUAAAAGUUUUACACAACUCUUACUUUUUACAUGCUAGUUUCUUAAAAAUAUUGACGAAAUUAUAAAAUUAUCUUAGAAUUAUGAUAAGUAAUGAACUAUAAAUGAAAAUUGAGAAAGUUGAAACUACAUGUAAUCAAGCAGUAUUUCCGCUUACAUUAUAAUGACAAAAAUUGUAAUUUAAUUGGCAACAAAAUUGUAAAUUGUAACUCAAACUGUUAGAGUAAUUGUUCUUCAUGUCAUGUGUUCGAUUUUUGUAUCCCCCAAUGUCCACCAUUCAAAACAAAAAAUUCAUAAUUCGGCUGGAUAUUAUGUUCUUAUGUGAUAGGUUGGCAUGAUAUUGAUCGCCCUUCUAUGAGGAGAUGGAAAAUGGACGGUUGAGAUUGGACUGAAUUGAAUGUUUGGUAGAUCGAACGGAUGUGAUUGAAGGGAUUUGGUACAAAUUUGGCUGCUGUCUUCUCAAGCCAGAAGGUCCAUGAGUCCAUAUGGGGUUGCUUUGCUUAUAUGAAAAAAGAGAGGAGAAAGCUUAAGAUUCAAUUAACGACCAAAAGGUCCACACAUGGGGGCCGGUGGCGACGUGUCACAGUCGUAGUGGUUAUAAUUAAUAAUUUAUUUUUAAUAUUAAAAUUUCGGAGUGACACAAACGUUAAUGUUAUCGAAAUUCAUCAAAUAUUAUUAGUAGUACUAGCUAAAAGGAUAACAAUGACACGUCCAUGGCACUAGCAAGCACCAAGGAUUCUCUCAUUAAAUUGUUGAAUAAAAUUAGGGGUGGUAAUUUCGGACACGACUCGAUACACGACUCGAAACCCGCACAAUAAAAAAACAGGUUAAUUUCCGAUCAACCCGCUAACUCGCUAUAAACAGGUUAAUAAACGGGUGGGUUUCGAGUCAAUCCGCUAACUCGCUAUAAUACCUAUCUAACCCGUUUAUUAAACGGGUUGUGUCACGGGUCGUGUCAACCCGUGUACAAUCCGCUAAAAAAUAAAAACAAAUGGAGACUUUAAUUUCCGAUCAACCCGCUAACUCGCUAUAAACAGGUUAAUAAACGGGUGGGUUUCGAGUCAAUCCGCUAACUCGCUAUAAUACCUAUCUAACCCGUUUAUUAAACGGGUUGUGUCACGGGUCGUGUCAACCCGUGUACAAUCCGCUAAAAAAUAAAAACAAAUGGAGACUUCAACACACACACACAAGGGUUUCGAACCCUUAUCAUCUUCAUUUCUCUCAAAUAUCUUAUCCACCAUGUUACAAACAACUUUGUGAUUUUAUGGUAUGCCUUUUGAUAUUUAUAAUGUUUUUUUUUCUUUUGUGUUUUCCUUUCUUCUCCGUCUCUCUUCUCCUCUCUUUUUUCUUUUUUCUUUCUUUUCCUUCUUUCUUCUUUCUCCUCUUUUUUUUUUUCUCUCUUUUCCUUUCCUCUUCUCUCCUUUUUUUUUCUUUCUUUUCCUUCUCUUUAGUUUUAUCUCCUCUCUUUUUUCUUUCUUUCUUUCCUUCAAUCUUCUCUCUCUCUCUCUCUAUGUUUUUUUCUUUCUUUUCCUUCUCUCUUCUCUCCACUCUCUAUCUUUUUUUUUUCCUUUUUUUUCCUUAUAUUUUCUCUACUCUCUCUUUUUUUUAAUUUAAAUUUUUUCUGUUGUGAGUUUUGUAACAUGCAUGUUAUUAUUUAUGAACCCGUUACACGACUCGAAACCCGCAUGAUAAAAGACGACCCGAACCCAACACGACACAUUUAUUAAAUGGGUUGGGUUCGGGUUGAGCAUUCUUGACACGUUUAUUAUCUCGACACGACACGAACCCGACACGACACGACCCAUUACCAGCCCUAAAUAAAAUUGUCAAGCUAUUGAACUGUGGCACAUGCAAAGUACUCAUUAGUAUAGUUAUUUGGAAUAAUUGUUUUUUCAGAAAGUGUCAUGAGUUCGAGUUUUAGUAUUCGUGUAGAGUAUGUGAAUUUAUAUACUAUCAUCUCUCUCAAUACAAAAUAUCCUAUAAAUAAAUAAUUUUUUUUUACACAUGCAUGUGCAAACAGUGUGCAAGUUGUAAGUUGCCCUUAUAAUAAUAAUAGUAACAGUUUGAUCCGAUUAAAUCGAAGUAUGAUGUCAAACUAUGUUGAUGUCUUUUAAAAUGUUUAGGCUUAACUACAUGUAAACCCUCUCUUGGUUGAAAAUGGUACUAGACAAAACUCGGAUGUUUUUUUCCCUCAAUUUUAACAUUCUCGAUUUCGUCAUAUUUUGAGAGAGGCUAUCAUAGACUGAUCAUUGGCGCACUAGUUGAUGUUAUUAAAGAUGUAUUACUGAGAACAAUGAUGAGAGUAUCUCACAUUUGAUUGAUGAAAGUUUAGCUUAAGAACGAGUCUUUUCACCCAUAACUAAUUGGCCUCGAAUUAAAUAUUCACGUUUCAAUUACUCAUGUAGCACAUGCACUCACGACACUUAAUAAUAAUUAUCCCCAUAUACAAUAUAGAACAUUUUUGCGUUUUGUUUUUUGCUUCACCAAUUGACUAAAGGGUCAUAAACCAGAGGAAGAAGCUCAAGCUGAUUAAUCUAAAAGAACUACACUGAUUAGCUUUUUAACCCUACUUCAAAGUUGAAAAGUGCUUGGUUGGUACUAUGGUAUUGGUCGGCAAUUCUGCCUUUGCGCUUUUUCUUAACUUUCGGGUGAACUUUUUACGCCAAAAAGAAGAAUCAAGAACAACUUUUAUAACUUAUAGAUGUCUAUGAAAACUUUUGUUGCCAACCAACCAACCAAGUAAAAUCUCUUUUUGGCUUUUAAGCUUCUUCACAUAUUCAGAUUCAGAAUUUUGAAUGUCAGUUUGCCAAACGACUUUUCUUCAAGCAUCUUUGGAAAAUAUUGUAAAUUACAUUGAGUUGAUCUAUUAAACCAAAUAUGCAUAAUUCAAAAAAAAAUUUCUUCCAAAUAUUACUUCUCAGUCAACACAAAUUCACCUCACAUAUUUAAUGUAUUGUCUAAUUGUUUGUUCAAAAAAAUAAAACAAGACCCUACAUGUCAUGGGGAUAGCACUGUUUUGCUAUUUCUAUCUAAUUACGUUCCGUCAUAUGAAAUCUUUAUCACGCAUGACAUAACAUGAAUAAUUUAACCCCGUAACAUACAAGUUUUUCUCCUAUUUCUGCCACCCUUAACUUCUCUCUCUCAUAUUUUAUUUGUCAUUAUUGAUUUACCUGUGACAUGUAAAAGCUAAUAAUCUAAGUGGCUGUUGGCUUAUAAGCAUGGGUUUUCCAAAAUAAACCCCACGCACGUAGAGUAGCACGCAGCACGCUAUAUAUACUGUCGUUUUAUGCUGCUCCCUUAGUUUAUAGAAUCGUAGGCAUUACAAACUCAAGUUGAUGAUAUUAUAACUUCCGUAUCUGAUAUUAUUUUUUGUUUUUUUGCUUUGAUUUCUAUGUGUGAUCUUGAGCAAGCCAAAUUCUUUAUGCUCUUUUGUACCAUUCAAGUUGACAUGGUGUCAUCUACUUCUGGAUUUAUCCAUACGCAUUGCCUUUGGGUACACGUAACAAACAAAUGAAAGGUCCAAACGUAUAUCAAUAAUUGAAUGAUUAGGUUUAUGAUUCAAUCGUUUUAUAGCCCCAAGUUUGUCUUUUUAGUUAAAUAAAAAACACUUAAGUUAAGAUUAGGGGUCCUCAGGAAUAUUUAUGAACAAGUUGAGUAACAUGAUUUUUUUCUCAAAAACAACAUAUUACAAUUCUAUAAUUAUUCUACUUUUCCGAAUGAUUUCCAUAAUAUAUAUGUAUAUAUAUAUAUCUGAUUUAGUAAAAGCUGUAUAGAUGUCUCAAAGUUCAAAUCCUCGUCCAAGCAAAAAUAUCAUCCAAUGAUUUUCAUAAUUAAAUACUCAAAUGUGUAAAAGCUUCCACUGCUUAAACGCACUCUAAAAAUUAAAGAAUGCAAAGUUAAAGAAAAGAGGUUUAACAACACAGUUGACAGUACUGAUUACAAAGAUUUACUAAUGAAACUCAAUAUCUCGUAUAUAGGCUUCUCCGGGUACCAAAAGAACCAAGUUGUCCCUCCAUGACAGAGGCCACUACAAUUAGCGUCUGCUCUGAAGCUUCUUGUAAACAGGACUCACAACUUUGAAAUGGAGAGAAAUCCGUCGUUUAUCUGUUACAUUCUUGUUUAAUGUCUCUAAAACUUUCCACACAAGAUUGAAAAUUUGACCAGAUUUAUACAUAUUGCAUAGAAGAAUUGGAAAGUGAGGGGGAUGGUAUUUACAAAUUAAGUUAUUUAUGCAGAAGUUUUUCUGUGUUUUCCAUGUCAAACCAUAAUUUAUGCUUCAGAUAAGCCCAACAACCACUAUGACCAGUUUGCUAAAAUGUACUUACAAUCAGCAUGUCCUCAAAAGUUUCGGUGUCCACACGCGAGACAACCAGCCAGUUUCUCCUCUCCUUAAAUCCGCAUUUCUUCUCUUGUUCACUGUUUCAACAUCCCGGGAAGUUUGUAUCGGUGCCAAAUUCUUCAGGGGCAGUUGCGGACUUGCUGUUCCUGUUGGUGCCUCCAUAUUUUUCCUUUGGCUUGAUGGCGCCUCCCUAAUUUUCUUUUGGCCUGAUGAUACGUCCCUAAUUUUAUUUUGGCCUGAUGGUGGAGCCUCUAUAAUUUGAUUUACCAUUUCCAAUACCUCACUCAUCUUUGGACGAUUCUUGGGGAGUCUGACCAAGCAUCUGUUGGCUACAAUUGCAAGCUUUUGAACUGACUUGAGGGGGUAUUUAGCUUCAAGCCUAGGGUCUAUUAUUAGGCGGAACUUCUUCAAGUCGGAAAGGUAUGGCUUCACCCAUUCUAAGAGCUUCUGCUCACUCUUAGGGCGGUUUCGAUCUAGAGGACGCCUACCUGUGAUGAGUUCAUAAAGGAAGACCCCAUAGCUCCACACGUCAUUCUUAGCUGUUAGACGUCCGGUCUGGAUAUACUCUGGUGCUGCGUAUCCCAUGGUUCCAACAACCUGAUGAAAAAUCACUAGUCAUGUAAGUGCAAGAGUGUAGUACAUAGCUGGACCAUUAUAAACCGUUACUGCAUUACUCUUUCAUCUAUGGUGAAAAAAGGCUAAAGAAUUGGGUAUCCAAACAAGAUAAAAGCAGUCAUAACUAUAGGGCCUAGGCUCUGCCAAGCUGUCCAUUUUACUUGAAAUGAGCUUGUUUUCUUCCCACCAAAACUCCAAGGAUGAAUCAAGACAUCCUAAAAUUUAAGUAGAAGUAGCCAAUAAAUGCAAGACCUAUCCACUUAAAGGGAAAACUAAUCAGAUGCAGGCCUAAGCAAUAAUAAAAUUAUGAAAGAAAUUCAAUGUGCUCAUAUUACAAUUACUAUUAGAGACAACUCCACUCAUCUUUAUCUAAAGUAAACACAAUAGGCUAAUUCAAUAUCCAUAGAGCAUCCAAAUGUCUAGCAAAGUAAUAAUUUCCAUUCAUCAGAUUCACGGCGACUAAAUUUCACAUUAAACACUGUCACUGAUAGCUCAGCCAUUGCAAUAUUAAACAACACAAAUCUAUUAACUUUACCGACACUUUCUCAAUGUGGAUACUCUUGAUUAUACUAAUCAACUUGUUUCAGAUGUAGAUAUCUUGCUUUAAUAAGAUCAUAAACAAUGAACCAAAAACUAAGAAAACAAGCUUCAAGACUAAAAGUUGAUACUGGUUCAUGCAAUAGAUGGAAGUAUAAAUAAUUAGAUCAUUUUGUAUGAUGAUCAUACCGCUGUUGAGACGUGGGUUAAUCCUUCUGAAGGGCCCAACCUAGCCAUUCCAAAGUCUGACAGCUUUGCAUUCCACUGCUCAUCCAGAAGGAUAUUCGAAGAUUUAAAAUCCCUGAAAAUGAUCUAGACAACAAAAAUAAAGAAAAAUGUCAGUUUGAUAAGUUGUAUUACUCACAAAACUUAGCCCCUCUCCGCCCCUCUCCCCUCCCUCCCACUCUCUUUUUCUUUUUUAAGGGUUUUGCUUUUGGGUUGGGAUUCUAACACUUCCGGGCGGCCUCAAACACAUUAGAAUAUCAAAUUCAUCAAAAGGGACUAACAAACUUACACAUAUUGAAAAGGAAAACAAAUGUUAAAAUACCUGAAAAUCCAUUUCUUCAUGUAAAUAUGCCAGGCCACGAGCAGCAUCUUGUGCUAUUUUCAAUCUCAUGGGCCAUGGAAGAGGAUCUGAACGACUGGAUAAAUGGUUCUCUACACUUCCAUUAGGCAUGUAUUCAUAAAUUAGAAGUCUCUGGAUUCCUCGCUCAUCAUCCUCAGCACAGUAGCCCACUAGUUUGACAAGGUUUGGAUGCUCAACCACCCCAAGAACAUUAACUUCUGUCACCCAUUCCUUGUGCCCCUGGUACCAAAAAGGUGGGAUCGUAAGUUUACAAGCAUACAGUAGAUAGAUUUCAUUUUUUGACAUAAAUGGAAAAUGCAUCUUAUUAGACUAUAUAUCAGUUGGAUCAAAAAUCUUCGUGACAAGCAUAAAACAAAGUCUAUUACUUUCAAGUACAGAAAUAUGUUGUUAGAAAGAAGCAAGUAUUUGUAAACGGUGGAACGAAAGACCCAGUGUGCUAAUAAUCAUCAGAACAAAUUAAAAAGCAAAUUCCUUGUGUGAAUGCAUCAUUAUCAUGUGUAUAUCAUUGUGAGCCAUUAGGAUUUUUUUAUUUAUUUAUCAAACUUAAUGAGGAACACUGUACUUCCUUUAGUAUAAAUCUCGUAAUUAUCAUCCACUAAUCUUAAUUCAUUUGAAGCUAACAUGGGCAAUGAAAAAGAAUCUGUCUAAAGUUUUGCCAAUAGAAAAACAGUCUUGCCUGCAAGCCUCUUUUACUGAGCUGUUUCACCGCAACUUCAAGUUUUUGAGAUGGAUCUUCUGCACUCUUAAUCACCCCUUUAUAGACACACCCAAACCCACCUUCUCCAACCAUGACAGAGCGGCUGAAGUUCUUCGUGGCAGAUUUCAGCUCAGAAACUGUGAAUACUCUGAGGUUGCUGGGUCUCUGAGAGAAACUAGGAUAUUGGUUCCUCCUCAUGGACUCUGUGCUCGCAUCAGAGAUAUUCUGGGAAUCCAACUCAGAUCCAGAUCUCUUCAUUUCACCAUCAGUAAAUGUUGUAAUUGUGCUCUUCGGUUCAUCCUUUUUUUCUCCAAUGUAGAAUAAGAAGCACUUCAUAGCUCCUAACGUUGUUAAGUGUUAUGAUCCCUCACCUAAGAUUCAGAAGCUGAAGAGAGCCCUAGAAUUAGGGAGCCAUAAUAAGCAACAAUUCAAAACCAUCAAAAGUCAAGAUAAGAAAACACUUCAUAAUGUAGCAAACACUCAACAUGUCCCUCUCCAAUUCUUCAAAUGUGACGACUUUUAUGAUCAACAGAUAUCACACAAAGCUCAAAUUAAAAAUUAAAACUUUUUACAACUGCCAGUUUUCCUCCCCAAUACAGGUGUUUUGCAAGUGCCCAAGAGGAUGUAACAAGUGACCAAGUUUUUCCCUACUCGGUAACUUAAUCAAAAGUUAAGGAAAACCCAAAUACCUUAACUCAGAAAGUAACUCAUGCCUUCCCUUUGUUUUCUGUUUUUCUCCCAAAAAUAACCAUCAAUGAAAAAUCAACUGUGUUUUUCAUUUUUUGCAUAAAUCCAACUACUUCUAACAACCCAGAUUUCAGAUAAGGAAACUAAAAAUGUUAAACCAUCCCUAUUUAUCAUUCUUCAUUAGAACCCAAGAAAAAUCAAAAUCAGAGAUAUUCUCAUUUCGUUUACAAGGCCCAAGACAAAAAGUUUCAAACUGGUAUAUUGCAAUCCAACAAAACAAGCUGAAACAGAGAAAAAGCAAUGAUAAAAGAUGAUAAUUGAAAUUCUGGGAAAGAAAAUAAAAAAGCACCUUGCUUUACUGAUCUCAGUCUGCUUGCACAAAACUGUGUCCUUGACUCCUAGAGUUCACCAAUUCCUAAGUAUGAGAGCAGCCCAUUUAAUUCAUUGACACCCAAAAUGACCUCUGAAGCUACAGAAAGAACGCGCAGCCCAUGGUUUAAAGUUUUAAGAGAAGCUUCAACACGGCAUUUAGAGUCUAGCGGUCAGCUCAAGCUUACCAACCAAAACGCCAAAAUCAAAACCCACAUUAAAUAUAUAUAUAUAAAUCUACCAACAUGGGCAAAUCAUCUUUCUUUUUUUCUUUGUUUCACAGCUAGUAAAUGUAACCCCAAGUGUGAAUGGAGGCUUUGAAAAUUAGACCAAAAGGACAAGAUGGAGAGAGAGAGAGAGAGAGAGAGAGAGAGAGAGAGUGUGUCCUUAUGUAGAAGAAUGAGAAUGAGUACUGGUCAUUGGUCAACAAGUCCUGCACACGAAAACUUUAAACAAGGUUAUCCUAGUCUUACAUUAACAUUUGAUUUGAUUAUGGUUUAUGGGUUUUUGCUGGUGCUGUCUUUGCGUUUAACUGCAACCAUGAACAAAUCAAACGUCUCAUGCUCUUGCAACUUGCAAGUUGUAACUUGUAACAAAAAAAAGAAAAGCGUCUCAUGUUAUCGACAAAGCACGAAACAAGACAAAGAAAGGUCAUUCUUCGUCUUGACUUGAGGAUAGGGACUGUGCUGGAUAGUUUUUCAAGACGUUGGAAAAUGAAAAAAAUAAUCCAAUAAUGUGAACAGGAAUAUUAGAAAUACAAGGGCAAUGCACACGCAGAGCAUCUCAAGAUGAAUUUUAGACGUUAAAAAUUAAUCCAGACUUUGAACAUUGAUUAGAUAUGAAACUCUUAUUAUUUUAUAAAGAAAGCAUUUUUGGUCAUAAAUAAUUGUAAGAAAUGUAUUCCCAAGAAUGAGAAUGACAAAGUCAAGGGCUCAUGGCAUGGGUUUCAAAUUUCUCUCUUCUUCCUGAACAUCCUAUAUGGUGUAAAAAGUACCUCAUCUUCUCUAGUGUUCAUACUAAAUAUGGAAAUGGCAUCCCAUUCUCACAAACCAUUUCUCUCUUCUGCAUAGCAUCUUAUAUGGUUUUCGUAAUCAUUACAUGUUAGAAUGCGAACAUUUGAUUAAAAAUCAAUUUGGUCAAGAGUUAAAAGUCCAAGAUCUUUAAGUUAAUUUUUUUUUAUUAAGUGACGUGGGAGCUACCAAACUUGUUACUUUUGAUCAUCUAUAAUUAUGUUGGUUCAUAAUUUCAUUUGUGUUCUUCGGUGUUAUUAUUUCUAUUAAUUCCAUCAACAAAGAAGAGGGUCCCUUUUAGUUUGCAUGUUUGUGAUUUAAAUAUUGUUUCCUGACCUUCAUUGCAAAAAUAGGAACUUUUGUUUUCACCAAAUUUUUGGUCAUUACAAACAGAUUUUGGUCAUUAAAAACAUUGACUGUAUUUCAAAAACCGCGUCGACAUAUAAACAAAUAGAGGCCGACUUAUGAAAUUUAUUUAUGAAAACUUAAAAUCAACUAAUUAAAAAAACAGAGAUGAUUCUUUAAGAGGACUGCUAAACAAAUUCUAAAAUUAAUUGAGUACACCUCACUAUUAAAUUAUUUAUUGAAUUAGUACUUUAUCAUAAUAUAAAAUAACCAAAAAGGAUAUAUUGAAUUGUGAGAAAAAAAAAUUAAUAAAUACACCAUACUCACCAUAUUCAACCAUAAUCAAAUGUAGAGAAGUUUUCGCAUUACUUGGUGCCCAUGCCGAACAAUACAGCAGGUACUAACAUAGGCGCAAUUGCAUAACGGAAGGUUCUUCCAUUACUUUUUAUGAUAAUUUUUUGUUUUUGUUGUUGUAUUUUUACUAGAAUUUUAUUCAAUUUGCUUGAUUAGUGUUUAUUUGUAAAAUUCGCUAGUUACUUUUCCGAUAACUUUUGACAAAGUUUCACUCAUCAAUUGAUGAUUGCUUGUUGCCAUAUUUUUUAUUUUCUUCAAGAAAUUUUGGCCUUAGCAGUAACGGGAAAUUUAACUUUAAUAUUUAUAUAUAUUUCAUAUAAAUAAAUAAAUAAAUCUAUCUAUAUAUAUAUGAAGCAAAAGGUAGAGAAUGGUGAAAUAUUUAAAAUACUAGAAAAUGCCCUUAGUUAAUUCAAACAUUAAGAAUUGAAAUUAUUAAUUAAAUGGGGAUAAUAUGGUAAAUUCAUAUUUUUUAUAUUAUAAAAAUAAAAAUAAAAAUAAAAAUAAAAUAAAAUAAUAGGUCCUACUUUCAUGGAACAUAACUACCGAUAUUUUCUUUUCUUAAUUCUAAAAAUAAAAGAAAAAAGAAAAAAGAAAACCAAUUGGCACAUGCGUAAGGCAGAGAAUGGUGGAACAUUCAAAAUACCAGAAAAUGUCAUUAGUUAAUUCAAACAUUAAGAAUUAAAAUUAUUAAUUAAAUGAGGAUAAUAUGGUAAAUUCAUAUUUUUUUUGUAUUAAAAAAAAAUCUAUAUAUAUAAAGCAAAAGGGAGAGAAUGGUGAAACAUUCAAAAAAUCAAAAAAUGCCCUUGGUUAAUUCAAACAUUAAGAAUUAAAAUUAUUAAUUAAAUGAGGAUAAUAUGAUAAAUUCAUUUUUUUCAUAUUAAAAAAAAUUAAAAACAAAAUCAGAUAAUAGGUCCUACUUUUAUGGAACAUAACUAUCCAUAUUAUCUUUUCUUAAAUCCAAAAAUGAAAUAAAAAGGAAAAAAGAAAACCAAUUGGCACAUACGUAAGCAUGUGUCAAGGGGCUAGUAUAUAUAUAAUACACAUAUUCAUUAACAAAUAAAGUAGCAAGUUCAACUGAUUUAAUAGGAAUGACCUUGCAAACAUUGUCAGACGAAGAGAACAUAAACUUAUAAGAGAGCUUCUUGCGGAAUCAACAAAACAAAUAUAAAUGGUAAUGUGGAUAAUGGUGUGGCUGGAAUUCUAGAUGCAACCAAUGAUUACAAAGUAACAGUAACUUGGUUUAGGAUUGAUAUUAGGGUGGUGUGUUAUAAAGUGUAUUAUAGUGUACUAGGGAUAUUUUUCUUAGUUAAAUAGGGUGUACUUAGUUCAAGGGUAGUGCUAUGCACAGGGCAGGCUAGGUGCCUGCCUAGCCCAAAAUUUUUCUUUAAAAAAAACAUGUGUUAUAAGUCCAUCCCAAAAUAAAUUAAAAGCUAACUUUACACAUAUGUUGCCCAUCCAGAUGGUCCCAUAUCUUCUCUCUCCUUCUCUUUUGGCCAUUAGACUUCUUGUUUCUUUCUCUCUCUUUGCUACCUGACAUCAGCAAAUUUCUCCCUUUUUUUGUGUGGUCAAAUUCUCCCUCCAUUGGCUACAUCUCUAUUAUCUUGGGUGGGCAACUUGGCAACAACAUCUUCUCCUCUCCUUUUGUCAACAACAAGUAUUAUUCUCAUUCUCUCAUUUGCUAGAUAUCUUUAAUUAUAGUUUUAAUUUAAAAUAGAAUAUUCUAAGGUUUAAUUAGGGAUGAAUUAUAAUUUUGAGAUUUUGUUGAAAUUAAUUAGGGCUUUGAUUAGAGAUGAAUUAUUCUAGGGCUUUGAUUUGGGAUUUUGUUAAAAUUGAUUAUUCUAGGGUUUAAUUAUAGAUGAAUUAUAAUUUUUGGUUUGGUAUUGUUGAUAUGCUAUUGUGAGAAUUUGUUUGAUUCAAAUUCUCUCUACAUAUUAUUCAUAGGCUAUCUUUUCUUAUGUCGGAUCACAAUCGGAAUCCUAAGAGAGCAAAGAAUUGUUAUCUUUUUUUAAGAAAAAGAAUGAUGGGUCAUCAUCUAGUACAUUGCCUUCUAGCACUUAUUUAUCUACUCCAAUAUGUGAUGAGCAAAAUCUUAUUGAGUUUCCCAUUGUCAAGCCUCCGGUUGAAAGAGUUCAAUCUCAAAGAGUCGAUGAUGAUCAUGAUUUUAAUAUCAAUUAUCUUGAGCAUGAUCUAGGAUUACGUCGUCUAAUAUGCAAAUAUAUGGUGAAUGAACAAGAUAAUGUGCGAAGAGCAUUUCUAUUAGGACCAUGUCAACCCGAGUUAGAAGAUUAUCCAAGCCACUUAGAAGGGCGGGACUUUCGUCGAUUUAAUAAAAAGUGGUUUAGCCAAUUCACUUGGCUUGAGUAUUCAAUUGCUAAGAACAAAGUAUUUUGUUUUCAUUGCUUCCUUUUUGACAUGAAUUCAGUCACACCCAACCUUUAUUGUUGAUGGGUAUAAAAAAUGGAAGAGAAUUGGUGGGAAUCAAUGUGUAUUUCAAUAUCAUGCAGGCAAGCUAAAUUCAUCACAUCAUCUUGCUAUGCAAAAGUGGAUUAGCUUGAAAAACCCAUCUCUUCAUAUUGAAAAAGUGAUAGAUAAGCAAUCAAAGCAACAAGUGAUGGACAAUCGGUUGCGACUUACGACCACAAUCGAGAACAUUAGGUAUCUAGCAAAUCAAGCAUGAGUUUUUUGAGGUCACGAUGAAUCCGUUGACUCAUCUAAUUGGGACAAUUUCAUUGAAAUAGUAAAGUCUUUUACAAGAAUGAAUAUAGAAGUUGCAUUUACUUUUGGUUUUAGUUUUAGUUUUUGUAUUUGUUCAACUUUUAUUUAUGAAUAGAGAUGCAUUUGAGAGUAAUGCUCAUUAUGUCCCCUAGUGGUGGGCAUCGGGACAGGAAAACCGGAACACCGAACUCGAAUCAGUGAAAAAAAAUCGAAAAAAAAUCGAAAAAAAAUCGAUUGACCAAAAAAGUCAACAAAUCGGACUGAACCGGUUCCAAUCGAUUCUGGUUUCGAUUUUACACCCCACAGCACCGCACCGGACCGGUCAUAUAUAUUUUUUAUUUUUACAAAUUUUUAAAAUCUAAUGCCAUAUUUUAAAUUUUAUAAUCACUAUUUUUCCAAGUUCAACUUCAAAAAGUUUAUAAAUGUAUGAAUUGGAUUAUUUGUUAAUUUUUAAGCCAAAAAAAUAAGUUAUUUAUUAUGAUUUUUUUAUAAAAAAAAUAAAAAAAUUAUUAUUUUUUAAAAAAUAAUUAAAUUAAUAAUAAAUUAAUAAUCCGGUUCAAAAUUGGAACCGAUCAGAACCAGAUCGAAAUUGGUCAGAACCGAACCGACCGGUUUUUGAAUUUUUUUUUGUCUAAACCGGACCGGUUAAAUAGUACCGAUUUGAGGUAAAAACCAGAUCAAACCGGACCGCGCCCACUCCUAAUGUCCCCCUGACUAAGUAUAUCUUUUUAUGUUUAUUAAUUAAAUUCACUCGUACCAUCGAAUUUAAUAUGUAAGUUUUGCCCAACCGACUUUUGAAUCCUGGAAUCGCCACUGACUUAGUUAAUUUUACAUUUUCAUUAAAAUAUUAGGGUAUAUUUAGAUCAUAUGAUAUACUCAGUUAAUUUUAGGGUUCAUUUAACACUCUUUUUUAAUUACUUUUUAUUUUUUUUAUUUCUAUGUACGUAAGAAAUGAAUGUUGUCAAUUAAUAAGCAUCUAUUUUGCCGAGUGUUUAAAGAGGCACAGACACAAACAGAAAGACUCGGAACAAAUUUCACGCACAAACAGUCAUGUGGUUUUGACUACCUUCAAUGUGGCCGCUGGCCACACAUUUCUCCCCGCCAUUUCCUCAGCCCAAAUUCCGGGCCUCCUUCAGAAUUCACACGGACCCUUUGGCCAAAAAUCUUUUCCGUUUCUCAGCUCUGGUUGCAUUCGAGCCCUCUGCCACGUUCAUCUUCAACCUCCAUCGCACCCACGCUAACUUGCAAUAGUUUUUUCUUUCUUUCACUUCUCAAGAUUCAAUUUUUUCCUUUCGACCCAAAAAAAAAGAUUCAAUUUUUUCUUUCCAGCUUACCCAUUUGCUUCAUUCUUUCUUCUUGGUCCAUAAAAACCCAGAACUUUUAGUGUACUGCACAAUACCAUUGGCAUUUUCGAUAACCCAUUACUCAAUUUUGUGUUCCUGGUCCACGUGGGUUCACAAUUUGUCACAACAUUGCAUGAUAUGCUUGAUAUGAUGAAGCAUUAGAGAGUGUUGCAGGCAAUUAUGAUCAAUGCCUCCAUGGUCAAUUUUCCAUGGACCACCUGCAAAUUUGAAUGCGAUUAAAAAGAAUAUUCAUUGAGUGUGUUAUUAGAAAGUUGGAUUCUUGGAUGGUUUUGCUACAAUGUGUGAUGUGGGGAGUUCCAACUGCUAGAAAUGAGAGGAUUGAGGAUUAAUGCCUGUUGGGUUCCCCAUGCUUUUCUGUUUCUUAUAAUUUUUUUUAACUUAUUGCCUCGCACUCGGUGUGUGAAUGGAGAUGAUUACAGCAGGACCAAAAACCCAGCUGUGCUUCCUAUGGUUACACAGCUAAUCUAUAGCCGGCUUACAAAUAUCACUAAAACUUUAAGCACUGACCUUAAAGCUGAUAUGGGUUUCUGCAUAAAGAAUGUGUGAGUAAAACCCAAUUGCCCUUAGUUUGUUUCUUUGCUACAAAUUCCUGUUUUCAACCUAAGAUGUUCUUUUUCUUGGCUUUUCAGACAUGAUGAUUGGAAUGGAGCAUUCAAUUUUACGGGAAAGCUGGGAUUCUUGACUGAUUGUAUAAAGCAGACAAGUGGUACAAGCUUUAGUCAAUUCCCUAUUUUUUAUUAUUAUUUGCUUUGGUGUGUUUUCAUUGCUAGUCUUUCCCCCCUUAAUUGUAAGUGCAUAUGUGUUCUAGCAUGGUAACAUAAAGCCAAUGCCAUAAUAGAGAAAGGGGCUCUUAGUUCUGUUGGUGUGAUGUCCAUGCUUUGUUUUGUACUACCCUGAUUCGUUCUAAUGAUGUGAUGGCAUGCUACAUUCUUGUUAUCUUUUCUCCUGGAGAACUUGUCUUUAAAUGUAUUCAUAUAGCUUAUACCUCUGUAAAGUUCCUAACGAAAGAUGUAAUUCAAUCACCAGGAGAUGUCACUAAUAGACUAUGUACAGCAGCAGAAAUAAGGUCCUAUUUCAAGAGUUUCACCGCGGGUGGGAUAAAACGUUCAAACUACUUAAAACUAAACAAGAACUGCAAUUUGACCUCAUGGGUUUCCGGAUGUGAGCCUGGUUGGGGCUGUAGUCUCGGCCAGAACCAGAACGUUGACCUCAAAGCUUCAAGCAUACCAUCUAGAACUCGGGAUUGUCAGCCUUGUUGUGCAGGGUUCUUCUGCCCUGAGGGCAUUACGUGCAUGAUACGUAAGUAUGUGAUGACACCCUCAUUAUCAUUAGUAGAGAUGUGGUCUAUAAUGUGGUCCAAAUAGUUUUAUUGUUAUUAAUAUAUGUUCAUGAAUUUAUUUAUUUAACAUGUCAUUAAUUCUUUUGGGCUGAUGCUUCACUUUUUCCUGCUGCUUUUUUAUUUUGUCAUUUUCUUAAGCUCUGUGCUUAUUUGGAUCUAGGAUAGGGUUUUCAGUAAUUCUUUCUUCUUGUUUGAGAGGGCUGGAAGUGUUCAUGCAUAGUUAUCUUGCCACAUUCUUGUGAUCUUUGUUUGAGUUCAAAAUUAUAUUGUGUCUAUAACAUUUAAUGUUAAUGUAUCUGUCUGUAUAUUGAGCAAAGUGAAAUAAAAUUCAUGAACAUUGCAGUUUAUGAUUCUUUUUGUUCAGAAAAAGAUUUUCUUGAUAUACAAUCAGAAGUAUACAUAUAAAUAACUUCAGGAAUGUAUGCCAAAUUUUCUCAGUCCACAUAAUUUCAGUCUCCUGAGCUGAUUUGAAAGUAGGCAACUUAUUGAUCUAUGAUCUAACACCUUUUUGUUUUGUUUUAAUUUUGUUGAAAAUGAAGCUUGUCCUUUAGGUUCUUUCUGUCCCAGAGCAGGAUUGAACAAAACGACUGGAUUAUGUGACCCGUGAGUUGAUAUCCUAGUCUUGACAACCUUUUUGUCCUCUCCUAUCUCAGGUUUCCUAUGGGCUUAUAGUAUGCAUUAGUAUUCAUUGGUGGAUACAAUUUUGCAGAUAUAGUUACCAAGUACCCGCAGGAGAACCAAAUCAUACUUGUGGUGGCGCAGAUAUUUGGGCUGAUGUUGACAGUAAAACUGAUAUUUUCUGUUCAGCUGGAUCAUACUGUCCGUCUCCUAUACAUAAAAAUAUUUGCAGUAGUGGGUAUUGAUUCUCAUCCCCGGAACUCAAAUAACUUUCUUACUUGCUUGCAUCGUACUACUCUUCUAUUUUGGCCAUUGCGACUUGCUACUUAUUGCUACUUACUGCAAGAUAAAAAUAACCCUGAGGGUAAAGUCGUUCGGAAAUAAAUCUAAUCCAUCUUGGUGUUGCUGCAUGAUCUAAGAAUUAGGCAACUAGUUGUGCUCAGCAUCUGUAUUCACUAAGAUUGUGUUCUCAUGCAAUUUCAGGCAUUACUGCAGGAUGGGUUCAACUGCUGAAAACUGUAAGUUUUGUUAUAUGUUUAGUCCUUCCAUUUAUAGCCUUUUAAUAAUAUAGACAUUACCUUUUUCCUUAUGUUCCUGCUCCAUUCGUGACAUUCGGUGUUAGUUUGGAGUUUUUACUUUCUUGAAUAUAGCUUGGUUUGGUUGGUUAAAGAUGUGUCUUUGAAUUAGCAAACUUUGCUCCCUUUCUCUGCUACUGAGGUUUCAGAAUCUCAAAUAUUAUAAAGAGGAAAGGGGCUCGCAUAUGGAGUUGUCCUUUUAUAUAAGUUAUGAAUCUGUUUCUUUACUCACAAAGUCAUUAUAUGUUUAAUGAUAUUUAGUUUUGCACUAUUAGGUGCUUGACCAAAAUACAGGAAGAGUUGCGUACCAUUUUCUGAUGAAUGCAAUAAAAUAGGUUACAUGCACCAUAUUCUCUUAGUAAAAGCAUAUGAUAUUUCUGUUGACCAUAUCUCUUAGCCCUGUACCAUUUCAUUUUCACAAAUCUGUGCUCCUCUAAGAUUUCUGCCGCAUACUCUACGUUUGACUGAGAAGGGUUGUGGUUUGAUAUAUUUUAUUGAUCUCAAUUGACCAUUUGCAGCGUGCUUGAAGUUGACUGCAUGUGGUCGUGGUACUGCAAACCAGAAGAUUCAUGCUUAUGGGAUCAUCCUUAUUGUAAGUGUUUCCUACAUAUUCUUGGAUCAAAUUUUGUAAAAUAAAAUCAUAAGCUAGUUUUGGGCAGUUCAUUGUUUAAGCAGGUGAGGAUCAAUUUUAGUUGUGAACCUUGUGGUUUUCAAUUUGGAUUUAGUCCUUAUUGAAGAAUAUAAAAAUUGAUACUUGCUAUCUCACUCUCUUAAGAUUUGUUUAAUUUUUGAAACCUCUGUGUGUUUUGUCUGAAUAAUAAACUCUCUAAAUACAUUUUCUCAUAUUCAUUAAAAAAAUCCUGUAAUUUUCCUUUUGACAACAAAAAAAUAAAAAAAAGGCCAAAAAAUGGAAUGACAUACUGCAUGACAUGAGUAAAGCAAUCUCCCAAGUUUAGGUUCAGAUUCUUCAGAACAUGCUUCUGCAUGUGCAAGACAAUUUAUAGAUGUAUUUGAUGUAGGAUGCUCUCGUUCUCUCUCUCUUUUUCCCUCUCUCGCUCUCUCUCUCUCUCUCUAAAUAUAUAUGCUUCUAUAUAUAUAUAUAUUUGUAGGGCUAAUUGAUCAAUCAGAUACUGUUCACUUGCCUCUGUAGGUUUUACUGAGUCUUGUUCUGCUCGUAAUUUAUAACUGUUCUGAUCAAGUUCUUGCCAUUCGGGAAAAAAGAGCAGCUAAGUCCAGGGAAUCUGCAGCAAGACAUGCACGAGAAACUGCACAAGCACGCGAAAGAUGGAAGUCUGCAAGAGAUGGACUCAAGAAGCGCAAAACGGGAUUGCAUGAGCAGAUGUCCCGAACAUUUUCCCGCAAAAAAUCUGCAAAAUCAGAGCAACUGAAGGUUUUAGGCCAAGCUAAACCUGGUACAGAUGACUCUUUGUUACCACCUAAGAUACCAGGUACAUUAAGCGGGGAGCAGUCAUCAGCAGCUGCUUCAAAAGGAAAGAAAAAGGAACCAAGCGACCUUACGAAAAUGAUGCAAUCCCUUGAGGAUGAUCCAAAUAGUAAUGAAGGUUUUGAUCUACAGAUCGGGGAUAAAAAUAUUAAAAAGCAAGCACCAAAAGUUAAAAACCUGCAUACUCACAGUCAAAUUUUCAAGUAUGCAUAUGGGCAACUUGAGAAGGAGAAAGCUAUGCAACAACAAAGCAAGAACUUGACCUUCACAGGACUAAUCCAAAUGGCUACCGAUACUGAUGUGAAGACCCGUCCUACGAUUGAAGUAGAUUUCAAAGAUUUAACUCUCACUCUGAAAGGAAAAGAAAAGACUCUUCUGAGGUGUGUCACUGGGAAACUUUUACCUGGUCGAGUUUCAGCAGUCAUGGGUCCUUCAGGAGCUGGGAAAACAACUUUUCUUUCUGCAUUGGCAGGAAAAGUAACUGGAUGCACUGUUACGGGCUCAAUUCUUAUAAAUGGAAAAUCUGAACCAAUGCAUUCAUAUAAGAAAAUAAUAGGUUUUGUGCCUCAAGAUGAUAUUGUGCAUGGAAACUUGACCGUGGAGGAGAAUCUCCGAUUUAGUGCAAGGUGCAGGUAUGUAUGUUACAACUUCAUGCAGCAGUUUAACUGCAUUUUCGAAUUAUUUCCCUUCUACAGAGUUAUACAUAUGUGGAGUUUUUUUAUUGCUAGUUAGUAAGUAUCAUUUUGUCGUGGAGGAUUACACAUCCUCACAUUUUAAUACAUGUCUGUAAUUUCAUUUGCGAUUUAUUCUGUCGUAUACCUUCAUUUCUUUUUCAUGGCAGAUAUAUGAUGCAAAUUAAGCAUAUACCAUAGUCAAAACCUACUAACCCAAUAUUGAGAAUACUAAAUUCUUUUACUAAUUAAAAUCUGUUACAGGAUACCUAUUUUAAACAUGGUGUUUUUAUAUCUAGAUGUUUUUAGUAUUCUUAGGUACCAGUGUACUCUUAUGACAGAUGAGAUUCUGAUUUCCGUAUGACCCAUUUUAUUUGUUCACUUGAUCGGUUAUUUCUUCCAUCAUGCUUGAAGAACACAUAUUUUCUCAUAUUUACAUCAUAGCAUAUCUAUGAAUUUGUUUUAUUGAAGAAUUCUGACCAGCCAAGAUUCAUCAUAAAAAGGGAUAUAUUUCCUGGUUGUUUCUCAUUUUAUCCUUUAUCAGACUUCUAAAUGCUGGCUGAGGCUGACUCUUGAUACUCUAUGUUAUGUUCUUAUUUCACAUACAAUUUUUCUCAUUUUACAAAAAAACUUAAUGAUGAGGCUACCGUUACAAGGUAAUCAAUGCACUCGGGAAAUAAAAAGCCUCAGGCAUGUACGGAAUGCAUGUCAAGAGGCUACCAUUUAUGAUUUGCUCUUUAUUCAUAUGACAACUUUUUAUCCCAUACUAGCUAAAAAUUUAUUGUUGUCAAUUAUGUUUCGCAAUUAAUUCUUAAACAUACUGUGUAAUUUUUGUGUUGAUUUGAUUGAGGUCAGCAAUUUUUGUUGGCUUCAUUUUGAUUAUAUUACAUCUUUGUUUCUGGGCCCCUUCAUACUGCAGGCUAUCUGCAAACAUGCCAAAACCUGAUAAAGUCCUGGUUGUUGAAAGAGUUAUUGAGUCCUUGGGACUACAGUCUGUUAGAGACUCCCUGGUUGGUACCGUGGAGAAGCGAGGAAUCUCUGGAGGUCAAAGGAAACGUGUAAAUGUCGGCUUAGAGAUGGUCAUGGAACCUUCAUUAUUGAUCUUGGAUGAGCCUACAACUGGUUUGGACAGUGCAUCUUCCCAGUUACUUCUUAAAGCGCUUCGACGUGAAGCUCGUGAAGGGGUAAACAUCUCCAUGGUAGUUCACCAACCAAGGUAUGCUCUCUCUAAAAUUUCAGGAAACGACCAAAAGCAUGAGAUAUAGCGACCAGAAUUUCUGAACAUGUGGUCUGGUAGUUGAUGUGUUAAUAACAACUGGUCGUAAUAAUUGACGUAAUAAGUAUACAUUAACUGCCACAUCAUGUAGUCCCUUAAGCAUGUUCCUAAGAACAAUGAACUGCCACAUCAUGUGGUCAGAAAAUAUAUAGUUGUUUUAGCAUUUUCCCAAGAAAGCAUUGAACUUGAGUACUGCUAUUUCUUUCUCUGGAAAGUUCAUGAUGAAAAGUAUUUAAUUAUCAAUUAUCAGGUUAAAGAAUAAGAAGCCGUUAUUGGUUGCUUUUUCUUCUGUUAUCUUUGUAUCUUAUUGACUUAGAGUUAGUGUUUUGAUCCUUUUCUCUCUUUUUUUUUUUUUUGGGGGUCGGUUCAUACAGCUAUGCCUUAUUCAGGAUGUUUGAUGAUUUCAUUCUUCUAGCCAAAGGAGGUCUUACUGUAUAUCAUGGAUCUGUAAAGAAGGUUGAAGAAUACUUUGCUGGCAUUGGGAUUGUUGUACCAGACCGUGUUAAUCCUCCGGACCACUUCAUUGACAUUUUGGAGGGUAUAGAAAAACCAAGCUCAGGUGUGACUCAUGAAGAACUUCCCGUUAGGUGGAUGCUUCAUAAUGGGUACCCAGUACCUCCAGAUAUGCUGCAUCAUCUUGAUGGUAUUGCUGCAAGCUCAGCUGGCCCGAAACCUGUAAUGAAACGAGAUCAAUCUUUUGCUGCAGAUAUGUGGCAGGAUGUAAAGUCUAAUGUUGUGGUGAAAAAAGAUCACCUACAACAUAACUUCUUCACAUCUAACGAUUUAUCCGACCGAAUUACUCCUGGUGUGGUUCGGCAGUACAGAUAUUUCCUAGGGAGGUAUAGCAUCCAUUAUUCAUUUUUAUUUAACAUGCAUAAGAAUCCAAAUUCUCUCUACUGGUUGUUGAUACAUUAUUGGAGGUACAGUACUAUCCCCAGAAGCCUAUCCGGGUUUGCUAGGGUUACAUAUCUGUUUAUAUGCAACUUGCUUUUGGGUGGCUUGUUUUUGUUUGUCAGUUUUUCUGGUAAUUUUGGAAACUCUCGAGUCAAAAAGGGCAUUCUUUGAUCAAUUUUCAGCUUAAUAUUAGUACUCAUUUGAGCGUUGCCUAAAUAUCUGUAAAGAUGGCCCCUAUUGAAGAUUGAACUACAAUUUAUUUGGAAGAAGUGUAAUUGAUAUUCCUUCUUUGGCUGUUGAAGUCCAAGGACGUUUUAGUUUUUAACCUGAAAUUCUUAUAGGUAAUUUCUCUCAGGGUUGGUAAGCAGCGACUACGAGAUGCUCAAAUGCUGGCUGCUGAUUAUCUGAUUCUAUUACUGGCUGGAGCCAUCUUAGGGACUCUUGGUAAAGUGAAGGAUGAAACAUUUGGUGCCCACGGCUAUACUUAUACUGUCAUUGCUGUUUGUAAGUUUAGAAACAAACUUUCUAUGUUAAUAUUGAGUCUAACAUGGUUUCUUUAGCCUUAACUGAUGAGAUUGGAAAGUGUUAUUUCUCUCAGUUUUCCUUGCCAAAGUUAUAAAAUGUUGCAAUAACUAUAAGUCGCAGUGUUUUAGACUAGACAAUUUUCUCACCGUGUCUUCGCUCAUUUGAUAUAAUAUUAAUUUUGCUUAUUGCAGCACUGCUAUGCAAAAUUGCAGCAUUGAGAACCUUUUCCCUGGACAAAUUACAGUACUGGAGAGAGAGUGCAUCUGGGAUCAGCAGUCUGGCUCAUUUUCUGUCCAAAGAUACGCUGGACCAUUUCAAUACAAUCAUCAAACCAUUGGUUUAUCUAUCCAUGUUCUAUUUCUUUAAUAACCCAAGGUCAUCCUUUCAGGACAAUUACAUUGUCUUGCUUUGCCUUGUGUACUGUGUGACCGGCAUAGCUUAUGCAAUUGCCAUCUACCUUGAACCUAGCCCUGCCCAACUGGUAUAUAUCGGAAUAUCAAGCUGAUAAACUAAUUACAUGCUCAUGAAUGUAUGUAUGUAAUACUUAUAUUUCUUCUAAAUCUAAUCAUUUCUGUUUUCAGUGGUCCGUGCUUCUUCCUGUUGUUUCGACCCUCAUUGCAAACCAAGUGAAAGACAGUGAAGUAGCGAAGCGUGUAGCAAACUUUUGCUACACGAAGUGGGCACUAGAGGCUUUUUUCAUUGCAAAUGCAGAAAGGUUUGUUGUGACCAAUCCACACGUGCAUGCAAAUUUGUUCCGUGGAACAAUCAACAUUGUUACAAAUUCCAGUGUUCAAAGUUUUCUUUUGUAUUCUGUUGCGAAUCGGGAUGCUGAUUUCAUACUUUCUUGAUCAGGUACUCUGGGGUGUGGCUGAUUACUCGCUGCAAUCAAUUAAUGAAAAGAAGCUAUGACCUUGAUGAUUGGACUCUUUGUCUGGUCGUCCUCAUCGUCAUUGGCGUGCUUAGUCGUGUCCUGGCUUUCUUUCUGAUGGUGACUUUUCAGAAGAAGUAGGUUGGUCUGGAUAUCCCCUUUCUCUGCAGAUUUUCUUGUAUAUAGAUCAUACAAGUCUGAUUUCAACACCCUUGUAAUUUGUAUCAUAGUCACUGAUGAAGGUGAAGCAGAAUUCUUUAACAACAGAAAAUUGAUGGCUAACAUUGUAAGCAGAAAUGCUCAUGCCUAGAUGAGUAUAGAGGGCCCACACAUUUACUUAAUUUUGUACAAAAAAAGGAACUGUUCAGUUUACUUUGAUCUCUAUGCAUGCUCAGUAGUUUGACACCACAUAUAUAUUUAUAUUUUCUCAAAUUUUGAGCUUGAAUCAUAUUAAUGAGUCAUUACCAAAUUUUCCUAAAGAUUAAACCUAUUUGAUGCAAGGGAGCUAACAAUUGCAGCCAUUGAAGUUUUAUGACACCAGUUUUGGGUUACAUAUAUUUUGUUGUGCUUGUCAUUGUGCAGAGGUAAAACUUUAUAUAUCCUAUUCAAGAGAGAUCUUUUUUUUUUUUUUUUCUUUCUUUGUUAAUCUAGGGAAGUAAAAUCCGGAUGUAUUCUAAUUCUAACUCAUUACUCCACUCUUAUUCAUUACGUGAACUAACUCCAAAGCCUGAAGAGAAAUCUUUCUCUCAACUAUGUAAAUGUGAAGUCAAUUAAGAGCAAUGUUUAGGUCGAAUCUUGAGCCUUGAUGUAUGUGAUGUUCCCAAAGUAUUACCGGGAUUCACUCAUGUCAUGUGUGAUUGUGCUGCAUUCUUUUCAAAUCAAUCUCAAAAUAACAUUUUUAUUCGAAAAUAAACAGAUUACUUUCCCCAAACUGAAAAUUUGGAUUUUAUCUAGGUAAAACUAUUUAGAAAACCAAAUACAGUGACCAAAUUGAAAGAAAAUAAAAUUACAGCCACCAAACUGAGCAACAUACACGCAUUUUACGCGCGCAACACGUAUCUAUGAACAACAGAAAAACCCACGAAACGAAAAAGGAGUAAUGAAUAUGAAAUCAGCGUUUCGAAACGUUUAUUGUACGCUCUUCCGCUCCCUAAACCCUAACCUUCCCUCCAAUUUCCUCCCUCGUCGUCUUACAUUCCUCAUCCCUCCCUCAGCUCCGUCCAUCAGAGCCCAAACGUUUCGCUCGCUCUCCCCCACUCACUCCUCUGAAUCCAUGCCGGGCGGUGAAGCUCACGCGGCUCCCCUGCUGGAGAAGCAGUUCGAGGACUUCCGAGCGCAGCUCGAAGAGUCUGGAACCUUGCGCGAGCGCAUUCGAACUGUGGUUAUGGAGAUCGAGUCCACCACAAGGCUCAUUCACUCGAGCCUUCUCUUAGUCCACCAGUCUCGUUCAACUCCUGGUAAUUUCAUUUCAUGUGAAAUGUAGAAAAGGAUUUUCCUUGAUAAAUUACAUUUUGUUUGUUUUUAUUUUCUGGUUUUAAUUUGAAGCAGAGGUUUUGGAGAAGCCCUUGGCUCAGAUUGGUGUGCUGAAGGAGCUCUACAAUCGACUCGCUAAGAUUGUGCUCGAGUCUCCUGGGCAAUACUAUAGGUUAGUGAAGUGAAACAGGGGCAUUGUUGGAAUUUUAAUUUGUGGUUUGGUUUUGGGACUGGCUUGAUUGAUGUGGUUUGUGUUUAGAUAUCAUGGUGAUUGGAAGACGGAGACACAGACUGUGGUUUCUCUGCUUGCUUUUAUGCAUUGGUUAGAGACAGGGGCUCUUUUGCUGCACACUGAAGCUAAGGAAAAACUUGGGUGUACGUUUCUACUCUCUGUUAUUGUUUGUUUAUGGUGAAAUGUUUGUAUUUUUGUCUAAUAUGAGCUUUUUUUUUUUUUUUUUUUGGAAUUGUGAUUUUGCCAAGACGGUGUGUAUAUAUGUAGGUGUCAAUUUCGUGAAAUGAAAUGCGUAAUAAUAUUGACAAUCAGAUUUCAACCAAUGGGUUGGGGUACUUUUUCAUCAUUAGAAGAGCAGCCAUGAUCAUGCUUUUUAACCAUUGAUUUAACAAUCAGGCUUCAGAUUGAUCUUAAUCUGAGUCUAAUGCAAUGUAGAAACAAAGAUUCGAAUAGCAAUGGUAACCAAAACACCAAAAUCUUCUAUGAUCUGAUUUUAGUUGAAAAACCUUGAGGCAGGGUCAUGUGAUGUAAUGAUGUCAAUUACAACCCACGAGAUCCAUGACUGUUUAUAAUGUGUUAUGUUUUUUUCUUUAAAUAAUUUAGUCUUAAUUGCAGUGUAUUAUCUUUAGUUUCUAAUAUGAGUUAUUUCCAAUUUUGCAGUGAACGAUUCAGAGUUUGGUCUGGAUGUUGAAGACUAUCUUGUUGGUGAGUGUUGUAAGAUUUCUUUAUACAUGAUUGCAUAAGAGUGAUGUUGCUGUGAAACAAGUCAAAAAAGUUAUCUGUUGAUACAAUGUUGUUUUGUGAUAAUCUGGAAAGGCACAAGAUUUUGAUUCUUAGAUAUAUAUUUCAUGGUUUCAUUACCUUCUAUCCAAGGUGCAAAUAAUAUAAUUUUAAAUCUCCUUAACAGCACCUCAUUCAAAUUGUGUGGGAGUCAAUUGUAGGGUGUGUAUAUCUAAACCAUUGUGAGGAGUCCAGUAGGCUUACUUGCAUGGAUUAUUAUCGCUGCUGGUUUCUCUUGGUUAAGUUAGACGCUGAUGUGAUUUUUUUUUUUCCUGCUGUUGCAGGUAUUUGUUUCAUGUCCAAGGAAUUGGUAAGUAGUAUUCAGCAAUUGUGAUAGCUUGCUUUUUUGUACUUGUUCAAACUGCCUCAAAAUGUUUUGAUUGUUGUCUUGAAUUUAAUACCAGCAAAAAUUUAAAUUGAUAAGAAAAUAUGAAAAGUUUAUACUUGAAUAGGUAUAUAGUUGGGUACAGAUGUAUAUCUAGAAGGAUGUCUUUUUUGUGGUCGGAUAAGGAUGUCAUUGUGCUUCAACUGAGAAAAUUCAUGAGGUGAAAGCACAAGCACAUUGAUUGACAUGCCAUUCCGCAUGUCAUGAAAAUAAUUGAUAGCUUUGUAUUGAAGUAGGCUCAUUAUACAAUACAUUGCUGCAGCCGAGGUAUGUGGUUAACCAAGUGACAGCUGGGGACUAUGACUGCCCAAGAAAGGUGCUGAAAUUUUUGACAGAUCUUCAUGCAGGCUUCCGCAUGCUUAAUCUUCGGAAUGACUUUUUGCGCAAGACAUUUGAUGGUAUGCUACUCAUUGUGACUUUACUUCUCAAUGUUUCUCUUUUCCUUUCAAGUUACAAUCCUUGCAAGCCUCGUAAUUUUUCAUUUUACUUUUGCAUUCCAUUUGCAUGAAAUACUUUGUCACCUGUGGCAGGUAUGAAGUAUGACCUAAGAAGAGUCGAAGAAGUUUACUACGAUGUUAAGAUCCGAGGCUUGACAGCCAAUGGUGAUCCUGUGGCAGACCAAGCAGCACAAUCAUAGAUUUCAAAAGUUGUAAACUUCCUCUUUGUUAUCAUGAUUACUUGAAAUUCCAGAGAGACAGAUGACGGAAGAGGGUUUUGUGUCACAAACUCCAACCGAAUCGGGUAAAUCUAGAAUCCUGCUACUAGUUACAGGAGAAUGGAAGCAAGGAAAACUGUAACCAAUGCCUUGCUUCUGAUGUCAUUUUCCGACUUCUGUGUAAAUCAAAAAACAAUGAAACAUGGUUGAGGAAGAAUGAAAGUUAAGAGUUUUGUGAAUCCAUCAGUUUGUUUGUAGAAAGAAAGGGAUAUAUAGAUGCAAGCAGAAAUGAUUCUGCUGCUCUGCAUCGACUUCAUGAAAUACCAUUUCCAGGCUCGCUCUUACCAUCAUGUGACCAAUAACAAAUAACUUUCAAGUGUUUUUAAUUUUACAGUUACUAAAUAUUAUUAUCUUCUUUAGGGACGGAAAUGGACAGAGAUUUGAUUUUCAACUGUUAUGGUAAGUGGCAUUAAAACUGGAGAGCAAUAUGCUCUUGUAGGAAUAGGACAGGAUCGAUCAACUAAGGCCCCUGCCUGCAACUUGACCACAUGUGGACAUAACUAAAUUUGCCCUCCUGUCACAUCUAAAAGUUUUUUUAAAAUCAUUUUCCAAUGCCUAUCGUUAGGGGUAUUGUGACUGGGAGGUCUUGACUAUUGCUAUCCAUCCAAUUUAGCGAACCUCAUUUUCUCUUUUCGCGAAUCAAUUAUCAUGCUUUAUGGGUAAAAGGUAAUGGUGGGAAGUAUAAUCUGUCUUUUUUGAUUACCUUAUGAACUGUCAAACCUCUUUUUUCCAUCACAAAUUAAUGUCAGAUUUUUAGGUCCAAAAAAUAAAAAAAAUGUCAAAUUAGAUACACUUUGCUAAGUGUAAUUAUAGAUAAUGAGUCAUUGAUACGAGACCAGUAUAGUGUCUUGUCUAAAUCAACUGGCCUAAUUCACAUACCCUUUUUACAAACUAACCUAACUCACGCAGCGUAACCUUUUCAAAGACAAAUUAUGGCGUUCACCGGCGGUGGGGUUCAAAUUCAUAACGCCGUCAAAAGAGUCAUAACGUGGAUGACCACAAACGCAACAACCCCAUUUUAAUGUCCUCCACGUGUCGGUGUAGGUCACGGCGGACUUGAAACGCACCUUGAAGCGUUUUUCUUUCUUUGUGAGCAGCAGAGCGAGAAAUUAAAUGAAAAUGACGAAACACCCCCAUUUUUCACAUUCAUCCAUUUACUUAUAUUUCCCUCUAUCUCCUCCAUUUCGUGUCGCUUUUUGGCGGUUUUGAGGCUCUUCGGUUUCGAACAUUCGCACGAAUUUCUCUGACCUCUCUCUCUCUCUCUCUUUCACUCACUCAGGUCAGAUCUCUGCUCUCUAGAUUCUGCUAGAUCUCCAUUUAUCUUGAUUUUUCAAUUUUUAUCUUCUCUGAGAUCGCAGAUCGGCAAGCUUUCAGCUCAUUAGGGCUUCCGUACUCAUUAAUGAGGUACUGUUUCUACUUUAAACUCGUUUUCUGAUCUACUUUUUUACUUACUGUUUGGCUGCUGAGAAAACGAAGCAAGAGUUGCGGAUAAACUUUGCUUUCACUAGAUUUUUUUUCAUCAUCUUUUUAUGUUUUAUUUUUUUGAGCUUAGCUGAAGUAUACAGCUAUAUACUGUUUACUGCUUAACCUGUGAUUUCGCUUUUUUUGUUUUUUUGUUUUUUGUUUUUGUAUUUAGGGUGCUUUGCAUUGGAUUGCAUUUUAUAAUUAUUUAUAGUUUUUUUUUUUUCCUUCACGUUCUGAAUAACUGAUCAAAACAUAUGAAAUCUCUUUUCUUUGGACAAGAAAACGUUUAAUUACAAGGCCUGUCUCUUAUCUGCCUUUCUAUUUUAGACUGGUAUUAAUCUGCAUCAUGCAGAUCCUAAUUUGGAUGGCUACUCGUUUAUCCUUGUGUGUUUUUCUUUUAAAUUCUAAAACAUAUGUAAGCAAGUUCAUCAAGGGCAUGCGCCGUUCCCUACUAUGUCCAAUCACUAACAUGGCUGCUGGUGAUAAUGCAGCAAUCAAUAUUGAACCAUACAAUUGGCCCCCUUGCCGUGAUUCUAUAAUCUUGAACUAAAGUUCAUUAAUGCCUCAGUAUUGAUCGUGCAAUUGCAAAUUCGAGUGACUGCAAACCAUUUGAUAUUCUUUGCCGUAUGAAAUGCAAUCCAGGUGGCUACAAUAACUAGCAUGGUUUCAUAAGUUAGUACAAAUUUGUAGACAUGAACAGGCUAUGUGUACAAUAAUCAAAAUGUGAAGGAGCCUGAACGUAUUAAUUGAACGGCGAUCUCUGGCAGCUUGGAAUAGCUACUUAUAUCCUUUCUGUUGUCAUAUUGAUGUACUCUGUUGAUUAAUGAAAUCUGUAUAGUUUGUCUAUCUGGGUUCUUUUUGGUACAACCAAACUGAUGAAUGCGUGAAAUUAUAGGAUCUGUGUUGGAAGCAUGAUAUGAAAUGGAUCAUGAAGCACACUCGCGUAACAAGUUCGUCAACAUGAAAUCCCAAAGGGUGAUGAUUUAUUAGUUUUUCGAGGAAAUGCUUUUAUCAUCAUGCUUAUGUGCACUGUACAUGACUCUAGUUCUUCAUAUAGGCUUUGCCAUCUUUUCUGAAUUUCUUGAAAUACUAGGCAUCUUAGUUGCUAUUCUUGUUGCAACUAUUUAACAUUAAUUUUUUAUUAACAGUUGAUGCUUGGUCUCUGUAAUUAAAUUUAGUCCUCCUUUAGUUCCUUGUUUGGGAUAGCCACUGGUAUAAUUUUUUUUCCUUCUAUUUUUCAAUUUUUCAUAGGUGAAAGUAGAAGGUUCUUUUGCUCCUGCAUUAGAAGAUGAAACUGAAACCAUUGAGCAUUUACUAGCAGAACCUAAAAGUGAAUAUGUUACGGUAGAUGGUGUCUUAUGCUGUGGCAAGGAGAAUGCAGGAAAGUGCAUGGACAUUGAAGAUUUUUCCUGUGGAUAUGACUUUGGGCUUAAUACAUACAGUGGUAAUAAUACUAAAUGCUACCAUUCUUGUUUCUAGCGCCCUUAUUAGUUAAAGUAUUAUAUCAAGUCCUUUUGUUGUAGGAUUUUUUAUUCCUCUAAUUUGAAGUAUAGGAAAUUUCCCAAGUGCCUGGGGAGCACCUUGUGUACAUCGUCAUGAACAGUUUUGACAUGUAUUAGUGGAUUUCUUGACCUUUGAUCCCUAGACUGAAAUUCUUCCACCCCUGAGGAAGAUCCUCUUGCUGAAAAAAGCAAAAUAUAAUAGAAGAAAAAGAUUAUAUUAGGGGUUUUUAACAUCUGACACUUGCAUGUAAUGAAAUCUUGUUUCUUUGAUGAUAGAAUGCAUUCCAAAUGAUUUUAUUCAAAAUUAUUUAUUGGUAACUGAAUUCGAGUGACUCUACAAAGGUUUUUGGUUUCAUUUUGUCAAAUAAAUUUUUGGAAUCACUUCUGUUAUCAUUCUAAUCCUGUAUAUUUUUUUCCCUUCAUAAGGUGGAUUGCAUUCUGCUCAUCCUCGUGGAAGAUACGAUGAAUUAGAAUUUGGAGUAUGUAUUUAACUUUAUGGAUAGAUUUAUAUUAUGUCAGAGUUAUUCUGUACAUUCUUCUUCUCUUUGUGAAAAUUAGCUUCCCUUUAAGUUUUAGGUCGCAUCGUUUCCCUAUAUUACUUGAUAUGACAGUUUUAGGGAAUGCUGUAUGUAUUUACUGCUAAGUUAUUUGUGGUGAUUGCAAUUUUGAUGAGAUAGUGAUUUAGUAGGUUCUUGACGGAUUGUUGGACGAAGUUGAUGAAGUGGAGGAUAUUCAUGCAAUAAAUGGUCUUGCAAGCCCCUGUGAUGAUUAUCUUUUAGGUGAAAGUUUGUCUAUACUGUCUGGUUAAUAGUGACAUUUACGGUGUGCUUUCUCUUUCCUUUUGUUUUCUGAUGUUUUUUUUUUCCUUCCAAUUGCAGAUAUUGGAUUUACAGGAAAAGCUUCUGAACUGGGUUUUGGUCCUUGUGAAAAAUCACAUCUGGGAAACUCAAGUUCUGAAAGUCAGUCUCCACGAUUAAGUGGCAGUAGUAACGGUGCUGUUGGGAUAUCCGAAUCGUCAACUGUGACUAUUCAAGAAUUUGAAUGCAAGAAUAAUUCUAUUGACAAGGCAGUAACUCAUGAAUUUCAUGGUGGGUUCAGGAGGAAAAAAAGACAUCGAACACCUGUUGAAGGCAAUGUCUAUCCUGCUUCAAUCAAUUUACAAAAUCUUGAGUUAGAUAAUGAUGAAAAGUCUUUAGUAAGGGAAAUAGUGUCUGGUGAAAAUGAGAAGCUCUCUGUUGAAGCAACCAAACUUGGUGCUUUUUGUAAGGAAAAAAGACUGCGUAAGCCUACUUUGAGAUAUAUUGAGGAAUUUUCAGGUAAGAAGUCAAAAGAUUCCAACGAGAGGGAAAAUUGUUCUGCUGUUACUGCUACGCAGGAUCGCUCAAAGGUCAGAUGUCAGAAUGAACAUCAUCAUAUGAGUCCUGGGAUAUUGUCAUCAGUGCCUGAGGAGGAUUCAAUUUCAGAAAACCAGACACUGGCUGAAUUUAGGACUCAAAGAAAACUUGCAAAGAAGCAUGCAUCAAUUUUGGUAGGAAAAGUUUCAACCCUGCACAUAUUUAUUCCUUCAACAUUUAAAUUAUUUAGAAGAAAACUCCCGUCUUUUUUUUCCCAUCUCUCCAGUUGUAUGGUUGUUUCUCUUUCCUUGUUUGCUUUAAUUUACCUUAUCAGAAGUUACUAGUCUGAUAAACAGUGAAAUUUAAGUAUGACAGGUAGUCCAUGAGGCACCGUUGUCUCUGGAUCACCCUCUUAAAACAUGUGAGAGAUUAUUCAUAGCCAUCUGCAGAUUGCUGUGUAUUUUUCAUGUAGACUUGGAGAAUGUGAGGACUAGACUGUGAGUCUAUUAUUCCUUUGUGCUUGUUAAAUAGUGUUGCGUUACCUGUGAGUUACCUAUUAUAUUCUGCAUCUUUUGUAGAGAAUGUGUUGCUGCAUUUCUGUAGUUUUAAAACCUAUUGAUUUCAGGGGUACUGAUACAUUGAUUUCAGGAUAUGUGUUGCAACCUGUUUCUUAGGUUGCAAAACUUGUUUUUUGGAUCUACCCUCUGGGUAAUGGCGUUCUUUGCUUUGCAUUGAAGGGCACAGCUGUUGUGAUGUUCAUUGACUGGAAAAGAAAAAAAAAACCAUAGAAAUCAGUGUGUAUUAUUUUUUCUUUCUUUAGACAACUAGGAUUAUCAGUAGUACUGUGUUUUUCCUCUUUGAGUUGUGUAAUGCCACGGUUUCAGAAGUUUAAUUGUCUGUAUUAUUCUGCACAGGCGCUUGAGUCUGAUGAGCAACCUAUUACAUCUGAGUCUGAAGAUGACCAUGUACCAAAAAAAAGAUCUAGAAAGCAUGAUCGAAGGAAGCAUCAAAGGAUGUGGACGCUCUCUGAGGUGACGACAUUGGUUGAUGGUAUUUCUGAAUAUGGAGUUGGACGAUGGACAGAUAUUAAGAGGGUCCUAUUUUCGUCUUCUGCUUAUCGCACGCCAAUAGAUCUCAGGGUACAUUGCAGUUCUCUAACAAAGGGAAUAGUAUGCUCUCCAUUUGCACAGAAAAUGGAGAGGGCCAGUUCUUCAAUCUGAACCGCCCAAAGGGGCAGGGCCCCCUGAAUUGGGGACAGGCCCAUGAAGGCCUGACAAGCUAUCUAUGGUCCAGAUUUUAACUGGCUUUCUCCAUUUUGUGCUGUACCGGAGAGAAACUGGAUUUCAAUUAAACAGGUGUCUUUGUGUUUUAAUUUCUAAUUCUCUUUGCUACUUGUGCACGCUACAGGACAAAUGGAGAAAUCUUUUAAGAGCUAGCUGUGGAAAGAAAAUGAAGAAAGAGGCUAGAUUUCUAUCUAUUUAUAUUUUUAUAUUUUGGGUACGUGAAACUGUCAUGCAAACUAAACUUGUCUAGAUGGUUUGGCUGACACAGGUUGAGCAAAAGGAGAUGCGAGCUUUACCAAAGUCUUUGGUACGCCGUGUCCGUGAGCUGGCGAUGGUACACCCCUAUCCUAGGCAGCGUGGCAAGAAGUUUGCCCCUCCCAUACUUCCUACUCCCAGUAAAAGUGCUUCAUCUGACCUAAUCAGAAAGUAUGUCCGAAGGAAGAAUCGAUCUUGAAGUUCAAUAUCCCUGUUGCAGUAAAUCAAUAGUCAGGAAUGUACCAAAGUUUAGUUGUAAAAAGUCUCUUUUCUCAUCAACAAUCUUCUGUUCUUAACAUGGAGCAAUUGGAUCCUCAGGAAAAAAAAAUAAUGAUUACAAGCUCUCUGCACCAGUUGGGCCAAAUUUUCUGUUGUAAUAGCGUUUUGAGAUGUUUAGGUAUGCUCAAGCAAGAGUAGUUUGUAUUUGACAUUAUUGAACACACCCCUUCACCUUUCUAGGAAUUUACUUUGGAUAGUUUCAAAACCAUGGCUGCAUGCUCUGUUUGAUCAGGUAUUAGUUGUUUUUGGCUCUAAAUGUGCUAGUGGUUACCUAUAACAAGUUAUUUAGAGGCGUUAUAAUUGCUGACAGUUGCGAUUUUUCCCGGUAAUGUUUUCAAAUAUGGUAUAGGUAACUCGUGACAUCAUUGAUGCCAUUUGUAAAUGGGUUGCUUUGAGGAGUUGAAUUUUGCGUGAAAUCCUGCAAAAGGGUAUUCAUUUUUGGAUUUCAAUUUUUCUCUUGCAUCGACACUCAAAAACAAAGAAGCGAAGGAAAGAAAAAAUUCAACUGCAACAUUUAUAUACAUACGAACACACACACACACAUAUAUAAAAUAAUGGUUUGCAAUUCCUUGCAUAAGCUUCAAAUUUGUUUACAUCCAUGUAGUUCUGAUAUGAGCGUUAGAACAUAGCAGUUUUCCCAAAACGAGAGUUAAACACAGCAAAUCUUAUGUAGCCACUUGAUAUGAGACUUUUUAAAUCCAUUAAGAAUUUUGACAUGAUCAGUCCCCAAGCUCAGUUGGCAAUUUCUCACCAUUUAUGUGAUAUGGUCAGGAAUUAUUCUCACGCGUGGGCGACUGACUAUAACACAAUUCAACUGUAUAAAUCGCUGUCGGACUCCAGACUAUACCAGAUAAUUUUUAUAAGAUUACAGGCAAAGCGCAAAUCACCAUCCAUACAAAAGCUUAUAGGAGAAUAUACCAAAGCCCAAGUAGAACUAAUAACUAGUGUUCACACCAAACUAACAUCACAUAGGAUUUCCCAUCCAUGCAGGACCAGCUUUUAUUUACCCAUUUCCACCAUCACCACCAUCUCCUUGAGAAGAGCCAUUGGGGUCAUUGUAAUGCUGUCUAGGUAUGCUGUGGUGGUUGUCGAUAUUGUGGUUGUCCAAACUGCUUCCUGGGUACUUUCCAAUGCUAUUUUCCAUGGAUUUUCCGCUUUCGACAUGCCGGUGUGGCUGCUCUUCUUGUCCAUACGUUCGUCCCAACAUAGCCCUCCUUGGCGCUGCUGCCAAGCAAUAGCUGGCCAUGAACAUCACAACCAAAAAGAAUGCCACCACCUUCAUUUCAAAACUUGGUGUUAGAGCAAAGGUUUUUGAAUACAAACGUGUAUACAACUUUGAUUUUUGAGCAAAGGGUUUGUGGUAGUUUAGAAGUUCAAUUUCGUCACAAAACCCAAGUGGAAAUAGAUGAAGAGAGAAUGUGAGAUGGUUUUUUUUUUUUUUUGGGAGAGUAUGCUGCUUUAUAUAGAGGAACUGAGGAAUAAAAAAUAGAGAUAUUUAGUCAUAUAUCCAUUAUUAGCACUAAAAUUAUAAAUAAAUCUUACGCUAUGUAAUUUCUAUAAACAAACAAAAAAAAACUCAAAAAAUAACAAUUGGCCCUAUUGAAUUUAAUUUUGAUUAUUAAAUUACUUUGAUGCCUUAUUGAGUGUUUUAGGCUUUUUUAUGAGGAUUUUGGGAUGAGUUUGUUUUAAGAAAUCAAUAGCAGUUUUGUAAUUUAAAAGAAUUUAAAAGCCUUUUUGUUAUGUUGUAAAUGGGCUUUAAGUGUGUUUCUAAAGUUCAUUUUAUAUAAGUUUUUUCUAUAAUUUGGACUCCUAUAUUGAGUAUAAUAGUGAAUUUUCCUAAAAAAUAACGAUUUCGGUUGAAAUUAAAAUGAGUAAUUAAUUAUGGGUCUCCACCAAAUACGGGGCAAGAUUGAGUGGGUUUCUAUAUAAUUUACCAGCUUAUAAAUUUUAAAAAAUUAAUAUAAGGCUCUGUUAAUGAUGGUUGAGAGCACUUCUUGUCCACUUAGCUGCCUCAAUAGGAAAAUCCCACCUUUCAAGUGGGAUUAUAUUAUUUUAUUCACCAACACAAAUUAAGUCAAUCCAGCAUAAUGGUUUUGCUGUUGGGUCACUUUAAGUUGUCAAAUCAUGAAUAUAUAUUGCCAUACAAAAUUCAGAAUUAGGCCAUCAGUCUAGAUGUUUCUUGCCAAGUUGUCAACUGGGGAUUACAGAUUUUGUAUUUUUUUUAUUAUCUAAUAUUGUUGUUGCAAAAGAAAAUAUAAUAAGAGGGUGAGAACUAGUAUUACAUCAAGAUACUGUUUGCCUCAUUUUUAAUAAGGAGAUAAUUUUAUUUUAUUUUUUUGUGAAUUACAAUUUGACACAUAUAUAAAAAUAAUUUAUGAAAAAUACAAAAAGAAAAUUUAUGCACACAAAUCACACUAUUAUUGACAGAAAUAUAAAAGCUCUUAUUUAAAUAAUAAAGAAUGAAACCGUAAUCAUUAAGAGAAGAAAGAUAAGUUAAUUAUUUUGAAGAGAAUCUCUAACUGUUAGGCUGUAGAUUUGUUCCUCCACUUUGUGAAAGUGGGAUAAAUUUUGAAAUUCAUUGCCAUUGAAAAUUUGAUAAUUGGAUUGGUGACAGGUAAUUUUCAGAUUUUACUAUAGCCCAAAGAUCAAGUUGGGUUUGGGAAAUAAAACCACUAAUUUUCUUUUUCUUUGUGAACGGUUUUGGAAAACAAAUACAAAAGCAACAUGUGCCCCUCGUCCACUUUCAACGUCCUAAUCCCAACGAUAAAUAUCUCCAUAUUCAAUUUGGAAGAUAUUAACCACUUUCAACCUAACCAGUCCUUUGCACACACAACAAACAAAGAAAAGGGCUCGAGGAGAGCAACUUCCAUGAGAUUGUGAUUCCUUGCACAAUGGGCCACUUGAUUGUGAAACUAGCCCAAAGAUCUGAUGAUCCAUUGCAGAGCAAAUUCAGAAAUGGAUCUUUGGGCCAUAACCAAGUAAUGUCAAGUAAUCCUGUGUUGGGUUGGGUUCUUCCCCCUUUUAAUAUUCAAAAGGGUAGGCACGACGAUGACUAGUUUUUCUUCGGUGCAAGCUCGGAGUGGUAGUGUGUCCGCUUGGAAUGGCUAGUGCAUCAGGUUCAAUCCAAGUGUUUGUGCUUGGAAUGGCUAGUGCUAGUCCAAACUCAUAUAUAUAUAUAUAUAUAUAUGAUGAUGAUGAUGAUCCAGCUGCAUUUCUACAAGACUACAACCUAGAUAAGAAAUCACAUGUUUUGUGGAUAUAGAAUUUGGAUGGCCAUAUUUCUUCAAAUUAUGUGUUAUUUGUCACAUCCAUUAAAUUUACUUAUCUGUUAUGCAUGCGUUCAUGUUGUCAGAUCAUCGUGUUCCUCCCAUGGCCAUAUAGAAACGGGUAGAGCUAUCAUGCACAGGUGGGACUCCACAUGCAUUCUAGCCCUUGACAAUGUUUUUUCUCUUUCGCAAAAGAUGAUAAGCAAAACCUUCACAAUGAUUGAUAUAGUUGUACUUGAGGCUUUAUGAAAUGGUAUGUUUUUUUUUUUUUCACUACUUGUAUUCACUUUGGUGUAUUUGAGGUUUGAUGUAAUUGUUCAGUCCAUUUAUGUGUAUUGAAUUUUGUGCAUUCGAGGUUUGUUGUAAUGAUUUGUGAUUGUAUUAAUUAUGCGCGUGCAAGUAGGCGACUCUCAACCGUUGAUGCAUUAUGAGCUCUACAUGUAUACUAACGAACACACAUUAUGAGCCAAUUUUUACUACAACAGUAGGUGUGUGUGCAAGAAAUGAAUACAAUGAAAUUUGGCAAACUCAGUUACGUAAUGUUUGAACAACAUUAACUGAACAUGUAAGCUAUUAUAUAUUGUCUCACCAACACUGCCAGAACCAGCUAACCUAAUGUUCAAAAUAGCUCAACAUUAUCACUGUAUGUAUGGAACCUCUUGAAUGUAUAGGUUUGGUCAAUUCUAGCUCAACAUUCAUUGAGGCUGACUUGCUAUCCCAGUACAAAUAAAUAGUCUAUAAAAUAGUGUAAAAUGACAAAGAAUACGUAGCUUCUUCUCACUAGUGGAGAGAUGGGUUUUAUGUCAGUGGGUGAGUAGAGUAGGUGGAUUCAGUUUCUUUUCUUAACUCUCUUUUAAUCUUUUUAUGUGUCAUUUUUUUCUUUUGUGGUCUAAGGAGAGCUGAAACCCAAUUUGGGUGUAGAGACUUUAUAUGUACCAUUUGAUUGAGAGGUAAUGGUAUUGUUGAAAAGUCUUGUAAAUUUUGAAGAGAAGCGCAGUGUGUUCUUGUCUUUCUUCAUGGAUGACACACUACGUAAGGAGAGAGACAAAUGAAAAAAAUAUACACCCGUGAUAUGUAAGUUGUUUCCAAAAUUAGGUGGGUGAAACGAGUGAAAAUAUCUAGUAAACACACAAAAGGAGAAAAGAAGAAGAAUAAAAAAAAAAAAAUCAGAGCAUUGCUUCCCGAGAGGAAGCAUGGGAAGGAAUUAAUGGGAAGGGAUGGGAGGAGGUAGUUGAAAGUGAAGUCGGAAAUCGAAGUGGCAGGAGUGACAGCUAAGAAGAGCUGACGACUACACAUGGAGGGAGAUAGAUUCCAAUUCAAAUCAAAUCAUUGCUGAUCUUGCCAAAUAUGAGUUAGGGUUACUUGAGGUGUCACCAACUUCUCAACCCUUCUCUCACUUCUCAACUUCUCACUCACCCGUGAGCCAUAUUGGCCCAACCUCAUGUGCACCAUUCCAUGUCCCUUUGCUAAGCUCCCCUACCCUCAUGACCCACCAUCUUAAUAUGCUUCCAAGAUGUAUGAUCAUGAGAUUUGAAUUCAGGAGAACAAGUUUGUUCAUAAGAUUUGAAUUCUCACGACAAUCUUUAAGAAAGUGAAAAAUGAAUGUCACUAAACUCAAUGUUGGUUAACUCAGUAUCUUUUGUAAUGUCAUCACAAUGAAAUAUAUGAAUAAAAUGGUUUCCUACUAACAAGCACAUAGCAAUUUGUACAACGUAAUAUAACUUUCUCACAUUACCUAAAGCUUGUACAUGUUGAUUUAAAAGUCCUCAACAAAUGGAAGUUGAUUUCUAUCUGUACUUUUAUUUUGAUAGCUGGAUCUUGAGAGUUUUCAAAGAUAUUAACUCUCUUCCACUCCCUCUCCAUGUCUGCAGCAGAACUGUUGCUAGUUUUUAGUCAAAAAUGAUUGGACAGAGUGAGGAACUAUGCCUUUCAACCAACCUAGCACAGCAAACUUUGUCUCCAGGGGGAUGAAUCAGUGUGCUGGCUCCUCUCUGUCUCUCUCUGUCUCUCUCUCUCUCUCUCUCUCUCUCUCUCUCUCUCUCAGCAAAUAAACUUCAAACAUCUGAACCCACUCAGAAUCACAACCACAGGAUCCACAACAAACUGCACCGUUUCACUAUUUGCUUGCUUUUUCGAAUUUAUAUUUUAUGAAAUGGCUUGAUUUGACUGAAGUGGUCUCUUAGCUGCCUGUAUGUAACUCCACAAUAACUAGCCAGAGGAUGCUAUGAAAAUCACAUAUAUGGGUACCUAGAAAGUGUCUGGCUAAUCUUUAAGCCUAAACUUGUAUCUCCAUGCAAGAUGGUAAUAUUUAUUUAUCAACAAAGUGGUAGGACCUAAUUUGAGGACUUGUAUAGUUUCUAUGGUAAGUUUUUCUUGCCAAACUUAUGUUGUGAAAGAGAUGCUUAUACUAUUAAGAACUAACAUGAUUAAUUGUUCAUUUUCAGAGUCUGAAAAUAGAGCAUUUCCCUCCACUUAGGUCAUCGUUAAAAUACCAUUGUUUAUGCAUAAAUAUUGAUCAUCUUAUUUCUUAGAGAAACCUUAAAACGGAUCCCAUUUUGGUUGGCGAGGAAAUGGAGAAUGUUACUACAAUCGAGAAUUGAAUUUUCGUUCUAUAAGAUUAUAAAAUGUGAGUCCCAUUUUAUGCUCUGCAACCCAGGAUACAUCCAUCCAUCCCUUCUGCUACGCAUAGCCCAUCUCCUGCUUAGAAAGUCGGACUGCAAAGAUACUCAAAAACUUAUCCAAAAUCUAAACAGCAAAGAUACUUGUGGGAGCAAAUUUCCUCACAAGAAUAUUCGCCCAAGAUUCCUUCGUCUUUUCCGCCUCUCUUUCUCCCUGCAAAACAGAUCGGAGUAAAAGACCACACCCAGGGGUGUUGGCCAAAGGCCCUCCGAUACUUAAGUUAGGUAAGGUAAUUCAAGAAAAACCUGGUGGCCGGAGCCGUGUGUGGUGGCCGGAGCCUUGUGUGAGAGAGAGAAAGAGAGGAGGUGGCUAGGGUUUUGAGAAAUAAUUUCUGCAUAGUUUUAGUAAGAAUUUAGGCGUACCUCAACCAUUGUGUGGCUAUGCUUUUAUAGUAGUCUCUUAGGCUAGGGUUUCAGAGGAAUAAUUCCGUAGAUGGAAGGGAAUUAUUCCUCCCCUUUUUGGAAUUGAUUUGAUUAAUUAGGGAUUUGAUUAAUUAGGGUAAAUCAAAUCCCUAAUUGUGGUAGGUAUUAAAUCAAAUCCCGAUUCAAUUAGGCAACUCCUCAUUUAUUUGGGGAUCGUGGUAAUUAACCAAAUCAAUUCUCAACCUAAUUAGGUAACGUUCAAUUUAAUUGGGUAAUUCCCAAUUAAAUUGAGUAACUCCCAAUUAGGUUGAUUAAUUCCCAAUUAGGUCAAAUAAUCCCCAAAUAGUAGGAAUUAUUUGACCUAGGGUUUGAUUUAAUUAGGUUCCCACAAUACUCACAGGAUAUUAAGACUGCAGAGCAACAAUGUUGUACGUACGGAUGGUACAUGGUGCAAGAAGUGAUAAAAAAGCAACAAAUUAGUGCUGCUGAUCCUGAUUAAAUCUUGAAUGCAACUAAGUGGGAAAUAAUUAUUAUUAUAAAAAAAAAAAAAAAAAAAAGCAAAUGCCUUAGCUCAUAUCCCAUAUAUCCUACCCCAAAUGUGAUCUACAGCAGAGCAGGAAGGAAUAUCAGAAACUUUUGACUUGUAAUUGGCUUUCUCAUUAGCCGACCAUCAUCUUCAACUCACACACUAAGCAAAACAAUAGGUAAAAUAAUAUCUUGUGUUACAGCUAAAAGAAUGUUGCUUGCACUUGAUGAUGUACUCAAAAGGCACACAAUCUAAUCUCUCUGCACUACUGGUUUUUUAUGGAGCUGUUUCCUUUUUCUUUCUUUUUUUUUGGCAGAUUCAUAUAUUAAAUUCAGCAAAAAAUCAUGGCAUUACAAAUAAGUGGGAUCGCACACACUUUGUCCAAGAAGCUUAUCCCAUCCUUAGUUUCAUAUCUUAUCUUUUCCACUCCCAACCUGUGGGGUCUUUAAGUUUGAGAACUACGAAAAAUCACUCUCCAAGCACCAUGCUUUCUUAAGAGAAAGAGAAGAAAAAAAAGACUGCUCACAGUGUGGCAUGUUUAUUUAUGUAUGAUUUUAUAAUCUUUGAUAUGCAUGUUCGUACAAUUUCGUAUCAAGAUGCAUUUAUAUUAAAGGAGUGAAGGGUACAGCACGGUAGUGCAAAGUUAUAUAAUUUGAUCACAUUUAAAAAGAAAAAAGAAAUAUCAUCUCUCUCAGCUUCCCUUCCCUCUCUUAGCUAGCCUAUCAUGUCAACCAUUUAAUGCUCCAAAAUAGUGCCUCCUCUUCCACAACUAUAUAUAUACCUUUCACCUUCGUGCAAAAUAAACCAACCCAUCUAUUUCAGUUCUUCUCUCUCUCUCUCUCUCUCUCUCUCUCUCUCUCUCUCUCUCUCUCUCUCUCUCCCUCUGUGUGUAUGCAUAUAAACAUGAUGAAGGGGAAGUUUGUAAGGGUGUGUGCAAACAAGUGGAGGAAGAUAGGAAGUAGAGGGAGCUUACCUUCUUCUACAUGCUGUGAGAAUUGCUGUCAAUGGGCUUUGUGGUCUUCCAUGCAUGAAGAAAACUCAAUCCCAAAAGAUGUCCCAAAGGGUCACUUAGUAGUCUAUGUGGGUGAGAACCAGAAGAGGUUUGUGAUCAAAGUCACCUUACUUAAUCACCCUCUCUUUAGGGCAUUGCUCGAUCAAGCUCGAGAAGAAUACGAUUUCCAUGCUGAUUCGAAACUCUAUAUACCGUGCGACGAGAGUCUUUUCCUCGAUGUUGUUCGAUGCGCUAGCUCUCCGGUUGAUCGAAGGUUUCCUCUGUGUCUUUGAGAAUUCAGUUCGGUACUAACAGACAACACUGAAGUAUUUAAUUGAUUCAUGAGGUCUGUGCUCCAAUAAUAAUGCAAAUCAGCAGAUAUGCAGCCUUAUUGUUGUACAAUAUGUAGAGUUGUAAAACAUUUAAUAUGUUCUAGGUCACCAAUGUAAUUCAGUUCAAGAAUAGUAAAUUCUGUUCUGCUUACUUGCUCAGAACUUGUGCUGUUUUUUUAUAAGCACGGCGCAUAUGAAACAAACAUAAGUGAAGUGGUCCAAACUAGGUACACCAGAGCUAAAAUUUGAUGCACACCGGAUCUCAGCAGGACCAGAACCAACCAGCCAACUAACUGAGACCAACUUGUCACAGUUUUUAAGUGGGCCAAAAAUUUCAGUUGCUCAUGCAAUGCAAGAGCACUCAGAAACUAGAUGCAUAUUUGUGAGUGAGCUCAGUUUACAUUUUGGCCAUUGGCAAAGCGGUUGACUGGUUGCUGGUUGCAUUUAUUUAACCAAAAAAGACCACCAAAAAAGGAAGAAGAAGAAGAGAUGGAGGUUUUGAUGUCUGAAUUAAAUGGAACCCAACAAAUUACUGGCUAUAUUUGAAACCAUAAUCAUGGGAAUGAGGACUUUUUAGUGAUUUAGUAAUUUAAAAUUGCAGCAUAUGAACAUCAUAUAUUUGAGAUUUUAUGCCAUUGACUUCCUACCCUGUAUCAGCAGUGUUCCAGAUCCCUUCUUCCUCUUUUAUUCAUUGUUCCAUUGUUAUUCCAUGUGGCAGCAUUGGAUUUGAUAAUAUUAUUUUAACUGAGAUAUUAAAAUAACAGUCAUUUCAUGUUCCAUAUUAGUUGGUGCCUAAAAUUUGAGAUUUUUUAAUAUAUUUUUGUCUCUAGUAUUAUUAUUAUCUUUUGAAGUAAAUAAAUAUACAGUCAGUUCUUUGUUAACAGUGUGGGAUCUGCAGAUCCAGUGAACAGCAAGUCAUUGCCUUUAAUUUUCCAGGUUUCAAGCCAAAGUUGCAAAAGACCUUCCAAGAGCUGCUUUCUUGCCAUAAAAUUCCAAAGAGGAAGGCUACCAAUUAAAGAUACUGUACAUGGCUCAGAUGACUUAAAAAUAUUGAAAACUGACUAAUUCUCAAAGGCCCUUUUAGCAUACCAUCCAAACAUAAACUCUAUCAAUUUAACAGGAUGUUGGAAGUCAACUUCAAAGCUAUAAUGAAUCAGAUUCUAUGUUAGUUUGACGAGACAGGGCAUGCUAUGAACCAAUCAAAUAAAGGCCUGGAUUAAAACCCACUAUUCUUUCUUGAUCCAGUCUUGGUGGAUCAAUCCCCACGUCAUUAAUGGAUUGUUCAUCAGUCAUCACCACAAGGGAAUUGCUUGGCAGCAGCGAGCCUAUCUAUUAGGCUCUUACAAGAUAAAGCCUAUCCAUCUUCUACGAUCUCAUCAUGAAAUUAUACAAGUUGCCUCACUGCACAUAAUGAAUAUAGACCGUAUAAUGAAAGCUCUUGAUGGCUCAAUGCAUAUUUCAUAUGACCCUAGACUCAUUUAUAUACAUAAAACACCUCAAGAAUGCACAAUUAUGUACUCUCACAAAGGUUAUCUACUUUUCUCAUCUCAUCACAUUUAGCUUACUGUAACACGAACACUAAUACAUACCUAUACGGUGGCCCAUAAAGUAAAUUAAGGUGCAUUCACAAAUCCUGUACAAUGUUUAUAACCAAAAUGAAAACAGAACAGUAUCCUUCAAAAAGAAAUUCCUCUAUAACAAAAACAACCGAAAAAAUGAAGGCUGAAUGCUGUAACGAUCUAAGUAACUCUUACAAUGACGAUUAUGAAUUGCUUUCAUUAUCAUCAACAAAAGGAGCAUGCAAUACAGGGAAUUAAAACAAUGAUUGCAAUGUCAUUUACACAUGAAGGAUUCUUGUGCAAGGUAAUACACAAGUAGUAUACUGCUCUCUGAUACAUUACAUACAACAACAUUGUCUAGCGACUACACUAAACAAUAGCAGUGCUGAAUAUCAGGGAAUCCAAAGCAGGAACACACAGAGCACUGAAAGAUUACCAGGAAUGUAGUGUUACAACUGAAGCCUGCAAGAGAAACUGCCAGCCAUUUACUCACAAGUAUCAUCUAAGGCUCUCAAUCUAGAGCUCCGAUCCUAUCCCCCUGAGAACUAGCAUCCCUACACCUCGCCCUCGCUGCAAAGUAAAAUAUCAGCCAAGCCACCAUAAAGUAGACUUCCACAGUUGCCUGAAAAAGCUUGGCAAAAGAUUUUCCACAAAUUCGAGCUACAAUCCAUCUUACAGAUGACCCACAAAAUAUAGCUUCCAAACACUUAAUCUGGAUAGCUUGGCGCAACAUUGACAGCAUCAAAUAACAUCCUUCCUUGACAAUCUCCCUUCCAUUCUUCCUCGAAUCCACUAUGGCAACCCAAGCAUCGACAGCGAAUACGAAUGCCACCAAUGUAUCCAACACGAACCACAUUAACAGAAACCCAGAAAUCUCCUUCUCAUAACCUCGAAUCCACGGAGGCAUAACCGAAAAAGGCAUCAACUUUAACCUGAUGAAAAGUUUGAAAAAUGAGUACUGGUCCUCAAUUUCCCCGAAAUACCACAAGCCGAGAAGCUGAGUGAGAGCAUCUCUCACCGCCCACCUCAUGAGAAUGAACCCAGAGAGCCUCUUGACGCCCAGUCUAGACCCAUCCCAAACCAGACCAACAAACGAAGUAAUCCUCCCGAUCAGAUCAUUCACAACUGUGGUAAACACAACGCCAAGAACCCAUGAAUACGUAAUAAGAAACCCAAGAAUUACCCAACCGUAAGCUGCAGAUAAGAAACUCACAAGAAAGAACAACGUCGCCACAUCUCGGCGACCCAGCUCCAAUCCCUUGAUGAAGAAUUGCAAAUCGACGACCCGAUCAUCCAAUUCCUCAUCACCGCCUUUCUCCUCUCCUUCACUGCUAUUGCCUUCCCUAUCUCCCUCUCCAGCUCUGUCAUCGGAAAUGGUGAAUUUAUCGGCUUUGAACGUGAGACCGGAGCGGACAAUUUCAGAAACCCUAGUUCCGUAAGUUCCAUUAAACCCUAAUUUGGAGGUGGAGUGAGAGGCGGAGGAGAAAAUGAGGAUAGGGGCGAUGCGAUUGGGGCCGAAUUGGGAGCGAGUGUCGCCGUCGUCGCCGGAGAAGAAGUCGUCGUCUAGGGUUCCGACUCGGGUGAGGUGGAGAAAUGGACGGUGGCGGCGGCGGAGGGUGACCGGAGAAGGGGAAUCCGCCGGAGAUCGGGAAGAGCGGUGGUUGGGGCUGGCAGCGCCGGCGAGAUCGAGGCGGGAGAGGAGGGACUUGAGAGAAGGGUCGCGGUCGAUAAAGGAUGUGAGGAGGUAGGUCCCAUUUUCGACGACCGUACGGAAGGAGAAGAUGAGGAGAGAGAGGAAGAAGAAGGUGAAGAGGUUGCCGGCAAACGACGUCGUCGCUUGUCUCAGGACUUGGGCGGUGCUGCGCAGGUGGUUCAGCCGUGGAUGCUGAUCGCUCAUCGCGGUUUUUUUCGAAAAAAAACGUUUCUUUUUUUCUUCUGUUUUUCUCGGCGUUUUUUGUUUUUGUUUUUGUUUUUAUUGUUGGUGUGAGUUGUCUUGUGACUUUGUGAGGGGAGAGAGAGAGAGAGAGAGCACGACCGAUUGGUGUGUGAUACAACACUCAGAGAAAAAUCUACACGCGUCGUGUUGUAGAGCUACGACGUCGUCUGGAGAUGAAUACAAGGUGAAGGUCAUAUCAGCCAAUUUGUCUUGUCUGAUGAGGCAGUCUGUGAGUGUCACAAAUUAAAACAACCUUUGCCAAUGCUUUAGGACGUUCGAAAAUUGAUGUUUUUUUAUGGGUAAAAACUAUUAUAUUGUGGUUUUACUACGUCGAAAAAAUUAAAUUUGAGACAUAGUAAUUACCUUUUAAAAUUAGCUUCUCAAACUCUUUCUUUUUUGGGGGAACCUUUCCUAUUGGAGACCUAGGCCCUUUUUUUAUUGGGCAAGUACUUGGACCAUUUUUCAUCAUCCUUGAUGAUGGGCCAGCAGUAUAAUGCGAUCAAAUAUGGGACGGUAUCCCCAAAGUUUAUUUUGUGAAAUGCGGCCAACAUAAUAAUUGGAUGAUGAUAAAUUGAACAAGAAAGACAAAGGGAAGAUAGCUAGCAUUCCUCAACACAAUAUAACGUAUAAAAUUUCUUCUCACUUGUUCAAAGAAAGGGUUGGGGGUUAAAAAUCCCAUACCAAAUAACUAGGUUUAGUGGGCAAUUUCCGGAUGCAUAGUCCAUCCAAAUGACUAUAAUAAUUAAUAAGCAAAUACAAAGAUAGAAUACUAGAAAUAGACUUCUAAACAAUCAAAAUUUUAAAUAACACAUAGGAAGUGGAGACAGACACAAAAGGAAUGGCUUAAUUGAAAUCAGGCUUCUCUGGGUAGGUGCAGCUAGACCUUUGGAUGACAACAUUCGCGGCAUAGUUGCCCGCUUUCACACAGUCUUCGACUGGUUUCUCUUGAACUAACUGAGAUAGAAAACCUCCAACAAACGCAUCCCCUAGACCAAAAACAACAUAACAAGUUAAUCACAAUUUCAAUUGUUAGUCUCUGUUAUUUUAACUAAUCUGAUGGAGCAACAUUGAUAAAAGUCGUAAUCUUACGUGACAAACAUUUGGAUGCUUAUGUUAAUGCUUUCAAGAAUGCCCUAAAAGCUGCUACACAAGACAUACCUGCUCCGUUGGUAUCAACCAGUUUUUCUUUGGGCAACCUUAUGACUGGGAACUUUUUCACUUUCCCAUCCUCAGCAACAACUACGGGAUCUGCACCCUGAGUAAUAACAGUAAUCCUCUUGUGUGUUCCUGAUGCUUUGGGCCACUGGGAGAUCUUUAGAGCUAUUUGCUCGACAUCAUCAGUCUGUUAACUCAAUCAAUCAGAAUCAAUUAACACUAUGAGUGGAAACCAUUAAUGUGGUCUGGCACUAGGAAAUUACCUCCCAGCCAUGGACUUUUGAAAAGGUUCUAGCUUCCGUCUCAUUUCCAAAAACAAAGUCCAUAUACCUAAAUUUCAAUAAAUAAAAAAAGGCACAUCUACAUCAGUAUGUCCAUAUUACUCUAUUACUGUAACAAAAAGGAUAGGAACUUACGGCAAAACUUUCUCCUGAGCAUCCUUGAAAAAUUCACAGAUAAAUGGAGCAGAAAGGUUCAUUGAGAAAACCUGCAGAUAAAGGGAAUGGUCAAGACUGUUUCUUGCAAACGCGAUUGAGAGCAGAAAACAAGACGAAAUUUCAAAGAUAUAAUAUUUCAAACCUUGUUAGUUGCAGCUGCAUGUUCAGCAACAAGCUGAAUGGAGUCUGGGGAUACAGUAAGAAAAAAACCAGCAAUAUAGAAGUACUUGGCCUUCUCAACUGUCCAAUCAAGAUUUUUCAGAGAAAUCGGGUCAGAAGAAUGCAUUACUAGAGAAAUGAACCACAAACCUAAAACACAAAGGUUGAAAGGGUACCCAAAGCCCAAUUUUCUGGUCUUUUUAAAUGCUCAAACUUGUAGCAGUUAGCAGCUGACAAAUUGGCAAUAAGUGACCUGCAUAUACAUACCACACGAUUAUUGUCAGUCCAAUAGACAGAAAAUUACAAGUAUAUUUUACAGCUACACUAACAUUUAGAGGACAGUUAGUUAAUUGGAAAGCAUAAUUUGAAAUUUCAAAACAAGCUUGAUUUUAAACUGACCUUUCACCACCUACAACACAAACAGCACAGGUUCCGGUUGGUGCAGACUCAUCCUCAUAAUAGUGAACCUAGUUCAGAACAGCAAUAGGUAAUAUAAGUUGGUGAGACAAUUUAAGAGGAAAAAGAAGUUUUACUUUUUUUAACUGCAAAAGAGUUCCUGUCUUUGCAUGUGUACCUUAUUCAUAAAUAAGGAAUAAUGCAGAAGGAAACAAAGAAGACAAUUACAUUAACACCAGCAAGUUUUGAGUUCUUCUUCAUCUCUUCCCCAUACUUGUCCUUUCCUAUGGAACCCAUAUAACUUGUUGCACCAGGUAUUUGAAGCAUCCACUGCAGAAGGUAAAGAGAAAUACACUCAGUGGUGAAUUGAUGAAGGAUAUAAAGGAUCGAAUUUAAUUAUCACAAGAAACAUUUCAUGAAGUACCUGGGCAACCCGGAUUGAAUUUUGAGUAGCACCUGCAGAAAUCAAAAGUUCAAAUUCAACUCAUUGUGAACGUAUUUAUAAGUUUAAUAUAUCCACAACAAGACUGUUUGAAAAGCCAGGCGAUGCAAAAUCAAUGCUGUACCUCCAGCAAUGUACUCCACAUUAUACUUGGAAGACAUUUCAUCAUACCUGAGACAAACAUCCAUGUUGGUCAAGAUUUCAUCCAGCUAAAGAUAUGUCUAACAAGAAAGUAUUGUGUCACAGUCGCAUCGAAGAGUGGAUGACUUUAAUUUUACAUAAAUGAAACUGUUGAAGACCUUUUAGAUAAAUAUAGACCCUAAGCUCUCCUUACUCCUUCAUAGGCGUACAUGUAUGAUAUUUGUUGAAUGGAAAGAGUAACACAUUUUAAAUUCCAACUGGUCAUGUCAAUGUAGUUUAACUAACACACGGUUCACUUUCCCUCUCUUUGAAUUGGCAAAUUAAGCAAAAAAUAAUGGCCCACAAAAUCUCUAACAGAUUCAUAUCUAGUCUACAAAAGUACACAUCCUAGAUACAAGAUUAAAUUGCUUACAUGGAUAGGUGCUUGUCCUCGGCAAGAAUCGCAUUGUUGAGCUGCAGGUCAUAUCUGUUACACAAAAGCAAACAACAUCAGGUUUCAAAUCAAUCCCAGGACACCAAAUUACGUGUUCCUGUAGUUCAGCGUAGAAAGCCUAAGCUUAAAACAUGAGCUAAAACUACGUAGUUGAGCUAGAAAAGCUCAAGCUAAGCAAUAGAUCAAACAGCUGGAGGGCUUGGAGAAGCUUCAUGGAUCUAAGGAUUGAGCAAAAGGUGGUUGAGAGAAAGCGACGUACUUUUGCAAGAACUCGUCGUCGACGACGGCGGAGAUGUCAAGGAGGGGGUUGCCCAUCCCCAAUAGAAUUCCUUCGUACGCCAUUGGAGAGGAGAAGAAAUGAGAGAGAGCUAAAGCUGAAGAUUUGGGUUUAACAAAGAGUAGCAAGUAGCAAGAUUCAGAAAUGAGAUCAGAUCUAUAUUGGUAAUGGCAUGUUGGGAGCCAAAUGAGUAGGUUUAUAUAGGUAGAGAGGUUUCCUUCUGUGCCUUUGCAGUGAAGUGGGGUUAGUGGCUCUCUCGCUAUUUCACCAAACCAAACCCACUGGGCACGCAUACUUAGGAAAUGCUUUUCCCACUAUUUGGGAUUUUUUUUUCGUUAAUUAUCGUAUUUUGUUUAAGAAUUAAGUAAGAAAUUAUUCUUUCUUUCUUUUUUUUAAUGAAAAAAAGUUAAGGGGGUAGGGGAGGCUACCUCAUCCAGGAUCAUGGCAUAUCAAAGCCUAUUUGAAGACUUACAAAGAGGGUCUUAUAAUAUAGUAUAGUAUGCUAGGAAUCGAACUAAAGACCUCUAUUUAGGGAGUAAGCAAUUGCUCCGAACCACUAGUAGAUCUUUCCUAUUUUGCUUAUUGUAGUACACAAUGAUGCCUAACAUGUCUACUAAUAAUUGUUUUGGGCUUUUUUUUAAUUUAUUUAUUAUUUUUAAGAGCAAGUUGUGUAAUAUUUUGCUUAUGGUCUCAACUCAACUAGUAUGUGAACUAUAAUCCCUUGUUAAAUCAACCACCGACACAACUGGUUAACUAGGUAAUAAAAAAAUAAAUUUGAGUUAUUAUAAGAAAGAUCCACAUCCAAAUGUGCAUGAAUCUAUAUAUAUAAAGCAAAAGACAGAGAAUGGUGAAACAUUCAAAAUAUCAGAAAAUGCCCUUGGUUAAUGCAAACAUUAAGAAUUCAAAUUAUUAAUUAAAUGAGGAUAAUAUGGUAAAUUCACACUUUUUCAUAUUUAAAAAAAUUAAAAGAAAAGGAAAAGGCAGAUAAUGGAUCUUAUUUUUAUGGAAUAUAACUAUCCAUUAUCUUUUUUAAUUUUAAAAUAAAUUUACUUAUUUUUUAAAAAAAACCUCUCGCAAGCGCGGAAGCGCGUGCAGAGAGGCUAGUUAUGAAUUAUGAAAAAGAUCCUUGGGGUCGUUUUGCAAUAUAACAUAUUUGUGUAUGUGGGGACUCGUGUGCGUUUGUUUUGACACAUUUGUCCACAUGGGAGAAGUGGAUGAACCAGAGGUAACAGUUGAACUUGAAACACAAUAAAACGAAAAAAAUUUAGGAUAUAAGGUAAGAGGGAGACAGAUAGGAAAGACAUCAUAUGAUUCAUAUUAUUGUGUUCUUAUUUCACCAAAAAUUUUGACAGAACAAUAAAAUAAUACCAUAGAAGAUCCAUGGCACAAUGAUUCUCUGAGAAGGCACCUUCAACACAAAAUGUUUAUUUUGAGAAAUAUUGCAUAGGAAGAUGAAUAUGUAAAUAUGUGAAUAUGUUAGUUUCUCCACUUUUUGCCCUUCAAACCUCUCCGUGACUGGACAAAUAUCUUCGUAAUCAUCCAAGUGAAGUGAUAUUAUUCCCCUUCAGAAACAACUGAAGAAACGCGAAACAAAAGUUUGAAAACAUGACUCCAAAAGAAGUCACAAUAAUCUGUUGACUACGAAUCCAAAAAACCCAAAUCCUACCAAGCAUCAUCCUCUCAAAGAUGAUCGCAGAUUGCCUUCGUAAAGUCGGAAGUUGACGAUGCGCCACCAAGGUCAGCUGUUCGGAACUUCCCCUCUGCAAUUGUGCUGAGGAUUGCAUUCUGGAUCCGAUCAGCUUUAUCGUGAAGCUCCAAAUGUCGUAGCAUUGUAACAGAACUUAGAAGCAGAGCAGUUGGAUUUGCCAAGUUCUAUGAAAUUUAAACAAAAGAAGGAUGACUUAGCAGCAAAUUGAUACUAAUACAUACAAAACCUAUUUCUAAACAAGCAGAGCUUAAUAAGUUUACCCUUUGAAAAAAGAAACAAUUCAUAUAAAAUGUACUCAACAAUAUCAAUCGUAAUAUGGCUUUCAUUAUCAAUUUAUGCUAAUCCUCUUAAAUAGGACCACAUCAACAGUUACCAAAUACCAAACGACAGGAUGGGGUAGGUGAGGGUAUUGAAUGGACUUCUUGUGUAAUUACAUACACUGCAGAUUGAACAUCACACGGUUCAAGAAUGCUCACCUUUCCAGCAAUAUCAGGUGCUGAACCAUGUACAGCUUCAGCAAGGGCAAUGCCUCCCUCACCAAUGUUGCAACUGCAUAGGAAGGCAAUUGGUGUCAGAUGAUUUUUGGAUCGUACUACAGAAAGGAAUUAAAAAUGCAUAUUUUAAGCCAUACCUCGGUGUUAAUCCCAAACCCCCUAUCAACCCAGCACAAAGGUCACUAAUAAUAUCACCAUAGAGGUUAGGCAUGACUAGCACAUCAAAAAGUGCUGGAUUCUUCACAAGCUGCAUAAGGUAAAACAAUUAGUUAGCGUGACCUUAGUUUUUUCCUCCAAAAACCCUCAAACUACGUGCUUAAUAUAUAGUUUUUUCCCCUUCUUUAAAGUAAAUACUAAAGUAUACAAAUUUUAAAUAAAUAAAAAAAUUCCCCAAGUUUAAAGGGAAAUUUAUCCAUACCAUCAUACAGCAAUUAUCAAUGACGACUUCCUCGUAUUUUAUGUCAGGGUACUUCUCUGCAACCUCACGACAACACUGAAAGCAAAGAUCAAACCAGUUUCGAUGCGAGUAUACUUGGGAAAACAAUCAACUAGAAUGUAGUUGGCAAACCUUAAGAAAAAGACCAUCAGUUUUCUGCAUAAUGUUUGCUUUGUGUAUCGCAGACACUCUCUCUCUUCCAUGGGUUUUGGCAUAAUGGAAAGCAUACUCAGCCACCCUCAAGCUUGCCUGACGGGUUAUAAUCUUGAGGCUCUCAACAACACCUCUCACCACCUACCACAAAAACAAGGAACUUAAUCAAAUUUAUGUACAUAAAAAAUAUCUGACUAUGUUAUUCUGCUUAUUCGUUAAAGACUUACUUGAUGUUCAAGUCCACUAUACUCCCCCUCUGUAUUUUCACGAAUAGUGAUAAGAUUGACAUCGUCAUAUCGAGUUUUAUAUCCAGGAAGGCUGUAACAAGGCCUGACAUUUGCAUACAAAUUAAGUUCUUUCCUCAGAGUAAGGUUCAAUGAACGAUGACCUUUCCCAAUUGGUGUGGCCAUCGGCCCUUUCAAGCCUACCCGGUUCUUUCGUACCGAUUCUAAACUUUCCCAUGUUAGAAAACUCUGAGUUCUAGGAUCAAUUUGGUCCCCAACGUAAUGCUCUUCCCAUUCAAUUGGCACUUCAGCUUCUCUGAAUACCUGCACCCACGCAAAUUGUGAACUGAAUCAGAACUUGAAACCAUAACAGAGUAAAUACAAACAACAGCCAUCACGCACCCAUUAGUUAUUAAACUAGGACAUUGUCCUAAUCAUGCAAGAACUGAAUUUCGGCAUUUAAAUUAUCGACAUUUUUCUGGGAAAUGUGAUCUCUUCUUUAAAUUUGCAUUUUUAUGGUGAGGUAGCUCCCUGAUCGAUUCAGGAAAAGAAAUUCCCAUUGAAGCAAACUUCACAACAAAUCAAAUCAUCAAACUCUAAACCGUUAAUAUUAGUACUACACGACAAAAAUACUUGACCAGCCAAAAAUUAUUAUCUUAAUAACAGACUAAUAUCCAAUGAAACAUCUAAAUUCCACAAAGAUUUCAAAACCCUAAACUUUCAAGUGCAUGCCAGUGCAAGUGUGCGCAUAUAUGUCUGAACGCACACAUACAAUACAUACAUACAGAUAUUAAUAUACAACUCUGAUGCAAAAUAAAAGGCGCGCAAAUGGAAAAUUGGAACAGAAGAAGGCGAUAGAGAUCGGAGAGGGACCUGUUUGACGGACUCGGCGAUCUCGGGGCCGAUACCAUCGCCGGGGAAGAGAGUGGCACGGAUCGGAGUGGAAUCAGACGAGAAAACCCUAGCUGCUUGUGAUGACGGUGAUGAGGAGGAUAGAAGGCUAGGGCUAGGAUUCGCGGCGCCGGAGAGAAACUGGGUCGAGCGGCUUCCGAGGGCGCGCCUCAAUAGGUGGGAAGCCAUUAUCGCUGCUUGUGUAAUUUGGCGAUCGCAGAGAAAAACACUUAAAACCUUCUUCGGUCUAUAACUAAAUGAACAGACAGACUGGAGGAAUAUUAUUAUUUUGUAUUUUUAUAAUUAUUUAUUCCAUUGACUAGCAAUAAUUUUAUUUUUUCAAUUUCUUUUGUUGGAAUAAUAUAUUCUCCGCCAAUUACUUAUUUUCUUUUUUUAGCCUUAAAAGAAAACCUUUAUUUUGGAAACAAAAUGUUAAACUUUUUUUUAAUGAAGGAGAAAGGGGAUUAUAAUACAAUUUGACUAAACAUUUUGUUUGGAAAUAGAAAUACAAUUAGACUAAAAAAAAUUUGAAGCUUACAGAAUUUUGGGAAUAGGAUGAUACAUGUCGAAAAAAUAAAAGAUGAAAGACUAAUAACACUAAACCUAAUGCUAAUGGGUCUAGCCUAGUGGAAAUGGACCUUGACUUACAUACAAGAGAUUUCAAGUUACAUCCCCAUGACAUAUUAGGUGUAUGUGUAUGUGUAUGUGUGUGUGACUUACAUACAAAAGACUAUCACUUGUACUCAAUAACACUAAACCUAAUAGUUUCACAAACCUCAUGAGAACUUUUUUAUUUAUUGUUUAACUAGUCUCUCCGUACGCGCUUCGCGCAUGCGAGAGACUUUUUUUAACAAAAAUUUAAAUUUAUUUUAGAAUUAAAAAAGAUAAUGGGUAGUUGUGUUUCAUAAAAAUAGGAUCUAUUAUUUGAUUUUUCUUUUCAUUUUAAUUUUUUUUUAAUAUAAAAAAGUGUGAAUUUACCAUAUUAUCCUUAUUUAAUUAAUAAUUCCAAUUCUUAGAGCCAGUUUGGCAUUGCUGUACUGUGAAAAUAAUCACUAUCAAAUUUGCUGUGAGAGAAAGUAGUUUGGCGUUUGAUAAAAUUUUUGUUAAAAGUGUUGUUGGUAUUGAUUUUACUCAUAAUCAGAAAAUGAUUGCCGAUUAAUCAUUAAACCCAGCUCCUCUUCGAAAUUGAUUCCUGCAUAAUCAGAAGAUGAAAGCACCUCAUUAGCUGCUUUCUUUUAUAGCUUUCUCUCACAGCAAUUUUUAACAAUAAGUGAUUUCUCACAGUUUACCAAACGAAUUGGGCUUCCCAAAAUUUUUAAAAAAUCACUUAUCACUCCAAAUAAGCAAUGUCAAACGGGCACUUAAUGUUUACAUUAACCCAAGGUAUUUUCUGGUAUUUUAAAUGUUUCACCAUUCUUUGUCUUUUACUUUAUAUAUAUAUAUAUAUAUAUAUAUAUAUAUAUAUAUAUGAAAAACAUAACCACUAAGUUGGACUUGCCCGACAUAACUGAAAUGGUCUCAGUUUCUGUAGCCUUAGGCCUUCUGAGAGCUUUAAACCCACCAGGAAUGGCCAAUGGACUUUAUAUGAGAGUCUUGUUAUUCUCCCUUAAUACUUUACCCAACUUAUGAGUUGGGUUGGGUCAGGCCCAGAAGAUACUCUUAUGUCUUACCCAAUCACUUUAUUCUAUUCUUGUGCACAAUCUUGAUGUUCGUAAGAGCAUUUUUAUUGGGAGGCCCCAGCCUGAGCAAGAGGCCAUCUAGGCCCCCAAUUCAGUUUCCAAAGCUCAAGUCUUGCCAGAGUAAGAGUUGGGCUCCAUCAACUUGGGUAAGCCCAAAGGCAAGACUUGUCUGGACUGUUGCCUGGGCAUGCUAACAUCAUUGUGACCUUAACAACCAAUUUAAAUAACAAAAAUAAUUGAAAAAAUAAAGGAAAAAAAUACAAAAGAUUUCAUAUAUAUAUAUAUAUAUAUUUAUAUUUAUAUAUAUAUAUAUAAAUAAAUACCUAGCCAUAUUCUUCACUUUUCACACCAAAAUUCUAUACAAAUUUCCUUUCUUUUUGCCAUGACAAAUGAGUGGAAAUGUUCUAAUGAACAUAUGCUAGCUCCAUUUUCUCAACCUAGGCAGACUUUGAUAGUUUGUACUUUUGAACAUGUGGGUUUGAUUAGCAGGGAAUACAUACUUUCUUCUAACCUUCGAUAGAUAGUCAUUCACACAUGUUUAGACAAUUGUUAAUCGUGAAUGCGUAUGGACUUUACAAUGGAUUAAACAUACAUCAAUAACAAACUGGAGUCUACAUGUGCUUGAAUACUUGUGAAAGCGAAACUCAUACUUGGAACUUAAGUUUGGUUUUAAACAAUUACUCAAGAGCAAAACUCAUCUUUAGGCAUUGAAGUAUAAAACGAGGGGACUUAAUGCUGGCACAAAAUGGAUGUAAGUCAGUGAACGAUUCACAAGCAUGGAUGAUUAUUUCAUUUGGUGGUUGGGAGCGAUUGUGCAGCAAAGGCUCAGACAAAAUAAUGUACCAAAACAAAAGGCCCAAGAAAAUGAGAAGAAAGACAAACCAGAGUCUUUCAGUGCCCCAAUUGCAUCCUUUUGUUCAAAAUGAAGCCUUGAUGGUGUCACAUCUCUGAGACUAGAAGUAUGAAAUUCAGCUUUAUGCGACAAGCAAAAUAAUGAUAAAGCUGCUAAUGGGUCAGAUUUUACAACUCAUGCUAGAACUGAUAAAUUCUUCAUCCCAACCUUCUCUAGCAGUUGUCAGGCUUUCACAACCUCCUACUGCACACAAUUCUUCAUCCCAGCAAGCCUCAACAUCACAAACUGUCCAAAUAAGGAGACUAAAGUCUCCAGCAAAGGAAGGCCAUGGAGAGUUUGAGAUGAUGUUUUAUGGAACUGUAAUUGGUUUUUAAUGGAAGUCGUCUACGGUUUUUGAUGUAUGAUAUUGUUUUUUGAUGGAAGCUUUCUAGGGGUUAAAGUGAUGGAACUGAAAGUAGUUUUUGAUGGAAGUCAUGUAGGGGUUAAUGUGAUGGCACUGAAUGUGGUUGAUGAUGUAAUUGAAAGUGAUUUUUUAUGUAUGGAGUUGGUUCAAUUUGUUCAUAGUGGUUGAUAAUUUAGUUUAUUCAAUUUGUUCAAUGUGUGUUGUUUAUAGUUCAAUUUGUUCAUGUUCUUCCCUUCCAUUUUCAGCGCUUCUUCUUCGUCCGAAGUAAGAGAUUCUUCUAGGAUGUGAAAAUGGAACUGUAGUUUUAGUUGAGCCCUAAACACAAACACCUAUAUAUAAAGCCCUUCUUGCCCGUCAAUCCAACAAGAAAUGGAGGGAAAUGGUUCCAAAUUGGUGGCACAUGGGUCUGAGGCGUUGAGGAGGUCAAAGGGGGUUGGUUUGACAAUUAUAUCCUUCAUAAAAUGGGCAGGUGAUUCACAUAAUGAGAUUUAACGAUUUUUUUGACGGAAAGUCACGAUAAGGACUAUUUAAGAACAUACAUAUUAAGGUUAGAGACCAAGAUUGAUACAAAAAAAACUUUAAGGACGCAAUUUGAUAGUUUCGUGAACGUCAUGAAUGUUUUGUGAUAAAAAACCCUUUAUGUUAUAUCAAGAUUACCUAGGACGGUUUGUUAACGAAAUGAUGAGACAAUAUAUAGAAUUUUUAUUUUUUUUUGGUCGUAUAGACAAUAUAUAGAUAUUGUUGAACUAUUUGUUCCAGUAACAAUAAUGUUAUUUUAACAACUUAGUGGUAGUUAAGAGCAUUUUUAGUACGAUAUCAUGUUUUGUAUGUCCAAUAAUUAUUCAUGAAAUUUGAGCUCUUUGGAUUAUUGAAGUGGACAAGACUUGGGCAGUUGAACAGUGUCAAAGCAGCAUCUCUAUCUCUCUCUAUCUCUCUAUGUCCAAUGAUAUUCAUGAAAUUUGAGCUCUUUGGAUUAUUGAAGUGGAUAAGAAUUGUGCAGUUGAACAGUGUCAAAGCAGCAUCUCUAUCUCUCUCUCUCUCUCUCUCUCUCUCUCUCUCUCUCUCUCUCUCUCUCUCUAUGUCCAAUGAUAUUCAUGAAAUUUGAGCUCUUUGGAUUAUUGAAGUGGACAAGACUUGUGCAGUUGAACAGUGUCCAAGCAGCAUCUCUCUCUCUCUCUCUCUCUCUCUCUUUUAUGGUCUCAAAUUGGUAGAAGCUGACCAGGAGUUUGCAUUUUCUCUAGUGCUAAACCAACCAGGUGGAUCUCGAGCCAUCCUUUUGGUCUUAUAAUGGCUUAUGGUUGCUGAGUGCUUGGCCUCUCUGUAUGGUUUAGACUCUGAUGGGGGAUUUUCCUUCUUCUUUUGUUUUUGUUUUGUUUUGAUUAAUUCUAUUUGUUGCCAAUUAGUUUUCAUAAUCUUGUAGGUCUAGGCAGGCUUAAAAAGGGCUAAAAAGUAUUUGAAGUUCUGGUGUAAAUUUUGGUAACAUUUUCUUCUGCAUCAUCUCAUUUUAACAUUAUGGUGGUCAUUUAGGAACUCAAAUGAUUAGAUUAUCACUUGAAUUGAAAUCACAAAGAUGAAAUAAGAGAAGUGAAACUCAUCAGCCUCAAGAAAAUAGAGAUUUUUCUAAAAGAAAAUGAAGAGAAUUGAUAGCCUCCUGUGGGAGAUGCUUAUGUAACUGAUGAGAGAGAGACAGACAUUCAACAUUUUCUGAAAAACAUUUCCUGACUAUUUGAAUACUAUUCUCACUAAAUAACAAAGAAGUGGUAAAGAACUUAGAAAGAAUCAAAAGGCAUAAAGUAGAUGGUUUUACAUUUAUUAGGUAAAAUAGGUAUAGUCACACAGGCUACCAGCAAUGCAAUCAAACUUAUGGACACAGAAGUAGUGGAAUGGAAUGCAGCACUCAAAGCGUAACGAAAUGCUAACAGAUCGGAAGUGGCGCACCGUUCCAGCCCUCGAGGCAAUCCAGAAUCGGGUCGAUAAUCUUUCCCUCGCAGAUAGCUGAGAACACCUUGUCGCAUUCUUCGCCCGGUGACCUGACCUCUUCCCCUGUUAGGUACUCUGCACCCAACUCCUCCCUCACAAAUUUGUACAAUGGAUAAGACCUGCAUUCCGUAAUCCUAUUUGGAACUCCAGCAGUUCCACUAUCCAAUGCAGCCCUUGCACUAUCCACCUCUUUAGGCAAAAGCACCUUCAGCUCUUCCUCAAAAGCAACAAUCUUUUGGAAGAUUGAAGUGCUUGCAUUCUUCUCAUUCUCACCAUUUGUCAAAGCAUGCUCAACCAGCACUUGCCUUAGUUUUUGCAUCAAUGGGUAAGUGGCAUUGCAGGGGUCGUCGAUGUAGGCGAAAACAUAUUCCCUAUCAACCACUUUAAGCAAAUCCUUCUCACAGAAUCUUGAUGGGUGGAGCUCUCCAUUAACCCCAGUUGUCAAAGUUCUCUUAGCAACUUGGCUCACUGUGUUCUUAACUGUGUUCCUCAAGUUCUCCUCCAAAUGCCUCAAAUCAAUGGCUUGGCAAAGUGCCACCAAAAAUGUGGAAGACAUGAGCUUCAAGAUAUCAACAGCUUCAGCUGUCUUUCUUGAAGAGAUCAACCCCAAAGAGUUCACGUCUUGGUUGUGCUGCUCUGCACUCUGGACAUGGUUAGUGACCGGGUUUGCGAGAAACUGAAGCUCAGAACAAUAAGAUGCCAUUGCAAUCUCAGCCCCCUUGAAGCCAUAAUCCAAACUUGGGUUCCUGCCUCCAGACAGAUUUGAUGGCAAUCCAUUGUUGUAAAAGUCAUUGACAAGCUCAGAAAAUUGAGCAAACAUGAGCUUCCCAAUGGAUGCAAUAGCCAAACGAGUAUUGUCCAUAGAGACACCAAUUGGGGUCCCCUGGAAGUUGCCACCAUGCAAGGCCUUGUUCCUUGACACAUCAAUCAAAGGGUUGUCAUUGACUGAGUUGAUCUCCCUCUCAAUAGAUUUGGUGGAGUACCGGAUCACUUCGAUCUGUGGACCGAGCCAUUGAGGUGAAGUUCGGAGAGCAUAUCGAUCCUGUUUUGGCUUCUGCAGAGGGUCCUGCUCGUGCAACUUCUUAGCAGCUUUAACAUAUGAGCUACCAUCCAAAAUAUGUUCCAUAAUUGCUGCAGCCUCAAUUUGGCCAGGGUGGUGCUUCAACUUGUGUGUCAAGUGGUCAGUAAAUUCAGGCUUCCCCUGCAUAACUUCAGCAAAAAUUGCUGAUAGAAUUUCUGACAGCAAUGCCAAAAUGUUAGUAUCGAAAAGAACCGUGGAAGCCAAGCCAGAACCAACAGCAGUGCCAUUAACAAGAGCCAGGCCUUCUUUAGGCUGCAACUCAAAGAACCCGGAAUUGAUACCAACAAACUCAAAAGCCUCUGCAGCACUCAGGGUCUGGCCAUCAGGUCCAACAGCUUUGGAAUUAGGCCUGCCAGUUAGCAUCCCGGCAAUGUAGGACAGCGGGACAAGGUCACCGGAGGCUGUGAUCGUGCCGCGUAGGGGCAAGCAUGGAGUGACAUUGUUGUUGAGGAACUUGGUGAUGACUUCCAAGAUCUCAAAUCUUAUGCCAGAGUAGCCCUGGAGGAGUGUGUUGAUCCUAACCAACAUGGCUGCUCUUGUUGCCUGGUGAGGCAAAGUGUGGCCUGACUCUUUCGUGCUCCCAAACACUCCAGCGUUCAAGAAUCUGAACCAAGAAAAUCAAACCACAAUUAUCAGCCAUGGUUUGGUGAAUUAAGAAAGUUAUUGAAAAACAAAUGUAACUAAGGAGGAGAAAAGCUGAUGGCAUAAAUUAUAAAAUUCAAAUCCACUUGGGUCCAAAAUUAUUAGUUUAACAUUCAAGAUCCACUAUAGCAGAUCUUUCACCUAAUUAUAAUUGUCACCUCUAGUGACAAAACCCAACUUUCACCUUGUCAUUCUAAAGGUUUCCUAUAGCAAAAUUCUCAACCCCCAAGUCCACAAAACAUGUUCUUCCCCCCAAAAAAAAAAACAGAGAGAGAGAGAGAGAGAGAAAGAGAGAGGAUGGGCAGUCAACCCGUCCUGACUCAGUCAACUCGCCCGUUUCAACUCGGUCCCUAUAUAUUCCACUUGCAAGUAAUUAACUAAGCAAUGCCUAUGACCCCCAUACCCUCCACAACAACAAAUCAUUCAACUCGUCCGCCAUACACUGGGUCAACUCAGUCGAGUCAAAGUUCUAGACGUGAGGCAAGCGGUGCAAAUAAAACGAUGGGAAUUAGUUGGCUGAGCUACUGACUACCAAUCUACAGUAUAUGAUACGCUCACGAUCGAACAUCAACAGUGUACAAAUAAAUAUCGACAAUGUAGCAGAUACUGUAAAUUGAUAUUCGGUGUCAUAAAACAUGUUAUGAUGAGGAGGAGCUAGAGGUUACCUAAUGAGCUCCUUCUGAAGGGCAGCCCCUUGCUUUGUUCUUCUGUGGGAGGUAGCACCAAACCCAGUGGUGACACCAUAGCUGUCAGUCCCUUUGCUCAUGCUGUCCAUGACCCAGUCGCUGCUGGCCUUGACGCCGGCCCGGGCUGACUCAGAGAGCUCAACCUUGACCCCAGAGUCAUGAGUGGCUAUGGCAGCCACUUGGGAAAUGGUCAGGCUCUCUCCACCGAGCUUCACCACCGGCUUCCUGUACUCAGCCACCAUGCGCUUCACCUCAUCCAAGUGGCUCCCUUUUAGUGUCUCUGCUGCCACACCCCAGUUCAAAGGGUCCUUCUUUAUGCAGAGCUCAGAAGACUCUAACGAUCUGUUUUGGUGACCAUUUUGCUUGAUGGAGUUGGUUGCCAUGUUAAUUACCAAAAACCCAGAUGGGAAAAUACAAAAACUGAUGAGAACAAAGUGUUUGAUGAAUGUGAGAAGAAUAUGGAGGAGGAGGAUGUGCAGAGUGUUUUUCUGAGAAGUGGAGGGAGAGAGGAGGGUGCUUAAAUAGAGAGAUGGUGGAUGGAGAACAAGUGUUAAAAGGAGGGAGGGUUUUGAAACGGGUCAUCUUUGGGAAGUGCUUGGUAGGUGAGCAUAAGGGUGGCAGAGAGCCACACGAGGGUUGGUUGAAAUUGAACGUGACCGUAUGAUCAUCUGUGGAUCCAACGGUGGGGAUGCAGGCUACGUGGCUUCUAAGGUGGAUGAUUGGACGACCGUAUUCUUGUUAGUUGCUUGGUAUAGGGGUAGGAGACGACACCAGGUAAAGUGGUUGGUGAGGAUUGUUGUGAGUGUGGAAAAGUAAAAGGAAAAACAAAAAGAAAAAUAAAUAAGUUUUUCUUUUGUUGUAUUUAUGCAAUUUUAUGGUCAACUUGUAUCGGUAUUGAAUAUGGAGGUUUUACAGCAUAAGUAUUAUUUUUAUUUUUUUUAAACAGCAUUCGUAAAGUUUUCCAUUGCCUUUUUUGGGUUAUAUUUUCAAUCAAAUCAUUCUCUCAAAAUUCGUUUUCUAAUAUCAUUCAAGUUCUCUAAAUUUGGUUAUAUAUUGUAUUUGAUGAAGGUUGCUACAAAUCAUUCAAUUAUUCUUUGUCAUGGUUUUUAUUUUUAUUUAUUUGUUCACUCUUAUGCACAAAAUAGUUAAAAUUGAAAUUAUUAAUAAAAUGAGGAUAAUAUAGUAAAUUCACUUUUUUUAUAUUAAAAAAAUUAAAAUUAAAAGAAAAAUCAGAUAAUUGAUCUUAUUUUUAUGAAACACAACACCCAUUAUCUUUUUUAAUUCAAAAUUAAAUUUAAAAAUUUUAAAUAAAAGAAUGCCUCUCGCAAACACGAAAGCUCGUACAAAGAGACUAAUUUUUUAAUCAAAUAUGUAGGCCUAAGUGUUGGCAACCACAUGGAUGAAUUGUUAUACCAUAUAUUUUGUAGCAUAAAAUGAAAAAAUUAGCAAGGAUACUCGAACAAAAUUUAUGGUGAAGUUUUGGCAUUUGAGUGUGCAUGAUAACGUCUUUUGGAAUAUAAAGGAAACUAGCAAAAAUUACUUUUUUAUAAAAUGACUUGUAAGAACAAAUUUACAACUCUCUCACACAAACACCCACAUUCAUAUUUUUUUUUUUCUUUUGUUCAAAAUCCACGCUGACCUUUCUUUCCAUCCUUCUCCACCUUGCAAUUUCUCAGCACUCCCAUUAACUCCACCCUGCAAUUUCUCAGCAUUCCCAUUAACUCCAACCCCAAUCUUAUGUCUCAAUUGUAGCCCCACCCUCCCUGCAAUUUCUCAGCACUCCCAUUAACUCCAUCCCCAAUCUUAUGUCUCAAUUCUAGCCGCACCCCCCCUGCAAUUUCUUUGAAUUUCUGUACCCAAAAAAAUAAAUAGAUGACAUGGUCAUCAUCUUCUAUUUUGGUUUCGCCAGAGGAGGAGGCGCGUGGGUCCGGUUGGGAAUAUCAAAUUGGCGGCGGGGGUCAGUGGCCGACCCAGAAAAGUUCAGCAGUGAGGGACAUAGAUAUGGGUAAAAUCCAAAUUUUUUGCAUGUAGUGUGGUUAUAGCCAAAAAUGGCGCAGAGAAAGAAGAAGAAACAUAGAGAGAAGAGAUAAGGAAAUAAAGAGGAAGAAGAAACGCAAGAAAAAAAAAAGGGAAACAGACAGAAAAGAGAGAAGUAAAGGAAAGAACACGAACAAAUCAAAAAGAAAGAGGGGUGAGAGUUUGCUUGAAUUAAUAAUUAAAUGGAAACAAGUUCAUAAAGAAAACACUGAGAAUGUUUUCAUAAAAUGAAAAUAAGUUCAUGUGUACUUGUAGAAAACAAAAAAAAAUUGUUUUCAUUCUCAUGGGAAAAGUUUUUAUUAAAAUAACUCACAUAUUAUUAUUUUAAAUUGCAUUACCAGACACGUUUUCAUUGUUUUUGUUUUCUGAAUAUGUUUUCUAAUUAAUCUACCAAACUCAUUUUUAUUUCCUGAAAAUGCAAAUUUGUUUUCUUGUUUUCAUUCUCUGAAAACAUUCUCAAAAAACAUUACUGGACGGGCCCUAAGUUUUGUGUUUUUCAAAUUUACAUAGUAUGUGAGAAAAUAAGGUAGGUGAGAAAAUAGGAUAGGGGGUGGAAACAGCAGCACUAUUUAAAUCAUAAGUUUUUUCUGUUAUCCUCAUCCACAAUAUAAAUAAAUUUUUUACUAUUAUUAAUCAAAGUUUUUUUUUUACAAACCAUGAUGCAUAUAUAAAAUGUUGGAAAAUAUUGCUUUUUGCAUAAGACAAAUAUUCAUAUUUUAACCAAAAAAUAGAAGCCAAAAUAUCCGAAAAAUUAACACUUUUGCUCUCACUUUUCUAUAAUGAAAAAACCAUAUACUACAUACAGUCCCGAUCUCUUGGACCACAGGAGUCCAAGAGAUUUGUGGUCACUCAUCGUUGGAUGUAAAUUCAACGGUUCACUCAAUCUUGAAUUCCUUUUAAGAAACUUUUUUGAACCAUUAGAUUAAUAUCCAACGGUGAGUGACCACAAUCUCUUGGACUCCUGUGGUCCAAGAGAUCAGGACUGAUACUACAUAACUAUACUACCGUAUUAUUGUUUUUAAGUCUCAUAACACAUUCAAGUGGAAAUAAUUAAUAUAUAAUUUUUAUGUGAAUUGGAUUAUGUUAUGUUUUACAUUAACUGACGAGGUGGGUCAAGCUUUUCACAUUUAGAGCUCAUAAAUUAAAAACUCAACUCCACCUAUAUAUCUUCUUCUUUUUUCGUUUUUUUUUUAAAUUUAUAAAUGUAAUUGGUGUAUGAUUAAUUUUUUUUUCUUUUAAAAAUAAAUGUAGAUGGAGCACUCAAACCCAGGGAGUCCAUUCGUGGGUUGAUGCUCUUUAAUUGUGUCAUUCUAAAGAUGGAUGCAUAAGAAUGAGUGGUGGGCAUUAUGUCGGCUGAGGAGGAAAGAGGUGGAGGAACAGAGGGUCUUUUACUUGAUGAUGAUGCCAAGAUGUCUGUUAAGCCAAAUUCAAAGUGACUUUCUGUCAAUGAAGCACCUACAUGGUUGCUUCUUUUUCUUUAUGAUAAUUUACUCUCUUCUUGAGUUUUUAUUUUUAUUUUUAGGACCACUUGCAAGUACAUCAAAAACUUAAGUCAAUUUAACUAACAUUUUAUUGGUGUAGCAUACGUAUACGUGUAUAUGAGGUUUAUACAAAUUGGGAGCCCUCCCAAUUGAACGGCCUUAAGCGACUGCCUUGUCUGCCUGUGCCCAAGAGCUCCCCUGAUCAUGUCCAAUUAAAAGCUCACAUGUAAGUUCGUCUACCAAAUUGUAGACAAAAUGCUAUAAAUUAUAGUUGUCUAUUCACUGGCAAUUUGCAAAUAAUGUGUGGCAAUUUGAAGGACAACUUAUACUCAAUGUGAACCGCUCGUCUGGUCUGGAUCCAAAUCAAUAUAUUUAAUUUAACACUCCAUUUUUGGGGAAAAUUUCAACAACAAAAUAUCUAUUUUGUUAAAGGGGGAAAACUCACUCAAACCACAUAUUUUGGUACUAAAAACUUUUGUUGAUAUUUAUUUCAAAAUUUGUUUGAUUUUCUCAUGAGUCGUAUUUGGCCCGACCAAGAUGGCUAGUAAUGCUAUUUUCCUUUUGGCUCUUUCAAAUAAUUUAUAUUCUUCUAUAAUUUCAUUUCAAUUUAAAAGACCAAGCCAACCAGGUCUAACCAUUAAAAAAAAGUUCUAACUUGUAGAUGUCUCAGGUUCGAAUUCCAAUUACAUCAUGGUGUGUGUGUGUGAGAAAUUCUCAUUCUCAUACAGUUUAAACUAUCACUUGUACUAUAAGAAGAAAAAAAAAAUCAAUUGUACUAAAAAAAGGACCAAAGUUUAGCUCGGUCGUCAAUCAAAUAAAGAAUAUUAGAGAUAAUGUUUAUGAUACUUUAUAUAUACAAAUCGGGUCGAGCUACACAUUUGUAUAACUAUAUAUUAGUUCUCACUGAACAUUGUACUUGUAGUAUUUGAUCACAGAUCAUUUAAUUAAGGUUAGUUUGUCACGUUUAGUCUUAUUUUCCCCUUCAACUGGUAGCUGAAACUGAAACAUUAUAAAAUUAUAGUAUAUGCAACCCUAUGUGUGUGACUCGCAAUUGAAGGUAACAGAAACAAAGCUUAUGGCAUGCAUUAACUACUAAUUAAUCAUUGUUAAAAACUCAAUAUUCUCAUUUUGUCAUUUUCAUAUGCCUUCUCUGGAUCUUAUUAAUUAAUUACUUAAUUUGGUCUUUUUUAUUCAAGUCAUCUUCUUUAAUCUUUAAAAGCAAAAUUAUAACCACAAGGCGUGGUGCGGUUGGUAAACUACCACCUCCAGCUGGCAAGUUACCUGGUGCUUCAAUGACCGGGGUUCGAAACCCGUUAGAAACACUUCCUGACCAGAAGCAGGUCGAAGGAAGUGUGGAAAAAUAAUAAUUUCCGAACCAAUUCUCAUGAAUUGCUUCGCAAGUCCUUAGUGGGCAAGGUUGUUGCCACAGUAUUUUUAGCUUUCAGAUUUUCCAUCUCUUCAUUUCGGUGCAUUGCAUGUAAUGUAUGAUGUUGGUCAAGUAACUCAAGUCAAGUCUAAAGGCAUCGAUGAUUAGUCAAAAAGCAACCCACGACAAUGUGUACACCAAAAUGUCUUCUAAGAAGAGUUUGACUUCAAUGCCUUGUAGAGAAAUUAUUGGACUCUAUUUUAUUAGGUUGUGCUGCUGGAUACAAGUUAUGGAUGUGUAUGAACAUAAUAAUACGUUGAUAAAAUACUAUAACAAUAUACGAGUUAAAAGUAAAUGGUUCAUCACUUUAAGAUAAAAUCUCACAUAUAUAUAUAUAUAUAUAUGAGUAUACUAUUUUGAAUCUUAUUCAACUUAAUGAGCUUAAAUAAUUAAAUUUAAGAUAAUAUCGGUAUUGAAUCGGAUUUACUUGUAGAUCCGUGUUGUUCUAUUGGACAACAAAAACAUUAUAUGUAUUCAUCAAACUAAUAAAAGAAUCUAGAAAUCCAUGACAAUGUGGUCCAAUAUGGUCGAGCCUUCAUUCCAUAAAUGUUAGUACUUAAUUUGGUCAAAACAUGUGCAAAGAUUAAUUGUAGGUUUGAUAUAAAUGUUGAUACGAAAUUGAACAACACAACUUCUUCACUCUAAUUAUAUAGAAGCACCACUUGUUUAAACUUUAAACAAAAUGAUGCAAUUAGGUGAUUUGACUUUAAGACCCACCAAAUUUUUUCUAAACAUAAUUAGCAAAACUUUUCCCUUGCUAGUCGGUACAGAAGCCGAUCAAGUUAAGACCACCAAACAAAGGAAAAAUAAGGUUAACUUCACCUAAUACUAGACUAAUUAUGUACAAAGACUAGGCUGCUGCAUACGCUAAAAUAAAACAUAUAAUUAAUUAACAUAUCGAUUUUCUUUAGCACUCCGAAAUAAAGAUUAUAAUUAAAAAAACUAUUUGUGACGCAGACAUAGAUUAUCAAAUCAUAAUCCUUGUUGGGUGGUUGUGGAUAAAGAUGAGAUAUAUAUAUAUAUAUAUCUUUUGAGGUUUGACCCUUUGAAAGCUGGGGGUUUUUUGAGCUAACUAGUCUUGCUGCAUGCCACCACCAACCUCCACUUUGAUUUUCUUUUCCUUUCCCUUGAUUUCAUAGCUACGUAGGUGAAGAAGAAGAAACAAGAAUAUAAAAUUGAGGCUGCGAUGCAACUGAAAGCCGCGGACCACUUUCACAGGAUGGGAUCAUGUGCUGUGUGUUUUGACUUGGGAUAAUUCUUCAACCAGAUCCGAUCCAAUUCAAGCAUGAGCCAUAUAAAAUUCGCAGUAAAACUACUUUUUCCAUUUUUUUUUUAAUUUUUAAAACCUUCUUGUGUAAUAAUAAAAAUAAUAUAAGCUACAUGGUUUUGUCUUAUUUUAAAUGGAACAUGUUUUUAAUAUAUGCUUUCAAGAAAAUAAAAAAAAACUAUAUGAGUUUUUGUUUUACUUGAUAAUCUUGGGCACCCACAAUUUUGUUUAUAUAUAUAAAUCCCUGGAUAUAUAUAUAUAUAUAUAUAAAUGUAAGAGAACAUCCCCAAGGCCUAAUCUUUUGGGGAUCAUUUUGUAUCAAAACUGCCAUGAACAUUAUUCUUCACUUUUAUGCUUUUUGGAGCUUUCCCCAUGAAUAUGCCACAAUGAUGUAACUGAAUUAACUUUAGAAUUUUUAUGUGCGUAGGCCACAGGCUCUCCAAUUUGUCAAUUAUUAUUCAUGAGUAAGUAACUUUCGACAAAUUUAAUGAGAGGUAUCUUUGUAGAUAUGACGAUCAAAGUAAUUAUCAAUCUUAAUUAUAAAAUGCGCACCAACGAAAAAUUAAGUUAUACAUACAUUCUAUAACGGAGUACACCGAAUUUUGAAUUAAAAUUAACUUUCAGGAUCACAUCAUUACAAGUGCUAUUUUUAUCCUCAUCAUUUCACGAUCUAUCUCAAGAGUUACGUGAAUUGUUCGUGCAAGAAAAUAAAUAGGAAAGAGAAAAAAAUAACCCUAAAAGCUGGAUUCAACGCAAUACAUCCCCACCUACCAAAACCAAAACCAAAACCAAACCCCAUAGCAAAAGCAUGCAUCAUACCAGAGGUUCCCCUCCCACUUACCACCACACAUUUUUUUAAUGGAAUCAAGGUAUGCAACGCGUUAGGGUUGAUGUGAGGAUGAUGGAAUUUUCACGAAAAAUACAUAUUUCCUAUUGCCUACCAAACUCCCAGAGAAAAGAGAAAUGCCCACUCAUGAUGGGUCACGUGACUUGGCCUAACACUCUCCACUCUCUCCCCUUCUACACUUUGAAACCAAAGGAAGAAACUAGAUGACAGCACGUGAUCUAUAUAUAUACUGUUGGACAAUUGGUUUGUUUGUUCAUCAUGCACUUAAUAAAUAUAUAUACACCUAACUCCCUGUUUAAGGCUGUCCAUGCACAUGUUGUUGUAUCGUCGUCUGGUUCAGUUCGAUUUGGAAAUUGUUGUGUUUCAUAUGUAUGUAAAUGCCAUGAUCUUCUUGUCUACCAGAGCUUCGCUCAGGCAACCUAAAACAGGUGGUAACUGCCCAUAAUUCGAAUUCAUCCAACCAAUUUAUUUCCUAAUUUGAUUGGAUAUGAUUUUUUUUUAAUAAUUUUUUUGGUAUAUAAAAAGAAUGAAAUUGUGUUUUUUUAAAAAUAUUUUUCUUUUUAUUUUUCUUAUCUAACCUUUUGGGUUGGUGCCGCCUCAGCAGAUCUCAACGGGGUCAAAUUGAGCCUUCUUACCAAACACCUUAAUAAACAUUUGUAAUUAAAAAAAAUCGGAAGACUUUUUUGGAGUGCGAAUAACAGUUUUUAAAAAAAUUCAAUUACAUUUAGUAAACAUUAAAAAUAAUAUUAUAGAUCGUAAAUAAAUCUCUGUCUGCUACUAAACGUUGUUAUUUGGAAGGGUAUUAUUAACAUUAUCCACACCCAAAAAAAAAAAAACCACAGAAUUAGAAUAAUAAACCUGAGCAGGAGGCUGGGCUGAAGGUGCUGGAGGCCCAUAAUUCAGCAUGGCCCAACCCCACAUGUAAUAAGCCCAAGCCAGGAUCAAGAGCAACGGUAUACCACCGGAACUGAUAACCAUCACAAUGCAAUAUCCCAUUUUAGAAUUUUGAUGAGGUAAAAGCCCUGCGACUUGAAUUAAAGAAUAUAAUCCGGUUUCGUAAAUUUGUUGACUUUGUGAUACAACUAAAGAUCAACAUGUCUUUGGUUCGAGCCUUGGCCUUCCUGUGUGCCUUGAUUUUCUAGACCAAGCUUUGUAAUGAGUUUGAGGUGAAACAAAAUUGAUAAACUUGGUCUCAGGUGAGCUGAUAUCAACACGUGUCAUCGAUCCGACGGUGGAUACUGGAGACUUGCAAAUUAAGAAAGUGGAAGAAAUCUCAUUACUCACACUAUGCUGUCAUCUGCCUUUACUUGCUCCAUCUGCAUUGUAUAUUGUGUUGUGGAAAUUGUUUGCUAAUUUGGUUUCUCUAAAAGAGGGGCGCUAUUUAAAACAGCAUUUGGCUUUCUUGGUUCUUUGUUGCAAAUAGAAAUCUCCAUGGACCCUAUUGAUGCGAAAAAGUGGUUCGACACGUAUUUCGUCAACUUAGUUAUAUUAUGUCUUCGGCAGGUGACUACUUUCGGAAGACGUCUUGCUUCGGAAGGGUGAGUACCUGCAAAAGGACGCUUUUGGUAAGUCCUUGGGGUACCGGUGUGGUAUCGGCCGAAGGCUCUCCGAUACUUUAGUAAGUACGGUUUUAGUAAUGUUAACUGACAGAUCAAUCGGUAGCAUACCAUUAAUUCUGAUCCCCUCCUUUUGGGGAUUGGGGUCUUCUUAAAUAGGCCUUGGGAGGUGUGCAUUGUGCUCAUAUUUCUGAUGUGGGGCUGUGGACAUGGAUUGUGAGCAUGAUACUUGUCCGAUGGUAAAAAAGGCCAAGAUAGAUGGCUUCGGUAGGAAGCAUGCCGAAAGGAUUCUGUGAUCAAUAUCGAUCCUGUCCACGUGUUCGGUGAUCAUAGGUCGUUUGUUUCCGGUAUAAACAGUAGUCCCCCAAGUUCUCUUCCGAAGGUCCUUCGGAAGGGAAUUUAGUUCUCUAUGGCAGUUCGGAAGUUACACUGCCGUUCGGUAGGCUCGUUUGGGGAGAGAAAAGGAUGCUGAGAGGCGAGAGGGCAGAGAGACGCUUCGUUUUUAUGCUUACAUUUGACGCUUCGUUUCUAUAAUUAAUUAUUUUUCAAAAUUAUAGAAAUCAAUUGUUUUAUGCAUACAAGUAAAAUUAUUUAUACAUUUGACGGUUUCUUUUCUUACAACAGCAGACACACAAUUUUUACUCUCAGGAUUUUUCAGACCUGGUCGGACUUUUCCUGGGCCUGUAGUGGAGGAGGCACUGGAGGCCCAAAAUGCUGUUGAGCAGAGACAGCUUCCCUUCGGCCGUUUGCCCUACCAAUGAGGUAAAAAGCAAGGGCUACAAUCACGAUGAACAAUAUCACAGGAACUGAUACCACCACAACAUAUCCCAUUUUGAUUUGCAGCCAAAGAAAUGUCUGCACUGCAACAUCACAAACCCAGAGAUAGAUUCAAAGUCAAUGAAAAUAAAUAAAAUUAAACCCUUUCUUUCUUCCAUUUUCAGUCUAAAAUCCCAUUUUACUUUCAGUGUGAUGCAAUUUACUUUUUUUAUACAACGAUAUUAAGGAGGGAUUCGAACUCAGGAACUUAGAUGCAAGUGCGUAACUGCUUUUAACCACUUGUACAAUUAUUAUUUCGAACUGUUUAUUUCCAGACCAAGUACUAACAGGACCUUAAAUAUGAAACCUUUAUGAGUUUUUGGGUGUACAAGUUAUGGACCACAAAUUAAACCUCAUCAAACAUCCACUAUCUCUGUCUCACUGUCUGUUAAUACUUGUAUAGACCUAAGCAGCAAAACCACAGGGACUUACCUAUUGGGUGUCUUGGUGGUGGUGUUGGGUGUGCCUUGGUUUUCCAAACAAAGCAAAAGCAAGCAAAUAUACCUGCCUGGAGCCUGUGAACUCUGGAAAAUACCACAAAAGACCAGAGAGAGAGAGAGAGAGAGAGAGAGAGAUGAUGAGGAAUUGUUAGACCAUGAUAUGUAUUGUCCAACCAGUCACUCGGUUGAGCUGAGGAGGUCUGUAGACCCUCCACGUGUCAUAAAUAUGACCGUGGAUACGGGACAGUUGUCAGCAAUUCGCAUAAUAGGUGGGGAAAUUUGGGGCCACGUCACGUUAGAGGAAGCAAACUAAGAAACAUGUAAUCCACUCAUUAAGUUGAGGUUAUACAAUACACAAAUAUUAUGUAUAUGGCCGUUUCACUCAACUUUAUGGUCACUCUUAAUUUGUCCAUUGAAUUUAUUUUCUGAAAAAUUUGGGUUCCAUCCACCUGCAAUAUUAUAUAUAGGUUGGUAUUUUGUUUAUCUAAAAGGUGGGAUUUAAACCAACUCUUGGUUUUCUUGGUUGUAUGUUGCUGAUAGAGACAGACAACCUGCUCCAAAUUCCCAAUGAACUUUCAUUCUCAAAUAUUUGAUAGAUAUUGUUCAUUUCUUUGAUGUCAAACACCACCCUCACCAUGGGAAAAAACUUGGUUGCAACGGAUAUAACACUAUUUUGCUAUCCCCAACCAAUAAUGCUAUAACACGUGAAUGUGUUAUCACGCAUGUCAUAACGUUAUUAGUCAAAUAUAGCAAAAUAGUAUUAUUCAAGUUUCAUGGAAGUCUUUCUCCUCACGAUGGCCCAAGACCACAGAAUUGGGUUGGAAACAAAGUGCAAUGGAAAAAGAUUAUCCAAAACACUUGGGACUCAAAAAUCUCCAAAAGGAGCAUACAGCUUUGGAUAGAGGCCCCCGCACCUGGCAUUUUUCAACUUUCCAUCUUAUUAGAACAAGUAACAGAAGCAAGCGAGCAACACAAGAAUUGCAAAACAACCAAUUUUCAACCUUCUACCCAUUUUCUUUGAUAAUGCUGCAAUUACAGAUCCAGCAAUUCUUACCUAUGCAUAUGUUAACAUACAAGGAAAUACAAAUUGCAGCAAUGGCUUUUGAUACACUGAGAGAAAUUAUGCCUUAACUGAGGGUUUUGAUCCAGAAGAUGAGCCGUUUUCCAAAAUCUAACAGCUCAAUAACCCAGUUGAGACAUACUGUGUUUGUCUAUGAAAGCUAUGACCCAUAAGGAGCAGAUGUCUGAACCUUGCGUGAACCAGGACCCUCGUGAGCGCCAGCAGUUUUGUUGGUUAAUCGACGCUUGUAGCGUUUGAGUACAGACGCCAGAUUUUCUUUUCCCUUCGGGAAAGCUACAUCGCCAGCUGCUGUCCCCGUUCGGCCCUUACGACAAGAUAUUGCAAUCUCCACAUCCUUGAUUAUGUCUAGAAGCGUUACUGCCGUUGUGCAUUUUCCCCUGGCUGGUUUUGCAGCAGGGGGUAUUCCAUUUGAAAAAGAUGGACUUGACUUCAGCUGGUGUACUGCAGAAAUUUGAAGGCAGAAGCAUGGCGACAUUGGAGUGCGAGGCUUUGAAAAUGCUGAAUCAAUAAUCCCCUGACAUUAACAGGAUACGGAGACAUUAACAUCACUGAUUUAGAAGCUUUGGAAAUAUUAUAUGUACAUAUAUAUUAGAAGAUAAUCUACUUGUAUACAGAAGUAGCAUUACUGCAAUGCAAGGAGAAAAUUUCUUCUAAAUUCACCAAUAGAAAAACACUAUAUUUCACAUAUAACUUGGCCAAAGUCUUCCGAGAGUCACAGGAAUGAUAAAAGCUUAUCACGCAUAAUUCUCAUCUCGCACUAGGCAGCAAUAAACAGUGCUCAUGUAGAAAGCACAGUGUAGAAUACAAAGCACUCAAGGUUCAACAUAUAUGAAAAGAUAGUAGGUUACCAAAAUGAAUUUUUUUGAGACUGAACAUUGGAGGACAAACUUAUAAGUUAACUAAAUAUUUUAGUUGCCUAAAGUGAAGGCCCAUAAGUGCAAAAAGCAGUAAACAAAUAUUUCUGUCCGAAGAAUCAUCCUAGUACAAAGAAAACAAUUACCUGCUUUUCAAUACAAAAAAUAAAAAAAAUUUGCCUAUUCAUGACCGAAAAAUGUUGUCCUGUAAAUUAAGGAAAGUAACAGAACUAUAGAUGAAUAAUUUUGUUUAGAGUUCAUAUAGUCAGUUUUAUUCACUUUCCUAUAUUAUUUUGGGAGUUUUCCAUUACCCUAAGAUUCUAUUUAUGGUGUGAUUUGAUUUGAUGUUAGUUUCCUUGUUUGACUUGGAUUGGCCUCUAUAAAUACCCAUUGAUGCAAUCUUUCAUUAGGAUUUUGCUACCGGAUAAGGUAGACUAGCCUGACAAAAGAAUUAAAGAAAUAAAGUGAAAUUGGCUAAAAUAGCCCUUUUUUACAAAUUCUAUUCUAAAAUAGCCCCCCUUGCAUUAAAGAGAGACUAUAGGUACAACAAAGAGGGAACUAUAGGGACGAGAAAGCGACACUGUACGGGCAAUUAUAGAAUAAAAGUUGUGAAAAAGGGCUAUUUGAGCACAAGCCCCAAGUUAAAUGUAGACUAGAAAACCCUAUAAAACAGUCCUAUUUCUCAUCUUCUCCCUUCUUUCUUUCUUUCUUUCUUCUCUUUCCAUCUACUUUAUUUCUUUUCCAAGGAAUCAAAAAGUAUCCAGUGAUGGUGAAGCCCAACGUGAAGAUGAGUGUCAAGAGUAUGAACAACUACUGUCAUAAUUCCUAUAAAGGGAAGUACUGUUGAGUUAGUGUGAUCCUAGAUGUGAAUCCAGCAGUGGUGUGUGGUGAAGUGGUUUGGUGGCAGGAAAUUGCAGUGUCUUCUACCCAAGUUCCAGUUUAGGCAAGUGUGUUGGGUUUCAAUUUAUAGUGGAGCUCUAGAGGGUCCAAAUUAUAGCCACCCUCGCUGUUGGUGGUGUUUCAUCUUUGGGUGUUGAAGAUAAGUGCCAGUUUCCUUGUUCUUUUCAAGAAAAUUGGGCUCAUAUUAUGAAAAUCUUUUGGCGUGCUAAGAAAGAAUUGAAGUAUUUGACAGAGCAUUCAGUUUUCAUGUAACAAAGGUUGUUUUCUGUGUUGUGUCCAAGGCAUGUUUGACCCAGCUUCAGUUGAGUGUUAGAGUCAAUUUAGUCUAUUUGAUGUUUGCUUAAUUGGCUUAGGAACUUUGGACUAUUCUAGGAUUCUAUUCAUGCUGUGGUUUGAUUUGUUUUUUUUUUUUCUUGUUUGACUUGGACUGGCCUCCAUAAAUAGGCCUUAAAGAAACACUUUAAUUAAGACUUAGAUAUUCAAUAAUGUAAAAUAGAAAAGCCUAGCCUCUCCUCUCCCCCGUUCAUCCUUCUCUUCUCUUUUCAUCUACUUUGUUUCUUUCAACAAAUUUGAGUUCCCAGGGUAAUCAUGAAAGCCAAUAAAGUGCAGAAACUCAUUUAAUGCAACAAAUGGAGCAAAAAUGCCAACAGUAAAAUAAACAAUCAAAACCUUCUAGCAGUUUGAUCAAGUCCCAAGGUAGAUAUACUGCCUAGUCAAACCCAUGGUGAAGCAUAACUAUUUUCUGCUUGGUUGACAUACGGUAACCAAGACGACAAUCUUACAGAAGAGACCAUAAUUUCCUUGCAAAAAUUGGAGUCACAGAAAUGUAUCCUAAUAGACAGAAGUUUUUCAGUGUUUACCUGAAGUCGGUUGAGGACGUAGGUAUAUUUCCCCCAUAGCUCUGGCCGGCUUUCCAUGAGUGACAAAUCAAGAAUACGAUGGAUACACCAGACCCCGAAGCUUACUAUCAAAUCUGAUCUCCAAAUACAACCCUCCCCACAAGUAGGAACCAUAAAAGAGGUGCAAUUUGCAUCAUUAUUCUUCAAUGCAGAAACAGACUUCCUAUCAGAAGGAUGGUAUUGAGGUUCACCCAUGUGAACUGUUCGAUUCAUCUCUCUAGUUUCAGCUUCAUAAAGAAAUUUCUCCCUUGCAGCCACGCGAUCAAUUAGAUCCUCAUCAACCCCAUCAUUCUGCGUAAACAACCAGUCAGAUCCUUCCAAUUUCAAAAGUUUCACAAUGCAAUGCCUGAAAGACUGAAGAAGCUUGGCCUCUGAAUCUGCAACUGAAGUAGCUUCUUGACUUACAGAACCUGCCCGAUAACCAAAUCCUCCACUCCCAAUAGUACGAUUAUUAUCAGCUACACCAAAUUGCUCAAAAGGCUGUCUAGACCAGAGGGAUCCAGUGUUAAAACUAGAAUUUUGCUGUGAUGAAAAAGCAUCUCUGUAGACUUGUGAUGGAGAGAGUUGAUCGAAUGCCAAAGGAGCUCCUGUUCGUGCUCCAGAAUUUGAAUACAAGGAUGAUUCAUAAUUUGUUAUCCCAGUAGAUGAUCCAUACCCCACAGGACUUUCCCAGUUGGCACUUUUCUCCGGCAUGUAAAGAUCCCGGUGAAUGUCGGGUAAACUAUGGUAUUUCUUUGCAUUUGCUGAACUUACCACAUUCUCAGCAAUUCCAGAAGGGUGCAGAUCAUAAUACGGUCUUUCAGAUUGCAACGGACUAUUUCUAGAUACUGUAUGAUUUUGGAAAAUGGAGGCCUGACCAGAGCCUAACCCAUUUUGUAACUUCUGCCCCAUGGUAAAUGCAAGUGAAUCUCUGUAGUUUGCAGCACCCAAUGAAGAAGCGGAUUGUAGGGCUGCUGACUCCAUUUGACCGUUCAAAUUAUCAAAACCUCUGUCCUUUGCAAUUCGAUUGAGAUAUGAGGGAUGAUAACUAUGUAUUGUGGCUGGCUGGUAGUCCCAACUCUCAGAAGACGGGAGACUGCGCACACUUGAAUAGCGCCUCUCACCAGAGUCAAUAACGCUGCGGCUUGAAUUUUGCACAUAGGCAUCCAACAACUGCACACGGCUGGGCAACAAUGCGGAAGAUCCCCUUUGGACCCCAUAUGACUCUAAACUGCUUUGAACCCUCUGCUGCUUCGGAGAGUCAUAUAAACUUGAGUUCAUAAUAGGAUCAGAUCCUCUGCCUCCUGCAGAUGGAAAAUAUCCGGAAAGCUCCUUUGCACUAGUAUCAACUUUCAAUGAGGAGGACGCAGCCUUUGAAUCUAACCCCAACAAAAGAUCCAGUUUCUUAGCCUUUGCUUCUUGAAUUACAUUCCCAUGGAAAUCAUACAGCUGUCCCCAAAAUUCGUCAAGUACUGCAGCUAGUUGACGUCUCGCAGCACGCCCCAACCCUGCUAAUCUUGAAAGGCUACCAGCACUACUCCCCCCUUCGUCACCUUUUCCACUUAGACUCCUAAAUGAUCCUGGACCCUCAGAUGUCAAUGGAGCAGUGCUCUCAGAAACCCCUUUCAAUGAAUCUUCAGGCUCCCAGGUAUCUCCCUCAUCAUCAUCUUUUUCAUUUGGUAAGUCUCCUUCAACUCCUUCAACUCCAACAGUCUUUUCAAUUGGCUCUGUUGAUUCGAUCUUCAAUGCACUGGUGCCCUCCAAUGUAACAUCAGAAACCUCAUUAACCACAGUUGAGACUGGAGUUGACUCCACUGUAGAUGUGGAUCCCUCCAUAUGGCAUUUAGGGGAAUGAGGAAAGGUAAUACGAGAACCAUUUUCCACUACAGUAGUUAGGUGAUGCUCCUCAUCAGGCUCUGUGAUAGUUUCAGGCAGAUCAAGAUCAAAACUCGCUACUUCUGAAUCACUAUCCAAAGCCCUCCCAAAUGAUGGUGAUGGUUCAUGCUUCUGGACACUUACCUCUCUAUGAUAUUUAGGUUCAGAAAUAUUGAUCUCCUCUUUCUUUGUUAUUGAAUCAGGUGAACCCAUAUGCAUAUCCCAGUUCCACACCUGAGCCUCUAAUCGUGCACUUGCAGAUUUUAAUGGGGUAGCUGCCAGCCAAAUCAUCAAACAAAAUGUUGCACAAGCAGUGAGUAGAAGUACACAAGGAACAGACAUACUACUCCCGGCAUUCGACCUCAAAUUAUUAACCCAAUCACUAUUCCCAACAAUCACUUCUACUACAAAUAUGAUUUUCAAUCCAAGCAUCCCAAUUAGUGUAAUCAGGGAUAAAAAUUCAACAAAUUGAGAAACUUUAUGGACACCCAUUAUUGGUCUUGAAGCAGCAAUUCGAAAAAGAGGGAUCACAGAAGAUGGCAGUAGCAGAGCUGCCAACACUUGUGUGAAUAUAAGAAGUUGAUACAUCCCUUCAGCUCCUGAACUCCAAACGAAAUAAAGAGCUGGAACAAUAGCAAUAAUUCUGAUUGUGGCACAAUGAAGCCAACCAGGAAGGUCUAGUUUCAAAAAAUCAUUCAAAACUACUUGUCCACCCAGACUCCAGCUUAAUGUUGUGAUUUGAUUUGAAACAAAGAGAACCAGCAGGAAGGCACCAGAUACUAUUGGACCCCAAAAGACCUGUAUAAUUUGAAAAGAAAAUCAACUUGGCUCAGUGUGCUGCAUGAUAUUCAACCGUUGUCGAAAAAAUAGAAUUCAUCACAAACUAAUGGGAAGAAAUUGUAACCUGUCCGAUUAGUGACAUUACAUCCUGAAAUGUAAGCAAACCAAGGCCCGAGUAUUCAUUCUCCGCUGAGGUCAUAAGGGCAUAAUUCACCAGAUAAAUACCACUAAAGAUGCACAAGAUGGCAACUAAAUGGUGGUGACACAAAGCAUCCCUGGAAACAGUUGGCUGACACUGAUACUGCUGCAAAAUUAGGGCAAUUGAGUUUCAGAGAAUUGACCGUUAACACAAAUCAAAACAUUAUUCAAGUGGUUUACAAACAGGAUGGACGGGAGGGUACAGAACUUAGUGAUACAAGCACAUUAGUUGAUGUACAAAUUAAAAUUGAUUAUUUUUCGACUCCCUACUCCAACAAGAAAAUCUCAAUGCUCCUGUUAAUGAAGCUCUUUUUUUCUAUUUAGAAAGGAAGUAGAAAUUUGAGUGCGACCUCAGUGAUCUCUAUCGAACUGCAGUGACCAUUGAAAAGGAAACCAUCUAACCUUCUUAAUCAAAUUAGUAUGUUAAAAGGUUCUUUUAAACUAGAUGCACCGAUGACUCAGUAACAUGUCCUGAAAGGAAUGUCAUAUUGAGAAACAAGAAAAGAGCUAGACACUGUAAACACAUGCAUUGAAUGUAUAUCUAAAUACGUCUAACUGUUGAGAUUCAUGAUACAUCUGACAGAAGAAGCGUUCACAAGGAUUUAUAUUAAAACAAAAUCUCCCAUAUGAACUCAAGAUGCAAGAAGCAACUGUGUAAACCAAAGAUGCACAGGCAGACAUAUAAUACAACAAAUAGCAGAUGCUGCCAAUAGUUGACCACCUGUAAAAGAAUCAACAUAUAUAAUAUAUAUACAACAAAGAUACGCAUACAUGCAUAAGCUCAUGUUCAACAAAAUACGGAUGGAUGUGAAACGUAAUUGCAGAGGCAGAAAACAGGGAGCAUGAGAAGCACAGAUACCUGCACAAUCGAAGAAUGAAGAUAGAGACUGUGAGGCAUUAUACUUGCUCCAAGAAGACUCAUCAAUGCAAAGGCACUCUCCCCACUCAGCUUUGUUAGCAUCCCAUUCAUGGAAAAUGACAUUUCUGGUUGACUGAUAAUUACUCCAAGAACGAAGGAAAGCUGUAUAAAUCCCGCAAUGCAUACGCAUAGGACCUUCGCCUUGCAAGUCUCCUGAUAUGGAUACUCAGUAUUUUAGUAAUAAAUAUUGCAAAUGCAAGACUAUAAAGGAAUAAGUGCAAGUAACAGAACUUACCAGGAGGGUGGAAAAAAGAGGGUACAAAACAGCAUUAACAGCAGUCAAAAACACGCAAGUGAACAAGUCCCACCCAAACAGAAGAUUAAGUCCAUGUGCGAUACCGAGGAUCUAGUAAAAUAAGUGCAAUCAUAUGUCACGCAUAUAACAAAUCUAGUUUCAACAAUGAUACUGCAUAUCAUCACUUAUGCCAUAGCACAACAUAGUUUAGACAAAUUGAGGGCAAAUGAAUAAGUUGAUGAGGAUAGAGAAAUCACCAUGGUAAGGUCUGACAGAAUCACAGAAACCUCUGUUUGAACUCCUAAGAAUAUGCAUGUGCCUUUGUCAUACUCCUCACUGCAUAUCUUUUGACAUAAACGAAAUUUAAGAAAAGAAAAAAGUCAAGGAGCAUGUGUGCAUGCAACUGUCUCUGUACAAGCAAGAGAGAGAGAGAGAGAGAGAGAGAUCAAACAGCCAACUACAUAGUAAAUCAAAUAACAACAUGCGAAGAGAAGGGGUAUCGUGGUUAGGACGCAGCUCAAAAGCAUGAAUGCGAACAGAGUAAGCGCACAGCACCUCCACAACUAACCAUGCAUUAAUAAAACCCUGCAUGAGAGAAUUAAUACCUGCGCAAGAUCUCUUCCAGUGACUACACCAAUCCGAGCUGACAGAUAGUGACAUAAAAUAGCUGCAAAAUUGAAAAUAAGCAUCAAUGCUGCCAGGUCAGAGCCAAAACGGGCACCUGCUUCAGCAGUUGCCGCCCACUUUCCAGGGUCAAGAUAUCCAACUGAAAUCAGAAGCGCCGGUCCAACAACAGGAAGCAACCGAUGUAGAACGCCCAACAUAUUGUUAGCACUAGGAUUAGCAGAUUCCAAAUUAGCCAUUGACUCUUGGACAAACGAAAUUUCCAGUGCAAAGAUUUUUUUGGAAACGAUGGAUCUGUCUUACUAAUAACAAUUAUGGAGGGCCUUCCUGAACUAUUUAACAAAACUAGACUCACGAACUGAGCGAACCACCGCUUCAGGAGGAAAGGAAAUAUGGAAGUACUUUAAAGACAGGAGAGAAAAAAGAGAGACAAGCUCACAACAGGAGAAAGGACCUAGAACUUAGGGGCAAUAAAAGAAAAGGAAUGAACAAAGGCAUAAAGAACUAGAGCAGGAGGCCAGGUAAAUAUGGUUCCAGUGCAUCAGCGUCCUGAUAGGUACAUGAACCUAGUUUACCGUCUUUAGAGAACAUAAAUAGGUAAACGAAAGUACAUCCAAUGAAGGUCCUGAUAAGGUGAGUCGCGCAGGCUAUUCCAAUACACUUACGCAGAUCAACCUAACUUCUCGACAUGACUACUACAUGAUCCAACUUUACGCACUAACUGAUAGUAAUCUGAUGCUUCCAAUCAUAUCCAAUUGGAUGCCAUUGUAGGGUAAACUAUUUACCCUGUUAAAUUUAAUAUUUAUCUGCUGAACAUAAGUAGAUUGGUCCAUCCAAUCAUUGUAAAACUUCGAGCCAAGUACUAAAUUACAGAGCACAACUAGCAGAGACUCUCAACUCCAUCCAUGAAACAAACUUCAACCACUCCAAUCACUUGCUACCCUGCCUUUGUCGUCCAACCCUGAUUCAGAAAAUCACAUUAGCUUGAUGCACCAAAAAAAAUAGGGUAAAUAUCAACAUCAAUACAUCUUGACAACCUAUUUUUAUGACCAAGUCAAAAUUUUAUGAGAGCAAUAAGAGUGACCCAACAGUAUCAUUUACAUUUACACCAUUAAGUAAGAAAAUUAACCAUGACUUAAUCCCUCCAGAAAAAAAUGCUUUUCCCAAAAUUUGAGCAAGAGCAAAACUAGCACACAGGAUAAUUAAAAUUACCAUGACAAGAAUCUAAUAGCAACCAAUCAAAUUCCAAACUUUAUAUUCCAGCAGAAAUGCAAAAACCAAGCUCCAAACCCAUGUCAGAUCUUUGCCAACACUAAAAAAGAAAAACAAUCCUAAACAGAAGCAACAUGCACAUAAAAUUUUAAAAUUACAAUAACUCUACAGUUGAAAAACAGCCCAAAACCCUAGAAUCCCAGUACGAUGAGAAGAAUAUCAGAAUCCAUCGCCAUGGAUCUGAGGCACCCAGACAAGCAAAACCCAAAAGCCCGUUUACACAAAUACCGAGGAAGAUGAUAAAUAUCGGGUUAAAUCAAUUAAUCAAUAAGUCAAAAGCACAAAAAGUUGGUCUUAGGAGGGUAUGAGUUUUAGGGUUUUCGAAAUGCUAGCUUACCUUACCUUCCUCUGAGCUUUCCUUUUCACUUAUAUUGUUUGUUUCAGUUUCUCUGCCAAUCUCUAUCUUCUAAUCUAAAGUCCUACACAAGCAGUAGAUCUCAGAGGAGUUUAAAGAAAGCCACAAAACCUAUAUAUUUUAUUCAUAUAUUUAUAGCUUGUACUGGAUAGAGAAAGAGAAAAGCUCAAGUUUCUUGGUAGAGAGAGAGAGAGAGAAAAUUAUGGGUUGGCUUUCAAGGCCAUCUUGAAGAGAGAGAGAAAGAGAGAGAGAGAGAGAGAAAGGGAAGACAGAUAGUGAAAGUGAGGUCUUGAGAAAAGUUUAACAAAAUGUGUGUCUUUUUUUUUCUAUUGAAAAAAAAGAAAAGAACAGAUGGAAAGGUCCAAAAAACAGUUUCUACUUUCAUUUAUGGAAUCAUGUGUUACUUUCUUUCUAUCUCCUCUCUCUCUCCUUCAUUUUCUGUUUCCAAAAUAAUUAUAUAAAAAAUCUUCAUCUAUUUCUCUUUCUUUUUUAUGUUUAGCUACAAACUCAAUCAUAUUUAUAUACAUUAGGUUCCAACUGAAAGAAUAGUUAAUAUUCUCUUCAGGAAAGAAUACUUAAUAUUGAUUAUGACAAUGUGGGUAUAAGAAAAUAUUGCAAUACAAGUAACUGAUGUUUUGUCAUAUUUUAAGAGACAAUAUAAAAUGGCUAUAACAAUUUUGAUAUUAUUUCUAAGAGGAAAUAUUUAUUACUUUUUUUGUAACUUCAUGGGUUGGACAAUGACUUCAAAGAGGACUUUAAAAGCUUGAACACCAAUCAUAUGUUCUCUACAAGCAUCCAAAUAUGUAAUUAAUCUCCUCUAAUCAAGGGGUUUCUUAAUAGAAUUUUGUUUCCGUUAGUUCCCAUGCUUUCAAGAUUUCUAACCAUAUAUUAAUACGUGAUUCACAAUAAAAUCUAUAUCAAUCUAUGAUUCGACGCAACUGUCUGUAUACACGUGGAUAACUCGCGAUAGCAUUUACUUUCUUACGAAAUUUUUCAUUUCAUAAUUCUCUAACUUGAAUUUGACAAUUAUGCAUAUUUAUUUAAGAAUUUUUUUUAGUACAAGCAAUUGGAGGAGGGGAUUUUGCACAAAUAUUCAUUGAUUAAAAUGUCAUUGAUUUUUCAUGAAAACCAUUAAGUAUCAUUUGAUGAUAUAAAACUAUAUCAAAUUGAAUAAUGAUUGGCCAAAUUUUCAUAUAAAUAUUAGUGACAUUUUGAAAUGACAAAGUUAUUAAAAUAAUAGUUACUUGCAUAAAGUAAUUAGAAUUUUGAAUGUUGUUAGUGUGUAUUUGAUCAAACAAAGAAUCCCAUCUUGUCAAGUUAUUAUAUGAUUGGUUCUAUAUAACAUCUCUCGCAAUAUUUUGGGGAGUCUAAUUGUUACAAACUGGAUCACACAUGAUUUUUCUUUGUACAGUUAUGGUCGAAACCCAAUAACCAAUCUAACCACAAUCCAAUCUAGACCUAGUCACUUGGACGGUAUCAUUUUUUUAGAGAAUAAUGAUAGUAUUUUAUUGAUAAGAGGAUAAGUAAAUGAGAGAAGGAACCUUGCCACUGAUAUAUUAUUCCCUGGUCCCUCUAAGAUCAUGCCUGUAAAAACUACUAAACAAUAUCAUUUUGGUAAAUAAUGUUUGGGUAAAUAAAAGAUGCAGAUCCCCUGAAAAUGCAUUAAUGAAAUUAGGAUUUUCUCGACUACUUUUAAUGAAGCUCUCAUUACCGGUUUCAUAUGAACAUUUUGAAACAAAGCGAUAGUAUUUAUUGAAGAAAUAGAACAUAGUACAAAGCCACAAAAGUGUCGAAAUGAGUACAACAUCUCCAGUGACUAAAUGAAUUGAUCUAGAGAGGAUUACGUCUAAACCAACAAAUAUUCAAACUCCUGAUUCAGCAACCCGAAGCACUUGUACUUAGACUAACAAUAUAAAUCCAUUGUCCAACGACAGAUCCGUAUCGCAGCCGAAAGCAAAAUACAAACCAAGAAACCCCUAAUGAGUAAUAGACUAAAACAGACAAAGAUAUCCAAAGCGCCAUACCGGCUAAACCGAAACCCACAUAAACUAACAAUUUCCAUUAUUGUAACUCCAAACUCUAAACUGGAGCCAAAACCCUGUGUAUGUGGGCCAAAAACGACAACUAAAUCAUGGCGACAAUGAUGUUUCAUUGUGGUUGCUUCAACAACCUCCGAAAUACACAAGAGUUCAAGCGAAAUCACCCAAGUCGACCAAAACUAAUUGUCAGUCCUUGAGAAAAGUAUAGAUAUAGAAUAGACUUAUAUAAGAAUUUCUGAAUCUACAAAAAAACUAAACCAAAACUCAUGCAAAAACAAAAGAACCUCACAAAAUCAAAGCAAAAAAGGAAUUCAAGGGAAAAAAAAUUGAAGAAGGGGAUGGCGAGAAGGGGGAGGGAAGGGAUGGGAAGCCAUGGAAGGAAAAACAAAUUAACUCGCACUGGUGGGGUUCAGAGGGAAGAGAGAGAAGGAGGAGAUAAGGGAAAGGAAGGGGAGAGUGUUCUGCGGGGAAGAGUGACUUCUGAAAUGCUAAAGUUAUUAGGGUAACAUUUAUUUUAAGAAUAUUAAUUUGAUUAUUACAUGUUGUUAGUGUGCUUGAAUGAACAAAGAAUCUCAUCUCUUGACUUUUAUAAUUGUAGAGGUGGGCCCUAGGUUAUCGAACAUGUUAGCUGCAAAGUAUCUUUUUAUAUGGAUAUGAGUAAUACAGAUACUGGAUGAGAGUGAGUAGUUUAAAAGCGUCACGACGUCCUUCAUUUUCAAAUGCAUUACUAAGAUGUUUAAAUCAAUUAAUUCUUAGUUUAGUGGCGUCUCUCUCUACUUUUAUGAAUUUGUAUAAUACAAUUAGUAUGGUUGGAAAAUAGGGUUUUAUUACUAAUGUUAUGAAUUUAAAUAAGGCAACGAGUAUACUCUGUCCCUUUCUCCUCUCUCAUAUUUUUUUAGCCACAAAUUGUCAAAAUCUGAAAUUAAAAUCAGAUAUUAUUAGGUCAUAUCUAUAUAAGACAAGUGCUCGUAAUUUUGGUAAUAAUAUCUAGAAUAUAUAUAUAUAUAUAUGCGUGAUUAAUUUCCAGGUGAUAUGUUACCAAAAAAGAAGAUUUUUCUUUGUUUGUCACAUUCCAUUUUGUACUAAAUCUCUCCUAUAUAAGUAUAACCACACACACAGUACACAAAGAACACAUCAUGGUGGAAGCCUUUCUAAAUUUGGCAUCCAUGAACAAAAAAUAAUAAUUUCUUCUUUCUUGUUUUGGUAAGCACAGAAAACCAUAAUUCACAGAAAUGAGAGAACCCAUGGAUUCAUAUGGGUAAAUCAUAAAUAUAUAUAAAAUCCAAAUUGUUUUUUCCUUUUUUUUCUUUUUCUUUUGUAACUUAAUCAAUGCUUUGACUGUCAACUCCCAUAACAAUUCUAAAUUGUCCAAUGACUGUUUGCCACGUAGUGUCGUCCCUAACAAGGAAACAACCAGAUGAAGCCAAGUGUUUCAAAAGCAAUGGGGAAGCUCGUGAUCCCAGAUGAUGACCGACACUUUGGAGUUUCAAUUUUUUUCAGGCCACUCCUUCAGCUUUUUUGACAAUUGGCUUUCUCACAUGAUUUGUGCUAGCUAGUAUUUGGUUUGGUGCAUAUUUAUUCAAUAAAUUUUUCUCUCUUUUUCUUUUAUACUUCUUGUGGAUUGCGUGGUUCCAAUUUCAUGGGACGUCCACGAAAUGAUAAUGUGUGACCUAAAAGAUACGAAACUCUACUCAAAAGUCACAUCUCUAAAUAGAGACAUUAUUGGUAUUUUAUCAAUACAAUAACGGCUGUGAACUGUUGAUGUACGUAAAAUAACGGUUUGUAAAAAAAACAUUACUUUUGAUUAAUAAUUAUAUUUAGUUAAGAUAUUAAUUUUCAGUUUGUGCUAUCGAGAUCUCUAAAGGAGAUAGAGGAGGAAACCAAAAAUUCAACAUAAAAAGCAAGUGCUCUGGUUUUUUUUUUUUUCCUUUUUUCGCUACAGUUAGAAAGAGAAAGAGAGUAUUCUCACAAAUAUACGCAUACCACUAUCAUGCAUGACGAAAGCUCCACCACUAAGCUAAGACCCCAUUGGCAAAAGCAAGUGCUAUGAAUGAAGCUAUAAUUUCAAACAGCUUUUUUUUUGGGGGUUUUCUUUUCUCAAUUAGAAAGAGACAUACUAGAAUUGCUUACCACCACUAUGUGAGAACAAACAACAAAAGAACAAUAACAAUAAAAAUAAAAAUCUAUCAUUAAUUUUGUCGUCCUAUUGCUCAAUUGCUCAAUUGCUCUCUCUCUCUCUCUCUCUCUCUCUCUCUCUCUCUCUCUCUCUCUCUCUUAUCUUCUUCCACCUAGUCGUUAGCCAUGCAAUGCAUCGAACUGAAAUCCCUGUCCCCGAGCCUAUAAUUUCAUUAUAAUUAAUUAUAAAACGAGAAACAAAAACAAUAUUAUAUCUAACUCAGUCUGUUGAACAUGAACAUAUACAUUGAACUUCAAUCAUCCAAGCCCUUUAAAACUAAAUUAUAUUCCUUAAUUUAUUUGAGAUUAUAAUUAAUUAAUAUUGUUUUGUGCAGUUAAAGUUAGAGUUGAAGGAGACCAAUCCCCACAUAACCAACAUGGCUCAUAUCACCAUGCUGCCAAGAAUCUAGUUUCUGCACUCUUGUGUCUUGUUUACUAGAUUCAGAUUUUUGGGGUUUUGUAGCCAAAGUUUAGGGGAAAAACUUGUUCAUUGUAUCUGCACAGAUUAAGAACAAGUGCUAUUAAUUAUUGAUUAAUUUUAAACCCAAAUUGUAAUCUUUAAUCGAAUUUCGAUCGAACGUGUUUGAUUUCAAUUAUUUUGAAUAAAGUUGUGCAUUGUUGUUCCUACAUUGGUGGCUUCGGGUUAGGUUCCAUAUACUACUUCCAUGUGAAUUUAUAUACAAUUAGUAGAUGAACUCUAGCUUGGAAAAAGAAAAAGACUAUUGUUGCUCACAAGAGUUCACUUUCAUUUCAUGUGGUGGGUUUCAUGUAUUUGUAUCAAGUAGGUAAUGUGUGUAGCACUCGCAAGCAAACUUGUGGAGCUCAGUUUCAUCUGUUGGGUUUCAUAUAUUUGUAGCUCAAAUUCGUCUUCUAUUACAAUGUAUUUAAGUUUAUACAUAAAAUCCUUACUUGAGAAGUUCUAUUCUUUUAUUUUCAAUGUAUACUGGGAAAAUGUGAUGAAAUGAGAGAAAAAGAGAUAAGAAUUAUACAUAAAUAGUUUUUUUUAAUAAAUAUUUUGUAUGCGAAAUAGAAGAGUCAUUACAAUGAAAACGUCGAAAAGCCUCUAAGACAAGGGGGCCCAAGAAAAUCAAAAUGAAAAGCUUUUAUAAUAAACAGAGGAAGACCAUGCUCCCAUUCAAUUAUUUAGGCGUGCUUGAAUGAUUGUAGAUUAUUAAUUUAUAGAGUUUUUUUGCUCACCAUUUUAACUAAAGGUGUAUGUUUAUCACCACUUUUAAAGAGUGACAUUUGUCAUAUUAUUAACCUUAGUUAUAAAGAGAGAGAGAGAAAAAAAAGAGGAAAAAAAGAUAAAGAGAAUCGGGAUGUGUGUUGCUGCCUUUUUCAAAAUUUAUUUAUUUACCCUCACAAAAAAGUUAACUAAGGUUAUCAAUUGGAUGAUAGCAUCCACCAAUGAAUGCGCUCACUUGAGAAACUUAAUUGGUUAGGCUUUGGACUUUUUUUAAAUUAAUUAUUUUUGAGAAAGAGGCUUUAGAUUUUUUAUUUUUUUAAAUUUUUUUCUUGGGGCUUUAGACUUUAGUAGUGUUGAAAUCGACGACCCAUAUUGAUGAGCAGCAGAACCUUCCUUUUCUGGACAAACCCUGAAAAAGGCAAAAGGAGGAGAGAUUAUCGACUUCCUAAUCACUUUCAUUCAUCACCGCACACGUGGAGCGUGGACCAAUAUUCCUCAUAUAAGCCGUAAUUAUAAAGUAAACCCCCUUCGUUUUGUGCCACGUGGAUUGUACAACGACACUCUAUUUUGGCAGUUUCUGCAUCAGCUUCACCCCUUUACGUUUCCGAUUUCUUUUUCUUGCAUCUUUUCCCUGCCCUUUUUAUAAAAAAUAAAAAAUAAUAAAAAUAUUCUUUUUGUUCGUUUACAUUUUUAGUUGGGGUAGGAAAAAAAAAAGAACAUGAGAAUUUUAAGUUUUUUAUUCGAAAUCAUUGGAUUUGGAAUUGGGAUUCCGAUCGGUCUUCUACUGGGAUUUUUCAUAUUCAUAUACUCAGAGCCAGAUGAUGUGAAGGUGAUUUCAAAAACAGAUUAAUUCAAUGCCUUUUUGUUUUUAUAUUUUUAUGUCUAAUUCUUAUGCUUUUUUUAAAUAUUUAUUUUAUGAUUUAAUUUCCCCUACACAAUUUGCACACAUGAUUUAAAUUUGAAGUUUAUGGUCAAUGCUGAUAAUGGAAGUGAUUAAAUAUUUGUUUCUGCAUCUAAUUAUGCAGGAUCCAAUAAUUAAACCACUUAAUGAGAUUGAUACAGGCUCUCUGAUUGAUCUCUUGCAUGAGAUUCCUCCAUGGGUGAAACAUCCUGAUUAUGAAAGAGUAAGAGUUUAACUUGAGUUUUUUUUACUAUUUACAUUUCACUGUCAAAUUUAAUUUCCAGUCCAAAUUAUUUUGAUGUGCCAUUUUCUGUGUGUAGAUUGACUGGUUCAACAAGGCUUUAUAUGAUAUGUGGCCUUACCUUGAUAAGGUGAUUUGAAGCUCACCAUUGUGACCAAUGACCAAGCUUAACUAUAUAGUUAGUGUUCUUCAUCUGUCAUCACUUCUUGUGUUCUUUGAUUUUAUAGGCAAUCUGCGGUAUCAUACGAAGCACGGCGAAGCCUAUAUUUGCAGAGUACAUUGGGCAGUAUCAGAUAAAAUCAAUCGAAUUCGAAACCCUGACUCUUGGAAGCCUUCCUCCUACAGUUUAUGGCAAGUUAUAUUGUGUAGGCAAUGUUGAUAGGCUGCAGCAGUUGUUGUGCUGCAUAAAAUUCUUAAAUACAAGGAACAUUAUUUUAAGUUUGUGUUAAUUUCUUUCUGUGCUUACUUGUCUGUUAAGAGAUCUUACUAAUUUACCAAAGCUUUUGCAGGUAUGAGAGUGCAUGAAAGCAAUGAAAAUGAACUGGUGUUUGAGCCUGCAAUUAGAUGGGCCGGAAAUCCCCACAUAACUGUGGUGUUGAAACUUUUGUCUUUUCGAAUUUCAGCGCAGGUUAGAAUUCAUUGCAGAACCAUAUGCACCCGCGCACACACACACCCUCGUCGGAUAAACUCUGCUUACGUGCAAUCACCAGGAAACAUAAUUAAAUUUUCACCAUAGUUUGAAAAUGUGUUUGGGAAAUACUUACACCAUUUGACUUCAAUUGCAUCCUGUCACAGAUUCUCUUCAUCUUAACCUUAAUGAUUCCCUCUCUCUCUCUCCUUAGACUCUCCCUUAAGUCAAACUGGCUAUAAUUGUUAAUUCUGAUGACUUUCUGGAUUGAUUGACAAUGAAAUUGUUCAAUUUGGUUCUCAGCUGGUAGAUGUCCAAAUAUUUGCUGCACCAAGGAUCAUUUUAAGGCCUCUUGUGCCAUCAUUCCCAUGCUUUGCAAACAUAACAGCGACUUUGAUAGAUAAGGUAAACUGACACAAGAUUUUGAGAAACUUGUUUCUUUAAAACUUCAUGUAAGUGCCAUGCUCUUAUCUUAUGGUGGCAGAUAUGUUAACUUAUAUACAUGCAGCCACAUGUGGAUUUUGGACUCAAAAUACAGGGAGGGGAUGUCAUGGCAAUCCCUGGUCUGUAUCAGUUUGUUCAGGUCUCUCUCUCUCUCUCUCUCUCUCUCUCUCUCUCUCUCUCUCUCUCUCUCUCUCUCAUCAAUUUGAAUUAUUUAACUUAUCUUCAGCUUAACAAUGUGGACUUUUUGAGUGAAUGAGAAACAGCCAACAUGAUCAUAAUCAUAGAAUAUAUAAAAAUUAAAGUACACGUUUCAAAGUACUAUGAGUUCUAAAGCAACUCUAAGAAUUGAAACAAGCACGAACCCUUUUCUUUUUUUAAUACCUUUUUAUUUUGAGUUGACUUUCUGUGUGGUCGUUUUCAAUUUCUCAUCCCUAACACAUGAUGAUGUUAGGUGGUCAUAACCUUUCAAUGCUUGAAGAGGUUUAACAAGCAAAUUGAUAAUGAUUAAUAUUCUGAACCAAUCAUAAUAAGGACUGAUAUUCAUUGUGGGCUGGAGUGGGGAGGACUUACUGGGAUUUUUUAGCAGACCCUGUUUGGGUAGCUGAGCCCAAUAGCUCUGCCACUUACUGAAUUUAUGAAAAUCUUUGAAACCUGCAUAAGUUUCAGCAAGCUUCAUUCUGCAUUUAUAUAUGAUUAUUAUGUUUUUGAUAUAUACGAUAUUCUAUUUUAAUUUAAUCUAAACUAUGGAGAGGGGGAUUCGAACUCGGGUGCAUAAUAAAGAGCACAUCCUUUCCAGACAACUUGACUAAGCCAUGCUUGCGCUUUGUAUGAUUAUUUCUGUGGUUGCAGGAAUUUAUAAGAAGACAAGUUGCUAGCCUUUAUUUAUGGCCCCAAACUUUGGAAAUACCAAUUCUUGAUGGUUCCCUGUAAGUUUAAAUGACACUGCAACUUUUAUGCCAUGGAGUUUAACAUUGCAAUUCAAUGAUUUAUGUCUGUGUUAUUUUGUGGCUCAGAUCAGGGGCUAUAAAGAAGCCUGUAGGCAUUUUACAUGUGAAGGUUGUAAGAGCACUCAAACUCUUGAAGAUGGACAUUAUAGGAACAUCUGAUCCUUAUGUUAAGAUCAAGCUAAGUGGGGAGAGGCUUCCAUCAAAGAAAACUACCAUUAAGAUGAGGAACCUCAACCCUGAAUGGAAUGAGAAUUUCAAGCUUACAGUCAAAGAUCCCCAGUCCCAAGUUCUUCAGUUUCAUCUUUACGACUGGGAACAGGUUUGUCAAAAUUAAAUGGUGCAUGUUUUUAGGUACCAAUAAUAAUGAGAUCUCGAAUCGAUGUCCAAUCGGAAUUACGUAAACUCAUUUCACCUUAUCGAUGAUCGUAAUUAACAGUGUGACAACAUAACAUAAUGUGUCGGUAAUUUAAUAAGACGAGGCGUGAUUGUAAGUUACAGAUGUUGAUUUCAUACAGAUUGGGACACAUGACUUUUUGGGGAUGCAAAUUGUUCCACUGAAGGUGCUUGCCCCCCUUGAGAAAAAAGAAUUAACCCUUGAUUUGGUGAAGAACACAAACCCUUAUGAUCCUCAAAACAAGAAAGGGAGAGGCCAACUGGUGGUGGAAUUGACAUACAAUCCUUUUAUAGAUGAUAAUGCAAAAUACAGUGGACCUCUGGAUGCAAGUGUGGCAGGAGAAAACAUUGGAAGGAGCCGAAAGGCAUCCAUAGACUUUUCCUGCCUUUCAUCGCUAGAAGCAGCUGGUUUGCUUUCGGUUACAGUCCAAGGAGCUGAAGGUGUUGGAGGCAAGAACCACACCAACCCUAACCCUUAUUGUUUGGUCAGCUUUGGAUCAGAAACGAAGAUAACCAAGGUGUGAUUUAUGCAAUCCAAUCAUAGUUAAAGCGCAAUGUUUUCUUACCAUAGUGUGAAUUUGAAUUGUAUAUUCAAAUUAAUAGUUAGACAACAUAACAUGUGUUCGAUUAUUAUUUAAUGCAUAUAAUUUUGUGUAGAUGCUGAGGAAAACCCAGCGUCCAAGUUGGAAUGAAGAAUUUCAGUUUGUGCUAGAAGAGGCUUCUUUAAAGGAUAAGAUCCAUAUUGAAGUAAAGAGUAAGAGAAGAUUUGGUUUCCGUCGAUAUGUAAGCUCCUCAUCAUUUUAGGUUUUUCAUUUGUAUUUUUGUUUUUGGUUGAUUUAAAACUCUCUAAACCCUACUAUUUAUUUAGGAAUCGUUGGGGUAUAUUGAGAUCAGUUUUAGUGACGUGGUACACAAUGGACGCAUUAGAGGGAAGUACAAUUUGAUAAACUCGAAAAAUGGAGUUUUACAUAUUGAGAUCCAGUGGAACUCCACAUGACACACAUCAAAGCUUUGCAGUAGUAGAAUCUUUCGGUAGAGUUUUGCUAGCAACAAUGGUUGAUUAUAAUUGUAAGAUUGAUUCAUAUCAAUCAAUGAUUGUCAAUUACUCACACAAACGUAAGUAGUUGAUGACAGGAGAAUGUAUUUUUGUAUUAUGGUGAUUAGACAUUGUUUUCAAUCCACAUUAUGUGUUAGAAAUAGGAAUUCAUUCAUUAUUUUGUACAAUUAGAUUUUGUAAUUGAGCUUCAAUGGUGAUAUUAAUGAGAUCAUCCCUUUUGUUUUGUUAUUUCCAAUUUGAUUCUGUUAACAUGCCUAUGCUAUGGGCCAAGCUAGCAAAAACCAUAACAUCCAAGCCCAUCUAUGCAAAAUGGAUUGAGCCCAUCUUGGAUUUCAAACAAGAACCAGAUCCAUAUCCAAAAAGCCAAUUGGCAAUGCACAGAAAAUAUCUUAGGCUGCUUUUGUCUUCAACUGUGUCCUCCCAAUCUAAUAUCUCACAUCUGCAUCAAUAGCUGGCAACUGCAAUUGCAAAUGGACGGUUGUGAUCUGAUAACAAGUGGGCAACUGGGCCAUACACAUACCAUAAGAGCUUCAUGAUCCUCACUGCAGCAGAUCAUUAUCUGUAGUUUCAACCAAAACUAGGGGCAUUUCUGUCACUCAAAAUAUCCAAAACUUCUUCAUAAACCCUGAGUCUCCAAAAUCCUCAAGCCUCUUCUCUUCUCUGUAACCUUAUCUGUUAAAGAGGCAAAGAAAAUCAAAGCAAAAGCCACCAUGACUGCCUCCACGGCUUCGCUAGCUCUUCCUUCUCUUUACCCCAAAACACUAGCCCUUUACACUCCCAAACCCACUUCAGUCCCGUUCUACUCUGUCUCUUCGUCAUCUCUAACGCUCGGCUGUAAGCCCAUUUCAAUUUCGGCUUCAUUUCUCAACUCGGGAAGGUUUCAGAGCGCGUCGUCUCGGUUCGUGCGAAACGUCGCCGUUUCGUCCGAGUUCGAGCAGGAUGAGGAGGUUCUCAGCGACGAUGGAGAGGCCAGUUUCGCGCCUGACCUCAAGCUCUUCGUCGGAAACCUUCCCUUCAGCGUUGACAGUGCUCAGCUCGCUGGGCUCUUCGAAAGUGCUGGAAAUGUCGAGAUGGUUGAGGUAAUAUUUUGUUUUUCGUCUAAAGUUUGUGUCUUUUAUGUAAGAUUUGCCUGAAGAAUGAAAUGGGUUGUCGCGGGUUUAAAGUUGUGUGGUAAUUUUGUUGUACUAAAGUGUCAGUUCUUGGCAGGUGAUAUAUGACAAGACAACUGGAAGAAGCAGAGGAUUUGGGUUUGUGACUAUGUCUAGUGUCCAGGAAGCUGAAGGAGCUGCUCGACAGCUAAAUGGUUAUGUAAGUAUGAUAUUAUGUCUAACCAUUUGUUGAUAUAUAAGCAAAAAUGUGAGAAUUUUUCUGAAUUCUUUUUCAUCCGUAGUCUUAUAAAGACUCAUUUGUUGAACUGGUCAAUAUAUGUUUUGCUAAAAGAAUGAGUGUCGGAGCUUAGUCUCUGGCCUUUCUUAAUGUGUAUUUUUGUUGCCGUGUUGAUUGCUUGUUAACCUAUUGAUUGUUUUGAGUCUUGAAGUCAUUUGGUUACAUUUCACCAUGAGAAGUUGAGAACCCUGUUUAUUGUAUAUAACCAUAUGAGCUAGACUUUCAUGACAUUUUCUCAAAACCAACCUAAUUGAUAGAGUUAAUGAGAAAACUUUUUUAUACAUCCAAAAAUACCAAUUGGUUUGAGAAAGGUAGAUUGAUGUCACUUGUCAAGAUUUGUUGCAUUCAGGAAAGAUUGGCUUUGUCUUUCCUUUCUUGAUGUGAUUUUUCAGGGUAGUGAUUGCUUAUUUUCCCAAUGGAUUGUUCUGAGUCUUGGCAUCAUGUGCUUGCAUAUUAUCCAGAAGAAACCUAUUUAUUGUAUCUAAGCAAGACUUUGUGACAUUUGGCAGGAACUUGACGGAAGGGCAUUGAGGGUAAACUAUGGACCUCCUCCUCCUAGGUCUGAAGACUCUUUUAGAGGUGCCAGAGGUGGUGGAGGUUCUGACUCCUCCAACCGCCUUUAUGUGGGUAACCUCGCAUGGGGUGUUGACAAUCUAGCACUUGAGAACUUGUUUAGUGAGCAAGGAAAGGUUUUGGAAGCCAAGGUAGUUUAUGACAGGGACAGUGGGCGAUCAAGGGGUUUUGGUUUUGUAACUUAUGGUACUGCCGAUGAAAUGAACAGUGCCAUGGAAUCGUUGGAUGGAGUUGUAAGUAUAUCAUUUCCUUUUCUUAACAAUUUUCUUUUUUCUUUCCAUAUUUUGUUCCAGUUACUUCUACUAUUUUGUGUUUCUAAAUUUUGGUUUUUGCAGGACUUGAAUGGAAGAUCUAUCCGAGUAACCGCAGCAGAACCUAGGCCAAGGCGUCAGUUUUGAAUGUAAAACUUUGCGAGUCAUUGGCCAACAGAAGCGUUGAUGUAUAGCUUUUGACCUAUUGUCAUAUUUGAUUACCGCAUCAGUUCUAUAAAAUUUUAUUGGACAUGCAUCAUAAUAGGAUACAUCCUGCGAUUAAUUUCUGGAUUAGAAAGUGCAUGUUCUGAUGCUAUUACUUGUACGAAGCAUGAGCAUGAGCUUUUAUUUGGUUCCCCUUUUUUGGGUGUGUAUUAUUAUCCUAAUAUAUGCUGAUCUUCAUGGCAGAUUGGUAGGAUAUAGCCUUUUCCCGUUGCUGUUUGUGAAGAACUCCAAGAUCAUGCUGCCUUGCGCCACAGUUGGAUUCGCGAGUGGUGGUAGUGAUGGUUUUUGACAUUUGCCUAUAGAUGGCCAAGAGCAGAGAAGAAUGUUUUGUUUUCAAAUUUAUAUUCCGAGUGGCUGGGCCAGUUAAGGAACUGAUUUGUGCUAGACUUAUUUUAACAGUUUAUAGAUUCGGUACAUCGUUUGUGUUCUCGUUAAUUGCAUAGUCUGGCUUCCCUUUAUAUGUCAUUAAAGGAUAUCUUGAUUGUGUAAUGAAUUGCAGGAGAAAUGUACAGCCAGGUCACCCUUAAGCUGAUUGAAUAUCUCGCAUUCAAAGCCAGAGUUCAAUUUCUUCUCUUCCCCUAUUCUCCCCUGUAAAACCAGAUAAAAAGAAAAAGAGUAUUGAAAACGCAAUUAGGUUUAAUAGCUAUUAACAUGCAAAUUAGAGAGCAAUCCUGUGCAUUUUAAAGUUUGAAUAUUUUUUUUUUAGGUCACAAGCGAUGUUGGGGUAGAGAGGAUUUGAACACGACUUUUUCUCUCAACCAUUUAAGCUUUGGAACUGUUGACUGCAGUUUUAUGAUUGAAAGCAAAAUUGAUUUAUAUCUAACACUCAAGACCUUUUUUUUUUUUUUGGACAAAACACUCAAGACCUUAGAGAUGGGCAAAGCAUGCAGUCUCGAACCAUGUCAAGGUGGAGGUGCUCUGUAAACCAAAUUGGAAGCAAGGCAAAGCCAAGGGAAGCAAAGAUGGGGCUUGAGUGGCUCAUAAUGUGGCAGCACGAGUUCACACAGAUAUUCAAAUCUGCAAACACACGAGCAUUAAGUUGUGGAAAUUAAACCCAAGGGUUAGCUGAUUGGGGCCUGGAGUUUAAAACUACAGAAAAUAGUGGCGCAUUAUGGGCAUGAGCAGCAGGAUUAAAUGCUCAGGCAAAACACCAAAUUAUUAACUGGUGGCCCAUUGGGUAUAGCCUAUGUUAAUUGGAAACAGGCCUUGGCCAAGAUAAAAAUAAAGAAAUUCAACAAGUAUGCAAACCUCAUGCCACUCCCGUUUACUGUUUAUUUCAACAACUUAAUAUGACCUAAUUUUUUGAUCAAUUAAUUACGGAUCGAGCUAUUUUUCUAAACUCCGAGAAAAGGAAAGCAAAUUAGGUCUGACUUUUUUAAUGAAUUUGGGGUCAUAGAUGGGGGCAGUCGAAUCCAGUGUCGACAUCCAUUCAUUUUGGGUGCUUCUCAAUCUCUUUAAUGGCUCUAAUGAAGUUGAGGGCAAUCAUGGUUUCACGUCACAUUUUGAUAUGAGUGGGUUCACAUGUGUUCUUGCCCUAUUGUUUGAUUGGUUUAUAGCUUCUAUAUUAUAUGUUAUAAAUACAUAAUAUACGUUCAUUAAGUUUCAGGCUUUUUACAGUGUCUGUUUGAAUUGCAAUCAAAGACAAAAAAUUGUGAGCACAAUGAUUCUAUAAACUUUGUAGUUCGUAAUCUUUGACUUGAAGCCUAAGAGAAGGGAUAUAAUAUUCACUGCACACAUUUGAAUUUUUUAUGCGCGCAUUUUAACUCAACUUAGCUAUAGGAAAUACUUACUUUGUCUCUAUUAGCUUUUUUUUUUGAGGCUUUUAGAAUAUUUUUGUUCACCAUUUUUUGCCAUGGUGUAGUAUUACCGCUUCACUUAAAAUUGUCAUGUUUACGUACAUAAAUGUAAAUUUUUUCAGUAAAAUGGUGAUGUUAUACCAUAAGCGAAGAUAGCGAACAAAAUUCUUCUGUUGAUCUCUUUGGUGACGGCUAACCAGAAAAACUUGUACGACUCACUUCUUUAGUUGGUGGAUAACCUUUGCUAUUUACAUCCAACACAAAGGCACAAGGCUUUUAGAAAAUUGAUGUUCUCUUUAAAAGCAGCCACUAGCUUCCUUCGAAUUAAUGGGAAAUGACUAUUAUUAUUGGAGAAAUGGGAAUCCAAUGACUAUCAACUCGAGAAACAACAAGAAGAGAAAAAUAAAAAAGUGUUCAAAAAUAAUAAAAAAUACAAAUGAUAGUAUAAACUAUAAGGAGGGGGGAGUUUCACACACAUACACAUUACUAAUGUGUCAUGAGAGUUCAAAUUUGAGAACACUGAUCUACAAGUUAGUGUCCGUUUCAACUGGAUUAGAAUCCAUUGACAUUCUAAAGUGCUCUUAAGAUUUUGUUAAAGAAGGCACAUCAACCAAAAUCAUCAAGCCUUCUUAUGCGCAAGACUUUGAAAAUAAACCAAGCAACAUAUGAUUUAAUGUCUCAUAAUUCAUUUGAAGCAAUCAACAAAUGACAAGACUUGGGAAAAUCAAAAGUGGUAAUGAACUAGAAAAGAUAAUGUCACAUAGCUAGGGGAAGUGGUGGUGAGUGGACUGAAACUUCCCCUCCAAUUGUGAGCAAGUUUUACUUCUUCUUCAAAGUCCAUUAUUAUUAAUUGUUGCCUGUUGCGUCUCUUUAAAUUGCUCUUAUGCAUGCUUGAAUUGAGCUUCAUCUUCAUGUUACUCUCCACUCAAAAACCAUUUUAAUAUUGCAUGACUAGGUUAGAAAUGGGGGAAGCUUACAAGAAAAUAAUUGCAUGCGAAGAAAAUUGUGCUGAAUCCAUGGAAAUUAGCAAGAUGAGACAAAGCAGAAUGAUGGGUGGGAGAUUAAAAAAUCUAAUUAAUUAAUUAGACAAAUUAAGUAUGUAAAAAUCAAAUUAAUUAAUUUAACAAAUCUCUGUCAAUUUCUUUAGUCUGUACUUUCCCACUGAAGAAAUUUAUUUAUUUAUUCAUAACAGAACAGAUGCAUAGUUUGGUCUUCGCACGCUAUACUGGUCUGUGGACCCCAGUGUUUAUGUCAUUUUGUAAACAAUUCUGUAGACUGUCUCAUUUAUCUAGAAAAAGAUGAUGAGUUUUUUUUUUUCUUUUCUAUUUAAAGCAUCCCAUUUUGACUUGUGUGGCUGAAAAAGCAAUCCAUCUGUAGACGCCAAUUAAAUUGUUAACUUGAAAAAAUGAAAAGAAAAAAAAGCACUUAUAACUUCAGUGAUAAAAUACUAAUCCUUUCAUUCAGUUCGAUUCUUAUAUUUUUCUUCCCCGAAUCAAGAAACGAAAAAAGAGAAAAAAGAAACAAACCGAAGUGUAGCAUAAUUACCCCAACUUGAACAUGACCAGCAUAAGUGUGGGUAAGCUUUGAUCAUUCUUAAGCAUGUGGUUGUUUUUGCUUAGUUUGCUAGUUGCUAGUCCCAUCAUUUUAGUAAAUAUGAGGAUUGUUGUUGAGCCAAUGAACUCACCAUUACCAGCAUAAUUUUUGGGCACAGUAACUUCUGUUGCCAAAGUAAAAGGUGCAUGUGAGAAGCCAUCACUGUUUAGUAAGGCAAUUGAGUAUGGAAUUCGAAUCCCAAAACCCAAAAGCAUCUGACCAAUUAUAUAUCUAUGACCAUUGACCCAAAAAAAAUGCAAGAGUUGAAGACCAAAAGGGCUUUGUUAAAAAAAAAAAUAUAUAUAUAAAACUUGAACUGUUUCAUUGAAAAUGUUCUAUCUCCUUCUUAUUAACUGGUUUCAAACUCUUCCCUCUCUUUCUACAUUUUGCUUAGCAUAAAUAUUUGAGCAAAUUGCUGACUGCAGGGACCACUGUGGCCCUGGCCGUAAUUUUGAGAAAACAGGAUGAUGCUGAUAAAGAUGAUUGAACUCUGCAUCACCGGGACAAGACUUCCCUACUUCAUUCUUUUGGUUUCAAUAUAAUUGCUCACACUAUAAACUCAAAACCCACUUGGUCUAUAUGCUUGCUUUAUAUGGAUUUGUAUUAACAGGCAACGUCACCCUACACAUGUGAUUUUUUGGCUGAAUUAUUGUGCAACUCAGUACUGUCACGUGGCACUGACAGGAACAACCUCGCAUAAGCGUUUCUUAUGUCCUAAUACGAGGAACUUUUAUUUGGGUUAAAUAUGAGGAAGUUGAAUUCCAAACAUCUCCUAAUCCUAAUUUAUUAUCUCACUCUUAAUCGCGAAUUGAGCUAACAUAUGGAUCAUAUUAGAGCAGUACUAAGUGUAAUUAACAAACUAUGAUGGAAAGUGGGUAGGGAUAUGACUAUGUCCUAGAAAUAGGGGUCAUUGUGCUUUAAGGAAACCAAAUGAUUUUCUCUUCAUGUUCCAAUGCUCCUUCAACUAUGUGACUUUGUCUUCUCUCCCGAAAUAAUCGGGCUUCUCUACGGUGGGAAAAUGUCAAGUACUGCAUAAUUAUAUAGCUGCCAAUUAUGCAUUCAAAGAACUUAUGGUGGAGCCUGGAUCACAUUCUGAUUACUGAGAUAAAGUUUUUUAGUUUUUUCAUUUACUGUGAAAACAGUACAGAGUCAAAUCGCAUUUCCUGAAAUUAUUUCCAGUUCAAACAUAUCAUACUCCUUGUAAUCUUUUUGUCUACACCACAUGAACAUGGAUCUGAGAAAUCUAAACUUUUGCAUCCACUACCCACCACUACUAAAGUUUGAGUCAGAAAUGAGAUAUAAACUCUUGCUACACUUAUCUACAAUACUUUUUUCAGAGUAUAAAAUGUUGGAUUUGGAAAAUUGAUCGUGCUAUUAACUUAUCAUAAUACGUGAUUUAGAUUCAUAGUCAGACAAUACCUGAUAUGAUAAUGAUCUUAUUAUUCCAUCCACAGUUUAGUCGUUGCAUUCGCCUCUACUUACCAUUCUCAUCUCCUUUUAUUUCUCUAGAAAUUCAAAGAAAGUGUGCAGUAUUCUGUGACUUUAUCCAAACAUUGGCGUGUGUUUUGUUAGUUGUUAACUGAUCUAAAAACUUUUAACGAGUUAAUUUAAUUAAUUAAAGAAAGUAUGAUCGAUCAUCUGGUUGGACUUACAUUAACUAAAUUAACUGUCAGACAAGUCCAAUAAUUCCUAUAUAUCAGCAAGGUGGGGUCAAUAGAAUCUCUUGAAAUUGUUUGCAGUCAGUCCUCUCUAUCAAGGUUCAUAUAAAGUUUUCGAAAGGCCAAAAAAAAAAAAAAAAAAAAGAAGCUUUAAUUCAAAAGAUUUAGAAAAAGCCAUCUGAUUUUCUCUUCUUUAUUUGUGUCGGCAUGUGUACAUAUUAUUAGUAAACAAAUGGAGUCAAAAAGCAGCUUACAAAUACGUUAUAUAUUGUUAUGAUUCGAGUCUUCCAGAGAGAGAGAGAGAGAGAGAGAGAGUUCUAGACUGUUCAUUUCAGAUUAAACCAGAAUCUAUCAACCCCACAAAAAACACACUUUAGGGUUUCGAAAACCAGUCUUUUGGUUACAUGCAUGCAUAAAGAGGACCUUUAUUUGUCUUCGUCAAUCAUACUUUUCUCUCACUAAACACAAAGAGCUCUGUCAACCUCUCACACUCAUACAAGCAAACAAAGCUUCUUUCCUAACUUUUUUUUAUUUUAUAAUUUUUUUAUUUCUUUUUUUAGGGAACAGAGUUGAAUUGAAUGACAUCUAAAAGGAAAACCAACCAAAAGAAGAUUGCUAAAGAUGGAGGGUUUAAAACGCGUUUGCCUUGUCACUUUCUUAGGCCAUCUUUUAGUCAAAACACCAUGCAAUUAGGCUUUUAUUGUAUGCCCAAAUUAAGAUAUUGCAGCACCGACCUCAAAUCUCAAGCAAGUCACCAACUAACAUGCCAACAUUGAUGCGAAAUCUUUAAAAACCUCAACCCUGCCCAAAUAGGCAUGCUUUGAACAAAAAAAAUUUCUUAGCUUGUAAUUUGCCACUAGCACAUCUUAGACCCUACUUAACCAUAAAAGUCUAAACUCUAUCAAGUAAUAAGUCAACAAUACUUGUGGAGUCCCUCACCUACAUCUUUAUCCUACAUGUGAACAGGUUGACAAAUGGGGACAAUCAAAAUAUGUGAAACGCGCACGUUAACAAGUACGUGACUAGUGAAUAUAACCAAAAGUUUUAAGAGAACAACACAAUCGUUGUCCAUAAAAACUUAAGCUGCCAGAGAACAAAUCGAAUCAAUAAUACACAAAAUACAUUGCUGACUUUAAUUCCGUAUGAUGUAACAUUAGAGUUGUGAUAGGGUCACAAAUGUCCACACCACAAACACUCUCCAAGAGAAUAUAUUGCAACUUGUAAGUUGUGAUGUGAUUACCCUAUUGAAAGGUAACCACAAAUUGCAACUUGUAACUUGCAAAUGGCAUUAUAUGAUAGCGUACAAAACCUCAAAAACCUACACUAGCUAGCCAUAAAAAAAAAGUCCUAAACAUUAACUUUCCCAGUUGCAGGUUACAAUGCACCUAGCUAGCCAGGUACACCACAUGUUGCAAUAGAGAUAUGCUUAUAUAAUGCAUCGAUGGAGUUGGAAAAGGCCACGCCAAUGUGACUGCCACGUAUGUAUGAGACUAUAUAUAUUUUAUUGAAGGGACAACAUUUAGGGUCUAUUAAAUUAUUUUUUCUUCAACGAUCUAAAUUAUUUAUUUCUUAAGUCUACAUCAUAAACUAUUUUUGCAAAAAAUUAGAUAAAUCAGAAACCGUUGCGAUAUCUAAUUGUGUCAUACAAAAUUAGUGAACACAGUGCUUCAAGAAAGUACUAAAAUUUAAAUAAUUUAAUUAAGUGAUCAAAUGAUAUCGGAUUUAAGUUUGCAGAGAUGAUCUUUGAAUGAAUAUCUAUGAAAUAGACGGUUUGGAUUAGUAAAAUACAAUGUUGAGUGAGCCAUACAAAAAUGUCUAUCAAAUAAACUUAUUUAAAAUACCCCUCAACUAAAAUAAAUAAAUAUAUAUAGGCAUUAAGUUCAACGUGGCUUUGCCUUUGCUCACACGGAGCAGUGAGAUAAAGGCCAUAAUAUAUGGUUCUCUGAGGUCUGAGAUUAUUGCGAAGGCUCAUCUUCUUUUGAUCUCAGUCGAGACUUUGAAAUUGAAAGCAUUUGUUUUCUUGUAGAAGAUGCCAAGCACUCUUGGACAAACAACUUGGAAGAUCCUUAUCUUGCUCCAUAUAUCUUGCACGAUGUAUAGGGGAUUAGUGACAAUACCAUCCUUUUGUUGUAUUAUUGUCGACGACUAUCAUGUUCUUUAGUUGAUCAUAUGGACAAAGUGUUUAUACCAUAAAUUAUUACUAUCCGAGUCUCAUUUUAGUCUUGUAUAUUCGGUUUUUCAUGUGUCCGGCACAUAAAAAAAGAAAAAAAAACACUAAUUAUGGUAAAUUAGUAUGUCACUAGCACAUCAUCUUAAUAAGAUAUGCUUGUAUUGUAACGAAUAAUUUGAUCAAAAGGAAUAGAAAAUAGAAGGGGAAAAAAUGGAAAUGGGAGGUUUCCAAGCUAGGAGAUGGCAGAAUUAAUAUAAUGUGAUGGAAAAACAUGAAUAAUGAACAAGGGCUAGCUAGGCUGCCUAGCUAUGUUGUUGUAACAUAGGACAAGACGUGACCACCGAUCUUUUAUCCAUACAUUUGAUCAAAUCUCACCCUGAGUCAUGGAUGGAGAGAAAAUUUCUAGGGUGUCAGACAUAUGUGUCCAAGUCUGCAUUAAUCCUCAAAAUUAGGUUUGUCCACUUCUUCUUUUGUUACAGAGUGAAAGAUAAGUUGUGUGAUUCGUUUUUUGUGAGGUUUUGCGUUUUGGUAACCAUUUUCCAUGUACAAUUCAAGUUGCUGACGGAUUUUUAAGGAUCUUUUCAAUUUAACUAAAUUCAUACAUACUACACAGAUACUAAAAUUUGAAUUCAGGACAUUAUUUAAAAGAGUAAAUACUCUAAACCACUAUACUAGUGGGUACUUUGUUGUUGACGAAUUUAAUAAAUAUUAAUUUUGUAAUUCGUUUUUAAAGAAUAUCCUUUUGGCAUAUAUAUGAACAUAUCGAGAACAUUGAGAAAAAUAAAAUCUAAGAAAACUAUUGUCAAAGUAAGGCCACCUCCAGCGCAAGGAUCCAGCCCGGGCAGAAGGCAAUCUCAGGCCCCAAAACUCCCACCAGGACGCAAGGUCCAGUCUAAGCAAGAGUUGGGUCUCACGAGCCCAGACAAGCCCACAUGCAAAUUCAGCUCGAGCUGCUACCUAGGUAAAAUGACACAAUGUUGACGUCAUAAUGACAUCAGCAACAAAAAAAAAAAAAAGAGCCCAAAAUUUCAGAAUUUUUUUAUUUUGUAAAUACCUAGCCAUAUUCUUUACUUCCCAUACCAAAAACUUUAUACAAAUUCAUCUCCUCAUAUCUCAUGUGAGUAGUAAUUGCUCUUACCCUUGCCUUUGGAGUGGAAACAAAAAAGGUAAGGGCUGUCACUAUUCAUAUGAAUAAAUGACAAAUCUUGUCUUGUCUUUUCCUUACCCUUAUCCUUUAGAGUGGAGGUGCUCUAACAGUCAACAUAUAUGAAUGUGAGCAAUGAGCGUGACUCUUUAUAGUAAAGGUAAAGCCUUCCCUUCUGGGGUUUGUAUAUGUUUGAUGGGAAUUUUUCCAAAAACACAAAAAACAAAAAAUUACAAAAAAGUCUCUUUUUCGGAAGUGGGUUCACAUACAUAGAUUCCUUUAUAUGGGAAUCUUUAUUUUAAAAAAAAAGUAAAUUGUGUUAUGAAUAUGUAAGCAAAAUUGGAGUGAAAAUUACCCAGAACUAACAACAAGCAGUCUAAGCAUGAUCAUGAUCAUGAUGUUCUUAAUCAUUUUCUAUGAUCCAAAAUUUCCCUCCAAGCAAUAUGUAAAGAGGCUAGAAUGAGGGGGUCUUUAAUAGUAGUCUGAUCUAGUGCAGAAUUAAUAUUAAACUGUUGGAUUGAAUCUCCACAUUGUAAACCCCCAAUAUAAUUUUACCGCCUCCAAGUUUUGCAAGAGCAAAAGUCCAAAAGUGAAAAAAGAAGAAAAGGGUAAAGCAGAAAUAUAAUAAAAUGGAUUGAGUGCAGUCUAAGUAAGCCCAUUUUACAAAGACUAUAACUACCAGUCACAUGAACCCUUUUUGGUAUCUCAAACUUUUAGCUUUUGCUGUCUUAUAAAGUCCAUCAUGACAAUUAGCACAACUAUUACCAAUAAUCACUUUGAUUAAACUCCAUUGGUGGUCAAGUAAAGACUUAGAAGUUGCGCUAAUUGGUCUUGAAACAAGAAGUCAAAAAGAACCGAAUUUUACUAUCAAACCCGCCAGCAUCUUUUAUGUUGAGAUGCCCCCAUUAGAAAUUGUUAGCUUUAUUUUUGGACAGACAAAGUGAAAGGGGGUCUCUUGUUGUGCUUCAACUUUGAGAGACCAUACAAGAAAAAAACACAGAGAUAAGGGUUUCUUCCAAAAAAUUUAAAAAGGAACAAAACAUUUGGUCGAUUGGGUAUGAGUCAUGUAAUAGGGACAAAUGUCCCUUCUUGUUUGGGGCCGUGAGCCUAAGUAGAGUGAACACCAUUGAAGCUGCAGGGCAACUCUGCUACUUUUUGUGUGAGUCUUCAACACAUAAUCAGUGAGCAAAGCUAAAGUUUGCUACAGUCAUCCAAUGCUGUGGCGCCACAUGUCGUGCAAGGGAAAUUUUGCAAUUAUAGCACAGGACAAUGUGGUGGGCAGGCUUUUUACCACCAAACAUGAGUGCUUCUGAUUCCGCAUUGCAGUAUAAGGUGAAUUUUGAUGCAGAGCAUGAUGGCAGCUCCCCAAGUCCAUAUGCCAUUUUAGUUUGUCAGCAGUCAAAUAACAAAUUGAAAAUGUGUAAAUUAGAGUAUGUUUUGGCACUGCUUCUAGAAAUGUUAAAAGCAAUUCUGAUAGUAUUUGACCUAAAAACUCAAAAAGUGUUUUUUGAGUAUAAAAGUGUAAUAUAGGAACAAGCGUUUAUGAAACGGAAAUAACGAAAUAAUGAUAUCCAUGUUGCAACCAAGUUUUUCUCCCCUCCCACAUUUUACAGAGCUGCCAUUGCCAAUUUUCCACAACCAUAAAUUUAUGUAUUAUGUAUGGAAUAUUAACCUAAUUAUGAUAUCGCCUUGGAGGCAAAUUAACCUCCUUAAGAAUAUUCCUUCUACUAAUAGCAAUGGGAUCUAAUCCAAGUAACAGUUGGAGAACACUGGAUAGUCUUAAAAAAGGGUAUCAUUAGCACUAAUGACUUAGUGCGUGUAUGUUCUGUAUGUGGGUGUGUGAUAUUUUAAACUUAAUCAAAUCAUUCUGUUCUGUUUCUGUCAAUUUUUUUGGCUAAGAAACACAUAAAAACAUGAUUUAAACGCGCAUGCAAGCAUGCACAAGGGUCAUAAAUAGUAUAUUAGUAUAAGCUCAAUCCCUACUAAGAAUAGUAAUUAUGAGUUUAUAAUCUCCAAACAUAGGGAGUUAUAGGGAGGUGGGCAAAGAAUUAAGUAGACAGACAACAGAGACAGAGAGCGUUAAAGAGAAACAGCCAGAAAGGCCAAUUUUGGGGAUUGAGGCAUUUUAAAAUGAAUGUGAUACUAAACAUUAGUUUAAGGGCAUGGGUUCAGUUCCUGCAAUCCUGGCAAAGAACACACCACUUAAAAUAUAAGGUUAAGUUAAUACUGAGUCCAUUUAGCAGCCCACAAAGUAAAAUGAAUAUGUUGUCUCGUAUAUGAUGCUUGUGUUAUCCGAUUGUGAAUUUUAACUGCAUAUUUUAAUAUAAAAAAAUAAAAAAAUUAAUGAUCUAGAUUCACAAUAUGACAAACUACAUAUUUUAGCUGAAAUCAACAUGAUAAAUAAUAGAGAUUCGUAGUUUGACAAUAUAACACAUCAUAUGUUUCCUGAUUGAUCUAGAUCGAAACAUAAACAUAUGGGUUUUUGAAGAAGGAGGAGAUGUUAUUGGUGGAGAAGAGGGCAAUGAAUUUAGUGAUGUGUAGAUGAGAGUUGGGGACAGCAUGCUUGGAGAAGUGAGGUAAUGGUGGAUAUGGGGAAGGGAGAAGGAGGGCGUGAAAUAAAAAUGAAAUGUUUCCUAUGCUUACAACAGGAGUGUCGAGGAAAGGAGCGUUGAUGGGGGCACAAGGUGAUAGGUCAUAACCCACUAAUGUUUUUAUUCAAUCAUCUAUGCACAAUGCUCCAUAUCACCCACCAUCUCUCACUCAGUCUCUGUGUGUUUGUGUCUACUGAAAUUACCCAUACUUGCUCUGUUUCCUCACAUUAAUAUGUAAAUGUAAGAAUGUCAUAAAAAUACAAUUAACUAGUCAGUGAAGCCCAUCUUGAUAAAUGUAUCUACCCUUGUGGGAUUGUCCAUUUUUGGCAUUUUCCUUCCAAGGUUAAAAAAUGGAUGUUUGUCUCAUUUCUAAAAUUGCACAUAAAAUAUACAGAAUGGGCUAUGGCUAGACAAGUGGAGCUUAUUCAUCCCAAAUAUUAAAUCAUUAUCAUACAAUUCACAUCAUCUUGAAAAUUAGGGCAAGAGUCCAUAUUGUUAAUGCCAAAUAUGCUAAAAUAUGAAAUUUAUGAGAGAAUAUUAUUUGUGGGAAUUUUUUAUGUAUUCUUCUCUUUGUAGGAAGCUGUAUUUAUAAUACAAUAAACUCUUGCAUGUCAAGGAAAGUAAUAACUUAUAAUUCUAUUUACAGUAGGAAAUCAAAAAUUAAAGUAAAUCAAUUACAUUUUAAUAUAGGAAUCCUUCGCUUGUAAGGAAAGUAAUUGCGGGUCCACAAGUCACGCCAACACUUCCCCUCAAGUUGGUGCAUAGAUAUCGUCAAUGCUCAACUAGUCCAGUGAAUUGUAGAAUGCUUUACUAGAAAUUGUCUUUGUCAAAAGAUCUGCCAAUUGAUCCUUGAACUUUAAGAAAGGAAACUGAAUCACUUUAGCUUCAAGUUUUUGUUUGAUAUAAUGUUGAUCUACCUCAACAUGAUUGGUACGAUUAUGUUGAACUGAAUUCUGUGCAAUAACUAUUGCUACCUUUUUGUCACAAAAGAGAUUCAUUACAGAUGUAAGUCUAUACUUAAGUUAAGUAAGCAGCCUACGUAGCCAAAGGAGUUCACAAAUUCCUUUAGUCAUAUCUCUGAACUCGGCUUCUGCUCUAGAUAAAGGUACUACCUUCUGUUUCUAGCUCCUCCAUGUCACUAAAUUUCCUCCCAUAAAUGUAAAGUAACCAAAUGUGGAUCUUUUAUUUGUUACACUCUCUGCCCAAUAUGCAUCUGUGUAACCAUCAAUAUUCAUAUGACCAUGUUUUGAGAACAUAAGUCAUUUUUCAGGUGCAGACUUCAAAUAUCUAAGUAUUCCGAGAACUGCAUUUAUGUGGUCUUCACUUGGAGAAUGCAUAAAUUAACUGACUACACUCACAACAUAAGUAAUGUCUGGUCGAGUACGUGACAAAUAGAUCAAUCUUCCCACUAACCUUUGGUAGAUUUCCUUGUUAGUUGGAACUUGAUACGAGGAUUCUCCAAGAUGAUGAUUCUGAACAAUAGGAGUAUCUAAAGGUUUGCAAUCUAGCAUUCAUGUGUCUCUCAACAAGUCCAAGACAUAUUUCCUUUGAGAUAUAAAUAUGCCUUGCUUUGAUUCGACCAUCUCAAUCCCCAAGAAAUACUUGAGUCCACCUAGAUUCCUCAUCUCAAAUUCAGUAGCUAAAUAGUCUUUUAAUCGAGAUAUUUCAUAUUCAGCAUUCAUGGUAAUAAUCAUAUCAUCAACAUAGAUUAUUAACGGUGUUACCUUUCCUUUAUGAUGUUUCAAGAACAGAGUAUGAUUUGAAUUGUUGUGCUUGAAUCCAUAAUUCUUUAUUGCCAAGUGAAUUGUCCGAACCAUGGAUGUGGUGACUAUUUCAAACCAUAUAGUAUUUUUUUGCAACUUGCACACCAUAUUAGUCUUAGUAGAUGUUGUAUAUCCCGGUGGAACAUCCAUGUACACUUCUUCUGUGAGUUCAUUAUGCAAGAAAGCAUUUGUUACAUCAAAUUGGUGGAUUGGUGAAUCCAGGUUAGCUGCAAAAGAUAGUUGCACUCUGACUUUGUUAAGCUUUGCUAUGGAGACAAAAGUUUCUUCAUAAUUGAUGAUGUAGGUUUGUGUGUACCCUUUUUCUACAAGUCUGGCCUUGUAUCUUUCAACGCACCCAUUACCUUUCCUUUAUGAUGUUUCAAGAACAGAGUAUGAUUUGAAUUGUUGUGCUUGAACCCAUAAUUCUUUAUUGCCAAAGUGAAUUGUCCAAACCAUGCAUGUGAUGACUAUUUCAAACCAUAUAGUGUUUUUUUGCAACUUGCACACCAUAUUAGUCUUAGUAGAUGUUGUAUAUCCCGGUGGAACAUCCAUGUACACUUCUUCUGCGAGUUCAUUAUGCAAGAAAGCAUUUGUUACAUCAAAUUGGUGAAGUGGUGAAUCCAGGUUAGCUGUAAGAGAUAGUUGCACUCUGACUGUGUUAAGUUUUGCUAUGGAGACAAAAGUUUCUUCAUAAUCGAUGAUGUAGGUUUGUGUGUACCCUUUUUCUACAAGUCUGGCCUUGUAUGUUUCAACGCACCCAUUGACAUUGUGUUUGACAGUAAACACCCAUCUGCAUCCAACUGUUCUUUUUCCUGGGGGUAAUAUCUCUAGUGUCCACGUCUGAUUUUUCUCCAGAGCCUUCAUUUCUUCCUUCAUUGCUUGGGUUAACUUCGGAUCUUUCAAUACUUAAGCCACCUUAGUAGGAAUGACAAUAGCAGACAACUGAUUUACAAACGCCUUCAGUGGUUCAGGCAAUUUUUGAGUAAGCACAUGGUUGACAAUUGGGUACUUUGACAUUUUUCCAAUAUGAGGAGCAUACCGGUUUGGGGUUUUCCACAAUUCUGCCUGAAAGGUAAUUGGUAUCCAAUAGAAUCAUCAACUAACUUCAUAGAAGUUGUAGGAAUAUUUACCUUAGGGAUAUUCUUAGGAGAUUGGUCGUCUGGUACUGUUGAAUAAGAUAGGGGGUCUUCAGUGUGUUCAGGUUCGUCUUCUUUCACAAGGGAGUCAGACGUAGUCAAAUCAGCGGACGUUUCAAACACAGGCGACUGGUCAAAUUCUUCAGAGCUACCAGUCGUUAUUGUUAGAACGACCGGUUGUUUUCGUCCAGACUUUGAUUUUUCCAUCUUUUAUGGUGCUCUAAGUCUGUGCUUCACCCCAUGAAGCAAAGAAUUUGAUACUGGGUCAUAAAAAGAAUGUCUCAUACUCCAAAAAGGUGACAUCUAUAGUGAUAUAUGUGCACCAGGAAGAAGGAUGAUAACACCAAUAGCCAUUCAAAUAAGUGGAAUACCCCAAAAAAACACAUCGAAGCUCAUAAGGGUCACGUUUGCUUCUUUGGUUUUUAUGAAGAUUAAAAACGCACCCAAACACUCGUAGUGUGAGCAUCAAGAUAGAAGGCAUGGGCCCAUAUUGAGCAACAACUUGUACCGGAGUAUGAUAGUAAAAGACACAAUAAGGCAUUCGGUUAAGCAAAUAAACAGCAGUGAUGAUGAUAUCAUCCCAGUGGCGGCGAGGAACAUGAGUCCUAAUCAAAAGUGUAUGGGCUGAUUUAAGAAGAUGAUGAUUUUUUUUGUUUCGCAACACCAUUCUUUUGUGGAAUUGCCAUGUCAAACGAGUACAAUCAUCCACAAAACGUGACAAACCAUCUAAAUCCAGAAGUAGUAGAGAUAGAUGAAGCGCCCCAGACAUCAGAAUGAAGUAAAGCAAAAUGAAUGGUACUUUUAUUCAUACUUAAUAGGGUAAGAAACUUCGUGACUCUUGGCUAAGAUGCAAAUGUCACAUUGAAAGUUUGAAUCUUUAAAAAACAAAACAAAUAUGGGACUAAAUGUCUCAUAUAACCAAAAGACGGAUGCCCUAAACUGUGGUGCCAUAACAAAAUAAGUCGAUGCUUGUCAUCAAAUGGAUGCUUCACGAUGUUUGCGAUGACCAUACUAAAGUCAUCCACAUAGUAAAGCCCAUUCUUUUAGUACAACGUCUAAUGAUCUCCUUGGUGAGAAUAUCUUGAAGAAAACAAAAAGUGGGAUAAAUUAGUGUACAACAAUUCAAUUAUUCAAUAGCUUGGCCAACAAACAUCAAUUUAUUGGAUAUAGACAGAACAAGUAAAGUAUUGGAAAGUGAAAGAAAAUGGGAAAAAUGCAAUAGUGCCCUUUCUAGUUACAUGAUAAGUAACGUCAUUCACAUUAGAAACACUGGUGCGGCGGGGAUGAGAGGUGCUCAUAUGGUCAGUCGCGCUAGAAUCAAUAAUCCACCCAGGAGCAUGACUCAAUGCAGAAGUAUGAAAUACAAAGCCACAGUUGCCUUAGUCACUCAGAAUCUGGGAGUUAUUAGAUUGAGGGGAGGGUGGAUCCGACCUGAUGAGCCAACGAUAAUUGGGGUUCGGUGGUGAUGAGAGCGACACGACCAACUCCAAGUGCAAUUUUCUGAGCUUUGUAUCAUUCCCACCAAUCGAGAUACUUGUGCAUUUUGUAACAGGUUUCCCAAGUGUGUUUAGGAUUUCCACAUUGAGUGUAUCUCACCUCUGUAUGUCGGACUCUUGGGUUUAUGAGGUUGGGUAGUCGAGUUGGCAGACGAGCCAAUGGCCAUGACAUAAGACUGCAUCUAAAGAGGUACGAUUGCAAAAGAAGGUGGCUGGCUAGGCCGAUCGUUCAAGGUGUGGCAGGUCGGUGGAUGAGUUCCCUUGGCUGCCAACAACGGUCAGUGCCUGAGUACCCAAUAUGGCAGCUUGUUGGAGAUCUUCACGUCAGACAAAAGCAUAUGCUUGCUAAAUAGUUGGAAACAGAGCCAUCUUAAGAACAUCACUGCCGGCCUUGUCAAGUCAGUCAUCCAAGCUAUCCAAUAAGAUAUAAACAUGAUCUUCUUGGAGAUUGACGUUGUGCUCCUUGAUAUCGGAAUCACACUUCAUCUGAUCUGGAUGACGAAAGUCGAUUUCUUGCCAUAAGCUUUGUAAAUCGUUGUAGUAGGCUUUAAUUGAGCCACCUAGUUGUCGCAUACGGUGAGUGAAUCGUUUAAGAUCGUACACCUGAGAGGUGUCAGUGCCAUCAAAGUAUAUCAUGGCAAUCGCAUCCCAUACUACUUUUGCAAUUGGAAAACGAAUAAAUGUGCUAAUCAAUCGAGGCUCCAAAGAAUUGAUUAGCCAGCCUUUCAUAACGGUAUUCUCAAUGUGCCAAUAUGGAAACGCGGGUCAGUCGGAGUAAGUGGUGGAAGUUUCCUUAUGAGGUAUCCCAACUUGUCUUUGCCGGCGACGUACGCCUUGACAACUUGGGACCAAAGAGGGUAGUUGGAGCCAUCCAACUUGAUUGGGCAGUGGAAGCUUCAUAGGUAAUAGUCAGGAUCUGUGUGUUGGUCAUGUUCGGGGUUAGGUUCUGGUUCGAGUUUGGAUUCUAGUUCUGGUUUUGUAUCUUUAAGAACUGGGUCAUCUGAGCGGCCAGUUCGGUGAAGUUUAGUUGAGAAGGAGAAGCGAAAUCUGUCGUACUCCCUUCAUGGUGGAGCAAAAUAUCUUCAUCCCCCAUGAUGCCGGUCAUGUUUUAAAAACAAGAGUCAGCAAUUCCAAUAUCGUUGCUUUGAUACCGUGCUAAAAUAUAAAACUUAGGAGAGAAUAUUGUUUGUGGGAAUUUUAUGUGUAUUCUUCUCCUUGUAGGAUGUUGUAUUUACAAUAACCCUUUAUAGGUCAAGGAAAGUAAUAACUCGUAAUUAUAUUUACAGUAGGAAACCAUGAAUUAAAGUAAAUCAAUUACAUUUAAUAUAGCAAUCCUUGGCGUGUAAAAAAAGUAACUGCGGGUCCACAAGUCAUGCCAACAAAAUAUUCAACCAUUGAGUUGUACAUGAGCUUUAUACUUGAAAUUCAGCUUAAUCUUCACCAUCAAGUACGGGUCUAAUACUCAAACUCGAAGACUACAGUGCGCUACUUGGCUUGCUCUGGCUAAUUAUUGACUUCAUUUUGUUCUUCCAUGAAAUAUCCAUAGUCCGUUUGAUUUAAAUAAGGGACUUGUAGCUCAAAUGAUUAAGAGCAAUUAUCUUUGCAUCCGAAGUCCUAUGUUUAAUUAUCCUCUCACCCCCCUUGUAAGGGGAAAAAAAAUCAAGUAUAAAUAUCAAACUCUGGUCGUGACUAUAAAGGGUACCUAUUAUAGUAAGUAAUAAGCCUCCACAACCUAACCUAUGUUUGAAUAUGAAAUAUCAAACUUCUUAAUCUAUGAAGAAGGAAAUGCAAGAAUCGAACUCUAACUUUGAGCGUGAGAAUAACUAGUAUUUUUAAGAAUGAAGUAUGUACCAAUCUAUUAAGCCUUCCCUCAAGUUAUUCAUAUUUCACAAGAGAUGGACAUGUUGUUUUGAAAACCAACAAGUGGAAAGACAGGAAAAUACAGUAAUGUUAUUGGGAUAAUACGUAAAUGGAAAGCUUAUCUUUAUUUAUGCUCAUAAUGGUACAAAAGCAGUAAGGGAGGACUAAAAAAUGAAAAAAACCAGGGAAGGGAACGAAACAAAUAAAACAGAGUGGUCCACGCGUGCCAAUGCCUGUAUUUAUGCACUUGUGUUGUGUUGUGUGUGGGUGUGCAAGCGUGUGAAUGUUUGUGUGUGCAAGCGUGCUAAGAGGUUCUCACGUGUGAGCGGCUUAUAAAUACGCAUGUGGAGAACGGCACCACCAAAGAAGUUUUCUAGUGGGCAAGCUAUAAAGCGUUUGUCUACUUGAAUUUUUCUGUAACACAGAAGGUUAGAAGCAAAGAGACAGAGGACUUAGAAAAAAAAGGGAAUCUCUUUGUGUUGCAGAGGGAUUUUAAUUUGAUUUUGUAAGCAACAAAAACAGUUGAGUGAUUUGAGAGAAAUGGAGAUUGAGAGUGAAAUGAAGCAGUCAAGGUUUGGGAGGAUUUGUGUGUUUUGUGGGAGUAGCCAAGGCAAGAAGAGUAGCUACCAAGAUGCAGCCAUUGAGCUUGGCAAGGAACUGGUAUACAAUGGCUUUUUCGAACUUCAAAUACACAGUUUUCUUUGGGUUCUGUUAUGUCACUUGAGGUUUUUCAUACUUGGGUUCUUUUAAAAAAGAUCAAAAGUUGAAGUUUUAUCCCGUUUGGUUUUGUUGGAGUUUACUUUUGACCAUCUUUUUGCUUUUGUUUCUUGUUUAUGUCAGAUGGGUUUUGGUAGGAAUUAGUUGGAAGUUGCUCAAACUUGAUCAUCUUGUUUAUGUUUGUAACAUAUCAUGUUGUUCUUGUUCUAGUUUUUUGGGGCAAGCACAUUAUGAUUAUAACUUGUUUGUCACUUGGUUCCUGAGAUUUUUUUUCUUCGUUUUUUUUAAAUUAGGAUUUGAUUUCUUCAAACUGGAACUUUCUUCCUAAUUAAGUUUGUCUCUAGCAGAAGGCAUGCAAAUGUUGCUCUCUCUCUCUCUCUCUCUCUCUGUCUUUUCUUUGGUAAAUGCUCCUCUCUCUGUCAUUAUCAGAAAACUCAUCAACACUAAAUAAGCCCAUUUAGAGAUGGAAAAUGAUGCCACUUUUGCAUUACAUGUGUUUAAGUUUUCAACUUUCAGUCUGUCAUAAUUCCAAACUGACCAACUCAAUCACUUCAACGCUUUGUUAUUUUGGCAUUUGCACCUCUCCUCGCGAAUAAACAGAUAUGAACUUAGUGUACUAAACGUACAAAUUUGUUGUAUGAGCAUUGAAGAAUCCUUCCAUUCUCAAUUUAUUAGAUGUACUCAAAAGUGCACUAUUUUUUCCAAAUGGGUUCUUGAAAAGUACAAUUUGUUUUGCUAAUGUCUUGAAGGUUUCGAGGAACAUUGAUCUGGUCUAUGGAGGAGGCAGCAUAGGCCUAAUGGGUUUGGUUUCACAAGCUGUUCAUGAUGGUGGUCGGCAUGUUAUUGGGUAUUCUUUUUACUCCUUAUCAGAUCUCAGAUGAUAAACAAAUGAAAUCACAAAACAAACAAACAGAUUAAGAAACAAUAAGUGAGUUGGGACAAUCGUUAUGGUUGGUUUUGCUCUCAAAAACAACUGAUUUUGUCAUGGUAUUGUCUCUCUGCAGAGUUAUUCCCAAGACGCUCAUGCCUCGAGAGGUAUGUUUCCUAUAGCCAGAUAAAGUGCUUCAACUUUUCCAAUUGUAAAGAAUAGAAAUUUAUACAUGGUUUAUUAUAUAUAUAUAUAUAUAUAUAUCAGAAUUUAUUGGUUAUUAGAUUCAUGUUCAAUUCUUUUCUACAUCAAUUUCUUUCUUUCUUUGUUCUUUUUCUCUUCUUUUUUGGGUGGGGGAAUGAUGUGAGCACUUUUAGCUGCUUUUCUUUCUUUAUUUUGUUUUUUUGCUUUUAUUUUUAUUUUUAUCUUCUGUUUAUUCUCUGUUUGGUUCCCUUCAUUUCUGUUUCUUCAAUGGAUGCUGGGGAGACUUAUCCAUAGCACACUUGAGUACUUGAACUACCCCACUAGUAUUGUACAGUUUUGAGUCUCUGCUGAUUUUUCUGAUUUCUUUUCCCUUGUAUCAGUUUUAUAUGGUCACUUGAGCUUUAAAGUAAUUUUCUUCUUGUGCUUUUCUGCCUUGGCCUUUUCUAUUGAUCGAACUUUGUUGAUUUUGCCAUCUGGUGACCACUAAAUUUACUGGCUAGGGAAUAGCCGGAUUUUGCAUUAACUUCUUCCCCCAAAAAAAAAAUUGUAUUAAGCUCAUCAUUUCUGCAACACUCAUCAUUGCUUUGCUGCACAAAGCUCCAAAUCUCUCUGUCUCUCUGUCUCUCUGUCUCUCUUAACAUCAAUUUCUUUAAUCUUUUUCCGUGCAUUGAUACCAUUUUGCAGUUAACUGGUGAAACAGUGGGGGAAGUGAAGGCAGUUGCAGGCAUGCACCAAAGGAAGGCAGAGAUGGCUAAGCAUUCGGAUGCCUUUAUUGCCUUACCCGGUUAGUAUAAGCCCUGAACAACUCUCUCUGUCUCUCUCCCCCUCUUUCUCUCUUUGCCUGCCUGCGUACCUUCACUUAUACCAGAAUUCUUAAACAAAGCAAAGAACAUAUGGUCCUUCAUGGCUUUAAUUUUUACUAAUUUUAGCUUGCAAGUCCACUUUUUUUAUUCUUGUGACCCCUUCCAGUAUUAGACCAUAAUCUCUCCAAAACCCAAUAAACUAAUUUGGAAAUAUAUGGAACAGCAGUCAAUGACACAACAAAACUACAAACCACAAGAGAGGGCAUUAUGGCUAAUUAACCACUAAUUCUUUUAUUAAUUAGACUUAGAAUUCUCGAUUUGAUGUCUUGAUGGAUGUUCUUGAUCGUUCUUGAACUGAGUAAAUGACAAAAUAUUGAAGCUUGGAGGAAAUGCAGAAAGGGUGAAGAAGGAUUUGGCAAUAAUAAGUCAAACUAUCUUUAUAUUUUAUAUUUUAUAUUUUACUCUUGUAGCUGUUGUCUUUUCAUGCUUUAAAUGCACUAGUAUUUGAUAAUGCUGUGAUUGCGAUUGUGUGAAUUCUAAAUCAUCACACACAACUUUCUCAAACUUGUGUCCCAAAACCCAAGACACAUGAUUAGAGAGCAACCCCUCAAACCUCAGAGUCCAUGACCCAUCAACAUCUUACACUGAAAAUUAGAGCUUCUGAGGAACCCUGCAUCUGUGGUUAAUAUCUCCUUUUGCUAAAAAUAGUCUGUAGCCUGUGAUGUUGCUGCAUCAAUUGUUUCUUGCCUCAUGGAGAAAAGAUAACAUAAAAACACUUUCACUAUAUAGGUUUUGCCAACUAGCACCCCAAGCUGACAAGGAAUGAUGCUUACCACUUUCAAAAACUUCACUCAUUAACAUCUAGAGUUUUAUUGGUAAGAAACUUGUAAUUUAAGUAGUUAAGAGCAUUUAACUUUGCACUCAAAAUCUUAAAUUCGAUUUAUUAUUGCUUGCUUGGGUUGGCAAAAAAUAAAAAUAAAGCUGGUGGAAAUAAAUGGUCAUGUAAAUCAUCAUAGCUGCAUGUAACAUGACCAUUAGCAUCAAACGGAUCUGAUAGUAAAAGUGUGAACUAUUCAUAGUCCGCGGUCAAAGUGCGUUGCACCAAGGUUGAAAUGGUCAAAGUAUAUUGCACCAAGGUUCAAAUGAGCAGAUGGAGUAGACAGUAUUUUCAGUCUUUUUACCCUUCUUUUGAAUGGAUCAGAGAAAUAAUGAUUAACAGCAUAAUCCUUGUCUAUAGUCUAGUACGAGAACUAGUUGUCUUGUUUUGCCUCUUUCUUCUGUAGGCAUCUUAAAUAGUGCAACAUAUUGUACAUAAGCAUAAUUUGAAUGAUUCCAAAUAUUAUCUUAUAUGAAGCUGCUUGGACUGUAAAUCUAGAUUGUAAGUACCAAUUUAAUUUUUCUUGCAGGUGGUUAUGGAACUCUGGAAGAGUUACUUGAAGUGAUAACAUGGGCUCAACUUGGAAUUCAUGAUAAACCGGUAAUUCAUUUUUAUGCAUUAUGAAUACAAUUUAUCGUAUUUCUCUUAUAUAUAUAUAUAUAUAUAAAAUUCCAUGUUGAUGGUAAACACGUGAACUUUUAGGCUUAAACCAUUUUCUUUUUCUUUUUUGUCUAUAGGUGGGAUUGCUGAAUGUUGAUGGAUACUACAACUCCUUGCUAUCAUUUAUCGAUAAAGCUGUGGAAGAGGGAUUUAUUAGCCCCAGUGCACGCCACAUAAUUAUAUCAGCACCAACAGCAAGGGAGUUGGUGAAGAAAUUGGAGGUAAUUAUCUAAAGCAUUGUUUAAUGAUUUGUUGUAAUUUAGUCAAAUACAUAAUUAGUGCAUUCAACCUCAACCUUUGUUCAUUGAUAACUAAUUUGUUGGUUGAAAACUUCUUUUGAUGUUUAGUUGAUUUUGCUGAUGUAGGAUUAUGUCCCAUGUCAUGAAAGAGUUGCUUCAAAGUUGAAUUGGGAGAUGGAGCAGCUUGGCUACACACAAGAAUAUGAUAUCUCUAGGUGAUCAUGGGAUUGCAGCAUUCAGACACACUAAGCUUGUUGGAAUUUUGGAAGUUGAAGAAGCUAAUUUGUAGAACUCUAAAUUUCUGAUAUGGGGAUUUUUAUUUUUUUUUCCUUUUCUUUUUUAUUCCUUGUGUAAAUUAUUGCAAUUGACCCCACUAUGUGAAGUUUCAAUAUUCCCUUUUGUGGAAAUUUCCUUCCCCUUCUUAAUUUGUAAGUAAGUAACGAAGCACUAGAGGCUUGUGAACCUUCCCCUUGUAUUAACUAAUUUAUACUUUUAUUUUUUUCCUUUUGUAGCCAAACCAAAUAUGUGUCUCUGGCCACAUGCUUUGUUUUUACUUUCUUGUGUUUUAUCACAUUUAUUGGGUCACUGAAAAGGAAGCUUGAAAAUGUCAAAACUCAGUGAUAAGAACAUUUGUCGGCAUAGUAGUGAUCUCAUGUUCCAACCCAAUGACACUUCCCAUCCCCCUCUCAAACAAGGCAAGCUUGACAAUGGAGUCCAUUGACAUGUGCUUGCAAACACAGAACCAAAUGGUCCCAUUAGAACAAGAUAAGUGUCGUUAACCAGGAAAGCAAGAAGAGAGGGGUGGGGGGGGGGGGGGGGCAAGUUUUGUUGCAGACACAUAUAAAGCCCAUCUUUUCAAGUAAUGCUUUUCUGUUAAGGUUAGGCGCUAUCAGCUAUGGCCAACAAACCAAAGGUGUUUUGAGUCAAGUAAUGGUUGAUGGGAAGAGGAGAGGGGGCCAAUCUUGAGAAAAGAGGGAGUGCCCUUUGCUGCCCGACAAAUGGGACAAUGACAUGUGACGUAUGGCCUGUGGAGGGCCACAUGUUAUGAACAUGGAAAAGUAAAAGGCCAAAGCCUUUGGGGCAUUUAGGACCCAGUUUUUCUUCUAAAGGGCCUGUGGCUGAUUCCACUAACCGUGUACAAUUUGGAAGUGCUUUCAUGAGUCAAUUUUUGAAGGGUUUUUUUGAGGUUGAGAUUGGUUUCAAACUUAACGCAAUGUGAAAGCUAUAAAGAAAAAUUUAAUCAAAAUGAUGUUGAAACAUUGGAGAUAAGAAGACGAAAUCCUGGCUGUCCUAUCUGUUGUUGAUUAAAACCCUUAUGAUUUGUUUUGUUAAAACGUCCAAAAUAUUAUUGAAAAAGAGGGAAAUAAGUGUUCACUCUCUCAGAAAGUUUCUCUGAGCAAGUUAGGUCGACAUGUACGGGAAAUCUCAAGGAAAUUCCAUCUAUGACACCAAUUCUUGACUAAAGCAUCAUAAGAUUCGAUUUCUAAAGGUGUGGCAAAGUAUAUAGGUGCAAAUCGUGUCAUGCUGUGGGACAUGCCAUGUGUGCCGAGUUGUCUUGACACGGUACGUCUAAUUUAUUAUGUUCCUAUAUGCCGAACUCAAUUUUAGCAGCAAAAAUAUCAACUAGCUAUUGGUUUAGUAAUUGUUAGGAUUAACCUAAAAGAAUCAAGCCUGGAAUCCACUAGAUAUAAGAAAACCUCUUGUUUAUUGAAUUCAGAAUGAUAACAUAAUACCUUAGUCAUGAACUAUAGUUUGUUUAAAUACUCCUAGAAACCCUAAGAAACAAAAAGGGAAUUAAAAGAGAAAUUAACAAAAGUUUCUAAAAAUUGCAAAAUAUUAAAAGGCCCAUUUGGGCCGCUGAAUGAUCUCGAAUGCCCAAAAAUGCUCAUCAUUAUGGCAAAACGAUGAGUUUUACUCGUUGUGCCAUUCUCUUCGAAACGGCGGAUCAUGGUCCCAAAUCGGAACUUGGGGCCCAUACUUGCAACUUGCCAAUUUUGCAUUUGUGGGCGUGACGUUCCAACUCUUCUUCUAUUGCCUCAGCCAUUUAUUCUAUAUCAGUUAUCUUCUCAACAUUAAAAGACAUCCCAAUUCGAAUAUCCCCUCCUAGAUUAUUACCAAAAAACAAAAACAAAAACAAAAACAAAACAAAAAACAAAAAACAAAAACCUACCACAACAAAAAUGUAUACUGCAAAUGAAAAGGACAACUCAGUCCCACCAAUUCCAGUGUUCUGAGUUUACUUUUAAUAUUCAGGGACAGUUUCUGUUGAUUCUUUGAGAACAAACACUUUUAUCAUCACUGGCAUUUUUAGUUAAGGUGGGAAUAAGAGCUCAAGGUGUAAAUAAAUUGAAUUAAAGCCUAUCUUCUAGACAAUACAUCACUUAAUCCAGUUGACACACAUGCAAAAGAAUUAGCAACUGUGAAUCCAAGAAUUAAUUUAACCUAAAUACAAAGAUUUUGAGGCUUUGAAGUUGAAUGAGCCACUUCACUAGCUGUUGUCAUGAUUUUGUUGCCCAUUGCAACAUGGUGCUGGUGCUGGUGCCAUCCUAUCAGAGGGCUUUGAUUCUUUUGGACUACAAGGCUCCCAUUUUUUUCUAAAACCUAGCCUUUUGGGAAGGAUGCUCCAACUUCUCUUGGUCUUCACCAGCUUCUGCAGCUCCAUUUUCAUGUUUGAACACUCCUUUUGAAGCUCUAAAACACGUUCCCUCAUGUCAUGAUGAUCAACACCUACGGCCCGGUCAUGUGCAGGUUCCACUUGACCAGAGACAUCAUUUUUGGUAGGGAGGCCAAGGUUUGCACUGGGGUUCUGUGAGUUCUCAAGAUUGUCAACAAAAAACCAUCCAGAAAUCGAUGUACGGAGUCGAAGCUGUUCGAAGAAGAGGACUUGAACAAUUACUCGAAGAGGUAACCUCUCAUUCUGAGCUGCAUGGGUGCUAGCUUCCAGUGAGAGCUUCUGGCAGUUCAUGAGUCGGCAGAGUUGCUCCCUUUCAGAAUCUGUAAGCCAAGGAUGUGCCUAAAGUUGUGAAAUAUGCAAUGUUAUUAGCAUGCAUGUUUUAGUAACACAUUAUUAGUAGUGUCUUAGUUUAAAAUUGGGCAUAUUAGGACCCAAAAAAUUGUAAAAUUUUAGAGUGCAAUGCUAUUGACAGAAUGCUAGUCUAAGUAUCUGUCAAAGUUCAGCAACAAAGAAUCCAUUCACAUUAAGAAAGGUUAAACUAAAUAUCAUUAUAUCAUGAAUAUAAUAAGUUCAUAAGCCAUGCACUUAAGUUUGCUUUACCUUCAAGAAAACAUCAAUUGCAUGAUAUAUGCCAUCAUCCAGUGGCCUGGCAUAUUCAGGGAUGACAGCAGCAAGUGCCUGAAAUUUUGGUAACUUCAAAUUGACAUCUGGCGCUACCUCAGCAAGAUAUCCAUCCACCAGAUUGGCUACCAUAGUACUAGGUGUCAGUGGAUCGGUGCCACUCAUCAAUUGUCCCUCCUCAAUUAUGCACGGGGAAGUUGAUGCAAGUGAAGCCUGGUUUAUUGAGAUGAAAUGAUCAAGAAUCCUCUGAAUGCAGUCUAUGUCAUAAAGAGUCUCCACUGAAUAACCCAUAUUUGGUAUGAGAAGAUCUACGAGCACAGCUUGGUCCAACUGAGCACCUACCCUUUUCUCCAAAUUUUCUCUACAUGAUGGACUUGCAUGCAAGAUCAUAGCAGUUCGUAGCAGCCUAAGCAGAAACUUUGAGGAUGUGACUCCUUUCUGAUGAGGAAGUAACCCCACAAUUUCUUCAAGUAGAGCCCUCUGGUCUGCCUCAGAAAUGUUAGAAAUGGUUGUGCCUGAGUUUACAUAAUUUGUGUCGUUAAAGCUCGAUUGCCUAUUCAUUAAGGGGAGAUACUUUCUAGCGUAGAAUAUGAGAGAAGCAGCAAUACUCUCAGGCCUCAUUCCUUUCGAUUCAACUGCUUGAAUCAAUCGUUUAUAGAGAGAUAAGCUAAGUAAGGAUGCAUCUUCAUACCACCAAUCAUCAGAGGGAGGUUGUGGCUUAGCGUCAUCAGAAACUAUUCCAUUCCAUAAGACAGUGGCUGUUGGGUUCUUCAUGUCGUCAUUUCCUCCUACUAUAGGCCAACUGAAUAACUUUGGGUCUGCACAAGCUUUCAUGGCCAAGGAAUCAAUGCAUCUUGAAGCAAUGUGGAGAUCUUCAGCAUAUCGUUGAACUUCUUCACAUGUUUCGAGAGCUACUAUGGAGUCUCUCCAAUUGCUGAAGACUUCAGAAAGAAAAACCUCUGCUUGUGCAAUGAGAUUUCCUUGUUCAUAAUCUUCACUCAUUUGGAGGUAUUCUGCUGCACAUCUAAGGAUGACUACAUUCAAAGCAGUCAGUUCUAUUUUAACACCAUAGCAAAAUUUGGUCACAAGCUCAAAUGCUUUAGCGCCCCCGGGAAUGCCAUGAAGUUGCAAGGAACAAGCAGAUCCUUCCUCACCAGAACACUCUUCAAUAAGCCUCUCUAAUAGUCCACUUUUAGAAAGCAAGGGAAACUACAGCAAUAACGAAAAAGGGGACAAGAAAAUGAGAGCAUAGCUUGAAUGCCAAUAAGAGUUUAAUCAAUAAGCAAAUUAGGAAAAGUGUACAUAGAGCACUCCGAAAUCGAAAGCAAAGAUGAAAUUGAAAACAAUAUAUUCUCAGCCCGCACACACUUACACAUGCAAACAAUAUAAUCUAUUUCAAGAUUCAAACAAAAUGCACCAUGUGGAGGUUAAAUUGAAAACAAAUAUGCCCCUAUUCUCAGAAAACACGCACACAUGCAUACAAUACAAUGUAUUUCAACUGUCAAGACAUAUCAAACAAAAAUGCACCUUGUGGAGGUGGAAAGACAUUUCCCCAACUUGAAUUAUAACAUCGCUUGGAAGCCCAGUUGUGCAAAGCCUGAAAGAAAAACACAAAUCGGAUCCAUAUAAGUAAAAGCUAAAAUCUUCUAAUAUAGCAUCAAAAGAUUGCAGAAAACCUCAUAUUCGCUUUAGCACAAACCCCUAGCUAAUUUCUGUUGUCAACCUUGUAGCCUAGGCAGGACAUCAUGGUUGUUUAAGCAUUUUGUAGCAAUGGGGCUAAGCUAUCCCUUAUCAGACAUAUAUAUAAACAAAGGGCCCUGCUUUCUUGCUGCUUCUACAUUACUGAAAUACUAAAACCAACAGAGUAAAGACUGAGACCACAUUGCUUUUAAUCGAUUUCAUUAAGUAAAUUAACAAACACCAUGUGGGCUAUCUCUAGCUCAUCAGUUGCAUCUAUUUUGUUUGUUGAUCAAAGUAUCAAGGCCUUACCAAGUUUGGCCUUCCCGAUGAAAAGCUUCAGACUUAGCUCCCAGCUUCAUGCAAGCCAUCUCUUGAGGUGCUGGUCUUCUCAAAUGGGCAAACUUAGAACCAUGAAAUUAAGUGAAGCAAGAGAGAGAUGCAAAUAGCAUAAAGACUUGGGUGAAAAUGUGAAUGAGAGUGAAUGUGGCAUACUUAUCAUUUUGGCUAAUAUUUUCAGAGUGCAGAGAGAGAGAGAGAGAGAGAGAAGUAGCGAGUCUAAAGCAAGAAGUGAAGGAGAGAAGGAAGCGGUUCAACCGUUACAGUGGCUGUUGCGCUUUUCUUUCAUGUCUUAUUGCAUUGUCCUUCAUUUUCACUUGGGUUUUCGACACUUCUACCAGGGCUCAGAAAGCCCAUAUAACAUAUACAAGGGAAAUGUUGUAAUAUUUUUCUGGCCAUAAUAACAUUAGGUAUUUCCAUUUUAGAAGAUGAGUGACAUAUAUAUGUUAAUGAUAUGAAUGCAAGGGUGCAAUUUGGAUGGGGUCGACUUGACCUGACUUUUGAGCACGUAUAUAUAGAAAAAGUAUGAGUUGGGCUUGGAUGGAAAAAUUUCCAACUCGAUUUAUCCCUAUAAUCGGAGUUCUUAGGAUCCCUUUGAGAAUACUUUUAUUAGAAGUAUGUCCAAAUUUUUAUUCAACAGCUUUUUGGAAAACAAAUUGAAGAAGCAUAUGCAUCUAGUUAUAAUUUAUGAACACUUUUAAAUUUUAUUAUCAAACGAUGUUAUAAACGCUUUUAAUUAUUUGAAAGCGUUUUUAACAUUUCUAAAAAUAUCACAAACAUACUCUUAUCAUAAAGGGUAGUCAAAGCCUUCCCACACUCAUAACAAGGAUUCGACUCUCAUUCGCCUCUCCCACUCCCAUUUAUAAAGACCGUAUAAAAUUAAAUUACAAACAAAGAUAAGUUAAAGAGACCUAUAAAGUUAGCCGGAUAAAGUUUAAUAUAUCUCAUAUUAGCAAGAGCAUCUGCAAGAAAAUUAGGUUAUUCAAUGUUUGGUUUACAUAAAUAUGUUUUUGGGCAAUGACAAUUUUCCGGAACAAGGUUACAGUGUUCACGUGGGGACUUGGUUUCCUCUCAAUUGUUAGAUGAUGAAACUGAAAUGCACCUAAGCUAGGUCUAGUGUAGGUGGUAAAUUGGUAAUUGAAGAACAAGACCAAAGUUGCUAGAAAAGAUACAAAGGAAGACGGAUUUGAUUUGAGCCUGGGAUGUGUUGGUAUAUUGGGGUUGGGGACCCAGACCUCACCCCACUAAUUCAAAAAAUUAAUUAUUUUAUUUAUUUAUUUGUUUGUUUUCAUGGACCAUGGUGUUACUAUAGCCCAUUGUUUUCAAAUUUAAUCAACUUGAAAAAAGUGGCAGUUCUUGAUGAUUAAUCAAAAUUAGAAAUCAAAUCAAGUAACAUUAAUCAAGUGGUGGCGCCGGCAUCGGCAGCCCAGGCGGCUCGGCAUCCGCCUCGGCCAACCUGUUCAACACGUGGGUGAAUUUAAUGUUGUCCCCAACCCGACCCUGCUAUCCAUAACUAUAUAUUAUUCUAUUCCAAUAUAUUUGUACUGCACUCUGCAUGGGUCUAUUUACUUCGAGCCUUCAAUCAAUAAUAUCAUAAAAAAUAAUUUAAAAUAAAAUAAAAUUUCCCACUGUUUGUAAUUGACUCAUAAUAAUCAAAUUAUUUUAUCUAACAUUAAAUGUCAAGAAAAAAAGAAUUUGCAAGUCAUGCGUAAUGCACGUGAUUAAAAAAAGACAACACAUUUAAAAUAAAAAUACAAUUAUAAAAAAGAAAAAUUGUAAGUCAAGCGUAGUGCUGGUAAUCGAAAAAAGGGUAGUGUACGACUAUAUUAAUUUUCCCGCUAAUACAAUUUAGAUAGUUGACCCAUUAUUAUUAUUUACAAAUUUUACAUUAAUUAGUUGUUAUACAAUGUAGUAUCCACAUCUCUCUAUACCAGAAGAAGCCUUAAACACUAACAAAUAUAAUAGCAACCUUCAAUAUGAUAUAAUUGAAUUAAUUUGCCAAAUGUUUAAGAACAAUGAUCUUUUAGUACAACUGACACAUACUCCACUUCAAAGAUCGAUGAAAUUUCAAUUUUAACCAAAAUCAUAUGUUAUUAUCACCCACAUUAAUUGUUACAUCAUGUGAUUUGUUUACGCGAUUAAUUAGCGCAGUCCCCAAUUUCACUUCUUGUAGUAGUUUCCAGCCUUGGGUUAAUCUCGACGUGGACCAACCUUCACGUAGGGUUUGUGCAUGGGUUAUCUUUUUUACUUCUACUUUCAGUUUUUACAUAAUUCCCUUCUCUGGUUUCUUGGCUUUGGCAUUGGCAUUGUGCAAGGGUUGGUCCAUAUCAAAGGACGGGUGGGGAUCGCAGCACAGUAAAAAAUUUAUAAAACAACAAACGCGUGGGCCCAACCAACGUAGCCGCCCGAUCUAUCUUCCUCUUCCGUGCGAUCUAUCUUCCUCUUCCGUGAUGGAACCAAAAACGACGUCACAUUGACGAUAACCAUUUUGACACGUGUUAGAUUCUUCUGGCAGACACCCAUGAAACAUAGCGGGUCAACGUCCGGGCAUUUGCCUGUUCUUGUUGUCUUGUAGCUGUCAAGUUAGCGUGUUCCAGUGGCAAAUCUCACUUCCUCCUCGCCUCGCCUCUCCUCAGCGUCCGGUGAAUCCCGUCCUCGGUGUCAGUGACGGGCCAAUCAUUAUUCGCCACGUACGUUGGAAUUAGGGUUAAGAGUGGACCCCAUAACGACACACUAAUUAAAUUGCAUGUCGAUGAUGGUGGUGUCACUAAAAUGUAUGUCUAAAUGUCUCCAUAAUGUAAAUUUACCCUCAUAAAUGUAAUAUACUUGAUAUUAAAGCAUUCACAAUCACGUUUUUUUUUUAUAGUUAAAUUUUAGUUAAAAAUAUAUAAAAGUUAUUUUAGGGAGUCAUAAAUACUAUAAUAUUUUUUCAAUUGGUCUAUCUCUAGUGAAAAAAUAAUAUAAAAAAUAGUUAGCAUUAAUGAAAGGUUUGAAAUACUCACUAAAUAAAGCAGCAUUAAAUUAUAGGGAGUCACUAUGAGUUAUUUUUCUCUCAUCAGAUUUAAGAACUCUUAAAGGUCUCCUUAUUUUAGGAGGUGGAUAUGGAGCAUGAUUGAAGUUGUAUUUUUCCAAUGUCUCCUUAAAAUUUGUCUAAGGAGGUGGUUUAUGAAGCCUAUUGUAAAUGCUCUAAGAGUCAGGGAAGAGCCACAUGUAGGCCUGCCAUGACCAGGGCCCCCCAAACUCCAUGAAAACCCAAUUCUUUCUUAUGCAUCAACUACAAUAUUAGUUAAAAUAUAGCUCUAUAUAAUCUUGCAUUUNNNNNNNNNNNNNNNNNNNNNNNNNNNNNNNNNNNNNNNNNNNNNNNNNNNNNNNNNNNNNNNNNNNNNNNNNNNNNNNNNNNNNNNNNNNNNNNNNNNNCCCCCCCCCCCCCCCCCCCCCCCCAGAUUAGCUUCUAGCUCCGCCACUGCUAAGAGUCUCCUUAUUUUAGUUAAAAUUUAGCUAAAAACACUAUAAAGUUAUUUUAGGAGCUCCUUAUAAAAUUUCAACUCCAACCAUACUCUUUAGUUUAGGGAAUUAUAAAUUAUUUAUUUUCUUUUUUAGUUUAGCAUAAAUGCUCCCUCUUCAUAUAAAAUAGUUAGCAUUAAAGUAAAGCAAAAAUUAUUUAUAGGGAGCCACUAGGAGUCCUUUCUCUCUCCUCAGAUUUAGAAGCUCCUAGAGGUCUCUUUUAUUUUAGGAGUUUCAUUGGGAGCAUGGUUGGAGGUGAGUUUUCUCACUUCCUUCCUUUUAUCAAAGGAGGUAGUUUAUGGAGUACAUUGUGGAUGCUCUAAACGUAUAAUUAUAAUAUGUUAAUAUGCAAAUAACUUUUUUAUUUUAUGUUUUGAUGUCAUAUAUAAAAAUAAUGUUACCACGUUGAAAAAAAAAAAAAGAAGAAGAGAUAACAUUUCGGCAUUAAAUUUAUAAUUAUAAUUUCAAAUUCUACUACAAAUUAUAAUAAAAUUGGGUGUGAUAUGAUUAUUUUAUUUUCAUGACCCAGGUAAAACCAGUCAACCAAUGCAAACAUAAAAUAUAAUUUUUUAAAUAAAAAUUUAUGAUAUGUCAAAAUCAUAAAGACGACUAAAUUAGAUUAAAUUAGUUGGUUUUAAGCGGAGUUGAUUGGAUUUUCAGCACUUCCAUCAUACCUGAAAGCAUUUUCUUCCAUUUUUAAGCACGUAUUUACAUGCUUUUCCAACAACAACAUAAGUAUAUGUAUUUGUCAACGAGGGUUGGUUGAGUUGAUAAGGAUCGUUAUAUUCGCUAUCCAUGCCCAAAAUUUGAGUCCCACCACCGCUGCUAACAAUCCCUCUUAAAGACUUGAACUUGUAUUGUCAUGUGGCAUAAGGGGCAUGCAAGAAUUAUGAGACAAUUAAAGGCAACAACCACCAAAGAAGAAGAAAAUAAGAUGCUAUGAGUAAUAAUAAAGAAAGAAUCAAUAUCUUAGAACAAAUGAACAAAUCAUUUGCAUUUUGCGGUGCCUGUGUUAUGCUGGUGGGUUAGAUGGGUAUGGGUUUAAAUGUUUUUUGCUUGGUCCGUGCGGAGCAUUGAGAAAUUGAGGGACAAAAACCCACCUAAAUUUGAUGUCUGAGAUUAAAAAAUAUAUAUAUAUGGUUGCUAGCUAGGGUUACAAAUUUGAGUAAAUGAAUGUGGGUGAGAAUGGAGAGGCCCAGUGAGCUGUGGUUUUGGUAUUGGUUUUGUUUUGGUGCCCCCAACCACUUUCUUUUUUCAGUUGUCUAAUUGGUUAAUUAAAUUGGUAGGUCCCGAAAAGAUGCAGGAGCUCAUGUGUUUUUGGUUAGGAGGUCUCUAUCUACGGAGUUUGCAACAUUUCUCACGGUGUGGCCCUAGUUUAUAACAUAAUGAUCACCUAGAGGAAAGUAGAAAAUGCAAACAUUAUGUAAUGGGAAUUGUACGCCUUGUCAUAAUCGGGUCGGCUUGGAGGUUGUGAAUCAAAGGGACUGCUCCCACUGGAUAUAUGACCACUCAGUGGUAACGAGACCAGAUAGUUAAGUUGAUAUAACUCAUAGUUUCAUAUAAACCAGAAUCCAUUUGGAUGCAACAAUGAUCGGUUAUUCAAUAGAAUAGUAUGUCUUCGUAUAAUAUACAGUUCUUUGUGCAUCAUCGUCGGGUUCUUGUUAAAAGACGGGUUUUGUUAUCGAUAAUGAUAUCAACAUAAUAUCCUAUCAUGUCAACAAUUCGUCCUUUAAUAAAGAGUGGAUGUCUUGUUCAUAGAACGUACAAUAUCUCUUAGAUUCAUAAUAUUGGAUUUCCCAAAGUAGAAAAGCCCUUUUAUUUAUGAAGCUUUAUAUAGUCAGAAAUUAGAUUACGUAGGCCUGAAUUACUUUGAAUGUACUAUUUAUGGUGUCUUCAAAAGAGUGAGGACUUGGGAUAGUAAAAAAGUACAAUUGGGCACGUCUAUGAGUUUGAUUGUACUUACAAAUGACUAAAAAUAGUGUUCAUUGUACACUAAAGCUAUGAAUUCAUUCAAUCCUCCAUACAAAUGACUAAAAAUAGUGUUAUUGUACAUAAAACAUUAAUAUUGUAGUGAAAGAUGAAUUUAAUUUGUAUAAACUAAAUUGUUGACUUAGGUAAAAUUACUUGGGUUGGUGUUCAUUGAACACCCCAUCUUUCAAUAUGACCCCUAAAAAAUCAUAACAUAAAGAGUUCAAACAUUUAGAAUCCUCAUUAAGACGGAUUUAAGUCCCCAUUUAGAUUAAAGUUUCAAAUUUAGCAAUGUUUAGGAUCACUAACACUUGGGUCCCUAAUAUAACCAAAAACAAAAGGUCAUUGUUAUAAAAUAAAAAAAUAAAUAGGGGUAAUGUUAAUUCUCCGGCUUUGCAAUUGAGAGAUGAUAAGCUACUUAAUAGUCUAAAGAUCAAACCUUUAUGCAUAAAGAUGUACACUUAAUUCUUUAGGACUCAAAAUUAUUUUUUUUAUAGUGUACUUGUUUUAAUCAUUAUCCUCAAAAUAAUACUAUCGCGAUUUGUAUUUUUAAUAUAUAGAUAUAUAUAUAUAUAUAUAAUAUAAGUAAGGAAAACCUUAGGUCAUUGACUAGUAGAGUUUAGUCGUUAACCGCGGUUAGGAGUUAACGACUAGCUUGCCUUGAUUUUAGAGCAAAACUGAAAAGCGAACACUCAACCCCACUCGGGCGACUUUCAAUUUCUCGCGGGACACGGAAAUCAAUGAUACUACUUUGAAACUUUGAAGCUUCAUCUUAUAAUCUAAUAUAAAUAAGACCCUGUUUGAUUGCUCAGAAUAGAAUUAAAUAAAUAAUAAUUUAUUGGUGCGAAUAGAAUAAGAGGAAAUUAAAAAAGUAUAGCUUCCUUAAACAUCUUUGUUGUUUUGCUGGCUUCUCAAGAUACACUUUCUUCAGAUCCGAAGAAAAAGCUAAGAAAUCAAAAUUCAUAUUAAAAAUUAAAUUUCCUAAAUAAAUAAAAUAUUACUAACUAAUUGUUGACUUGCUAGUAUAAAUGCUUUGUAUUGCUAGAUUAUUCUUAAAUCCCAUUGCAUUAAUAUGAAAAAUUUGUGUCGAUAAAUAUGUGAUAUGUCUUGUGUUUAUAACAUGUGAGUAUUCAUUAAGACUCAAUUUAUUCUACUCCAGGCCAACUACAUUUAAAGUAUUGUCUUGAACAAGUAAUUUUUCUCUGAUACCCCAAUCUAAUCGUGUUAUUACACGUGAAUAUUCAUCAACACAAAAACGUAUUGUCGUCUACCUAUAUUAUAACAUUAUAAUAGAAUAUUUAUUCCCCAAGACACAUCCACUAAUAUUUCAUUAAAAUUUAAUAUGCAAAAUAAUUUUUAUUGAAAUACUAAUCGUGGUAAUGCGUUUGACACAAACAGUGACACUGACUACCACUGCCCGCUUUGAUAUUUGCAGUAAAAAUUGAAACUCUCUCUCUCUCUCUCUCUCUCUCUCUCUCUCUCUCUCUCUCUAUAUAUAUAUAUAUAUAUAUGAAUGUAUUUAUUUUAAUUUUGGUGUUAUUUGCUGAGUGUGCUUUUGGACUCUUGCAUGAUCCAAAAGGUGCUCUGCUCUCUGUGUCUAUGGCUUUUUAUCUUCUUCUGUGUUGGCCAAACAGUCGUUGAUGAUUGAAGUCCUUGAAGCGAAGAAGACAACGAAGAUUCUGAGAGAUAUUCAACCCCGACGACUCUUCUUUUUUUUUUUUUUCUUCCGUCGGAGAUUUUUCUGCUGUGAAUUCGCCGGAGACUUUGGAGGAGCUGCAAGCUCUCGUUUUCCAAUUACGUGGAUAGCAGAGAUUGAUUUUCUCGCCGUAGAUCUCGAGUUUUGUUCAAAGUAAGACGUAGAGAUUGAGGCUUGAGGGCUCGGUGGAUUGGAAUUUCGAACAGAGCAGAGUGUUUGUUCAGUUUUUGAGUCUCAGUUUUUUUUUUCCUUUUUUUUUGUGAUAAAAAAGUUGGUGGCUUUGGAGUGGUUCAGUAAAGGGUUUGGAGAUUGUGAAUUCAGUCUUCUGUUAAAGUUGGGUGGGAGACGAAGCAGCUUGGAAUUCUGUGUAUUUCUUAGGGUUGGCGUGGCAGGGCAAUUGACCCUCUGAAUUGGGAAAACAAAACAUGGAUUUGAACUUUCAAGUUCAAGUUUGGUUGUUGGGAAAAUUAGAUACUGCUGGGGGGUUGUGAAGAUUUUCUAGUGAAAACGUGGCGAGGAGCUUUCUUUUUCGGCUCUGCUUCUGAUUCAUGUAUGCUUUUAUAAGGUAAGAAAUUUAUGAAAUGCACUUCAUUAAUUGGAUUGGUUGUUUUUUGUUUUUUUCUAGGGUUUGAUUGAAUUCUGUGAGUAAUUUGCCUAAUUUGGGUUGGUUGAUGUGGUUUGCAGCAUUUACUGAGAGGCAAGAAGAAGAGGGAUUUUUGCAAUUUUUUUUUCUUCUUCUUUUAAAGAGAAUUGAUAUGAUUACGUUUAUGGAUUCAAAAGAGAAAUUGAAGGAGGGGGAGAAGUGCUUAGAUCCUCAGCUAUGGCAUGCCUGUGCUGGAGGCAUGGUUCAAAUGCCUCCAGUGAAUGCCAAGGUCUUCUACUUCCCUCAGGGCCAUGCUGAGCAUGCCUGUGGACCUGUUGAUUUCAGGAACUUCCCGAGGGUUCCUCCAUACAUCUUCUGCAGGGUCUCUGCUAUUAAGUUCAUGGCUGAUCCUGAGACUGAUGAGGUUUAUGCAAAAAUUAGGUUGGUUCCUUUGAGUGCUAGUGAGGCUGGUUAUGAGGAUGAUGGAAUUGGAGGGCUUAAUGGGUCUGAAACGCCGGAUAAACCCGCCUCAUUUGCGAAAACGCUGACGCAAUCCGAUGCAAACAAUGGCGGCGGCUUCUCUGUCCCGAGAUAUUGUGCAGAAACCAUCUUCCCGCGAUUGGAUUACUCCGCAGAUCCCCCUGUUCAGACAAUCCUGGCUAAGGAUGUUCAUGGUGAAACUUGGAAGUUUAGGCACAUUUACAGGGGGACCCCUAGGAGGCAUCUGUUGACCACAGGGUGGAGUACUUUUGUGAACCAUAAGAAGCUUGUUGCAGGGGAUUCAAUUGUGUUUUUGAGGGCAGAGAAUGGUGAUCUUUGUGUCGGAAUUCGUCGAGCAAAGAGGGGAAUUGGAGGUGGACCUGAGUCAUCUUCAGGGUGGAAUCCAACGGGUGGGAAUUGUACCAUGCCAUAUGGUGGAUACUCUGCGUUUUUGAGGGAGGAUGAGAACAAGCUAAUGAGAAAUGGCAAUGGGAAUGGCUCGAAUUCGAAUGGAAGUCUAAUGGGUAAGGGGAAAGUCGGGCCUGAAUCGGUUUUUGAAGCCGCAACACUUGCUUCAAAUGGACAGCCCUUUGAGGUUGUUUACUACCCUCGAGCAAGUACCCCCGAGUUCUGUGUGAAAGCCUCAUUGGUAAAAGCAGCAUUGCAGAUCCGGUGGUGUCCCGGAAUGAGAUUCAAGAUGGCUUUUGAAACUGAGGAUUCUUCCCGGAUAAGUUGGUUCAUGGGAACUAUAUCCUCUGUUCAGGUUGCUGAGCCUUUGCGCUGGCCAGAGUCACCUUGGAGGCUUCUCCAGGUACUACUCUCUCUCUCCCUCUCUCUGUCUGAUAACAGAAUGUGCUCUGUAAUUACGGUUCUCUAAGUUCUUGUGGUCAUUUUUAAUUUAGUUUUUUAUAAUCAAUCUCAUUUUCUUCCAUCUAAUGUAAUGAGCAAACAAACUCUUUUCCAUCGGAAUGGAGAAAACUGAUCCCCAGACUGCACCGUGGAACAUUGGCUCAUCAAUCGUCAUUUAAUGUCCAAUUUCGCUCUCUUUUCCUUACUCCUUUCAGUUCACUUUGCCUUAUGGCUCCUCUGUUAUAGUUUAAUCUGUUUUCCGACAAGUUUAUUAGCUUUUAGGUGCUUGUCCAUACCAAAUACCUAGUCUAAAUCAAGUGUUUUUUGCCCCUCCUCACAGAGUGCAUUUGACAUUCAACAUUAUGUUGUUCAAGUUUGAUGAACAAUUGCAUCUAGGAAGAGCCAUGAUUUUUAGCCAUUGAAUUCAAUUCCUUCGGUUCUCUGAAUUCAUAUGUUGCAGGUUACCUGGGAUGAACCUGAUUUACUUCAAAAUGUGAAGCGCGUUAGCCCAUGGUUGGUAGAAUUGGUAUCAAAUAUGCCCGCCAUCCAUCUGACACCCUUCUCACCACCAAGGAAGAAGAUGAGACUGCCUCAACACCCUGACUUCCCAUUUGAAGGCCAACUUCCUAUGCCGACAUUCUCCGGCAACCUCCUUGGACCCAGCAGCCCUUUUGGUUGUCUGCCCGACAAAACUCCUGCUGGCAUGCAGGGAGCCAGGCAUGGUCAUUAUGGUCUAUCCUUAUCAGAUAUGCACCUCAAUAAACUGCAGACAGGUCUAUUUCCGGCUGGUUUCACGCCUCUUGAUCAUGCUGCUACAGCAACUAAAUUCUCCAAUAACACAAUGACUCAAAAACCUACCAUGAGCGAGAAUGUUUCUUGUUUGUUGACGAUGGCACAUUCUACCCAGACUUCAAAGAAACCUGAUGAUGUAAAGCCACCGCAGCUCGUACUCUUUGGUCAACCAAUACUUACUGAGCAGCAGAUUUCUCUGAGCUGCUCUGGUGAUACAGUCUCACCAGUUCUUACUGGAAAUAGUUCAUCGGAUGGGAAUGCAGAGAAAACCGCUAAUCUUUCUGAUAAUUCUGGAUCUGCACUUCACCAACAAAGCCUACAAGAGCGCUCAUCUUGUGAAGGUUUCCAAUGGUAUAAGGAUACUCGGCAAGAAACUGAACCGAGUUUGGAAACUGGUCACUGUAAAGUCUUCAUGGAAUCAGAAGAUGUAGGUCGCACUCUUGACCUUUCAGUGUUUGGAUCUUACGAUGAACUGAAUAGGAAACUGGCCGACAUGUUUGGCAUAGAAAAUUCUGAGACGCUAAACCAUGUGCUCUAUCGAGAUGCUACUGGUGCAGUCAAACACAUCGGAGAUGAACCAUUCAGGUAUGAAUCAAUUCCCACUGAAUUGUGUAAUGGGUCUGUAGAAUGGAGGAUUUAAUCCUUGUACUUAUCAAAUGAAAGGUUUUCGAGGUAAUAUGUUGAUCAAUUUUUUGUUGAAGUUGCAGUGACUUCAUGAGAACAGCAAGGAGAUUGACGAUUCUAAUGGAUUCAGGCAGCAACAAUGUAGGAAUGUAAAGAAAGAAUAAAACCUUGAUUCAAUUGUACAGCUGGUUGAUAAAAUCCUUUGUUUCCAUGCUGACCAUUUACCCUUCCUGAAGUUCUGGGAGAAGCCGCCCUGAUUCAAUUUUUGAGCUUCCAAUCUAAAUCCUUCCGGCUUUGUAAUUUUUUUUUAAUCUUUGUCAAAGAAGGAAUGUUUACAUUUUUAGAACUUGAUAACAGUAUCAUAAUUUGAUCAGGUUUUUUUUCUUCUUCUUUUCUUUGAGGUUUCUCCCUUUUUUGUAAUUUUUUGGCAGCCAAAUCGUACAAGUAUAAGUAGUUUUGUAGGAGUUGGCAUAUGUACUUAAAACCCUUUUGAUAAUGGCUGAAGCCUUCUAAGAAGGCAGUUUUUUUUCAGUGGAACAUGCACAUUAGGCUCCCAUGAGUGAGUUUGGCUUAUUUGUUGUUUUCUAUAUGUAGUUAAAACACUCUCUCUCUCUCUUUUGGUUGAAGAAACAAAACUAAACAAUGACUCAAGGCCUACAUACUCCAAGUAAAUUUUCAUUAAAAAAAGACCUAAUAUUCCAAAUAGUUAGAACACUAUGAAGGAAGUAUUUCUUGCUAACGAUAACAGUUGUCAGAAAGACUACACUAAUUAAGUAUUCUUAAAAUCUGUUAUCUUCCCUAAUUGUGAAUCAAAAUUCAAGAUGCUGCCUCUUUUUCUUUGUGUGUUUUUGUUGCCUUCUUGCAUGAGUUUUUGACACUCUGUGCCAUUCAACCAAUGAGAAAAGGAUCCCAAACUUUCUUCUCAAACAACAAAAGGCACAAGGAUUAAAUUAGUUCCGUGCAUGACCAAGAAAAAAGAGUUGGUUAAAGGUCUAAUCAGUUUUCACCAUCAAAGUUUUCAAGAUAAGUUGACUUAAUCCUCCUCUUAAUCUCAUGGUUUGUUAAAGAGAAUCAGAUGUUUUACACGACAGCAGAUUUUCAGGGAUUUUAAUCAAGAACACCCAACAACUACUACAAGACUGCCACGCGGAUUUGAAGACAACCAUAGUUUUUGUUUCUCUCAGCUGAAAGUUGUAAACCAAACCGAAGCAUACAAGUAAAAUUAAUUAUUUAAUUAAUUGUCCCAAUCUUAACGCCACAAAGUGUGGGAUACUUACAGUAAUUAAUUAUUAAACCACCAACCAUUAUGUGAGUAAAAUAAAUAAAUAAAUAUUGUUUUUUUAAUUAUAAAUUAUUUAUGGGGAUUGUAAAACAAAAAAUUGUCAAAGACAAAGUCAAUAACUAAUACGUGGGGAAAAACAAAAGAAGCAGAAAGGAACAAACAAAAAACACAUUCUGUCUGUUUAACUUAAUCAGCCGCACGUGAGAACUCCGUGGGUCCCACGCGGCGUUCAUUUAAUUUAAUUUAUUAAUGGGGUUCACGUGUGGGCAACGUCAGCUCGGAAAAGGUGAGAGACUUUUUCGCUUGUGUUGCGCCGUUUCGUUGACCGCGCUGUUUUCCUUUGUUUUCACAAUUUUUGCUUUUCCCUUUUUACAUUUUUACUUCCUGAAUUAAUUAAUAGGUGAGAGACGAGACGGUAAUAUCACGUAGGUACGACAACUUCUUCACGUAACAUAUCGACAUAAAAUGAAGUUUUAUUCAAAUUGCAAUUUAAGUGAAUUUGUAUAAAAAAGUUUGUAGUGAGUUUGAGCUUUCACGAACUAACUACCAACCGUGGUCACCUAAAUCACCGACUUUUCGGGUCGGACCCCAUUGCAAAUAAUCCGGUAGGUGUUUUGUAAAGUUACUUCAAUUUGGAAAUGAUGAGAGUCACAUCAUGUGACUGACUGGGAUUAUCUUGUUUUCAAUAAUGUAGAAAUUGAAUUGAGUUAUUUUAUAUAUUAUGGAGACAAUCAUCAAACUCAGUCGUUUUCGUUUUAAUUAAUAGGGAGGACCAAAACACAGGUAAUUCCAGAUAGACAAGUCUUUGGUAGGCCCAACGCAACAUUACCUCUGUCUUCGAUAAGGUUGAAGGAAUCAAAUUUGGGAUCUAUCCAUCAUUUCACCUCAUCUCCUGUCAUAACUUGAAUUGAAAUUCACAAACUAAACACAUCACACUCACGGGUUGGGUAGCUAUAGGUUUUGGAAGCCAAGUUGGGCAACAAAUAUCUAAUCAAAUCUUAUUACAAAUGGCUUUUUAACGUGUUGAUUCGACUCGAGUUGGAUUUGAGUUGAAUUUCACUUUUUAAAAUGAGAAUUGUAAAGCACAAUAUAUUAGACUUUUAUCUAAUUUAAUAAUUUCAAUCUCAAUACGUAUUCAAUUUAAUUAAAAUAAUACAAUCUAAUCUGAGACACCAAGCUUAGCCAAAAUUUAGAAAAAUCACAAGGCAAGAGGUUACCUUACCUUGACCUCAUUGAACUCUUGCGAGUUGGCAUUUAAUUUGACACCCCAAUGGCCCAAAACAAAUAGUCAAAUAAACGGUGGUCAAAGCAGAAACAGAGAGAAAAAGGAGACAAAUACCUUUCCCAAGGCCAAAGCAUUGUUUGUUUUAUUUUUUCUGUGUUAACUCACUUAGUUUUCAGAACCCACUUUCCACCACCAUACAUGGCAUGGUUUCGACCUAGAAAAUUAAACAAAACACAUUCAUUUGUUUCAUAAGAUGAGAUGAGAUGAGAUGAGAUGGGAGACAAUCUCGUCCCUAGGGAUUACUUGACUUUAGAAUUACGUUAAGGAAGUGUCAGGUUUUGGUGCACAGAAAUAUGCACAAGGGAAGGAGGAAGAGAAGGCUUCACUUGGAAGUGGGUUUUCUUUUGAGAAUUGAGAGAUCCAAGGAACGGGAAAUAGGGUAUUGUUCAAGGGACAAAUACGUCAUCAACAUUCAAUGAGUAUUGGCUAAAACCUGUCUCCAUGUCCUUGCUCUCUCUCUUUAUAAUAUUCCACCUCCUCCCACCUCCCAUUAGGGUUUGUUGCCCCUUGCCACUACCACACCAUGUUCUUUUCUCAUAUGUCCCACUUCAAUUCCACUGCGGAAUGAAGGACAAUCACUCACACGCGUGCAAUAACUUUUAGUUAUAAAGCUGUAUUGACAACUACAUUAAGGGUUGAGAGUUGCCGAUACAUGCAUAAAUGAUUGUUACUCAUAAAAUUUUAAAGUUACUGAUUUUUCCUAUGAACUCCAUCCAUAUUCUUUUCUGUAUAAGUAAGGAUUGUAAGGAAUAGUAAACUCAACCAUUUCAAAUUUGGAAUCCCAAAAAAUGCAAUAGUAUUUAGGUUUGUUUGAUGUAUAUAGUUAAUAGUUCCUUUGUACGUACUUAGUACUUUUCUUAUGAAUUUAUUUAUGUAGUUUCAAAAUAUUUUUAGGAGAUUCAUUAUUAUACCCAAUGUAGAGGGCAAAUUUAUAAAAAAAAUCCUACAUAAAAUGGACUUUCGAAACACAUCCAAAGCCCAUUUACAACAUAACAAAGAGACUUCGAACUUCCUAAUAAAUUACAAACUGCCAUCGAUUUCGUAAAACAAAUCCAACCCCAAAACCUCAUAAAAAAUCCAAAACACUCAAUAGGUUAUCAAAGUAAUUUAAUAAUCAAAAUUAAAUUCAAUAUGGCCAACUAUUAAUUUGUUUAUAAAAAUUAAAUGGUGUAGGAUUUAUCUAUAUCACUAGUGCUAAGAAUAAGUAUAUAACUAAAUAUCUCAUCAAUUUUUUUUUUUUAUAAAUUAGGAAGCUUCUCAUGAGUGAAUAAUAUAAAUGAAAUGAAGUGGAAUUCACACCACGAUAACAAAGCAUCCCACAUUUAUACAUAUACAAGUAGAAAUAAGUAUUCAAGAUUCCACCAUUGACAAACAAAACUUGCUAUUGCUAGUGUUGUUUUCAUUCAAGAGAUCAAUCAAUUUGGGUUUGAAAUUCAUAGCAUCUAUUUGAUGUCUAUGAGUGGGGGCUACUGCAAGUUUCGUGUUGCCUCGUGAGAAAAACCCUACGCUUGCAACACAUUCUCAAUUAAAAAUGCACCAUGCGGGAAUUAUUUUUAAUUUGUUCCUUGCUUGCUUUGACAAAUUGUUAUCUUGCCCAUUUUUUUCUGUAUAUAUUUCUCAAUUAUUUCGACGCUUAUCUAAAGUUAUAUUUUUUUUAUAAUUAUUCGAAUUUUAGGAAAGACCGAGUUCAUUAUCGUCAUUGAUGUGAGAGAAAAGUGCUCUAUCAUUAUAAUUGAAUCCUUAUUAUAAAUGAAUUAUCUUUUCAAAACAUGGACAUGAGUGAAUAUUGGUAAGCCCAUUAUUUUUUGAAGAACCUAAGAAGAAGAAGAAAAAGAUUUAGAGGAUUUUCUAAUUUUAUCAUAAUCUAAAUUGUCUUGUCGCAGUUGAUUUUAGGCUUACCAUCUGAGUUAAAAUUUAAUUUACAGGAGAAGAAGCCAUCAGCAGGAGAGUAAAAAAUGAAUUGAAUAUGGAUGAUGGAGGCUUAUGGUACAAGUUAUGGGCCCGCCAACACCUGAAUUUUUUGUUGUCCUCCUCUCUCUCUCGUCCCCUCCCUUUGUCCCUCUGGAGUUUCUGGGGCGUUGUUUGUCUUGGUCAUGUCCGUGUCGUACUCUCUUACAAGUUAACGCCAAAGUCUCUUCCAAAAACGACAGAGAUUCGGAUGACGUGGCAUACUAACCACUCCCCCGUGCUGCUGUGGUCCCCACAAUCUCUGCCUACUAUGCCCUUCGUUGUGACAGCGACGUGUCGUCUAAAUUCGGCAUGCCAUGUUAUGUUAGAAAUUGGGAAUUGAGGCCCUUGAAUGUUUUGCCUUUGGGCUAAUAUUUGGAUUGAGCCCAAUUUCUAAAAAUUCCUAGAACCCAAACAAGAUUCAAAAUGUAUCCACACUGAAAAUAAUUUUAAAUUUUUUUUUAUAUAUAAUUAGAAAAUAUAUACACAUAUCAAUAAUUUUAUAUUCUUACUUUUUAUAAAUUCAGUCCAUUUUAAUAAUUGUUGCAAUAGGGCAGAAAAAUAAUUAUAAAUAAAAAAAUAUGUACAUAAAAAUCAAGUACAAAUACUAAUGCUUAAUAGUUCAAAUGGUUUAAAGGCCCAAACUAUGAGGAGCUGCCAACUCUUUUAAAGACCAUACAAGGAACACAAAGGCCUGCCAAAUUUGGUCUAAAGACUUUGAUAUGAUUUGGAUUUGGACGUGCAGCAUGAAGGGCAAGGCAACAAUAUAUGAGGAGAAAUUCUUAGGUGUACCCAAUACAGGUAAAGAAAACAAGUAUAGCUGGAUGGAGAUACUUUUUUUUUUUUUUAAAGAAAAAUUCUAGUGUAGUCGUGAGGCUCUACUGUUUUGUAAAAUAUGCGAGUAUAGUCGUGGCUAUACUAUUUAUAGAAAAAAAAAAAAAAAAAGGCCCCGCCUAGCGCUUAGGUGCCCACGUGUCAAAACCCGUAUAGCCCCACGGCUAUACUAUUAACGGCUAUACUGGUUUUUAAAAUAAAAAAUACCCGGGUAUAGCCGUGCGGCUAUACUAUUUAAUAUUUAAAAAGUGGGACCCACGUGUCAAAACCAGUAUAGCUGCGCAGCUAGACAAACUUUUGAAAAAAGAAAUACCGUAGUAUAGCCGCCCGGCUAUACCAUUUACUUUUUAAAAAAAAUUAAAAAGUACCCUCCUAGUUGCAUUAGUUUAUAAUUUAUUAACAUUAAUUGGCUAGUUUCAACAUUUCUAAAGUACAUAUUGAAGAGAGAAAUUUCAUAGUAAAUCAAUUUUAAAAUUUUAAAGUUCAAAAUUUUUUUUGUGCGGGUAUGUUUGCUUUGAUCUAACUCGUUUUCUCGAGUGAAACUUGUUGGAGGAACAACAAUCAAUAUUAUUCUAAUAAUUUAAUUGUUUAAAUAAAAUUAAAUAUGGCUAUAAAUUAAAAACUGAUUAUUUUUGCAGAUAGAGGCUUGCAGAAUUGCAAUGUCUUUGAAAUAGAAUUUCAUCCUUACUCAGUGCUUGUAGUUCUGCAGACAUUUGCUCCACCAAGAUACAACUAUCUAAAUCAAAGUCUUGGCACUAGGGUUUUGAUUUCUAGCGAAAUUUGUGUGUUUAUCUCUGAAGCUGUAUAAGAAUGAUGAUAUUAAUGUUCUCUAUGAAUUUGAUAUAAUUUUUUAGAGACCUAGGGCUUGUGUUUAAACAGAGUGGCUGAUACAUGUUCCAACUGGUAUUAAAUCAGGACCCAAAAAAGAAAUUAGAGUAAAGCCGAGCGGCUAUACUAUUUUGGAAAAAAAAAACCCACGUAUAGCCCGGCGGCUAAAAAGGGGUUAGCAAGUAUAGCCGUGCGGCUAUACUAUUUAUAGUACAAAAAAAAUCCGCCUAGCUCUUAGGUGCCCACUUGUCAAAACCAAUAUAUCCGCCCGGCUAUAUUAGUAAAGCCGCGCUGCUAUACGGUUUUGAAAAAUGUCCGAGAUUAUAGCCCCUCGGCUAUACUAUUUAGCAUAUAUACAUAUAUAUAUACGAAAACUUACUUGUCAAAAACAGUAUAACCACCUAACUAUACUACUUUUUUUAGAAAAGAAAUAUCGUAGUAUAGCCGAUCCCAUUUAUUGAAGAAAGACUUCAAUGAAACAAGAAUAACACUAUUUCACUAUUCGAGGCCAAUAACACUAUGAUAUGCGUGCACAUGACAGGACAUUAGAAAUAACAAAAUAGUGUUAUCCUCAUGCUACUAAGUUUUUCUUCAUUUAGUGAUACUUAUGUCCUUUUAAUUGGACUGAGACACGGGAGAAAGCUAAGAUUAGAGGAGGACACGGCUAUUAAGCUUGGGGCAACUGUCCUUUGGCAGGCCUCGACCAAAAGUUGCAUAGCAUUUAAAUUCUCAAAUUCAGUGGAAGCAGAAACAUAAUAAAUAUCAUAACCUGAUUUAAAUCAAGUAUAUAAUGCCACAAACAAAGAUAUACUAUAUAUGUAUAUAAUGAUUCUGCAUAUCACACAGAAGAUCAUUUUUACGAUUGCCAAGGAAAUUCAAUUCAUCCAACACAAUUACACAAAUGUAUGCAGUUAACACUCAGAUAUACAUAAGUAGUCCAAACGCUUCAAAAGAGUUUCUGGAUUACAUAAUCUGCACCAUCCUAGGGCUUUGCAAUACAUGCAACCACUUCUUACCCAGACUAAUCCCACCGCCAGUGCAUUGUUAUAUGAACGUAACACCUGAAAACACAGAAAUUUCUAUGUUAAUAUUCUGAAACUUCAAAAACAGGAGAAGAAAACUUGGGCAAAACAAUUAGGCAGAAGCCACAUACGUAUUUCCAUAGAAACCAUUGAGUGAUGCAUGUAAGCAACAACUAAAGUUCUGUUCAUUCAUUUACUGAAAAGAGAAAGAAUGCUGCUAAUGCAAUAUUUUUGGUGUUUUUCAUCAGUUGGUAUCAAGUAAAAAACCACUUGAGGCUUCUCUAUUUUCCAAUUAAAGGAGAUGGCACAAUUGUCGGCCAAAACCGGCUCUGUGCUGCUAGGCAUAGAGAUUGACAAGGUGGGUACUGUUUCAGAUGGACACUUAAUUUAAAUGAGAUACUCAUGUUGGGCAAAACAAGACUUGUAUGGUAUGUAAUACAUGUUCAGCAUGCCGAUAUUCAUAUAGGGUUGGUUGAUUUCCCAAAUUCCAGAAUAACCCUAGCAACCUGAAUGAACAACAUUUGAAACAAACACUUGCACUCCUACCCAAGCUAUCAAUCAAGCCUACUAUAGUUUUCUCUUUAAUUAACAACUGAACACAGCAAAAACCCCAAUAAACCACCACCAAGCCUCCCUGUUUGAUCUUGUUCGGUCUGUCUGUUUGUUUGUUUUAUUAUAUGAGGAAGGACUGGAUUUGCAGGCUACUAAUGUCUACGGGGACCAAAAGUAUACACAUCAAAGUUCCAGCCUUUGCUUAAUUAGAUCAGAGUUUAUCAGAAGCAUGCAUUACUCAGAAUUACUUCACCGUGUCGCAGACAUAGAAUCUAAUAAUUACUGAAAUUUGACGAGGAAAUCAACUAAUAGAGGAAACCCUAAAAAUCUCAUUAACCCAACAAAUGAAGAAAAUGCGAUAAGAACUUUAGCAUGCAAUACUUUACUAUGUCACAGCCAUAGAAACUAGUAAUCACUGAAAUUUGACAAGGAAAUUAACUAAUACAAGAAACCCAUAAAAAUUCCAUGAGCCCAACAAAAUUAAAAACCCCAAAAAGUCAAUUGAGCUGCCCCAAUUGAGUAAAGAUACAAACUUUAGCACGAGAAUAGAUGUAAUUGCAGAGAAUUCAUCCGAACCUUUAGUUGUAAUAGAGCUCGAGGCCCAUGCCGUCAUGGAUUUCAUAGUCCUUGAGGGUGAUGUGGUCCUUGUAGACGUUGUACCACUUCUGGAUCCGAAUCUUGUCGGAUCGGGUACCCGUCUGAGCAGCCACGAGCUUCUUGAGGUCGCCUAUGGUGUCAUCCUCGUUGCACUUCACUUUCACCUUCUUCCCGAGACGAUCGUUCAGCACCACCUCAAUCAUCUUCGAUACAAUCAACAAUCAAUCAGACAGCCUAAAACCCUAAUUCGCCAACUGAAAGAUUGAGAGACCCAAUUUUACACCACAAAACAAAGAAAAUUGUUUAAUAUACAACUUUCCAGGGGCUUUAUGGUCUUUUAGAUUUCCCGCCGCCUACAAAAGUCUACAAGUCUACUUUCCCACCUCUUCUUGGUCUCCUAUUCCUUCUCACAAUUGCACUCAUUCAAGAUAAAAUAAUGUUAAAUACUUGUUCUAAUUACGCGUGAAACUUUUUUAUUAUUUUGAUUAGAAUGAUUCUUUUUACAAAAUCUGAAAUUGUUUACAAACUAAUCCGAUCGUAUUAAGCAAGGGUUUUGUAUCUCAAGUACUUAAUAAUAUUUAUUCAUGAGUAUGAGGUUUUAGAUUUGAUUCUUCCAAUACUCUAAUAUCGAAAAUUGAAUGAAUAGCUCAUUUUACUAAAUGUUUUAUCAAGUUCAACUAAGCUCAUGUCGCUUUGAAUCAACAUGUUGAAUUAUUUAAACAAAUAGAUGACAUAUAUUUUCAAGUAUGCGUUAAGGAAUUAGUAUGAGAUCAACCAUCUCUAUUCUUGAUUUUUCAAGCAUUGAAUAACGGAUUGUAAUGUGAGACCAACGUACUUUUUUAUUUCAUAUGUGUUAAUAAAAGUAUGAAUAUUCAAAUAUAUAUAUAGAGAGAGAUUCCAAGUAAGUAAACAUACCAGAAUAUAAAACAUGGAUUUAGGUUGAGCUUGGGUUGACAAAUGAUAUUUACCCCUUUUAGUUUUACAAAUUAUAACUUUUUCUCUCAAUCAAAUUUAGCCAAAGGAAAAUACAACUUAGAUUAAAAUAUAAUUUAUAACUUUUGAAUUUUUAAUUGACAAUCUUAUUUUAAAAGCCAAAGAGCCAAAACAAAGAAAGGAUAUGAUCUAAGUCUCAAUGACUUGUUUGGGAGUGCUUCUGAAAAGACUAAAAGCGUUUUCUGACAACUAAAAGCGAAUUUGAUAUCGUUUGACAUAAAAGUUUAGAAGCUCAUUUGGGUCAUAGAAUGGCUUUUUGGCAAAGCACAUGCUAUGUGUUUCUUCAUAAGGCACUCCCAAGUGUUUUUUCGAGAAGCAUUUGGAUUUUUUAAAAUGAAAAUUCAAGAUUUUUAUAACAAAAGUGAUUUUGGUAGAAGCGCUUAUGAGCAUAAGUACUUCUUAGAGAAGCAGUCCCAAACAAGUCAUUAGUUGAGGAAUCAUCCCAAUAAGAGGUCUUGCAAAAUUAAUGGAGAAUUAAAUUAAAAUAAUAUAGCUUGCUAUUUUUGAUGGGAAACAUUGCCCACACCACAUGAAGAUAAGAUGACUGAAAGAGUGAAAGGUCACAAAUUUUGUCACUAAAAAAGAAAGAAAAAAGGUUUCAACUUUAUCAUAAAUCCCAUCAAGGCGAAUUCCUAAAAAAGAUGCGUAUUGCCCGAUCAAAAAAAUUGGAAGAGAAUGAAAAAAAAAGAAGCAUAUGCCAAUUGCAAUGGGUGUACCAAGAACACAUAUACAAACAUAGACAAGUGUUGGGUCACACAACGAGGCAGCAGCACGCCACUGGUGACUGUCGUGAGUCAUGUCUGACGAGAGAAGCUGACAAAUCCCAUCAAUUCCAAUUCCAACCAUUUCUGCUUCACCUUCGUCUACCUCCGACACUCCGAACUGUAACUUCUUCUUACCCGUUUUCAAUUCCUUCAAUUCCGUCCUAUUGAAACAAUUAACAAUCAAAAACCCAACACCCAUCGAGCUGAAAUCGUCAGCUGAAAAAGGACCAAUCUUUGUUGAUUCUUGUUGUUGUUGAACAUGGUUUCAUCAAGAUCUCUUGUCUUUCUGUAGAGCGUGCAGGGAGUCAGGGGAGAGAUUGGAGCGAUGAACGUGAGCCGCCCAUCGGUUCACCCCGUGGAGGCCCCGCCCUUGACUGACUUGGCAGCCCAGAAUGCUCUCAGAGUGAGGAUGAAGGACGUUCAAGGCAUGCCUGGCACCACAGGUGGUCUCGUGUUGCGUCUUUGCCAGCUCGGCUUUGCAGCCAUUUCUCUCUCAGUCAUGGCCACCACCUCCGAUUUUCCCUCUGUCACCGCUUUUUGGUAAUGCUUGUUUUGUUGUGUUCAUGAUUUCACGAUUUUUACUUGAUUAUAGACGUUGGUUUUGGUUAAAGUCAAGUCUUUGAUGAUUAUUGUGUUUGCUUUUUUCUGGGUCAGCUACCUUGUUGCUGCUGUUAGUGUGCAAUGUGUGUGGAGCUUGUCACUGGCGAUUGUUGAUGUGUAUGCUCUUUCAGUGAGGCGGAGCUUGCGCAACUGCAAGGUUGUGGGUUUCUUCACCAUUGGAGAUGGGGUAAGAUAGGAUUCAAACUCAUUAAGUCUUGUUGCAUAACUGCAGCAAAGCAAUGCUGGUAUUCUUGUUGAAUUAACUAUUUAGGUUCCAUGUGAAAUUUAGCCCAAGCCUGCUAAACCAGUUAGAAGUAUAUGAGUUUUUCCUUCUCUAUGGGCAGAAUCUUAAGCUACCCCUUCUCUAUUGCCUGUUUGCCACCCAACCCUUACCAAAUGUGGCAUUGAUAGAUUUCCCCAAACUUGAUAACGGUGCUUUAUGUCAGAAGCUUCAUGUGGAUAUGUUUUGUGAUUUUUUUUAUCUGAUUUCUGGUCUAAUGUUUUAUCUAAUUGCUAGUUGGGAAAUAGCAUAGGGUUCUUUGCAUCCAUUUGUUAGCUGCCUUGUUCAUAUCUGCUUACCCAAAUAUAUCCAUAUACCAUUGCUUCGAAGUGGAAUUUGCUACUCCGGGGGUCCAUAGACACAGUUGCUGUUCUAGAUUAUGCUGCAGUUGAUAGUGUUACCAUCAAUUGUCUUUUAGUACACCAAGACGCUACUACAUCUAAGACUGACUAAAAUGUUUCUGUUAGUUGAUUGGCCCAUCUUCUGGUCUUUGGAAUAAUCAGGAGCACAGUACCCAAUUAGCUUGCCCUCUUUACCCUUGUACAAUGAAAUAAGGUUGCAUUUUUACAAACUAUACAAGAGUAAUAAAACCUUUAUAUUCAGGUCUCCACCUGUGGAUGAUUAUUAUUCUCAUGUACAUUUGAAAAUACCAGUUGUGGAUCUAAUUCAGAUAUUUAACAACCAAUAUUAUAACAAGGUAAAAUCUCUGCGACAUGACAUGUUACAACUCGUUCUUCUGAAGUUGCAGUUUCGCCUUGUUUCUCUUCUUGAAAAGUGUUACAUAUUUGUCUCAUGUUGCUUAGGUGUGUCUACGAGCCUCUAAUGUGCUCAAUCGUCUUUUGUUCUAUCGUUGUCUUGAUUGUGAACAUUACCUUGCCUAUCUUUCAUUUUUAUUUCUUCAAAGUGGUAGCAUACUCGUGACCUUAGAGAUAUGACUCCAUGUAUGUCAACCACAUGUUUUAAUUCUGGUUGUGGAACCUCUUGAUACCACCUACCAUUUGUAGGCUGCUUAUGAUGACCCAACCUAGUUUCUCUCAGUGCCAAGCUUAAUCGCAGACAAGUUUCAGAGUCUCAGCUUGGGCACGAUAACUAGAUCCCUAACUGCCUUGCUCUGAUACCAGAAUCUUGAACAAAACAUGUGGGAAGCCAACAGAAUUUGAAUAACUUGCAUACUACGAAUGCACAACUAUAUUACACACACAAACAAAGACACUUGUGCAGGCACACUCAUUUAAAUAGACGCUCUUACUUACACCUGACACCUCACUUUCACUCAUGCUCUGCUACAGGGAUAAUCAGAGCUGAGCUCUCUAUAUAAUGAUGAUCAAAGUCAGUUCUGCCAACUUUACUUUGUUAUUUUUUUUGCUUUAUUUGUUCAGAUGAGCAGCUGCAUCCAACUCAAAUGGCUAGCAUAAGUAACUGGAUAUAUCAGUCUAUCCUCAGCUUACUGAUAUGAUGUGUUGUUUUAGGAAAAUGUUAAGUCAAGUCUUACUCAAUAGCCAUCUCAUCCGUUUCCAUAUGUGAUACUAAUAGAUAUCCCUUCUUGGGAUUUUGUCAAAUUUGAUGCGUGGCCUUCUUUUUAUGGAAGAUAACUUAACAUCAGUCCUUCAUUCAUUUUGUAACAAUAUGCUUUGUUAAUAUGUACUUGUGCAAAUAUCCAUUUGUUUGGAAGUUGGAAAGUGAAAAUUUGUGCGUGAGGAGUACAUUGUCCAGACCUAGUACAUCCGCAGCUUACAGAUCUGUGGGUGUUCUUUUCAUGCAGAUCACAUCCACGCUUACAUUUGCUGCCGCAUGUGCUUCUGCUGGAAUUACUGUCCUCAUUGCCAAUGAUCUUAACAAAUGUGAUGUGAACCAUUGCAAAAGGUUUGAGACUGCCACGGCUAUGGCUUUUAUCAGUUGGUUUGCUGUGUCACCAUCCUUUCUUUUAAACUUCUGGUCACUGGCUUCCCGGUGAAACACGGCAGGGGGGGAAUUCAUCAGUGAGCCGAGUCUUCUUAUAUUCUAAAAAAAAAAAAUUGGCCUCUUUUAAUGGCUGUGCAGGGUAUUUGUUUGAUUGCCCUUAUUCUGUACAUAGAAAUAUUCUGGCAGAGUUUGUUGAAGAAUAAUAACAUUUAGCAUGGAGAUAUGUAUAAUUUUGGAUUUUGAAUCUUUUUCCUCAUUGUGGGUGUCAUGUGAUAGUUUUUGUUGUUCUUCCAAAAGCGUUUUCCUAUUGGUUUGCUUUGAAACUUCUUAGGGUCUAUAUGCACCGAAAGCAGCAUUGGAAAUUCUGCAGGCUAAAAGCUUAUAGGUGCCAAGUGGGAACCGUAAAUAUCAUUCUGCUUCCUUGAAAUGAAGAAGACCUAAACCCAUGUAGAUUUGAUCAAAUGACAUAACCCAAUGUCAUGGCCAAGAAUCCCACGUGCAGAAGAAUGAGGUCCCUCAAGAGUAGGUAUGCAACAUCACCUAACAUGACAUGCUAGUCUUUUCGGUUGAUUGGCGAGCACCUAGCCGGUUAGGAGUAGUAUUCGAGCACCCCCAUUUUUGGUUAAUUGGCAAGCACAUAACCUGUUAUGGGACGUAGAUGUAUUAACGGUGAAAUCAGUUACCAAAUACUGCCUUUCCGAAAGGAGAAGGAAAAAAAACACAUAUGUAGACGUCACAACUUACAUUAGGUUGUGCAGUGGUUAAUAUAAUUGUAACUGAAGAAGUUCAACUUUCUAAGAAUACAACUUUUUCUUUUUCACUUUUUUUGUUAGUGGUUGGUUAUAUAUGGGAAGUAGUUACAGUUUUAUUAAGAAGUCUCUUCUUUUGGUAAGUCUCUAACUCUUCUGUUAGCUUCUAAUCUCCUUUUCUGAGUAAGUGAUUAACUGAGGAUUAGGCUAAAUCUUGACACAUCUCUCAUCAACACAAGAUUAGUGUUUAAUCGAAAGCGUAAGGGAAAAGAAAUGGCAAGCAAGAUAACGGUCUCUCAUCCCUUUUCAAUUCUCUGCCUAGAAGAACAGUCAAGACAGUUGGUAACGGCCAUAAAAGAUUUAAGCAAAGAUGGCUUUCCGUGCUAUUAACCUGCUCCUUGAGCAACUUGACCAUCUAUAUAUAUGUUUCAACCUUUACUGUUAUCUUUGAACAAUUUGUCCCAAAGAGAGAAGGGUUUAGCGGGCUUGAAGUUGAAGAUUGGAGAAGUAUGUCUAAUAAGGAAGUUGAGGAGGAAAGAAGGCUAUAUCAGUGUGCAAGGAAUUAUGAAAAAAUUGUAAAACAGGUAGAGUGUGCAACGUAGUAUGUUUACUUUUACCAACUGGAUUUACCUUUCCCUAAUUUAAAUUUAACCAUGUUUGAAAAUCAAAAUUACUGAGAUAAGUUAGCCUGGAAAUCAUAAUGCAUCCCAACCCCUUAGUUAGAACAUUGUUUCUUUCUUUCUUUCUUUCUUUUUGGAAUGACAUUUUGUUCCAACUUAUACACAAAUUGAUUAGGAAACUUGGGUUUGAUUUCUGUUCUUCAGUUUGAUGAGCUGAUUGAGAUGAUGAACACCCGGAGCAGACUGCCGAAGCGACGAAAGGUAUCUUCCGAUAACAUCUCUUAUAUAAUUCCAUCUUCAUCUUUAAAUCUCACGUAUGUUCAUGCAAUUCACAGAAUUCUACAACUGCUGCCCCUGCCCCGGCAAGUCAACAUGAGGACAAUGAAGUGUUUGCACAGACAAUAACAAGAUUUCUCCAGGACCUGAGAACCAACCCUGCAGAACCUGACUGCUCCACAGCCCCCGGAGAUGGAAAUUAGUUAUCUUCCUGCGGGGAAAAGAUUGCUUGUAAAGAUGAUUAUGAUCUCACUGCCAUCUUAACGAGUAAUUGUAUUUAGUGGUGGUUAGUGGCUAAUAAUUACUAUUUAAGUGAAUGCUUGACUAGCUAUCUUAGCAUGGUUAAAAAUGUAAUGAUAUUCAUCUCUUGAAAGUGCAUGACAGGUGUUCCAGGCGAAACUCUCUACAGUAAAUGUUUUUCCUUUUUGUCAAUGCGGUAAUUUAAACUUCUCUAAUCUACAGAAUCCUACUCUAAACUACAGAGAGGAUUCGGAAGUUAGGAGUGUGUAUAUUGCCCUAGCCAACUGGCCUAAGCACAUUUUUAUUUAAGAAAAAGAAAGAAUUUGACUUAACAAAAAAAUCCAUGUACGACACGCAGAGUCUUUUGAAUAAAGGCGCACAAGACACACAAUCGGACAUCCAAAAUUUCACAUCUUUCAAUUAAAUGAAUUACAGGGUCCGAAAUUCCUGGAGAUCUAUUACAAGAAGGAAUCAUUGCAGGAAAAGAAAAACAUAAAUUGAAGAUUGAACAACUUACAUUGGUUCCUAAGCAAGAAAAUAAAGGUGGAAAAAAGUCAUUGUAUAUUCAUUGUAGAAAAGCAGAGUCAUUUUAUCGAACACCUCUCAGUUUCCUAGAAAGCAGCACAAGUUAAGAGUAGUAAGGGGCCACGCGCAUCUCGUGCAAAAAAAGGUCUCUCGUGCUUACCAUUGGAAGUUGCAAAUUUGCAAAAUGGAGAUUGAGCUCAUGAAAUUAGUUUCUUGGUGGGGAGCACAUGGAUUGGACAAUAAUGAAAAAUGAGGUAAAUUUGGUUAUGCUGAAGCUCUUGACCCUUGAUGAUCAGAAAACCUAUUGCAAGCUGCACUUCAGCUUCUCAGCCUCAAGCUCUUGUUUCAUGGCUUCCAUCCGUUCAACCAAGGCCAUAUUUUCCUGGGCAUUUCAGGGCUUGUAAGAAGAGGAACACGAUUCAAACCUAAAGGAACUUUUAAACACACUAACAUAUCAUUGUCUAUCAGAGCCAGCAAGGGAGAAGAAAAGGAAAAAAACCAGACUUUCAUUUAACAUCAAAACAUGCAGUUUAUGCAUAAGACUUGGGUGCAUAACAUAAGUUGAAAUUUUAAGUCUGAUAAUAUGAGCAAGCCAUUCUCAGCAUUGUUUUUACUUAGCUCCUUAAAGUGGAUGAAUGAAAAAGAGAAAGAUUGCAUUGAAUCUUACAGCUUUUAGUUCUUACCCUCUUUUGACUGCUUGGUUAUAGGACUUGUUAUGAGACAUCAUGAUAAUUUUUGUAUUAAAUUUUGUACUGGAAAAAAAGGGUCACCUUUUGUAGAUUCACCAAUUUCUGGUUGAGGCUAGCAGCAUUUCCAUCAUCCUCCUCAAAAGACCCCUUUAUCUGCGAGAACGACGAAUAAUUCAUCGGUCCACAAAGAGAUGAUUACGAUAGGCACAGAGAAUCUAAUCUUACCCUGGGGUGGAGGGAAAGACAAAGACACCCAAUUCUGUGCAUAUAUACUAUUGCUAAUGAGAACAGACCCGCUUAUCAAAUGCCAAAACAGAUAUAUGGGCCUCAACUACUCUUAACAGCUAAAGACCCCUGGUAAUUUAGUUGAGGACAUACGAUGGUUAUGAAGGGAUUUGCUCUAUCACCAUUCAGUGCAAAAUUCAGGAAGAUAUGUGUUGAAGCAAUAAUUUGACUGGUGCCCAGUCCAGAAAUGUGCUUUAGAAUUAUUAUUAUCAUUGGUAGGUGAGAGGUUUUACCACAUCUGAUCUGGACCAGCAGUUUUACCACAUCAAAACAAUAAAAUAAAAAUAUAGGAAAAAGGUUUAUUAUUUACUUGACAAGAUCAUGUUGUUAGACUGAAGCAUUGUUUAACAAGUCAUUCAACUCCAGGAUGCCCUUCCAAAGAUUGGACCCAAACGCUCUUCUACAAUUUUUGGCCAAAACCUCAUGAAUGCUAAAAAAAAAAGUGAUAAAAACCAUACUAUAGUUUCAAAAGUGGUUUUAAAUUUAAUUAUCUUUUGGGUCAAUGUAGAGAUCAUUUUCAAAGACUACAUCUUGCUUUGGCAUCCUUACAAUUCUCAGCAUGCAAAGUCAACCUCCAAAGUGCAUAUGAAAAUUAAUUUGCCACACUAAGUAUGCUCCAAUGAGAUUCGUGAAAAACAGCGAUAACAUACCGUUUUCUACACAGAGAUAUGAAGCUCUAGUUAUACAACAAAUCGUGAAAAAUAAUUGAAAAGAAUUGGCAAAAUCAGGUGCGGACCUGUUUGAGUUCGUUCAUACACUUGGUAGCCCUUUCUGCUUCUACAUCGUAUUUCAGCCUCCACUCAGCAGAUUCAUCCAUUGCUUCCCUAUUAGCAAGGUCGAACUGCCGCCUACCAUAUUUUGAGAGAAAAAAUAUAUGUAGUUGACUAAAAAAAAUCUUUAAAUCAUAAUAGAAAUAACAAAGAAACUCGACCUAUAAACCCAAAUCAACACUGAAAAUCCCAUUUCAUUUUAUGGCAAACACUACUAAUUUUUUGACAUAUGAAACUCUAGAAAUGAAAAGGGUACAUGUAAAAUCAUAUACUACAAAAUAUAAAAUAGGAGCCAACCCAGAAACUCAACUUAGGAUUUAUGAUAAAUUAGCUCAAGAAUCAAAAGAAAGUUUCUGUCUUUUCUCACAACUGAUAUUCAACUAUGCCAUCAGAUCAGAAUCACUAUAAUGGGAAGUAAUGCAAGAACUUGGGCUUAAAUUUAUCUUAUAUAUAAAGGGCAAUCAUUUUUUCAUUCAUUCAUUCACAAAAUCCACAAAAACAUGAACCCUUAAAAACAAAUUUGAGGUUGACAGAGAGAUGAGAUGGGAAUUAAAGCAAAGCAAACCUCAAGAGCUCAGCUUCAUCGGAAGAAACGGUAUAGUCGAUGGUCCAAAGCUUCAAGUACACUGCAACCCCAAAAAGCAUCAGCACCACCAAACCCACCAAUAUUUUCUUGCUCCCACCACCACCCCCCAUUUUUUGUUUCUCUCACUCUCACUUCUGUUCUGCGACCAAACCCAAGACAAACACGCGGGUAAGAACCUGGCUUCAACUACUCGUAAAUUGGGCCUAAACUAGGCAAUGGCCCAUGACCCUAUACUUUUGCCUUUUUGUUGAGUGAUUCUAUUUUGCACUCAAAAGGGUCUUUGGACAUCCCUGAAAGUUCUUCUAUUUUAAAAUGACAAUUAUACCCUUAUGUACAGUCGCCACAAAGUACUUUUGCCCUUUUGGAUUUCUCAGGAUACCCACACAACACAACACUAUCGAACCGAACCGAACUCACCAUGGCACCAUCUCUCCCUUUCUAACCCUAAUUUACCUCUUUCUCAACUGCUCUGAUGAUCAUGAGGAAGAAAGUGAUGAAGAAGUGGAUAUAUUGAAUGGUUCCUUAAAACUAAGGAGGAGUUCUCCUCAUAAUAAAUGGGAUUUUGACACUUAUCAAAUUCCCAAAGAAAUAAAAGUUGAAGGAAUUCAAAAGAAAACAAACAAGUUAAAGGAAUUUGACAAGUGUGAAAACCCCAUUUGUUAGGAGGAGGAGUUCUUCCAAUUAAAGCACAGAUUUCUUAUCAGUUUUUCGUUGAGCUUUCAAUUUGACCUCCUGUAGGCUGUAGGUUUACUUGGAAUUUGGUGAUCGCAGAUCAUUGUAUGGAUGUAUUAUAAAGCUGACCGGGUGAAUGAUGAUUUAUCUUUCAUAUUCUUGUUUUUCAGGGACGUUCAGUUCUUGAUAAAUGCUUACAUUCCCUUCAUUCUUCAGUUUCUGGUAAAUGAUUCCCUUCAUUCUCCAUAUUAAUUACUAGCGUUUGAUUAAAUAAGUAUUUAAAGAGUAUACGGCUAUACCUUUUGAACGUAUUAAAAUAUUAAAUAGUAUAGCCGCGCGGCUAUACACUUUAAAUGUAUUAAAAUAUUAAACCGUAUAGCCGAGCGGCUAUAUUAUUUAAAUAUAUUAAAAUAUUAAAACUUAUAGCCGCGAGUUCAUAGUCGUUAAAUGUAUUCGAAUUAAACGGUAUAGCCGGGCGGCUAUACGCUUUACAUGUGUUAAAAUAUUAAAGAGUAUAGCCGGGCGGCGAUACUCUAUAAAUAUAUUAAAAUAUUAAACUUAUAGCCGACGGGCUAUACCCCUUAAAUGAAUUAAAAUAUUAACAGUAUAGCCGCACGGCUAUAUGCUGUAAAUAUGUUAAAAUAUUAAACUGUAUAGCCGCCUGGCUAUACUCUUUAAAUAUAUUAUGUUUUAAUUAUUAUUUAUUUAUUGAAGAAUUAGUAUUUAAAUACUUUAAUUAAUUUUAUAAAUUACUUCAUAAAUAGUAAUUAAUUAUAUUUAAUCAUCUUUAUAAAAAAAAAUUAUGGAAUUUAAAAUUAUUUUAGUAUUCUAAAAAUAGAGUUUAGCCUCCAAACCCGAAAUCCAAGUCUCUAUCCAAAAAGCUUAGCUUUCGAACUUAUCUGAACUUGUUCCAAAACCGUUCGCAAGCCUUGAACCCUAAUGUAAACCUAUCGUAGGGCACUUAGGACUUGAUUAGGCUUAGAUUAUCACUUAACUCGACCUAGAGCUUUACGAUUUAGGUUUUGAUCCCAGUUGGUUUUCUUAACACCACUUAUCUUCUGGAAAUUAGAAAAUUCGAAAUCAAAUUAAUCUAAGACAAGUUUAUAUGAAGAUAAGAUAUAAGUAUCUUCAUCCGCAAGUUUAUUUGAGCAUUGCCCGAUCCAAAAGCUGCUGGGACAUCUUUGCAGACCUGUGAUCUAUAUUCUAUACAAUUAAUGCCUCCUUCCACCGCCACUGGAGUUCAGAUAACAGAAGAAGACGCUGCAAAAUUGACAACCGCCAUUCCCACUAUUCACUUAGAUCAUGAUCUAGUUCAGUUAUAGUUGAAGGAAAGAAAGACAGUGAUGUAAUAUAUCAAGUAGUUUCCCCGUGAAAGAUACAACUAAUUUGUUUCCCUCUUCACGUGUUAGAUCAGUUUGCUCUAAAGCACAUGUGUAAUGUGACAAAUAAUUCUCUAGCAUCGGACACAUGAAUGAUAAAUAAUUUGUUUUCCAUGCAUUUUUCAAAGACAAUAUGCAUCAGAUUUUCCCGAGGAAACAUGUUAGACGUGUAAUUGCAAGUUGAACUUAUCAAGCAUAAACACGAGAAAAUGCAACUUGAUGAAGACCUUCUGUCAUUGACAGACUCCAAACCAAAUGGUUCUGUAGAUCUUUCAAAUGGUCAAAUGCAAUUUGAUGAAGAGUUUCUCUUUCACCAGUCAUAAUCCUUUCCGUCACUCCAAUCGCAAGAAGAGCGGAAUCUAGAGCAUACCACAUGUGCAGGAAAAUCACUGAGUCAAUGUUUUUACCUUUUUCAUGUGAGGGCAAUGAUUCAUUACAAACUAGCAUAGAAAAAUAAAAUACCCGGCAAACCCCUUAACGUAUAUAAAGGCAAGGUGAAAACUGCCGUGGGAAUUGAAAAUCGUCAGAGAUCAAAAGACAUCAUUUCUAUCCAGAGAAAUUUAUUUAUUUUCGAACCGCCCAGGCCGAUGAUCUAGGAAAACAAUAAUGAGUUGGAAUUUUAUAACCAUACCGAGUCUCCUCCACCACUCCAUCCACAUCACCAUCGUUGUUUCAAAUCCUCCUUUGAACACCGUUAUCGCUAAACCCAAAGAACCACUUGUAUUUUAAAUAUAAAAUUAGAAAAUUAGUUUAAUAUUUGUAAUUAUAGUAAUUAUGUUUUUAUUUUUAUUUAUUUAGUGAAUAAUUAGUAUUAGAAAGUAUUUUGAAUAUUGAAAGCGUAUAGCCGGACGGCUAUACUCCGUAAAUAUAUUCGAAUAUUUAAAACGUAUAGCCGCCCGGCUAUACUCUUUAAAUAUUUUAUUUUUUAAUUAUUAUUUAUUUAGUGAAGAAUUAGUAUUUUAAUAUUUUAAUUAAUUUCAUAAAUUACUUAAUAAAUAGUAUUUAAUUAUCUUAAAUAAUUGUGUGGAAUUUAAUUUUUUAUAUUAAAAAAUAGUUUAAUUUUUGUAAAAAAAAUCCUAGAAAAUUAUUUUAGUAUUCUAAAAAUGAAUUUUAGCUUUCAAACCUGAAAUCCAAGUCCCGAACCAAAAAUCCUAAUUUUCGAACUCAUUUGAACUUGUUUCAAAACCGUUCGCAAGCCUCAAACUCUAAUUGUAAACACCAAUUUUUUGGAAGCCACUUUGUUUCAAAAACUUGUUCUAUCUAAGUGGAUAGCUAUGCAAAGUUAAAAAAAUAAAAAGAAUCGUUUAGGAUUUGCGUGUGCAAAUAUUAAGUUUUAGACCCUUAUGGUCGGGACAAGUUUGAGAUAAGGGGAAUAACAACCCCACUGUUGUACCUGUAGCAGCUUAAGCAUCUAAUUCCAUUUUUUAAGCAUUAUUCUGGGGGCCCAAUAAUUUGAAAACCCAUUACACUCAGGCCCACAUAUCUGCGAAAAUACCAGCACAUCACUGAGUUUUGUGUCAAAUCUCAUCAUCCUGCCUGCAUCCCACAAUUUCCUUUCAUCUUCAUCUAUUGCUUGUCGCAUCUGUCAAGUUUAAAGAUACAUAAAUUAUUGAGGUUUCUUAUCAUCAGUUGCCCACGCACACCGUGAUAGUGAGCCGUUGAUACACACAAGUCUUACAAUGCAUAUAUAACUUACAUUCAUCCACAACCAAUUUCAUGAGUAAUUAUAAACCGUUAAUACAUACAUGUCUCGUGACGUAUCAACGGCUUACAAUCAUCUACUAAGCUCACAGAAACAAUCAAUAUACACAGGCCCACAUAUCUGUAAAAAUACCAGCACAUCACUGAGUUUUGUGUCAAAUCUCAUCAUCCCACAGUUUCCUUUCAUCUAUUGCUUGUCGCAUCUUUCAGGUUUAAAGAUACAUAAAUUUUGGAGGUUUCUUAUCAUCAGUUGUCGACACACACGGUGAUAGUGAGCCGUUGGUACAUUAUACACAAGUCGUACAAUGCAUAUAUAACUUACAUUCAUCUACACUCACGUGCAUGAGUAACUAUAAACCAUUAAAACAUGCAUAUCUCGUAACGCAUCAACGGCUUACAAUCAUCUAUUAAGCUCAAAAGUUCUUCCAAUCUACCCAACCCAAAAGCUGCUUUAUUUGUUCACUCACCCCAGAUGGUUUUGGCAGUUCCAAUAACCCAUCAUGAAAAGUGAAAGCUAAAAUAAACGUGAGGCAUUUUGCUUGUUAUUGUUGUCUAUAUCCUUUUCACUCAACCAAAACGAUCGGUGGGGAAGAAACAAAUGGAAAUUGGAAACAGAGGGUGUGAAAACAAAUCAAGCAGCGCCCCUGGUUUCGUUGGUUUAUUACUAAACCUAUAUAGAGUACUACUAUUUAUUAAUUGCAGUUCGUUGGAUUGGAUUGGACAUAACCAUUUGAUGAUGUCAAAGUUCAAUAAAUUUUUAUUAUUGCAUUUUAUUUUGGGCUCAAGAGAGAGAUGCUCUUCUUUUUUUUGUUUUUUUUUCGUCUCCUGGUGUGGAGAUGCCCAGCUGGUCAAGGAUUAACUUUGACAUGCUGCUGCUUGUCGUUUUUCAAUUUAUAUGUUCAGUUAUUAACUGAGGCUAUAAUUAGCAUAUUGUUUAUAGGGCCUUCUAGAGAGGUUGACAUAAUUUUAAACUUAUUGCUGCUGCUGACUGCUGAGGGUUCUGGCUUUUGGUGAUUCAUGGACAGGAAUAGGUUAAAGGAAAAUUUAAAAUUUUCAUUGCACAUAACAUAAAUGGCUCCAUUUUGGAUUGUGGGAUUUCAUUUGCAUUUUAGUUCAUGUUAAGGUUCUUAAUAACGAAAAAUUUUCCGAAUUCAAAUCUCUCUUCCGGUCUUUUGAUAAAUAUAUAAAAAUAUAUAUAAAGUUGUGUGAGGGAGAAUAAUGUGAAGGAAUAUAAUGAUUCCAAUUGAUUCAUUGAACUUAGUCCUUUCAAGUCAUGAAGAAAUUAAAUCCAACUCUCUAUAAUACAUUUUAUUGCUUUUAUGGUUAACUUCUUUGAACCAAUAUAAAGUUGUUGCUUUUUAUUUUAUAAAAAGGCGACAGAAUCUUGUUAGAUUCUAUCGCACGAGCGAACAGUAAAACUGAAAUGAUCUUAGAGAGAAUCACUCUCAAAAACAAAUUUUCUAUGACUUAUUUCUAUCAUCAUAAUUUUCCGCAAAUUUAGUCCAAUGACAUCAAGGACAAAACUGGCCACUAACGGACAUGAAUCUCCUAGAGAGACUAAAAUACUCAACAAACUCAAUUAAGUUUAUGGGAAUUAUGAGAGAAAAAAACACAUAAAACCCAUAGAGUUUGUGGACCAAAAAAACCAAGACUACAAAUCUAAAACAAUGCCGACAAAAGGAAGAACAAAUAUCACUCAUUUUUCUUGGGAACAUGACAUAGAGAACGCCAACUAAUCACUCCAUGGCCCCAACACGGCAACGCCCUAAUCAACAAUAUAUCUAUCAUAAUCAAGCAUCAACACCUCAAAGGGUAGCCCCACAAUAUGAGGCACAUUUAAAACCAGCUCAUAUUCAAUGCAAAGACAAUAGAUUUGUCAAAGAAAAAUCAUAUCAACACACAUCCACAAAAAUUCAAAGAACACCAAAUAUGAAGCUUAAACCGUAAACCCGAAAUUGGUUUUGAAUGGGAAUUUGAAUUUAUAAAGUCAUCGUUAAAAUCCAAAUUUGGUGCAAAUCAACCUCAAAACGUCUUGAAUCUAGUUUUCCAACCUCGUCCAAGCCCAAUGAAUAGUAAAUCUAUGUCAUCAUAAGUUAACUUUAUAACACACUUCUCUUCUAACUUAAUAACUUUUUUUCUUUUCUUUUUUUUAAUUUUUUUUUUUAUAGGGCCAUUUGGGUAUGCAUGUUGACAUUAUGGUGACACAUUCAACUCCCAAGAGUGUAUCUGCCUAGCAAAAGUUGAUAGACACUUUUUACGACUGUUUUAAGCAUGCAAAUACCAGGUACAAACAACGACCGACUACGAAAACCAACGUUUCUUCUUCUUCUUCGUCUUUCUUUUAUUUUUCUUUUUUAUACAUAAAAUGAAUGCCAAAGUAGCUGUGGGUCAUUUGUCAUCCCAAGGGAGCAUAAAUUUCACUUCAAGGCUUCUUCUAGCUGCUCUGUAUCUUUUACACCUACCACCCCUACCAACCAAACCUUCAAUUUUUUUAAUUUCCUCUGCAAUUUACUCUGUUUCAAUCCAUUAACCCCAUAAUAACAAUAACACCAAAUAAUAAAUAACAAAAAUAUUUAUAAAAAUAAAAAUAAAAAUUAUCAUUAAUAUUUCCAUCCAUUGUCAUCAUCAAUAUGACAACCUGGAGAAGAAGAUGAAACACAAAAUGCCAUCAUCAUCUGAUCUCGAAACCAAAAUAUCAUUAAGAGACUUUGGGCUCUGCAAAACUCAGGUCCUCCCAUAAAACUCAGGCACCCAAAGCAACACAAACCCAGAAAGAUCAAACCAGCACCAGAGAAAAAAAAAAAAAAAAACAUAAACGUUGUUAAUAAUCAAAAUAAGAUCAAGAUCCGUUGCCAAGUCGCUUCUAAAAUAUCAAACCAGUUUAACGGAGAUCAUAGAUAUAAAUUAAAUUAGAAACCAGUCAUCGUUGAUUUCAAAUUUUUCUUUGCUUGCCCUACCAAAAUUUCCAGUAAGUCUCUGUUUUUUUUUUCGGCCUUAAGUUCUAAAAUUUGCUACCGAUCAAUCUUCGAACCCAACUUUUUUCCAAAUCGCGUUUCUCACUCGCCUCAAGUCUCUGCCUUUCAAGGUCCUCCCAAUCCCUUCAUGAACAGAAAACGAAGCCCCUCUCGUCCUCGCCAAGUACUCGUGAGGCGGGACCCUCCCAUCUCCGCCAUCAUCAUCAUCAUCGCCACCGUCAAAAUCUUCUUUUCCGCGGUCUUCAUCGCUGUCUCUCUGCCUCUGGUCUUUGUACGCCUCUUUCAGAAUAUUGGACCAGUCCGGAAUGUUCACCGGCAACGACGCUGACGUCACCUUGGCACUAUUUUUCUGAUCAGCCAUGCUCAUCAGCAUCGUCGUCUUCCUCCCCAUUUUCUUCAGCUCUCUGUAACUGGGUAUGGCGUUCUUCUUCUGUUCUGCAACUGGGUUCGACGAGCUCCAUAUAUCGGCCUCGUCGAACUCGAAGAGCCCGUCUGAGCCAAUUGGGUUGUCGCCGAUCGACGAGGUGGGGAAGAUGGCCUUCCUCGACGCCAUUGAUGAAUGAAGAACCGAGUUUUGAAGCCUUGGCUCUGUUUCUGCUCUGUUUUCAGUCUGGACUAUUUUUCUUUGCUUCUUUUUUGGUAAGAAAAUUUUAUGACCGAAAACGUUGAUUGCUCUGCAUUUUAUAAUGGCGAGUGUAAUGGAUAAGCUCCCUUUUUCGCUCUUCGUACAAAGUUACAUUUGUCAUGCUAAACGACAAAAAAUGGUAAAUGCUAGAAUGUGGGCCUCCUCAUAUGUUUGGUAUGGAGACGAGAUGCUACAUCAUGUCCAUGCCCUAAUUGCUUCUUACUUUCUUUCUUUACCUUUUUUAUGCCACAAGAUGAUUAGUGAUGCACAUUAAAACAUAUGAUAACGAUUAAGUCAUACGUAAGCAAGUGAAUAAAAAAAAGACCCUCAUAAUACACAAGUUGUUUAUGUUCGUGUGAGUGAUUAUUAAUCUUUCAUAUGUCGGCAUACAGGUCAACAAUCUUUCAAAACGAUUGAACUCAAAGUCUGAAUAUUUAUAUGUAUAAUAUAUUUUCUCAAAUUCAAUUUCAAUCGAUUAAGUAAAUGAUACGACAAAAUCUUAGUUGUGAAACUAACAAUAACCAAAUAAAACAAUGUAACAAUAAUUGGUAUCCAAAUUUUAGGGUUUUAUCCAUAAUAUAGGACCUUAUCCACAGUUUAAGAGCUCAAUUUAGUUGGACUGCUCAACCAUUUUUUCAGUUUUCAUUUUAAUAAUAUAUUUAUUAUGUUCUUAUCCUACAUAAAGCCAUUUUUUUUUAACAGUUUAGAACAUGUUAGGUUAUUUGUCGAACAAAAUGCUAAACAACACCUUCUACUAGUAUUAUGAUGUUUUCCCCUUAUUAAAAAAGGGUCAUGCUAGGGAGACCAACUUUAGAUACCAACUUGUGUACCAACUCUCUAAUAGAGGUGGAGCCCACCAAUACAAUGGGUCCCACACUCUAUUAGAGAGUUGGUACACAAGUUGGGAUCUAAAGUUGGUCUCCCUAGCAUUUUCCAUUAAAAAAUUCCUCAAUUACAGCCGAAUCACACGUAGGACAAUAUGUGUCAACUUAAUUAUAAGUUGAUUACAGAUUAGGCAGGCAACAAAGUGACACGUCAUUCUAGACAAUUAUCGAUUAAUUAUCCGUACAUAAUUUCCACACAAAAAAAUCGAUUGAGCAAGAUGGGAUAUGGACGAAUUUAUCCAUACGCAUGUAAACGACACGUGGACCAACCAGCGUUUGGUUUUCAACGACUCGAAAUUCAUUGGGACUUAUGAUUGAACCAGUAAACCCAUGACACGCUCGGGUUUCCGUAUAGUCUUUAACCACGCUGUAGGUCAAGGGCGCGGGCCCCGCAGCCCAUUCGACGUCUAUAAAGGGAUCGGAAUGUCCAUAUCGUGCCACGUCACUUACGCAAUUUCUUUCAUUUUUGGGGUAACAAAAUUAGGCCUUUUGUCGCGACAAGGGCCAAUCUGCUGUGACUGUGAGCUCUGUAAUCAAAAUGAUCAGCCUGGCAUUUCCGUGAUUGACAGCAAUGAAGAGCUGUUGGGAUUUUUGAGAUGCAUGUUAUAUUUGGAUAAGAACUUUAUUUUUGGGGUAAUUUAUUAUGUACUAUAAACAUUUUUUAAUUAUUAAAUUAAAUUUCAAAAGAAGAAGUUUGUAGUAAUAGAGAAAAUUGAAGUGAAGUAUUAUUUCGGGGAUGUCACAAGUUCAAAUCUUAUGAGUGAUAAUUGUUUCGAGAUUUUCUGUUGAUUAAGCAUUUUUUAAAGUCAGAUCAAUCCAUCAUUGAUUUGUGCAAAUUAGAAAGAUGCAAGAAAAUCAACAUUUCUUGCAAUCUUUUAUUAAUCUUUAGUGUUACUUGGUGACAACAUCAAUGAAUUGCCAUCAUUUUCCGUAGUUGGUAGUUUUGGCGUGUUUGUUUAUAUUUCUUACACACACAGAUUUAAUAGUCAGUUCAGAAAAACUGAGUUGGAGAUCUUUGUAGUAACUAACAUAGAUUGAUAAUCUUUCUAAUUGUCAUAUAGCGGUAAGGAGCGCGUAUAAACCACUUCAGAUAAAACACGAAAAUUGAAAGCAUGAGCAUUUUUCCACAAUGUGAUGAUGGGGAGUAAGAUAAGACACAAGUGCCUCUGCCCAUGAGUUUGAAACUUGUUGGAAACUGAUGCCUCUCAAGAAAAUUGAUCGAUCAUGACAUGGAUGAUGUUUUGUAUAUAUGAAAAUGAGAAAGCAUUGGUCUCUUCCCAACAACUUCACCCCCCGUUUAAUGAAUGCACUAUAGUAAAGUCACCAUCUUCUAGUAAACGUCUUAUCGUCAAGUACUAAUUAAUAUGAUUUUCAUUUUCAAAGAUGCGGCCUAUGUUGUACGGACACGAAAACGCGAUAUAGAACACGGCAAUUAAAAUAAUAAUAAAGAAUUUUGAAUCCUUAUCACUUUCAUUCAUCUCCAAUAUCUUAUUCACCAUACUACACACAACUUUGUGAUUAUAUGCUACAUUAUUUGAUAUUUAUAAUGUUUAUACAUCAUUUGAAAAAACUAUCCUAGUAAAAAUGAAAAAAAAUAAAUAAAAGUCUUUUUUUUCUAAUUAAAUUGAAAAUUAUGAUUAUUAACCCCAAGCGGCCCCUGCAAAACCAGAAGAUGUGUCUCUCACAAAUCCCAAUUGGCCCCCGCAAAAUUCGUGAAAUUGUCAGCUCAGCACCCCUUUCAUUACCAUUUAAACGAGGAUGCCCUUUAAUCUGAAACAAACACUACCAAACUUAAAAUAUGGAAUUCCCUUCGAUUCCUCAAGGCUCCACUGAAUUGAAUUUAUCUCUUGCUCCUCCUCCAACCCAAGAAACAACACAUGAAAAUGGUGUGUUUCCACACUCCACCUCAAGGCUCCACAGAUUUGAAUUUAUCUAUUGCUCCUCCAACUCAAUAAACAACACAUGAAAAUGUUAUGUUUCCACACUCAAUUUCCAUACAGGUUCUACCUCUGUGCAAGCUGCAAAUAUGCACAAUGAAAUCUCAACAACUAUGGUAAUGGCGAGGAGGUCUGACAAGACUGCACUGGAAGAGACCAAUUUUUUCAAUGCUCACUGUGCUGCUUCAGUAGAAAAUUUAGGAUUGCGUCUACUAGCAAGGAACCAAAAGUGUGCUUCAUUGACUGCUUAAAUUGCAUCCUUGAAGGUUGAAGUUGAUGAAUUGCAUAGGCUCCUCAAACAAUCAAACCGACAUAUAGACGUACUAAAGUAGAAAAAUAGAGACUUUGCUAAACUGGAGGAAGUUUUACAGACACGAGUAUCAAGAAGAAACAGAUAAGGAUCUGAGAUGAAGACAAAAUGUCCCCCUUUUGAAAGUCUGUAUCCCCUUUAAUUUUAACGACGCAAAAUAACAUGAAGGAACAAAGAAAAAAAAAACAUAUUUAAAAAAAAAUAUUGUUUACAUUUUUUACCUAUUUUGUUAAAAAUAUUUCAAAUAUGUCCGUGUAGUUUUCAAUAAUUAUGUUUUGACCCCAGUUUUUGUUUUAUAAUUUUCAAAAUGGUUUUUGUCGUGUCUUGACUUCUGUUAACCGUGUCCAAAAAUGUCUUGACCGUAUCCAAAAUGUGUCUUGACCGCUGACCCAUGUCCAAGGCGUGUCCAAUGCGUGUCCGCUUGUACAACACUUCAAACUAAUGAAGUGCCUGUGUUACAUUGGACACGGCAUAUUAUUUUCUUGCGUGACGAGAAAUUUUUUAACCAUCCUUAUGAGGAUAAGGUCUUAAGGUAAACUAGGGAUAACAGUUUGUUAAUUUAGUUUGCUUAGGGAAAUCAUGUUGGGAUCCCAAGGAAUAUGGUGAUAGAAAUAAUGGAUUAAGCCCAAUAAUCGUAGUGUUUGAGAGCUUUUUAAAUUAACCAUAUCUUUUGAGAAGAGAUUUGGUCUAUGGACUCUGGAUGAUUAGCAGACUGAUUGUGUUGAGAAUCACGACAAUAAUAAAAUAUUAUAAUUUGUUUUGAGAAUAACGAGCCAUUUAUUUUAUCAAUUUAAUGAAAAGUGAGUAGUAAAAAAACAAAUCACACUAGUUUACGUCAUUGCAUGUAGAGUUGUAAAUGUGCGGUGGAAAACGCACGUUGCAUGCGUGAAGUCUUAUCUCUCGUGAAUCACGACUUGUGUAACUGUCGUUGCUGGUGAAGUGUAGCAUCUGGCAUGUAAAGAAGGGUUCACUAACUCUUUACUUUACCCAAAAACAACUUUAUCCUUGAUUAAUUUUUUUAAUUGCAUCAUCGUUUUAUAUUGAAUUCUUUUGAGAUUCAUAUCAUUCUAGUGCCUCGAGACUCCACGGACAGGACUCAAAAUUUAUAUGUGAUGUCUAAGCCGACUUACCAAACGUGCCUCAAUAAUAAUAAAAUUGGAUAACAUUGUAACAUAUUUGUGACAACAAAAUUUCCUAUUCAAGAUUGGACGCAAUUCUAAAUAUCCAGUCUUAGCCACAAACGAUUCUAGGCUAGAUCAAAUCCAUCGCAUGUCCAAUAAUUAACUACCUAACACACUUUUAUCAACUAGGUUCGGGACCGGGAGGCUAUAAAUAGGAGUUAAAAGUGAGAAGGAUAUUUGAGGAGGUCAAUCUCACCAUCAAUAAAUGUAAAACAACAUUAUUUUCUCAUUCAUGAUCAAUUUUUAAUGAAAAAAAGCUUAGGGAUUAAAUCUAAAAAUCAUGAUUUAAAGUACAAAAUUCAUUGGCAUUAGAUAAAAAGUUAAAAAAUUAGGGAUUCACCUGAUUUUAUAAGUUUCUUAUAAUCAUGCCUUCAAAUGUCAAAGUUUGCAUAAAACAUCCAACUUAGAGAGCUUUGGUCGAAUUGAAUCACAAAGUUUUGGUUCAUUUGAAUAUUAAAGGUUCAAAAGACGUUUUGGAUGAUUUGAAGAAUAAAAGUUCAAAAGACAGAUUCUGGAGAGAGAGAGAAACUAGAAGAAAGAAGAACGAACCAGAACAAAAAAAAUCUGAAACACGUUAAAAAGAGAGAGAGAGAGAGAGAGAGAGAGAGAGAGAGAGAACCAGAAAAAGGAAGAACAAACCCAGGAAAAAAAAAAAUCUGUAACACGUUUAGGGUUAGGAAAUUGAAAACAGGGGGCCGUUUUCUUCAGUCAAAAGGCCUCCUUUUUUUAUCCUUUCUUUAUCCUUUGUUUGGUGAUUGUCAAAAGGCCUCCUUUUUUAUUUAUCCUUUCUUUCGUCUGAUUGUCAAAAGGCAUAAAGAUUAAAAAUUGAAGUGUAGAUAAGUAAAGGGCUUUUUGGGUUUCUUUUAGAAAUUGGCUGGAAAAAAAAUUGGAGGCCCCAAAUAUUUGGGGCCACUGUGGCAUCGCCCAACCUGCACAGGUUAUUUGUCGCUAGUUAAGCCCAAGAACUCAUGACGAGAGAUUCUAUAAUGAGAGGCUAUGUUGAGGGGUUGAAUAACGCAACACUUGAUCGGACAAUUAUUAAUAACUUUGCACAUUGAACGACUAUUAAAAACCGUCUCAUUAUAACCCGUCACUAUAGAUGAGUCAUCAAAUAUAUGGAGACUUGGACCAAGAGGAAUUAGGCUUGAACACAAUCACCAUAUUAGGAUGGUCGAAUGGACCCACCCACUAGCAAGUUUGGACUGAAUGGGGCUAAAGUCCAAUAGAUCGGUGGUCCGUGGAUCAAUGGCCGUCAAUGACACAAAAGAUAUGGGUCAACUUGGGCUAAAAGUGUGGCGACUAAAUUUUGGGUGCGGAGAGGCAGAAUAUUUUUGGGUUCCAAUGCGAUUACUAGGAACAAGCCCAACAAAAGCCGAGGAGAUCAUUGUCAUUUCCAUUUGGCAAUCUCUCAAUCCACAAAACCCUAGCGUUAUAUGUAGCUCCCCUACAAAAACCACACAUUCACUCGCAAGCUGCCUCCUCCAUCCAAAACCCUAACCCCUCCAAACCCAGAGCGCCGCCGAAGAAGCCAUGCCUCCAAAGUUCGACCCAUCUCAGGUGGUCGAUGUCUACGUCCGCGUCACCGGAGGCGAGGUCGGCGCCGCCAGUUCCCUCGCUCCCAAGAUCGGUCCUCUGGGUCUCUCCCCAAAGAAGAUCGGAGAAGACAUUGCUAAAGAGACAGCCAAGGACUGGAAGGGUCUGAGAGUCACCGUCAAGCUCACCGUUCAGAAUCGUCAGGCGAAGGUCUCUGUGGUGCCUUCAGCUGCGGCUCUGGUCAUCAAAGCCCUGAAGGAGCCAGAGAGAGAUCGCAAGAAGACGAAGAACAUCAAGCACAGCGGUAACAUUUCAUUGGAUGAUGUAAUUGAGAUUGCUAAGAUCAUGAAGCACAGGUCCAUGGCCAAGGAGUUGGCUGGGACGGUGAAGGAGAUUUUGGGCACUUGCGUUUCUGUUGGGUGUACUGUGGAUGGUAAAGACCCCAAGGAUCUGCAGCAGGAGAUUGCUGAUGGAGAUGUUGAGAUUCCCUUGGACUGAGCCCUCUCUGUUUUGGGUUUCUUCACAUAUUUAGUCAGUUUUUUUCAAAUAGAAUGAUUUUCAUAUUUUUGGGUUUUGUUUUAUAAUUUCUCCCAGUUAUGGAUUGAUAAUGCAGCGAAUGUUUUUGAUCAAAAUGCGGAGAUGUAAUGCUUUUAGUGUUAAAUGUCUUUUUUUCCUCUGAUAAUUUCUGGACGUAAAAAGUUUAGUGCUUUAAUGUUGAAAUGCAUUGCUUUUAUGCAACAGAGGAGUUGUGUGGAGGUGGUUGAUGUUCAUUGGUAUGUUGUGGGUUGCUGAUUUGGAAAUGUGGUAUAAUUGUGCUUAAAAAUGGGUGCUUUGAGGUGAAAAUUGAAUGAAUUGUGCACAGGUUUUAAGCUUUGUAUGACUAUAAAGCAUCACUCACUGGUUGAAAGUUGUUCUAUCUGUGCCUCUUGAGUAGAUUAAGGAAUUCCUAUGUUUUCAAUGUAAGCCAUUUUCGAAAACAUACUUGAGGGUUGAAUUAUGAUCAAAUCCGGGUCCGGUUUGUGGAACAAUUGUUUAGGCCAUGGUGUUAUUAGGUGGUUCCACAAAUCAAUAGUACCGUUUAGGUUUGGAGCUUUGAGGUUUCUUGAAAGACCUAAACACCAUUGUGAGCAAACAUGUUUUAGUUUCAUGGCGAGGAAAGGGCUGAAGGGCAUAUGAAGAUCAGAUGUGAGGUAAUAAGGGGGAUCCUAUAAAGCAGGACACACUAGGUAGUUUCUGUUAUCGUAGCAUGAUUUGAAAUUGAUACUAUUUUAAGUCUCACAGAUUUUAGUUUUUAGAUCAUGUUUUCGAAUCGGGGCUUGAAGCUCCGAAUUUAUCCAGUGUCAGUCAUAGUGCAGUUUGUGAAAUGAAUCCUAUGAUUGUUGAAUUAACCUUUCAAACGUUUCUGGAAGGAUAGCUCUUCCAUUUGCUGAUUUGCAUUAGCCCUAUUGUUUAGGUCUAUAUCCACAGGUAUAUUAAGGAAAUUGUAACUCGGUAACAUGCUUCAUGAAAAUACUGUUUGAUUCUAGCCCAAAUAAUUGAGAUGUUUAUAUCAGCCACCCAUUUGAUAAUUUGGUUCGAAGAAAAUGUUAACCGCCAUAGGGCCGGAUGUCCAGAGGGCUCCUUGUCCUUCCGCUUACAGUUAGAUUAGAUGAGUAGUUUUUGGGACCGAAUAAUCACUUGCGCUACAAGUCUCUUCGGCAGUAGUUUUAGUUAUCAAGGAAAAGGCAGAUGUAAGUUACGUUAAUGAGAAGUUUCCUGUGUAACGCAUGGAGAUCAUGGUUUGGUGGCACAGAAAUGGGAAGGGAUAGAAAAUGUGGUGGAUUCAAUUAUACAAUUAUGGUGGAGGGUGUUUUGCUAGGUUCUCCUUCUCAUUACAUUACUUGCACGUUUCUUUAAUUCUUCGGUUUAAAAGAAACUCGGUAAAUGUUGGGUUUGGUCAAUGCCAAAAGUAGGCUUAACCUCAUGUUUUUUAGGUUCUCGCUACGACUGCGGAUUACCAUCAAUCAAAAUGGGACCCUUCACUGAUAAUCACGGCAGAUUUCCUGCUAUAUAAGGGCCUGCUCAUUCAUACCCUUCCCAAGUUCUUUUGCUCUUCUUGUAUAGACAAAAUCUCUUCUUUGAUAGAUCUCAAGGAAAUUAAUUCUCUCUUCUUUCUUGACAUAAGGGGGAAGAGAGGCCAUCUUUUUGCUAGUCAUUUGUAAUUAGAAUCCAUUGAACAGAAGCCCCCCUUUUCUUCUCCAAGUCCAAGCAUAAAUGGCUAAGGAGAUGAAGAAUUUGACUGGAUGGAUGGAGGUUCUUCCAGCCCCCAUCAUUUACCCACAAAAGCCUUCGAAUUCCCCUGGUUUGGAGACAAUUUUCGAAGAGAGCAUCGAAGAAUCUGACGACGAUUCAUAACUUUUUAAGCUCAUCUUGAUUCUUUGGUUAUGGAUCCUUGAUGAUCACAUAUUUGAAAAUGCUUUGCUUUGGAUGUGUCUCGCUACGCCUCGGCAUUGGUUCGGUGGAAUGCUUUGAUCAGAGCUAUGAUCUAGCCAUCUGAAAGAUCAGAAAUGGAUCAGGGAAGCAACUGCAAUAGUUUAGAUAAUGAAUGGCUUCAAUUCUAUCCUCCUGACCAAUGCAGUGGGAGUUCUUCCUCUCUGAACAUUGUCUAAUGAACCCUGUAUUGUAAAUAUGCAAUUACUUUCCGUCUUGUUGUACGUAAAUAUAGUUUCCUAAUAAAAAGUACCAAAAUAAUUAUACGUGUCAGACUAUUGGGAAGUAUGUGUAUUGCUUACGAAACUGUAGCUUGCAGUUACAGCUCUUAGGAGGAUAGUGAUGAUUUGCAAGCUAGCAACAAGACAAUUGAGUGCUAAUUAAAUUAGAUUUGGUAAAUAUAAGGAAUAUCAGAAAUAUUGUACUAAUCUAUUUAUUUCAUCAAAAUUAUUUAAUUAAAUAACUUUUGAUUUAACUGAAUUUUUUCCAAGAGCAUAGCUCCGUAGUGUAGUAUAGUUAGUAAAAUACAAGACGAGUAUAAUACGUACGUAUAUUAUUCGGUAAUUCUUAAGAACAUACGGUGAAAAGUUCAAUCAUUAUAUAAAAUUUAAACUUAUUUAUUCAAAUAGUUUUCUUUUUCAACAAUAUAUGAAAAAUACAGAUAAAAUAUGCGAAUAAUAUGUGUAUUAUUGCAAAAUAUCGGUAAAUAAUACAUAUGUGCGUGAAUAAUACUUUUGCAUUAAAAAACAUUUAUUAUAUGUACAUAAAAUGUUAAUAUUUUUAAAAAUGUAUAUAUAUAUAUAUUUAUAUAUGUGUGUACGUGAAUAAUACACGAAUUACUGUAACCUAGAAAUGGUUUUGGACUCUUUUUUUGAAGGGUAGGUGUGGAUUAAUUGGCUUUAAAGGUGUCGGUGAGGAGGAUGUUGAAAAUUUACGUUUUUGUGAAAACUAGAAGAGCCAAAAAUGAUUGGGAUUUUAGGUACUUUCUUGUAGUGUAUUGCAGAAUUUAAGCAAUUUGGUGGGCAGUCACCAUAGAUUGGAUGGGAUGGGAGCCUUGGACAUUAAUAAGAUUCAACGUAGAUCGAACACUUGGCGUUGCUAGAAAAAUUUGCCAUCAUAGCUAUCAAACGUGUCACAAUUAUUUAUUUAUUCUCAUUUUCCAUGUUCCUCACAUGCCUUGUAACUUUUUUGUGCAGCUGCUGGUGUAGUUUCCUUCACUCAUUUUUCUCACCAAUAUCAUAUGAUUCUUGAACUCCCUAUAAAAGGCCACCUUCUUCUACUUUCCCUUCAACCCAAAUCAUUCUCACAGACUGAAACUGUUUCUAGAAACAAAACCCAAAUCAAGAAUCUGCAACAGAAGCCCUUUUUGUUUGUUUUGAGAGCAACUUCUUGUUCAUUUUCAAGCUUGGAAGCAGCUGAUCAGAGCAGGAAAGAAGAAAGAAGGGUUUUUGUUUUGUUUGAUUUCAAUGGCAAAGGAGAUGGGAUUGUUGGGUUCUUGGGUUGAGGUUGCUCCUGCCCUUCUGAUAUCUCCCAACAAGACUUCAACUUGUCCUGAAUUGGAGACAAUAGCUGAAGAGUGGGAGCUGGAGGCAGAGGAGUAUGAUCAAGAGGCAAAACAGAUUGAAAUUUUACUGAAUUCUUCUGUGCUGAUUAUGUAGUUUUAUUUAUUUAUUUUUGGGGUUUUUUUGUGUGUGAAUUUGUAUCGAAACAAAUGAACAGAAUUUUGUAGUUCAAUGACUUCAAUCUUGUUUGCUACCUUUGGAACUUGGGAGGAGUUAAACUAAAUAAUUUAUUUCUCUUGUUGAUGCAAUUUUAUGGCUAGAUCUUUGGAAGGAUAUCAAGAAGUUGCUUUCUGCAAUUCUGCUAAAAUAAGAGACGCGUAAAAGAUGGCAGAAGGUACACGUCAAAAGUUUAAUAUUCUUCAAGGCACUCAACCUCCAUAAAAUCAUUUGCAGUUUGGUGAAUAAUAUUAGAGAUAUAACUACGUAUCAUAUCAUUUUUGAAGUCACAAUUUAUAGAAAAUAAUCCAAUACAUUUGUCACCUUUCAAUCUGAAAAACCAAAAUAAAAAAUAAAAAAACUUGUUUUGAAUCGAAACUCAACCAAUUCAACAAAUUCCAGUUCAUAUAUUUUUUUGGUAUCGAUAUUACACCUAUACUUAAUGACAUCACUUCUUGCAUCUAUCUCCUAUAAAUUAAUCGAGUGGGCCGAGUGCACUUGGUAACAGAGACAUCCUUCUUUAGUGUGCGUGCGUGGCGUGCUAUACCACGGUUGCAAGUGGAUGUGGGUAUGAAUGAGCACAUAAAUGGGGCUCUGCGCUAUGGUCUUGACUUCUUUUCGAGUCACUGUAAUUGAGAUAGGAAUAGAUUCUCGGUCCUAAGGUUCUAGGCCUCGACCACAAGGCCUUUAGAAUGAGAUGAUGGAUGGAUAGUGUCAUUGAGCUCGGUAGCUUGGUGGUGGCACUAGACUCGGUAGUUCAAUGGGUUCAUAUAUCUUAAGAAAUAUGAAUAUAUCAAAAAAUCUGGAUGGGUUGAGUGGUGCUUAAAAAAUCACUAUGUAAACGGCAAAUAAAGAGACUCUUGUUCACAUAUAAAAUUGACGAUUGAAAUGGGGAAUGCCCAAUAACUCACAACUGUUACUGAGUUUUUGUUAACAAUAUUUACACUAAUUUCUAAGGAAAAGUAUUAAAAACCAUGAACUACAUGAUAAAAGGUUAAAAGGUGUAUUUGAGCAGCUAUUGGGCUUGAUUUGUUUGAUUGGUGCCGGACCUUUCUUUCGUUGAUUUUGCAUCGUUUCAGCCGAGGUAAAAAAUCUUGACAGUGCUCUGACACCCGUCCAAUCACCUUUCAUAGAUUUUAUCCCACGUUAUUGCUUGCGAUUGGCCAAUCUCGACGGUGGAAAAGGUGACCAUUAGCUCAACCUCUAAAUCUUGUACUCUCAGUGAGGCAAUUAUUUCCUUGACCAUAAGAGCAACUCCACCCAUUUGCCCUUAGCCAUGGCAAGGGUGGAGCUAGGGCAAGCACUAUUCACGUGAAUAGUGGCUGCCCUUGCAAAUAGUAAAUUGUGUCUCCACCCGUUGCCCUUAGCCAUGGCAAUUACUAUUCAUUUUUUUGUUUUUUCCUCCUAUUUUUUAAUGAAAAUAAUUAAUUUGGGUAAUAUUUUCAGAUAAUAUUUUUGGGUUCGUACAUAUCAAUAUUUAUUAUAAAAUUC
Molecule: long non-coding RNA, 407268 nt
Filed under: Prunus persica (peach)
Lineage: Eukaryota; Viridiplantae; Streptophyta; Magnoliopsida; Rosales; Rosaceae
Description: long non-coding RNA (PPER_LNC006599)
Source: RNAcentral